GAAGAAGGGCAAGAGCGCUGUAGCUUAGAGCAUUCUCAUGGAUUGUCUUGCACCGAAAUGUGUGUCCUGAUGAGUACACUUUUUUUGGUUAGUCGUCUCAAGUUCAGAGCGUUAUGCCAUGUUUUCAGACCUGAUUAGUACACUCUUUUCUAAAAGCGAUUGAGCUCUAGUCCAAUGUAUUGAUAAUAUCUGCUGUUGUCCUAUUGCGGUGAUGUUUAUUUGCCCUGUUCGCUAGCUGCAAUAGUUCCUAUUUGAGCAGGGUAUGAUUAUUUGUUGACUAGUUGAGUGCCCGUGCGUUGCAACGGCAACAUAUAAUACCAUGAUGAAUUAUGUACAAAUGUGUGUUUCAUUAUUAUAGUACUAUGUACGUGCUUUACACACAAUCAUAUUUGAUACCCAUAAAAAAUAUAUGUUCUAUACACAUUUAGAUCUCGAGAUGUCUCGUUCCCUCCAACGAAAUAAGUCCAAGAAAUUUUGUUUGAGGCUUAAAUGACCUCAAAACAAAUGUUUACAUUCUGACAAAUCUUUUUAAGAUGCUAGAACAUAUUCGAUCUUUAAAAAGAACCAUAGGUUCCAAUCUGAAAAAUCAGCUUGCCGACAUUGACUUGGCUCCACGGUGUUGUUGUCACCACCACACAGGAAAAUCGGUCUCUCGUAGCCGCCAAAAUGUGCCCUCCCUACAACAAAAACAUGUUAGUAUUAUUGUUAAUGAAAACGUGGUCUAAUUAGUUGCGCCAACAAACAAAUUAACUUUAUUUCUCCACAACUCUCUGUACUGAAUAAUGCUAAUCGAGGGCAGGUUUUCUUUAUGUUGGUGUUCUGGACAUGUAAUAAACUAAGGCAAAAGCGUAUGAGCACAUGUGACAGUUGGAGAGGAAAUGGAGAAGAGCUAUAUACUAAGAACACUUGCAAUCAUGUUUCAGGCAGCAGUAAACCUGUCAAAUCACUGCUACUUGUAGCUUCAAGGUACUUGAUCAAACUCGGUUUAAUAUUGAGGAAUUAUUGCACAGCUAAAGUAAGCAUUGACCCCCUACCGAAAACAGUAAGCAACAACAUGAUAAAUUCUUUCAGACAAUCAAAGUCAGAUUAGUGUUGAUAUCUUAAACCUCUGAAAAAGAUUAUAUGAAUGUAGUAGCAUGCAUGGUUCUUCCUUCUAGCCCUGCCCACACCCACACAAGAGUUCCUCCUGGGUGCUGUGUAAAGUACAGAGUACAGUGUGUCAAAUGCUAUAUCAGAGGUUCAUGCACCUUAACUUUCUGAAACAAAACAAAUAGGCGACGGUAGUUGCUAGCAGCAGCUUAUCAGUUACCAUGGCACUGGCCGACGAUACCUCCACACUCCAGUUCAAAUCUACCGUACCUUGUCGCCACCGGCGUACCGUCUCUCCUCUUCGAUGCCCUUAGGAUACAGUUGCGUAGACGCGCCAAGACCGCGAAUGAUGCUCCAAGAUCCGGCGGGCCUCCUUGGACAGAUAACCGGCCUCGAUCACGGAUGGAAUCUCUAGAGUUUGGGGGAGGGGAAGAAACGAGUGAGGGAGCUUACUGUGUAGUGAACCUCCACUCGCCAUUGAUGACGCUCUUCGCCAGCAACGAGGUACGAGGGCGAGGAGUCCGGGUUAUAGCCUCGGGCUCCCAUUCCCGGUUAUAGUAAUAAUUAAUCAGAUAGGCCAAAUGGUUCCAAAGAACCAUGCAUUUACAUGAUAAUAAAAAUGUACUUCUCUAUGCAGCCAGUGAAGCUUCACUGGCCUCUUUAGGCAAGUCUAACUGUGUUACUUCAUUAAAUACAUUAGAUAAUUAACACUUAAUAGUUAGAAAUAACAUUAGAUAAUUAACACUUAAUAGUUAGAAAUAUUGUUGUGCUGCUAAAAUGCCAACUAUUGUCUGCCAUGCAUGGAUAACAGAUCCGUAAAGAAGCAUGCCAAGACAUAACCGGUGAUACAGUUUUGAAGUACCGUUACAUAAACAAGCAGAUCAAUAGAUUUAGCUCACACAUGUAUUUAUCACCUGAAAUGUUAAACAUUUCUUCAUUACCAAUUACAGUAUUGGAGCAAGCUGUCAAUUCACAUGCAAGCUUACCAAUAUAGCCAAAGUAAGAACAAACAACUAAUUACAUUUGGACAGCGGAUGUCAGGUCAUGUGCAACUUUAAACAAUUGGAACUGAGCUCUGUUUUUUUGAAGAUAAUCAAUAAAGAAAGAAAUGCUUAUAUGGUGAGUUUGUGUUCAGCUUUAGCCAGAAAACACUCGGUCAACACAACAAAACCAGGAUGUCUUUCAAUUAGUUCAAAGUAUUAUUGCAUUCCAAAAGGUGGUUGCUAAUUUUGUAUGAGCAUGAUAAACUGGAAAGCGAAUAUGAACCUGAUUUGAUUAGGUAUUAAGGCUGCUAGCGAACACUAAAAUAACCAAGAUGGAGUCCAUCUAUUACUUUGAACAUACAUAAUGAUCGCAACCAAAAGAUCUCAUUCAAGUACAGAGCGUACGACUUAUCAGUAGAACUUUAAGUACAAUAGCAAUCAUUUAAGACAAAUGGUAAAAUAAUUUAACAUGAGGUACUCACAGGUAAGGACACAGAUCGCUAGAAAGCAGGAGCACCCGUGAGGCCAUCACCUACAUGGGAGCAUGAACAAUCCUCCUGCUGAGGCUGACCAGACGAGGGUGGGAACGUCGCGCACUUCUGGAGGCCUUUCUUCACCUCCAAGCUGAUCAACUUAGAGAAACCCGUACAUAUCUGAGCAUCCAAGGGAGCACUGCCGUCCCCUGUGGCUUCACAGGUUUCAUCAACUGAAUUGCAGAGAAAUGGAAUAUCGGCACGGGUCGGAGGGUCAUCAGCAGAAGUCACUACUGGCACUCCUUCAGGACCAUUACUGCGUGCCAUGGCUCCACAAGCUUCAUCGGCGCAGUGCUUCUCUGGCAGAAGCUGAAUACCAGCGCUAGUAGUAGAUGUCACUACCGACGCUCCCUCGAGACCACAGGAACCACCGUCCAUAAAGUGACUGGUUUAGCACUUGCAGAGACGCAGAGUGAUACAGCAACACAGCAAACGUACAACCACGCUGCGCUACUGAUGCUACAGAAACAUGGACAAGAACAGAUGUAGCUGUUAUUCCUCCUCAAUCCUCAUAGACAUACCACAUACAUCCAGAUUUAGAUGCUAAUGUUAAGUGCCAGAGAUGCAAUCGUGAAGGUGAACGAACUCCAAACAUAGCCGCAUAGCAAAGGCCGAUCUUGAGUGGCACGAAUUAAGCUUGUGGUAGACUAAUACAGUACUACGGUAGACUAAUACAAGUUAGUGUGCCAUGUUACAAGUUAGUUUUCAUUAUUUAAUGGAUGCAACCAUGAUUUAAUGACAACGUACACAAACCACAAGGUGAUACGGCCUACAAUAAAAAUUACUGCCCACUCCGUAGAGUGAUCUUGAAUACAUGCUACAAAAGCUUGCAGAUGCAGCUAACAGAGUUCAUCAGGAAUAUUAAUUAACUGAAAGUGAUCAUGACCAUGUAUCCAGGCAUAUUUGAUACAGUAUUCCUCUUGCGUAAUAAUUCUAUAAGAGCUUGAUCCAUUUAGAUAUCAUAACGCUAAUAUAGUGCUACCUCCGCUUUCGAAUAUUUGUCGCCCGGUAGUUCAUUUUUGAGCUAAAACGCAACAAAUAAAAAAGAACAUUUUUGAGCUAAAACGCAACAAAUAAAAAAGAACGGAGGGAGUACUACAGAUAUGAAUUGAGUUUGUUUUUUCGGUAAAAUUAACAUAAGCAUACGAAAAGGGAAUGAUCAAAGCAUUUCUUCUAUCAGACAAUCUAUUCCCCACUGUACCUUCUUUCCUCGGAUGACAACUCCAGGUUCACCUUGGAUCACCAUGUACUUUGUACCUCCAACGAAAAGACCAGUUGGUGCAAGAGUACCAGGUUCAUUAAAGUCCUUUAUGAUACCAGCAACCUCCUCAGGCUUUAACUGCAACAAGAAGCAGGAAACAUGGACAUGAGAACACAGGGAUAAGAGACCACAGAAGAAAAAGUUGAUGGAUCAUAUUGUGAACACAAGGAUGUAAGGAUGUAACAAUUGACGACACUCAUGACGCCCUACAUAAGAAUAGAAAUAUAAACUCAACCUCUGCUAGAACAAACAAAUGUAUAAAGCAUCACACAAUCCAAGUACUCCAUAUACCACAACACCAUGGUGAAAUAAAGGCCCGAACAAGCAUGUACUGCUGUACACUACUGACUAUGACAGAUAUUUUUCCAAAUUACAUGAUUUAUUUUCCUUGCCUAGCCAUUUGGCCUAUGGAACAAUGCAGGCCACAAGCUGUGACCAACCACGGAACACAAUACAGAUUCCCAGAUCCCAACCGAAAGUUACUUUUCAUUUAAUAAGUGCCUCACACACACAUAGGUAGUGGCAUCAGGAAAUCAUCAUUUGAUGAAAACUAAAAUUUUGCGUUUUGGAUCAAUCACACAACUGUCGCUAUAUAGGAAUAAACACAUGCAGCUCGGCCAUUGGUGCAUCUCUAGCAGCCACUCUAAUUUUACAUGUAAAACAAAUUGCUCUAGUGCUGCUGAACGAUCACUUCCACUGUCCACUGGUAACUAAGUCUAUUCAAGCGAACAACCAAAUCAGGUCGGACGCCAACAGUCCGAUCCGGCCACCCCUCAUUAGCAAAUCCACAGUACGCAGAUCAUCAAGCUUGACCUCAGCUAUAUUGGGAUCAAACGCCCGGAGAACAGCAGCAGCAGCAACCACGUCACCGAGGGAAGGGGCCUUAGAUCCGCAUCUCGCCUUAGCGACCGAGAUCCGGACAUCCCCUCGCUCCGAUCCGGCCGGGCCGCACGGCUGGGGCAGAUCCAGAGUCGCGCGGGUCUAAAUCAGCGCAGGAGCACUGAACAAGAGAAGGGGUAUCCAGGAUGCUACCUGACCCGCAACAGCGUAGAUCCGAUCUCGGAAGCGAUCCAUACAAAUCUGAUCCAACAGAAGACGGCAGCGAAAACGGCAAACAAGUCGGCGUGCGGCACAAAAUUACAGGCGCGAGCAACGAUUGAAGGCGAAUACUCUUGUGGCAGCAGGAGCAGAGCAACAACGGGGAGAAGUAGAAAUGGAAGAGGUAAGGGUAGAGACAGGUAGAUCAGGGUGGGGAGCGGGCGGGGACAAGCGUUAGGAGGACGAGGUGGGGGAUUGGGCACGCCAAGACCAAGGCUUGAGGCGGUGCGCGCAGGCGGAGGGGGACGAGAGCGCGUCGUCGCGGGGGAGAAGGCGCAGGGAUGAGCAGCACCAGCAGCCCUGCACGCACGCGCCAUCUCAUCCUCGUCGUCGCCGAAAACCGAAGCGGCGGCGCGGGACGGCGAGCGUGCCGAGGCGAGGUGGAACUUACAGGCGCGGGAGGGGAGAAGGGGAGGAAGAGGUGGCGUCUGGGUUGGCGAUAGCGCAUGGCGGGAGGCGGUCGGGAGUGGGAGGAGGAGCAGGCUAAGAGCACCUAGAGGGGGGUGAAUAGGUGAUCCUGUAACACUUAAAAACUUAGGCCACAAAAACUUGGUUAAGUGUUAGCACAAUAAUCGCCAAGUGGCUAGAGAGGAAUCUUCAACAAAACACAAUAACCAACAAGAUCAAUCACAGAGAUGGCACGGUGGUUAUCCCGUGGUUCGGCCAAGACCAACGCUUGCCUACUCCACGUUGUGGCGUCCCAACGGACGAGGGUUGCAAUCAACCCCUCUCAAGCGGUCCAAAGACCCACUUGAAUACCAUGGUGUUUUGCUUGCUUUUUCUCAAUCCCGUUUGCGAGGAAUCUCCACAACUUGGAGCCUCUCGCCCUUACACUUGAAAUUCACAAAGAAGCACAGAGCAAGGGAGGGAUUAGCAACACACUCAAGACAAGAAAUCACAGCAACACCACGCACACAAGUCGCAACGAGAGCUCACAACACAACUCAAUGAGUUCACUACUCAACUAGAGCUCUAAUUGCUAUCGCAAAGAAUCAAAGGCGCGGAAUUGAUGUCUUGGUGCUUAGAAAUGUUGUAGGAAUGCUUGUUGUUCUCCUCCAUGCGCCUAGGGGUCCCUUUUAUAGCCCCAAGGCAGCUAGGAGCCGUUGAGAGCAAUCUAGGAAGGCUGAUCUUGCCUCUGUCGACUGGCGCACCGGACAGUCCGGUGCACACCGGACACUGUCCGGUGCCCGAUUUUCUUCCAAAAAUGGCGCAGUCGACCGUUGGCAGCUAGAGAGCCGUUGGCGCACCGGACAUGUCCGGUGCACACCGGACAGUCCGGUGCCCCCUUCUAGCCAUUGGCUCAGCCACGUGUCCCGCGCAGAUUGCGCGGCCGAUCGUUGGCCCGGCUGACCGUUGGCUCACCGGACAGUCCGGUGCACACCGGACAGUCCGGUGAAUUAUAGCCGUACGUCGCCGGUGAAUUCCCGAGAGCGGCCACUUCGCUCGAGCCAGCCUGGCGCACCGGACACUGUCCGGUGCACCACCGGACAGUCCGGUGCCCCCAGACUCAACAGAGUCUUGGCUGCUUGAGCCAAGACAUUUCCAAUUGGAUUUUUCCUGUUUCCAGCACUUAGACACAAUACAUUAGUCCAUAAAACAAUGUACUAAGUCUGAGAAACAUACCUUUCUCCUUGAUUUGUACUUUGUCCACCUUUUUACACUUAGGCACUCGUGUUGGACACUAAAUCACCAAAAUACUUAGAAAUGGCCCAAGGGCACAUUUCCCUUUCAAUCUCCCCCUUUUUGGUGAUUUAUGCCAACACAACAUAAGGCAAGUAGAACAAGUACAAAAUCAAUUCAACUAAGAACUCCAAGUUGUUUUGAUUCAAAUUUGACAUAUAUGGAUCACUCUAUGCCACCACUUGGUUUGUUUUUGCAAAUCAAACUCAAAUUUCUAUCUCUAAGUCAAACACACAUGUUAAGACAUAAAGAGAGUCAUUCCAAGAGAAAUUGAUUCAUGAUUUCAAAAACUCCCCUUUUUCCCAUAAUCAAUACUUCUCCCCAUAAGAGGCCAACUUUUGACAAGAGAGACAAUAAAAGAGUUUUGACAAACCAAAAGCUCUAUUCUACUAUUUUCAAAAUCUCUCAAGUGGUAGCUGAUCCAUUUAUCGCUUUGGCCUUUAUUUUCUCCCCCUUUGGCAUCAAGCACCAAAACGGGAUCAAUCUUGGCCCCUUAACCCCAUUGCCUCACCAAAAUCUUCAAAUAAGAACACAAAGGCAAUAAGAGUACAUGAGAUGAACUUGGAAUAAGUUACCCUCUCAUCGGAGUGCAGUGGAAGUCUUUCAUGGUCCAAGUCCACCUUUUCCCUUUCAAACCUCCUUUGAGAUUAAAACAAGCAAACUCAAGCAUAUGGUUAGUCUCAAAGGGUCAAGUUGUAGCACAGCUCCCCCUAAAUAUGUGCAUCACUUGCAAAAAGGACGUGUGAGGUCCAAGGAGUGUUUGUACAACUUGAGCACCACAAUAAGCAACAAAAUGCAGAAUGAACAUGAUCAAAGGCAUAAACACAUAUAUGCUACAAUUCAAUCCAAGUUCCGCGAAUCUAGGAUAUUGAGCUCACUACGCAGCCUGCAAAAGGUCUUCUCAUCUAGAGGCUUGGUAAAGAUAUCGGCUAGCUGGUUCUCGGUGCUAACAUGAAACACUUCGAUAUCUCCCUUUUGCUGGUGGUCUCUCAAAAAGUGAUGUCGGAUGUCAAUGUGCUUUGUGCGGCUGUGCUCAACAGGAUUUUCCGCUAUUCGGAUAGCACUCUCAUUGUCACAUAGGAGUGGGACUUUGCUCAGAUUGUAGCCAAAGUCCCUGAGGGUUUGCCUCAUCCAAAGUAGUUGCACGCAACACUGUCCUGCGGCAACGUACUCGGCCUCAGCGGUGGAUAGGGCAACAUAGGUUUGUUUCUUAGAAUUCCAUGACACUAGGGACCUUCCUAAGAAUUGGCACGUCCCCGAUGUACUCUUUCUAUCGACCUUACAUCCAGCAUAGUCGGAAUCUAAGUACCCAAUUAAGUCAAAGUUAGACCCCUUUGGAUACCAGAUCCCGAAGCAAGGCGUAGCGACUAAAUAUCGAAGAAUUCGCUUCACAGCCACUAAGUGACACUCCUUAGGAUCGGAUUGAAAUCUAGCACACAUGCAUACGCUAAGCAUAAUAUCCGGUCUACUAGCACACAAAUAAAGCAAGGAACCUAUCAUGGACCGGUAUGCUUUUUGAUCAACGGACUUACCUCCUUUGUUGAGGUCGGUGUGUCCGUUAGUUCCCAUCGGCGUCUUUGCGGGCUUGGCGUCCUUCAUCCCAAACCGCUUUAGCAAGUCUUGCGUGUACUUCGUUUGGGAGAUGAAAGUGCCGUCCUUGAGUUGCUUCACUUGGAACCCAAGGAAGUAGUUCAACUCGCCCAUCAUCGACAUCUCGAAUUUCUGCGUCAUCACCCUGCUAAACUCUUCACAAGACUUUUGAUUAGUAGAACCAAAUAUUAUGUCAUCGACAUAAAUUUGGCACACAAAAAGAUCACCAUCGCAAGUCUUAGUAAAAAGAGUUGGAUCGGCUUUCCCAACCUUGAAAGCAUUAGCAAUUAAAAAGUCUCUAAGGCAUUCAUACCAUGCUCUUGGUGCUUGCUUAAGUCCAUAGAGCGCCUUAGAGAGCUUACACACGUGGUCGGGGUACCGUUCAUCCUCGAAGCCAGGGGGUUGCUCCACGUACACCUCCUCCUUGAUCGGCCCGUUGAGGAAAGCGCUCUUCACAUCCAUUUGGUACAACCUGAAAGAAUGGUGAGCGGCAUAUGCUAGCAAGAUACGAAUAGAUUCUAGCCUAGCCACAGGAGCAAAAGUCUCCUCAAAGUCCAAACCUGCGACUUGGGCAUAACCUUUUGCCACAAGUCGAGCCUUGUUCCUCGUCACCACCCCGUGCUCGUCCUGUUUGUUGCGGAACACCCACUUGGUUCCCACAACAUUUUGCUUGGGACGAGGCACUAGUGUCCAAACUUCAUUGCGCUUGAAGUUGUUGAGUUCCUCCUGCAUGGCCAACACCCAGUCCGGAUCUAGCAAGGCCUCUUCCACCCUGAAAGGCUCAAUAGAAGAGACAAAGGAGUAAUGUUCACAAAAAUUAACUAAUCUCGAGCGAGUAGUUACUCCCUUGCUAAUAUCACCUAAUAUCUGGUCGACGGGAUGAUCCCUUUGGAUCGUCGCUCGAACUUGGGUUGGAGGUGCCUGAGGUGCUUCUUCCUCUUCAACUUGAUCCUCCUGUGCUCCCCCUUGAUCAUGCGCCUCCACUUGAGGUACCUGUUCGCCAUCUUGGGUUGGGGGAUGCACCAUAGUUGAGGAAGAUGGUUGAUCUUGCUCCAAAUGUUCCUGAGGCCGUACAUCUCCAAUCGCCAUGGUGCGUAUCGCGGCCGUUGGAACGUCUUCUUCAUCUACAUCAUCAAGAUCAACAACUUGCUCUCUUGGAGAGCCAUUAGUCUCAUCAAAUACAACGUCGCUAGAGACUUCAACCAAACCUGAUGAUUUGUUGAAGACCCUAUACGCCUUUGUAUUUGAAUCAUAACCUAAUAAAAACCCUUCUACAGCUUUGGGAGCAAAUUUAGAGGUUCUACCUUUCUUCACAAGAAUAUAACACUUGCUCCCAAAUACACGAAAAUAAGACACAUUGGGUUUGUUACCAGUUAGCAGCUCGUAAGAAGUCUUCUUGAGGAGGCGGUGAAGGUAGACCCUGUUGAUGGCGUGGCAAGCCGUGUUCACGGCUUCCGACCAAAAGCGCUCGGGGGUCUUGAACUCGCCAAGCAUAGUCCUCGCCAUAUCUAUGAGCGUCCUGUUCUUCCUCUCUACCACACCAUUUUGCUGAGGUGUGUAGGGAGCGGAGAACUCGUGCUUGAUCCCUUCCUCCUCAAGGAACUCCUCCACUUGAAGGUUCUUGAACUCGGACCCGUUGUCGCUCCUUAUCUUCUUCACCUUGAGCUCAAACUCAUUUUGAGCUCUCCUGAGGAAGCGCUUGAGGGUCCCUUGGGUUUCAGACUUAUCCUGCAAAAAGAACACCCAAGUGAAGCGGGAAAAGUCAUCAACAAUAACUAGACCAUACUUACUUCCUCCUAUGCUCAGAUAGGCGACGGGUCCGAAGAGGUCCAUAUGCAGCAGCUCCAGAGGUCUUGAUGUUGUCAUCACAUUUUUGGUGUGAUGAGAGCCUCCCACCUGUUUCCCUGCUUGACAAGCUGCACAAGGUCUAUCUUUUUCGAAUUGCACGUUAGUCAAACCUAUCACGUGUUCUCCCUUUAGAAGCUUGUGAAGGUUCUUCAUCCCCACAUGUGCUAAGCGGCGAUGCCACAGCCAGCCCAUGCUAGUCUUAGCAAUUAAGCAUGCAUCUAGACCGGCCUCCUCUUUUGCAAAAUCAACUAAAUAAAGUUUGCCAUCUAGUACACCCUUAUAAGCUAGUGAACCAUCACAUCUUCUAAAGACAGACACAUCUACAUUUGUAAAUAGACAAUUAUAUCCCAUAUUACAUAAUUGACUGACAGAUAGUAAAUUAUAUCCAAGAGACUCAACUAAAAACACAUUAGAGAUAGAGUGCUCAUUAGAUAUUGCAAUCUUGCCUAAACCUUUCACCUUGCCUUGGUUCCCAUCACCGAAUAUGAUUGAAUCUUGGGAAUCCUUAUUCUUGACGUAGGAGGUGAACAUCUUCUUCUCCCCCGUCAUAUGGUUUGUGCAUCCGCUGUCGAUGAUCCAGCUUGAGCCCCCGGAUGCAUACACCUGCAAGGCAAAUUUAGGCUUGGGUCUUAGGUACCCAACUCUUGUUGGGUCCUACAAGGUUAGUCACAAUUUCCUUAGGGACCCAAAUGCAAGUUUUAUCACCCUUGCAUUUUGCCCCUAAUUUCCUAGCAACUAUCUUCCUAUCCUUUCUACAAAUAGCAAAGGAAGCAUUUAAAGCAUGAUAAAUUGUAGACGGGCCAUUCAUAACUUUUCUAGGAACAUGAUGAAUAUUUUUCCUAGGCACAUGAUGAAUAUUUUUCCUAGGCAUAUCUCUACCAUGCAUAUAGGAAGAACUGGAAGCAUACAUAGCAUAAGAAUCAUAGGCAUUACAACUCCUAUGAGACUGUAUUCUAUCAUUGUACAUAAAAGCAUGGUUCUUUUUAGUACUACUUGCCAUAGGGGCCUUCCCUUUUUCCUUGGCGGAGAUGGGAGCCUUAUGGCUUGUUAAGUUCUUGGCUUCCCUCUUGAAGCCAAGCCCAUCCUUAAUUGAGGGGUGUCUACCAAUCGUGUAGGCAUCCCUAGCAAAUUUUAGUUUAUCAAAAUCACUUUUGCUAGCCUUAAGUUGGGCAUUAAGACUAGCCAAUUCAUCGUUUAACUUUGCAAUAGAAGCUAGGUGUUCACUACAAGCAUUAAUAUCAACAUCUUUACAUCUAUUGCAAAUAACAACAUUUUCUACACAAGUUGUUGAUUUACUAGCUAUUUCUAACUUAGCAUUCAAAUCAUCAUUGAUGCUCCUUAAGCUAGAAAUCGUCUCAUGGCAAGAAGAUAAUUCACAAGAAAGCAUUUCAUUUCUCUUAACUUCUAAGGCAUGAGAUUUUUGAGCUUCUACAAAUUUGUCAUGUUCUUCAUACAACAAGUCCUCUUGUUUUUCUAAAAGCCUAUUCUUAUCAUUCAGGGCAUCAAUCAAUUCAUUAAUUUUAUCUACCUUGGUUCUAUCUGGGCCCUUAAAUAAACAUGAAUAAUCUAUUUCAUCCUCAUCACUAGAUUCGUCCUCACUUGAAGAAGCAUAAGUAGAGUCUCGAGUACAUACCUUCUUCUCCCUUGCCAUAAGGCAUGUGUGACGCUCGUUGGGGAAGAGGGAUGACUUGUUGAAGGCGGUGGCGGCGAGUCCUUCAUUGUCGGAGUCGGACGAGGAGCAAUCUGAAUCCCACUCCUUGCCAAGAUGUGCCUCGCCCUUUGCCUUCUUGUAGUUCUUCUUCUUCUCCCUCUUGUUCCCUUGAUCCUGAUCACUAUCAUUGUCGGGACAGUUAGCAAUAAAAUGACCAAGCUUACCACAUUUGAAGCAUGAGCGCUUUCCCUUUGUCUUGGUCUUGCUUGGCUGCCCCUUGCGACCUUUUAGCGCCGUCUUGAAUCUUUUGAUAAUGAGGGCCAUUUCUUCAUCAUUAAGUCCGGCCGCCUCAAUUUGUGCCACCUUGCUAGGUAGAGCCUCCUUGCUUCUUGUUGCCUUGAGAGCAAGGGGUUGAGGCUCGGUGAUUGGACCAUUCAAUGUGUCGUCCACGUACCUUGCCUCCUUGAUCAUCAUUCGCCCGCUUACGAAUUUUCCAAGGACUUCUUCGGGCGACAUUUUGGUGUACCUGGGAUUCUCACGAAUAUUAUUCACCAAAUGAGGAUCAAGAACGGUAAAGGACCUUAGCAUUAGUCGAACGACGUCGUGGUCCGUCCAUCGCGUGCUUCCGUAGCUCCUUAUUUUGUUGAUAAGGGUCUUGAGCCGGUUGUAUGUUUGUGUCGGCUCCUCGCCCCUUAUCAUCGCGAAUCGUCCAAGCUCGCCUUCUACCAACUCCAUCUUGGUGAGCAAAGUGACGUUGUUCCCCUCAUGUGAAAUCUUGAGGGUGUCCCAGAUCUGCUUGGCGUUAUCCAAGCCGCUCACUUUGUGGUAUUCAUCCCUGCACAAUGAAGCUAGAAGAAUAGUAGUAGCUUGUGCAUUCUUAUGAAUUUGCUCAUUAAUGAACAUGGGACUAUCCGAACUAUCAAAGUGCAUUCCACUCUCUACAAUCUCCCAUAUACUAGGAUGGAGAGAGAACAAGUGACUACGCAUUUUGUGACUCCAAAAUCCGUAGUCCUCUCCAUCAAAAUGAGGAGGUUUACCAAGUGGAAUAGAUAAUAAAUGAGCAUUUGUACUUUGAGGAAUACGAGAGUAAUCAAAAGAAAAGUUCGAAUUGACCGAUUUUCUUCUCUCGUAGUCGUUGUGGUCGUCAUCCUUUUUGGAAGAAGUAGACUCAUCGCUGUCGUCGUAGUAGACGAUCUCCUUGAUGCGCCUCGUCUUCUUCUUCUUCCCAUCUUUCCGUCUAUGGCCCGAGCCGGAGUCGGUAGGCUUGUCAUCCUUCGGCUCGUUGACGAAGGAUUCCUUCUCUUUGUCGUUGAUCACGAUUCCCUUCCCCUUAGGAUCCAUCUCUUCGGGCGGUUAGUCCCUUUGUGAAGAGAACGGCUCCGAUACCAAUUGAGAGCACCUAGAGGGGGGGGGGGUGAAUAGGUGAUCCUGUAACACUUAAAAACUUAGGCCACAAAAACUUGGUAAAGUGUUAGCACAAUAAUCGCCAAGUGGCUAGAGAGGAAUCUUCAACAAAACACAAUAACCAACAAGAUCAAUCACAGAGAUGGCACGGUGGUUAUCCCGUGGUUCGGCCAAGACCAACGCUUGCCUACUCCACGUUGUGGCGUCCCAACGGACGAGGGUUGCAAUCAACCCCUCUCAAGCGGUCCAAAGACUCACUUGAAUACCACGGUGUUUUGCUUGCUUUUUCUCAAUCCCGUUUGCGAGGAUGAAAGGGAAAUGUGCCCUUGGGCCAUUUCUAAAGUAUUUUGGUGAUUGAGUGCAAACACAAGUGCUUAAAUGUGAAAAUAUGCCCAUGGAUGAACAAAGUGCAAAUCACAAGUAAAGGUAUGUUUCUAAGCCUUAGUACAUUAGUUUUGUGUACUAACAUCUUGUCUAAGUGUUAGAAACAGGAGAAAGAAGAAAAGAAAAGAAGUGGAGAGUGGCUGUGUACAGCCAAAGGCGGCUUCGGACUGGGGCACCGGACUGUCCGGUGUGCACCGGACAGUGUCCGGUGCGCCAGACCACCACAGAGCAAACCAGCCGCUCUCGGGUUUUUCUCCGGCGACUUCGGCUAAAAUUCACCGGACUGUCCGGUGUGCACCGGACUGUCCGGUGAGCCAACGGUCGGCCGGGCCAACGGUCGGCCGCGCGAUCGGCGCGCGACACGUGGCCGAGCCAACGGUCGGAAGGAAGCACCGGACUGUCCGGUGUGCACCGGACUGUCCGGUGCGCCAGAUCUGCAACGGUUGGCAACGGUCGGCUGCGCUGUUUAUGGAAAUAAAUCGGGCAUCGGACAGUGUCCGGUGUGCACCGGACUGUCCGGUGCGCCCGACGACAGAAGGCAAGGAUAGCCUUCCCGAUGUGCUCUCAACGGCUCCUAGCUGCCUUGGGGCUAUAAAAGGGACCCCUAGGCGCAUGGAGGAGAACACCAAGCAUUCCUUGAGCACUCUUGAUCACUCACACAUCAAUCUCGCGCACUUGUUCGACAUUCUAGUGAUUUGAGCUCCGUUCUAGUGUGCUAGUCUUUUGAGCUCAAGUCUGGGUCUUGUGUGUGCGUAUUCGCUGUGAUCCUUGUGUUGUGUGUGAGUUGCUAAUCCCUUCCUUACUCCGUGAUUCUCUGUGAACAUCUUUUGUAAGGGCGAGAGGUUCCAAGUUGUGGAGAUUCCUCGCAAACGGGAUUGAGAAAAGAAAAGCAAGAACACCGUGGUAUUCAAGUUGAUCACUGGAUCACUUGAGAGGAGUUGAGUGCAACUCUCGUCCGUUGGGACGCCACAACGUGGAGUAGGCAAGUUUUUGUACUUGGCCGAACCACGGGAUAACCACCGUGUCAUCUCUGUGAUUGAUUUCUUGUGGUUAUUGUGUUUUGACUCCUCUCUAGCCACUUGGCCAUACUUGUGCUAACCCUUAACAAGUUUUUGUGGCUUAAGUUUUGAAGUUUUACAGGAUCACCUAUUCACCCCCCCUCUAGGUGCUCUCAAUUGGUAUCGGAGCCGUUCUCUUCAAAAAGGGACUAAUCGCCCGAAGAGAUGGAUCCUAAGGGAAAGGGGAUGGUGGUCGACAAUGAGAAGGAGUCUAUCUUCAACGAGCCAAAGAAUGACAAGUCCACCGACUUGGGCUCAAGCCACAAGCACAAAGAUGGGAAGAAGAAGAAGACAAGGCGCAUCAAGGAGAUCGUCUACUACGACAGCGACGAGUCCUCUUCUUCCCAAAAGGACAACGACGAUCACGACAAACAAAAGACGGUUAACUCAAACUUUUCUUUUGAUUAUUCGCGCAUUCCACAUAGCUCAAAUGCUCAUUUGCUCCCCAUUCCACUUGGCAAGCCUCCUCACUUUGAUGGAGAGGACUACGGAUUUUGGAGUCACAAAAUGCGUACUCACCUAUUUUCUCUCCAUCCAAGCAUUUGGGAGAUUGUAGAAAGUGGAAUGAAAUUUGAUAGCUCGGAUAGCCCUUCAUUUAUUAAUGAACAGAUCCAUAAAAAUGCACAAGCUACUACUGUGUUGCUAGCCUCUCUGUGCAGGGAUGAGUAUCACAAGGUGAGCGGCUUGGACAAUGCCAAGCAGAUUUGGGACACCCUCAAGAUCUCUCAUGAGGGGAAUGAUGUCACCUUACUCACCAAGAUGGAGUUGGUGGAGGGCGAGCUCGGACGAUUUGCGAUGAUAAGGGGCGAGGAGCCGACACAAACAUACAACAGGCUCAAGAUCCUUAUCAACAAAAUAAGGAGCUACGGAAGCACGCGAUGGACGGAUCACCACGUCGUCCGCCUAAUGCUAAGGUCAUUUACCGUUCUUGAUCCUCACUUGGUGAACAAUAUUCGUGAAAAUCCUAGGUACAUCAAGAUGUCACCCGAAGAAAUUCUUGGAAAAUUUGUGAGUGGGCGAAUGAUGAUCAAGGAGGCAAGGUACGUGGACGACGCGUUGAAUGGUCCAAUCCAUGAGCCUCAACCCAUUGCUCUCAAGGCAACAAGAAGCAAGGAAACGCUACCCAGCAAGGUGGCGCAAAUUGAGGCGGCCGGUCUUAAUGAUGAAGAGAUGGCCCUCAUCAUCAAACGAUUCAAGACGGUGCUAAAGAGUCGCAAUGGACAGCCGAGCAAGACUAAGACCAAGGGAAAGCGAUCAUGCUUCAAAUGCGGUAAGCUUGGUCAUUUUAUUGCUAACUGUCCGGAUAAUGAAAGUGACCAGGAAAAGGGGAACAAAAGAGAGAAGAAGAAGCACUACAAGAAGGCCAAGGGCGAAGCACAUAUCGGAAAGGAGUGGGAUUCGGACUGCUCCUCCUCCGACUCCGACAAUGAAGGACUCGCCGCCACCGCCUUCAACAAGUCAUCUCUCUUCCCCAACGAGCGUCAUACUUGCCUUAUGGCAAGGGAGAAGAAAGUAAGUACUCGAGAUACCACUUAUGCUUCUUCUAGUGAUGAAGAUGAAAUUGAUUAUUCAUGCUUGUUUAAAGGUCUAGAUAGAACCAAGGUAGACAAAAUUAAUGAAUUGAUUGAUGCCUUGAAUGAUAAGAACAUGCUUGUAGAAAAGCAAGAGGAUUUGUUGUAUGAAGAACAUGAUAAAUUUGUUAGUGCACAAAAUUCUCUUGCUCUAGAGAAUAAAAGAAAUGAAAUGCUUUCUUGUGAAUUAUCUUCUUGCCAUGAGACAAUUUCUAAAUUAAGAAGCAUUAAUGACGAUUUGAAUGCUAAAUUAGAAGUAUCAAAUAAAUCUAACUCUUGUGUAGAACAUGUUGUAAUUUGUACUAGGUGUAAGGAUUUUGAUGUUAAUGCUUGUAGUGAACACUUAGUUUCAAUUUCAAAACUAAAUGAUGAAGUGGCUAGUCUUAAUGCUCAACUUAAGACUAGCAAAAGUGAUUUUGAAAAACUAAAAUUUGCUAGGGAUGCCUACACGGUUGGUAGACAUCCCUCAAUUAAGGAUGGGCUUGGUUUCAAGAGGGAAGCCAAGAACUUAACAAGCCAUAAGGCUCCCAUUCCCGCCAAGGAGAAAGGGAAGGCCCCUAUGGCUACUAGUGCUAAAAGGAACCAUGCCUUUUUGUAUCAUGAUAGAAGACAUACUAGAAAUGCAAAUAGGAGUUAUGAUGCUUUUGAUUCAUAUGUUUAUGACUCUCAUGCCAUGUUUGCUCCUAGUUCUUCUUAUGUGAAUAAUAGAAAUGUUACUAGGAAAAAUGUUGUUCCUAAAAAGAAUGUUAUUCAUGCUCCUAGGAAAGUAGCAAAUGAACCUUCUAUCAUUUAUUAUGCUUGCAAUGCACCCUUUGCAAUUUGUAGAAAGGAUAGAAAAGUAAUUGCUAGGAAGUUAGGGGCAAAAUGCAAAGGUGAUAAAACUUGCAUUUGGGUCCCUAAGGAUAUAUGUGCUAACCUUGUAGGACCCAACAUGAGUUGGGUACCUAAGACCCAAGCCUAAAUUUGCCUUGCAGGUUUAUGCAUCCGGGGGUUCAAGCUGGAUUAUCGACAGCGGAUGCACAAACCAUAUGACGGGGGAGAAGAAAAUGUUCACCUCCUACGUCAAGAAUAAAGAUUCCCAAGAUUCAAUCAUAUUCGGUGAUGGGAAUCAAGGCAAGGUAAAAGGGUUAGGUAAAAUUGCAAUUUCCAAUGAGCAUUCUAUUUCCAAUGUGUUUUUAGUAGAGUCUCUUGGUUACAAUUUACUAUCUGUUAGUCAACUGUGCAACAUGGGGUAUAACUGUCUAUUUACUAAUGUAGAUGUGUCUGUCUUUAGAAGAAGUGAUGAUUCACUAGCUUUUAAGGGUGUAUUAGACGGCAAGCUUUACUUAGUUGAUUUUGCAAAAGAAGAGGCCGGUCUAGAUGCAUGCUUAAUAGCUAAGACUUGCAUGGGCUGGCUGUGGCAUCGCCGCUUGGCACAUGUGGGGAUGAAGAACCUUCACAAACUUCUAAAGGGAGAACACGUGAUAGGAUUGACUAACGUGCAUUUCGAAAAAGAUAGACCUUGUGCAGCUUGUCAAGCAGGUAAACAAGUGGGAGGAGCGCAUCACGACAAGAACGUGAUGACCACUUCAAGACCCCUGGAGCUGCUGCACAUGGACCUCUUCGGACCUGUCGCCUAUCUGAGCAUAGGAGGGAGUAAGUAUGGUUUAGUUAUUGUUGAUGAUUUUUCCCGCUUCACUUGGGUGUUCUUUUUGCAGGAUAAGUCUGAAACCCAAGGGACCCUCAAGCGCUUCCUCAGGAGAGCUCAAAAUGAGUUUGAGCUCAAGGUAAAGAAGAUAAGGAGCGACAACGGGUCCGAAUUCAAGAACUUUCAAGUGGAGGAAUUUCUUGAGGAGGAAGGAAUCAAGCACGAAUUCUCCGCUCCCUACACACCACAGCAAAAUGGUGUGGUAGAGAGGAAGAACAGGACGCUAAUCGAUAUGGCGAGGACAAUGCUUGGAGAAUUCAAGACCCCCGAGUGUUUUUGGUCGGAAGCCGUGAACACGGCGUGCCACGCCAUCAACAGGGUCUACCUUCACCGCCUCCUCAAGAAGACGUCGUAUGAGCUACUAACCGGUAACAAACCCAAUGUAUCGUACUUUCGUGUUUUUGGGAGUAAAUGCUACAUUCUAGUGAAGAAAGGUAGAAAUUCUAAGUUUGCUCCCAAAGCUGUAGAAGGGUUUUUAUUAGGUUAUGACUCAAAUACAAAGGCGUAUAGAGUCUUCAACAAAUCAUCGGGUUUGGUUGAAGUCUCUAGCGACGUUGUAUUUGAUGAGACUAAUGGCUCUCCAAGAGAGCAAGUUGUUGAUUGUGAUGAUGUAGAUGAAGAAGAUGUUCCGACGGCCGCUAUACGGACCAUGGCGAUUGGAGAAGUACGGCCACAGGAACAAGAUGAACAAGAUCAACCCUCUUCCUCAACUAUGGUGCAUCCCCAACCGAAGAUGACGAACAGGUACCUCAAGUGGAGGCGCUUGAUCAAGGGGGAGCACAAGAUGAUCAAGUGAUGGAGGAAGAAGCGCAACCGGCACCUCCAACCCAAGUUCGAGCGAUGAUUCAAAGGAUCAUCCCGUUGAUCAAAUUCUGGGUGACAUUAGCAAGGGAGUAACUACUCGAUCUCGAUUAGCUAAUUUUUGUGAGCAUUACUCCUUUGUCUCUUCUAUUGAGCCUUUCAGGGUAGAGGAGGCCUUGCUAGAUCCGGACUGGGUGUUGGCCAUGCAGGAGGAGCUUAACAACUUCAAGCGCAAUGAAGUUUGGACACUAGUGCCUCGUCCGAAGCAAAAUGUCGUGGGAACCAAGUGGGUAUUCCGCAACAAACAGGACGAGCACGGGGUGGUGACGAGGAACAAGGCUCGACUUGUGGCAAAAGGUUAUGCCCAAGUCGCAGGUUUGGACUUUGAGGAGACUUUCGCUCCUGUGGCUAGGCUAGAGUCCAUUCGUAUCUUGCUAGCAUAUGCCGCUCACCAUUCUUUCAGGUUGUACCAAAUGGAUGUGAAGAGCGCUUUCCUCAACGGGCCAAUCAAGGAGGAGGUGUACGUGGAGCAACCCCCUGGCUUCGAGGAUGAACGGUACCCCGACCAUGUGUGUAAGCUCUCUAAGGCGCUCUAUGGACUUAAGCAAGCCCCAAGAGCAUGGUAUGAAUGCCUUAGAGACUUUCUACUUGCUAAUGCUUUCAAGGUUGGGAAAGCCGAUCCAACUCUUUUACUAAGACUUGUAAUGGUGAUUUGUUUGUGUGCCAAAUUUAUGUCGAUGACAUAAUAUUUGGUUCUACUAACCAAAAGUCUUGUGAAGAGUUUAGCAGGGUGAUGACGCAGAAAUUCGAGAUGUCGAUGAUGGGCGAGUUGAACUACUUCCUUGGGUUCCAAGUGAAGCAACUCAAGGACGGCACCUUCCUCUCCCAAACGAAGUACACGCAAGAUCUGCUAAAGCGGUUUGGGAUGAAGGACGCCAAGCCCGCAAAGACUCCGAUGGGGACCGACGGACACACCGACCUCAACAAAGGAGGUAAGUCCGUUGAUCAAAAAGCAUACCGGUCAAUGAUAGGUUCUUUGCUUUACUUAUGUGCUAGUAGACCGGAUAUUAUGCUUAGCGUAUGCAUGUGUGCUAGAUUUCAAUCCGAUCCUAAGGAGUGUCACUUAGUGGCGGUGAAGCGAAUUCUUAGAUAUUUGGUUGCUACGCCUUGCUUCGGGCUCUGGUAUCCAAAGGGGUCUACCUUUGACUUAGUUGGAUACUCAGACUCCGACUAUGCUGGAUGUAAGGUCGAUAGGAAGAGUACAUCGGGGACGUGCCAAUUCUUAGGAAGGUCCCUGGUGUCAUGGAACUCUAAGAAACAAACAUCCGUUGCCCUAUCCACCGCUGAGGCCGAGUACGUUGCCGCAGGUCAGUGUUGCGCGCAACUACUUUGGAUGAGGCAAACCCUCCGGGACUUUGGCUACAAUCUGAGCAAAGUCCCACUCCUAUGUGAUAAUGAGAGUGCUAUCCGCAUGGCGGAAAAUCCUGUUGAACACAGCCGCACAAAGCACAUAGACAUCCGACAUCACUUUUUGAGAGACCACCAGCAAAAGGGAGAUAUCGAAGUGUUUCAUGUUAGCACCGAGAACCAGCUAGCCGAUAUCUUCACUAAGCCUCUAGAUGAGAAGACCUUUUGCAGGUUGCGUAGUGAGCUAAAUGUCUUAGAUUCGCGGAACUUGGAUUGAAUUGUAGCAUACAUGUGUUUAUGCAUUUGAUCAGGUUCAUUCUGCAUUUUGUUGCUUAUUGUGGUGCUCAAGUUGUACCAACACUCCCUGGACCUCACAAGUCCGUUGCAAAGUGAUGCACAUGUUUAGGGGGAGAUGUGUUACAACUUGACCCUUUGAGACUAACCAUGUGCUUGAGUUUGAUGAUUUAGUCUCGAAGGAGGAUUGAAAGGGAAAAGGUGGACUUGGACCAUGAAGACUUCCACUGCACUCCGAUGAGAGGGUAACUAAUUCCGAGUUCAUCUCAUGAAAUCUUAUUGCCAUUUGCUCUUAAUUGAAGACUUUGGUGAGGCAAUGGGGUUAAAAGGGCCAAGAUUGAUCCCGUUUUGGUGCUUGAUGCCAAAGGGGGAGAAAUAAAGGCCAAAGCAUAAAUGGAUCAGCUACCACUUGAGAGAUUUUAAAAAGUAUAAUAGAGCUUUUGGUUUGUCAAAACUCUUGUAUUGUCUCUUUUGUCAAAAGUUGGUUUCUUGUGGGGAGAAAUGUUGCUUAUGGGAAAUAGGGGGAGUUUUUUGAAAUCUUUGAUCAAUCUCUUUUGGAAUGACUCUCGUUAUGCCUCACAUGUGUGUUUGACAUAGAAAUAGAGAUUUGAGUUUGAUUUGCAAAAACAAACCAAGUGGUGGCAAGGAUGAUCCAUAUAUGCCAAAAUUGAAUCAAAACCAAUUUGAGUUUUUAUUUGAAAUGAUUUUGCACUUGUUCUAGUUGCUUUAUGUUGUGUUGGCAUAAAUCACCAAAAAGGGGGAGAUUGAAAGGGAAAUGUGCCCUUGGGCCAUUUCUAAAGUAUUUUGGUGAUUGAGUGCAAACACAAGUGCUUAAAUGUGAAAAUAUGCCCAUGGAUGAACAAAGUGCAAAUCACAAGUAAAGGUAUGUUUCUAAGCCUUAGUACAUUAGUUUUGUGUACUAACAUUUGUCUAAGUGUUAGAAACAGGAGAAAGAGAAAAGAAAAGAAGUGGAGAGUGGCUGUGUACAGCCAAAGGCGGCUUCGGACUGGGGCACCGGACUGUCGGUGUGCACCGGACAGUGUCCGGUGCGCCAGACCACCACAGAGCAAACCAGCCGCUCUCGGGUUUUUCUCCGGCGACUUCGGCUAAAAUUCACCGGACUGUCCGGUGUGCACCGGACUGUCCGGUGAGCCAACGGUCGGCCGGGCCAACGGUCGGCCGCGCGAUCGGCGCGCGACACGUGGCCGAGCCAACGGUCGGAAGGAAGCACCGGACUGUCCCGGUGUGCACCGGACUGUCCGGUGCGCCAGAUCUGCAACGGUUGGCAACGGUCGGGCUGCGUGUUUAUGGAAAUAAAUCGGGCACCGGACAGUGUCCGGUGUGCACCGGACUGUCCCGGUGCGCCCGCGACAGAAGGCAAGGAUAGCCUUCCCGAUGUGCUCUCAACGGCUUCCUAGCUGCCUGGGGCUAUAAAAGGGACCCCUAGGCGCAUGGAGGAGAACACCAGCAUUCCUUGAGCACUCUUGAUCACUCACACAUCAAUCUCGCGCACUUGUUCGACAUUCUAGUGAUUUGAGCUCCGUUCUAGUGUGCUAGUCUUUUGAGCUCAAGUCUGGGUCUUGUGUGUGCGUAUUCGCUGUGAUUCCUUGUGUUGUGUGUGAGUUGCUAAUCCCUUCCUUACUCCGUGAUUCUCUGUGAAAUCUUUUGUAAGGGCGAGAGGUUCCAAGUUGUGGAGAUUCCUCGCAAACGGGAUUGAGAAAAGAAAAGCAAGAACACCGUGGUAUUUCAAGUUGAUCAUUGGAUCACUUGAGAGGAGUUGAGUGCAACUCUCGUCCGUUGGGACGCCACAACGUGGAGUAGGCAAGUUUUUUGUACUUGGCCGAACCACGGGAUAACCACCGUGUCAUCUCUGUGAUUGAUUUUUGUGGUUAUUGUGUUUUGACUCUCUCUAGCCACUUGGCCAUACUUGUGCUAACCCUUAACGUUUUUGUGGCUUAAGUUUUGAAGUUUUACAGGAUCACCUAUUCACCCCCCCUCUAGGUGCUCUCAGAGGAAUCUCCACAACUUGGAGCCUCUCGCCCUUACACUUGAAAUUCACAAAGAAGCACGAGCAAGGGAGGGAUUAGCAACACACUCAAGACAAGAAAUCACAGCAACACCACGCACACAAUCGCAACGAGAGCUCACAACACAACUCAAUGAGUUCACUACUCAACUAGAGCUCUAAUUGCUAUCGCAAAGAAUCAAAGCGCGGAAUUGAUGUUUGGUGCUUAGAAAUGUUGUAGGAAUGCUUGUUGUUCUCCUCCAUGCGCUAGGGGUCCCUUUUAUAGCCCCAAGGCAGCUAGGAGCCGUUGAGAGCAAUCUAGGAAGGCUGAUCUUGCCUUCUGUCGACUGGCGCACCGGACAAGUCCGGUGCACACCGGACACUGUCCGGUGCCCGAUUUCCUUCCAAAAAUGGCGCAGUCGACCGUUGGCAGCCAGAGAGCCGUUGGCGCACCGGACAUGUCCGGUGCACACCGGACAGUCCGGUGCCCCUUCUAGCCGUUGGCUCAGCCACGUGUCCCGCGCAGAUUGCGCGGCCGACCGUUGGCCCGGCUGACCGUUGGCUCACCGGACAGUCCGGUGCACACCGGACAGUCCGGUGAAUUAUAGCCGUACGUCGCCGUGAAUUCCCGAGAGCGACCACUUUGCUCAGCCAGCCUGGCGCACCGGACACUGUCCGGUGCACCACCGGACAGUCCGUGCCCCCAGACUCAGCAGAGUCUUGGCUGCUUGAGCCAAGACAUUUCCAAUUGGAUUUUUCCUGUUUCCAGCACUUAGACACAUACAUUAGUCCAUAAAACAAUGUACUAAGUCUGAGAAACAUACCUUUCUCUCUUGAUUUGUACUUUGUCCACCUUUUACACUUAGGCACUCGUGUUGGACACUAAAAUCACCAAAAUACUUAGAAAAAGGCCCAAGGGCACAUUUCCCUUUCACAGGCGGGGGGCGAUGCAGUGCAUGGCGGGAGGUGUGGUGCUUCGGCGGUGGAAGAGCUGGGGAGGGGAUCACGGAGAGAUGACACGGGAUCUGGAGUUGAUUGCAGGGGAUGCCGCAGCGACGCCAUCGAUGGAAAGGAGUGCUGCGGCGGGCGGGCGCUCAGGGCAGAACCGUGCACCGCAGCCAAUGUGGACGUAUACGGAGGAUAAUUAGGGCAUAAUCUAGUUCAAAAAUAGAAUAUCUGUUCCUGAAAUAGAUAGUUCCAAGAAACUAUAUUAAAGGAAGCCCAUGACUCAGCUUAUUCUGGUCCACCCUGGAGUACCAAGAUUGUACCAGGUCUUGAAACAGANNNNNNNNNNNNNNNNNNNNNNNNNNNNNNNNNNNNNNNNNNNNNNNNNNNNNNNNNNNNNNNNNNNNNNNNNNNNNNNNNNNNNNNNNNNNNNNNNNNNAUAAUAUAUAUUAAUUGUUUAUGUUCUUUAUAUUCCUUACAAUUCAUCCUUCGUCAUUUAUAAUGUAUUUAUGAAGGUACUGCCCUUCAUAACCUUCGUCCGAAAACCAUUAUAUCCUAAGGAAUAAUGCUUCGAAGGACGAAGGACUUUACCGAUUAACAUUUUCUAUGUUGCCUUGUUCUUGACUCAUAGCAUUUGAGAACAAGUCCCCAACAUUGGCGCCCACCUCCGGUGAACUCACUUCCACUCUUGAGUUUUUUGAACACCUUCGGCGAUCAUAAACCUUCGUUAUGGCGCCGAAGAAAGCUUCAGCAACUGGGCUGCAGCUCUGCAACCGCUGGACCACAAUCAGGAGACAGUCUCCCUUCGGGAGGCCCGAAGCCAGAAAAGGAAGGCUGUCAGCCCGACACCACCAGAGGACGAGAUAGAUCAAGAAAUCGAGAUAUGGAGAUGCUUCAUCAACAAGUCAGAGGAAGAAAGAAAAGAUGGCCAGGCUAGCUGAACUGCAGAGGCAGAUAGACGAAGCCUCUGAAGAAGUUCGUCAUCUUGCUCAGGAUGAGCAACACCGAAGGCCUCAGCACCAAGACCUUCAUCAGGAGGGUUUUCCCAACGAAGAUGACUGGUAUGACAAUUUCCAUCAUGGGAAUUUUGUUUUGAGAUGCUUCUCCUCUGUCCGCUGAGCUGCAGGCUACACCUUGGCCUCCGUCCUACAAGCCGCCUCAGCUUCCCGUAUUCGAUGGCCACUCAGACCCGAAGCAGUUUUUGAUGAGCUACGAAGCAACAGUAUCUUCGUAUGGUGGCAAUGCUGCAGUCAUGGCCAAAUCUUUUGUUAUGGCUGUCAGGAGUGUCGCUCAAACCUGGUAUUCCUCCCUUCGACCAGGAACGAUCACUUCAUGGCAGAAGCUGAAGGACUUGUUGUUAACUAGCUUCCAAGGGUUUCAGACGAAGCCGGUUACUGCUCAAGCCUGUUUCCAGUGCACCCAGGAUCACGAAGAAUACCUUCAGGCGUAUGUCCGAAGGUUCUUGCGUUUGAGGGCACAGGCACCAACGGUGCCCAAUGAAAUUGUCAUUGAGGCCAUGAUCAAGGGGCUUCGGCCAGGACCGUCAGCUCAGUACUUCGCUAGGAAGCCUCCUCAAACUUUGGAGAAGCUGCUCCAGAAGAUGGACGAGUACAUUCGGGCCGAUAAUGAUUUUCGCCAAAGAAGGGAGGAGGCUUUCAGGUUUUCUGAAAUGACCAGGGGCUUCGGAGGAGGUUCUACCCGAGGCAUGUUAGAUCAAUUCAUAACUCUACACAAAAUGAUGAUGAGGGAGCCAACAGCAAAGGCCACAAUGUUCCUCACAGGCUUCGGGGCAACAGCAAGGCUCCUUCCGACCACCAGCUCCAAGAGGCAGAGGCGCCAGGGGCUUCGAGGAAGAUUUGGCGAUCAACCGAGAAGAAUCUUUUGCUUAUUCUGUGGUGAGAACAAAGGUCAUACCACCAGGAUGUGCCAUGUUACCAUCCAGAAGCAAAAAGAAAUAGCCGAAGCGCAGCACAACAGCUCAGCCGAAGCAGGUCAUGCACAUGCUUCGUAUCAUUCGCCUUACAUCCCAGAGUAUGUAGGCAAUCACCCUGCAGUUUCUGUUGCUUCGGCGAGUCAACCUCAGGCUUCCUGGCAACAACCUCCGCCUCCACCACCGCUGCAACAAGGUCAGCAGCCAGAAGGGAGCCAAUAUGCUCCACAUCAAAGGGACUUCAGAGAACAGUCCGAAGCUCGCACAGUCAACAGCACUGUGCCAGAGUCAAAGCACAUCUAUUGACAAAUAUCCUACCUUAAUAGCAAUCUUUUUCAUUCAGUUUAUUUUCUGUAAUAAAGGACAUUGUUCAGGUUUCAUGUAAAUAGUUUCGUUGAUUCCCACAAGGAAAAUAUAUUUUCUUCACAGGAUUAAAUUGUUGAAAGACUUGUGAUAACAAAGAGGACCUUCGAACUAUCGAAAAUUCUUCGAGCAACAAAAGGUCGUUCUAAAAGAACGCAGAGUAAGUUUGCCGAAGUCACAAAAAAGUCGUUCCAAAGGGAGCGCAGUGUAAGUUUUCUGCUCCAAAGUCGUUCCAAAGGGAAUGCAGAGCAUACAGCGAAAAGUCAACGCUGAUACCGCCUAAGUAAAAGGCGAAGCGCGAAAAGUCAACGCGAAUACCGCUGAAAGUAAAAGGCGAAGAAGCUCCUAAGGGAGGCUUACAGCGAAAAAUAAACGCUGAUUCCGCUGAAGUAAAAGGCGAAGAAGCUCCUAAGGGAGGCUUAUAGUAAAAAGACAAUGCUGAUUCAAAAGAUUGUGUUUUGUCGCAGGAAUGUGUGUAUCUUCGGAAUAAACACCAUCUUACACAGCAUAACAUCAUCGCAUCAUUUCGCAUAGCAUAAGCAUCAUACAUCAUGUUGCAUAGGCAAAGGGAAAAAUCAUAAUAUCACAAGGAGAUACAUUAUUGAUCUUCGGAAGUAUAGCUUCGGAAAGUAUCUUCACGAAGCCUGGAUAUUAUUCAUUAGAACAUGGAUAUUGUUGUGACAAAGAAAAAUUCCUCUUCACGAAGCAUGAAAGAAGGGAAGGUGUUUUUUCGUCAAAGACUCAAAAGCGGUACGUGUAAAGUUUCAUGCAUCGUAAAGAUUGAGCAAUAAAAACGGGUAUAUUACAUUCAGGAUUACAAAAUGUUACAAUAUAUUACAUUUCAGAAGUUUAAUUUACAAAGUAUUUAAUCUUCUCUCAGAACAACUUCUGCAGCCUCAUUCAGGAGCCGAUUGACGACUUCGUCCAUAAUGGCUUCAGCCAUCUUUUAAUUUCGUCGUCCCCUUUCGGCUUAGGGCCCGGAGACGCUUUCAGCAGGAUCUGAAGAAGGACAGGAUACGGCUACACUGCUAUUACAAAUGGCAAAACGAAGCUUAAAACCAAAAUUACAACACAAUAAAAACUAUUAGUUACUACCUAAUUGACUUUCGGGCUCUGCACUCUUUUCAGCAGCCUCAGCCACUUCUCUAGCAUCGUGAAUGCCCUUUUCACUUUUUUGAAUAAUUUCUCCGGCCAUUUCUCGGCCACCAUUAUCCCAGAUAUCGGUGAAAAAUUUUCCACGAUCAUGCUAGCUUCGGCCGAAGGAUCUCUUGCAUCUUCAAAGGACAAAGCAGCUUCAGAUUGUGCUAAAAUUUUUACAUGUCCACAGCCCUUCUUCUCUAAAAUGGUGGCAAUUCCUCUGGCACCAGAGAAAGCACAUAUAUCUCCACGGCUAUUUAAAUUUCUUCGAAGGCUCAGCUUCAUGGUCGAUCCAUUCGAUGGGAUCUUCGGGAUUGCCUCUCGUAAAGUUUUCUUCGCUUGAGAAGGCGCCGACCCUGGCGAAGCUAGCUUUUAACUUCUUAACACACUCUAUAGAUUUGUUAUAGCAUCUUUUCUUGGACGAACUAAGCUCUUCAACAGUUACUUCUAAGUGAUCUGCCCAUUGGUCGCUGAGUUCUCGCCUUGUUUCUUCAAGUAUGCGUUCUUCCUUGGCUCUGGCUAGUUGUUUUCGAAGAUCUUCAAUUUCGCGCUUCUGAGCUUCAACUUGACCCUUAAAAGAAGCUUCGUCUUCUUUUAUUUUAUUUAUCAAUGAGUGUAAUAUUUUAUCUUUUUCGAGGCCUUCGUUCCUCAGUUCAAUUACUUCGGAACGAAGGUUGCUCAGGGCUAUAGCACAUCCUUCGUCUUCAGCAUCUUUCUGUGCCCUGAGGGCAUUGCUAAGUAUCAGACCCUGCAAAGCGAAAUAUGUGUGUAUCAAUAAUUUACACAAGCGAAAAAUUUUGGUCUCAACAAAAAACACAAGGAUCCUAUUUGUCGCACCUUUAAGCUAUUAUAGGCCAGGCUGUCGGCCAGAUCGUUCUUCGACAGCACCGAGAGCCCGUCUUCUAAAGUUGGGAAUCCGAAGCUCUUGCUCAUCUCCCGGCAGACAGAAAUCUCCUUGCUGUCAAGGAGACAAUACAAAAAGUCUUCUUCUCCACUACCAUUGAAUAUUAGCGCCCCCUUUGGAUACUUCAGUUUUUGGGCAUAGCGCUGGGCCUCUUGCUCUUCUUUUUCUGAUAGUUUUUUCCCCGAAGCAUGACGAACAAUAUAAUCACGAUUUUUGGAGGAUGCUUCGGGGGCAACGACACCGAUUUCUUCAACAAAAGUUGGCUUUGUUAUUUUUUCUUCCUCAAUGUCCAAAGAUUUUAUCUUUACGGGCUCUGAGGCCCCAGCUUCGGCUUUAGUUUCUUGCUCUGGAGCUUUUGUAUCAGAAAUUUCAGUUGUUGUUUCAGGAGUGGCAGCAGCCUUCUUCGGAGGUGUGCUUGAAGAUUUGAUUGUUUCCAGUACAUCUAGCACAUUAGCCAUCUCUUUCUUUUCGGAGUCACUGCUGGCACUUUUUGAUUUUUUACUGUCUCAACAUUUGCUGCAGGGCUCACAACUUCUGGUGCUUUUUCUUCAGAUGGUUUUUUCACUUCUUCCAUUUUUUCUAUGGACGGCGCUUCGGCCAUUUUUUCGGUUUCUGGUAGCAAAAUCUUCGGUUCUUCCAAUUCUAUCAUUUUUGGCGUUUCGGCCAUUUCUGCAACUACUGGCAGCAAGGUUGGUUUGGUUGGCUUUUUAGCCUCGGUGGCCGAAGAAGUUUUCCCCGGUAAACUCAGGCACCGAAGCUGGUUCAAUAUAACGCGGCCGAUGUGUGAGGACCUUUAUCUUCUUUCUUUUCGGUUCUGGCUCGCUAGGAGCAGUUUCAGGUUCUUCUUUUGCAGAGGUUGUGUUUUUUCUCUUCUGCCUUCGAAUGGGAUAGCAAUAGUCAGGGUAGACAAACCCAAUUGCAUCAAAUACCCGAUUCAGCCUCUUCUUUUUUCGGCCUCCGAAGGCUGCUGACAUCGCAGUAUCUUCGGCCUUCGAAUAAGCCCCAAGCAGCUCAUCACUUAAUUUUCAAUGCUUUUUAACCAGUCAUCAUCCGGCUCAACGAAUUUAUCUCCGAACUUGAAGGUGUACUUCAGUCUGACAAGUCCACCUUCGUCGGCCUCUUUUAUGAUUUCUUGCGGCAUCUCCCAUUUCUCCGCGAGCGGCCAUACCCGGAAGGCAAUAUGCUCUUGUACUAAAUCUCUCGUUCCAAUAAAAGAACAGAUAACGCCGAAGGCCCUCUGGCAUUCUUCGGCAGCUUCAUUCAUUUCAACCUUCGGCCUCCGAAGGCCGAAGCUUGCCAAAUAGGGCGCAUAAUUAUACCUUUGAUAUCUUCUCGUAAUGACAGGUCAUUCUUCACAUAAAACCAUUCCGUCAUCCAGUCGCCGGGCCAUCUCUUCCGAAAGGUGGCACGAGACAGCUUGACCCGGAGCGAGAAACGAAACUGUAGCAGCCAAAAUUAUUAUGAUACUGUUCUUUACCCCAAGGUUUUGUUUCGUAGGAUAAUUCGUGUAUAUUGCAGAAGCUUUUGCAUCAGGCUUCAGACCUUGGCUUCUCACGGCCCACACGAAGAUAUUCAGCCUUAUAAUUGCCUCGGGGGUAAGUUGGUGAAGAUAGACUUCGAAGAUUUUCAGCACCUCCACGACGAAGUUGCUCAAGGGAAAUCGCAGCCCAGCUUUCAAAAAGCUUCGGUACACUACGACUUCAUUCUCUUCAGGGUGUGGACAAGUUUUCUCCCCUUCGUCGGCCCUCACAAUGGACAAAUCCUGGAAAUACCUCCCUCUCAUGUUGACAAGAUGAUUCUCUUUGAUAGUUGAUUUACCAUAAACUGAGUGGCUUGGUCGCCAGGGACGAUCUUCGGAGUCUUCACCACCGCUGUCCACAUCAUAACUGUCGCUGUCACCAGUAUCCUCAGACAAACCUUCUAAAAUCUCCUUGGUAAUUUUUUCCGUAUUGGUCUUCGACAUCGCUAUAAGAAACCCCAAGUUUUUCUCUUCGUCAAGACUCAGCUUCGUCUCAGCAGCAUCCUUCUUAUCUCCAGACAUCUACGGAAACACUAAAAAACUGUUUUUAAAGCCGAAGCUUCAAAACUAAAAGCUCAGAAAUUCUUAGUGCACAAAAGCUAAAAAUCGAGUGAGCGAGAGCAGAUGACAAGAAAGCGUGCCAAAUGAGUUUGUGGUAUGACCGUAUUUAUACGCCCAGUGCGUUGAAAAUUGAAAGACCCCGCUUGUCAGUGAAUGUUGCUAUUCUAGCAAAGGGAAGGUGUUUUUUCGGACCUUCGGCGUAAAGCCUUCGUCCAUAUCGCAAUCUUAAUUUAUUGUUUUAAACAAAUUAAUAUUGCGAGGGGCUACUGUUGGGGGCCUUCGGCUUUCGAAGGUCCUCAAAACAGGAUUUAACAGUAUUUCUGGAGUUUAAUGUGUGAACAGGUAUCUUCGGACUCAAGUCGGUAUCACAGCAGACCAGAAUAAUACGAAGGUUGAUACAGCGCCGAAGGUGUGAGCAGGAAAGCUUCGGCAUGAUAGCAACAAAAUGAAACCGACUUAAAGAUGAAAAGGCUAUUCAGACCUCGAUAGAUUACAAUAGAAUUAUUAUCAAAUGUAAAGGGCAUGAAUGUAAUUUUGCAUAGGCUGUAACCUGUGCCUAUAAAUAGGUGAACAGUAUCCCCGUACUGGGGGGCUGAUCUGGCAUUCGCUUUUGCGUCACGCUUGUACUUUCAUCUCUUUCAAGUUGAAGGUACAUUUGUAAUCCAACAUUAUUUCUGUUUAUACAUGACAGUAAUAUAUAAUUGUUUAUGUUGUCCUUUAUAUUCCUUACAAUUCAUCCUUCGUCAUUGUAUAAUGUAUUUAUGAAGGUACGCCCUUCAUAACCUUCGUCCGAAAACCAUUAUAUCCUAAGGGGGAUAAUGCUUCGAAGGACGAAGGACUUUACCGAUUAACAUUUUCUAUGUUGCCUUGUUCUUGACUCAUAGCAUUUGAGAACAAGUCCCCAACAACCGCCCAGAAAUUCUUCUGGCAAAACAUUGUUUGCCGCUUCGGAGUCCCGUCCGAACUCACAGUUGACAAUGGCAAGCAAUUUGACAGCCAAGACUUCAAGGAUUUCUGCUUCUCCAUUGGCACCAAGCUUGCCUUCACCUCAGUAUACCACCCGCAAUCCAACGGAGUUGUGGAACGUGUAAAUGGCAAAAUUUUCACAGCCGUCAAGAAGAUGCUCCUCGACGACAAAAAGGGCAAGUGGGCCGACCUGUUACCUGAAGCGGUCUGGGCACUAAACACGACUGAGUGCAGGGCGACUGGGUUCACCCCUUUCCGCCUUCUAUAUGGAUCGGAGGCCAUGACCCCGCAAGAAAUAAAACAUGGGUCACCACGGACAGUCCCGUCAGCCGUCCCCGACGUGGACGAGCCCACUUCGAAGGACCUCAUCGACGGAGACCGCGUCUUCUCCCUACAGGCUCUAAACAAAUACCAAGCUCAAACAAAAGCAUGGUGCGACCAAACAGUCAUCCCGAGGGAAUUCAACGAAGGAGACCUCGUACUCGUCUGGACAGCUCGGACAGAGUCUCGGGGCAAGCUGGAGCCCAAGUGGGAGGGCCCUUUCAUCGUCAAGACGAAGGCGUCCCCCAGUGCGUACAGGCUCACAACGCCAUCCGACGAGGACUUGGAGCAUUCUUGGAACAUUGAUAAUCUCCGCAAAUUUUUUGUUUGACUCCUCAGGGCCAGCCCACCCUUGUAAUUCGCAAAACAAUUUUAUUCUGGCCCGCACUCUUUUCCUCUCGGGGGGUGAGGUUUUUAACGAGGCGGAGCCAUGUAAUACACACGCGAAAAAUCCCCCGCAAAAAUCUACGUCGAAAAAAGACUGCAUCGACGGUCUUCGACAUUCGACCAAUACAAAGUCACCGCGAGGGGCAGCUGAAAGGGAAAUGUGCCUUUGGGCCAUUUCUAAGUAUUUUGGUGAUUGAGUGCCAACACAAGUGUUUAAAUGUGAAUCUAUGCCCAUGGGUGAACAAAGUGCAAAUCAAGAGCAAAGGUAUGUUUCUAAGUCUUAGUACAUUGGUUUUGUGUACUAAUAUACUUGUCUAAGUAUCAGAAACAGAAAGAAGAAGAAAAGAGAAGAGUUGGCUGUGUACAGCCAAGAGGCUGUUUCGGUCUGGGGCACCGGACUGUCCGGUGGUGCACCGGACAGUGUCCGGUGCGCCAGGCUGGCUCGAGCGAAGUGACCGCUCUCGGGAAUUCGCCGACGACGUACGGCUAAAAUUCACCGGACUGUCCGGUGAGCCAACGGUCGGCCGGGCCAACGGUCGGCCGCGCGAUCUGCGCGGGACACGUGGCCGAGCCAACGGUCGGAAGGGGGCACCGGACUGUCCGGUGUGCACCGGACUGUCCGGUGUGCACCGGACUGUCCGGUGAGCCAACGGUCGGCCGGGCCAACGGUCGGCCGCGCGAUCUGCGCGGGACACGUGGCCAAGCCAACGGCUAGAAGGGGGCACCGGACUGUCCGGUGUGCACCGGACAUGUCCGGUGCGCCAACGGCUCCAAGUCUGCCAACGGUCGGCUUCGCCAAUUAAGGAAGGAAAUCGGGCACCGGACACUGUCCGGUGUACACCGGACUGUCCGGUGCACCCGACGACAGAAGGCAAGGAUGGCCUUCCAGAUUUGUUCUCAACGGCUCCUAGCUGCCUUGGGGCUAUAAAAGGGACCCCUAGGCGCAUGGAGGAGAACACCAAGCAACCUUAGAGCAUUCUUGAUCAUCCACACUCAGUCUUUGCGCAUUCGUUUGUCAUUCUAAGUGAUUCGAGCUCCGUUCUAGUGAGAACUUUGAGAUAGUCUUGAGCUCGAUUCUUGGCCGUGUGUGUGCGCAUUUUGCUGUGGAUUUGUGUGUGUUGCUUCCCUUCCUUACUCCGUGAUUCUUUGUGAACAUCAAAAGUGUAAGGGCGAGAGGCUCCAAGUUGUGGAGAUUCCUCGCGAACGGGAUAAGAAAAGAAAAGCAUAACACUGUGGUAUUCAAGUUGAUCAUUGGAUCACUUGAGAGGAGUUGAGUGCAACUCUCGUCCGUUGGGACGCCACAACGUGGAGUAGGCAAGUUUUGUACUUGGCCGAACCACGGGAUAAAUCACUGUGUCUUCUCUGUGUUGAAUUCUUUGUGAUUAUCGUAUUGUGCAAGACCUUCUCUCUAGCCACUUGGCGAUUAUUGUGCUAACACUUAACAAGUUUUUGUGGCUAUAAGUUUAAGUUUUACAGGAUCACCUAUUCACCCCCCCUCUAGGUGCUCUCAAUUGGUAUCAGAGCCGUUCUCUUCAAGAAGGGACUAAUCGCCCGAAGAGAUGGAUCCUAAGGGGAAGGGAAUCGUGAUCAAUGACAAGGAGAAGGAGUCCUUCGUCAACGAGCCGAAGGAUGACAAGCCUACUGACUCGGGCUCGGGCCACAAGCGCAAAGAUGGGAAGAAGAAGAAGACAAGGCGCAUCAAGGAGAUCGUCUACUACGACGAUAGCGAUGAGUCUACUUCUUCCCAAAAGGACGACGACAACGACUACAGGAAGACGGUCAAUUCGAACUUUUCAUUUGAUUAUUCUCGUAUUCCACAUAGUUCGAAUUCGCAUUUGCUUUCCAUUCCUCUUGGCAAACCUCCACACUUCGAUGGGGAGGACUACGGAUUUUGGAGUCACAAAAUGCGUAGUCACUUAUUCUCUCUCCAUCCAAGCAUAUGGGAGAUUGUAGAGAAUGGAAUGAAAUUUGAUAGCUCGGAUAGCCCUAUGCUUAUAAAUGAACAAAUCCAUAGAAAUGCACAAGCUACUACUGUUCUAUUAGCUUUGUGCAGGGAAGAGUACAAUAAGGUGAGCGGCUUGGACAAUGCCAAGCAGAUAUGGGACACCCUCAAGAUCUCUCACGAAGGGAACGACAUCACCAUGCUCACUAAAAUGGAGUUGGUGGAGGGCGAGCUUGGAAGAUUUGCGAUGAUAAGGGGCGAGGAGCCAACCCAAACAUACAACCGGCUCAAGACCCUUAUCAACAAAAUAAGGAGCUAUGGAAGCACGCGAUGGACGGACCAUGACGUCGUCCGACUACUACUAAGGUCCUUUACCAUUCUUGAUCCUCAUUUGGUGAAUAAUAUUCGUGAGAAUCCCAGAUACACCAAAAUGUCGCCCGAAGAAAUCCUUGGAAAAUUCGUAAGCGGGCGAAUGAUGAUCAAGGAGGCAAGAUACGUGGACGACGCGUUGAACGGUCCAAUUCAUGAGCCUCAACCCAUUGCUCUCAAGGCAACAAGGAGCAAGGAGGCGUUACCUAGCAAGGUGGCGCAAGUUGAGGCGGCAGGGCUCAAUGAUGAGGAGAUGGCCCUCAUCAUCAAGUGCUUCAAGACGGCGCUUAAGGGUCGCAAGGGACAGCCAAGCAAGACCAAAGCCAAGGGGAAGCGCUCAUGCUUCAAAUGCGGUAAGAUUGGUCAUUUUAUUGCUAACUGUCCCGAUAAUGAAAGUGACCAGGAACACGGGAGCAAGAGGGAAAAGAAGAAAAAUUACAAGAAGGCCAAGGGCGAGGCACAUCUAGGAAAGGAGUGGGACUCGGAUUGCUCCUCCUCCGACUCUGACAAUGAAGGACUCGCCGCCACCGGCUUCAACAAGUCAUCCCUCUUCCCAAACGAGCGUCACACAUGCCUCAUGGCAAAGGAGAAGAAGGUAUGUACUCGAGACAGUAAUACUUAUGAUUCUUCUAGUGAUGAUGAGUCUAGCGAUGAGGAAAUAGAUUACUCUAGCUUGUUCAAGGGAUUGGAUAGAAAUAAAAUUGAUAAAAUCAAUGAAUUGAUUGAUGCCUUGAAUGAGAAGGAUAGACUCUUAGAGAAACAAGAGGAUUUAUUAUAUGAAGAACAUGAUAAAUUUGUAGAAGCACAAAGAUCUCAUGCUCUAGAAGUUAAAAGAAAUGAAAUGCUUUCUUGUGAAUUAUCUUCUUGCCAUGAGACAAUUUCUAAAUUAAGGAGCAUUAAUGAUGAUUUGAAUGCUAAGUUAGAGAUUGCUAGUAAAUCUAUCUCUUGUGUAGAAAAUGUUGUAACGUGCACUAGGUGUAAAGAUAUUAACAUUGAUGCUUAUAGUGAACACCUAGCUUGCAUUUCUAAAUUAAAUGAAGAGGUAGCUAGUCUUAAUGCCCAACUUGAGACUAGCAAAAGUGAUUUUGAUAAGCUAAAAUUUGCAAGGGAUGCCUACACAAUUGGUAGACACCCCUCAAUUAAGGAUGGACUUGGCUACAAGAGGGAAGCCAAGGACUUGACAAACCAUAAAGCUCCUAUCUCCGCCAAGGAGAAAGGGAAGGCUCCUAUGGCUAGUAGUGCUAAAAAGAAUCAUGCUUUUAUGUACCAUGAUAGGAGACAUACUAGAAAUGCAAAUAGAAGUUAUAAUGUUUUUGAUUCAUAUGUUUAUGAUUCUCAUGACAUGUUUGCUUCUAGUUCUUUCUAUGUGCAUGAUAGGAAUGUUGGUAGGAGAAAUGUUGUUCAUAAUAUGCCUAGGAGAAAUGUUGUUAAUGUUCCUAGGAAAGUUAAUGAACCUUCUACAAUAUAUCAUGCUUUGAAUACUUCCUUUGCUAUUUGUAGAAAGGAUAGGAAAAUAGUUGCUAGGAAGUUAGGGGCAAAAUGCAAGGGAGACAAAACUUGCAUUUGGGUCCCUAAGGAGAUUUGCACUAACCUUGUAGGACCCAACAUAAGUUGGGUACCUAAGACCCAAGCCUAAAUUUGCCUUGCAGGUUUAUGCAUCCGGGGUUCAAGCUGGAUUAUCGACAGCGGAUGCACAAACCAUAUGACGGGGGAGAAGAAGAUGUUCACCUCCUACGUCAAGAAUAAGGAUUCUCAGAUUCAAUUAUAUUCGGUGAUGGGAAUCAAGGCAAGGUAAAAGGGUUAGGUAAAAUUGCAAUUUCUAAUGAGCACUCUAUAUCUAAUGUGUUUUUAGUAGAGUCUCUUGGAUAUAAUUUGCUAUCGGUUAGUCAAUUAUGCAAUAUGGGGUAUAACUGUCUAUUUACAAAUAUAGAUGUGUCUGUCUUUAGAAGAAGUGAUGGUUCACUAGCUUUUAAGGGUGUAUUAGACGACAAACUUUAUUUAGUUGAUUUUGCAAAAGAAGAGGCCGGUCUAGAUGCAUGCUUAAUAGCUAAGACUAGCAUGGGCUGGCUGUGGCAUCGCCGCUUAGCACAUGUGGGGAUGAAGAACCUUCACAAGCUUCUAAAGGGAGAACACGUGAUAGGUCUAACCAAUGUUCAUUUCGAAAAAGAUAGACCUUGUGCAGCUUGUCAAGCAGGGAAACAAGUGGGAGGCUCUCAUCACACCAAAAAUGUGAUGACAACAUCAAGACCCCUGGAGCUGCUACAUAUGGACCUCUUCGGACCCGUCGCCUAUCUGAGCAUAGGAGGAAGUAAGUAUGGUCUAGUUAUCGUUGAUGACUUUCCUGCUUCACUUGGGUGUUCUUUUUGCAGGAUAAGUCUGAAACCAAAGGGACCCUCAAGCGCUUCAUCAGGAGAGCUCAAAAUGAGUUUGAGCUCAAGGUGAAGAAGAUAAGGAGCGACAACGGGUCCGAGUUCAAGAACCUUCAAGUGGAGGAGUUCCUUGAGGAGGAAGGGAUCAAGCACGAGUUCUCCGCUCCCUACACACCACAGCAAAAUGGUGUGGUAGAGAGGAAGAACAGGACGCUAAUCGAUAUGGCAAGGACGAUGCUUGGAGAAUUCAAGACCCCCGAGUGUUUCUGGUCGGAAGCCGUGAACACGGCUUGCCACGCCAUCAACAGGGUCUACCUUCAUCGCCUCCUCAAGAAGACUUCGUAUGAGCUACUAACCGGUAACAAACCCAAUGUAUCUUACUUUCGUGUAUUUGGGAGCAAGUGCUACAUUCUAGUGAAGAAGGGUAGAAAUUCUAAAUUUGCUCCCAAAGCUGUAGAAGGGUUUAAGUUAGGUUAUGACUCAAAUACAAAGGCGUAUAGAGUCUUCAACAAAUCAUCGGGUUUGGUUGAAGUCUCUAGCGACAUUGUAUUUGAUGAGACUAAUGGCUCUCCAAGAGAGCAAGUUGUUGAUUGUGAUGAUGUAGAUGAAGAAGAUGUUCCGACGGCCGCUAUACGAACCAUGGCGAUUGGAGAAGUGCGGCCACAGGAACAAGAUGAACGAGAUCAACCUUCUUCCUCAACAACGGUGCAUCCCCACCUCAAGAUGAUGAACAGGUUCAUCAAAAGGAGGCGUGUGAUCAAGGGGGAGCACAAGAUGUUCACGUGAUGGAGGAAGAAGCGCAACCUGCACCUCCAACCCAAGUUCGAGCGAUGAUUCAAAGGGAUCAUCCCGUCGACCAAAUUCUGGGUGACAUUAGCAAGGGAGUAACUACUCGAUCUCGAUUAGUUAAUUGUUGUGAGCAUUACUCCUUUGUCUCUUCUAUUGAGCCUUUCAGGGUAGAGGAGGCCUUGCUAGAUCCGGAUUGGGUAUUGGCCAUGCAGGAGGAACUCAACAACUUCAAGCGCAAUGAAGAUUGGACACUGGUGCCUCGUCCCAAGCAAAAUGUUGUGGGAACCAAGUGGGUGUUCCGCAACAAACAGGACGAGCACGGGGUGGUGACGAGGAACAAGGCUCGACUUGUGGCAAAAGGUUAUGCCCAAGUCGCAGGUUUGGACUUUGAGGAGACGUUUGCUCCUGUGGCUAGGCUAGAAUCAAUUCGUAUCUUGAUAGCAUAUGUCGCUCACCAUUCUUUCAGGUUGUACCAAAUGGAUGUGAAGAGCGCUUUCCUCAACGGGCCAAUCAAGGAGGAGGUGUACGUGGAGCAACCCCCUGGCUUCGAGGAUGAACGGUACCCCGACCACGUGUGUAAGCUCUCUAAGGCGCUCUAUGGACUUAAGCAAGCCCCAAGAGCAUGGUAUGAAUGCCUUAGAGACUUUCUAAUUGUUAAUGCUUUCAAGGUUGGGAAAGCCGAUCCAACUCUUUUUACUAAGACAUGUGAUGGUGAUUUGUUUGUGUGCCAAAUUUAUGUCGAUGACAUAAUAUUUGGUUCUACUAACCAAAAGUCUUGUGAAGAGUUUAGCAGGGUGAUGACACAGAAAUUCGAGAUGUCGAUGAUGGGCGAGUUGAACUACUUCCUUGGGUUUCAAGUGAAGCAACUCAAGGACGGCACCUUCAUCUCCCAAACAAAGUACACGCAAGACUUGCUGAAGCGGUUUGGGAUGAAGGACGCCAAGCCCGCAAAGACUCCGAUGGGGACCAACGGACACACCGACCUCAACAAAGGAGGUAAGUCCGUUGAUCAAAAAGCAUACCGGUCAAUGAUAGGUUCUUUGCUUUACUUAUGUGCUAGUAGACCGGAUAUUAUGCUUAGCGUAUGCAUGUGUGCUAGAUUUCAAUCCGAUCCUAAGGAGUGUCACUUAGUGGCGGUGAAGCGAAUUCUUAGAUAUUUGGUUGCUACGCCUUGCUUUGGGCUCUGGUAUCCAAAGGGGUCUACCUUUGACUUAGUUGGAUACUCAGACUCCGACUAUGCUGGAUGUAAGGUCGAUAGGAAGAGUACAUCGGGGACGUGCCAAUUCUUAGGAAGGUCCCUGGUGUCAUGGAACUCUAAGAAACAAACCUCCGUUGCCCUAUCCACCGCUGAGGCCGAGUACGUUGCCGCAGGACAGUGUUGCGCGCAACUACUUUGGAUGAGGCAAACCCUCCGGGACUUUGGCUACAAUCUGAGCAAAGUCCCACUCCUAUGUGACAAUGAGAGUGCUAUCCGCAUGGCGGAAAAUCCUGUUGAACACAGCCGCACAAAGCACAUUGACAUCCGGCAUCACUUUUUGAGAGACCACCAGCAAAAGGGAGAUAUCGAAGUGUUUCAUGUUAGCACCGAGAACCAGCUAGCCGAUAUCUUUACCAAGCCUCUAGAUGAGAAGACCUUUUGCAGGUUGCGUAGUGAGCUAAAUGUCCUAGAUUCGCGGAACUUGGAUUGAUUUAUAGCAUACAUGUGUAUAUGCCUUUGAUCAUGUUCCUUUAUUAUGGUGCUCAAGUUGUACAAACACUCCCUGGACCUCACAAGUCCGUUGCAAAGUGAUGCACAUGUUUAGGGGGAGAUAUGUUACAACUUGACCCUUUGAAGACUGACCAUGUGCUUGAGUUUGAUGAUUUAGUCUCGAAGAUGGAUUGAAAGGGAAAAAGGUGGAUUUGGACCAUGAAAGACUUCCACUGCACUCCGAUGAGAGGGUAACUUAUUCCAAGUUCAUCUUUAGACUCUUAUUGCCUAUUUGCUCUUAAUUGAAGAUUUUGGUGAGGCAAUGGGGUUAAAGGGCCAAGAUUGAUCCCGUUUUGGUGCUUGAUGCCAAAGGGGGAGAAAAUAAAGGCCAAAGUGAUAAAUGGAUCAGCUACCACUUGAGAAAUUUUGAAAAUAGUAGAUUAGAGCUUUUGUGUUGUCAAAACUCUUGCAUUGUCUCUUUUGUCAAAAGUUGGCCUCUUGUGGGGAGAAGUGUUGAUUAUGGGAAAAAGGGGGAGUUUUUGGAAUCUUGAAUCAAUUUUCUUUGGAAAACCUCUCUUUAUGUCUCUACAAGUGGAUUUGACUUAGAGAUAGGAUUUUGUGUUUGAUUUGCAAAAACAAACCAAGUGGUGGCAAAGGAUGAUCCAUAUAUGCCAAAUUGAAUCAAAAUAAACUUGAGUUUUUAUUUUUGAAGUGAUAUUGCACUUGUUCUAGUUGCUUUAUGUUGUGUUGGCAUAAAUCACCAAGAAGGGGGAGAUUGAAAGGGAAAUGUGCCUUUGGGCCAUUUCUAAGUAUUUUGGUGAUUGAGUGCCAACACAAGUGUUUAAAUGUGAAUCUAUGCCCAUGGGUGAACAAAGUGCAAAUCAAGAGCAAAGGUAUGUUUCUAAGUCUUAGUACAUUGGUUUUGUGUACUAAUAUACUUGUCUAAGUAUCAGAAACAGAAAGAAGAAGAAAAGAGAAGAGUUGGCUGUGUACAGCCAAGAGGCUGUUUCGGUCUGCGACACCGGACUGUCCGGUGGUGCACCGGACAGUGUCCGGUGUGCCAGGCUGGCUCGAGCGAAGUGACCGCUCUCGGGAAUUCGCCGACGACGUACGGCUAAAAUUCACCGGACUGUCCGGUGUGCACCGGACUGUCCGGUGAGCCAACGGUCGGCCGGGCCAACGGUCGGCCGCGCGAUCUGCGCGGGACACGUGGCCGAGCCAACGGUCGGAAGGGGGCACCGGACUGUCCGGUGUGCACCGGACUGUCCGGUGAGCCAACGGUCGGCCGGGCCAACGGUCGGCCGCGCGAUCUGCGCGGGACACGUGGCCAAGCCAACGGCUAGAAGGGGGCACCGGACUGUCCGGUGUGCACCGGACAUGUCCGGUGCGCCAACGGCUCCAAGUCUGCCAACGGUCGGCUUCGCCAAUUAAGGAAGGAAAUCGGGCACCGGACAUUGUCCGGUGUACACCGGACUGUCCGGUGCACCCGACGACAGAAGGCAAGGAUGGCCUUCCAGAUUUGUUCUCAACGGCUCCUAGCUGCCUUGGGGCUAUAAAAGGGACCCCUAGGCGCAUGGAGGAGAACACCAAGCAACCUUAGAGCAUUCUUGAUCAUCCACACUCAGUCUUUGCGCAUUCGUUUGUCAUUCUAAGUGAUUCGAGCUCCGUUCUAGUGAGAACUUUGAGAUAGUCUUUGAGCUCGAUUCUUGGCCGUGUGUGUGCGCAUUUUGCUGUGGAUUUGUGUGUGUUGCUUCCCUUCCUUACUCCGUGAUUCUUUGUGAACAUCAAAAGUGUAAGGGCGAGAGGCUCCAAGUUGUGGAGAUUCCUCGCGAACAGGAUAAGAAAAGAAAAGCAUAACACUGUGGUAUUCAAGUUGAUCAUUGGAUCACUUGAGAGGAGUUGAGUGCAACUCUCGUCCGUUGGGACGCCACAACGUGGAGUAGGCAAGUUUUGUACUUGGCCGAACCACGGGAUAAAUCACUGUGUCUUCUCUGUGUUGAAUUCUUUGUGAUUAUCGUAUUGUGCAAGACCUUCUCUCUAGCCACUUGGCGAUUAUUGUGCUAACACUUAACAAGUUUUUGUGGCUAUAAGUUUAAGUUUUACAGGAUCACCUAUUCACCCCCCUCUAGGUGCUCUCAGCAGCGCUGGCUACCCUCGCGUGCGACACUCCGCGCAAAAGUCGCCUAAGGGUGCAGCCGGACUAGCACAACAAGUGCACAAAAUCGAAGUCUUCCUCAAAAGACUAUCCGUGCAAAAGUCGCCUAAGGGUGCAGCCGGACUAGCACAACAAGUGCGCAAAAUCGAAGUCUUCUUCAAUAGACUAUCCGUGCAAAAGUCGCCUAAGGGUGCAGCCGGACUAGCACAACAAGCGCGCAAAAUCGAAGUCUUCUUCAAAAGACUAUCCGCGCAAAAGUCGCCUAAGGGUGCAGCCGGACUAGCUCAACAAGCGCGCAAAAUCGCAGGCGCAUUACAUCCGUGCAAAAGUCUACACCAAGAAAUUGUCCGCGCAAAGACCUACUACAGGCGCAGCUGGACCGACAUAAUAAAUGUGCUAGACCAAGUGCGCAACGCCCCUAUGGACAUAGCCGGAUGCGCGAAGGCGCACAGCCUCAUCAUACAAACUAUAGUUACACACGUACAGCGAGGGCAUCACACCUUACAUUGGUUCAACCUUCGGAAUGAUUCCCAUCUUCCUAUAGUUAAAUAGCAUUAUCCUAAGCUCCUUGUUGGAACUUGCUCUCAGACGCAAGAAGGCCAACAAGGGUGAACAGUGUAGACAGAAGGGUUACGCGUAGUUCGGACGGUACUCCGAAGCGGCAAACAAUGUUUUGCUAGAAGAAUUUUUGGGCAGUCUUUGAUGUUACUGUAGAAACAGCCCUCGCUUCGAUCCACUUGGUGAAGUAUUCGACGGCUACGAAGGCGAACUUAAGGUUCCCCUGAGCGGUGGGCAGGGGCCCGACAAUGUCCAGGCCCCAGCGCUGGAGAGGCCAUGUAUGGGCAAUCAGCUUUGUAUACUGCGAGGGGCUGCCUGACCGAGGAGAAAACUUCUGGCAGGCUUCGCAGGACCUUGUGACCCGAUUUGCGGCGCAGAUCAUUGCGGGCCAGUAAAACCUUGGCGGAUCACCUUGGCAGCUAGGGCCCUUGGCCCUGCGUGCGAGCCGCACGUGCCACUGUGGACUUCGCGUAGGAUCUGCAUGCCUUCGGUUUCGGUGACGCACUUAAGCAUUGGCUGACUGACCCCUUUUUUGUAGAGUUGGCCCUCAAUCAGUGCGAAGUCCCGGCUUCGAUGUCUGAGGCGCUUGGCCUCGCUGACGUUGGUUGGAUGAUAGUACCCCUGUAGGAAUAGGGUUAUUGGUGCCCGCCAGUCCUCGGUCAUGAUUAGGUUGACUAUGCGGUGGCCUUCGCUGUCAUUAGUUAUUUGGAGCCCUUCGGGCUCCGGACGGCUGGCGUGCCGAUGAUGUGGAAGAACACGUCGGAGGGCAAGGACUCGCCCCUGGCGGCGGCCUUGGCCAAUGCGUCGGCCUCCUCGUUCUUGGCCCUAUCCACAUGCUGCAAAGUGAAUCCCUUGAACUGUCUCUCGAGACUUCGGAUGGCCGCGAGGUAUUGCAUGAGCGCGGGGUCUUUUGCUGCAUAGUCUUUCUCGACCUGGCCGACAACUAUCUUGGAGUCUGUUUUGAUGAUACAUGUGGUGACUCCGAGGGCCCUUAGCUUGCGGAGGCCAAGGAUAACCGCUUCAUACUCUGCUAUAUUGUUUGUGCAUCUGUCGGAUUCCAAAGCGAAGCUGAGGCGUGCUGCAUAUCUGUGUUUGACUCCGGCUGGUGAGGUGACGACUGCAGCGACGCCUGCCCCCGCAUGGCACCAUGCGCCGUCGCAAUGGAUAGUCCAAACCUUCUCUGUGGACGGGUCUGGCUGUGUUAUUGGCCCAGUCCAGUCGACGACGAAGUCUGCCAGGACUUGUGACUUAAUGGCUGUCCUAGGCUCGAAGCUGAUGUGGUAGCCGGAUAGUUCGGCUGCCCACUUGGCAAUCCUCACCGAUGCCUCCAGGUUUUUGAAUAGUUCGCCGAGUCCCCUGUCUGAGGUGACUCGGACCUUGAAUGCUUCAAAGUAAUGGUGCAGUUUACGCGAAGACAUAACGACUGCGUAGGCGAUCUUCUCCAGCUCUGUCAUGUUACACUUGGACGGUGUCAGUACCUCGGAGACAUAGUAAACAGGGCACUGUCUGACCGCACCCUCAACUGUCUGCUCCUGCACUAGUGCCGCGCUGACCGCGUGCGGCGAAGCCGCGACAUAGAGCAAUAGGGGGAGCGAGGAGUCGGGGCUCGUGAGGAUGGCCAGCUCCGACAGGUACUGUUUUAGUGAGGCGAAGGCCGCUGCUUGCUCCGGUCCCCAGGCGAAGUCUUUUGCACCGCGGAGUGUUUUGAGGAAGGGGAGACUUCGCUCGGUGGACCUGGAGAUGAAUCUGUUGAGAGCGGCCAAUCUGCCUGUUAGACGCUGGACGUCCCUGGCGGACUGCGGAGGCAACAUGUCUACGAUGGCCUGGAUCUUGGUUGGGUUGGCCUCGAUGCCGCGGUGUGAUACCAGGUAGCCCAAUAUCUUGCCCUGGCGAACACCGAAGACGCACUUUUCCGGGUUUAGGCGGAGUCGUGCAUCUCGCAUGUUCGCGAAUGUCUCGGCGAGGUCGGCGAGAUGGUCCUCCUUAUUCUUGCUGGCGACGACGAUGUCGUCCACAUAUGUAAAUAUAUUUCUGCCAACCUGCCCUUCGAGUACUGUUUUGGUGAGUCUGGAGAAGGUGGACCCGACAUUCUUGAGUCCCUCCGGCAUUCUGAUGAAGCAAUAAGUGCCGAAGGGUGUUAUAAAGCUGGUGCUAGCCUUGUCUUCCUCCUUCAUGUAUAUCUGGUGAUAGCCGGAGAAGCAGUCGAGGAGUGACAUGACCUCGCAUCCGGCCGCGCUAUCGACUAUUUUGUCGAUCCGUGGCAACGGGAAAUUGUCCUUUGGGCAGGCCUUAUUGAGACUGGUGAAGUCUAUGCACAUUCGCCAUUUCCCGCUUUUUUUCUGCACCAUUACAACAUUGGAGAGCCACGUGGGGUAAGCCACUGGCUCGAUGAAUUUAGCCUCUAGGAGGCGGUGCACCUCCGCCUUGGCGGCCUCUGUCUUUUCGUCGGACAUUUUGCGAAGCCUUUGCUUUUUUGGUCGCACUGAGGGGUCAAUUCCCAAGCUGUGCUCAAUUAUGGAUCGGCUGACUCCGACCAGGUCGAGGGCGGACCAGGCGAAGACAUCUUUAUUCUUGGCCAGGCAGCAGAGAAGCUUCUCUUCUUCAUGUGGGGUAAGGUCUUCGCUGAUAGUGACUGUCUGCUUGGGCGUGGCCUGAUCGAGGGGGACAGUCUUGGUUCCGUCUUGGCUCUGCAGCUGUGCCUUGUCGUGCUGUUUAUCGGUUGGGCUGGCGGGCACAGGGACCUCGCGCUGGGUCGUGAGACAGUGCACGUUCCUCUGACCAGGCACGAAGUCCCGCUCUAUGUUGCGCGCCGUCUGCUGGUUGCCGUAGAUCGUAAUAGCGCCUAGCGGACCUGGUAUCUUCAUACAUAGGUACAGUCCGUGGAUGGCAGCUUCGAACUUAUUGAUGGAGCCCCGGCCCAUGAUGGCGUUGUAUGGAUAUACCAUGUCCACAAUAUCAAAGGUUACUUGCUCACUUCGGGCAUUGGGUGCUACACCGAAGGAGAGGGGCAACUCUAUUUUGCCAACGGGAAAGGUGCCCUUGCCGCCGAAGCCAUACAGCGGGUUGUCCGAAGGCUUGAGCAGGCUGUGGCUGAUACCCAUGCGGUCGAAGGCGUGGAGGAAGAUGAUGUCCGCCUGACUGCCGUUGUCGACUAGGACUUUGUGUUAGUCCCAGCCUGCCACGCUGCAAUUGAUGACCAUAGCGUCAAUGUGGGGGCGCUGCGCAGGUCGACGUCUCGUGCGUCGAAGGUUAGCGGUAUGUGGGACCACUUUGUCUGCACGACUGGGCCAGUGACGGUGACAUGGUUGAUGCUGCGGUAGUGGUCCCGCUUCUGCCGCUUGGUGUCGAAGUCAGUGCUGGACCCCCCUGUUAUCAUGUGAAUGACUCCGCGAUAUGGUUGAUCGGCGAAGUCUUCCUGCUUUGGGGCAUGGGGGAUGUUUUGGUGUUGCUGGUGUGGUGGUGGGGGUGGAGGAGGUACGAUUUGUACUUCCUGAUGGUGUUGGUAAGCGUGGUGCGGUGGAUGCGGGGCGGGAGCGUGGAUAUAUGGUGGGGGGGUGGCUGGUAAUUAUGCGCGACAAUUCUGGGAUUGUCGGUUGGCUGCGCCCUCGCCAUUCUGUCUCUGGUGGCCUUCGUUUCGGGGCAGUCUUUGGUUUGGUGGGCGCAGUCUUCGCCGUGGAAAAGGCAGUAGAAUCGGCACAGCGGCUACGCGCGCCCUCGGCCCCUGCCACGAGUUCCAUUUCCGCGGCCCUGGGGGGAUAUUCCUGGCGACGAGGGGGGUCAGCAGCGGGAUGCUGGUUGGCGAUGUUGUGCACUUGCUGCUGACUGCGGCCAUCUCGACCGGAGUCUGGCUGCGGAGUCCUCGUCCACGUGCGGCUGGACUGCGGGGCAUCUUUGGGUUUUCGCUGUGACUCAACCUUGCACUGGUGGAGCUCUUCGGAUUUGGCAUAUUUUUCAAAGAGCUGAUAUAGCACCUGGAGGUUCUUGGGUGGAUCUCUGAUACAGUGGCUGUAGAGGACGCCGGCACGAAGGCCACUGAUGGCGUAGUGGAUAGCGAUCUGAUCAUCGACGGAGGGCAGCUGUGACUUGAGUGUUAAGAAUUUGCGGUAAUACUCCGGCAGAGUCUCCUUUUCCAGCUGCUUGCAAAGCGAGAGCUCGGCCAAGGCAUCGGUGUCUGGGCGGUAUCCUUGGAAGUUGAGCAGGAACUUGUCCCUGAGACUUCUCCAUGAAUCGAUGGACAGCGGAGGCAAUCUGGUGAACCAGGUGAGUGCUGGGCCCUCUAGGGCGAUGAUGAAAGACUUCGCCAUUGUGGCGUCGUCCCCUCCGGCGGAUGCAACGGCGACCUGAUAACUCAUUAUGUAUUGCGCCGGGUCGGUGCUGCCGUUGUACUUGGGAUAGGUCCCUGCUCGGAAGUUAGCUGGCCAAGGCGUCACUUGCAGGUGUGGCGCCAGGGGACUUCGCUCGUCGAGGUAGUUGAUCCCUUGGAAUGGCGCGCCGUGCUGGAAGGUGUAGUCACGCGGGGGGAAACGCGGGUCUUCCGGCUGUGCUCGGUGUUGUAGGGGUGGCCCAUGCUGCAGGCCGAGGUGGCCUUCGCGUGUGUCUUCCGGUUGCGCGCGCUGCUGGAGGGGUGGCUCUUGCUGCAGGCCAAGGUGGCCUUCGCGCUGCAUCAGCGCGAUCUCACGCUCGAGGUCUUGGGCCUUCUGCUCCUCGUCGCGUAUCAUUUGCCGCACUUUGGCUAGUGCGGACACACGCUGGCGCUUGGCCUCCAGUAUCUCUUUCUGCCUCUGGAGAUUGCGGUUCUUGAGGCGCAGGGCGCGCAGCUGUAGCUGUUCUUCCGCUGAGACGCCGAGGACUUCACCGUCCUCGGUGAGGUCCGCGCCUUCCAGUGGGGCGAAGCCUGGGGGCGGCUGCGAUUGUCCUUCGGGCCCGCAGGUGCGGAAGGUGUCGUCUUCGCAGGUGCGGGGAACAUUGUCUUUAGUGGGCUCUUGGUGGGUGGAUUGGGUGAGGGCGAGGGCCUUGCCCUUUCUUAAGGCGAGCAGUGCUGCCUUCACAGCCUCGUCAGCUUUCGGGUUAGCUCUCUUGGGUGCCAUCGCGGGUGGUUUUGUCGUAGCACGAACGGUGGGCGCCAAAUGUUGGAACUUGCUCUCAGACGCAAGAAGGCCAACAAGGGUGAACAGUGUAGACAGAAGGGUUACGCGUGAGAUGGCAAAAUAGCUCUGUUAACCAGGCCUCUCACGGACACUGUGCGGGGGUAUUUAUAGGUACCUGAACGCCCAGCGCCUUGUGUUAAGGACGCAUGUGCCCUCAGCUACCUAGGUUAUCCCCAGAAUAUUCCCAUAAAGUAGGGUUACAAACUGUAAUUACAGGGAUGCCUUUACAAAUUAGGCCCGUAACACGCGGCGGCUACGCAGGGCCCGUUACAAUGGGCCGGAUCGCACGUGGGCCUCUGAGCUGGACGAGGCCGCACUGUAGGAUGCCUUCGUCGCCGGUCUUCGUCUGGUGCCGAUGAAGCGAAGGGUGUCCAUGCCUGCUUUGUCUCUGUCAGAGCAGCGGCCAAGCAACGGAGACUUCGAGCGAAGGGUGGCGUCUCUGCCUUCGCUCCAACACUCCUCACCCUCAAAAAGACUUCGCAGCUCCCCCUCACCUACACUCGCCCCAACCGGCAAGGAUAACAAUUCCCGCUUGCCAGCCCUGCCCACACGAAGCCGACCGCCAUCCACAUCACUCACUCUACGCUUCGCCACCGCCCUUCGUCGCCUACGCCCAGCACUCGGACCAGACAAAACUUCAGCAUCCGUAACACGUGGAGAAGCCUCCGCCGCAGCCACAUCCAAGGCCGCAAAGUAAUCCAAGUCCUCAUCCGAAGAAUCUUCCGUCCACACAACCAAACUCCCAGAGUCAUCAAACUCAGAAACUUAGACGUAGACUCAUCCGAUUCAUUUCCAGCGAUCACGGUCAAAGCCGCCACAAAAUUAGCAGUAGCGGUUGCGUGCGCAGGCCCAAAAUCCUGAACCUGCGCAGCAACCAAGGUUCAGUAACACAAACAAAAUUCUCUAACUACCCCACACCCACUAAGCCACCUGCGAAGACCCAGCCGCCGCCAUGGGAUCCUCCGCUGCCAGCUCUGUCGCCGCCUUCGGGGGAUCCUCCGCUGCCAGCUCCGUCGCCGCCUUCGGGGAUCCUCCACCAUCGGCACAGUGGCGGGCGACGAGCCUCCACCGGACACAGUAGACGCAGGGGCAGCGAGGGAGCCUUCACCGGUUUCCGGGGGCGGUGCCGGGUCGACCUCAGCCUCGGCCACCACCGGGUUGGCCUCUGCUUCGGGCUGCGCGCUGUUCAGGGGUCCGAAGUCCUCCACGUCCUCGGCACGCGCCAUCUACAACAUAGCACACCGAUUCAGCAAGCCCACGUAUACCCACAUUCAACGACAUGAAACAAAAGACAAACUUUACCGGAUCCCUCGCCCGGUCAGACCGCUCCCUAACCACCUCCCGACCGUAGGGGCCCCACAUCCGGUCGAAAGAGGCCCCCGCAGAGUCCUUCAUCACAGGGUCUUCGACCUUAAAAAUCUCGCGCCCAAAGUCUUCAUCAGAUCGGUCGAAGCCCUCAUAGUGACUGCACCCCUCGCGGGACAGCGCGUUCAUAGCCUCUUCGCAAGUGACGAGGGAGGCAAAGGACAUGAAUCCCUCCAUGAUGUCGGGAGCGCCAACAAUUCCUCUUGCAGCCACUCGAGGAAGCGAAGGCCCGCCUCUCAGUCGGGCACCUCGAAGUCAGCAGUCCGCGCACCCAGCUCGCGUUACGAGUCCACGAGCUGUUUGCGCGUCCGCUCAACUUCCAAGCGAGUGGAGGCCUCGGCCCUCUCCAUGCGGGCCUGCAGAGCGUUGAACCGCACCUCCCAUCCUCGGCGCGCUGGCUGGCGAGACUCCCCUCCACCCGCACCAAUUUGGCCUCUGCCUGCGCCGCCUGCGCCUUGGCGAUGGCCUGGUUGGCCUCCCUCCUCUCCUCCACCAGCUGGCGCCGGAGGUCCAUCCUCUCGCCCUCCAGGGCGACCACCUUCUCCGCCAGCUUGCGGCACUUGCUAUCCACAGCCGACUUCUCCCCGGACGACGUCAGCGUGCCUGCGCCCGAAGUCUCUCGACUUCGGCAGACACAUCUGCAGUAAGGGCACCCGACGUCACGCGGUCGGCGAAGUCGGCCGCCUAACAGACACACAUGAGACCACAAUCCCCAUGAAAGCGGCAAACACCGAAGUCCAGCUCAACUUACUUGACUCAGCUGCUGCGACGCCUCCCUCAGCCGACGGGAACACAGUGCCCGCUUCGUCCUUGACGGCAGUGACCGCCAAAAUCUCGCCGCCAGCGCUGAAAGCGCUACCCUUCACCCCAAGCACCACGGUAGACGCCGUGGUUGCCACCGCAGGCAGAACAACAACAAGUUGCCCCUCACCCGAUCCUGCAACGUAUCACCAGUAAAAAAAAGCUUACCAACGAGAUAGUCGUCCACGCUAAUAUUUGUGCCGAAGUCGCAACACGUUUCCCCGGCGAAGGCAGUUCUCGGACCUUCGCAGCUCCGUCCGGGGCCGACUUGGUUCCGUCGCGCGACCACCUUCGCGCUCUCCGGCACCUUGCUGGACUCAGGGGCGGUCGGCUUCGCAGCCAGCGUCGGCUGGCUACCGACGGGGACGGUAGCCUUCGCAAUCCCCCGCGCCUCUUCGGCCUAGCUUCGGGGAGCCUGAUGACCGCCCGGCGCUUCUGCGCAGCAUCCUGGCGAUCCUUGUUCAUCACUGCCGACACAACAGCAGCAAUAUUCCGUCCGUAAGGAAACACUCUCAAGUCAUGAGCCAUGCGAGACGUAAAAAAGUCUUCGCCAGCCGCACGGGGGAUAGGAACAUGCUUGGGCCAUCGACCCCCGGUAACCUCCAGCAUCCCGCGCCGAAGACUCCCGGAGCUCGGGCGAAGACAUCCUUCCCCUGGGGGCCGCGCAUGUCCCAUCAACUCCAUAGCGAAGCUAUCAGAGACCCCCAGUUCUCCCACCGUAGUACCUAGCUUCCUCUUUUAGUGGAUGGGGCGGCCUCCGGCGCGGGGUCGUCCUCGGUCACAGCCGCUGGUUUUUUCCCGCGGCGGUCGACGACGUCCUCCCCGGAUAACCACCAUACGGCAAAACAAUUCAACUCGAAGACCCUAUUCAGGCGGUGAGAGCACCUAGAGGGGGGUGAAUAGGUGAUCCUGUGAAACUUGAAACUUAAUCCACAAAAACUUGAUUAGGCGUUAGCACAAUAAUGCCAAGUGGCUUAGAGAGGAGUCUCAACAAAACACAAUAACCACAAGAGAUCAAUCACAGAGAUGGCAAAGUGGUUUAUCCCGUGGUUCGGCCAAGACCAAUGCUUGCCUACUCCACGUUGUGGCGUCCCAACGGACGAGGGUUGCAAUCAACCCCUCUCAAGCGGUCCAAAGACCCACUUGAAUACCACGGUGUUUGCUUGCUUUACUAUAUCCCGUUUGCCGAGGAAUCUCCACACUUUGGAGCCUCUCGCCCUUACACUUGAAAGUUCACAAGAAGCACGGAGUAAGGAGGAGAAGAACACACCAAGACAAAAAUCACAGCAACACCACGCACACAAGUCGCAACAAGAGCUCACAACACAACUCAAUGAGUUCACAACUCAACUAGAGCUCUAAUUGUAUGCAAGAAUCAAAGCGCGGAAUCGAUGUCUUAGUUUAGGAAUGCUUAGAGAAUGCUUGGUUUACUCCUCCAUGCGCCUAGGGGUCCCUUUUAUAGCCCCAAGGCAGCUAGGAGCCGUUGAGAGCAAUCUGGAAGGCCAUUCUUGCCUUCUGUCGCCGACGCCACCGGACAUGUCCGGUGCCGAUUUCCUUCCUUAAUAGCGAAGCCGACCGUUGCAGCUUGGAGCCGUUGGCGCACCGGACAUGUCCGGUGCACACCGGACAGUCCGGUGCCCCCUUCUAGCCGUUGGCUCGGCCACGUCGCGCCCGGAUGCGGCCGACCGUUGGCCCGGCGACCGUUGGCUCACCGGACAGUCCGGUGACACCGGACAGUCCGGUGAAUUUUAGCCGUCACGUAAUUCCCGAGAGCAGCAAUUCGCUGAGGCCAGUUGCGCACCGACACUGUCCGGUGCACACGGACACUGUCCGGUGCACCACCGGACAGUCCGGUGCCCCAGACGAGCUCUUUGGCUGACAAGCCAUCUUCUCUUCUUUCUUCUGUUUCCAGCACUUAGACAUAAUACAUUAGUCUCUAAAACAAUGUACUAAGUCUGAGAAACAUACCUUUAUACUUGAUUUGUACUUUGUCCACCUUUUGACACUUAGGCACUUGUGUUGGACCUAAACCACCAAAACACUUAGAAAUGGCCCAAGGGCACAUUUCCCUUUCAUCUCCCCCUUUUUGGUGAUUUAUGCCAACACAACAUAAAGCAAGUAAAAAGUGCAAAUCACUCAAUAAGAACUCAAAAUUGUUUGAUUCAAAUUUGACAUAUAUGGAUCAUUUUGCCACCACUUGGUUUGUUUUUGCAAAUCAAACUCACUUCCUAUCUCUAAGUCAACACACAUGUUGAAACAUAAAGAGAGAUAUUUCCACGAGAAAUUGAUCAAGAUUCAAAAACUCCCCCUUUUCAUAAUUAAGCCUUCUCACACAAGAGACCAAUUUUGACAAUAAGAGGACAAGAGUAUUUGACAAACAAAACUCUAACUCUACUAUUUUCAAAAUUCCAAGUGUAGCUGAUCCAUUUAUUGCUUUGGCCUUAUUUUCUCCCCUUUGGCAUCAAGCACCAAACGGAUCAAUUUUGGCCCUUUAACCCCAUUGCCUCACCAAAAUCUUCAACUAAGAGUAAACAGCAAUAAAGUAUAGAGAUGAACUUGGAAUAAGUUACUCUUCAUCGGAGUGCAGUGGAAGUCUUGCAUGGUCCAAGUCCACCUUUCCCUUUCAAUUCACCUUUGAGACUAAAUCAAGCAAACUCAAGCACAUGGUAUCCAAAGAGUCAAGUUGUAACACUCUCCCCCUAAAUAUGCAUCACUUGCAAAGGACUUGUGAGGUCCGGGGAGUGUUGUACAACUUGAGCACCAUAAUAAACAACAAAAUGCAUUAAGAACAUGAUCAAAGCAUAAACACAUGUAUGCUAUAAAUCAAUCCAAGUUCCACGAAUCUAAGACAUUAGCUCACUACGCACUUGCAAAGGUCUGCUAUCUAAGGCUUGGUAAAGAUAUCGGCUAGCUGGUUCUCAGGCUAACAUGAAACACUUCGAUAUCUCCCUUUUGCUGGUGGUCUCUCAAAAAGUGAUGCCGGAUGUCUAUGUGCUUUGUCGGCUGUGUUCAACAGGAUUAUCCGCUAUGCGGAAGCACUCUCUUAUCACAUAGGAGUGGGACUUUGCUCAAUUGUAGCCAAAGUCCCUGAGGUUUGCCUCAUCCAAAGUAGUUGCGCGCAACACUGUCCGCGCAACGUACUCAGCCUCAGCGGUGGAUAGGGCAACAGAAGUUUGUUUCUUAGAACUCCAUGACACCAGGGACCUUCCUAAGAAUUGGCACGUCCCCGAUGUACUCUUCCUAUCGACCUUACAACCAGCAUAGUCGGAGUCUGAAUAUCCAAUCAAGUCAAAGGUAGACCCCUUUGGAUACCAGAUCCCGAAGCAAGGCGUAGCGACUAAAUAUCUAAGAAUUCGCUUCACAGCCACUAAGUGACACUCCUUAGGAUCGGAUUGAAAUCUAGCACACAUGCAUACGCUAAGCAUAAUAUCCGGUCUACUAGCACAUAAUAAAGUAAAGACCUAUCAUUGACCGGUAUGCUUUUUGAUCAACGGACUUACCUCCUUUGUUGAGGUCGGUGUGUCCGUCGGUUCCCAUCGGAGUCUUUGCGGGCUUGGCGUCCUUCAUCCCAAACCGCUUUUCAAGUCUUGCGUGUACUUUGUUUGGGAGAUGAAGGUGCCGUCCUUGAGUUGCUUCACUUGGAACCCAAGGAAGUAGUUCAACUCGCCCAUCAUCGACAUCUCGAAUUUCUGCGUCAUCACCCUGCUAAACUCUUCACAGACUUUUGGUUAGUAGAACCAAAUAUAUGUCAUCGACAUAAAUUUGCACACAAAAAGAUACCAUCACAUCUAGUAAAAGAGUUGGAUCGGCUUUCCCACUUGAAAGCUUAGCAAUUAAAAGUUCUAAGGCAUUCAUACCAUGCUCUUGGGGCUUGCUUAAUCCAUAGAGCGCCUUAGAGAGCUUACACACUGGUCGGGGUACGUUCAUCCUCGAAGCCAGGGGUUGCUCCACGUACACCUCCUCCUUGAUUGGCCGUUGAGGAAAGCGCUCUUCACAUCCAUUUGGACACCUGAAAGAAUGGUGAGCGCAUAUGUAGCAAAUCGAAUGACUUAGCCUAGCACAGGAGCAAAGUCUCCUCAAAGUCCAAACCUGCGACUUGGGCAUAACCUUUUGCCACAAGUCAGCCUUGUUCCUCGUCACCACCCUGCUCGUCUUGUUUGUUGCGGAACACCACUGGUUCCCACAACAUUUUGCUUGGGACGAGGCACCAGUGUCCAAACUUCAUUUCUUGAAGUUGUUGAGUCCUCUGCAUGGCCACACCCAGUCCGGAUCUAGCAAGGCCUCUCUACCCUAAAGGCUCAAUAGAAGAGACAAGGAGUAAUGCUCACAAAAAUUAACUAAUCGAGACGAUAGUUAUCCCUUGCUAAUAUCACCAAUUUGGUCGACGGAUGAUCCUUUGAUCAUCGCUCGAACUUGGUUGGAGGUGCGGUUGCCUUCUUCCUCCAUACAUCUUGUGCUCCCCUUGAUCAUCGCUCCUUGAACCUGUUCAUCUUGGUUGGGGAUGCACCAUAGUUGAGGAAGAGGUUGAUCUUGCUCAUUUGUUCCUGUGGCACAUCUCCAAUCGCCAUGGUGCGAUGCGGCCGUUGGAAUCUUCUUCAUCUACAUCAUCAAAUCAACAACUUGCUCUCUUGGAGAGCCAUUAGUCUCAUCAAAUACAACGUCGCUAGAGACUUCAACCAACCGAUGAUUUGUUGAAGACCUAUACGCCUUUGUAUUUGAGUCAUAACCUAAAAAAACCUUCUACGCUUUGGGAGCAAAUUUGAAUUUCUACCUUUCUUCACUAGAAUGUAGCAUUUCUCCCAAUACACGAAUAGACAUUGGGUUUGUUACCGUUAGAGCUCAUACGAGUCUUCUUGAGGAGGCGUGAAGGUAGACCCUGUUGAUGGCGUGGCAGCCGUGUUCACGGCUUCCGACCAAACGCUCGGGGGUCUUGAACUCUCAGCAUGUCCUCGCCAUAUCUAUGAGCGUCCUGUUCUUCUCUCUACCCACCAUUUUGCUGGGUGUGUAGGGAGCGGAGACUCGUGCUUGAUCCCUUCCUCCUCAAGGAACUCCUCACUUGAAGGUUCUUGAACUCGGACCCGUUGUCGCUCCUUAUCUUCUUCACCUUGAGCUCAACUCAUUUUGAGCUCUCCUGAGAAGCGCUUGAGGGUCCUUGGGUUUCAGACUUAUCCUGCAAAAGAACCCAAGUGAGCGGGAAAGUCAUCAACAUAACUAGACCAUACUUACUUCUCCUAUGCUCAGAUAGGCGACGGGUCCGAGAGGUCCAUAUGCAGCAGCUCCAGAGGUCUUGAGUUGUCAUCACAUUUUGGUGUGAUGAAGCCUCCCACUGUUUCCCUGCUUGACAAGCUGCACAGGUCUAUCUUUUUCGAAUUGCACGUUAGUCAACCUAUCACGUGUUCUCCCUUUAGAAGCUUGUGAGGUCUUAUCCCCACAUGUGCUAAGCGGCGAUGCCACAGCCAGCCCAUGCUAGUCUUAGCAAUUAAGCAUGCAUCUAGACCGGCCUCCUCUUUUGCCAAAUCAACUAAAUAAAGUUUGCCAUCUAGUACACCCUUAUAAGCUAGUGAACCAUCACAUCUUCUAAAGACAGACACAUCUACAUUUGUAAAUAGACAUUAUAUCCCAUAUUACAUAAUUGACUGACAGAUAGUAAAUUUAUCCAAGAGACUCAACUAAAACACUUAGAGAUAGAGUGCUCAUUAGAUAUUGCAAUCUUGCCUACCUUUCACCUUGCCUUGGUUCCCAUCACCGAAUAUGAUUGAUCUUGGGAUCCUUAUUCUUGACGUAGGAGGUGAACAUCUUCUUCUCCCCCGUCAUUGGUUUGUGCAUCCGCUGUCGAUGAUCCAGCUUGAGCCCCCGGAUGCAUACACCUGCAAGGCAAAUUUAGGCUUGGGUCUUAGGUACCCAACUCUUGUGGGUCUACAAGGUUAGUCCCAAUUUCCUUAGGGACCCAAAUGCAAGUUUUAUCACCCUUGCAUUUUGCCCCUAAUUCCUAGCAACUAUCUUCCUAUCCUUUCUACAAAUAGCAAAGGAGCAUUUAAAGCAUGAUAAUUGUAGACGGGCCAUUCAUAACUUUUCUAGGAACAUGAUGAAUAUUUUCCUAGGCACAUGAUGAAUAUUUUUCUAGGCAUAUCUCUACCAUGCAUAUAGGAAGACUGGAAGCAUACAUAGCAUAAGAAUCAUAGGCAUUACAACUCCUAUGAGACUGUAUUCUAUCAUUGUACAUAAAAGCAUGGUUCUUUUUAGUACUACUUGCCAUAGGGCCUUCCCUUUUUCCUUGGCGGAGAUGGGAGCUUAUGGCUUGUUAAGUUCUUGGCUUCCCUCUUGAAGCCAAGCCCAUCCUUAAUUGAGGGGUGUCUACCAUCGUGUAGGCAUCCCUAGCAAAUUUUAGUUUAUCAAAAUCACUUUUGCUAGCCUUAAGUUGGGCAUUAAGACUAGCCAAUUCAUCGUUUAACUUUGCAAUAGAAGCUAGGUGUUCACUACAAGCAUUAAUAUCAACAUCUUUACAUCUAUUGCAAAUACAACAUUUUCUACACAAGUGUUGAUUACUAGCUAUUUCUAACUUAGCAUUCAAAUCAUCAUUGAUGCUCCUUAAGCUAGAAAUCGUCUCAUGGCAAGAAGAUAAUUCACAAGAAAGCAUUUCAUUUCUCUUAACUUCUAAGGCAUGAGAUUUUUGAGCUUCUACAAUUUGUCAUGUUCUUCAUACAACAAGUCCUCUUGUUUUUCUAAAAGCCUAUUCUUAUCAUUCAGGCAUCAAUCAAUUCAUUAUUUUAUCUACUUGGUUCUAUCUGGGCCCUUAAAUAACAUGAAUAAUCUAUUUCAUCCUCAUCACUAGAUUCGUCCUCACUUGAAGAAGCAUAAGUAGAGUCUCGAGUACAUACCUUCUUCUCCCUUGCCAUAAGGCAUGUGUGACGCUCGUUGGGGAAGAGGGAUGACUUGUUGAGGCGGUGGCGGCGAGUCCUUCAUUGUCGGAGUCGGACGAGGAGCAAUCUGAAUCCCACUCCUUGCCAGAUGUGCCUCGCCCUUUGCCUUCUUGUAGUUCUUCUUCUUCUCCCUCUUGUUCCCUUGAUCCUGAUCACUAUCAUUGUCGGGACAGUUAGCAAUAAAAUGACCAAGCUUACCACAUUUGAAGCAUGAGCGCUUUCCCUUUGUCUUGGUCUUGCUUGGCUGCCCCUUGCGACCUUUUAGCGCCGUCUUGAAUCUUUUGAUAAUGAGGGCCAUUUCUUCAUCAUUAAGUCCGGCCGCCUCAAUUUGUGCCACCUUGCUAGGUAGAGCCUCCUUGCUUCUUGUUGCCUUGAGAGCAAGGGGUUGAGGCUCGGUGAUUGGACCAUUCAAUGUGUCGUCCACGUACCUUGCCUCCUUGAUCAUCAUUCGCCCGCUUACGAAUUUUCCAAGGACUUCUUCGGGCGACAUUUUGGUGUACCUGGGAUUCUCACGAAUAUUAUUCACCAAAUGAGGAUCAAGAACGGUAAAGGACCUUAGCAUUAGUCGAACGACGUCGUGGUCCGUCCAUCGCGUGCUUCCGUAGCUCCUUAUUUUGUUGAUAAGGGUCUUGAGCCGGUUGUAUGUUUGUGUCGGCUCCUCGCCCCUUAUCAUCGCGAAUCGUCCAAGCUCGCCUUCUACCAACUCCAUCUUGGUGAGCAAAGUGACGUUGUUCCCCUCAUGUGAAAUCUUGAGGGUGUCCCAGAUCUGCUUGGCGUUAUCCAAGCCGCUCACUUUGUGGUAUUCAUCCCUGCACAAUGAAGCUAGAAGAAUAGUAGUAGCUUGUGCAUUCUUAUGAAUUUGCUCAUUAAUGAACAUGGGACUAUCCGAACUAUCAAAGUGCAUUCCACUCUCUACAAUCUCCCAUAUACUAGGAUGGAGAGAGAACAAGUGACUACGCAUUUUGUGACUCCAAAAUCCGUAGUCCUCUCCAUCAAAAUGAGGAGGUUUACCAAGUGGAAUAGAUAAUAAAUGAGCAUUUGUACUUUGAGGAAUACGAGAGUAAUCAAAGAAAAGUUCGAAUUGACCGAUUUUCUUCUCUCGUAGUCGUUGUGGUCGUCAUCCUUUUUGGAAGAAGUAGACUCAUCGCUGUCGUCGUAGUAGACGAUCUCCUUGAUGCGCCUCGUCUUCUUCUUCUUCCCAUCUUUCCGUCUAUGGCCGAGCCGGAGUCGGUAGGCUUGUCAUCCUUCGGCUCGUUGACGAAGGAUUCCUUCUCUUUGUCGUUGAUCACGAUUCCCUUCCCCUUAGGAUCCAUCUCUUCGGGCGGUUAGUCCCUUUGUGAAGAGAACGGCUCCGAUACCAAUUGAGAGCACCUAGAGGGGGGGGGGGUGAAUAGGUGAUCCUGUAACACUUAAAAACUUAGGCCACAAAAACUUGGUAAAGUGUUAGCACAAUAAUCGCCAAGUGGCUAGAGAGGAAUCUUCAACAAAACACAAUAACCAACAAGAUCAAUCACAGAGAUGGCACGGUGGUUAUCCCGUGGUUCGGCCAAGACCAACGCUUGCCUACUCCACGUUGUGGCGUCCCAACGGACGAGGGUUGCAAUCAACCCCUCUCAAGCGGUCCAAAGACUCACUUGAAUACCACGGUGUUUUGCUUGCUUUUUCUCAAUCCCGUUUGCGAGGAUGAAAGGGAAAUGUGCCCUUGGGCCAUUUCUAAAGUAUUUUGGUGAUUGAGUGCAAACACAAGUGCUUAAAUGUGAAAAUAUGCCCAUGGAUGAACAAAGUGCAAAUCACAAGUAAAGGUAUGUUUCUAAGCCUUAGUACAUUAGUUUUGUGUACUAACAUCUUGUCUAAGUGUUAGAAACAGGAGAAAGAAGAAAAGAAAGAAGUGGAGAGUGGCUGUGUACAGCCAAAGGCGGCUUCGGACUGGGGCACCGGACUGUCCGGUGUGCACCGGACAGUGUCCGGUGCGCCAGACCACCACAGAGCAAACCAGCCGCUCUCGGGUUUUUCUCCGGCGACUUCGGCUAAAAUUCACCGGACUGUCCGGUGUGCACCGGACUGUCCGGUGAGCCAACGGUCGGCCGGGCCAACGGUCGGCCGCGCGAUCGGCGCGCGACACGUGGCCGAGCCAACGGUCGGAAGGAAGCACCGGACUGUCCGGUGUGCACCGGACUGUCCGGUGCGCCAGAUCUGCAACGGUUGGCAACGGUCGGCUGCGCUGUUUAUGGAAAUAAAUCGGGCAUCGGACAGUGUCCGGUGUGCACCGGACUGUCCGGUGCGCCCGACGACAGAAGGCAAGGAUAGCCUUCCCGAUGUGCUCUCAACGGCUCCUAGCUGCCUUGGGGCUAUAAAAGGGACCCCUAGGCGCAUGGAGGAGAACCCAAGCAUUCCUUGAGCACUCUUGAUCACUCACACAUCAAUCUCGCGCACUUGUUCGACAUUCUAGUGAUUUGAGCUCCGUUCUAGUGUGCUAGUCUUUUGAGCUCAAGUCUGGGUCUUGUGUGUGCGUAUUCGCUGUGAUCCUUGUGUUGUGUGUGAGUUGCUAAUCCCUUCCUUACUCCGUGAUUCUCUGUGAACAUCUUUUGUAAGGGCGAGAGGUUCCAAGUUGUGGAGAUUCCUCGCAAACGGGAUUGAGAAAAGAAAAGCAAGAACACCGUGGUAUUCAAGUUGAUCACUGGAUCACUUGAGAGGAGUUGAGUGCAACUCUCGUCCGUUGGGACGCCACAACGUGGAGUAGGCAAGUUUUUGUACUUGGCCGAACCACGGGAUAACCACCGUGUCAUCUCUGUGAUUGAUUUCUUGUGGUUAUUGUGUUUUGACUCCUCUCUAGCCACUUGGCCAUACUUGUGCUAACCCUUAACAAGUUUUUGUGGCUUAAGUUUUGAAGUUUUACAGGAUCACCUAUUCACCCCCCCCUCUAGGUGCUCUCAAUUGGUAUCGGAGCCGUUCUCUUCAAAAAGGGACUAAUCGCCCGAAGAGAUGGAUCCUAAGGGAAAGGGGAUGGUGGUCGACAAUGAGAAGGAGUCUAUCUUCAACGAGCCAAAGAAUGACAAGUCCACCGACUUGGGCUCAAGCCACAAGCACAAAGAUGGGAAGAAGAAGAAGACAAGGCGCAUCAAGGAGAUCGUCUACUACGACAGCGACGAGUCCUCUUCUUCCCAAAAGGACAACGACGAUCACGACAAACAAAAGACGGUUAACUCAAACUUUCUUUUGAUUAUUCGCGCAUUCCACAUAGCUCAAAUGCUCAUUUGCUCCCCAUUCCACUUGGCAAGCCUCCUCACUUUGAUGGAGAGGACUACGGAUUUUGGAGUCACAAAAUGCGUACUCACCUAUUUUCUCUCCAUCCAAGCAUUUGGGAGAUUGUAGAAAGUGGAAUGAAAUUUGAUAGCUCGGAUAGCCCUUCAUUUAUUAAUGAACAGAUCCAUAAAAAUGCACAAGCUACUACUGUGUUGCUAGCCUCUCUGUGCAGGGAUGAGUAUCACAAGGUGAGCGGCUUGGACAAUGCCAAGCAGAUUUGGGACACCCUCAAGAUCUCUCAUGAGGGGAAUGAUGUCACCUUACUCACCAAGAUGGAGUUGGUGGAGGGCGAGCUCGGACGAUUUGCGAUGAUAAGGGGCGAGGAGCCGACACAAACAUACAACAGGCUCAAGAUCCUUAUCAACAAAUAAGGAGCUACGGAAGCACGCGAUGGACGGAUCACCACGUCGUCCGCCUAAUGCUAAGGUCAUUUACCGUUCUUGAUCCUCACUUGGUGAACAAUAUUCGUGAAAAUCCUAGGUACAUCAAGAUGUCACCCGAAGAAAUUCUUGGAAAAUUUGUGAGUGGGCGAAUGAUGAUCAAGGAGGCAAGGUACGUGGACGACGCGUUGAAUGGUCCAAUCCAUGAGCCUCAACCCAUUGCUCUCAAGGCAACAAGAAGCAAGGAAACGCUACCCAGCAAGGUGGCGCAAAUUGAGGCGGCCGGUCUUAAUGAUGAAGAGAUGGCCCUCAUCAUCAAACGAUUCAAGACGGUGCUAAAGAGUCGCAAUGGACAGCCGAGCAAGACUAAGACCAAGGGAAAGCGAUCAUGCUUCAAAUGCGGUAAGCUUGGUCAUUUUAUUGCUAACUGUCCGGAUAAUGAAAGUGACCAGGAAAAGGGGAACAAAAGAGAGAAGAAGAAGCACUACAAGAAGGCCAAGGGCGAAGCACAUAUCGGAAAGGAGUGGGAUUCGGACUGCUCCUCCUCCGACUCCGACAAUGAAGGACUCGCCGCCACCGCCUUCAACAAGUCAUCUCUCUUCCCCAACGAGCGUCAUACUUGCCUUAUGGCAAGGGAGAAGAAAGUAAGUACUCGAGAUACCACUUAUGCUUCUUCUAGUGAUGAAGAUGAAAUUGAUUAUUCAUGCUUGUUUAAAGGUCUAGAUAGAACCAAGGUAGACAAAAUUAAUGAAUUGAUUGAUGCCUUGAAUGAUAAGAACAUGCUUGUAGAAAAGCAAGAGGAUUUGUUGUAUGAAGAACAUGAUAAAUUUGUUAGUGCACAAAAUUCUCUUGCUCUAGAGAAUAAAAGAAAUGAAAUGCUUUCUUGUGAAUUAUCUUCUUGCCAUGAGACAAUUUCUAAAUUAAGAAGCAUUAAUGACGAUUUGAAUGCUAAAUUAGAAGUAUCAAAUAAAUCUAACUCUUGUGUAGAACAUGUUGUAAUUUGUACUAGGUGUAAGGAUUUUGAUGUUAAUGCUUGUAGUGAACACUUAGUUUCAAUUUCAAAACUAAAUGAUGAAGUGGCUAGUCUUAAUGCUCAACUUAAGACUAGCAAAAGUGAUUUUGAAAAACUAAAAUUUGCUAGGGAUGCCUACACGGUUGGUAGACAUCCCUCAAUUAAGGAUGGGCUUGGUUUCAAGAGGGAAGCCAAGAACUUAACAAGCCAUAAGGCUCCCAUUCCCGCCAAGGAGAAAGGGAAGGCCCCUAUGGCUACUAGUGCUAAAAGGAACCAUGCCUUUUUGUAUCAUGAUAGAAGACAUACUAGAAAUGCAAAUAGGAGUUAUGAUGCUUUUGAUUCAUAUGUUUAUGACUCUCAUGCCAUGUUUGCUCCUAGUUCUUCUUAUGUGAAUAAUAGAAAUGUUACUAGGAAAAAUGUUGUUCCUAAAAAGAAUGUUAUUCAUGCUCCUAGGAAAGUAGCAAAUGAACCUUCUAUCAUUUAUUAUGCUUGCAAUGCACCCUUUGCAAUUUGUAGAAAGGAUAGAAAAGUAAUUGCUAGGAAGUUAGGGGCAAAAUGCAAAGGUGAUAAAACUUGCAUUUGGGUCCCUAAGGAUAUAUGUGCUAACCUUGUAGGACCCAACAUGAGUUGGGUACCUAAGACCCAAGCCUAAAUUUGCCUUGCAGGUUUAUGCAUCCGGGGGUUCAAGCUGGAUUAUCGACAGCGGAUGCACAAACCAUAUGACGGGGGAGAAGAAAAUGUUCACCUCCUACGUCAAGAAUAAAGAUUCCCAAGAUUCAAUCAUAUUCGGUGAUGGGAAUCAAGGCAAGGUAAAAGGGUUAGGUAAAAUUGCAAUUUCCAAUGAGCAUUCUAUUUCCAAUGUGUUUUUAGUAGAGUCUCUUGGUUACAAUUUACUAUCUGUUAGUCAACUGUGCAACAUGGGUAUAACUGUCUAUUUACUAAUGUAGAUGUGUCUGUCUUUAGAAGAAGUGAUGAUUCACUAGCUUUUAAGGGUGUAUUAGACGGCAAGCUUUACUUAGUUGAUUUUGCAAAAGAAGAGGCCGGUCUAGAUGCAUGCUUAAUAGCUAAGACUUGCAUGGGCUGGCUGUGGCAUCGCCGCUUGGCACAUGUGGGGAUGAAGAACCUUCACAAACUUCUAAAGGGAGAACACGUGAUAGGAUUGACUAACGUGCAUUUCGAAAAAGAUAGACCUUGUGCAGCUUGUCAAGCAGGUAAACAAGUGGGAGGAGCGCAUCACGACAAGAACGUGAUGACCACUUCAAGACCCCUGGAGCUGCUGCACAUGGACCUCUUCGGACCUGUCGCCUAUCUGAGCAUAGGAGGGAGUAAGUAUGGUUUAGUUAUUGUUGAUGAUUUUUCCCGCUUCACUUGGGUGUUCUUUUUGCAGGAUAAGUCUGAAACCCAAGGGACCCUCAAGCGCUUCCUCAGGAGAGCUCAAAAUGAGUUUGAGCUCAAGGUAAAGAAGAUAAGGAGCGACAACGGGUCCGAAUUCAAGAACUUUCAAGUGGAGGAAUUUCUUGAGGAGGAAGGAAUCAAGCACGAAUUCUCCGCUCCCUACACACCACAGCAAAAUGGUGUGGUAGAGAGGAAGAACAGGACGCUAAUCGAUAUGGCGAGGACAAUGCUUGGAGAAUUCAAGACCCCCGAGUGUUUUUGGUCGGAAGCCGUGAACACGGCGUGCCACGCCAUCAACAGGGUCUACCUUCACCGCCUCCUCAAGAAGACGUCGUAUGAGCUACUAACCGGUAACAAACCCAAUGUAUCGUACUUUCGUGUUUUUGGGAGUAAAUGCUACAUUCUAGUGAAGAAAGGUAGAAAUUCUAAGUUUGCUCCCAAAGCUGUAGAAGGGUUUUUAUUAGGUUAUGACUCAAAUACAAAGGCGUAUAGAGUCUUCAACAAAUCAUCGGGUUUGGUUGAAGUCUCUAGCGACGUUGUAUUUGAUGAGACUAAUGGCUCUCCAAGAGAGCAAGUUGUUGAUUGUGAUGAUGUAGAUGAAGAAGAUGUUCCGACGGCCGCUAUACGGACCAUGGCGAUUGGAGAAGUACGGCCACAGGAACAAGAUGAACAAGAUCAACCCUCUUCCUCAACUAUGGUGCAUCCCCCAACCGAAGAUGACGAACAGGUACCUCAAGUGGAGGCGCUUGAUCAAGGGGGAGCACAAGAUGAUCAAGUGAUGGAGGAAGAAGCGCAACCGGCACCUCCAACCCAAGUUCGAGCGAUGAUUCAAAGGGAUCAUCCCGUUGAUCAAAUUCUGGGUGACAUUAGCAAGGGAGUAACUACUCGAUCUCGAUUAGCUAAUUUUUGUGAGCAUUACUCCUUUGUCUCUUCUAUUGAGCCUUUCAGGGUAGAGGAGGCCUUGCUAGAUCCGGACUGGGUGUUGGCCAUGCAGGAGGAGCUUAACAACUUCAAGCGCAAUGAAGUUUGGACACUAGUGCCUCGUCCGAAGCAAAAUGUCGUGGGAACCAAGUGGGUAUUCCGCAACAAACAGGACGAGCACGGGGUGGUGACGAGGAACAAGGCUCGACUUGUGGCAAAAGGUUAUGCCCAAGUCGCAGGUUUGGACUUUGAGGAGACUUUCGCUCCUGUGGCUAGGCUAGAGUCCAUUCGUAUCUUGCUAGCAUAUGCCGCUCACCAUUCUUUCAGGUUGUACCAAAUGGAUGUGAAGAGCGCUUUCCUCAACGGGCCAAUCAAGGAGGAGGUGUACGUGGAGCAACCCCCUGGCUUCGAGGAUGAACGGUACCCCGACCAUGUGUGUAAGCUCUCUAAGGCGCUCUAUGGACUUAAGCAAGCCCCAAGAGCAUGGUAUGAAUGCCUUAGAGACUUUCUACUUGCUAAUGCUUUCAAGGUUGGGAAAGCCGAUCCAACUCUUUUUACUAAGACUUGUAAUGGUGAUUUGUUUGUGUGCCAAAUUUAUGUCGAUGACAUAAUAUUUGGUUCUACUAACCAAAAGUCUUGUGAAGAGUUUAGCAGGGUGAUGACGCAGAAAUUCGAGAUGUCGAUGAUGGGCGAGUUGAACUACUUCCUUGGGUUCCAAGUGAAGCAACUCAAGGACGGCACCUUCCUCUCCCAAACGAAGUACACGCAAGAUCUGCUAAAGCGGUUUGGGAUGAAGGACGCCAAGCCCGCAAAGACUCCGAUGGGGACCGACGGACACACCGACCUCAACAAAGGAGGUAAGUCCGUUGAUCAAAAAGCAUACCGGUCAAUGAUAGGUUCUUUGCUUUACUUAUGUGCUAGUAGACCGGAUAUUAUGCUUAGCGUAUGCAUGUGUGCUAGAUUUCAAUCCGAUCCUAAGGAGUGUCACUUAGUGGCGGUGAAGCGAAUUCUUAGAUAUUUGGUUGCUACGCCUUGCUUCGGGCUCUGGUAUCCAAAGGGGUCUACCUUUGACUUAGUUGGAUACUCAGACUCCGACUAUGCUGGAUGUAAGGUCGAUAGGAAGAGUACAUCGGGGACGUGCCAAUUCUUAGGAAGGUCCCUGGUGUCAUGGAACUCUAAGAAACAAACAUCCGUUGCCCUAUCCACCGCUGAGGCCGAGUACGUUGCCGCAGGUCAGUGUUGCGCGCAACUACUUUGGAUGAGGCAAACCCUCCGGGACUUUGGCUACAAUCUGAGCAAAGUCCCACUCCUAUGUGAUAAUGAGAGUGCUAUCCGCAUGGCGGAAAAUCCUGUUGAACACAGCCGCACAAAGCACAUAGACAUCCGACAUCACUUUUUGAGAGACCACCAGCAAAAGGGAGAUAUCGAAGUGUUUCAUGUUAGCACCGAGAACCAGCUAGCCGAUAUCUUCACUAAGCCUCUAGAUGAGAAGACCUUUUGCAGGUUGCGUAGUGAGCUAAAUGUCUUAGAUUCGCGGAACUUGGAUUGAAUUGUAGCAUACAUGUGUUUAUGCAUUUGAUCAGGUUCAUUCUGCAUUUUGUUGCUUAUUGUGGUGCUCAAGUUGUACCAACACUCCCUGGACCUCACAAGUCCGUUGCAAAGUGAUGCACAUGUUUAGGGGGAGAUGUGUUACAACUUGACCCUUUGAGACUAACCAUGUGCUUGAGUUUGAUGAUUUAGUCUCGAAGGAGGAUUGAAAGGGAAAAGGUGGACUUGGACCAUGAAAGACUUCCACUGCACUCCGAUGAGAGGGUAACUAAUUCCGAGUUCAUCUCAUGAAAUCUUAUUGCCAUUUGCUCUUAAUUGAAGACUUUGGUGAGGCAAUGGGGUUAAAAGGGCCAAGAUUGAUCCCGUUUUGGUGCUUGAUGCCAAAGGGGGAGAAAAUAAAGGCCAAAGCAAUAAAUGGAUCAGCUACCACUUGAGAGAUUUUAAAAAGUAUAAUAGAGCUUUUGGUUUGUCAAAACUCUUGUAUUGUCUCUUUUGUCAAAAGUUGGUUUCUUGUGGGGAGAAAUGUUGCUUAUGGGAAAUAGGGGGAGUUUUUGAAAUCUUUGAUCAAUCUCUUUUGGAAUGACUCUCGUUAUGCCUCAACAUGUGUGUUUGACAUAGAAAUAGAGAUUUGAGUUUGAUUUGCAAAAACAAACCAAGUGGUGGCAAAGGAUGAUCCAUAUAUGCCAAAAUUGAAUCAAAACCAAUUUGAGUUUUUAUUUGAAAUGAUUUUGCACUUGUUCUAGUUGCUUUAUGUUGUGUUGGCAUAAAUCACCAAAAAGGGGGAGAUUGAAAGGGAAAUGUGCCCUUGGGCCAUUUCUAAAGUAUUUUGGUGAUUGAGUGCAAACACAAGUGCUUAAAUGUGAAAAUAUGCCCAUGGAUGAACAAAGUGCAAAUCACAAGUAAAGGUAUGUUUCUAAGCCUUAGUACAUUAGUUUUGUGUACUAACAUCUUGUCUAAGUGUUAGAAACAGGAGAAAGAAGAAAAGAAAAGAAGUGGAGAGUGGCUGUGUACAGCCAAAGGCGGCUUCGGACUGGGGCACCGGACUGUCCGGUGUGCACCGGACAGUGUCCGGUGCGCCAGACCACCACAGAGCAAACCAGCCGCUCUCGGGUUUUUCUCCGGCGACUUCGGCUAAAAUUCACCGGACUGUCCGGUGUGCACCGGACUGUCCGGUGAGCCAACGGUCGGCCGGGCCAACGGUCGGCCGCGCGAUCGGCGCGCGACACGUGGCCGAGCCAACGGUCGGAAGGAAGCACCGGACUGUCCGGUGUGCACCGGACUGUCCGGUGCGCCAGAUCUGCAACGGUUGGCAACGGUCGGCUGCGCUGUUUAUGGAAAUAAAUCGGGCACCGGACAGUGUCCGGUGUGCACCGGACUGUCCGGUGCGCCCGACGACAGAAGGCAAGGAUAGCCUUCCCGAUGUGCUCUCAACGGCUCCUAGCUGCCUUGGGGCUAUAAAAGGGACCCCUAGGCGCAUGGAGGAGAACACCAAGCAUUCCUUGAGCACUCUUGAUCACUCACACAUCAAUCUCGCGCACUUGUUCGACAUUCUAGUGAUUUGAGCUCCGUUCUAGUGUGCUAGUCUUUUGAGCUCAAGUCUGGGUCUUGUGUGUGCGUAUUCGCUGUGAUCCUUGUGUUGUGUGUGAGUUGCUAAUCCCUUCCUUACUCCGUGAUUCUCUGUGAACAUCUUUUGUAAGGGCGAGAGGUUCCAAGUUGUGGAGAUUCCUCGCAAACGGGAUUGAGAAAAGAAAAGCAAGAACACCGUGGUAUUCAAGUUGAUCAUUGGAUCACUUGAGAGGAGUUGAGUGCAACUCUCGUCCGUUGGGACGCCACAACGUGGAGUAGGCAAGUUUUUGUACUUGGCCGAACCACGGGAUAACCACCGUGUCAUCUCUGUGAUUGAUUUCUUGUGGUUAUUGUGUUUUGACUCCUCUCUAGCCACUUGGCCAUACUUGUGCUAACCCUUAACAAGUUUUUGUGGCUUAAGUUUUGAAGUUUUACAGGAUCACCUAUUCACCCCCCCUCUAGGUGCUCUCAGAGGAAUCUCCACAACUUGGAGCCUCUCGCCCUUACACUUGAAAUUCACAAAGAAGCACAGAGCAAGGGAGGGAUUAGCAACACACUCAAGACAAGAAAUCACAGCAACACCACGCACACAAGUCGCAACGAGAGCUCACAACACAACUCAAUGAGUUCACUACUCAACUAGAGCUCUAAUUGCUAUCGCAAAGAAUCAAAGGCGCGGAAUUGAUGUCUUGGUGCUUAGAAAUGUUGUAGGAAUGCUUGUUGUUCUCCUCCAUGCGCCUAGGGGUCCCUUUUAUAGCCCCAAGGCAGCUAGGAGCCGUUGAGAGCAAUCUAGGAAGGCUGAUCUUGCCUUCUGUCGACUGGCGCACCGGACAGUCCGGUGCACACCGGACACUGUCCGGUGCCCGAUUUCCUUCCAAAAAUGGCGCAGUCGACCGUUGGCAGCCAGAGAGCCGUUGGCGCACCGGACAUGUCCGGUGCACACCGGACAGUCCGGUGCCCCCUUCUAGCCGUUGGCUCAGCCACGUGUCCCGCGCAGAUUGCGCGGCCGACCGUUGGCCCGGCUGACCGUUGGCUCACCGGACAGUCCGGUGCACACCGGACAGUCCGGUGAAUUAUAGCCGUACGUCGCCGGUGAAUUCCCGAGAGCGACCACUUUGCUCGAGCCAGCCUGGCGCACCGGACACUGUCCGGUGCACCACCGGACAGUCCGGUGCCCCCAGACUCAGCAGAGUCUUGGCUGCUUGAGCCAAGACAUUUCCAAUUGGAUUUUUCCUGUUUCCAGCACUUAGACACAAUACAUUAGUCCAUAAAACAAUGUACUAAGUCUGAGAAACAUACCUUUCUCCUUGAUUUGUACUUUGUCCACCUUUUUACACUUAGGCACUCGUGUUGGACACUAAAUCACCAAAAUACUUAGAAAUGGCCCAAGGGCACAUUUCCCUUUCACAGGCGGGGGGCGAUGCAGUGCAUGGCGGGAGGUGUGGUGCUUCGGGGUGGAAGAGCUGGGGAGGGGGAUCACGGAGAGAUGAGCACGGGAUCUGGGAGUUGAUUGCAGGGGAUGCCGCAGCGACGCCAUCGAUGGAAAGGAGUGCUGCGGGCGGGCGGGCGCUCAGGGCAGAACCGUGCACCGCAGCCAAUGUGGACGUAUACGGAGGAUAAUUAGGGCAUAAUCUAGUUCAAAAAUAGAAUAUCUGUUCCUGAAAUAGAUAGUUCCAAGAAACUAUAUUAAAGGAAGCCCAUGACUCAGCUUAUUCUGUCCACCCUGGUAGUACCAAGAUGUACCAGGUCUUGAAACAGAAGUAUUGGUGGUAUGACAUGAAGAGAGAUAUAGCCUCGCAUGUAGCAGUAUGUGAUGUAGUGUCCACCACCUCUAGCUUCCACUACUCUCGCUCCCGCUCCACCUAUUCCCCCACCUCAUUUCCAGGAGCGUGAUGAGACUGAGGUGCAUCGUCUUGCUGUGGAUCCACAUCUGCUUGACCAUCAGAGGGCCAUAGCUACCAGGGUACGUCGGUUCAGACACGUGCCAGUGGACUCGUGGCUGCCUGCUCAUCGAGAUCCGGCAGCUGCGCCGCUCUUCAGUACUAGGACCCAGGAGUCCUUCUUCAGGGCUCAGCUGUUAGCUCAGAUUGCUCUGCGGGCUCACCUGCGUCUAGAUCUCACUGUUUUCCGUACAACGACCGACGCAGAGUUAGAGGGUCACAUCACUUAUCUACCAGGGUUAUACUCUUUGCUAACAUUUGGUGGCAGAUAUGUUGAGGAGUGGGUCAGAGUCAAUGAGUUCAUGGUCAUGUCGUUUGGCUUGACUAGUGCGCCAGCGUACUUUAUGAAUAUGAUGAAUAAGGUGUUCAUGGAAUAUCUUGACAAGUUUAUCAUGGUAUUUAUCAACGACACUCUAAUUUAUUCCAAGGAUGAUGGAGAACAUGAGGAACAUGUAAGGCUAGUAUUGCAAAGCUAAGGGAAACCAGCUCUACUCCAAAUUUAGCAAGUCCGAGUUCUAUUUGAUAAGAUACCUUUCCUUGGGCACAUUAUCACCAAUGGGGGAAUUGAUGUAGAUGCAGCCAAGGUAAAAGAUAUAUUGCAGUGGACGAUACCUCAGUCAGUUAUAGAAAUCUAGAGUUUUUUGGGUCUCUUCAGAUAUUAUCAAUGCUUUAUUGAAGGAUUUUCCAAAAUAGUGUAGCCUAUGACCUCACUAUUAGAGAAAGGAAAGGAAUUUAAUUUGACUCAAGCCUACCAAGAUAGUUUUAAUCAGCUGAAGUUGAGAUUGACGUCAUCCCUAGUGUUGGUUAUACCGAUUCUGCAGAAAGGUUUUGAUGUAUAUUGUGAUGUGUCUCGUCAAGGAUUGGAAUGUGUUCUUAUGUAGGAAGGACAUGUCAUCGACUACGUAUCUCGUCGGUUGAGGUAGCACGAGUUGAACUACCCCACUCAUUAUCUAGAACUCGCUGUCGUUGUGCACGCCUUUAAGAUUUGGAGACAUUAUGUAAUGGGAACCAAAUGCCAUAUCUAUACAGACCAUAAAACCUAAACUAUAUCUUUAGGUAGAAGGACCUAAACCUUAAGCAACGUCGUUGGUUAGAACUUGUCAAGUAUUAUGACCUGGAGAUUCAUUACCACCCUGGCAAGGUGAAUCUGGUUGCAGAUGCCUUGAGUCGAAAAGGCCAGGCUCAUACGACUAUAGCUACCCAGAUGCCCGAUGAGUUGGCAGAGGAGUUUGAUAAGCUCAACGUAGGGAUAGUUCCUCACAUAGAAGGAGUUACCAUAGAAGUGGAACCCCACUAUAGAGCCAGAUAUCUGGAAGGAUCAGAUUGGAGAUGCCAAAAUCCAAGAGAUUCAAGGCCUGAUGGUAGAGGGAAGAGGUGCAGAUUUCACGAAGGAUAAUUAGAGCACAAUCUAGUUGAAAAAUAGAAUAUGUGUUCGUGAAAUAGAUAGUCUCCAAGAAACUAUAUUAAAGGAAGCCCAUGACUCAUCUUAUUCUAUCCACCCCGGUAGUACCAAGAUGUACCAGGACCUAAAACAGAAGUAUUGGUGGUAUGGCAUGAAGAGAGAUAUAGCCUCACGUGUAGUAGUAUGUGAUGUAGCGUCCACCACCUCUAGCUUCCACUACUCCCGCUCCCGCUCCACCUAUUCCUCCAACUCAUUUCCGAGAGCAUGAUGAGACUGAGGUGCAUCCUCUUGCUGCGGAUCCACAUCUGCUUGACCAUCAGAGGGCCACAACUACCAGGGUACAUCGGUUCAGACACGUGCCAGUGGACUCGUGGCUGCCUGCUCAGCGAUAUUCGGCAGCUACGUCGCUCUUCAGUACCAGGACCCAGGAGUCCUUCAGGGCUCAGCUGUUAGCUCAGAUUGCUCUGCGGGCUCACCUGCGUCUGGAUAUCACUGCUUUCCGUACAGUGCCUGGCGCAGAGUUAGAGGGUCACAUCACUUAUCUGCCAGGGUUAUACUCUUUGCUAACUUUUGGUGGCAGAUAUGUUGAGGAGUGGGUCAGAGUCUAUGAGUUCACGGUCAUGUCGUUUGGCUUGACUAGUGCGCCAACCUACUUUAUGAAUAUGAUGAAUAAGGUGUUCAUGGAAUAUCUUGACAAGUUUAUCAUGGUAUUUAUCAACGGCACUCUGAUUUAUUCCAAGGAUGAUGGAGAACAUGAGGAACAUCUAAGGCUAGUAUUGCAAAGCUAAGGGAAACCAGCUCUACUCCAAAUUUAGCAAGUUCGAGUUCUGUUUGAUAAGAUGCCUUUCCUUGGGCACAUUAUCACCAAUGGGGGAAUUGCUGUAGAUGCAGCCAAGGUAAAAGAUAUAUUGCAGUGCACGAUACCUCAGCCGGUUACAGAAAUCUAGAGUUUUUUGGGUCUCGUCAGAUAUUAUCAAUGAUUUAUUGAAGGAUUUUCCAAAAUAGUGUAGCCUAUGACCUCACUAUUAGAGAAGGGAAAGGAAUUUAAUUUGACUCAAGCCUACCAAGAUAGUUUUAAUCAGCUGAAGUUGAGAUUGACGUCAUCCCUAGUGUUGGUUAUGCCGGUUCUGCAGAAAGGUUUUGAUGUAUAUUGUGAUGUGUCUCGUCAAGGAUUGGAAUGUGUUCAUAUGUAGGAAGGACAUGUCAUCGCCUACGUAUCUCAUCGGUUGAGGUAGCACGAGUUGAACUACCCCACUCAUUAUCUAGAACUCACUGUCGUUGUGCAUGCCCUUAAGAUUUGGAGACAUUAUGUAAUGGGAACCAAAUGCCAUAUCUAUACUGACCAUAAAACCUAAACUAUAUCUUUAGGUAGAAGGACCUAAACCUUAGGCAUGAAAGGGAAAUGUGCCCUUGGGCCAUUUCUAAGUAUUUUGGUGAUUAAGUGUCCAACACAAAUGGUUAUGUGUUAAACUAUGCCAAAUGGUGGACAAAGUGCAAAUCAAUACAAAGGUAUGAUUCUAGACUUAGUACAUUGGUUUUUGUGUACUAACAUAUUGGUCUAAGUGCUAGAAUCAGAGAAAAGACAAAUGGAAAAGACUUGGCUCAAGCAGCCAAGACUCUGCUCAGUCUGGGUGCACCGGACUGUCCGGUGGUGCACUGGACAGUGUCCGGUGCGCCAGGCUGGCUCUGGGGAAAAGGCCGCUCUCGGGAAUUGAACGGCGGCGUACGACUAUAAAUCACUGGACUAUCCGGUGCUGCACCGGACUGUCCGGUGAGCCAAUGGUCGGUCGCGCAAUCCGCGCGUGACGCGUGGCCGGGCCAACGGUCUGAUGGGGGCACCGGACUGUCCGGUGUGCACCGGACAGUGUCCGGUACGCCAACUGCUCUAAAUCGUCAACGGUCGGCUGCGCCAGAACAGGAAAGAAAUCUGCACCGGACAGUGUCCGGUGGUGCACCGGACUGUCCGGUGCACCAGUCGACAGAAGGCAAGAAUUGCUUUCCUGGUUUGCUCUCAACGGCUCCUAGCUGCCUUAGGGCUAUAAAAGGGACCCCUAGGCGCAUGAAGGAGAACCCCAAGCAUACUUUGAGCAUUCUUGAUCAUUCACACUUCGUCUUUGCGCACUCGUUUGACAUUCUUAGUGAUUUGAGCUCCGUUCUAGUGAGAACUUUGUGAUUUUCAUUUGAGCUCAAGUCUUAGCCGUGUGUGUGUGUGUGCGUAUUGCUGUGGACUUGUGUGUGUUGCUCAUCCCAUCCUUACUUCCGUGUUCAUUUGUGAUCAUCUUUUGUAAGGGCGAGAGACUCCAAGUUGUGGAGAUUCCUCACAAACAGGAUAUAGUGAAAGGAAGAGAAACACCGUGGUAUUCAAGCGGAUCUUUGGAUCACUUGAGAGGGGUUGAUUGCAACCCUCAUCCGUUGGGACGCCACAAUGUGGAGUAGGCAAGUGUUGAACUUGGCCGAACCACGGGAUAAACCACUGUGCCUCUCUGUGUUGAUAUCGUUGUGGUUAUUGUGUUUUGCAAGAACUCCUCUCUAGCCACUUGGCUUUAUUGCUCUAACACUUAAUCAAGUUUGUGGCUUUAAGAUUUAAGUUUUUACAGGAUCACCUAUUCACCCCCCUCUAGGUGCUCUCAAUUGGUAUCAGAGUCGUUCUCUUCAAGAAAGGGACUAAUCGCCUGAAGAGAUGGAUCCUAAGGGAAAGGGGAUGGUGGUCAACGACAAUGAGAAGGAGUCCAUCUUCAACGAGCCAAGGGACGACAAAGUCAAUGACUCUAGCUCAAGUCAAAAGAAGAAAGACGGAAAGAAGAAGAGGCACAUCAGGAAGGUUGUCUACUACGACAGCGACGAAUCUUCCUCUUCUCAAAAGGACGACAAAUACGAGGAGAAAAAGAAAAUGGUUAACUCGAACUUUUCUUUUGAUUAUUCUCGUAUUCCGCAUAAUUCAAAUGCUCAUUUGCUUUCCAUUCCACUUGGUAAACCCCCACACUUUGAUGGAGAGGACUACGGAUUUUGGAGUCACAAAAUACGUAGCCACUUGUUUUCUCUUCAUCCAAGUAUAUGGGAGAUACUAGAAAAUGGGAUGCAAUUUGAUAGUUCCGAUAACUCCAUGUUUAUCAAUGAACAAAUCCAUAAAAAUGCACAAGCUACUACUGUUCUUUUAGCAUCCUUGUGCAGGGAAGAGUACAAUAAGGUGAGCGGCUUGGACAACGCCAAGUAGAUCUGGGACACCCUCAAGAUCUCGCAUGAGGGGAACGACGUCACCAUGCUCACCAAGAUGGAGUUGGUGGAAGGCGAACUAGGAAGGUUCGCAAUGAUCAGGGGAGAGGAGCCAACUCAAACGUACAAUAGGCUCAAGACCCUGGUCAACAAGAUAAGAAUCUAUGGAAGCACGAGAUGGACGGACCACGACGUCGUCCGACUCAUGCUAAGGUCCUUCACUGUCCUUGAUCCUCAUCUUGUAAACUCUAUUCAUGAGAAUCCUAGGUACAUCAAGAUGACGCCCGAGGAAAUACUCGAAAAGUUUGUAAGCGGGCGAAUGAUGAUCAAGGAGGCGAGGUACGUUGAUGAGGCGUUGAAUGGCCCAAUCUACGAGCCUCAAACCGUUGCUCUCAAAGCAACAAAUAGCAGGGAGACGCUACCUAGCAAGGUGGCGCAAGUUGAAGCGGGCGGGCUAAAUGAAGAUGAAAUGGCCCUCAUCAUCAAGCGCUUCAAGACGGCGCUCAAAGGUCGCAAGGAACACCCCAACAAGAGCAAGACGAAGGGGAAGCGCUCCUACUUCAAAUGUGGUAAGAUUGGUCACUUUAUUGCUAACUGUCCCGAUAAUGAUAGUGACCAGGAACAAGGGAAGAGCGGAAAGUGGGAAAAGAAGAAGACCUACAAAAAGGCGAAGGGCGAGGCACACCUUGGAAAGGAGUGGGAUUCGGAUUGCUCCUCGUCCGACUCCGACAAUGAAGGACUCGCCGCCUCAGCCUUCAACUAGUCGGCUCUCUUCCCCCAACGAGCAUCACACAUGCCUCAUGGCAAAGGAGAAGAAGGUAAAUACUAGAAGUACUAUUACAUAUGCUUCUUCAAGUGAUGAUGAGUCUAGUGAUGAUGAAGUAGACUAUGCUAGUUUAUUCAAAGGUUUAGAUAGAACUAAAAUUGAUAAGAUCAAUGAAUUAAUUGAUGCCUUGAAUGAGAAAAAUAGAUUGUUAGAAAAUCAAGAGGGUCUUUUAUAUGAAGAGCAUGAUAAGUUUGUUAGUGCACAAAAUUCUCUUGUUCUAGAAGUUAAAAGAAAUGAAAUGCUUUCAUGUGAACUAUCUACAUGCCAUGAAUCUAUUUCUAACUUAAAGAGUAUUAAUGAUGACUUGAAUGCUAAGUUAGAAGUAGCUAAUAAAUCUAGCUCAUGUAUUGAUCAGGUAGUAAGUUGUAAUAGGUGUAAGGUUUUUAAUGUUGAUGCUUGUAGUGAACACUUAAUUUCCAUUUCCAAAUUAAAUGAUGAAGUGGCUAGUCUUAAUGCCCAACUUAAGACUAGCAAAAAUGAAUUUGAUAAACUAAAAUUUGCAAGGGAUGCCUACACUGUUGGUAGACACCCCUCAAUUAAGGAUGGGCUUGGCUUUAAGAGGGAAGCCAAGAACUCAACAAGUCAUAAGGCUCCCAUCUCCGCCAAGGAGAAAGGGAAGGCCCCUAUGGCUAAUAGUGUUUCAUUUAUAGUGAUAGAAAACUCUCUAGAAAUGCUUAUAGGAAUUGUUCUUAUGAUUCAAAUGCCAUGUUUGCUUCAAGUUCUUCCUUUGUGCAUGGUAGAGAUAUGCCUAGGAGAAAUGUUGUUCAUGUACCUAGAAAAGCAAGUAAUGAACCUUCUACAAUUUAUCAUGCUUGCAAUGCUUCCUUUGCAAUUUGUAGAAAGGAUAAGAAAGUGAUUGUUAGGAAAUUAGGGGCAAAAUGCAAGGGAGAUAAAACUUGCAUUUGGGUCCCUAAGGCUAUUGUCACUAAUCUUGCAGGACCCAACAAGAGUUGGGUACCUAAGACCCAAGCCUAAAUUUGCCUUGCAGGUUUAUGCAUCCAGGGGCUCAAGCUGGAUUAUUGACAGCGGAUGCACAAACCACAUGACGGGGGAGAAGAAGAUGUUCACCUCCUACGUCAAGAACAAGAAUUCCCAAGAUUCAAUCAUAUUCGGUGAUGGGAACCAAGGCAAGGUUAAAGGUCUAGGAAAGAUUGCUAUUUCAUCCGAGCAUUCCAUUUCUAAUGUGUUUUUAGUAGAAUCGCUCGGAUAUAACUUGUUGUUCGUAAGUCAAUUAUGUAAUAUGGGUUAUAAUUGCUUAUUCACAAAUGUAGAUGUGUCUGUCUUUAGAAGAAGUGAUGGUUCAUUAGCUUUUAAGGGUGUACUAGACGACAAACUUUAUUUAGUUGAUUUUGCAAAAGAGGAGGCCGGUCUAGAUGCAUGCUUAAUUGCUAAGACUAGCAUGGGCUGGUUGUGGCAUCACCGUUUAGCACAUGUGGGGAUGAAGAACCUUCACAAACUUAUAAAGGGAGAACAUGUGUUAGGUCUAACAAAUGUAACUUUCGAAAAAGAUAGACCUUGUGCAGCUUGUCAAGCAGGUAAACAAGUGGGAAAUGCUCAUCAUAGCAAGAACGUGAUGACAACAUCAAGACCCCUAGAGCUACUGCAUAUGGACCUCUUUGGACCCGUCGCCUACCUUAGCAUCGAGGGAAGUAAGUAUGGUUUAGUAAUUGUUGAUGAUUUUUCCCGCUUCACUUGGGUAUUCUUUUUGCAGGAUAAAUCUGAAACCCAAGGGACCCUCAAGCGCUUCCUAAGGAGAGCUCAAAAUGAAUUUGAGCUCCAGGUGAAGAAGAUAAGGAGCGACAACGGGUCCGAGUUCAAGAACCUUCAAGUGGAGGAGUACCUUGAGGAGGAAGGAAUCAAGCAUGAGUUCUCUGCUCCCUACACACCACAGCAAAACGGUGUGGUAGAGAGGAAGAACAGGACACUCAUCGAAAUGGCAAGGACGAUGCUUGGAGAGUUCAAGAUGCCCGAGCGGUCUUGGUCGGAAGCCAUGAACACGGCUUGCCACGCCAUAAACCGGGUCUACCUUCAUCGCUUCCUCAAGAAGACUUCGUAUGAGCUUCUAACCGGUAACAAACCCAAUGUUUCAUACUUUUGUGUAUUUGGGAGUAAAUGCUACAUUCUAGUGAAAAAAGGUAGGAAUUCCAAGUUCGCUCCCAAAGCUGUAGAAGGGUUUUUGUUAGGUUAUGAUUCAAAUACAAAGGCGUAUAGAGUCUUCAACAAAUCAUCGGGUUUGGUUGAAGUCUCUAGCGACGUUGUAUUUGAUGAGACUGAUGGCUCUCCCAGAGAGCAAGUUAAUGCUAAUGAUGUAGAUGAAUAUGAUGUUCCAACGGACGCAAUUCGCACCAUGGCAAUUGGAGAUGUGCGACCAUAGGAACACCAAGAGCAAGAUCAACCUUCUUCCUCAACAAUGGUGCACCCCCCAACUCAAGACGAUGAACAGGUUCAUCAAGAAGAGGCGUGUGAUCAAGGGGGAGCACAAGAUGAUCAUGUAAUGGAGGAAGAAGCACCUCAAGCCCCUCCAACACAAGUCCGAGCGACGAUUCAACGGAAUCAUCCUGUCGACCAGAUUCUGGGUGAUAUAAGCAAGAGAGUAACUACUCGCUCUAGAUUAGUUAAUUUUUGCGAGCAUUACUCUUUUGUCUCUUCUAUUGAGCCUUUCAGGGUAGAAGAGGCCUUGCUAGAUCCGGACUAGGUGUUGGCCAUGCAGGAGGAGCUCAACAAUUUCAAGAGAAAUGAAGUUUGGACAUUGGUGCCACGUCCCAAGCAAAACGUUGUGGGAACCAAGUGGGUGUUCCGCAACAAACAGGACGAGCACGGGGUGGUGACAAGGAACAAGGCACGACUUGUGGCAAAAGGUUAUGCCCAAGUCGCAGGUUUGGACUUUGAGGAGACUUUUGCUCCUGUGGCUAGGCUAGAGUCAAUUCACAUAUUGUUAGCCUAUGCCGCUCACCAUUCUUUCAGGUUGUUCCAAAUGGAUGUGAAGAGCGCUUUCCUCAAUGGGCCAAUCAAGGAGGAGGUGUACGUAGAGCAACCCCCUAGCUUUGAGGAUGAACGGUACCCCGACCACGUGUGUAAGCUCUCUAAGGCGCUCUAUGGACUUAAGCAAGCCCCAAGAGCAUGGUAUGAAUGCCUUAGAGACUUUUUAAUUGCUAAUGCCUUCAAGGUUGGGAAAGCCGAUCCAACUUUAUUCACUAAGACUUGUGAUGGUGACUUAUUUGUGUGCCAAAUUUAUGUCGAUGACGUAAUAUUUGGUUCUACUAACCAAAAGUCUUGUGAAGAGUUUAGCAGGGUGAUGACUCAAAAGUUCAAAAUGUCGAUGAUGGGCGAGUUGAACUACUUCCUUGGGUUCCAAGUGAAGCAACUCAAGGACGACACGAGAGGUUUGGGAUGAAGGACGCCAAGCCCGCAAAGACUCCAAUGGGAACUCACGGACACAUCGACCUCAACAAAGGAGGUAAGUUCGUUGAUCAAAAAGCAUACCGGUCUAUGAUAGGUUCCUUGCUUUACUUAUGUGCUAGUAGACCGGAUAUUAUGCUUAGUGUAUGCAUGUGUGCUAGAUUUCAAUCCGAUCCAAGGGAGUGUCACUUAGUGGCCAUGAAGCAAAUUCUUAGAUAUUUAGUCGCUACGCCUUGCUUCGGGAUCUAGUAUCCAAAGGGGUCUACCUUUGACUUGAUUGGAUAUUCAGACUCCGAUUAUGCUGGAUGCAAGGUCGAUAGGAAGAGUACAUCAAGGACGUGCUAAUUCUUAGGAAGGUCCCUGGUGUCUUGGAGUUCUAAGAAACAAACUUCCGUUGCCCUAUCCACCGCUGGGGCCGAGUAUGUUGCUACAGGACAGUGUUGCGCGCAACUACUUUGGAUGAAGCAAACCCUCCGGGACUUUGACUACAAUCUGAGCAAAGUCCCACUCCUAUGUGAUAAUGAGAGUGCUAUCCGCAUGGCGGAUAAUCCUAUUGAACACAGCUGCACAAAGCACAUAGACAUCCGGCAUCACUUCUUGAGAGACCACCAGCAAAAGGAAGAUAUCGAAGUGUUUUAUGUUAGCACCGAGAACUAGCUAGCCGAUAUCUUUACCAAGCCUCUAGAUGAGAAGACCUUUUGCAAGUUGCGUAGUGAGCUAAAUGUCUUAGAUUCGCGGAACUUGGAUUGAUUUAUAGCAUACAUGUGUUUUAUGCCUUGAUCAUAUUCCUUAUGCAUUUUGUUGUUUAUUCAUGGUGCUCAAGUUGUACAAGCACUCCCCGGACCUCACAAGUCCAUUUGCAAGUGAUGCACAUAUUUAGGGGAGAUGUGCUACAACUUGACCCUUUGAGACUAACCAUGUGUUUGAGCUUGCUUGAUUUAGUCUCAAAGGUGGAUUGAAAGGGAAAGGUGGACUUGGACCAUGAAAGACUUCCACUGCACUCCGAUGAGAGGGUAACUUACUCCAAGUUCAUCUCCAUACUCUUAUUGCCUUUUACUCUUAUUUGAAGAUUUUGGGUGAGGCAAUGGGGUUUAAGGGCCAAGAUUGAUCCUGUUUUGGUGCUUGAUGCCAAAGGGGGAGAAAAUAAGGCCAAAGCAAGAAAUGGAUCAGCUACCACUUGAGAAUUUUAAAAAUAGUAGAGUUAGAGUUUUUGUUUUGUCAAAAUCCUCUUAAUGUCUCUUCUUGUCAAAAGUUGGUCUCUUGUGGGGAGAUUGUUUGAUUAUGGGAAAAAGGGGGAGUUUUUUGAAUCUUUGAUCAAUUUCUCUUGGAAUACCUUUCUCUAUGCCUCGACAAGUGAAUAUUUGACUUAGAGAUAGGAAAUUGAGUUUGAUUUGCAAAAACAAACCAAGUAGUGGCAAAGAAUGAUCCAAAUAUGCCAAAUUUGAAUUAAAACAAAUUCUUGUUCUCAUUUGCUUUGAUGUUGCACUUCUAUAUGUUGCUUUUUGUUGUGUUGGCAUAAAUCACCAAAAAGGGGGAGAUUGAAAGGGAAAUGUGCCCUUGGGCCAUUUCUAAGUAUUUUGGUGAUUAAGUGUCCAACACAAAUGGUUAUGUGUUAAACUAUGCCAAAUGGUGGACAAAGUGCAAAUCAAUACAAAGGUAUGAUUCUAGACUUAGUACAUUGGUUUUUGUGUACUAACAUAUUAGUCUAAGUGCUAGAAUCAGAGAAAAGACAAAUGGAAAAGACUUGGCUCGAGCAGCCAAGACUCUGCUCAGUCUGGGUGCACCGGACUGUCUGGUGGUGCACCGGACAGUGUCCGGUGCGCCAGGCUGGCUCUGGUGAAAAGGCCGCUCUCGGGAAUUGAACGGCGGCGCAUGGCUAUAAAUCACCGGACUGUCCGGUGAGCCAACGGUCGGCCGAGCCAACGGUCGGCCGCGCAAUCCGCGCGUGACGCGUGGCCGGGCCAACGGUCUGAUGGGGGCACCGGACUGUCCGGUGCGCACCGGACAGUGUCCGUGCGCCAACUGCUCCAAAUCAUCAAUGGUCGGCUGCGCCAGAAUAGGAAAAAAAUCUGCACCGGACAGUGUCCGGUGGUGCACCGGACUGUCCGGUGCACCAGUCGACAGAAGGCAAGAAUUGCUUUCCUGGUUUGCUCUCAACGGCUCCUAGCUGCCUUGGGGCUAUAAAAGGGACCCCUAGGCGCAUGAAGGAGAACCCCAAGCAUACUUUGAGCAUUCUUGAUCAUUCACACUUCGUCUUUGCGCACUCGUUUGACAUUCUUAGUGAUUUGAGCUCCGUUAUAGUGAGAACUUUGUGAUAUUCAUUUGAGCUCAAGUCUUGGUCGUGUGUGUGUGCGUAUUGCUGUGGACUUGUGUGUGUUGCUCAUCCCAUCCUUACUUCCGUGUUCAUUUGUGAUCAUCUUUUGUAAGGGCGAGAGACUCCAAGUUGUGGAGAUUCCUCGCAAACGGGAUAUAGUGAAAGGAAGAGAAACACCAUGGUAUUCAAGUGGAUCUUUGGAUCACUUGAGAGGGGUUGAUUGCAACCCUCGUCCGUUGGGACGCCACAACGUGGUGUAGGCAAGUGUUGAACUUGGCCGAACCACGGGAUAAACCAUUGUGCCUCUCCGUGUUGAUAUCGUUGUGGUUAUUGUGUUUAAUCACUUGGCUUUAUUGCUCUAACACUUAAUCAAGUUUGUGGCUUUAAGAUUUAAGUUUUUACAGGAUCACCUAUUCACCCCCCUCUAGGUGCUCUCAAGGCAAUGUCGUUGGUUAGAACCUGUAGAUUCAUUACCACCCUGGCAAGGUGAAUCUGGUUGUAGAUGCCUUGAGUCGGAAAGGCUCGGCUCAUACGACUAUAGCUACCCAGAUGCCCGACGAGUUGGCAGAGGAGUUUGAUAAGCUCAACUUGGGGAUAGUUCCUCACAUAGAAGGAGUUACCAUAGAAGUGGAACCCCACUCUAGAGCAAGAUAUCUAGAAGGAUCAGAUUGGAGAUGCCAAAAUCCAGAUUCAAGGCUUGAUGGUAGAGGGAAGAGGUGCAGAUUUCACGGAGGAUAAUUAGGGCACAAUCUAGUUGAAAAAUAGAAUAUGUGUUUCUGAAAUAGAUAGUCUCCGAGAAACUAUAUUAAAGGAAGCCCAUGACUCAGCUUAUUCUAUCCACCCCGAUAGUACCAAGAUGUACCAGGACCUGAAACAGAAGUAUUGGUGGUAUGGCAUGAAGAGAGAUAUUGCCUCGCAUGUAGCAGUAUGUUAUGUAGCGUCCACCACCUCUAGCUUCCACUACUCCUGCUCCCGCUCCAUCUAUUCCUCCACCUCAUUUCUAGGAGCGUGAUGAGACUCAGGUGCAUCCUCUUGAUGCGGAUCCACGUCUGCUUGACCAUCAGAGGGCCACAACUACCAGGGUACAUCGGUUUAGACACAUGCCAAUGGACUUUUGGCUGCCUACUCAGCGAGAUCCGGCAGCUGCGCCGCUCUUCAGUACCAGGAUCCAGGAGUCCUUCUUCAUGGCUCAGCUGUUAGCUCAGAUUGCUCUGCAAGCUCACCUGCGUCUGGAUUUCACUGCUUUCCGUACAACGGCCGACGUAGAGUCAGAGGGUCACUCCACUUAUCUGCCAGGGUUAUACUCUUUGCUAACUUUUGGUGGCAGAUAUGUUGAGUGGGUGAGAGCAUUCUAUGGCACAGUUUCGAUCGACCCUGACCAUCAGUGGAUGAGGUUUUGGUUCGAGCAUGAAGAUGUCACUUUGCAUGCAGCUCAGAUCCGAGAGCUAUUUGGAUUCCUUGAGUCGACGACGAGGCUUCACAACAUGUGCUAUGGUACCUCAGACCCUCCUCGCCGCCCUCACAGCGGAGUAGCUCCUAGCACCGCUCACGUCAUCGCUCUGUUCAGACCUCCGUUCAUAGACGGGUCUCGACAUUCUUCUGCUGACUUCACCCCAGCGGCGAAGUUUCUAUAUGAGCUCAUGAGGCGCACCCUGCUACCGAGGAUGGGAUACAGAGAGGCUACCACUCAUAUUCAACUCUGACUCCUUGGUGCUCUGGUAUCUCACUUGGUAUUUGUCACACCCGGUUUUGGAAGGCAAACCAAAUGCGAACCAUGUACGUGCCAGGAUCAAAAACUCAUGUACACAGCGAUUACAUAAUUGGACAUCAUCACACAUUGCUCAAAAUAAAUAGCGAAAAAGGUACUUUAUUACAUCAAGAUGUCGAAGACAUCCAUAGAGUCAUUAACAUAACAUAGUCAUUAAUAUUAUCAAAGUGUGGAAUACAAAACAUAGCAGAUACAACCUUCACAGGCAUUUGACUGGGGGUUUGCCACUAACACAACUAGAACUCGUCGUAGUCCUGGAACUCCUCAGUCCUCCAUGUUGCCAGCAUCUCCUCCUGAGCACUGAAUACAGUGGGGACAACCUGAGGUGGGGUGGUUUUUAAAGCAAGGGUGAGUACACAUCAACGUACUCAGUAAAUGUCUCGUUUGGCUAAAGUGGACUAGCUGUAUGUGGAGUUAAGGUUAAGCAGUUGCUUUUAGUUGGUCAAAUAUUUAUUACUAAUAGUAUAACCAAGUUUUAGUAAUAAACCCAGUUAUUACCCAAAAGUACUCCCUCCAAGAGGAAGUACCAGAGAUCAGGAUUAUAUUCAUCAUCAUUAACCGUCAUCAUAAAAAUAUCCAAAGUUCUUCUAGUCAAAGAGGAUCCCAAGGCUGCACAACUGAUAUACCAGUUUCUAACACUAUAGAGGUUGCACACUUUACCCACGAGUCGUGAUUCCCGGAGAUCAUGACUCUCCAUUUAUCACUACCAAGGUGAAUUGGUAGGGCCUCACAAUGUAGCCUUUACAAAGACUCCCCUGGUGCAUAGCUGCUCAUUAGGUUUCUCCAGUCGUACAAGCAUAGUACCCCCUCGGCACCCACCCUUAGCAGAGCGAGCACUAUGCCCCAACCCCCAUUGAUGAUCCUCCGGCAAAGCCAACUACACCCCCAGGUUCAUCUAAUUAUUCGGCUAAGGGCAUCCCAUUCAACCCUCAUGGUUGCACUGUUAUCCCGGGUGGUCACUCAACGAACAGGUCCUUACGGAGAGGUACUCAGGAAAUAGCCUGAGUCCCCUAAAGUAUCACAAGAUCAUCAUCGGGAUAACAUCAUCAUAUCAUAAAUAUUCAUAUCAUGUUCGUUGAUUAAGGUAAAGCAAUAGCAUAAAGCUAACCAUAAUAACCCAAAGGUAAGCAAGAACAAGAUAAAUACAGACUAGUCAAUCCUUAGGUUUCAAAUAAAGUAAUGCGGGAUGGUGAAUUAUAAAGUAAGUAGGACAUAAUAGGUCAGAGGACACUUGCCUUCACCAGGUUGUUGCUUAGGAAGAUAUUCGGCAACACACUCAGGAACCACGGGCUGCACGUUGUCUAAAUAAAGCGAUCAUGCAUUCAAUACAUUUGGAUAAAGACAAAUGAACAAUACACCAAACAUAUACAAUCAAGUGAACACAUCUCAAAAGAACAGUAUAAACUCAAGAGGUAACUUGGGUUCUAGGGUGAACUAGCACACUUAGAAGUUUGUGAUUCUCUAAGUAUUAUCUAUCUCCAUAGAUUACAUAAUUUAAUUCCACUUAUUUUAAUGAGACACAAAAGUUAUACCAGGGAUAGAUUCAUAAUUUACAUAUUAUUAAUCUCACAAAGUUAAACAUCUACUUACCAUUAGGGUUCUCCUUUUUUUCUUAUUAAUAAAUAAUCCAUUACCUAAACUAAUCUAUAGUCUAGGCAUAAAAUUAAUAUGUGCAGAUAGUGAAUGAUCAUAAUUUUAACAGAUAGAGAAUAAUCUCAUGAACAUUUUGCAAUUUGAAUCACUCAAUUUGGAGUUCAUAUGCAAAAGAUAUGAAAUAAACAAGUUUUGGAAUUUAAAAUCCUAAAUUAGGUCAAAUUCUGCGAUUAAACAAAAGCCUAGGGUUCUUUCUGCAAGAAUACAGGCCUACGCACAAAAACAAGGGACUGUGGUUGAUUCUCAGAAACCUGAGGGUUAUUUAACAAAACAGCCGCGCAAAGGGGUAUCGGCCGAUCACGACCGCACGAUCGCGAACGAACGACCGUGAUUAGAUCCGAGCGUGAGUGCGCGCGUGUGGACGGGCGAGCGUGACUAACAAGCGGGACAGGGGUGUCAGUGACCUGAGGGUGAGACAAACUGACCGGCCGGGCCCAGUUGUAGAGCGCGAGCGAGGGCGCGCACCCGAGUGGCCGGAUCCAAAACGGACGGUUGAGAUUAGAUCUAGUCUAAUUAAACACAUGGGAAAUUAAAGGCAUGGGGGAGUUUCUCACCUCGACAUGGGAGUCUAGAUCACUUGAGCAACGACGGGGACACAUGGAGGCCUUGGGUCAACGACGGUGGAGCUUCGGCUGCACGGGGAGAAGACCAGUGAGCGCGGACCAGGCGAAACAGAGGGGUUGGGACAAACUAGAGGGUGUCCCGUGUUGCUGGCAAAGAGGCGGAGCUCACCAAGGCAACAGACGUGGCAGAAGCUCGACGACGGCCACGGAAUGGGCGGCGGAUCACGGCGGAGCUCCACGGGCGCGCGCAGAGCGAGAGAGAGCGAGGGUGUUCGGCUGAGGGCGCAACUGAGCGAGGGGAGCGGGUGAGUGAGUGCGGGCUCCAGAAAAGGGAUCGGGCGCAUGGCUGGUAAAUGCGCGAUCAUGGGCGCGUCCACAACAUAGAGCGCGGGUGGGAGGUUAGGGAAGGGGUAGUGGCUGACAGGCAGGGUUCGUAGGCCAGCGAGGGCAAGUGUGCGAACGGGCGGUCAACGCUGAUAGGAAGGGCCCACCGAGCAGCGAGAGAGAACGGGCACGUGCGCGAACGGAUCGGUGCCGACAGGCCGGUCCCACCGGGCAGUUGGGGGGGAGAGAGGGAGAGAGAGCGUGCGUGCGCGUACGCGGGCCGUCACUGACAGGUGGGGUCCAUCUGUCACGCAACGAGGGCGCGCGCGGCCUGGCUCGACUGAGUUGGGUCGAGUGGGCUGAAUUUGGUUUUUUCUUUUUCCCUAGAAUUUUUAAUGCCUUUUCUUUUUAUUUUCUCUAUGGAUUUAAAAUCAAAUUCAAACCAAUUCAAACAUAUGCAUCAAACCAAAAAAUAAUUUAGGCUCAGCAUGACGCAACAUUUCAUGACUCACAUAAGUUUUGACAAAAUAAAUAAUUAAUCCCUCACCUAAUUAACCUAACUCUAUUCAAAAGGAGGAGAGAGGAAGUAUAGAGAGAGACAAGAGGUAACACCUGAAUUUGGUAGGCAUUUAGAGAAGAAAUUUUAUACCCCCAAAUUCAGGGUGUUACAAACCUACCCCCCUUAAAAAGAAUCUCGUCCUCGAGAUUCAGGGUUGGUUAGCAAAGAGUUCAGGGUACUUGGCUGUCAGACCAUCUUCUCUUUUCCAGGUUGGUUCUUCCUCUGAAUGCUGGCCCCAUUUGACUUUGCACAUCCUGAUGGUGCUUCUUCGUAUGACUCUGUCUGCUGUCUCCAGCAUCUGAGUGGGCUUCUCAAUAUAUAUUAAGUCUUCUUGAACCUCGAGAUCCUCUGUUGGCAAUUACUCUUCUGGUACUCGUAAGCACUUCUUCAGCUGAGACACAUGACACACAUCAUGCACAACUGACAAACUUUCUGGUAGACUGAGUUGAUAUGCCACUUCUCCAUGUCUUGCUUGAAUCUGGUACGGUCCAAUGUAUCGAUGUGCUAGCUUGCCAUUGACUCCGAACCUUUUGAUUCCUCUAAUGAGUGACACCUUCAGAUAUACAUAGUCUCCCACUUCAAAACUUAGAUCUCUUCUUCUUGUGUCAGCAUAGCUUCGCUGCAUGUACUGUGAUGUCUUCAGAUUGUCUCGAACCAUUCUGAUGUUCUCUUCAGCCUCUAGUAAAAUGUCUGGACCGAACACCUGCAUUUUGCCAGGUUGGUCCCAAUGCAACGAGGUCCGACAAUUCCUGCCAUAGAGUGAUUGGAGUGGUGACAUCUUCAGACUGGCCUGGUAGCUGUUGUUGUAAGAGAGUUCUGCAUACGGUAACCUUUUGUCCCAACCUAACUUAUCUUGCAAAGAACAAGCUCUCAACAUGUCUUUAAGAAUCUGGUUGGUUCUCUCUGUCCGACCAUCUGUCUGCGGGUGAUAGGCUGAAUUGAACUUUAAAUGUGUGCCCAAAGCUUCAUGCAAUUGCUGCCAGAAGUGAGAAGUGAAUUGGGUACGUCUGUAAGAUACUAUCUUCUUUGGAAUGGCAUGCAAGCAUACAAUCCGAAACAUAUAGUUCUGGCAACGCUGCACUGUUAUAGGUGGUCUUGACUGGUAUGAAACGAGUCGCCUUUGUUAAGCUAUCCACUACUACCCAGAUGGAGUCAUAACCGGCUCGAGUGCAAGGAAGACCAACUAUAAAGUCCAUCCCAAUAUCAUCCCAUUUCCACUGAGGAAUCUGCAACGACUGCAACAAACCUACGGGCCUCUGAUGUUGUACCUUGAUUCUCUGACAACUGUCUCAUAUGGCAAGAUACUCUGCUAUCUCCCGUUUCAUUCUGUACCACUAAAAUCUUUUCUUCAGGUCUUGGUACAUCUUCUCACUGCCAGGGUGUAUGGAAUAAGUUGUCUCGUGAGCCGCCUUAAGAAUUAGCUCCCGAAUCGAUUUGAUGUCGGGAACACACAACCUAUCUUUAAACCACACCACUCCUCCGUAUUCACGGAAAUCUUUGCCUUUCCCAUCCAAGAUUAGCUGUCGAAUUUCAUUAAUCUUCUCAUCGUCUUUAUGGCCCUUCCUGAUAUCUUGUUCUAGAGUGGAUUCCGGCUCAACUGUCACUCCUUGGGUGUUGUUUAGAAAUCCGAGACUCAGCCUGUCAAAUUCGUUUGCUAGCUCAUAUGGCAUCGGGCAAGCGACCAUCAUGUUAACUUGACUCUUUCGGCUCAAAGCAUGUGCAACCACAUUAUCUUUUCCUAGGUGAUAAUGUAUCUUCAGCUCAUACUCUUUGUUUAACUCUAGCCAUCUUCGCUACCUCAUGCUCAAUUUUGACUGGGUGAAUAUAUAUUUGAGACUCUUGUGGUUUGUGUAGAUAUCACACUUCUGCCCAUACAAAUAGUGCCUCUAGGUCUUCAGUGCAUGAACCACUGCUGCUAACUCUAGAUCAUGUGUGGGGUAAUUCUUCUCAUGGAUCUUCACCUGUCGGGACAAGUAUUCCACCACUCUCCCUUCUUGCAUUAACACACAUCCUAGUCCGGUGUACGAAGCAUCACAAUACAUUGAGAAUGGCUUGUGAACAUCUGGUAGAAUCAAUACCGGUGCUAUUGUCAACUUCCUCUUUAAUGUCUCAAAAGACUCUUGGCACGCUGGGGUCCACUUGAACUCAACUUUCUUCGCUAGCAGUGCUGUCAUUGGCUUGACAAUCUUGGAGAAACCUUCAAUCAAACGCCGAUAGUAGCCGCCAUUCCAAUGAAACUCUUGAUUCCUCGGACAUGUUUUGGUGCUUUCUAGUCCAGAAUAACUGCUACCUUCUUCGGAUCCACAACUAAUCCAUCUCGGUUUAUAAUAUGACCUAAGAACAAGACUUCACUGAUCCAAAAUUCACACUUGGCAAUCUCGUAGCCUCUGCAAUACCUUCCUCAAAUGCUCUUCAUGCUCUUGCCCAUUCUAGGAAUAUAUGAGGAUAUCAUCAAUUGUAAAGCCCAAAAUUUGUAAAAAACAAAUCUACUUUGAGACCUAGGAGAGAGUAUUCCAAGAUUUAAGUCUUUUAUAAUAAGGGAUUAAAUAAAGGACCCUCAUAUAAUUUAAACCAACCUUUGCUGAAUAAUGUGAUUAGAGCCAUUCUCCAAAAGAAUUAAGUUUAAGAAAUACCUUAAUAAAUAUUAUACACUAAAUCUCCUCUUUUAAGUAACUAUGAACAUAUUUUAAUGGAAUAUACAUUGAAGGAAUUAAUUUUGUGUGUGCAUGGUAUACUUAAAAUAUUUGGAUACAAUAAACAAAACUAAACAUAUGUAUGUAUUUAUGCACACCAUGUUGGAGUUUUAUUUGCUGGUGUAUUUAAUCUGGGAAACCUUGAACCUUGAAUCAAAUUGGAUUUUUGAAUUUGAAACUGGGAUAAAACUGAAAACAGAAAUUAAGAAAGGAAUAAAUGGGAUGUUGGGUCGACUGCUCCCUUGACCUUGGCCCACUUCCAGUUACAUGUACCCAGCGCGGCCCAACAACCAUCACGCAUCUCCUUUCUCUGCGCCGCGUGCGCAUUAUUCGACCGACGGACGGGGCCCGCUCCAUCCCCUCCUCUCGAUGUCGUCACCUCCAUGUGGGACCCAUCGUGUAGACCGAUCUUCUAGCUCCGGCCGUUGUGGGUCGUUUGGCAGAUCUCACGCUUAGCCCAUAUACUAGCGCUCGUGUGGUCUCCGCCGCACAGAGCCCGUUGUCCGGUGUUAACCCCGCACGAUUCAUGGACCUGCACGAUGCCGUGUGGGACCACCCUGCUGGAGUCACUUUCUUCGCUACGACCGAAUCACGCGCAACAACCCCCACGCUCGAGCAACAAACUCACUGUGAUUCGCUCAACGCAUGCCGACCUUGGUUUCUCCCGCAACUGACCCUCUCAGCUCAGACUCGCCCCCUCUGACGCAUAUAUAGGUCACCGUGAACCCCUGUGCCAAUCCAGUAGCCAUGGCGUGCAGAGAUGGAAGGGAGAGAGAGGAAUUGGCCUGCCACUCAAAUCGUUCGCUGCCGGUGUGUCUUCGGCCUCGAGGUACGGACCCACUGUAGUUCUCCAUCUGUUGUGGUUGCUCAUGUGAUCGACGGGGUGGGGUUUCGCCGGAGCUGUACCAUACGCGCAUCAGGCCGCCAUGGGGGGAAAGACAUUCCUGCAUGGUUGUUCUGGUGUCAGCACUCAGCAGGGGACCUUGGGGCAUCGCUGAUCCUCGGGGCAGGUGCUCACGGGAGUAGCUAGUCGUGGGAGUCCUUGGCGCCGUCACAAUUCCUCACUGGGGCCGGAUUGCACUACUCCGGCAACUUCUGCCAUGGGGAACUGUGGCGCCACCGCCGUGGUGGGCGCAUGCCUUCGCGAUGGUGACUGGGGAAGGGAUAAAGUGUGAUGGCUGUUCAUCACGGAACCAUCAGCUCAGAAUAAGUGACAGAUACCCUUUCGCACGUUAAGUAACGACCGUGGAUUUCUGGUCCUAUGGCAAUCAUCAUGUACCGGUUCAUAAAGAGGUUUGUGUAAUAUGCACCGUUGAUCCUGCAUCCAACGGUGCUCGUUGGCCGAUACCCCUUCGGUUGAUGAAUUUGCAUAAGAGCCCCUGCCCUUUACACUAAUCAACCCGCAGUACACCUCUGCGUUGUUCUGAGUCUGGGGAAAACUUCUGGUUCUGCCCCCGUUGUUCUCUGUAAUUAGUACUCAGCCCCGAGAACAAAGAAAUUGGAUAAAUAAAUUUAGAAAUUGAUUUUUAAUACAAAAAUAAAUCCAGAAACUUGUAUAAUUCAUAUCUAAUUCAUCUUAACUCCAAAUUGAUCCAUUCCAGUUGCAAUAAUUUUGUUUUAAUAUUGUUCAUCAUCUAGUACCUUUGUUUACCCAUGAAACUUGAAUUAAAAUUAUUCACUUGAAUUACUCUAUCCUAGGUACCAAAUAACUUCGGAAAAUCCUAACUAAUUCAUUUUAACUCUAUUUCAAUCCGUUCAAGUUGCGCUAGCUUCAUAUGAAUAUUUAUUAUGCAGUAACAGUAUUAAUUAUACCAUAUUGCAUAAAUUUAUAGUUAGAUAUUUGUUUAACCUAUGUUAGUAGAUUUACCCUUUUUAAUCAAAGUUAAUUUGUCUAUAAUUAUAAGAGGACUAAAACAUGAUUUCUAAUUAAGUCAUAACUUAAAUUAAGGUUGAAAUUAGUUAUUAGGAUAUCUUUCUCACAUGGUUCAUAAUAAUCAACAUAAAACCUAGUUUUCCGGUUUAAUCACAUAAAUCUUCUAUAAAUCAUAACUUUAUAAUCGUAACUCCGAUUUUAAUCAUUCUCGAACCCACGAUCUCGUAGCUUCGCGUAGAUCAUUAUUAUUCAGUUUAUACUUAUGUUUGAUGUGAUGUUAAUUUUUUCUAUGCUAUGUUUGUUUGUAUUGCUAUGAUUAGCAGUGAGGCCACGAAUCAUCUAAAGAUCAUCCUUAGUACCAGAAAUCUCAAGUCCCAGGCAAGUUGUGCCCUUAAUCACUUUUAUUUACCCAAUAAUGUUCUUUAUAAUCAUUUAUUCAUGCAUAGGCUUAGUUUUGAUGGGACCCAAUAGGUCACCCUAGUUUGGUUAUCUUGUUACCUUGUUCACCCCUGAAUCAUUUGGGUAGUUUUGCUAUUGCUCUAUAUGGUUUUGGGAUUAAUAUUACAUUAUGUUCAUUUCCAAUUAUUCUGUUGUUUUAUUUAUUAUUCAUGUCAAGAUCAUUAUUUUUAGUUGGAAUAUGGAGCUUAACUUGAGAAACACGUGCCACUACAAGGGUGGAAUGGGACGCCCUUGGUUGACUAAUUUGGAAAGCUAGUGGAAGACUACCUUACCCGAAAGGGGCAAGGGCAGUAGGGGAGUAGGCAUGUAGGGAGGUUCUCGGGUUGAUUUUUCUGCGAUGGCGGUCAGACGAGGGAUUCCUACAUUGCUCUUCCUAGCAACUGUAGCGGGUUUUCAGAAGCUAGUGGAACUUUGUAAAGGCCUCGUAGUGGAUCCCUAGCCAUUCACCUUGGAAAUGUCUAAGGGUCUUGCAAACCCUGGCGACAUGGGAUACACGACUUGUGGGUACAGGGUACAACCUCUGCAGAGUGUAAAACUGGUAUACUAGCCGUGCUCGCGGUCAUGAGCAGCUCAGGACUCUCGCAUGAUUAAAUUAUGGAACUAAAUUCAAUUUGUCAUUUGUAUUGCAUGGGAUUUAUUAUUAAUUUUGUUCUAUUAUUAUUAUUAUGGUUUGGUAUUUACUUACAUCUGGUAAUUGCUAAUAAAAUUUUGACCAACUUUAAAAGCAAUGCUCAGCUUUCCAUUCUCUUUGGUAAGCCUUACACUUCACAUGAGCUCCCACCUUUGGUAAGUUCAUGCACAUUAUUCCCCACAACUUGUUGAGCUAUGAACGUAUGUGAGCUCACCCUUGCUGUCUCACACCCCCCCCCCCACAGGUCAAGAACAGGUACCACAGGAUGAGGUGCAUGGAGGAUGCCGUGAUGUGUUCGUGAGAUGUCUAGGCCGUCGUCGCCCAGUAAACUUUGGGUUGUUGGAUCGUUGUCUCCUCACGAUGUAAUUAUUUAUUUAUUUUGUACAGAACUCCUAUUAUAUAAUAAAGUUGUGACAUUCGUUUCUGUACCAUGAUUCAUCAUAUGUGUGAGACUUGGUCCCAGCACACCUGGUGAUUAUGUUUGCGCCCGGGUCUUGGUGCCCCGAAACCAGGGUUUGGCAGAAGUGGUAUGAGAGGAAUGUUGACUUUAGGACGAAACCUAGAUAGAACUGGACAACCAUUGUCUACUUACCUUUGCUACUCUGAUUGUUUCUAAACUUUUUUUAAUCUUUUCUCAUCUAUUUCCGCUUACUCUGAUUACUCUUACCUUUUCCUUCUAAAGACAAAUGUGGAUUUCACACUUUGAAAUCCUGUGCCUAAAGUGACCUUUAGGAAUAGGAGACCUACUCUUAGGAACAAAAUCAAAACUAUUUUUGUAAAUAUUUGUAUGCUUGAAUGUUUGUUCUUGUGAUACAUGUCUGAUUUGGAUCUUUGAUUAAGUGUGAUGAGUUGUGGAGUAAUGUCCACAACUACAUCUGCAUAUACAUAUAGGCAUAAAUAUAAAUAAUUAGAAUUCAUAAGAUAACUAGACAACCUAGAUUAUCCUCCAUUAAAGUGUAUUUAUUCUAGAUAGAGUUCUUUAAGUUGAGAAAAAAAAUUCUAUUUAUCCUAACAGGUUCAUCUUAUGUUAAGAAAAAAAUUAUCUUAUCCUCAUAAAUUGUUUAUAAGAUAAACUAGACCAACUAAGAAUACCCCAUUGGAAUAUAUCAAGCCUAAUGGAUCCAUCUUAUCUUAAAAGACUCUCUCUUAUCUUAAUAGAUCUAUCUUAUCUUAAAAAGAUUCUCUCUUACCUCAAUAAAUUCAUCUUAUCUUGAAGAGAUUUUAUCUUAUCCUAAUAGAUCUAACUGACCUCCAAAGAUUUUACCUUAUACUUAUGGAUUCAUCUUAUCUUGAAAGAUUCGUCUUAUCUUGAAAGAUUCAUCUUAUCCUAACCACUUUACUUAUCUCAUCCUAAAGUAACAACCAUGAUCUAAUUAAUGAGAUCUUAUCUAGUCUAUUCUAGUCAUACCCAAUCCUAUCUAAUCUAUUAUGAUCAUACCUAAUGUGAGUCACUCAAACAUGAUUAGCUAAUGUUGAGGAAAUGCAUUAGACCUUGCUCCUAUAAACAAGUUUGAGAUCUUAGAUCAACCUGACCCUACCCAAUAACUUGACCUACAAAAGCAGGUUACACAACUAAUCCCAUUUAGCAUAUAGCUACCUACUAAACCCUUUACCCAUCUGUUACCUACCGAUCUAUCUUGACCUCUUGUCCCAAACCCGAAGGGUGACACCUAGGCUCAAGAUGGAAGAGACCAAUCUCAUUAAAGAAGAAUAGGAAUCAAGCUAGACCCCCAAAGGAAGCUCGAUUAUACCAUGUCUACACUCACCUAAUAGCUAAAACCUGAUGUACCCUUGUUUUCUAUGCUACACCUGCUAAUGGCAUGGAGAAUUUUAAGUGUAUAAAAAUAUACUAAUUGGAAGUUCCACUUAAAAAAGAGAUACUAGAAGUUCAUAAAGAUAAAGUCAGCUUGAUAUGCUCAACUAAAUGGUAUUCUUAAAUAGGAUUAUACAAUCUAAUAUGAUCUAAUCUAGUGAGUGUUGGGGGUCUUCUUCCCCGCCGAAGGUCCUUAAGGCAAAAACACCCUCGGCAAGAUAAUACAAAGGCAUACACGACAUGAUGAUACGAAAGAAAGCCGAUGCUAUGGCUGAAGAAGCUUCGACUUAAUAUUACGACGAAGCCGAAGGUCGUCACCGACUCAAGGGAAAAAUACUGUUUAGUCCUUGAUCACUCCCAUUAUGAUUGUAUGUAAAUGCCAGGGACAUAAAUGUAAUUAUGUCUGGGUUGUGUCCCGCGCCUAUAAAUAGAUGAACAGUACCCCCGUACUGUUUAGGCUGGAUUAUAAUCUCUCUCUCACGUCAUCUUUGCAUUCACACCUUCUGGCGAACCGAAGGUAUUAUUGUAUUAUGAAUAUUGUUAAUGUUGAUUCUUGUCUAUGGAUAUAAAUAUAAAUAAACUGCGAAGAUCUAAUCAUUAUUUAUAGUAUUUAAUUUUCUUUCGCAUUCUUAUUUAUAUUUAUGAUUAUAUGCUAAAAUGAUGAAGGCAUGUUCUUCGUGACCUUCGCCUGAAGAUCAUUAUAUCCGAAAUGAAAUAAUGCUUCGAAGGACGAAGGUCUUUAACUAUUAACAAUUAUGUUGCCUUGUUUUUGAUCUAUAGCAUUUGAGAACAAGUGACCAACAUUGGCGCCCACCUCCGGUGAACUCACUUCCACAAUUGUGACGAUGGCACUGCAAAGCAACCAACCUUCAGUUACGAAGCUAGUGCUCCCGAUCACAGGCGGUUCAACUUCUGAACCAGAUAACAAGAGGCAGAAGAAAGAAGCACAGAGAAGGGUACAACAUGUUGGGGUGCAAGGACCCUUCAUAAAGUCCAAGUGGUCCCAUAUUCCAAUCACCUUCUCUCAGGAAGACCUUCAGCUUAAGGAUUAUCCUCACAAUGAUGCAAUGGUCAUAUCUUGUGUUAUUAAGGGAUUUCUGGUCCACAAUGUCCUGACCGACACAUGUAGUGCAGCGGAUAUCAUCUUUGCAAAGGCUUUCAGGCAAAUGCAAGAGCCAGAUGACAAGAUAUAUGAUGCAACACACCCUCUUUGUGGUUUCGGAGGAAAACAAAUUGUGGCACUUGGCAAGAUAACAAUGUCGGUCACCUUCGGCUAAGUUCACAACACAAGGACAGAGCAGGUUGUCUUUGAUAUUGUUGAUAUGGAGUAUCCAUACAAUGCAAUCAUUGGUUGAGGGACGCUCAAUGCCUUCGAAGCUAUACUUCACCUAGCAUACCUUUGCAUGAAGAUACCAUUGGAACGAGGGCCCAUUGUUGUGCAUGAGAGUCAAGAAGCUGCUAGAAGAGCUGAAGGAAGUUGGACAGAUUCGAAGGCUAUUCAUAACAUAAAUGAAACUGAAUCUUAUCAGCAGUAUAAGAAUAAAAGAGAAAAAGUUGCUUCGGCAGAUCAGCCAAAGCCUAUGCUUUUGUGUGAAGACAUAGCAGAGCAAAAAGUGCUGCUAGGGUCUCAGUUAUCUGAUGAGCAGGAAAAGACUUUGCUAAGGUUCUUGUUUAACAACAAAGAUGUUUUUGCUUGGACAACUAAUGAUCUAUGUGGUGUUAAUAGGGACAUCAUCGAGCACUCACUCAAUGUAGACUCGUCCUUCAGACCAAGGAAGUAGAGACUUCAGAAAAUGUCUGAUGACAAGGCUGAAGGUGCACGAAAUGAAGUGAAAAGACUUCUAAGUGCCAGUGUUAUUAGAGAGGUAACAUACCCAAAGUGGCUGGCCAAUACAGUAAUGGUAAAGAAAGCCAACGAAAAAUGGAGGAUGUGUAUUGAUUUUACAGAUCUCAACAAGGCAUGUCCGAAGGAUGAACUUCCAUUGCCAAGAAUAGAUUCCCUUGUAGAUGCAGCAGCUACUUCGGAACUCAUGAGGUUAUUGGAUUGCUAGCUAUCACCAAAUCUGGAUGAAAAAGGAGGAUGAGCCGAAGACAAGCUUCAUAACUCCUAAUGACACCUAUUGCAACCUUCGGAUACCAAAGGGGUUCAAGAAUGCUGGAGGAAGCUUUAGCAGAAUGACUGCCAAAGUUCUCCACUCCCAAAUUGGCAGAAAUGUGCUUACAAAUUUUGAUGAUAUUAUAGUGAAAAGCACAAAGCAAGAAAACCAUGUCGCUGAUUUGCAAGAGACAUUUGCCAAUUUCAGACAAGCUGGUCUUAAGUUAAAUCCAGAAAAAUGUGUCUUCGGAGUGAAGAAGGGCAAGUUUCUUGGUUGUCUGGUAUCGACAAAGGGCAUCGAAGCUAACCCGAGCAAAAUCGAAGCUAUCCUUCGGAUGGAGCCGCCAAAUUCAAAAAUGGGGCUCAACGGUUAGCAGGAAGGUUAGCAUCGUUAAACAGAUUCAUUUCAAGAUCAGCAGAGAGGAACCUACCUUUCUUUGAAAUUUUGAAUCAGUCGAAGUCUUCCAAUGGGGUCCAGCUCAACAGAAAGCCUUCGAGGAGCUGAAGCAGUAUUUGAUAGAUUUAACAACUCUAACCCUUCAUCAGGGACCCCAUUACUUCUAUAUGUGGCUGCUUCCCAUGCUGCUGUUAGUGCGACACUUGUACAGGAAAAACAAGAUGGUCAAAUAAAAAAGCAAGCAUCGGUAUACUUCGUCUCCGAAGCACUCAGCCCAUCAAAGAAAAAUUACACAGAAUUGGAGAAGGUACUGUAUGCUGUAUUGAUGGCCUCCAGGAAGCUUCGGCAUCACUUCCAAGCAUAUCAUAUAAUAGUGCCUUCAUCACAAUCCUUAAAGGACAUAAUGAGGAACAGAGAAGCUACAGGAAGGGUCGAAAAAUGGGCCGCAGAACUCAAUGAAUUCACCAUUGAUUAUGUACAUAGAUCUUCAAUACAAUCUCAGGCGUUAGCAGACUUCAUUGUUGAUUGGACGCCAGGGACUCAGAAUGAAGAAACAAUAAAAGAUGUCGAAGCUUGGACGAUAUUUUGCGAUGGGUCAUGGGGGACCUUCGGUGCAGGGGCAGCGGUUGUCCUAGUUGCACCUUCCAAAGUCAGAACAUGUUAUGCAAUAAAAUUGGAUUUCAGUUGUACAAAUAAUAUUGCCGAGUACGAAGCCCUUCUCUUGGGGCUUUGGAAGCUAAAGGCAAUUGGAAUAAGAAGGGCAAUCCUCAAGACUAAUUCGCAAGUUAUCUCAGGCCAUGUGGACAAAAGCAGUAAGGCAACAGACCCGAAGCUUGAAAAGUAUUUAGAUGCAGUCUGAAGGUUGGAAGCCUCUUUUGAAGGAUUUUCUGUAAAAAAUAUCCCAAGGGGAGAGAAUGAGCAUGCAGACUUAUUAGCUAAAUCAGCGGCACAGAGGCUCCCUUUACCUUCGGAAGUAUUUUUUGAAACAAUAAAGGCACCUUCGGUCGAGCUCAUGGAAAGAGUAGUGCUCACAAUUUCACCUGUACAUAGUGAAGAUUGGAGGACUAAAAUUGUAUCCUUCCUCCAGGGCAACUGUUUUUCAGAUGACGAAGCUUACAACAAAAGAAUGGAAGCAAGGACAAGGCCAUAUGUCAUAAUAGAAGGAGAACUAUACAAGCACGGAGUUUGCUCUCCAUUGCUAAAAUGCUUGUCCAGAACCGAAGGACAAGAAUUAAUGAAGGACAUACAUGCAAGGAUAUGCGGAGCACACAUUGGGUCUAGACCUCUGCUAGGGAAAGUUUUCAGACAAUGUUUCUACUGGCCGAAGGCAGCUUCGGAUGCAGCAGAAUUAGUACAGAAAUGUGAAAAUUGCCAAAGAUGUGCCAGAGAUCAGAAGCAACCUUCGUCUUUGACUCAACUAAUACAACCAACUUGGCCACUGUAAAGGUGGGGUUUGGAUUUGUUAGGACCGCUACCACCAGCAUAAGGCAAACUAAAAUAUGUUGUGGUGGCGGUGGAAUACUUCUCCAAGUGGAUUGAGGCAAAGCCUCUGGCUACAAUAACUUUGGCCACAGUACAAAAAUUCUUUUGGCAAAGUAUCAUUUGUCAAUUUGGAGUGUCGAAUGCUAUCACCGUUGAUAAUGGAACUCAGUUCGAUGCUGAAACUUUCAAAACUUUUUGUAGCCAAAUUGGCACAAAAAUACACUUUGCAUCAGUGAGGCAUCCUGAGUAAAAUGGGUUGGUAGAAAUGACAAAUGGAAUCAUAAUAACAGGAAUAAUGAAGUCAAUUUUCAAUCAGCCUAAAGGAAAGUGGCCAGGCGAAUUAAUAAAGGUGGUUUGGAGCCACAAUACUGAUGUAUCAAGGUCAACAGGGUUUACUCUGUUCAAGCUUCUGUUCGGUGAUGAAGCAAUAACACCGGAAAAAGAAAGAACGGGUUCAAUAAGAACCUUAGCUUCGAUAAAAGAUGAAAGUGACUGCCAAGUAACAAAAGAUACCAUAAAAGGGACCAGACUUCAAGCCAUAGAGCACAUCAACAAAUAUCAGGCUGAAACAAUAAAAUGGUGUGACAGAAAAGUUAGAUUGAAAAACAUCAAGCCAGGUCAUUUAGUGCUUCGAAGGGUGGCUAACCCCGAUACAGUAGGGAAGCUUUAGCUUAAAAGGGAAGGCCCUUUCUUGGUAGUAUCUUUGUCAAGACCCGGUUCUUACAGGCUGAAGGAUAUGAACGACAACGACAUACCCAGUGUAACACCCCUGGUGUUACUGUCACUAAAACUUGAGCAUAACAUCAUGUGCAUGGGCAUAUCAUGUGUUUGUUACACCUAGAGUGCAUUCACUAGGUAAAAAUUUCAAACAAGUUGUACUGAUAUGACUUGAUGUGUGGUUAACCCUAGGGUAAAGUGCUUAACUUCAGAUCAAGGCUUAUGGAUAUAAGUGAAGCCCAAAUAUGUGAAAACCUUAAAGGACAUGAGACAUGAUCACAGGAUAUCAAAUUUGAAGGAAUUUAGUGACACCAAAACCCUAAAGUGUUAAAAACCCUAGAAAGACCCCUGAAAGACCCUAAACAAGAACCCUAGGGAGUUAAGUGUAAAUUUUGUGCACUUUUGGACCCAAGUGGAAAAACCAAAGUAUUAGAGCACCAUAAAUCAUAUGUUUCACACAUUUCAGGAUUUGCAAAUCAAAUUAUGGGAUUUGGGCUUAUUUGCAAAAAGGCACCCUAUGCCUCUCAUGUGCCUAAGUCCAAAAUCAGUUGAAUAGGGCUGACUUUGGAGCUCUACAUCUCAGGGUUCUUGAGGAUUUUGCAAUUGGUCAGUAUAGCAAAUUUGUAGAGCUAUGUAAGGAGAACAAAUGUGAUUAAGUGACCAAGCACUAGUGUUGCACAGAAAUGAGAGAUAAAUAGGCUUGAAAUUGGACUGUCAGUGUGACACCCCAGUGUCACCUAGGGUUUCUUCUUAGAGCUAACUCAAAAUCAUUAUCACAUGUGAACCAAAUUGAGGAAAGAACAUCAAAAAUUAAGAACAAAGGUUUAAGUAAGUCUUUUUCAUCUUAAGAAAUUCUCCUUAAUCAUGCCAUGCACCUCAAGGUAAGAAGAACUCAUAAACCCUAAAUACAUAAAGGGAAUUGGAGAAAAGACUUGGGAAAAAUACAAUAUUUUGAUAUGAACUAAAUAACAAAGUUUUAGUGAACUAAAUAACCUACAAAAUAUAGUAAGGAAGUUUGGCCAUUUGAAUUUUCCAAAAUCCCCAAAUCAGUCCAUGAACCACGGCCCUAUGGGAAAAUUCAGAAAUCAGAAUUCUGAAUUUUAGAACCCUUUCCCAAGUUUAGAUGUGUUCCCUAUAUUCCAAAACUCGAAACCAUAAAGUCCAAAUAUAAAAGUGGCGCCAAAUUUCCUUGAACAUGCUCUGGUGAAGUUUGAACUCAAACAAAAACAGUUUGACACGAUUUUGGCGCAGUUUGUCCUCGGGACUCGGCUGUCUGACACUUGCAACUUGGCGACGUUACAACUCUCUGUCCCUAGCCUAAAUCCGCGCAACAUAGAAACGACAAAGCACAAUCAGGGGAACAAAUCCUUCAUAGCGAUCUUACCCAAAUUUGCGAAGAUUUGCGCCCAAUCGGCGUUAGAACACGGCAAGAAGCAACGACUCCACGUGUUCGACCGCGGCUGACACGCCCGGUUCACGCCAGUUCACGCACCCGCGCCCAGCCGUGCACGCCCGCGCGCCCUCGCCGAUCCACGACCGCUCAUGCACCACGCUGUGCCUAUAAAGCAGCCUAAGGCCUCGGGCGUACCUCCCCGCGCGCUCUCAGUCCUGCCCGAGCCAAAGUUCACCGGACUUCGCCUCGAGCACGCCGCGCCACCGCCUGCCAAGCCACCCGAGCCUCGGCCACCGUGGCUAGCUCACUCCAGCCACUUCCAGGCCGCGCUAGUCGCUCGGUUAGCUUCGCCAGAGGCCCGUGAAGCUUCCCAAGUCCUCGGACCCGACAAAGCCUCACCGGAAACCCUGAAUCACCCUCGCCGGACGUCGGUCAUCCGCCGCCGCGCGUGAACCAAGCUAACCAGUAAGCCAUUUUCCAAUUCCUCGCACCCACGUCUUCCCUAGCAUCCAGUGAAGCUCUCUAACUCGUUCAAUUGGACUAUCGCGACGUGAGCAGGCCGAAUUCCUUGCUGCCGACGAGCUCGCCCGCCUGUGCGUGUGGACCGACCUACUCCGACCACCACCACCGACGAUCCACACCUCGACGUGAUCUCCAGAGACCCCCGGACCUCGCCCGACCCUUCACCGAAGAAACCUCGCCACCGGUAAGCCCCUCCGCCCUUUUCUUCCACCGCGGUCACUGUUCCAUUAAGGGAAGGACUGCUGGUUCGUUUUAGCAAAAUCCUAGGGGGUUUUCUGCAGAGUCAUAGACUCAGAUGAAUAGUGAACCGAGGACCUGUCUGUAAUACACUUAGAACCUUUCGCUAGGGACCCAGAUGCAAAACCAUUUUCCUUUAAACCAUUUCUGUUUGUUCUUUUUAAAAUAAGCAGAGAACUUAGAAAAUUUGUAUCUUGAGAAAUGUUCAACCAAAUUUAGUCCAACCAAUUUUACUGGAUUUAAAAUAUUAUGAAUUAUCAAAUAAAAAUAUUGAACCUUGUGCUUUCUGUUCUAAAAUUUAGAGUUUGGAAUUAAAUAAGGAAACUGCCCAAACCUUAUUAAAAUGAAGAAAAAUAGUUAUGCUUCUAUGCUGGACUUAAGAAAAUUUGUAGAAGUCCAAACCCAACUUAGAUACCGUUUAAAAAUAUUAAGCACCCCAGUAUUGAAAAUUUAAACAAGGUUAUCUAUUAAAAGCCAUAAUUUCCCAAAACUUAGGAAAAUGAGAAAGGCACUAGAAAAUAAUGAAUAGUGGAUGCAAAUAUUUUUCCUAGUCUACUUAAGUAAUGAAGAACCUAGGAAAACUAAAAGGAACCCUAGUCCAGAACAAAUUCAAGGUGAAAUGUUUUAUUAGACACUAAUAAAACUAGAAAGGCCAUUAUUAAAAAUAUAAGAACAAUUUCAAAAUUGGUAAGAAAAAUUUAGUAGACUCCUAACUACUAGGACACCACUGCAAAAAUGAUAAACACCCCAGCCCAUCAUUUUAAGUGGGUUGAACAAAUAAAACUUGGUAUUGAGCCAUAUUCCAAUUAAGUCAUAAGCAAGCCAAAAAGUGUGCAACAAUGGGCAAAUAAAUUUUUACCAGAUUAUUGAUGAAGUAGGCCACCAGAGAAUAAUGCAAAACCUAUUCAAAACUACAAAAUAAUACCCAUUGCCCCUACUUCAUGAAAAGGCCAUUUAAUUCAAGAAAUUCCUACCACCCUUCCCUUAAGCAAAAAGUUACCAAAUUCUAGAAUGAUUGCUCUUGCGCAAAGAAGAAGAUAGGAAAAAUUAGAAAUUUGUUGUUUGAUAUUUUUUAAGUAUAGUGGUAGUAGAAAGCACCCCUUUAGCUAGAAAAUUUAGAAAAUCAUAGUAAAAUAACUAAUGAGUAUUAGUGGAUAAAAGUUGGUACAAAGUCAAGUUAUAACAUCUAAAUGCCAGCAAAAAUAAGUCUUAGAGAAUAACCCACUGUUAAAAGGAAGUUAUAGUUCAAAACACCCCCUUUGCCCUAACACUUGAUAAUUUUGUAAUGAGAGAACCCCUUACUUUUUAAGCCCCAAAUUUUGAGACAGAGAGUUAUACACCAGUGAGAAGCCACUGUAAUUUUUACAGAAGUUUUGGAAAUUUUUAAAACUAUCUUGUAGUUCAAACCCACCUUAAAGGCAUAAAAGAAAAAGGAAAAGAAGAGAUAAAUUAGAAGGAAUAAUGAAUUUCACCCCAAUGAAUUCAGCUAGGAAUCUUAAUAAACUUUCACUAAGACAUUAAAAUGAAAUCAGUGGCACACUAAAAUAAACUUACCAAUUAGCUUAACCAAACUUGACCCUAAUCUGCUCCGUGUACCACAAAAAUCUCCAGUAGUAAGAUUAAGCUCUACCUUAUUAAUUUGAUCAUUCACCAUCAAAGUUUAAUUGCUAAAUUGCAUAUCAUGCCAUGCAUGUAUCUUACUCAUUGCAAUCACUAGAUUGCCAUCUCGCUGACGGAGAGUACGUGCUCAUCCCUGAGCAAGGAGCUGUCCACGAGGAAGACUAGGAGCAAGCUCCGGAGACUGCCAUCGAGGAUCUCCCCGCAGCCCCAGCAUUUGAGGGCAAGCCCCGAUUUUAAGCAUAAUCGUUUAUAUAUGCUACUUUACUACACUUAAUGUUUGUAGGCUUGGAAUGUGCACUUAAGUGUAGGAGUUGCUUAAAACCGUUAGUUGCAUGAACUCAGGAUUCCUUUUUGAGAUGGAUACUAGUAUGCUAGGUCGAGUAGGUGCUUUGCUAAUUAGGAUCUUGGUAGAAGUCGAGUGUUUUUUUAGCACUCGUGUGAGGUCAGGAAUUGAUUGUAUUCAUCUUGAUAAUGGGAUCUAUGAUGGUCUAUGGACUUGGAUCUAGGGUGGAUGCCUUGUCUAUGAGACGGGAAAAAGGAAUUAAGGAUUAAUGUGUGGAUACCUGAGUCAAGCGUUUGAACGUACUAAACACAUGUCGGGAAAUAUGGUAACCGGUAAACCUAGUACCUGAGUGAAGCCGGGCGCAGACUUUUCUCCUCACUUGUCCUGAGACUGGGUCUCCCAUGCUAGCUAUGGUGGGUACAAGUGCGAUCACUGCACGACGGCAGCCGGGGUCAGUGGAGCAUUGUAUGCCAAGGCGGUGAGCCCUGGCCGCGAACGGGGAAUCGAUGGGGACGAUUGACGUGUGUGGGGAUGGAGUGCCCCUACAUGUCGUGUGUUUAGGUUUACCUUGCAAGGUUAAAACUCAAUUCGAAUCAUCUGCUUCUCGCAGCUAAUGAGACUGCUUGACUCCUUGUACUACAUUGAGUAAGAAGUGAAAUGAGGCUUUAUAUGAGAUAACUUGUUGAUUGUAUUAAAUGACUGUUACCAUGUAUGCUUAGAAAGAGCAAACUUCGCUAAAAUAAUGAUACCAGAAAUGGAAAAGCUAAAAGUUGACCUAAGAUACAGCUAGUGCUUUUGGCAAACCAUACCCCUCAGCCAAACAGCUGCAUAGUCUAGAGAUGGAGGAGUAGAUUCCUCACACCGGGUAAGUCUAGCUGAGUAUUAGUAUACUCAUCCUUGCUUGUGGUAUAAUUUUUGCAGGUAUGCUUCAGGACAUGGUUGAUGGUGUGACUUGGCCUACCACCCUGCCACCGAGAUGGACGGUCGAGUGGGAUGCUGCUCCAGCAGGAGAGGAGCAGGAGGAGUAGUGGCUAGGCCUUGCCCUAUUCCUCACUUUCGACGAUAUCGAUUAUCCGAUGCAAUCUAUCUUAUGAACUUAUUUCAGUUUACUUGAAAAACUCUGAUUUAUGUAAUAACUACAGUACUUAAUUUGAGGUUUCCUGUUUUAUUGUAUUUCCUCUGUGACUCACCUUUGAGUGGGUUAGUGGUAUUUGAUCCUGGAUAAGUGGCUUUAUCAGACUAGAUCUGAGGGACUGACGGGUUAUUCUGAUUUAAGUGCGUUGCAGCCUUUAAGGCGUGACUUGGGCACUUAAGCUGGAAUAAUUCGGGCGGUUCUGCCACAGCUAGUAUCGGAGCAAAUACCACCACAGAGAAGAACAAUAAACCAUGAAUACCAAUUUUCAAAAAUCUAAAACUUGCUUAGAAACUAGUGUGAAUCGUCACGACUAGAACGCUAGAUCUAGGACGAAAGGCCUUAGGAAUAGUGGGAGAAAUAGGUGGCUAAUUAAGUAGGCCCUGUGGGCCAGUCCUUAGCUUUCUAAAAAGGAUGCCCUAAGAGCACCCUUUUAUUCGGAGAGAAGACGUUAUUUUCAGCAUACAUGCAUUAUAAAAACUAAAAGGAUUAGAAACUAAAGAAUUAAAAAUUUGAGCUAACCCGCUUCCUUUUAAACCACCCAGGCUCUUUUAUUUUCUUCUUUCACCAUAAUCUUUACAUCUGAUACCCUUCCGUAGAUGACCUCACCUACCCCCGCCAAGGAGGAGACAUUCGUUUUAGCUUUGAUUUCCUUUCUCACGAUGGUUUUCCUUCUAUCUUGUGGGAAGUGCUUAACUCCGCCGGUUACCCUACGCCCCCUUUGUACACGGUGCAGCUGUACGAGGAGCAUCAGGUACCACGUUGCCGAGUCUGGCUGACUCUGGAGGCUCAUCCCCUUCAGCCGGGUUGGUGUUCCCUUGACUCCGAGACGAUUGGAUUUAGGACAAACGACACCACUGAAGCGGCAGCUAUGAAGACCCUGACAAAUUUCUGUGGCUACCAUCCCCUGGAGAUGGUGAUGCACCCCUUGGGACUCUUCCCUGCUUAGAAGAAGGAUGACCCCAUGUGGUGCAACCGUGUGAGCCAUGUGAAGGACGUAUGGGUGAUGUAUCCUGAUUUGGUUGGGAGGAUCACUGUUCAGUGCAUGAGCGCACUGUACAACCUUCAGGCCCUACAGAACGACGCAAUGGCACAUCUUGCUAACCUUGCUCAAACCACCAAGCUCACUCUCGACAGCCGAGAGGACUUCGUGGUCGACUUGUCCUCAGAGCUGGUAGAGAAGGACCUACAGGUGGAAAGGCUGAGCCAGCGCAUCACCACCUUGGAGCAGCAGGUGGAGAUCCGAGACAACACCAUUGAUGUCUUGGAAAACUAGCUCCAUGAUGUGCAGCAGAAACUUGAAGAAGCUAAUGACCACCUGGACAUGUACCACCUGGAGAUGGAGGCCAAUGAGGCCGGAAGCGAGGGAGAAGAGGCUCCUGAGGAGUUAGGACCAGCUCAUGGUGCCAAUGUGACUGCCUCCGCGAUGCCCCCUUCACCCGUAUCCAGUGUCGCUUCUACUACUCAGGGUCGAUGAGUCGUUUUGACGCUUUAGGAGGAUAGAAACCUACGUGAGCUUAGUAAUGACAGAUUUUGGACUAGGCUUACAGGUACUUUUCCCUAAUUGAUGUAACCCUUGAGAACUUUUGAGAUCCGUCGAAUGUUUGUAACCAUGUUAUCCUCGUUCGAACUUAAUGUUAUGAUUAUGGCAAUUUCCUUCCAUAUGAGAUAAUAGCAUGUUGUUCGAAAUUGUGAUGUGGGAUAACAAUGGCAGCAAUCUCUUUUUCAGAUGGCAGCCAGGCAGCGCCGCGGGCAUAACGAGCAAGUUCCCCCGCCGCCUCCCCCAGCUCCCACAGUGCAAGAACUGAUGGCUUAGCAGAACGAAAUUCUGCGACAGCUCUUGCAGCGCCAGCCCCACCCUCAGCAGUAUGGUGGAGGCCAGCCGCAGCGACCUCGGCCGCGGCAACCUACCAGGAGUUCCUGAGACCGCCCUUGUUCACCAAGACAGAAGAUCAGUUGGACGCUGACGUGUGGUUACGUGUCGUGGAGUCCAAGUUUCCCCUCCUCAUGGGAGACUGCCCUGAUGACACCAAGGCUCGAUUCGCCGCGCAGCAGCUUCGCGGACCUGCUCGGACUUGGUGGGACUAUUUCCGUGCGAUGCUACCUGCUGGUCAUGAAGUUUCUUGGGAGGAAUUCAAGACUGCUUUCAGAGGGCACCACAUCCCAGCUGGAAUUCUUGAUCGCAAGCUGAAUGAAUUCCUGGCACUCAAUCAAGGAACCCGCACGAUAUUGCAGUAUGCUCAGGCCUUCAACGACCUAUGCCAGUAUGUAGGUUAUCAUGCUGGUUCCGAUGAGAAGAAGAGAGACCGCUUCCGCAGGGGUCUCAACACCAAGUUGCGUGACCGUCUCAACACUGUCCGGGCUGAUAGCUUCAAUGAGUUGGUCAACCAGGCCAUCUCCCAAAAGGAUUGUAUUGUUGCUCACCGGGUAGAGAAGAAGAGGAAGGCACCAAUGUCAGCUCCCUCCGCUCAGACCCAGAGGUUCAGGACUGUUUCCCACAAUCAGAGCAGGGGAUUUCAGCAACAGGCAGGCAGAUGGGUGAUCAGGCCACCUCAGCAACAGUAGCCAUCACCCACUUGUUUUCCAGCUCCCGCUCCAAGGAACAAUCAACCUCCGUAGCAGCAGUAGUUCCGCCAGGGAAACGGGAACAAGUGCUUCACUUGUGGCAAUGUGGGCCACUAUGCCAAGAAUUGCCCAAGAAAUCAGCAGAGGCAGAUGCCAGCACCAAAUCAAGACAAGGGAAGAAAGCAUAAGGUGCAAGUCAGGCAAGGGAAGCUCAACUUCACUACUCUGGAGGAGUUACCUGAGGGAGCCCCAUCAUGACUGGUAUCUUUUCAGUUUUUAAUCAACCUGCAUUAAUUCUGUUUGAUUCUGGUGCAUCUCAUAGUUUCAUUAGCCAGAAAUUCAGUGCUAAAUGUCAACUGCCUUUCUAUCAUGCCAAAGGGUCCUUCAUGAUAGCAACACCUGGGGUAAAAUUGCAACCAACCAAUUAAACCGAAAUGUGCCUAUCUCAAUGGGAAGUAGAAUCUUCAAAACCACACUCCUGAUUUUAGGGUUAGAAGGUAUGGACAUCAUUCUCCGACUGGAUGACUCAACACCGAAUGGUGUUGGAUGUAGCUGCUAGAGCUUUGGAGAUCCGUUCUCCUACCUUCGAAGACCUUGUGUUGUAUUUACCCAGCAAAGAUUCUACUCGAUCAUGUGCUUUUGCUAUGAUAGAGUUACCCUUGAAGAAGAUUCCAGUGGUCUGUGAGUAUGUGGAUGUUUUUCGGAUGAAUUACCAGGAAUGCCCCUAGACCGGGACAUUGAAUUCGCCAUCGAGUUGCAACCGAGAACGACACCUAUUUCCAAGAGGCCUUACCGGAUGCCACCCGCUGAGUUGGCAGAAUUGAAAAAGCAAUUGCAAGAAUUGCUGGACAAAGGUUUUAUCCGCCCAAGUACUUCGCCUUGGGGAUGUCCAGCCUUGUUUGUGAAGAAGAAAGAUGAAAGCUUGAGGCGAUGUAUAGAUUACCGCCCACUUAAUGUGGUGACUAUCAAGAACAAGUAUCCUUUGCCUCGUAUUGUUGUUCUUUUCGAUCAGUUGGUCGGAGCCAAAGUGUUUUCCAAGAUAGACCUUCGCUUCGGCUAUCAUCAGAUCAAGAUACGAGCAAGUGAUAUUCCGAAGACUGCCUUCUCAACCAGAUAUGGGUUGUAUGAAUUCUUGGUGAUGUCAUUUGGGCUGACUAAUGCACCAGCAUACUUCAUGUAUCUAAUGAAUUCUGUUUUCAUGCCUGAACUAGACAAGUUUGUUGUGGUUUUCAUCGAUGAUAUCUUGGUGUACUCAAAGAACAAAGAAGAGCAUGCCGGUCAUUUGCAUGUAGUGCUUCAACGUCUGCGAGAGCACCGUCUUUAUGCCAAAUUGUCAAAAUGUGAUUUUUGGCUAAAGGAAAUUAAAUUCUUGGGUCACACUAUCUCUCAGGCAGGCAUAGCUAUUGAUCUUGAUAAGGUGCAAGAGGUGAUGAACUGGAAGACGCCAACAACUGUCCGUCAGAUUCGAAGUUUUCUGGGAUUGGCUGGUUAUUAUCGAAGAUUCAUUCCGGAUUUCUCUCAAAUUGCGAAGCCCAUAACUGAAUUGUUGAAGAAAUAAGCCAAGUUUGUUUGGGGUCAGAAGUGCGAAGAUGUCUUCCAUACAUUGAGGCAACAUCUGACCACAGCACCGAUGUUAGUGCAACCCGAUAGCAGCAAGCCAUUUGAUGUGUAUUGUGAUGCCUCUGGCACUGGACUGGGUUGUGUUUUGAUGCAAGACAACCGAGUCAUUGCUUACGCAUCAAGAGCACUCAGGCCUCAUGAGAAAAAUUAUCCCACUCAUGACUUGGAGUUAGCAGUCGUGGCCCAUGCAUUGAAAAUAUAGACACUAUUUGAUGGGAACCCACUGCAACAUCUUCACAGAUCAUAAGAGCCUUAAGUACAUCUUUACUCAGCCUGAUCUCAACAUGAGGCAGAGAAGAUGGCUAGAGCUGAUCAAGGACUAUGACUUGGAGGUACAUUAUCACCCAGGGAAAGCCAAUGUGGUAGCAGAUGCCUUGAGUCAGAAAUUGCAAUGCAACUGUGUUAUGAUGGAUUCUCGCAUCAACACCCUAUGUGAUGAGUUGAGCAAAAUGAAGAUUGAAGUGAUUCCUUUUGGUGCUUUGUCUCACAUUUCCGUUGAGCCAAAUUUGCAAGACCAGAUCAUCAUGGCCCAACUCAGUGACAAGGAAGUGCAAAUCAUUAAAGAGAACCUCCGUCAGAAGACAGAGAAAUAUAAAUGUUUCUGCCAAGAUGGAAAGGGUAUAUUGUGGUUCGAAAGCAGAUUGGUGGUUCCUAAAAAUAAGGAUCUCAAGAAGAAAAUCUUGGAUGAGGCCCAUCUCUCCAAAUUCUCCAUGCACCCAGGAAGCACUGAAAUGUACCAUGAUAUGAAGCCCUUGCAUUGGUGGACCAGAAUGAAGAGGGAGAUAGCCCAAUAUGUAUCAUAAUGGGACACAUGUCAGAAGGUAAAGGCAAGCCACUUGAAAUCAGCUGGAGCAUUGCAACCCCUAUCUAUACCUUCGUGGAAAUGGGAUGACAUCAGCAUGGAUUUUAUUGUGGGUCUGCCCAACACCUCUCGUCAUCAUGAUUCAAUUUGGGUUAUUGUGGACCGAUUGACGAAAGUGGCACAUUUUCUCCCAGUGCACACCACUGAUAAGGCUCAGAAGUAUGCAGAGCUGUACAUUGACCGAAUCGUGUGUUUGCACGGAUUGCCCCAGACCAUUGUCUCUGACCGAGGAACCCAUUUUUUUGCCAGAUUCUGGGAACAACUGCAAGAGUCUUUGGGAACCAAGCUAAUCAGAAAUUCAGCUUACCACCCGCAGACUGAUGGCCAGACUGAGAGGGUAAAUCAAAUCCUGGAAGAUAUGCUAAGGGAUUGUGCGAUCGAUUAUGGCAAGAACUGGGAUAAGCCCCUCUCCUUGGCAGAGUUUUCUUAUAACAACAGUUAUCAAUCCAGCCUAAAGAUGGCACCUUUCGAAGCCCUAUAUGGAAGAAGGUGUCGGACACCCCUCAAUUGGUCUUAGCCUGGAGAAAGAGAAAUUUUUGGACCCGACUUAGUGACUAAAGCCGAAAGGAAGGUCCAACUAAUCAGGAAGAAUCUAGAAGCUGCUCAGGCCAGGCAGAAGAGUUACCAUGAUAAGAGAAGGAAACCUCUCCAGUUCGAGGUGGGAGAUUUCGUAUAUUUGAAGGUAUCACCCACCAAGGGAGUGCAGAGGUUUGGGAUCAAAGGCAAGUUAGCCCCUCGUUACAUUGGACCUUAUGAGAUCAUAGAAGCAUGUGGAUCUGUGGCAUACAAAUUGAAGUUAACUCCAAAAAUGUCUGCCAUCCACAAUGUAUUCCAUGUAUCCCAACUAAAUAAGUGUGUUCGAUUGCCGACUGAGAUCAUAGCUGUAGCAUCCCAAAAAUUCAAAUCUUGAAAUUUUCUCAAACUCCCUCUAAAUUCAAAAUGAAUUUCAAAUUUCAUUUCAAAAUGUUUGUUUGCAAGUUGAUAACAACAAAUAAAUUACAGUGGUCUAUAUUCUCUCCAAAAUCCUCCUCAAAAUAUCCUACAAAUAUUUCCCCAGUGAUCCCCCUCAAAUUCUUUCAGAAAUACCGCCCAGAUAUUUCCCUAGUGAUCCUCUUCAAGUUCUUUCUAGAAAUACUGCCCAAAUAUUCCACCGAUAUAUCUCCAGGUAUUUUCCUCUUGAGAAAUACCUUCAGAAUCAUUUUCAAGUCCCUACAAAUAUUUUAUUCAUAACUUUCCUCAUGCUCAUACGUAUACGUAUGCCUCCAGUGUCAUACGGUGAGCUCUACAAGCUAAUCUCACUUAUACAAGACAAAUACAUGCUAAUCUCCCACUAAUCCUCUCAUCCUCCCACUAAUCCUCUCAUCCCUCCCCCUAAUCCCCCCGCCAUGGCUAUAAAUAGAGGGGCAAGGGCCUCCUCUCAUCCCACCCCAAGCCAUUUCAUGGCAACUCUCUUCCCCCCCACACACACACCCACUCCAUGUUCCACACAAGCACACACUAGCACAAGGAUCGUUCGAUCGUUCUUCGAUCGUUCGUCCCCUGUUCUUAGUUUGUUCGUUCGUUCGUCCGAUCGAUUGAUCGUUCGUCCGAUCGUUCAUGGUUCGUUCGUCCGUUCGUCCGAUCGUUCGAUCGUUCGUCCGUUUGUUCAUCCAAAUAAUCUUUUUCCUGCCGUUAUGCUGCCGAAAUUCCGAUCGUUCGUUCGUUCGAUCAUUCGAUCGCUUAUCGUUCGUUCAUAGUUCCUAUUCAUCAUUCAUCGUUCGUUCAUAGUCCCUAUUCAUCGUUCUUCCAGAUAAUCUUUGUCCUGCCGUUAUGCUGCCGAAAUUCCGAUCGUUCGUUCGUCCGAUCAUUCGAUCCUUUGUUCGUUCGUUCAUAGUCCCUAUUCAUCGUUCAUCGUUCCUAUUCAUCGUUCAUCGUUCGUUCAUACGACUAUUCACCAUCACUAUUCACCGUUACUAUUCAUCAUUACUAUUCACCAACACUAUUCACCAUCGUUACUAUUCAUUGUUGCUAUUCAUCAUCGUUACUGCUCAUCGAUGAUAUCUAUAGUAACUUUUUCGUCAUCACUAUUCAUUGUUAUUAUUCAUCGAUUAGCCGAUCACCCCAAAUUUCAACUACUCAUACAUCAUGUUGUCCAGUCCACCUAAGACCAGCCUGACCCAUAUUCCAGUCAUACGAACUCCGGUGACUGUGAUUUUCCUUCCAGUGGGAACUUCCCAUCUGGUCACCCAUCCCAGGUUUCUCCAAGUUGAGCACGCUUAACUUUGAGAUUCCUUCGAACCAGGCUUCCAAACUCAGAUUCCAAUAAUUCUUGUUUCUAAAUUCUUAUCAAACUACUCUCUAUCCAACCAUGUCAUCCCUUAAGCCUGGUCCAUAUUCCAGAAAAACUCCCAAAAUACUCUUGUCCUAUAUUCUGCCUAUAACUCUCCUGUUCAUACUAAGUCAGACGAUUCAUUCAUCACUAUUCUCACCAACAGUGAACUUCACUGUGCUACACCACAUACACCCAGCUAUAAAUACACCUAGCUACCCUCUCCCUCUCCACACACACUCAACACCCUCAGCCAAGGCAAACACCCCACCCACUCAGUUACUCUGCUCUGCCGGCCACACGCAUAGUGUCGCUUCGCCUCCAGUCCACCCUCCUGGUAAGCACCUCCGCUCCACCACCAGUAAUAUCACAACACCACAUGACACAGAUUCUACUCAAGACUAUACCCAUCCAUAUAUCACUAUUCUGACCACUAUACUAAAUAUUUGUUGGUAUACUUGCUUGGUUGUAUGUUUGCUUGUUCAUGUUGCAUAGUUAUCGGAGCGUUCGUGCCGUCUCGUGGAGGCCAGAUCUGCAAGUCUACGCCAGGCGGUGGAGCAAGAAGCCAGUUCCGCGAGCUCCCCUUCCCCCUUCGCCGAAUAAGCACGACAAGCUCACUGGAUCCCUUUGAUGCAUAAAUUACCUAUGAUGUUUUCAACCACAACCCUCAGCCUGUUAUUUUAUGCAUGAUAUGAUUUUGAGACAAGUUAUUAUGGCCACCCAGCCGCUUGCCGCAAUCAAUCCCUGAUAUAUAUGUUCCAAAUGAUUUGAGAACAGGUGUGAGUUUUCAAAAGAAAAUGCUUUUCAAAAUGUGUGUGAUGAAGGGUUUUCACCCUUAUCACCUUGUGAGUGGGAUAAUUAGGGACUCCCUGGUUUAGGGGAGGGCCUAAGGUGUUGGCUCAGCUGGUUUAGGCGUGAGCAGAAGGAUUGUCCCCUCUUAUAAGGACCGGUUUGUCAUCUUCACUACAUGUACUCUUUAAUAGUACAACCACUCGAGACUGUGUGGGAAGUCACUCAAUCUGAACUCGUACGGUCCAACCCCAGGGUUAUAAAGGCUGGGGAGCAUCGGGAGGAUAAGGAGGGGGAAAGUUUUGUUCGGUUUGGACAUGGUGGUGGCCUGACUCCUUCCGGAUAACCGUUAAGGUUAGGACGUGCGGGGAAAGAAAGAGAGUCGGAUUCGGGUCUCAUUGGCCAUGGGAUCGCAGAGCCGAACUAAUGGGUAAAGUGUACCCCUCUGCGCAAAGUUUGAAAACCAAUUCAAAUAGUCUGUGUCCACAGGAAUGGACGAGUCUGGUAUGGUAUGGCAAUUAAUGUUUUGUUUUCCAAAAAAAGAGAUGCUUUUGAAAAGUGGUUUUUAAAAGGUCUGGCUGUUGAACCGUGAGCUAUGGUGGACGGGAAGUCCAGUAGCUGUUAUUGGAAAUGAAAACCUGUGGGAAACUGCUGAGAUACCUAGAUGGUUUAGUCCAAGGGAUUUUGCUAUAAUACUGAAAAACUUCCUGCUCCUUUUGGAGAGGAUGCGCUUUGCAAAAAUACAAAAUGUUUUUCAAAACAACUCUGCAUAAAAUAUUGCUGUUUCUGCAAAAUAUCCUGAGCUCCACAUAUUCCAUUCAUUAUAUCUAAUUUCCCCAUUCCGCAGGUGAAGGUGGGUUGCUGAGUACGUUUGUACUCACCCUUGCUUAUUUGUUGUUUUUCAGAAAAGGAGAUCGGGUAAGAGUUACGACUGUUCCCAACCUUGCCUGUGGCUGUUGGACCGCUGAUUUGCUUCGCUGCGUAUAUCGGGCUGCUUCAGCCCCACUCUGAUGAUAUGUCCCGAGUUGUGGAUCAACUCUUAAAGUUGAUCGCCACCUUUAUAGGUUUGUCUCGUUUAAGCAGAUCUGUAAUCAUCUGAUGUAUAAAUGUGUUUACUAGCCUCCUGGGACUAGUAAUUGUAUCACAUUUGAGUCCCAGAGGAUUGGGACGCUUCAAUAGCAGAACCAGAAUUGGAGAUAGAACCAGAUCUAUCGUACCAAGAGUACCCUUCCAAGGUUCUGGAUUGCAAAGAAAGAUCAACUCGGGCUAAAUCAAUCAAGAUGUAUAAGAUCCAAUGGAGUAAUUACUCAGAAGAAGAGGCUACUUGGAAGGCUGAGGAAUUUCUACGUUCCAACUUCCCCGAUUGUCUACCUAAGGAAACUGGUAUGUAAUCAUGCCCAACCCCUCCCCUACCCUUUGAAUCAAAACAUAAGAAAAAUGAUCUUAAUAUAGAAAGAGUUAAUUGUAAGACUAAAAUUAAAAGGACUUCCUUCUGAAGUUGCCAAGAAGAACCUUAAUGAAUAAACCACCCACUUCAAGCAAGCAUUAACCCUCACUUCACCCCAGGAGGACUCUGACCCGCAUCUCGGGACGAGAUUCCUUUAAGGGGGGAAGGCUGUGACACCCCAGUGUCACCUAGGGUUUCUUCUUAGAGCUAACUCAAAAUCAUUAUCACAUGUGAACCAAAUUGAGGAAAGAACAUCAAAAAUUAAGAACAAAGGUUUAAGUAAGUCUUUUUCAUCUUAAGAAAUUCUCCUUAAUCAUGCCAUGCACCUCAAGGUAAGAAGAACUCACAAACCCUAAAUAAUCAUAAGUGGGCCAUUUAAGCACAUAAAGGGAAUUGGAGAAAAGACUUGGGAAAAAUACAAUAUUUUGAUAUGAACCAAAUAACAAAGUUUUAGUGCACUAAAUAACCUACAAAAUAUAGUAAGGAAGUUUGGCCAUUUGAAUUUUCCAAAAUCCCCAAAGCAGUCCAUGAACCAAGGCCCUAUGGAAAAAUUCAGAAAUCAGAAUUCUGAAUUUCAGAACCCUUUCCCAAGUUCACAUGUGUUCCCUAUCUUCCAAAACUCGAAACCAUAAAGUCCAAAUAUAAAAGUGGCGCCAAAUUUUCUUGAACAUGCUCUGGUGAAGUUUGAACUCAAACAAAAACUGUUUGACACGAUUUUGGCGCAAUUUGUCCUCGGGACUAGGCUGUCUGACACUGGCAACUUGGCGACGUUACAACUCUCUGUCCCUAGCCUAAAACCGCGCAACAUCCACACACAAACUACAAAGCACAGUCAGGGGAACAAAUCCUUCACAGCGAUCUUGCCCAAAUUCACGAAGAUUUGCGCCCAAACAGCGUUAAAACACGGACAGAAGCAACAGCUCCACGUGUUCGACCACGGCUGACACGCCCGGUUCACGCCAGUUCGCGCACCCGCGUCCAGCCGUGCACGCACACGUGCCCUCGCCGGUCCACGACCGCCCAUGCACCGCGUCGUGCCUAUAAAGCAGCCCAAGGCCUCGGCUGUACCUCCCCACACGCUCUCAGUCCUGCCCGAGCCAAAGUUCACUGGACUUCACCUCGAACACGUCGCGCCACCGCCCACCAAGCCACCCGAGUCUCGGCCACCGCGGCCAGCUCACUCCAGCCACUUCCAGGUCGCGCCAGUUGCUCGGUUAGCUUCGCCAGAGGCCCGUGAAGCUUCCCAAGUCCUCGGACCCGGCAAAGCCUCACCGGAGACCCCGAAUCACCCUCGCCGGACGUCGGUCACCCGCCGCCGCACGUGAACCAAGCUAACCAGUAAGCCAUUUUUCAAUUCCUCGCACCCAUGUCUUCCCUAGCAUCCAGUGAAGCUCUCUGACCCGUUCAAUUGGACUAUCGCGCCAUGAGCAGGCCGAAUUCCUCACCGCCGACGAGCUCGCCCGCCUGCUCGCGUGGACUGACCUACUCCGACCACCACCGCCGACGAUCCACACCUCGACGUGAUCGCUCGACCCUUCACCGGAGCAACCUCUCCGUCGGUAAGCCCCUCCGCCCUUUUCUUCCGCCGUGAUCAUUGUUCCAUUAGGGGAAGGACUGCGGGUUCGUUUUAGCAAAACCCUAGGGGGUUUUCUGCAGAGUCAUAGACUCAGAUUAAUAGUGAACCGAGGACCUGUCUGUAAUACACUUAGAACCUUUCGCCAGGGACCCAGAUGCAAAACCAUUUUCCUUUAAACCAUUUCUGUUUAUGCUUUUUAACAUAAGCAGAGAACUUAGAAAAUUUGUAUCUUGAGAAAUGUUCAACCAAAUUUAGUCAAACCAAUUUUACUGGAUUCAAAAUAUUAUGAACUAUCAAAUAAAAAUACUGAACCUUGUGCUUUCUGUUCUAAAUUUUAGAGUUUGGAAUUAAAUAAGGAAACUGCCCAAAUCUUAUUAAAAUGAAGAAAAAUUGUUAUGCUUCUAUGCUGGACUUAAGAAAAUUUGUAGAAGUCCAAACCCAACUUAGAUAUUGUUUAAAAUACUAAGCACCCCAGUAUUGAAAAUUUAAACAGGGUUAUCUAUUAAAAGCCAUAAUUGCCCAAAACUUAGGAAAAUAUGAAAGGCACUAGAAAAUAGUGAACAAUGGAUGCAAAUAUUUUUCCUAGUCCACUUAAGUAAUGAAGAACCUAGGAAAAAUAAAAGGAACCAUAGUCCAAAACAAAUUCAAGGUGAAAUGUUUUAUUAGGCACUAACAAAACUAGAAAGGCCAUUAUUAAAAAUAUAAGAACAAUUUCAAAAUUGGUAAGAAAAAUUCAGUAGACUCCUAGCUACUAGGACACCACUGCAAAAAUGAUAAACACCCCAGCCCAUCAUUUUAAGUGGGUUGAACAAAUAAAACUUGGUAUUGAGCCAUAUUCCAAUUAAAUCAUAAGCAAGCCAAAAAGUGUGCAACAAUGGGCAAAUAAAUUUUUACCAGAUUAUUGAUGAAGUAGGCCACCAGAGAAUAAUGCAAAACCUAUUCAAAACUACAAAAUAAUACCCAUUGCUCCUACUUCAUGAAAAAGGUCAUUUAAUUCAAGAAAUUCCUACCACCCUUCCAUUAUGCAAAAAGUUACCAAAUUCUAGAAUGAUUGCUCUUGCGCAAAGAAGAAGAUAGGAAAAAUUAGAAAUCUGUUGUUUGAUAUUUUUCAAGUAUAGUGGUAGUAGAAAGCACCCCUUUAGCUAGAAACUUUAGAAAAUUAUAGUAAAAUAACUAAUGAGUAUUAGUGGAUAAAAGUUGGUACAAAGUCAAGUUAUAACAUCUAAAUGCCAGCAAAAAUAAGUCUUAGAGAAUAACCCACUGUUAAAAGGAAGUUGUAGUUCAAAACACCCCCUUUGCCCUAACACUUGAUAAUUUUGUACAGAGAGAACCCCUUACUUUUUAAGCCCUAAAUUUUGAGACAGGGAGUUAUACACCAGUGAGAAGCCACUGUAAUUUUUACAGAAGUUUUGGAAAUUUUUAAAACUAUCUUGUAGUUCAAACCCACCUUAAACCCACCUCAAAUUUGAGUAAUAAACCUAUUUCUGAUGCUUUGAGCUUCAGUGGGAAUAUCAACUAAAUCUGACGUUGAUAGGCUGAAGGUUGGCUUGUUAACCGUUUUUGCAUGAGUGCAUCCGGCCUUCAAAAACACAGCAGUUGUGCCACGAGAAGCUAAUAGAGCACAAAAAUCCCCGUGCCCAGUUAUAACUUCAUCGAGAGCUUCAACUUCGUUUUCAAUAUGCUCGAAGGCCUUGGGGAUAUUUUCAGCCGAAGGGGCAAUUUCUUCAGAGCUAGCCCCAACCGAGUUGAAUAUUCCUUUCAGUCAGUUUACACAGCGGGUGGCGAAGUCCAUGCACUUGUUCCGAAGGUCUUUCAUAGACUCACGAAGCUUCGUAUUUUUCUCAGCUUCGGCUUCAGCCCUUGAUUGCAGUUCUUUUAUUUCUUGGUCGAAGCUCUCUGAUUUUUUGUUCAAAAUUGUUCGAGCAUUGACAAGUUCCUCGCUUAAUUUGGUGUUCUGAGAUUGUGCUUCCGCGAGGGAGCAUUCGAUUGCUUGCAGCAGGAAAUCCUUCUUCUCUAAAGAAGCUUCAAGAUCUUUUAUCUUAUUUUCCAAGCCUUCAAUUAUAAUUUCGUUUUUCCUAUCUUCGUUAUCCUGCUGCAUUUUCAACGCUUUGCUUAGCAGCAUGCUCUGCAACAACAAGUUAUAGUCAGAACAUUUAAUUCACCACAAAGAUGAUAAUAAUAACUUAGUCAAAGGUCUCACCUUGAAGUUGGAAUAAAAUAAGCUACCAACAAUAUGUUGCCGUCGGUAGCAGCUGAUAUCAGUUUCUAGCUUCGGAAAGCCGACACUAUUCAAUAAAGUGCUGACUAUCUUCGCCCCGGCGCGGUCGCGGAUACAUCCUAAGAUCUCUCCAUCAACCCCGCUGAAAAGCAAAGACCCCGGUUGGUAUCCACACAACACAGCAAAUUCUUUUAGCUCCAUUUUUUCUUCUUCAGAAAGCUCUUGACCACCCAGGUGCCGAAGGUUGAAAUCUUCUUCGCUCGAAGGACCGGUAUCAAUUUCCCUUUCUUUAUCUGGCGCUGUGGCCAUGUCCUCCUCUGCAGCCACAUCUUUAAUUACAUCUGAUAUAACCCUAUCAAUAUCUGGCAUUGUAGCUUCGGCUUCAUCGGUGCCCUUGGCUUCGACAGCAGCUUUAGCUUCGGCACCCGCAGCAGUCACGGUCUUAGCCGCCGAAGCUGAAGGCGGUGUUCGUUCAAUGGCUUGCAUCACAUUUACUAUUCGUCGUUUCUUUUGCUCUUUUAUUUUCUCCUCUGCAACCGAAGGCUGUCCUUUCUUCUGUAAAAAUUGUGUCAGUUCUGAUCCCAGUGGACUUAGCAGCUUGAAGGGUGGGGAGUCAGUCAUUACCUUCAGAAUCUCUGCUUCUUCGGCAGCAGAGGGCAUCGAAGGAGCUUCUUCUCCCGCUUUCGGCUCAGAAUAAGGCACUAUGCUAAGCUUUCGCUUCUUAGAAAUUGCCAUAUUUGGCUCUUGUGUUGUUCUUGGUUUCUUCAAAACUUUUUCAUCUUCCUUUAUCAAUCGGGCAGCUUGCCUACUCAGAAUGCUGACUAUUCUUUUUCUUUUUAUCCCUUCGGCCCCUUUGUCGAGCUUCUCAUAGUCAAGAUAAUCGAAGUUUAAGGCAUCCAUAACACGGUUUAGCCUUCGUUUUGGCCGGGUGUCGAAGGCGGCAAUCAUCAAUUGAUCUUCUAUUUUGGUAUAAUUACCAAGUAUUUUGUUGCACAUGGUUUCAAUCAUCUCCAGCCAUUCGUUGCAAGGUUUCUUGAAUUUUUUUUCAAAUUUAAAAUGGUAGGGGAGCCGUAUAAGCUCAUGCUUCCCCCCCCCCUUCUUUUUUCUUCGGCAUCCCCAACCACUGGAAGUUGGAAAUGUCUUGUUUGCCAAAUAUUCUUGUACUAGGUCACUAGUACUAAUUUCGGCAGCUAUCACUCUAAACUCAACUUCGGCUACCUGGCAUGGGGAGCCAAGUUGCAUAUGGCACAAGUGCCUAGUCAUUCUGAAGCUUAGUUUCAUGGGCUUCAUGACCAUAGUCAUCAAUUUCUCCCUUUUCUUCUCGUCAGCUUUCACAUAAAACCAUUCAUUUGUCCACCCGGUUGGCCAUUUAGUGCGAUAGCCAAUUAUUGGAGCCUUCAUAUCUUUUCUAUAUGCAAAGUUGUAACAGCCAAAGUUCUUAUGAAGACCAUCUGCUCUGGCCUUCGUCUAAUAGUACAGUUCGUGCACCCGGCAAAAAGCUUCGGCAUUAGCGUUCAUACCCUAGCUUCGGAGAGCCCAUAUAAAAACAUUGAGCCUAACAAUAGCAUUAGGUGUCAAUUGAUGAAGGUAUAUCUCAAAGUUCUUUAAAACUUCCCCUAUCAUGUCAUUUAAGGAGACCGAAGUCCUGCUCUGAAGAAGCUCUUGAAAACGACAACUUCGUCCUCUUUUGGAUCCGCAACAUUUUCCUCCCCAGCAAACCGGACAAGCUUGCUCUCAGUCUCCCCGAAAUAGCCAAGUUUCCUCAUCAUAACCAUGUCAUCCUCUGUUACAGUAGAUUUCCCAAACUCAAUGUGGCUAGGCUUUGUUGGGCUCAGAAUACUGUUAUCUUCUUCAUUUUCAUCGUCACUUUCGCCUCCAACUACAAUCUAUUCAGCUUCGGCAUUAGAGGCACCUUCGGCAGCAACUUCCUCUGAAACAACCAGACCCGACCGCUUCACCACUUCUGAAAUUGGUGCCGUUUCGACAAUUUCGGCCUCCUCUCCUUCAUGAGAUACCUAGCAGUGGAUCUUACCCUUGCCAUUUGUGUGUUCAGGUUCUUUGAGCCGAAGCCGAUCUCAGGUGACGAAGCGCUUGCUUGAAAAUACAACGCAUGAAGCUUCGGCUGUGGCUAAAAUUUUUAACAGCACAACGGUGUAAUAGCAAUGAAUGUCGUGGUACCUCACCAACCCAUCUGUUUAUAUAGUGUUGUAGGGGGAGAAGGUGAACCACCAUACUGCUUACACUAGCUGAGCGGUGGAUCGUCCGACGGUCGGAAUAUUUUAAUCGUUUCCCGGCAACGAGCUCAGGGAAGGUGUUUUUUGGACCUUCGGCAUUCUGAAGCCUUCAUGUUUUUUGUGGAUCGAGCUCGUUACGAAAAACGAUCUAGCACCGCGAAGGGGCUACUGUUGGGGGUCUUCUUCCCCGCCGAAGGUCCUUAAGGCAAAAACACCAUCGGCAAGAUAAUACAAAGGCAUACGCAACAUGAUGAUACGAAAUAAAGCCGAAGCUAUGGCUGAAGAAGCUUUGGCUUAAUAUUACGACGAAGCCAAAGGUCGUCACCGACUCAAGGGAAAAAUACUGUUUAGUCCUUGAUCACUCGCAUUAUGAUUGUAUGUAAAUGUCAGGGACAUAAAUGUAAUUGUAUUCGGGCUGUGUCCCACGCCUAUAAAUAGAUGAAUAGUACCCUGUACUGUUCAGGCUGGAUUAUAAUCUCUCUCGCGUCAUCUUUGCAUUCACACCUUCUGGCGAACCGAAGGUAUUAUUGUAUUAUGAAUAUUGUUAAUGUUGAUUCUUGUCUAUGGAUAUAAAUAUAAAUAAACUGCGAAGAUCUAAUCAUUAUUUAUAGUAUUUAAUUUUCUUUCGCAUUCUUAUUUAUAUUUAUGAUUAUAUGCUAAAAUGAUGAAGGCAUGUCCUUCGUGACCUACGUCUGAAGAUCAUUAUAUCCGAAAGGAAAUAAUGCUUUGGAGGACGAAGGUCUUUAACUAUUAACAAUUGUGUUGCCUUGUUCUUGAUCUAUAUCAUUUGAGAACAAUUGACCAACAGUGAGAUCUAAUCUAAUGUGAUAUAAUCUAAUGUGGUCUACUUAAACAGAUUAGUGAUACUGGUAGAAGAGAUUAGACCCUGCUAGACAGGUGUUAACUUAACUUACUACAUUAGACCAACUCAACCAUGAGCAGAAGAGAUAACCCAACCAAUAGAGUCAUGAUGGAUUGCAUAAUCUGUCUAUCCCCACCUAACAUCAAACAAAAUUUUGACCUACAUCAUGUAGUCUAUCUCAUCCACAUCUAUCUUAACCAUAUUCCCCAACUCCGAUAAAAUACACUAACCUUGAAUCAAUGAGAUCAAGAUUGGAAAAGAAAAGAUCGACAUCGACAAGGAAGGAUAUAAGAGUCAAAGCGAAUCUUGAGAUGAAUCAAGAUUUAAACAUAUUGGAUAAAUUAUUUUCCUUGCCAUAAUCUUUCUUACCUCAACCUGUCCAGCUUAUAUCAUACCUAAUAAGUAGCUGCAUACCUAUGCUCUCCUAAUCACCCAAUAUUGACUAUAAGAAAAAGAGUGAGACUCUGGAUUUUUGAACCCAUUCUAGACGAAAAGCUGAAUUACAAACCAAUCCUUUUGUAUCCCUUUUCUUACAAAUCUCGAGGACGAGAUUUCUGUUAAGGGGGUAGGCUUUGUAAAGCCCAAAAUUUGUAAAAAAAAUCUACUUUGAGACCUAGGAUAGAGUUUUCCAAGAUUUAAGUCUUUUAUAAUAAGGGAUUAAAUAAAGGACCCUCAUAUAAUUUAAACCAACCUUUGCCGAAUAAUGUGUUUAGAGACAUUCUCCAAAAGAAUUAAGUUUAAGAAAUACCUUAAUAAAUAUUAUACACUAAAUCUCCUCUUUUAAGUAAAUAUGAACAUAUUUUUAAUGGAAUAUACAUUCAAGGAAAUAAUUUUGUGUGUGCAUGGUAUACUUAAAAUAUUUGGAUACAAUAAACAAAACUAAACAUAUGUAUGUAUUUAUGCACAUGAUGUUGGAGUUUUAUUUGCUGGUGUAUUUAAUCUGGGAAACCUUGAACCUUGAAUCAAAUUGGAUUUUUGAAUUUGAAACUGGGAUAAAACUGAAAAUAGAAAUUCAGAAAAGAAUAAAUGGGAUGUUGGGCCGACUCCUCCCUUGCCCUUGGCCCACUUCCAGUUACAUGUACCCAGCGCGGCCCAGCAGCCAUCACGCAUCUCCUUUCUCUGCGCCGUGUGCGCGUUAUUUGACCGACGGACGGGGCCCACUCUUCAUCCACUCCUCUCCAUGUCGUCACCUCAUUGUGGGACCCAUCGUGCAGACCAAUCUUCUAGCUCCGACCGUUGCGGGUCGUUUGGCAGAUCUCACGCUUAGCCCAUAUACCAGCGCUCACGUGGUCUCCACCGCACGGAUCCCGUUGUCCGGUGUUAACCCCGCGCGAUUCGUGGACCUGCACGCUAUCGUGUGGGACCGCCCUGCUGGAGUCACUUUCUUCGCUACGACCGAAUCACGCGCAACAACCCCCGCAAUCAAGCAACAAACUCACCGUGAUUCGCUCAACGCAUGCCGGCCUUGGUUUCUCCCGCAACAGACCCUCUCAGCUCGGCCUCGCCCCCUCUGACGCAUAUAUAGGUCACUACGAACCCCUGUGCCAAUCCAGCAGCCAUGGCGUGCAGAGAUGGAAGGGAGAGAGAGGAAUUGGCCUGCCACUCGAAUCGUUCGCUGCCGGUGUGUCUUUGGCCUCGAGGUAUGGACCCACUAUAGUUCUCCAUCUGUUGUUGUCACACCCGGCUUUAAGGAACAAAGCCAUGUGCAUCUCAUACAUGCGCCAAAAAGACAACAUAUAUAAUAACAGAGUGUAUAGAGAUAAAUGUCAUAAAACAUCAGAGUAUUUAUUACAUAGCGGAAGACUUAUUACAAAAUAAAAGAAUAAAUAUAAAACGAACUAAGGAUCGUCGGCGCCAAUGUCAACUGAGAAACGCCACCUAGAUCAGAUCAUACUCCUCGCCUUGUGGCUCCUCCUGAACCACCUGCUCUUCUCCUAUGGGGGGGUGUGAGACAGCAAGGGUGAGCUCACACAUGAUCAUCGCUCAACAAGUUGUGGGGAAUAAUGUGACAUAAACUCACCAAAGGUGGGAGCUCAUGGAGUGUAAGGCUUAUCAAAGAGAAUGGUUAAAGCUGAGCAUUGCUUUUAAUGUUGGUCAAACUUUUAUUAGCAAUUACUAGAUGUAAGUAAAUACCAAACCUUAAUAAAUAAUAGAACAAAAUUAAUAAUAAACCCAUGCAUAUGCAAAUGACAAAAUUGAAUUUAAGUUCCAUAAUUUAAUCAUCAGAGAGUCCUGAGCUGCUCAUGACCGUGAGCUCGGCUAGUAUACCAGUUUUACACUCUGCAGAGGUUGUACCCUUUACCCACAAGUCAUGCUACCCAUCUGCCAAGGGUCGCGAAUCCCAUACACCUCUACCUAGGAAGCGCGGCAGGGCAACACUACGAGGCCUUUACAAAGUUCCACUAGCUUCCGAAAACCCGCUACAGUUUAUAGGAAGUUCCAAUGCAGGGUUCUUGGCUGACCGCCAUCGCAGCAAAAUCAACCAAGGACCUCCCUACACUGACCACUCCCCUACUGCCCUUGCCCCUUUCGGGUAAGGUAGUCUUCCACUAGCUUUCCUAAUUAGUCAGCCAAUGGCGUCCCAUUAAACCCUUGUGGUGGCACGUGUUACUCAAGUUAAGCUCUAUGUUCCAAUUAACAUUAAUGAUCUCAACAUGAACAUAAAUAGAAUAACAAAAAGAAUUGGAACAUAGAGGUAAUAAAUGAUUAUCCCAAAACCAGGUAAAGCAAUAGCAAACUACCCAAGUGAAUCAGGGGUAAACAAGGUAAUGAGAUAAACAAUCUAGGGUGACCUAUUGGGUCCCAUCAAAAUUAACCUAUGCAUGAGUGAAUGAUAAUUAGAGAAAAUUAUUGGGUAAAAAGUGGUCAAGGGCACAACUUGCCUUCAAUGAGCUCCUGCUCAGCUACUUCAAUCUGCUGCUCACCAAGAUCCUCGGUCACGGGCUCUUCUACUCGCCACAAUACAAACAAGCACAGUAUAUAGAGGAAAUUAACAUCACACCAAACAUGAAAGCAAAAUACACAGUAAUAUUCUACAUACUAAAAUAGAAUCCUAGGAACAUGAAUCAUAAUUUUUGGAGUUAUAGAUUUUAAGCUAUGGAUUUUCAAAGGUUUUAUGUGUUUUAAAUAGGAUUAAGUGUGAGAUUAAUUUUCUUACUGUUGUCAUGAUAAAAUAGGGGCUCUGAGUGAUAGAGAAUAAAAUUAUAAAAUUUUAGAAACUGGAAUGAAGUGAUUUGGAGUUAGUAUGAAUUUUCUAUGAAUUAUUGAAGUUCUAGCCAUUAUUUUCCUAUUAAAAAUCCAUUUAUAAAUUAUUUUCUCUGGUUUUAUAAUGUUCUGGACUGGGCCUCAAAUCCAGAUAAACCCAGGGGGCUCGGGGUAAGAAUCCAGAGACAGGGAAUAUCACUGGUGGACGGCGGGUUGAAUCUCUAAUUACCAGGGGGUUCUUUAACAAAAGUGCCCGCGAAGGGGUAUGGUUGAUUCCUGGUCGUCCGAUUAAGCGCGGAUGGCGCGGAUUAGAUCUAUCCUCGAUCGAAACGGUACGCAGUGAAAACCACACGAUCCAAGAUCAACGGUAUAGGCCAUACAUGCAGCGGACUCGCUCUGAGCGGCACGAUCGGAUCAAACGGCCCAGAUCCAAUGCCCAACUCGGCCCCACUAAGGCUCACUCGGAGCCGUUCAUCAAUAGAUGGACGCUCACCCUUCCCCCCAACUCCAAUAGCUGAGCGCGGUGGCGCCCAAGCUACACGGCGGCGCAUCACCGGCGCAGAAGCGGCCCAGCGGUCCGAGUGCUAGUUCCACCCCGCGCAUGGUGAUUCAGAGCGAGAUCACAAGGGUGACACAACUCGGUUCUCUGCUAAGGUGAUUGAUGGAGCAGAAUGCUCCACCCACAAUGGCGGACGACGCCGAACCCGAGCCAUGGCCGACCAUCACCCACAUUCAGAAAUUCCGCCCCCAAUUCGCAACUAACGUAUAAUUUACAGAGAAGAGGAGUGGGCGAACCAUACCGAGGGUGUUCUUACCGGAGUUAGGGCGAUUGUGAUAGGCGAGCGGCAGGGCAAGGCGGAACCGAGGCGGAGUACCUCUCCGGUGAGAGAUUCAUAACGCCACCAUUGUCCACAGCGCCAUUGCUUGCCGGUACCAACUCCGCCACGCUCCAACACCCACCAGCGUGCCCGAAAUCGACCGAGGCACCCCACCGUUAGACGCCCGCGGCGAUUCUCUCGUCAACACAAAGCUCAGCGGACACUGCAAUGGCGGACGGUUCUAGAAGAGGUGGAGGGUUGCGGCGCGACUUGGUUUGGGUGGAGGAUGAUGUGAGGGAUGGUUUAAUACGGCUGCGCAUGGUAGCCAGGUAGAGGGGAAGUGGUUGAGUUAGAGCAUGCGGCGGCGGAGAAGUCGGCCGCGCAGUGCGGACUGAUUCGUUUUCGGUUGGAGAUGGAUCUGGCUUCGGGGGCCCAUCGGUCAGUGGCACAGAGGAGCGCACGCGCGCGAUUCGCGGCUGACGGCAGGGUCCCACACGACAGCGAUCCGCGGGAACGCGUGAUGCGGCGUGAGUAUGGACAGCGGGGCCCACAAGUCGGCGCCUGGUUCAUGUAGCUGGGCUGUGCGGCAUGGAGUUAAUGGGCCAAAUUGGGAUAUAAGGCCCAGGUAAGCUUUCUCUUUAUUUUUUUUCUUUUCCUUUUCCUUUCUUUUUAUGUUUUAUUUUCUGUUUUCUUUUAUUCAUAAUUAUUUUGAAUCCAAUUUUAAUUUGAAUAUAAGUUUCACCUUUGAACCAAAUAUACAAGUUCAAACCCUAAUGUAGGAAUAUAUUUUUAUUUCCUUACCUUUAUCUAAGUACUAUUUGUUUGCUUCUCUUUUCUAAAUUCUAGGAUUCCCUUUUAAAUUCUAAAUUUACACUUUGGGACUGUAGUAAAUUUCUUUUCCCAUUAUUCUAUGUUGUCACAAAAUGCACACAAGAUAAAAUCCAGCAUGAUACAUAUUUUAGUAGCUUUUAUGUUAUUAAUUAUUUGUUUUUUUUACAUAGGGUGUUCACAUGUGAUGAUGCAUAAAGGUCAAACCCACGCAAGGAGAAAUUGUUUCUCUAUUGGUAUUAUUUCUAGCAAAUUACAAAGUGAGUGUUACAAAUCCUACCCCCCUUAAAAAUAAUCUCGUCCUCGAGAUUUAAGAAGAUCUAGGGAAAAGGUGGGGAAAAUCUAUGCGAAGCUCUUCUUCUCUUUCCCAAGUUGCUUCAUCUUCACCGUGGUGACUCCAUUGGACUUUGCACAUCUUUAUCACCUUAUUUCUCGUAACUCGAGUCAAAGUAUCCAAAAUCUUGAUCGGGUACUCCGUGUAAGUCAAAUCACCUUGAACACUGAGCUCUUCCAUGGGUAACUGUUCUUCAGGGACACGGAGACACUUCUUUAGUUUAGAUACGUGGAACACGUUAUGCACAUCCGAUAGACUAUCCGGUAACUCGAGUUGGUAUGCCAUCUCCCCAACUCGCCUAAAGAUCAAGAAUGGUCCAAUAUAGCGAGGGGACAAUUUGCCCUUAACUUUGAAUCUCCUCAUUCCACGAAGUGGUAACAUCUUGAGGUACACAUAAUCUCCUUCUUCAAAUUCCAGUGGUCUUCUAUUAUCAGCAUAGCUCUUUUACCUGGUCUGAGCCACCCUCAGGUUCUCCCUUAUUAUACAGACUUGUUCUUCUGCCUUUUGAAUAAGUUUAGGUCCAAAGAAUUGUCUUCCUCUAGUAUGAUCCAAUAUAGGAGUCCUGCAUUUCCUGCCAUACAGAGUCUCGAACGGUAACAUCUUCAGACUGGCCUGAUAACUAUUAUCAUAUGAAGACUCAGCAUAAGGUAGACUCUUGUCCCAACUAUUACCAUGCUGAAGGGCACAAGCUCUCAACAUGUCUUCCAAUUCUUGAUUAGUCCUUUCAGUUUGUCCAUCAGUCUGAGGUUGGUAGGCCGAACUAAAAUUCAACUUCGUAUCCAUAUUCUCAUGAAAACUUCUCCAAAAUCUUGAGGUAAACUGUGAACCUCGAUCAGACAUGAUCUUCUUUGGUACUCCAUGUAAACACACAAUCCGAGCCAUAUAUAACUCUGCUAGCUGAGAACCUUUAUAUGUAGUCUUCACAAGAACAAAGUGAGCCACUUUAGUCAAUCUAUCCACAAUCACCCAUAUAGCAUCAUAUCCUUUCUGGGUGCGAGGCAAUCCAGUAAUGAAAUCCAUACCAAUCUCUUCCCACUUCCACUCGGGUAUCUUCAGUGGAUGCAAUAGUCCAGCUGGCCUCUGGUGUUCAGCCUUAACUCUUUGACAUACAUCGCACAUAGCCACAUGUGCAGCCACAUCUCUUUUCAAUCCAUACCACCAAUACUUCCGUUUCAAAUCCUGAUACAUCUUGGUACUACCAGGAUGAAUAGAAUAAUCCGAGUCAUGGGCCUCCUUCAAUAUAGUCUCACGAAGGCUUUCAAUAUCAGGAACACACAUCAUGUCCUUGAACCAUAUGGUGCCUUGCUCAUCUUCCGUGAAUUCCGGACCUCGACCUUCAGUAAUCAGCUCCUUAAUCUCUUUUAUUUUAGCAUCGUCAAGUUGACCUUUGCGGAUUUCUUGCUCCAAAGUAGGUUCCACAUCAAUAGUAACUCCUUCAGUAUGAGCAACUAUCCCCAGGUUAAGUCUCCUGAAAUCCUCAACAAUCUCAUCGGGUAGCUGGGCAACAAUAACUGAAUGAACAUGCUCCUUUCGACUCAAGGCAUCUGCAACCAAAUUUGCCUUGCCCGGGUGAUAGUGAAUCUCCAAAUCAUAAUCCUUAAUAAGCUCCAACCAACGACGUUGCCUAAGGUUGAGAUCCUUCUGAGUGAAUAUAUACUUCAAACUCUUAUGGUCCGUAUAUACUUGGCACUUGGUCCCCAUGAUAUAAUGUCUCCAAAUCUUAAGUGCAUGCACAACGGCUGCCAAUUCCAAGUCAUGAGUGGGGUAUUCAUGUUUUCGCAACUGAUGAGACGCAUAGGCAAUCACAUGUCCUUCCUGCAUGAGCACACAUCCUAAGCCUUGGCCACAUGCAUCACAAUAAAUAUCAAAUCCUUUCUGUAAGUCCGGCAUAACCAAUACUGGUGGCGACAUUAAUCUUUUCUUCAAUUGAUCAAAGUUGUCUUGACACUUCUCAUCCCACUUAAAUUCUCUUCCUUUCUCCAAAAGUGAAGUCAUAGGCUUAGCAAUCUUAGAAAAUCCUUCAAUAAAUCUUCGAUAGUAUCCUACGAGCCCCAAGAAACUCCGAAUCUCUGUAACUGUAGUGGGUAUGCUCCACACCACUAUCUCCUUGACUUUAGCAGGAUCCACUGAUAUCCCUCCAUUAGAAAUGAUAUGUCCAAGGAAUGACACCUCAUCAAUCCAGAACUCGCAUUUACUGUACUUGGCGUAGAGUUGAUUAUCUUGUAGCUUCUGUAGCACCAAUCUCAGAUGUUCCUCAUGAUCACUAUCACUCUUGGAAUAAAUAAAAAUAUCGUCGAUCAAAACCACGACGAAUCUGACCAGAUCAUGAACACCUUAUCCUUCAGAUCCAUAAAAUAGGCUGGUGCAUUAGUUAGUCCAAAUGACAUAACAGUGAACUCAUAUAAACCAUCUCGGGUCGAGAAAUCCGUCUUGGGGAUAUCCGAUGACCUAAUCUUCAUUUGUUGGUAACCCGAUCGGAGAUCAAUCUUCGAGAAUACCCUAGCAUCUCUCAUCCGAUCAAAUAAAUCCUCAAUGCGGGGUAAAGGGUACUUGUUCUUCACAGUGACAUCGUUAAGAGAUCUAUAAUCCACGCACAUCCUUUGUGAUCCAUCUUUCUUCUGUACAAACAGAACCGGUGCUCCCCAAGUUGAGGAACUCGAACGAAUGUACCCAGCCUCUUGUAAUUCCAUUAAUUGCUUCUUAAGUUCCUUUAGCUCUUCUACGGACAUCAUGUAUGACCGUUUAGAAAUAGGGGCGGUUCCAGGUAAGAGAUCAAUGACAAACUCAACUUCUCUAUCAGGUGGCAUCCCUGGUAACUCCUUUGGGAAGACAUCCAGAAAAUCUCUAACCACAUGGAUGUUGUCACCAACAAACUUCCCAUCUACUAAGAAUGUCGCUAGUCUGGUGUCAGUAGUUACUGCAAUUUCAACUUCAAAUCUUUCUCCUUUGGAACUGGUGAGUGCUACGGUUCCCUUAGCAUAGUGUAUAAACUGCCUUUGCCUUUCUUAACCAUGACAUACCAAGGAUCACGUCUAUAGUGCUCUCUUCUAACACUAUAGGGGUAGCCCAUCUGCGUUAGAAACAUAGGGUACGAAAGAAAGGACUGUAGACAAGGCAGGUGAUUACGAAUUAUGUUACUUUGGGGGAUUCAUUAGCUAAGUGUGUUGCCUACUAAAGCUAAUUCAUUACCUUAUAGUGGUACAUGCUAAGAUGCCCAACUAUAAUGUUUCAAUCAAUCAAAGAAGCAAAUCAUGCAUUGUUCAUCAGCACAAUCAACCAACAUUUUUUUUUAAUAGAGAAAAUAAUUUUAAUUUUUGUCUUAGGUCUCCUAUCCCUUAAAAAGGUUAUAAAUGUAUGAUUCCAAGGUGUGAAAUCCUUCUUGUCUCAGAGUAGAAAAGGUAAGAAUGAUCAGAGUAGAACAGUAGAAGGUGAGACAGGAUCAAGAUAAGGUAAGUAUAGAAUGAAUCAGAGUAAGGUAAGUAGUGAAGGGUUUGUCCAUUUCUAUCUAGGUCUCGUCCUACAGUCAACAUUUCCUCUAAUACCACUUCUGUCACACCCGGCUUUAAGGAACAAAGCCAUGUGCAUCUCAUACAUGCGCCAAAAAGACAACAUAUAUAAUAACAGAGUGUAUAGAGAUAAAUGUCAUAAAACAUCAGAGUAUUUAUUACAUAGCGGAAGACUUAUUACAAAAUAAAAGAAUAAAUAUAAAACGAACUAAGGAUCGUCGGCGCCCAUGUCAACUGAGAAACGCCACCUAGAUCAGAUCAUACUCCUCGCCUUGUGGCUCCUCCUGAACCACCUGCUCUUCUCCUGUGGGGGGGUGAGACAGCAAGGGUGAGCUCACACAUGAUCAUCGCUCAACAAGUUGUGGGGAAUAAUGUGACAUAAACUCACCAAAGGUGGGAGCUCAUGGAGUGUAAGGCUUAUCAAAGAGAAUGGUUAAAGCUGAGCAUUGCUUUUAAUGUUGGUCAAACUUUUAUUAGCAAUUACUAGAUGUAAGUAAAUACCAAACCUUAAUAAAUAAUAGAACAAAAUUAAUAAUAAACCCAUGCAUAUGCAAAUGACAAAAUUGAAUUUAAGUUCCAUAAUUUAAUCAUCAGAGAGUCCUGAGCUGCUCAUGACCGUGAGCUCGGCUAGUAUACCAGUUUUACACUCUGCAGAGGUUGUACCCUUUACCCACAAGUCAUGCUACCCAUCUGCCAAGGGGUCGCGAAUCCCAUACACCUCUACCUAUGAAGCGCGGCAGGGCAACACUACGAGGCCUUUACAAAGUUCCACUAGCUUCCGAAAACCCGCUACAGUUUAUAGGAAGUUCCAAUGCAGGGUUCUUGGCUGACCGCCAUCGCAGCAAAAUCAACCAAGGACCUCCCUACACUGACCACUCCCCUACUGCCCUUGCCCCUUUCGGGUAAGGUAGUCUUCCACUAGCUUUCCUAAUUAGUUAGCCAAGGGCGUCCCAUUAAACCCUUGUGGUGGCACGUGUUACUCAAGUUAAGCUCUAUGUUCCAAUUAACAUUAAUGAUCUCAACAUGAACAUAAAUAGAAUAACAAAAAGAAUUGGAACAUAGAGGUAAUAAAUGAUUAUCCCAAAACCAGGUAAAGCAAUAGCAAACUACCCAAGUGAAUCAGGGGUAAACAAGGUAAUGAGAUAAACAAUCUAGGGUGACCUAUUGGGUCCCAUCAAAAUUAACCUAUGCAUGAGUGAAUGAUAAUUAGAGAAAAUUAUUGGGUAAAAAGUGGUCAAGGGCACAACUUGCCUUCAAUGAGCUCCUGCUCAGCUACUUCAAUCUGCUGCUCACCAAGAUCCUCGGUCACGGGCUCUUCUACUCGCCACAAUACAAACAAGCACAGUAUAUAGAGGAAAUUAACAUCACACCAAACAUGAAAGCAAAAUACACAGUAAUAUUCUACAUACUAAAAUAGAAUCCUAGGAACAGGAAUCAUAAUUUUUGGAGUUAUAGAUUUUAAGUUAUGGAUUUUCAAAGGUUUUAUGUGUUUUAAAUAGGAUUAAGUGUGAGAUUAAUUUUCUUACUGUUGUCAUGAUAAAAUAGGGGCUCUGAGUGAUAGAGAAUAAAAUUAUAAAAUUUUAGAAACUGGAAUGAAGUGAUUUGGAGUUAGUAUGAAUUUUCUAUGAAUUAUUGAAGUUCUAGCCAUUAUUUUCCUAUUAAAAAUCCAUUUAUAAAUUAUUUUCUCUGGUUUUAUAAUGUUCUGGACUGGGCCUCAAAUCUAGAUAAACCCAGGGGGCUCGGGGUAAGAAUCCAGAGACACAGGGAAUAUCACUGGUGGACGGCGGGUUGAAUCUCUAAUUACCAGGGGGUUCUUUAACAAAAGUGCCCGCGAAGGGGUAUGGUUGAUUCCUGGUCGUCCGAUUAAGCGCGGAUGGCGCGGAUUAGAUCUAUCCUCGAUCGAAACGGUACGCAGUGAAAACCACACGAUCCAAGAUCAACGGUAUAGGCCAUACAUGCAGCGGACUCGCUCUGAGCGGCACGAUCGGAUCAAACGGCCCAGAUCCAAUGCCCAACUCGGCCCCACUAAGGCUCACUCGGAGCCGUUCAUCAAUAGAUGGACGCUCACCCUUCCCCCCAACUCCAGUAGCUGAGCGCGGCGGCGCCCAAGCUACACGGCGGCGCAUCACCGGCGCAGAAGCGGCCCAGCGGUCCGAGUGCUAGUUCCACCCCGCGCAUGGUGAUUCAGAGCGAGAUCACAAGGGUGACACAACUCGGUUCUCUGCUAAGGUGAUUGAUGGAGCAGAAUGCUCCACCCACAAUGGCGGACGACGCCGAACCCGAGCCAUGGCCGACCAUCACCCACAUUCAGAAAUUUCGCCCCCAAUUCGCAACUAACGUAUAAUUUACAGAGAAGAGGAGUGGGCGAACCAUACCGAGGGUGUUCUUACCGGAGUUAGGGCGAUUGUGAUAGGCGAGCGGCGGGGCAAGGCGGAACCGAGGCGGAGUACCUCUCCGGUGAGAGAUUCAUAACGCCACCAUUGUCCACAGCGCCAUUGCUUGCCGGUACCAACUCCGCCACGCUCCAACACCCACCAGCGUGCCCGAAAUCGACCGAGGCACCCCACCGUUAGACGCCCGCGGCGAUUCUCUCGUCAACACAAAGCUCAGCGGACACUGCAAUGGCGGACGGUUCUAGAAGAGGUGGAGGGUUGCGGCGCGACUUGGUUUGGGUGGAGGAUGAUGUGAGGGAUGGUUUAAUACGGCUGCGCAUGGUAGCCAGGUAGAGGGGAAGUGGUUGAGUUAGAGCAUGCGGCGGCGGAGAAGUCGGCCGCGCAGUGCGGACUGAUUCGUUUUCGGUUGGAGAUGGAUCUGGCUUCGGGGGCCCAUCGGUCAGUGGCACAGAGGAGCGCACGCGCGCGAUUCGCGGCUGACGGCAGGGUCCCACACGACAGCGAUCCGCGGGAACGCGUGAUGCGGCGUGAGUAUGGACAGCGGGGCCCACAAGUCGGCGCCUGGUUCAUGUAGCUGGGCUGUGCGGCAUGGAGUUAAUGGGCCAAAUUGGGAUAUAAGGCCCAGGUAAGCUUUCUCUUUAUUUUUUUUUCUUUUCCUUUUCCUUUCUUUUUAUGUUUUAUUUUCUGUUUUCUUUUAUUCAUAAUUAUUUUGAAUCCAAUUUUAAUUUGAAUAUAAGUUUCACCUUUGAACCAAAUAUACAAGUUCAAACCCUAAUGUAGGAAUAUAUUUUUAUUUCCUUACCUUUAUCUAAGUACUAUUUGUUUGCUUCUCUUUUCUAAAUUCUAGGAUUCCCUUUUAAAUUCUAAAUUUACACUUUGGGACUGUAGUAAAUUUCUUUUCCCAUUAUUCUAUGUUGUCACAAAAUGCACACAAGAUAAAAUCCAGCAUGAUACAUAUUUUAGUAGCUUUUAUGUUAUUAAUUAUUUGUUUUUUUUACAUAGGGUGUUCACAUGUGAUGAUGCAUAAAGGUCAAACCCAUGCAAGGAGAAAUUGUUUCUCUAUUGGUAUUAUUUCUAGCAAAUUACAAAGUGAGUGUUACAGUUGUGGUUGCUCAUGUGAUCGCCAGGGUGGGGUUUCGCCGGAGCUGUACCGUAUGCGUGUCGGGCCGCCAUGGGGGGAAGACGUUCCUGUGUGGUUGUUCUGGUGUCAGCUGGGGACCUUGGGGCAUCGCUGAUCCUCGGGGCAGGUGCUCACGGGAGUAGCUAGUCGUGGGAGUCCUUGGCGCCGUCGCAAUUCCUCACUAGGGCCGGAUUGCACUACUCCAGCGACUUCUGCCGUGGGGAACUGUGGCGCCGCUGCUGUGGUGGGCGCAUGCCUUCGCGAUGGUGACUGGGGAAGGGAUAAAGUGUGAUGGAUGUUCAUCACGGAACCAACGACUCAGAUUAAGUGACAGAUACCCUUUCGCCUCGUUAAGUAACGGCCGUGGAUUUCAGAUCCUAUGGCAAUCAUCAUGUACCGGUUCAUAAAAAGGAUUGUGUAAUCUACAUCGUUGAUUCUGCAUCCAAUGGUGCUCGUUGGUCGAUACCCCUUCGGCUGAUAAAUUUGCAUAAGAGCCCCUGCCCUUUACACUAAUCAACCCGCAGUACACCUCUGGGUUGUUCUGAGUCUAGGGAAAACUUCUGGUUCCGCCCCUGUUGUUCUCUGUAAUUAGUGCUCGGCCCCGAGAACAAAGAAAUUGGAUAAAUAAAUUUAGAAAUUGAUUUUUAAUACAAAAAUAAAUCUUGAAACUUGUAUAAUUCAUAUCUAAUUCAUCUUAACUCCAAAUUGAUCCAUUUCAGUUGCAAUAAUUUUGCUUUAAUAUUGUUUAUCAUCUAGUACCUUUAUUUAGCCAUGAAACUUGAAUUAAAAUUAUUCACUUGAUAACUCUAUCCUAGGUACCAAAUAACUUCGGAAAAUCCUAAAUAAUUCAUUUUAACUCUGUUUCAAUCCGUUCAAGUUGCGCUAGCUUCAUAUGAAUAUUUAUUAUGCAGUAACAGUAUUAAUUAUACCAUAUUGCAAAAUUUUAUAGUUAGAUAUUUGUUUAACCUAUGUUAGUAGAUUUACCCCUUUUAAUCAAAGUUAAUCUGUCUAUAAUUAUAAGAGGACUAAAAUAUGAUUUCUAAUUAAGUCAUAACUUAAAUUAAGGUUGAAAUUAGUUAUUAGGAUAUCUUACUCACAUGGUUCAUAAUAAUCAACAUAAAAUCUAGUUUUCCGGUUUAAUCACAUAAAUCUUCCAUAAGUCAUAACUUUAUAGUCGUAACUCCGAUUUUAACCAUUCUCGAACCCACGAUCUCGUAGCUUCGCAUAGAUCAUUAUUAUUUAGUUUGUACUUAUGUUUGAUGUGAUGUUAAUUUUGCCUAUGCCAUGUUAGUUUGUAUUGCUAUGAUUAGCAGUGAGGUCACGAGUCAUCUGAAGAUCAUCCUGGUACCUGGAAUCUCAAGGUCCAGGCAAGUUGUGCCCUUGAUCACUUUUAUUUACCUAAUAAUGUUCUUUAUGAUCAUUUAUUCAUGCAUAGGCUUAAUUUUGAUGGGACCCAAUAGGUCACCCUAGUUUGGUUAUCUUGUUACCUUGUUCACCCCUGAAUCAUUUGGGUAGUUUUGCUAUUGCUCUAUAUGGUUUUGGGAUUAAUAUUACAUUAUGUUCGUGUUCCAAUUAUUCUAUUGUUUUAUUUUUUAUUCAUGUCAAGAUCAUUAUUUUUAAUUGGAACAUGGAGCUUAACUUGAGAAACACGUGCCACCACAAGGGUGGAAUGGGACGCCCUUGACUGACUAAUUAGGAAAGCUAGUGGAAGACUACCUUACCCGAAAGGGGCAAGGGCAGUAGGGGAGUAGGUGUGUAGGGAGGUUCUCGGGUUGAUUUUGCUGCGAUGGCGGUCAUAUGAGGGAUUCCUACAUUGCUCUUCCUAGAACUGUAGCGGGUUUUCGGAAGCUAGUGGAACUCUGUAAAGGCCUCGUAGUGGAUCCCUAGCCAUUCAUCUCGGAAGUGUCUAAGGGCCUUGCAAACCCUGGCGACAUGGGAUACACGACUUGUGGGUACAAGGUACAACCUCUGCAGAGUGUAAAACUGGUAUACUAGUCGUGCUCGCGGUCACGAGCAGCUCAGGACUCUCGCAUGAUUAAAUUAUGGAACUAAAUUCAAUUUGUCAUUUGCAUUGCAUGGGAUUUAUUAUUAAUUUUGUUCUAUUAUUAUUAUUAUUAUGGUUUGGUAUUUACUUACAUCUAGUAAUUGCUAAUAAAUUUUUUGACCAACUUUAAAAGCAAUGCUCAGCUUUAACCAUUCUCUUUGGUAAGCCUUACACUUCAUAUGAACUCCCACCUUUGGUGAGUUCAUGCACAUUAUUCCCCACAACUUGUUGAGCUAUGAACGUAUGUGAGCUCACCCUUGCUAUCUCACACCCCCCACAGGUCAUGAACAGGUACCACAGGAUGAGGUGCAUGGAGGAUGUUGUGAUGUGUCCGUGAGAUGUCUAGGUCGUCGUCUCCCAGUCAACUUUGGGUUGCUGGAUCGUUGUCUCCUCACGAUGUAAUUAUUUAUUUAUUUUGUAUAGAACUCCUAUUAUAUAAUAAAGUUGUGACAUUUGUUUCUGUACCAUGAUUCAUCAUAUGUGUGAGACUUGGUCCCAGCACACCUGGUGAUUAUGUUCGCGCUCGGGUCUUGGUGCUCCGAAACCCGGGUGUGACAUCAAUGAACACUACUACGAAAUAGUUGAGGUAGUCCAUGAACACACUAUUCAUCAAGUACAUGAAUAAAGCUGGCGCAUUCGUCAAUUCAAAUGACAUGACAGUGAAUUCAUAUAGUCCAUAUUUGGUGAUGAAUGCGGUCUUCGGUAUAUCCGAAGGUCGGAUCCUAAGCUGAUGGUAACCUGACCUCAGAUCUAUCUUCGAGAACACACUGGCUCCUCUCAACUGAUCGAACAGAUCUUCAAUUCUGGGUAGGGGGUACAUGUUCUUGAUAGUGACUUCAUUCAAAGAUCUGUAACCAAUGCACAUUCUCUUUGUCCCAUCUUUCUUCUCCACAAAUAAUACUGGGGCAGCCCAAGGCGAGGUACUUGGUCUGAUGUAGCCUUUCUCUAACAACUCAUCAAUCUUCUUCUUGAGUUCCACUAAUUCUGGUCCGGACAUUCGAUAGGCUCUCUUGGAAUUAGGGGCGGUGCUAGGUAUAAGCUCUAUGGCAAAUUCAACUUUCCUUUCAGGUGGCAUGCCUGGUAAAUCCUCGAGAAACACAUCCGGGAAUUCUGAUUCUACUUUGAUAGCUUCUCAUGGCUCGAUUUCCUCAAUAUGGGCGGUGAUCUGGUGACAGCUUCUUUUCCUUGCUCUAGACAAGACUAACUCCACUAACACUUCCUCUCCUGAUAAGGACACUAACUUCACAGUCCUCUUGUCACAGUUAAGGCUUGCUUGAUAUUUGGUUAGCCAAUUCAUCCCUAGGAUGACAUAUAUGGUUACAUCUCGGGUACCCAUUACUAUCAAAUCAGAGGGGAACUCUAUCCCACUUAUUUGAACUCUUUCACUGGGGAAAAAUCUAUCAGUUUGGGUCCUCCCACCAAUCGAACUAACCCUCAUAGGUGGAUACAUGGGUGCUACUGGUAUAUUGUGUGUUUCUACCCAUGAUGCAGUCACAAAAGAAUGUGUUGCUCCAGUAUCAAAUAACACAUUUGUAGAAUGGGAUUCGACUGGGAACGUACCUAGUGCCACUCCUGGGGUCUCCUGGACUAUGUCGGCCUCUAGGUGGUUCACCUUUCCGUACUGGGCACGAGGGUACCCACGGUUGUUGCCUCCUUGUUGAGGUGCAUUCUGUCUUGCAGGGGCAUUGGGAGCUGACUGCUGCUAAGAUGCUCUCUUUGGGCAAUGAUUCGCCCAGUGGCCUUGUUCCCCAUAGUGGAAACAUCCAUGGCCUCCUCCUUGCGCUGGAGCUGCUUGGUUGUUCUGGUUGGUCACUGGGGCAGGAAGGCGAGGUGCCUGGUUGCUCUAGUGGUAUUGCUACUGCUGCUGCUGAGGGAACUGUCUCUGGUACUACUGCUGGUGCUGACGCUGAUGCUGGUGACCUUGCUUGAACUACUGAGGUGGGUUUCCUGAGUAACAGGGAUGACUGCUACUCUCGGCCUGAGAUCAACCAAUCUUGUGUUUCUUGUCCUCCAUCUUCCGGCGCUUCGUCUCGAUCAUUAUGGCUCUGUCAAUCAAAUGUUGGAAGGUAGGGAAAGUGUGGUUCAUCAACUGGUAUUGCUUCUUAGCAUAUGUAUUGACAUCCUCGGGUGCAUAGCGUGACAACUGCAGAAAUUUGUCCCUAUACUCACUAACAGACAGGGGGCUUGCUUCAACGCUAGAAAUUCCUCCUUCCUCACGAUCAUCAAUCCUUCGGGCACAUGAUAACGACGCUAGAAACAUAAUUCUUUUAUAUCAACUGAAUAUAUGUGGUUUUCACAUGUGUGGUAGGCCGUGAGGAACCAGUGCGCGCCACCUUGACGGUGAUGGAACUGGUGCUCCGGCCUCUGGGGUGGAGCAAGAUGUUGGUGGUGAGAAUAGUCCAUCUCAGUUCAUCAACAAUGAUCUGAGGAUUGUGCCCUUUGAUGAGAAUGGUCCAUCUUAGUCCAUUAACAAUGGUAGCAGUGUCGCCCCUAUUAACUUAGAGGAGGGUGAUACUACCAACAAUGCUUUCGGAGAUGCAAAUACUUCAGAAAAUGCUGAUGGUAAGAAGCAUAAAAGAAUUUGCACAUCUAAAGUGUGGCAGGAUUUUGAACCACUAUACAAUACUAUAGACGGCAAGAGGAUCAGGUAUGGUGGUAAGUGUCACUGGUGCAAAUGUACAUUGAGUGUUGUGUCUACUAGUGGUACUGGUCAUUUGCUUAGGCAUCAACGUGAUUGCAAAGUUAAGAUUGCUAAGCAGGGCAAGCAGUCAAUCCUUAAGUUAUACCCUGAUAGUUCUAUGUGUAACUGGGAUUACUGUCCAGAUCGUGCUAGAACUCAGAUGUGUAGGUUGAUUGCUAUCCUUGAUUUUCUUCUUAAUUUUUCUAAGUCACCUUCUUUUGAAGAGUAUAUUAGACUAUCUCAUAAUCAUGUCUUUGAAAAAGUAUCUAGACAAACCACCUCUAGAGACUUUGUUAAGUUCUUUACUGAUCUGCGUACGAAAGUUGUUGAAUGCUUGCAAUCUGUUACUUCUAUUGUAAUUACGUCUAAUAUUUGGAGUGGUAAUGCUAAGGAGGACUAUCUUAGUGUGGUUGCUCAUUAUGUUUCUAAGGACUGGCUAUUAGAAAAGAGAGUAAUUGGGCUUAAACUAAUUGAAACAUCUCACACUAGUGAGAACAUUGCCGAGAGGGUUAUGACUGUGCUUGAGGAUUAUGGAGUAGUUAAUAAAGAUUUUUCUAUCACUUUGGACAAUUCCUCUUCCAAUUCUAAGGCAAUGGAGAAGCUUAGUCCAUUAUUGUAUAGUUAUGUUGGUACUUUAUUCUUGUAUCAAUGUUGUGCUUGUCAUAUUAUAAACCUGAUUGUGAAGUGUGGCUUGAAAAGGCUAAACCCUUACCUUGAUUCAUUUAGAACUGCAAUAGUUUUCUUGAAUGCAUCUAAUCAACGUAUUCCUGCAUUUAAGGGCUACUGUGUUGCUAUGAAUGUGUGCCCUCGUAAGUUUGGCAUUGACAUGGCUGUGAGAUGGAAUUCUACAUACCUUAUGCUUAAGCAUUAGUUCCUUACAAGAAACCUUUGGUGUCUUCAUGGACACUAACUAUCCUAGAAAACCAGGUGAGCCUAAUCUGUUGACCAAUUCACAUUGGUAUGUAGCGAAAAAGUUGCUUGAGUUUCUUGAACUGUUUUAUGAUGCUACUGUUACUCUUUCUGGUUUUACUAUCCUACAUCUCCACUUAUAAUGCAUAACAUCCUUGAUAUUGUCCAGCAUUUAAAUCAAUAUGAGAAUGAUGCGUUGCUUAGACAUGUUGUUGCUCCUAUGGAGUCUAAGUUUCUUAAGUACUGGAGGGAUAUUCCUACCCUCUAUGCAUUUGCUUUUAUGUUAGAUCCUAGAGCCAAACUAAGGGGUUUCAGCAAUAUCUUGAGAUUAUUAUAUGGGCUAUCUAGUACUGACUACUCACUUUACUAUACCUUUGUGAAAACUGAAUUGUCUACAAUGUUUAAUAAAUAUGAUCUGAAGUUUGGUGCAGUUAGGCAGCAAGUGCCCCCUCCUCCAACUGUCACAGGUAAAAGAAAACAAAACUGGGGAUUCAUUUAUGCAUCUGAUUGUACCUCUGAGUUCCCAUAUCCUAGUUCUACCACACCUAACCUUGGUAGUGGAACAUCAGCAUCUGCUUUGCUUCAACAAGCACAUUCUAGUGCUGGCCUUAGUUUACUUGACACAGAGUUGUCCUCCUACCUGGAUAGUGACACUUUGCAAUAAACUGGUGGCAUGAACAUAAGUUGUCCUAUCCUGUUCUCUCCAUCUUAGCUAGGGAUGUUAUUUCUGUUCCUGUUUCAACUAUAUCCUCACAAUCUGCAUUUAGUCUCUGUGGCAGCAUAAUCGAGGAACGACGAAGGCGCCUAGCACCAGAAAUAGUAGAGAUGCUUCUUUGCAUGAAAGACUGGGAACUUGGCGAAGCUAGAGGGCAGCACUGUACAUAGGACUAAGAACUUGAAGACGCAUUUGAAGGACUUUAUCUUAAUGACCCUUAGGACUUUUAUCUUCCUAGUUCCUACUCCAUUUUGUUGAUAUGGAAAUCUGGUGAUGUAAGUUGUAAUAUGUAACUGAACAAUCUUGACAUGAACUAUUAAAUUAGAGCUGGGAUGUACUCUUUUUUCCUUUCUAGGGUUUUCUCACGAGGAGUGAGUUUUUACCUAGAAAAGUUUUUAAUGAGUCAGUCAUUGCACGAACAACUCUAAUCCUUUAUUUAGGAUCUACUCUUUAUAUCAAUUGUGUGAAUUAAUAUUUCUGAUCUUUAUACUUCUGAUCUUUAUAUUUCUGAUUUAUAUAAAAUAUAUAAAUUGUGUGAAUGUGCAAGUCAACGGAUAAUGUGUGAACUGGUAUUUGUCGUGCUCGGGCUGCCACGGGCUCCUUCAUGGGUCGUGCUUUCCGGGCCAACCCGGCACGGUUGGGCCGGAUCAGUGCCGUACUCGGCUGGUAGAAUCCCAUCCUUGCAUGUUGUGUGGACGUCCGAGUCCCAUCCUUGCAAGUGUAUGUAGUGGGCACUGCUCCUUAGGAGCCGGCUAAAAAAAGACCAGCUGCUGUGUCGUUAAUUUCUGUUGAAUUUAAUCAACUUUCAUACAAUUUUAAUUUGUAUGUAUGAUAUUUAUUCUUUUUAUUUCCUAUUGCAUAUAAUAAAUAAAAUUAAGCAUAUUUUCUACCAUAAUUUCUAUCUUAAUUAAUUAUUUCCUGUCUUAAAUAAUUAGUAGAAAAAUGUAUGCUUGGACAUGGGAAUUUUUUAUCUUAUCUGCUUAUUAUCAUGCAUUAAUUCUAUUAUUAUUUUUUGCUUUAUUUCUUGUAGUAAAUAAUUAACAAAAAUUAUUAAAAAUGCAAGUGGAAGCAUAUACUCAGACCGUUCUAAAUAUUUGUAUUGCAUUGAGCUUCCGGACUCACGUCGAGCGAUUAAAUUGUAUACCGAGUACUCGGACACGCCGAUCAGGCUGCUUAUUAAUUGGCUGAGUUAUGACAUUGGUUGAGCAUUGGUUGUGUCCGUACGAACUUGGUUGCGUCAUAUGAUUGCUAUGUCGCACUCUCGCUUAAUCGGACCGCCCCCGUCGGGCCGGACCACCAUCGUCGAGUCACGUAUUUUCGCAUGCCAUGUAGGCACUGUUUGUCUGUCGUGAUCAUCGAACCACAAUUGCGCUCAUUCCGCAUGUUGCAUGGACUUACCAUGUAACUAGACUAUCGAUCCACAACUACGCUCGUUGUGCUUAUUACGAAGACUUGUUGUGUUGUCGUAGCCCUAAUAGUCGCACACACUUUGAUACCAGAUACGCUGGAGCUUGUACUCGUGUACAACAUGGUGAAUUAUUCGUGCCCUUAAAGUCACAUCAUAGCGCAACCUUCAUAAACAAUUUUGUUUGACUCUACAUUUUGUUUGAUUUAUGUUGUGUGGCAUCAAAUAUUUAUAUAUAUAACCAAGUGGCCAUAACAACUUUCACAAGCUUUAUAUUGCUUUGUAGAUCUGGAAAAUUAAUGAAAUACCUAUUAAACACAUAUAAGAUAAUUCUCUGCUCUUUUCUCAUACAUAAAGUCUUACCCGAAGUAACAUGAAGAAAUUCAAUACAAUGCAUGAAAGCCUUUUUACAUAAAAGGCAUCACAAAUUGGGAUUCAUUUAGUAAGCAAAAAGACCUUACCAAAUAAAUUAAGGCUAGAAAUCUCAUUCAUAUAGUGCUCGACCUGAAGUUGUCACAUUGCUCUCUUUAUCUCGAACGACAUGAAGCAAAUUCUAAGAUAAAAGGGCAUAUAAUCCGUCGCAACACGAAGUUGCGAGUAUGCCGAACGGCUAUUCUAAGAAACGUUUCACUAUGUUGAUGUGAAAAAAACUAUUAUGUGUUCCCAUCGAACUACUUUUCUCGUCUGAUAGAACCUCUAUGAUUGUGUUGCAUAUAUCUCUUAAAAUUAUAAAUACCACAGUUGUUGAAUUGACUCGGGAUAGUCCUUUGAAGAGUAUGGUAUAUAUUGUAACCCACACGAGAAAGGUCAGACCUAAAUGGACUUAUAACUGGGGUUUAUGUAGCAGAACUACAUUGGACUCCGCAACUUGGCAUGCUUACUAUAAUCUACCUUUGAUCUAUCAGAAGUAAAAAAGAUUAGAAAACAGCCAUGAAAUUCCACAUCACCACAGAGCUUGAAGCUAAAUUAGGCAUUAAUUUGUCCUUGGUCCUUAACGCUAGAAGAGCCACAAGUCUUGACCACUAGGCUGCUAGUGAUGGAAAUUUUGUGAUAGAAACAUGUAGAUCUUGUGAAGACUUGAUGACUCCUUCGUAUGAGAGCAGUAUUAUCUAUUGUUGAAGAUUGGUCCCGGACGGAUAUUGGUCUUGUUUCUCUCUUGCUAUGAAGUUAUCACCAUUUGCUUCGUCAAAAGCUUAACAAUCUGGUGAUUUUUCCGAGAUAAUAUGAAUUCUUGGCCAUAUUUGUUCUAUUCAAAAGCUUAUCUUUUUGCUGAACAAUGAAGAGAUCAAAAUAAUGCUUUAUAAAGCAUAUUGGUAUAUAAUAUGAGGAGAAAUGUUUGCCCUGCUAGCAGCUUACACCAAAAAUAAUUAACUAUUGUUAUAAGUUCUCUCUCAAAAUUAUUAUACGCAAAAAUGUUGCAUAAAUCGAUACCAAAUUUCAAAGUGAUAUGAGUAAUUUGGUAAACCAUGAGCAAUGAUAAAAUGAGCUGGACUAUACAUCUCUGUAUAUAAAAAAUCUCUAUUUAGCAGCAUUAACCUGAUGCUGAGCACUUUACUACCAUUAUAUGCACACCCAUUUUUCUUAUGUGCUUAAAAGCACAAUGCAACCAGUGAAUGUCCUUGUGAGCACUAGACCCUCUUGGUCAUCUUACUUGUUGAUCUGAAGUCAACUACUUGCUCCAAACGACGAAUAGUGUGCAAGGGCCCCUGAAGUAUUUUUAUGGCUAACACGGUGUAUUUGAUAAUAAUAACAGUAAAUUUGCAGAAUUGUAACCAUAAAGUAACAUGUCGUUGUGUGUCUCGCUGAAAGUUGAGAGUAACCCUUCAUGUUGAAGGAAAAAGAUGUAGUGUUCAUGCCACUGCAUUAAUUUAAGUCCAAAGAUCACUACAUAAAACCCCUAUCUGUAAUAUGCGUAAAAUUUCCCAAAUAAAUCACCACAAAUAACAUAGAUUGGCCACAACUAGAUGAUUAUGGUUGGGAUUUUAUCUGUAUACUUUUAGAACAUCUUGGCAUUAGGGGGAAUGUCCAUCUAGUGUAAUGCCUCAAUAUUCUAUUAAACACACAAAAGUCAAACUGAACCUGUCGUUCGGUGUGAACUCCUAUGUAUUUGGAGUUUGCUAGAAAUCGUUGAGGAGUAACCAUAUUGGUUUGAAUGCUUCUACCUGAUGUAGAUGUGGAUAUACUUGGGAUUAAUAUCAUAUCCACAAUUGACUUAUUGGCAUUUGAUCUAUUCCCAGGGACGCCUGCGAAUAUAUAUGAUCCACCGGCCUUAGUCAAAGCAUAUGUUUUGAUAACAGCUUCAUGUGGUCUGUGAUAACUCUCCUCUGGUUAAUUCACCCUGAUGGUGAUUUGCCUCAGAAAGAGGUUCAUCUUGAUGAUGAAGUUCCUAGCAAUGCGCGCAAUAUCAUUGUGCUGAGAAUAUGGGACAAUGAAUCUUUCAUUUUUGGGAAAUGUAAUACCCAAAUUUGUAAACCAUAAUAAAGGAGAUAAUUCUCUUAUGUGUUUUUCCUCUAUUUAACUAAACAUGUGAACAACCACAUUUGAAAUGUCUAAUUGACUAAUGACAACUAAACAACAUAUGCACCAUGCUGGAGUUUAUGUGUUUGUGUAUUUAAUAAUAGUAACAUUAAUAAGAAGUAAUUAGUGCCCAACUCUAGAAAUUUGAAAUAACAAAGAAAAGCAGAAAGAGAGGGGAAAAUACUAUACAAAGCAAAGAGAAUAAACAUGUAAAUAAAUGAAUCCCUUCCAUACUACUAUGUUUAUUUUGUAUAUUUAAUUUGAGUACAAGUUCACGAUACUAUUUAAAUUCAAAUUUGGAUUUUAAAAUAAAAAGAAAACAAAACAGAAAAAUAUAAAAGAAAAAGAAAAAGGGUCGCAUGGGCCGAAUCUCGCCCCAGCCGACCCAUCAACGCGCUCCCACGUCCUGAGCGCACUGUGGUGUCGUCAGGCGGGCCCGCCCGGCCAGUCACUCACUCACACGCGAAAACAACUGACUGCAAGCCCCUCUCUCCACUGCCGCAUGGGCCCCACUUAUCAUCCCGCACCUCGCAUGCACCGCAGAACUACCUCCCCGGGAAUGUCGCGUUGACCGCAACGGAUCUCCCCCACCUCGGCGUGGACUCACGGGUCCAUAAAACGUGGGCGCGGAUCUUCCUCGGUCGCCUAACCCUACAUCGUGCCACGCCCAAAGCCCCAGUAACACCGCCGCCACGCGCUCUCAACUGAGGGUGUGUGCUCGCCGCAAUCCUCCUUCCCCCUGGGUAUUUCACUGGCGCUGAACCCCUGUGAGGUCGCCCAUCGUGCUCUCCAGUGUGUGCGGGCCGGUAGGGGCAAUUGGAGGGCGGGCGUGCCCCCGACGCCGUGGCAUCACGCAUGAUCGUCCCUGAUCCGUCGUGCGCCGUGAUUGGCUUCGCCCGUUGUCCGUCUCCGGUGAGUAAGUCAUACGCCAUCUUCACUCGCGCCCUGUGAUUGCGUAGCAACUGGUAGAUUCGAGUUUUGGGGUGCUAAAACACUGAUUCUGGGUGCCGGCGAUGGCGUCCACCGCGGAAUCACUCGCGCUGUCUCGCUCCUCCAUCGGAGGUAGGAAAAGUGUUCUGCACUGUCGGAUCCUUUAGUUGCGGUUGAGAUCUGAUCCGUGAGUACCCCUUCGGGAGAGAGAACCUUGACCGUAGAUCUAGGAUCCGAGGGUUACAAAAAUUGAUCCAUUCCAAUUUAUAUAAUUUGGUAUUAAUAUUGUUUAUCACAUAGUGUCUCUAUUUUAGCAUGAAACCUAUAUUAAAAUUGAUCCCUUAAUUAUUUUUGUACCAAACACAUAAAACCUUCGAAAAAUCAUAAGUUGAAAUCUGUAACUCCGAAUUUAGUGCUUCUUGUUUUUACGAUCUCGUUACGAUGCAUAGAGUAUUAUUAUGUAUUCUGUAUUCAUGCUUGGUGUGGUGUUAAUUUCUCUCUUGUACCAUGUUUGUUUGUAUUGUGGCGCAUAGACGAGCAUGUGGAUUCAGGUGUUCAACAGGUAGAAGUUGCUGAGUAGGAGCUCAUUGAAGGCAAGUUGUGCCCUUGACCACUUUUAUUUACCCAAUAAUGUUCUCUAUAAUCAUUUUAUCAUGCAUAUGCUUAAUUUUGAUGGAACCCAAUAGGUCACUCUAGUCUGGUUAUCUUUACAUCUUGUUUACCCCUGAACUUUUGGGUAGUCUUUGCCAUUACUACAUAUGGUUUUGGGUGUUGAGAUAACUAUUACACAUGGUCAUUCUUUAUUAUUGUUCUAUUUCUAUUCAUGAUAAGAUUAUUAUGUUAAUUGGAACAUGGAGCUUAACUUGAGAAACACAUGCCACCACAAGGGUGGAAUGGGACGCCCUUGGCUGACUAACUAGGAAAGCUAGUGGAGGACUACCUUACCCGAAAGGGGCAAGGGCAGUAGGGGAGUAGGCGUGUAGGGAGGUUCUCGGGUUGAUUUUGCUACGAUGGCUGUCAGACGGGGGAUUCCUACAUGUGGCUGAGCGUAGUGAGGGUGGCUACUGCUACCUACUUGACCCUGGAUAAUGGCCUUCCUCUUCAUCUCGCCUACUUGAACACGAUUAUGUUCCAGAGCUAUGGCCUUGUCUAGAAGUCACUAGAAAGAUGGGAAUGAGUGAGACAUAAGCUGAUACUGCGGUGGCCUAAUAAGUCCCUCCAUAAAUAGUUCAUGGCUUCCUGCUUCUUCUCAUCAUCUGCGACCUCUUCUAGAGCAUAUCUGACAUCCCUCCCUGCUUGAGUGAAAGAAACUCCUUAAUCUUCAUCAGUCUGGCUAGAAUAUGGUAGUUUCUGAAGCUUGCAGAGAACACAACCCAGGUGAUGGUGUCGACAGGAGCAUGGGUUGCACAGUAAGCAUCCCACCGAUUGGCAGCGGGGCCAGUGAGGCGACCCGAUGCAUAAAGGACUUUUCCUGAUCCAUGCAUUAAGCGAUAUUAAGCAUCUUCUCCAUAUAUUUCAGCCAGUCAAUGGCCUGUAGUGGAUCUAUGGAGCUGGAAAAGGUUGGCAGAUUGUGGCUCAUAAACUCACGAUAUUUGUCUUAGGGUGGUGGCUGGUGCGGUUGCUGUUGAUACUUAUUGAACUAAGCUUGCAUAAUGGCCAUUGCAUUGACCAUCUGCUGUAGUAACUGUGCCUAGACUAUGAAGAAUGCUUCUGACCCAAUGGAUGGAGGAUUUACGGGAUUCAUCUAUGAUUCCGAACUAACCCUUGUCCUUCUUUGACGUAUGUGUGCAAGUUGAUCAACACCUCCUCCUGUCAUGGUAUUGACCAUCUGAGUUAGAGAUAUAAGGUAAGAUAGAUUUGCAGAUAUGAUAGAUAGCUAGGUACAAAACACAUGGCUUUUAGCUUGAGAAUUUUGGGUCACAAUAGCUCAAUUAAUUAAAGCACCUAUCAUUGCUAUACUAGACCUAUGUUGGUACAUUCUAGAAUGUACCCACUAUACUAGGUAUUAUUGUGGAUAUAACCCCACACUCAAUCAGAGAAGCGAAUCAACCAAGUUUCAUAAGAACAAGCAUUCAAUCGCAUUGGUACCUACAAAAAUAGUUUUUUUCUCCUAGGAUUAGGAUCCAUGUUCCUUAAAACCUCGGUGGAGGAUUCCAAGGUGUGAAGUCCUUUUUGUCUUUAGAAUAGAAAAGGUAAGAGUAGCUAGAGUAAAGCUGCAAAAGAUGAGGAAAGAUCAAGGAAAGUGUACAAAUAGUCAGAGUAGCAAGGAAAGUAGGCUAAGGUUUGUCCAGUUCUGUCUAGGUUAUGUCCUACGGUCAACAUUUCUCCGAUACGAAUUCUGCCACACCCGGAUUUAAGGACAAAUCUAGAUGCAUCCCAUAUGUGUGUUAGGAUCAAGUUCCACACAUAUGAUGAUUCAGUGUAUAGAAACAAAUGUCAUGAUCUUUAUUACAUAACGAGAAUGUCUAAUAAAAUUUCCUACCAAGUCGUCGCUCGCAAGGCAUUAAGGUCCCUAUGUCAUAUAUAUGAAGUGGAAGUGUCUGACACCCCACUCAGAUACUUUCUGCCCUUUCAAAGAGACCGCCCCGUUUGGAUGGGCAGGAUGCGUGCCUUAGAAGGGAAAUAAUAGCUAGAGGACAACCCUACAGUCGUAUUCCUCACUACAUACCUGCUUACCCUAGAUGCACGGUAUGAUCACUUGGCUCGGCACCAUCGUCAGAUGAUCACCCGAUCAGAAGAUGCAAACGCCAGCUCCAUGUGGAACUCACCAUAGCUCAAGCCUGUGUAGCUGCCUUGGAAAGUCAUGAGGUCAAUGUCAUUGAAUCUUUAGAACAAGCUAAGGAUGAGCACAUGCAGAAGUUGAUUGAGGCCUACUUGGUCACCCACAACCAACGUAGAGCUCUACGGAUCCAAGAGCCUACCUCAUCCAGUCUACUUCAACACAAGAAAUCUGAAGACCCCAGAUUCUGGAGGACCCAUCCACCUCUAUAAAAGGAGAGAGGAAGGCUUGGGAACCCCCCAAGGGAGCCAGUCAUAGAACGAAUACUUGUCCCCCCCCCUUAGGCUAUGUAUAAUCAAGAGCACCCCGAGCCCUCCCAAGAUCCAUCAACAGAGUUGUUUGAGCCCCUUACCAUGAAGAAGAUUCCAACACUGACCCUCGAGGUCAAGGAAGAAGCCUUAAGCACUCCACCUGCACCAACGCCCUCUGAGGUCAAUUUGGAGCUGCAAGAGCAAGUCCCGCUUGGAGAAGAGUACGACCUCGUCUUGCCAUCUCAGUCGUCGCUAGAAGAAGUCAUCAACAUCAGCUCCCUCUUGACUCACUCUUGCUUAUUUUUUUGUUUUCAAAGAAGGAGAUCGCUGAUUGUGUAAGAGUUACGCUUGUUUCCCAACCAUGCAUGUGGCAGUUGGACCGCUAAUUUGCUUCACUACAUAUAUUAGACUGAUGUUGUUCCACUCUAAUGUUAUGUCCCGAGUUGUGGACCGACUCUUAAAGUUGAUCGCCACAUGUAUCGGUUUGUCUCGUUUAAGCAGAUAUGGAACCAUCUGAUGUAUAAAUGUGCAUACUAGCCUCUUGGGACUAGUAUUUGUAUCACAUUGAGUCUCAAAGGAUGGGGACGUUUCAGUUCUCAAGAGAACAAGAGUGAGUAGAAGCUCUCUAACCGUCAAGUCCUAGUAACCAUGACUGAUCCGUUGGUACCCUACUAGUGGUCCGAGAUCCUGGUCUCCUUCAACUGACCUAAUCAGUGGCUCAACUUCGACCACCUGGGCAAAUACCCACUGCUUGUCAACCCGAUGGUCUGAGUGGGUCGAGUCAAGAAGGUGUUGAUCGACGGUGGCAAGAACACAAACAUCACCUUCAUCCUUGGCGAUAUGGCUAACUGAAGAGAGACCCAGAAGGUGGGUCUUGGCCUUCCCGACAUGGACUCUAUAUUGUUGUUUCGCUAAGGACCAAGCAGUUGAUGGUAUAUGGGGAUUCUUUGGUGGUAAUCAGUCAAGGCAACAAAGAUUGAGAUGUGCUGCAGUUCGAGAGAUAGAAGACAAGUUUGAAGGUCUAGAAUUCCAUCAUAUUGAAUGAGAUCGCAAUAUAGCAGUCGACACAAGCCCAAGUUCCACCAAAUGUCUUCGUUCGAGAAGUACUCUGUCCUGCAUCACGCAGGAGCCGGAGGAAUAGUGCAAAUUGUUAGAACAACAAACCUUGCUCAUCAAAGAAGACCCGGAUGAUUAGAGGACACUUAUUAUCAGGUAUAUAAAGAAUGAAGAAGAGUUGAAUGACAAAGCAGCAGUCGAGUGACUAGCCAGACAUUUUGCUACAUUAUGAUCAGUAAUGAAUUGUAUAGGCCAAGCGCAUCAGGAGUCCUAAUGAAGUGCAUUGACAUAUCUCGAGGUAGAAACCUGUGGGUGAAAAUCCAUGUUGGGCAGUGUGGCAUUCACGUCGCGUCAAGAACACUAGUCGGGAAUGCUUUUAGAGCUGGAUUCUACUGGCUAACAGCUAAUCAAGAUGUAGUAGAUCUUGUUCGGAAGUGUGAAGCAUGCCAAUACUUUGCCAAGCAGCAACAUCUCUCGGCACAGCAGUUACAGGCUAUCCUGGUUUCAUGGCCCUUUGCAUGAUGGAGGCUAGACAUGAUCAGGCCAAUUCACCAGAUAGUGAAACAGGCCUAUAACUCCCUUAUUAGAUGAAGGCGUGCCUUUUCAAUUGGGCAACUAUUUUUUUACAUCCUUAAUUAUGUGUGAAUCGAAUCGAUUAUCAAUAGUCAGGAAGACAAGACAACGCAAUCAAAAAAAGGAAGACAAAACAUCUAGCAUCCACGUGUUCAAAAUAAUCCAUGAACCACAAAGGAUAAGAAAAAGAAAAGAAAACUCAACGGACUAGAGAGUCAAGAUCUCGACCUUCUUCUCCAUGACACGGACGCCAAUCGUGAUCUUACUGGCGCCGCCACUACCCUCCAUCACCACCAUUGCAGCAUGCCCCUAUCCUGGCCUCCUUCGUCCCCAAUCUGUCCCACAGUCCGCGCAUGUGAAUCCGAGGCCAUUUCCCACAUUUUUAUGUUAGGAGGAUAAGAGGCGUUUGGUUGUUGACGAUGGCUACAUCGAUGGAGCAACCGGCCACUAGCCCGACCAUGAUUUUGAGCUUGAUCAUGUCGUCAACUAAUGCCAGGUACAAUCGUAUCUCCCUCGGUGCCGACACUCUAACCACCGGCAUAUGCACCCCACACGGCAAGAGAGGCUUCUAGCCAUCGCGUCCAGCAUGGCGUCCAAGUCGGUGCAUUAGUAGUUGGUACUGAAUGGGUCCACAUGGCUGAAAAAGGGGGUUGGCUCCGAAGACGUCAGCGUUGGUGCCCCUAAGGUUCAGCAUGAUUUCCGAUGCAAACCAACCGAGAGAGAAAACUACUAGAUUAGAUGGAUAGGAAAGAACUCCCCGUCCACCUCCGUGUUAGUCUCCAACAACUUCUAUAUUUGUGUAUCCAAUAUCUCUAUAUUGAGCCACUCCAAUAGUUAUGUAAAUUUUAGCUCUCUAAAUCACAUAUUUAAGAAGUUGCUAAAUAACUUUGACAGAAAAAAAAUGUGAGUACUCCAAUAGUUCUCUAAAUAUAGAUAGUAGUUUUUUUUGUAUCUAUCAACAAAAAUAGCUCACAAAUGUCAACGAUCACCUUCAGUAUCUAUAUAAUGCAAUCAACAUUUUUGUUUAGCUAGUUACUAAAUGGUUGUCAAAUGUAGAGAGAAAAUGAGGUUAGAUAAAUAAGAUUGCUAAAUUUAAGAAGUUAAUUUAAAGAACUGUUCGAAGAGUUUUUAGGUUAACUGGCUCUUCCAAAAACAUACCGAACUCUAAUAGCUCCUUACAAAUACCUUUGCUAUUCGUAAAUCUUCCCUCUGGCCAUCGCUAGUGUUUGCUUUUGUUUCCUGAAGACCAAAAGUUCUGACUAUCGCAGCAUCUAUGGCAGCAUCAACGGUUAUGACCCACACUUUCGUUAAGGCAACUAAACAUAAUCAUUAAUAUCGGAAAUGUACCCAGUUAAAGAAUCCACAAUAGUUCUUACAACUAGAACGAUACAGUCUGCAAGUUUAAACUUCAAUUGAAAACAACUAUGAUUCUUUAGUAAAUGUUAAAACUAAUGAUAGCGUAUAUCGCUAAAUGCCUUGUACCAAAUCAUGUUAUGGAUAUUUCCAUGUCACACCAUGGAUGGAAUGCCUUGUCCCAAAUCAUGUUAUGGAUAUUUCCAUGUCACACCAUGGAUGGCUUCAUUCAGUUGAAUCAGCAGCCUACGCAAUGCACAUAUUAAACAAAAUGGGCGACACCUAAAGAGGGAAAACUAUGGGCCUGUUUGGGAGAGCUUUGCUUCAAAAACUUCAGCUUUGGUUUCCAGUUUCACCGUAAAACAGCUCUAGGAAAUUGUUAAGGUGAGUUCCAGGAGCGUUUGGUUUGCAUAUGGACUUCAACUUCUAUAGUACCAUUGAUUUGUGUGGGUUUCCUUGAUUACCCUUGAUGAUUAGUGGGUUAUCGCCAGAGAGAACGGAAGUUGCAUGUUGCGUAACCAGUGGCAUGGUGGGUAAUUUUCGUAUAACUUCAUGAGGAGAUAUAAAAACAGUGUUUUUGAAGCACCUUCUAAGGAGCUUCACGAAUUUCAUGAAACAGGCCUCUAGUUUCGAUUUUUUUUAAAACUAAAGCUCGUGGAGCUGAACCCGUUUGGGUUAAAGAGGUUCGAACGAAAUUGAAAUUCUUGAAGUGAAGCUCUCCCAAACAGGGCCUAUAUAUGCAGUGAUGCCAUGACGAUCUUACAAGCUAAUAUUACAGAAAAAUGUUUUCUUUACGACAUGUUCUGCGUUUAUGCUUCAAACAAAUUCAUCAACAAAUAGGAACUAUUGCAGCUAGCGAACAGGGCAAAUCAACAUCACCGCAAUAGGACAACAGCAGAUAUUAUCAAUACAUUGGACUAGAGCUCAAUCGCUUUUAGAAAACAGUGUACUAAUCAGGUCUGAAAACAUGGCAUAACGCUCUGAACUUGAGACGAUUAACCAAAAAAAGUGUACUCAUCAGGACACACAUUUCGGUGCAAGACAAUCCAUGAGAAUGCUCUAAGCUACAGCGCUCUUGCCCUUCUUCCUCUGUAGCUUCUUCAUGUAGAACUCAAGCUCUUUACCCUCAAGGAUGUACCUGUUAUAUAAAAAGAAAAGGCUACUAAGGAGCUGCAGGUAACGUUAUAGGUGGUGAAACGAGAUAACUUGAAGCCAAGAAGGAUAGCAUGACAAGAUAUCUAAAAUCAAAACGACCAUUAUGAUUUAAGCAACAAAAGUUUGUAGUACACACAGAUAUGCUGCUCUAAAAAUACUAAGAAAGUCUGGUGGAGGUCCAUUAUUUCGUACCCAUCAGCUCGGCCACACUGUCCAGGGCGGGAAGAAAUGCAUGCCAGCAACCGUCCACUGCCAAAUUGCUCCUCAAUGUGUGGGUCAAGGGUACGUCCCUCCUUGCGCUUCUCAAGCUUCCUCGUGACAUGGUUGCUCUUUUUCGUUUCCUCAGCUGCUGCCUCAACCUCUUGUCCCUGGAUGGAUAUUAUAUCAAACAAUAAAUGAAUCACCAGAGGAAACAUAUGAGCUACUAGAGUAAAGAAAAUGAAAAGUAAUGAACUAUUGACAUCUGCUUUCUGGAAAUACUUCAAGUAAACAAAAUAUAUUGAUAAAAAUUAUCAACUUCUACAUUUUUCCAUAUAGAAAUCUAAAAUAGGCUAGUGCAGAAACAAGCUAUUCACGUGGUUAAAAAGAAGAGUUAUCUAACGAGCUUAUAUUUGUCAGCUACAAAAAAUGAUGUAUGAACUACGAAGCCAAUACCUUACUAAAACAUUCAGUGGUAAAUAGUGAGAAGCUGUGUUCCAAGAAAGAAUACCUCAGCAUUAUCCUUCUUUGCAGCAGGGGUUUUCUUCUUCCUACCAAUGUCAACUCCAUAGUGAGUGAGGUACCACUGCUUGAAUGGGGCAGCAUCAACUUGCACAAUGGCACUCUUCACAAGGGUUUGUGUCCUCACAAGCUCAUUGUUUGAUGCAUUGUAGACCACGUCGAGGAUACGGGUCUUGCGGGUAACAGCUUCACUUCCCCAUGAGUAGUUACCAGUAUCAAGGCGAAGAGCCCUCCAUUUCACAUUACCUCCACGAACACGGACCCUCCUCACUGUCUUAUUGCUUGACAACUUGGUGUUGGCUGGCUGGCGACCAAGCUCAUACCUUCAAGAGAAAUGACAAGCAGAAUAAACCUCUGAACGUAAGUCCUAGCAUAGUACUGCGACACAACAAAGCCACAUCGAUAAACAACUCUUUUAAGCAAGCUGAUGACACCAAUUCAGUUUGAUGAAACUUGCACACAAAUGAUCUACAAUUUUAGUGCUGCCUCAAACACGUAGAAUGGACUAGUUGUGAUAAAAAAAAAGACUAUUCUGAGAAACACCAACUUCACCAAGUGAAAUUGGCUAAUUGCCUUCAAGAAAAUUGAAAAAUACAUAGAAUUAACAGAUACAAUUACUUAUGAACUGUCAAGGCUCAGGCAUUUCAUUGGAAGCGUCAUGGUAAACAAUUUUAACAGACACAAAUAAUUUUUUAUUAGGCAAUACUCAGUAACCUCACAAUUAAGGGCGAUAAGCAUAAAUCACUGGAUUCAACUAAUGAUGUCAAGAGAGAAAAAAACAUUAUUUGAAUCCUUGAUACAACUCAGACCAAUUAAUACCGCAUUACCGCUGCAGCCACUACAAGAUCCACAGGGAAUCGACAUGCAAAGUUGACAAGUUAGGACCGGUGAUCUAAUCAAGCAGCAGCAUAUUACAGAACAAAAGCAGAGCUAAGUGAAUCCAGCCGUCAAUAACAUAGGGAAGAGAAACGGUCAUUACUUUCGCUUCUUCCUCCAGGCCUUCUGCUUUCCACCGGUGGCCCGGCGCUUGUGCAUCGAGUCACGCGAGAUACCUGCACGAACACAUCCAAACCAUCCGCAGAGGCACCCAUUAGCAUCUCAUCAGCCAAACCGAAGAACCAUCGCGGCAGCGUCGAUCAAACCGGAAACGACUGCGGCAGCGUUGAUCAAAUCGGAGAACCACCGCGGCAGCUAUGUCAGUACAGGCAAAACGAGAAGCAGGUGGAUGGAAUCUUACCCAUUGUGGCUUGGCACAGCUCCUCCUCCGCCUGCUCCUUGUCCGCCCGCGCCGCCGCUCUUCUCGUUGGGGUACACAAGUGAGACCCUAUAUAUCGGGUUUAUAUAUAUGGGCUGACCUAGGGUUGGGGAUAGGCGCCGGUGGGCUGAGUGAGGCCUAGUGCCCACCAAAUAAAUACCCAUGGCAAAUUGAAUCGAGCAAACUGGGCCUGGGCGCACACUAUCGACUCCAUAUCACGAAACCAUAUCACGAAACGACUAGCUAGUCCCUGCCGUAGGUCCAGCCCAAUUCAAAAUAGCGAAAAGGUCUAAACACGUUGAACCGAUCGACCAUGCCACUUACCAAUCUGUUUGUUUUAGGGGAUGUUUGGGACUACUUCACUUCAUAAAAUCUAGCUUAGCUCUAUAAGGUCUUGUUUGGAAGGGCUCUAUUUCAAAAAUUAUAGUUUUGGUUUUUCAGUUUCAUCACGAAACAACUUCAACAGAUUGGUAAGCCGGUGUUCAAGAAUGUUUGGAUUGUAUAUAGACUUCAGCUUCUGUAAUACAGUUAAUUUAUGUGAGUUUCUUUAAUAAACCUUGAUGAUUAACGGGUGGAGAAAAAGACAUGAAUCGGUAGGUCAUUUAACCAGUGGCAUGGUGGGUGAUUUUGGUACAACUUCAUGAGGAGGUAUAAAAAUAGUGUUUUUGAAGCACCCUUUAAGGAGUUUGAAAAUUUUCAUAAAACUGCCCUCUAGUUUCAAUUUUUAAGCUAUAGCUCGUGGAGCUAGACGUGUUUGGAUAGAAGCUGAAAUAGACUUAAAAUUCUUAAAGUAAAGCUCUCCCAAACAGGGCCGAAAACUCUAGUCAAACACUCUUAGCUUCACCAACUCAGUUUCACCAAAAAAAGGUGAAAUGGACCCUAAGUUCACCAAGGGUCUGUUUGGAAGAGCUUCAUUUCAAAAAUUUCAGGUCUAUUUCAGCUUGUUCUAUCCAAACGGGUCCAGCUCCACGAGCUCUAGUUCCAAAAAAACUGAAACUAGAGACCAGUUUCAUGAAAUUUUUGAAGCUCCUCGAAGGGUGCUUCAAAAACAUUGUUUUCAUACCUCCUCAUGAAGUUGCACAAAAAUUACCCACCAUACAUUCAUUUGUUACAUGACCUAUCAAUUCAUGUCUCUUUCUCCAUCCAUUAAUCAUCAAAGGUAAUUAAGGAAACUCGCACAAAUUAACUAUAUUACAGAAGCUGGAGUCUAUGUGCAAACCAAACACUCUUGAAUCCUGUCUUACUAAUCUGUUGAAACCGUUUCAUGGCGAAGCUAGAAAACCGAAUCUGCAAUUCUUGAAAUGACCCUCCCAAACAGGGCCUAAAUCUAUGAAGCAGCCAAAAGGGUGCUUCAUGAAUCGAUAUUUUAAAUUCACUCAUGAAGUUAGGAUGAAAUUACUCACUUUUUCCAUUGGUUACAUGCCAAACGAAUCGUUUUUCCUAUUUCUGUCACUGAUCGAUGGUCGCGCCAGCCGCAUGCGCCUCACACCAAGACCAGCCAUUUGCAAUAAACCUUUCCUCUUCUCCAUGGAUCCGCUACAGCCGUCGCCGACAUGCAUAGAUUGACGUCGGAGCUCGCCGGGGACAUGUGAUGUGCGCCGACAAACCUCAGCACAGAGCUACUUGAGCUCGCCACCAUCGUUGCGGUGGCCACAGGGGCCUGUGCGUGCGGUCCAGUGUUCACUUUCUCAAAUCGAAAUCAACAUGUUUCGAUGAAUUAUUCCGUUUUUGUUAAUCACCGAAAAUCGAAUUUCGUUCCAAAUUUUAGUAGAUUUCGAUUUAAAAUAUAAAAAUACGAAAUUCAAUUUCGUAUCUAUGCAAACAAAAUUGUGAACCCUGGUGCGGGCAGCCGGAGCUUAGGCAUGCCAUCUAGCUGCCUCGACACAACCAGGCGUGGGGAACCCGGUAGAUGUCAGCAUGAGGGCGUCGACCUCCACGCCCGCACGUCCAAUGGUCUGCAAGUCGCGACAGUUAUUCAGCUUUUCUUGCAUGCCAUAUGAACUGGUCAAUUGUUUAGUGAACUUUUUCCAACUUGGUCAUUAUGGUUACUAUACAUUGAGUAGACGGACGAUAAUCAUUUUCAUGCUUGGUGUAUUUGAUUGGCCAGGCGGUGACAAGACCUCUAAUACUACCUCUGUUUUUUUAAUAUUUAUCGUAUGUUAGUUCAUUUUUAAACUAAUGACAACUAACAAAGAACGGAGGUAGUAUUAAUUGAUUACAACAACAAAAACAAUCCCAUACAUAUUCAAGGGUACAAGAGACUUUUCUAAACAAAAUCUCAUUUUAUUGAAGCUAAAGUUGAUCUCCAUGCCAAACAUAUUUAGAAACUCCGUUAAUUUGAAACAGGGAUGCUCAAUUGUGAAGUUUAUUAUGAAGAUGAGCUGGUUUAUGUGAAGUUGAGCUGUGCCAAACACACCCUUAGCUUACGGAGAGCUUCUGGCUACCAGAAGCUGCUUUUGCUCCCUAGAUGCAUUAGAGUUGUACAUUUGGGUCGGGUCUUGCGGGUUGACACAAGACAGAAAAAAGCAUGACACGCACUACACAAAAUUAUUUCGGGCUAGCCAGGCCCAGCCCAAUGCAUCGGACCAUGCUUGGGUCGAGGCCAUGACCCAUGGGCGAGCAUGAGCCCGAACCAUUUAUGCAAACAUGAAAAAACCCACUGUUGGGGACUUGUUCUCAAAUGCUAUGAUUUAAGAACAAGGCAACACAGAAAGAAGUUAAUGGUUAAUGCACUUCGUCCUUCGAAGCAUUAUUCCCUCAGGAUAUAACGAUCUUUGGACGAAGGUCAUGAAGGACAUACCUUCAUCAUCGCAAUUUACAUUGAUGAAAGAAGAAGCAUGCAAAAUAUGAGAAAUAACAUGAAUAAUCACAUAACAUCAUUUAUAUGACCUUAUUAUAUAAUCAUGAAUGAAUAAAAAUAAUACUGAAUUACAUUUAUACCUUGGGCUUGACAGAAGACAAAAGUACAAGUGUGACGCACGAGCGAAUACAAGUCAGCGUGAACAGUACGGGGGUAUUGUUCAUCUAUUUAUAGGCACAGGGCGCAGCCUGUGUAAAAUUACAUUCAUGCCCUUCAUAUUCACUAUUGACUUAAGAACAAUCUGUCGAGGACUAGAUAGCAUUUUCCUCCUUAAGUCGGUUCUUUUUUCUGCUACUGAGCCGAAGCUUCCUUGCGCGCAGCUUCGGCGCUGGUUCAACCUUCAUUACAACCCUGCUUUUUCGUAUUGUGUACAGCUUCAUCCCGAGUUCGAAGGUUCCUGUACAUAUAUUAUGCUUGGGAAACGUUGUUAAUCAUGAUUAUGAGGACCUUCAGAAGAUGAAGGCCCCCAACAGUAGCCCCUCGCAGUAUUAAUUUGUUAUAACAACGAAUUCAGACUGCGACGUGAACGAAGGCCUUAAGCCGAAGGUCCGAAAAAACACCUUCCCUUUGCUAGAAUAGCAACAAUCAAUGACAGACAGGGCCCUCCAAGUUGCAGCGUACUAGGCGUAUAAAUAUGAACUCACACCGACUGCAUUUGAUACGCUGUUUCUGCCAUUUGCAUUAUUUUCUCAAACUUUUAGCUCUUGCUCACUAGCGCUCGUUAAAUUUUCAAGCUUUUUGAGCUUCGGUUAAAAGACGCGUUUUUACCAUGUCUGGGGAAAAAUGAUUGAGAAGGAGAAGCUGACUGAGGAGAUGAAGCUGUUUGAGGAGAAGAAGGUUGCAGAUCCUUAUAUUGCUGGAUUUAUUGAGUCGAUGGCAAAGACAAACAUAGAGAAGAUUACUAAAGAGAUACUGGAAGGUUUAUCUGAAGAUACUGGUGACAGUGAUAGCUAUGAUGUGGAAAGUGGAGAUGAAGAUUCUGAAGACCGGCCCUGGCGACCAAGCCAUACUGUCUUCGGAAAAUCGACCAUUAAACAGAGUCAUCUUGAGAACAUGAGAGGAAGGUACUUUCGGAACAUGUCUAUCGUGAGGGCUAGCGGAGACAACAACGUCCCUGCUCCUGAGGAAAACGAAGUUGUUAUCUAUCGAAGCUUUUUUAAGGCUAGACUUCGGUUUCCUUUAAGCAAGUUUGUAGUUGAAGUGCUGAAAAUCUACCAUAUCUUCCUUCAUCAGAUCACCCCCGAAGCUAUAAUGAGGAUGGGGAUUUUUGUCUGGGCUAUAAGGAGUCAAGGGCUAGAGCCAAGCGUGAAGUGCUUCUGCAGUAUGCACGAACUCUUAUAUGAGACGAUGGCUACUGGCAAAGAACAGUACCACAACAACUUCGGUUGUUAUGGAUUUAUUGCUCGCCGCAAGCCACCCGGUGCCAACAUUUUGGAAGAGAUAGCCCGGGGCGUGGAUGGAAGAGUGGUUUUAUGUGAAGAAUGAUUUAAAGGCAAGGGAAGACAUUAAAGAAAUCAUCAUGCACCCCAUCUGGUCCCGCUUCAGCCUCCGAAGGCCGAAGGUAGAAAUUGAUGACACUGUCAAAACAUGUCAGAGGGCUUUCAGCACUGUUAGCUCCUUCAUUGGCACAAGAGAUUUGAUUCAAGAACAUAUAGCCUUCAGGGUAUGGCCGCUUGUUGAAAGCUGGGAAAUGCCGAAGGAGACCACCACUGAUUCUAGUGAUGGUGGUCUGGUCCGACUGAAAUAUACCUUUAGAUUUAGGGAGAAGUUUGAUGAGCCAAACGACGAUUGGCUGAAGUGUAUUGAAGCUACCAGCAUGAGUUGCUUGGAGCUUACUCCAAGGCCGAAGAUAAUGCUCUGUCCGCAGCCUUCGGAGAUCGAGGGAAGAAAAGACUGAACAAGGGUUUUGACGCAAUCGGCUUCAUAUACCCCGAUUAUCGCUACCCACUACGAGGACAAGAGAAAAAGAGGAAGAUUGCUGCUUCGGUCACCCCAACUGAGUCUGUGCCGAAGAGCAAAAAGGUGAAGGUUCUGACCCACUGGCCGCGUUACAUUGAACCGGUCGUGGUGCCUGAAUUUGGCACAGGGUCCACUCCAACAGCCGAAGGGCCGACUGUAAUGCCGAAGACGCAUAUAGUCAAGGCAGACGAAGAUAAGGUUGAUAAGGCUGAAGGGUCAAAGGUUGAAAAAAUGAUGCAAGUGCCAAAAAUUCUGAGCCCUCCGAUGGAGGCAACACAGCCGAAGGUGCAAAAGGCUUCUGCUGCAACUCCCAAGAGGAGGAGAAUGGCCAACGUGCUGGAUGUUGUGCUGGAAACUACGAAGGUUUUAAGCCCUGCUGAUACAAAGAAAGUUGCCGAAACUACAAAAACGCAGGCCGAAACCAAAACUAGGCAAGCAGAAACUGAAGCUACGCUAGCUCAAACUGAAGCCGAAUCUGGGCCUUCAGUGCCCACCGAGAUGGAGCCUACUAAUCCUAAGGAAAAAACAACAGAACAGAUUGCAUCUGAAAAGAUCGAAGCUCCUGCUCCCGAAGCUUCGAACAAAAGCAUUGACUACAUUAUUCGUCAUGCUUCGGGAAAAGAACUAUCCCAAGAAGAAAUGCUAGAAGCACGACACUACGCCAAAAAAUUGAAAUAUCCGAAGGGAGCGUUAGUGUUCAAUGGUAGUGACGAAGAAGAUUUUAUGUACUGUCUCCCGGAUAACAAAGAAAUAUCCGUUUGCCGGGAGAUAGGUAAAAGCAUCGGAUUCCCGAAGCUGGAAUACGACCUUUCGAUUUUAUCGAAGGAUGAACUUGCUAACAUCCUAGCAUACAAUAGCAUAAAGGUAUAAAAGUUAACUUGGAAUUUGAAAAUGAGGUAUUUCAUUUGUCAUACUCAAUUCUUUCCUCCUCUUGCAGGGCUUGAUUCUUAGUAAUGCCCUUAGGGCGCAGAAAAAUAUUGAAGACGAAGGCUAUACGAUGGCUCUGAACAACCUUCGUUCAGAGGUGAUUGAAUUGAGAAACGAAGGUCUUGAAAAAGACAAAAUCUUAAUUUCUCUGGUUAACAAAGUGAAAGAGGACGAAGCUAGUUUCAAAGCUCGUGCCGAAGCCCAAAAGAUUGAAAUUGAAGACCUUCGGAGGCAACUGGCCGAAGCUAAGGAAAAAUGCGCACUCGCAGAAGCUAAUCAAGAAAUCAGCGAAUAUUGGAAAAAUCAUUUAGAGAAAAAUGUUGAAGAACUUUGCACAUCCAAGUAAAAAUGCUUUGAAAAAUCCUUGGAUUGUGUGAAGAAAAUAAAAGUUAGUUUCGCCAAAGUGGUGCCUAUUCUGCCGAAGAAAACUUCAUACGAGGCGACCCCGAAGGCGUUAUUGAAUGGAUAAGUGGAGAGGCCGAGACCUUUGAAGAAAUUUUAAGUGAUCGCGGGGAUGUUUGUGCGUUUUCCGGUGCACGGGGAAUUUCAGCCAUCUUGGAGAAGGCGGGAUGUGAUCACAUCAAGACCGUGGCCCAGGCCGAAGCUGCCUUCUCCGUAGAUGAUACGAAGGAUCCUUCAGCUGAAGCGACCUUGAUGGGCGGAAAAUUUUACAAUGAUGUCUGGGUGAAUGGUGGCCGAGAGAUGGCCCAUGAAAUUAUAAAGAAAAGUGAAAAAGAUACACAUGACGCCCGAGCAGAAGCAAGGCGAGCUGAAGAAGCUGCAGAGCGCGAAAAACGUAUAGGUAUUGCUUUUUGGCUUUUAGCUUCGGCAUUUGUUUUUGUGGCUUCAGACUGAUUAACUUUUCCUUCUUCAGCUGAAUUAUCUCCGCCGCCGGAACCGUUCGAUCCCCUAGCGGAUCCAGAAAUGAAGGAAGCGCUGGACAUUAUAAACAUGGCUGAAUCCAUUGUUGAUGAAGUUGUUAACAAAUUACUGCACGAAGUUGCAGAGAAAGUCCUUAAAGAGGAAUAACACUUAUUGUAAAAACAUUUUGAGAUGGUCAAUGUAUGAGACACUAGAAUGGACAUUGUACUUUUAUUGUAACAAGACUCUAAUAUUUGAUGUGUGUAGCUUUGAAUCGAAUAUAUAAAUUAUUGUAAUCCAUUUCUUUGCGAUGCAUGAAACUUUACAUACGUACCGUUUUUGAGCCUUCGGCGAAAAAACACCUUCCCUUCUUUUCAUGCUUUGUAAAGAAAAAGAUCCAUGCUUCGUAAAAAUAUCCAUGCUUCGCGAAGAGGGAUCCUUUCUUUUGUGACAAGGCUGAUGAAGCUGUAUUUCUCGAAGCUUACUUCGUGCCUUAGCACAUUUUCAUUUUUAUGAAGCAUUCGCCGAAGAUCAACUCUGUAUUCGAUUCUCGUGUCAUUGAUGCGAUAUGAUGUAUGAUGUGAUGCUAUGCGAAAUGAUGUGAUGAUAUGACGCAAAAUGAUACUGAUGCCAAAGAUACACACCCACACACCCACACUGGAAUACACAAACUCUGCACCCCCUUAGGAACGACUUUUGAGCUUCUUCACCAUUUAUUUUUCAGUGUUCACCGUUUAUUUUUCGGUGUAAGUUCUGCAUCCCCUUAGGAACAACUUUUGAACUUCUUUGCCUUCUAUUUCGACGGUAUAAGUUCUGCAUCCCCUUAGGAACGACUUUUGAACUUCUUCGCCUUAUAUUUCAGCGGUAUUUGGCUCUGCAUUCCCUUUGGAACGACUUUUGAGCAAAAAACUUACGCUGCGCUCCCUUAGGAAUGACUUUUGUAGCUUCGACAAUUUUGACUUUGCAUUCCCUUAGGAACGACUUUUUAGCUUCGAAAUUCUGUGAAGAAGAUUUUGGGCUUCGUAAUUCUGUGAGGAAGAUAUAUUUAAUUCUGAUAGAAGCAAAAUCAUUACAAGAAUUUAAAACUAAAUUUACAUUACUUGUUCCUUAUUAAAAAGCAAAAUGGCAUAGAACUCAACAGCAUUUUAGAGGUAGGAUAUCGCUCAGUAUAUGUGCUUCGAUUCUGGUACAAUACUAUUGACUGUACGAGCUUCGGACUCCUCCCUGAAGUCACGUUGUUGCUGGGAGUGUUGACGCCCUUCCGGCUGCUGGCUUCGGGAAUAAGUGGGCUGCAGUGGUGGUAGCGGUGGAAGCUGGGGCCAAGAAGCCUGUGAAUGGCUUGCCGAAGCAACAGAGGCUGCAGGUUGAUUGCCCACGUAUUCUGGUAUGUAAGGAGAGUGGCACGAAGCAGUGCGCAAAACCUGCUUCGGCUGAUUCUGUCGAGCUUCGGCUUCGGCGAUCUCCUUUUGUUUCAGAAUAGUGAUUUGGCACAUUCUUGUAGUGUGGCCCUUGUCUUCACCACAGAACAAGCAAUAAAUUUUCCUGGGUUGAUCCCCAUAUCUUCCUCCAAAGCCCCUGGCGCCUUUGCCCCUUGGAGCUGGUGGCCUGAAGGAGCUUUGCUGCUGUCCCAAAGACUGUGAGGUGUGUUGUGGCCUCUGAAGCUGGCUUCCUUUAUCGUCAUUCUGACUGGAGCUGUGGAUUAAUCUGACAUGCCUAGGGUGGAUUCUUCCUCCGAAGCCCCUAGUCAUCUCAGAAAAUCUGUAAGCUUCUUCCCUUCUUUGUCGGAAGUCAUUGUCAGCUCAGAUGUACUCAUCCAUCUUCUGAAGUAGCUUCUCCAGAGUUUGGGGAGGUUUCCUGGCGAAGUAUUGAGCUGUGGGUCCUGGCCGAAUACCCUUGAUCAUGGCCUCAAUGACAAUUUCAUUGGGCACUGUGGGCGCUUGUGCUCUUAGUCGCAAGAACCUUCGGACAUACGUGAAAGGGAAAUAUGCCCUUGGGCAAUUUCUAUAAUGUUAUGGUGAUUAAGUGCCCAACAUGUUAUUAUGUGCCAAAUAAAGCAAGAAGUGCAAAUCAAGGUGUUGGGGACUUGUUCUCAAAUGCUAUGAAUUAAGAACAAGGCAACAUAAAAUGUUAAAUAUCAAUGCCCUUCGUCCGCCGAAGCAUUAUCUCCACAAGGAUCUAAUGAACUUCGGACAAAGGUCAUGAGCAUAAUAUUACGAAGGUUUCACCUUCAUAAUUAAAUUUAUAAAUAUAAUACAAAGUAAUGUAAAAUGUGAAACAUUAAAGAUAAAUAUAUUGAAAAUAAAUGACAUCAUUCAUAUAUCUUAUUAUAUGAAUCUAAGAUGUUUGAAUAUAACGUUUAGGUACAUUUAUACCUUUGCCUUGACAAACAAUAAUUCCCGAGUGAUGCAUUUGCAAUUACAGGAAUGCGUGAACAGUAAAGGAAUAUUGUUCACUAUUUAUAGGCACAGGACACAGUCUGUGAGGAAUUACAAUCACACCCCUCAUAAAAGUUUACAACAAUGACUCAGACCCUUAUGGACUAAAAGGUCAUUCUAUCUUUAAGUCGGUUCGACCCUUCAUCUUCGGAUAUGCUGUAAUACCGAAGCUUCAUGAAUGGUGCCUUCGGCGUCACGUACGAGCAGCUUCAGCCGAAGCUGUCUCUUUCUGUAGGACCUUCGGCGACGAAGCAUGGUCCCAACAGUAGCCCCUUCGUGGUGCUAGAUCGUUUUUCGUAACGAGCUUGAUCCGUGAAAAAAGUCUCUUAGGCUUCAGGAAGCCGAAGGUCCGAAAAACACCUUUCCUGAGCUCGUUGUCGAGAAACGAUACAGUUUUCGAGCGCGUAGCGGUCCCACCAUGCAGGUUCACUAUUUUGGUUUUUGCGGCCCACCAUGCAGCGGGUGCGAGCAACUGUUUGCCUGGUGUAAAAAUCCUGACGAUUUACCUUCUUACCUGCAGCACUAUAUAAACAGACAGGUAGGUGUGAAGUUACCACAGCAUUCAUUGCUAUUGCACUGUUCUGCUGCCAAAAAUUUAACCAUAUCUGAAGCUUGACUUUCGCAUUCAAACGAAGCUCCAGUUUGGUGUCUGCUUCGUCAGAAGAAGAGCUUCGGAAGAAAGGUUAUUAAUUUCUAAGAAAUUUUCAAGAAAUUCAAAAUCAAAUGGCCAGAGUGCGCUCUACUGCUAGAGUUGAGCGCGAAGGAGACGAAGCCGAAGCUAUGGAAACUGUUCCUAUCUCGGAAGCAAUGAAGCGAUUUGGGUUGAUGACAUCGGAAGACAUCCCUGCUGCUGAAGCAGAACAAGCAGAUAUUGAAGAGACUGAUUCUGAAGGUGAUCACAGUAUCGCAGUUCCGAGCAAGCCCAGCCACCUGGACUUCGGAAAGUCAACCAUCUCCAAGGCUGAUUUUCCUAAGAUGGUGAAGUCGGGCUACUUUAGCGAAGAAGAGAAAAAGCUGAUUCGCUUCGGUGGAGAAGAAACUACCCCGAAGCCACAGAAAGACGAAAUAGUGAUUUUCAAGAGUUUCCUCAAAGCUGGUUUGAGAUUUCCUUUGAAUAGGAUGAUUGCUGAUGUGCUAAAGAAAUUUGGGAUCUACCUUCAUCAACUAACUCCUAACGCUAUUGUUAGGCUUAGUAUUUAUAUUUGGGCUCUCCGAAGCCAGGGGGUGAAACCGUUUGCCGAAGGUUUCUGCCGAGUGCACGAGCUACAUUACCAAACCAAGGCCAGAAAGGAUGGGUUACAUGAAAAUUUUGGUUGUUAUAAUUUUGCUUAUCGGAAAAGUACAAAAUUUCUCGUGAUCAGCUAACGAAGCAAGUGGCCGGCAGGCUGGAAAUCAGAAUGGUUCUACGUCAAAGUUGACGAUGACAAGGAGAAGCUGGUAUAGAGUCCGCUUGAACUGAUCUUCGGAGAGACCAGACCCCAAUGCAGUAUGACACCAGAAGGUCCAACCCAAACGGCGUUGGCCGAAUUUAGGAUUAUUGCAGAGCACAUUGGCACUAGAGAUCUAGUGCAAGAAUUUCUGGCGUUCAAAAUAUUUCCAACUAUGAAGGAAUGGGCUAUGCCGAAGCUCGAAAGAGAGAAGAAGGAGGGGGAGCUUGUCCGCCUGCCCUACCACUAUAAGUUCAAGAAAUAUUUUAAAGCACCCUACCAAGAAUGGCUCGAAACAAUCGAAGUAAUGAGUACUGAAAUUCUUGGGAAUUAUUCUAAAAAAGAGGAUCAAUUGAUGACAGCAGCCUUCGGCACCCGGCCGAAACGAAGGCUAAACAGAGUGCUUGAUGCUAUAGGCUUUGAAUACCCUGAUUACGAGCGGCUAGACAAGGGUGCCGAAGGGCAGAAAAGGAAAAGAGUAGCUAGCACUUUGAUUAAAGACGAUGAAGAUCAACCAAAAAAGAAGAAAGAAAAGUUUGAACCGAAGGUAGUUGCUCCAAGAAAAAGAAAAGCUGCAUCUCCAAAACCUGUAUCUCUAGAACCAAAGAGAUUGGUCCAAGAAGAGGAAAUUCCUGCGACACCUUCUGUUGCCGAAGUAGAAGAAAUUCUGAAGGUAAUAACUGAAUCUUUGCCUGUCAAGCUAAGUCCGCUGGCGCCGGAACUGACAAAGUUUUUUCAGAAGGACAAAGAAGCUUCGGCAGCAGAAAGCCCUGCGAAGCCGAAAAAACGGAGAAUCAUUCAAGUGACAGAUGUGAUUCAUCAGACGCCGCCACCGGUAUCGGCGUCAAAAAUUGCUAUUGUUGAGACCGCCGAAGCCGAAGCCGCCGCAGCCGAAGCUACCGGGGCCGAAACUACUGAAAUUGCAAUCGCCGGAGUCGAAGCCACCGGAGCCGAAGCUACCGGAACCGAAGCUACCGGAGCCGAAGCCGAGACCACCGAAGAUUCGAACCUGGAAACCACACUUGAAGUUAUUGACAAUAUACUUCUGAAAAUGGCUGAAGAAGAAGCUGCUGUGGCUGCGGUGAACACGGCUACUGAAAAAGGAAAAGAGCAGGUUGAAGACAUUUUGGAGGAAGGAAAUUUUAACUUUCAAGAUUUACUUGGGCAAGAAUUAACAAGUGAUGAAAAAGAAGAGCUGAAAAAAUAUGCUAUAUCCUAUGGAUAUAAACCAGGGUCUAUGCUAUUUGGUGGGGUCAACGAAGGGAAGCUAAGAUGCCUUCGGAAUCGCACCGAGGCCAAAGUUGUUAGGACCUUCUCCAAAAGCGUUGGCCUGCCGAAGAUAGAAGCGGACCUUUGCAGGUACCAGCGACAACAUAUCGCCGGUAGCUUGCUUUAUGCUAAUUUUAAGGUAAAAAUAUUAUUAUUAUUUUAUUAUUAUUACUAUUUUUAUGUCGUUUUCUGACGAAGGUUGUUUUGGCAGAGUAUAUUAUUAAGUAAAGUGCUAAAAAUGCAACAAGAUCUUGAAGAGGAGAAGAACAAAGCUAUCAUCAAAGAUUUAGAAGAAAAAGUUGAAAAUUACGAAGCUGUUCUGAAGAAGAAGGACUUCGCCAUUCAAGAUCUUGAAAUCAUGGCUAAAGAACAUGAAGGUGUCUUAGAAAAGAAAGACUUUAUUAUUCAGUCUAUGGAAGGCUCCUUGGCUGAAGUCCAAGCCAAAAAUGACAGUUUAAAGAAUGAAUUACUCAAGAAGUUAGAAAAAUCUGAGCAAGAAAAGAAGAACCUUGAAACAAGUCUCAAGACUGAGAUCGAGAAAAAUUCAAAUUUGCAAAAAUCAUUGAAGGAACUUCAAGAGAAAUGCCUAAAUUUCGGCAGCCGAUGCGUGCAGCGGCUGAAGGAUGUGUUUCACUCUAUCGGAGCUAGUUCUGAAAAAUUUUCACCUUCAGCCGAGAACCUGCCCAGCACCUUGGAAUAUAUUGAAGGCGAGGUUGAUGCUCUUGACGAAGUUAUUGCUAGGCAUGCUGACUUCUGCGCCCUGGUAGCUUCUCGGGGCACAGCUACCGCUUUUCUGAAGGCUGGCUGUACGCACGAAAAAAUUGUGAAUAGACCAAACUUCAGCUUGUCAGCAGCAGACUUGAUUGAUAUCCCAAGCCUAGCCCGAAGCAUCGGAAAUAGAUUUAUGACCCAGAUUUGGGUAAAUGGCGGGCGAAAGAUGGCUGGUGAUGAAGCUCGAAGCCACCUUAAACCGGUGAGAAACUUAUAUUUGUUACUUUUACCUUCUCCUUGAAAUUUGCACCUUUCUUAUUCUGUUCUUUAAUAUGUGCAGGAUGACGAAGCUGAAGUAUGACGAAGCUGAAGUAUGACGAAGUUGAAGUAUGACGAAGCUGAAGCUUAAUAGUUGCUAUAAUAGACUUUCCUGCAAAAAAUUCUGGAGAGAUCCUUGUAAUAUGAUUAUGGAAAAACUUAUGUAAAUUUGUACAUACCUUGUAAUAUAUCUUGUCUCCUUUAUCCGCGUACAAUCUGCUUUGCUGUGAACGAAACUACACUUUUGAGCUGAAGGCGAAAAACACCUUCCCUUCUUUUCGUACACAACGAAGCAUGAAAAUUUUGCUCUUUCUUCAAAGUUUUUCCUCGUUGCCGAAGCAUCUAUCUUUUUUGUGUGGUAUGAUGAUGACGAUUCUAUAUAUGUCUAAAUGAAUGUUUAUGAAUGCAAAUGACAUGAUGUAAUGUAUCGUGCAAAUGAAUAUCGGAACACAUAUUCAAAAACCAUAAUCAUAGCCCUUCAUCCCCUUGGGAAUGAUUCAAAUCUUUUUGCGUUUACUUUUCGGCUCCACCGUUUACUUUUCGGCGUAUCAGCGCUGACUUUUCGCUGUAAGCCUCCCUUAGGAGCUUCUUCGCCUUUUACUUUCAGCGGAAUCAGCGUUUAUUUUUCGCUGUAAGCCUCCCUUAGGAGCUUCUUCGCCUUUUACUUUCGGCGGAAUCAGCGUUUAUUUUUCGCUGUAAGCUCUGCAUUCCCUUAGGAACGACUUUUGAGCUUCUUCCUGUUUUCUUUUCUUUUUUCCUUUGCAUUUACGUUUACAUUUUUUGGGGGAUAUCACUCUUAUAGAAUUGAAAUAAGGAAAAGAAAAAUUACAUGUUGUGGCCCCAUUAAAAACCUUUCUCCCCCUUUGGAAAGGAAAAGGGUGCCACAAAAAAGAAUAGAAAAAAUUACAUCAAGCUAAACAUAAUAUCGCCGAAGCUCAUCCGCAUUCCAUGAUCUAGGAAUGUCGUUGCCGUCCAUAUCCUUCAAUCUGUAGGAACUGGGUCUUGACGAAGAUACUACCAAAAAGGGUCCUUCCCACUUCAGCUGUAAUUUGCCUACUGUGUCAGGGUUAGCUACUCUUCGAAGCACCAAGUGACCUGGUUCAAUGUUCUUCAGCCUAACCUUUCUGUCACGCCAUUUUAUUGUUUCAGCUUGAUAUUUGUUGAUGUUUUCUACAGCUUGAAGCCUGAUCCCUUCUAUAGCAUCUUUUUCCACAGAGUAAUUAGCUUCGUCUUCGCCUUCUGCCGAAGCUACUGUUCUUAUUGAUCCUGCUUUGGCUUCUUCCGGGGUUAUUGCCUCAUCACCAAACAAUAGUUUGAAUGGCGUAAAGCCUGUUGAUCUUGACACUGUUGUAUUAUGGCUCCACACUACUUUGAUUAAUUCGUCUGGCCACUUUCCCCUAGGCUGGUUGAAGAUUAACUUCAUUAUUCCUGUCAUAAUGAUCCCAUUAGCUCUUUCAACAAGUCCGUUUGACUCCGGAUGUCGAACUGAUGCAAAAUGGAUCUUCUUGCCAAUUUGAUCACAAAAUUCUCUGAAAGCUUCAGAAUCAAACUGUGUCUCAUUAUCCACAGUAAUGGCCUUCGGCACUCCGAAGCGACAAACAAUAUUUUGCCAGAAAAACUUUUGAAUAGUAACCGAAGUUAUUGUGGCUAAAGGCUUUGCCUCAAUCCACUUAGAAAAAUAUUCCACUGUCACUACAAUAUAUCUUAAGUUCCCCUGUGCUGGUGGUAAUGGACCUAGCAAAUCAAGGCCCCACCUUUGCAACGGCCAAGUGGGUUGUAUUAAUUGAGUUAAGGACGAAGGUUGUUUUUGAUCUCUUGCACAUUUCUGACAAUCUUCGCACUUUUGGACUAAAUCUGCUGCAUUCGAAGCUGCCUUUGGCCAAUAAAAUCCUUGACGAAAAACCUUUCCGAGCAAAGGCCUAGAUCCAAUGUGAGAUCCACACAGGCUUGCGUGUAUUUCUUUCAUCAAUUCUACGCCUUCGGCUCUGGAGAAACACUUGAGUAACGGGGAACAGACCCCACGCUUGUAUAGUUCCCCUUCUAUAUGACAUAUGGUCGAGCUCUUGCUUCUAUCCUCCUGUUAUAAGCUUCGUCAUCUGAAAAAAAAUUACCCUGAAGGAAAGAGAUGAUUUCAGUUCUCCAAUCUUCACUAUAGACAGGGGAUAUGUUGAGGACCGCUCUUUCAAGAAGCUCGACCGAAGGUGCUUUUAUUGUUUCGAAAAAUACUUCCGAAGGUAAGGGCAACCCCUGUGCUGCUGACUUGGCUAAUAGAUCAGCAUAUUCAUUUUCUCCACGAGGAAUAUUUUUAACAGAGAAUCCUUCGAAGGAAGCCUCAAUCCUUCGGACUGUAUCUAAAUAUUUUUCAAGCUUCAGAUCUCUUGCUUUAUAGCUCUUGUCAAUAUGACCAGAAAUAACUUGGGAAUCAGUUUUAAGAACGGCCCUUCUGAUUCCCAUUGCCUUUAACUUCCGAAGACCCAAGAGCAGAGCUUCGUACUCAGCAAUAUUGUUUGUGCAACUGAAAUCAAGUCUUGUCGCAUAACAAGUUUUAACUUUGGAAGGUGAAACCAACACAGUAGCUGCUCCCGCUCCGAAGGUUCCCCAAGACCCAUCGCAAAACAUUGUCCAUACUUCGGCAUCUUUAUUCAUUUCUUCCUCCUGAGCCCCUGGCGUCCAGUCAGCAAUGAAGUCUGCCAACGCUUGGGACUGAAUCGAAGAUCUAUGCACAUAAUCAAUACAAAAUUCAUUGAGCUCUGCAGCCCAUUUUCCAAUCCUUCCAGUAGCUUCUCGAUUUCUCAUAAUAUCCUUCAACGGUUGUGAAGAAGGAACAAUUAUAUUGUAAGCUUGAAAAUAAUGCCGAAGCUUCCUGGAGGCCAUCAAAACAGCAUACAGUACCUUCUCCAAUUCUGUAUAAUUUUUCUUUGAUGGACUAAGAACUUCUGAUACAAAGUAUAUUGGGGCUUGCUUUUUGACUUGACCUUCAAGCUUCUCCUGGACAAGUGCUGCACUUACCGCUGAGUGCGAAGCUGCCACAUAUAACAAAAGAGGAGCCCCUGGCGUUGGUGGAGUUAGUGUUGUUAGAUCUAUCAAGUAUUGCUUCAGCUCUUCGAAGGCUCUCUGCUGGACUGGUCCCCAUUGAAAAACUUCGGCUGACUUUACUUCGAAAAAUGGUAAAUUUCUCUCUGCUGAUCUAGAUAUGAAUCUGUUGAGAGAUGCCAGUCUUCCUGUCAAUCUUUAAGCUCCCUUCUUUGUACUUGGUGGUUCCAUUCGAAAGAUUGCUUCGAUUUUGUUUGGAUUGGCCUCAAUUCCUUUUGUUGAAACUAGGCAACCAAGAAAUUUCCCCUUCUUCACUCCAAAGGCACAUUUUUCUGGAUUCAGCUUUAAACCAGCCUGUCUAAAAUUAGCGAAGGUCUCCUGCAGAUCAGCAAUGUGAUUAUCUUGCUUCGUGCUUUUUACAAUGAUAUCAUCAACAUAAGUUAGCACAUUCCUGCCUAUCUGAGAAUGAAGAACCUUCGCUGUCAUUCUGCUGAAGCUUCCUCCAGCAUUCUUAAGCCCCUCAGGCAUCCGAAGGUAACAAUAUGUUCCACUAGGGGUUAUAAAGCUGGUUUUCGGCUCAUCCUCCUUCUUCAUCCAAAUUUGGUGAUAGCCUGAAUAACAAUCCAGCAGACUCAUAAGUUCUGAUGAAGCUGCUGCAUCAACUAGGGAAUCUAUCCUUGGCAAUGGAAACUCGUCCUUUGGACAGGCCUUAUUGAGAUCAGUAAAAUCGAUACACAUCCUCCAUUUACCAUUGGCCUUCUUUACCAUAACAGUGUUAGCCAGCCAUUCUGGGUAUUUUACCUCUUUGAUAACUCCGGCACUGAGGAGUCUUUUGACUUCAUUCCGAGCACCUUCAGCCUUGUCAUCAGACAUCUUCCGAAGCCUCUGCUUUCUGGGUCUGAAGGAUGGAUCAACAUUGAGCGAGUGUUCAAUAACAUCCCUGUUAACUCUGCAAAGAUCAUUAGCUGACCAAGCAAAAACAUCUUUGUUGUUGAACAAAAACCUUAUCAAGGUUUUCUCCUGUUCUUCGGACAGUUGAGAUCCCAAUAGCACCUUCUGCUCUGCUAUGUCCUCACACAAGAGCAUGGGCUUCGGCUGAUCAGCCGAAGCAGCUUUUUCCCUUCUGAACUUGUAUUGCUCACAAGCUUCAGCUCCAUCUAUAUUAUGGAUUGCUUUUGAGUCUGUCCAAUUUCCUUCGGCCCUUCUGGCAGCUUCCUGACUUCCAUGAAUAGCAAUGGGCCCUUGGUCCGAAGGUAUCUUCAUGCAAAGAUAAGCUGGAUGAAGAAUUGCUUCGAAGGCAUUGAGAGUACCACGACCAAUGAUUGCAUUGUAAGGGUAUUCCAUGUCAACAAUAUCAAAUACAACUUGUUCAGUCCUUGUGUUGUUAAUGAAUCCGAAGGUUACUGGCAUUGUGAUUUUUCCAAGUGCUACGAUCUGCCUUCCUCUGAAGCCACAAAGGGGAUGUGUGGCAUCAUGGAUUUUGUCCUCGGGCUCUUGCAUCUGUCUGAAGGCCUUAGCAAAUAUGAUAUCAGUUGCGCUGCCUGUAUCAACCAAAACAUUGUGGACCAGAAAUCCUUUGAUCACACAAGAGAUAACCAUAGCAUCGUUGUGUGGGUAAUCCUUGAGUUGAAGAUCCUCUUGAGAGAAGGUAAUUGGAACGUGAGACCAUCUUGACUUGAUGAAGGGUCCUUGCACCCCGACAUGCUGUACCCUUCUCUGUGCCUCCUUCUUCUGCUUCUUGUUGGCUGGCUCUGAGCAUGAACCGCCUGUUAUCGGGAGUACCAGCUUUGGAGCCGAAGCAGCUUCAGCUUGAUUGUUGAACGAAGCCAUCAGCUAAAAAAAGUGGAAGUGAGUUCACCGGAGGUGGGCGCCAAUGUUGGGGACUUGUUCUCAAAUGCUAUGAAUUAAGAACAAGGCAACAUAAAAUGUUAAAUAUCAAUGCCCUUCGUCCGCCGAAGCAUUAUCUCCACAAGGAUCUAAUGAACUUCGGACGAAGGUCAUGAGCAUAAUAUUAUGAAGGUUUCACCUUCGUAAUUAAAUUUAUAAAGAUAAUACAAAGUAAUAUAAAAUGUGAAACAUUAAAGAUAAAUAUAUUGAAAAUAAAUGACAUCAUUCAUAUAUCUUAUUAUAUGAAUCUAAGAUGUUUGAAUAUAACGUUUAGGUACAUUUAUACCUUUGCCUUGACAAACAAUAAUUCCCGAGUGAUGCGUUUGCAAUUACAGGAAUGCGUGAACAGUAAAGGAAUACUGUUCACUAUUUAUAGGCACAGGACACAGCCUGUGAGGAAUUACAAUCACACCCCUCAUAAAAGUUUACAACAAUGACUCAGACCCUUAUGGACUAAAAGGUCAUUCUAUCUUUAAGUCGGUUCGACCCUUCAUCUUCGGAUAUGCUGUAAUACCGAAGCUUCAUGAAUGGUGCCUUCGGCGUCACGUACGAGCAGCUUCAACCGAAGCUGUCUCUUUCUACAGGACCUUCGGCGACGAAGCAUGGUCCCAACACAAGGCAAAAGGUAUGUUUCUAGACUUGGUGAUUUGGUUUUAUGUACUAACAUGAUUAUCCAAGUGCUAGAAACAAUGACUAAAGAAGAAAAGGAAAAGACUUGGCUCUGUGUAGCCAACUCCAGCUCGGCUUGGCACACCGAACAGUGUCCGGUGCGCCAGGCUGGUCCGCGUGAAAAGGCCGCUCUCGGGACUCGACGGCGGCGUACGACUAUAAUUCAUCAGACUGUCCGGUGCUGCACCGGACUGUCCGGUGAGUCGUCCGCGGCGAACUUGUCGCUCUCGGGAAAAGCAUCAGGGCGACGUGGCUAUAAUUCACCGGACUGUCCGGUGAGCCAACUGUCGCCAGUGCCAACGGUCGGCCGCGCAAUCUUCGCGCGACACGUGGACUGCUCCAACGGUCAGCUGGUGCACCGGACUAUCCGGUGUGCACCGGACAGUGUCCAGUGCGCCAAUCAGCCUAAAGGAGCAAUGGUUGGAUAUGCCAAAUCCAGAAGGAGAUCACGCACCGGACCAUCUACAGGACUUGUCCAGUGCGGCACUCGACAGAAGGCAAGGAUGGCCUUCCAAGUUUGUCUUCAACGGCUCCUAGCUGCCUUGGGGCUAUAAAAGGGACCCCUAGGCGCAUGGAGGAGUCACUCAAGCAUUCACUAAGAAUCCUAAGACUCCAAGACUCCAACUCCACACAUUUGAUUCUUUGUGUUAGUGAUUUGAGCUCCAUUUGAGUUGUGAACUCCGUGUGUUGUGUUUCGAGCUCAAGUCAUGACUUCUGUGCGUGGUUGUGCUGCGUAUUUGAGUCUUGUGUGUGUUGCUCUUCCCAACCUUAGUCUUGUGCAUUCUUUGUGAUCAAUAUUGUAAGGGCGAGAGGCUCCAACUUGUGGAGAUUCCUCGCAAACGGGAAGAAGACUAUAAGGAAGAAAGCUGUGGUAUUCAAGUUGAUCAUUGGAUCACUUGAAAGGGGUUGAGUGCAACCCUUGUCCAUUGGGACGCCACAACGUGGAAGUAGGCAAGUGUUAAUUGGCCGAACCAUAGGAUAAAAUCGCGUGUCUCUUGUGUUGCUUUCUCUGUGAUUGUUUUGUACACAAGAACUCGCCUCAAAGCUACUUAGUCGCACUAACUCUUUUAUAACUAAGUUUUAUGGCUAUUUAGUGUUUGAUUUUACGAGAUCACCUAUUCACCCCCUCUAGGUGCUCUCAAUUGGUAUCAGAGCCGUACUCUUCAUCUAAGGGACUAAUCGCCCGAAGAGAUGGAUCCUAAGGGAAAGGGGAUGGUGGUCAACAACAAAGAGAAGGAGUCCAUCUUCAACGAGCCAAGAGAUGACAAGCCCACUGACUCAGGCUCGAGUCACAAUGCCUACUUCCCUACUGCCCUUUCCCCUUUCGGGUAAGGUAGUCUCGCACUAGCUUUCCUAAUUAGUCAGCCAAGGGCGUCCCAUUCCACCCUUAUGGUGGCAUGUGUUUCUCAUGUUAAGCUCCAUGUUCCAAUUAACAAUAAUGAUCUUGACAUGAACAUAAAUAAAAUAACAAUAUAAUUGGAACAUGAAGAUAAUGUAAUAUUAAUCCCAAAACCAUAUAGAGCAAUAGCAAAACUACCCAAAUGAUUCAGGGGUGAACAAGGUAAAAAGAUAACUAGACUAAGGUGACCUAUUGGGUCCCAUCAAAAUUAAACCUAUGCAUGAAUAAAUGAUUAUAAAGAACAUUAUUGGGUAAAUAAAAGUGAUCAAGGGCACAACUUGCCUUCAAUGAGCUCCUGCUCAACAUCUUCUAUCUGCUGGGCACCAGGAUCCUCAGCCACUGGCUCUUCUACUCGCCACAAUACAAACAAGCAUAGUAUAAAGGAGAAAUUAACAUCACACCAAGCAACAAAAUACAUAAUAAUAAUCUACAUAUUAAAAUAAGAUCAUAGGAAAAAGGAUCAUUAAUUUUGGAGUUAUAGAUCUUAAGUUAUGAAUUUCUGAAGGUUUUAUGUGUUUUGUACAAGAUUAAAUAGGAUAUAAAUUUUAUUGUGACAUUCAUAUCAAAAAAGUGGUAAUAAAUGAUAAACAAUAAAAUUACAAAAUUAUAGGAAUUGGAAUGGAUUAAUUUAGACUUCAUAUGAAUUUUCUAUGAAUUAAACCAAUUCUAGCAUUUAUUUCUACAUUAAAAAUCCAUUUCUAUAUUUAUUUUCUGAUUUUUCUUACUCUCUGGAGUGAGCGCCAAUUACCAGAGAAGGCAGGGGGUCUGGCAUAAAAAUCCCUAGUAAAGCGCGGGGACUCAUACGCAAAAAUCACACGCCGAAGCGGUAUGGGCCGAUCGUGGCCGCUUGAUCUAACACGUGUGCCUCAGAUUAGAACUAGGUUUCCCCCGAACUGGUACCGAAUCACAGUCGUCAGAUCGAAAUCCCCCGGCUGAAGAUCCCCUAACCCCGUGCUACAAUAUCUGUCGUCAGAUCUAGAUGGGCGGCGCAGAUUAGACGCGACUUUAACCAAAACGGUACACAUCCAGCAUCGUUCGAUCAUCUCUCUACGCACCAGAUUCAAAAACCCUAGGAUCACCGUCCUCCCGUCCGAUCUAAAUCGGACGACUCACAUCGCCCCAAACACGAAUCGAUAUUGAAAGUCGCCUAGAGGGGGGGUGAAUAGGGCGAAUCUGAAAUUUACAAACUUAAUCACAACUACAAGCCGGGUUAGCAUUAGAAAUAGAAACGAGUCCGAGAGAGAGGGCGCAAAACAAAUCAUGAGCGAAUAAAGAGCGAGACACGAUGAUUUAUUUUACCGAGGUUCGGUUCUUGCAAACCUACUCCCCGUUGAGGUGGUCACGAAGACCGGGUCUCUUUCAACCCUUUCCCUCUCUCAAACGGUCACUUAGACCGAGUGAGCUUCUCUUCUCAAUCAAUUUGGAACACGAAGUUCCCACAAGGACCACCACACGAUUGGUAUCUCUUGCCUCAAUUACAAGUGAGUUUGAUCUCAAGAAAGAAUGAGAAAGAAGAAGCAAUCCAAGCGCAAGAGCUCAAAUGAACACGACAAAUCACUCUCUCUAAUCACUAAAGCUUUGUGUAGAGUUGGGAGAGGAUUUGAUCACUUGGGUGUGUCUAGAAUUGAAUGCUAGAGCUCUUGUAAGUAGUUGGAAGGUGGAAAACUUGGAUGACUUGAAUGUGGGGUGGUUGGGGGUAUUUAUAACCCCAACCACCAAACUAGCCGUUUGGUGGAGGCUGCUGUCGCAUGGCGCACCGGACAGUCCGGUGCGCCACCGGACACUGUCCGGUGCGCCAGCCACGUCACCAGGCCGUUGGGUUCCGACCAUUGGAGCGCUGACUUGUGGGCCCGCCUGGCUGUCAGGUGGCGCACCGGACAAGUCCUGUAUACUGUCCGGUGUGCCACCCACGCGUGCUCUGUCCUCUGCGCGUGCAGGCGCGCAUUAAAUGUGUUGCAGUCGACCGUUGCGCGCGAAGUAGUCGUUGCUCCGUUGGCUCACCGGACAGUCCGGUGUGCACCGGACAUGUCCGGUUAAUUAUAGCGGAGCGGAUUCCCGAAGCUGGCGAGUUCAGAGUCGCUCUCCCUUGGGGCACCGGACACUGUCCGGUGGUGCACCGGACAGUCCGGUGAAUUAUAGCGGAGCCCUCUGAAAAUUCCCGAAGGUGAAGAGUUGAGCGUCGAGUUCCCUGGUGCACCGGACACUGUCCGGUGGCACACCGGACAGUCCGGUGCGCCAGACCAGGGCAGCCUUCAGUUAUCCCUUGCUCUCUUUGUUGAACCCUUUUCUUGGUCUUUUUAUUGGCUUAGAGUGAACCUUUGGCACCUGUAUAACUUAUAGACUAGAGCAAACUAGUUAGUCCAAUUAUUUGUGUUGGGCAAUUCAACCACCAAAAUCAAUUAGGAAAUAGGUGUGAGCCUAAUUCCCUUUCAAUCUCCCCCUUUUUGGUGAUUGAUGCCAACACAAACCAAAGCAAAUAUAGAAGUGCAUAAUUGAGAGCACCUAGAGGGGGGGUGAAUAGGUGAUCCUGUGACACUUAAAAACUUAAGCCACAAAAACUUGGUUAAGUGUUAGCACAAUAACCGCCAAGUGGCUAGAGAGGAAUCUUCAACAAAACACAAUAACCAACAAGAUCAAUCACAGAGAUGGCACGGUGGUUAUCCCGUGGUUCGGCCAAGACCAACGCUUGCCUACUCCACGUUGUGGCGUCCCAACGGACGAGGGUUGCAAUCAACCCCUCUCAAGCGGUCUAAAGACCCACUUGAAUACCACGAUGUUUUGCUUGCUUUUUCUCAAUCCCGUUUGCGAGGAAUCUCCACAACUUGGAGCCUCUCGCCCUUACACUUGAAAUUCACAAAGAACACGGAGCAAGGGAGGGAUUAGCAACUCACACAAGACACAAGAAUCAGAGUGUCAACACGCUCACAAGUAGCAACAAGAGCUCGCAACACAACUUAAUGAGUUCACAACUCCACUAGAACUCUAUAUGCUAUCACAAUGAAAAGAAUGCGCGAAAUCGAUGUCUUGGUGCUUAGGAAUGUUGUAGGAAUGCUUGGUGUACUCCUCCAUGCGUCUAGGGGUCCCUUUUAUAGCCCCAAGGCAGCUAGGAGCCGUUGAUAGCAAUCUUGGAAGGCUGAUCUUGCCUUCUGUCGACUGGCGCACCGGACAGUCCGGUGCACACCGGACAUUGUCCGGUGCCCGAUUUCUUUCCAUAAACGAAGCAGUCGACCGUUGGCAGGCUGAGAGCCGUUGGCGCACCGGACAUGUCCGGUGCACACCGGACAGUCCGGUGCCCCCUUCUAGCCGUUGGCUCGGCCACGUGUCCCGCGCAGAUCGCGCGGCCGACCGUUGGCCCUGCCGACCGUUGGCUCACCGGACAGUCCGGUGCACACCAGACAGUCCGGAGAAUUAUAGCCGUACGUCGACGAUGAAUUCCCGAGAGCGACGAGUUCGCCUGUGAACGGCCCACCGGACAGUCCGGUGCACCACCGGACAGUCCGGUGAAUUAUAGCCGUACACCGCCGUCGAAGUCCCGAGAGCAGCCUUUUCCCUCGAGCCAGCCUGGCGCACCGGACACUGUCCGGUGCACCACCGGACAGUCCGGUGCACCCAGACUGGGCAGACUUUGGCUGCUCGAGCCAUCUCUUCUCCAACUCGAUUUUUUCUGUUUCCAGCACUUAGACACAACACAUUAGUCCAUAAAACAAUGUACUAAGUCUGAGAAACAUACCUUUAUCCUUGAUUUGUACUUUGUCCACCUUUUUACAAUUAGGCACUUGUGUUGAACACUAAAUCACCAAAAUACUUAGAAAUGGCCCAAGGGCACAUUUCCCUUUCAAUAAUUGAACUAGUUUGCAUAAUGUAAGUGCAAAGGUUGCUUGGAAGUGAGCCAAUAUGAAUACUUAUAAGAUAUGCAUGGAUUGUUUCUUUUAUUUUUUAACAUUUUGGACCACGCUUGCACCACAUGUUUUGUUUUUGCAAAUUCUUUUGUAAAUCCUUUUCAAAGUUCUUUUGCAAAUAGUCAAAGGUAAAUGAAUAAGAUUUUGCGAAGCAUUUUCAAGAUUUGAAAUUUUCUCCCCCUGUUUCAAAUGCUUUUCCUUUGACCAAACAAAACUCCCUCUCAAUGAAAUUCUCCUCUUAGUGUUCAAGAGGGUUUUAAGAUAUCAAUUUUGAAAAUACUACUUUCUCCCCCUUUUGAACACAAUAAGAUACCAAUUUGAAAUUUACUAAUUGAAAAUUAUUAGUUUUAAAAUUAGGUGGUGGUGCGGUCCUUUUGCUUUGGGCUAAUACUUUCUCCCCCUUUGGCAUGAAUCGCCAAAAACGGAUACUUUGAGUGAGAUAUAAGCCCUUUGAAUUACUUUCUCCCCCUUUGGUAAAAGACAUAUGAGUGAAGAUUAUACCAAAGAUGGAGAGUUGCUCGGAGCGACGGCGAAGGAUGAGUUAUGGAGUGGAGUGGAAGCCUUUGUCUUUGCCGAAGACUCCAAUUCCCUUUCAAUAGACCUAUGACUUGGUUUGAAAUUCACUUGAAAACACAUUAGUCAUAGCAUAUAUAAAAGAGACAUGAUCAAAGGUAUACUUAUGAGCUAUAUGUGCAAGACAUCAAAAGAAAUUCCUAGAAUCAAGAAUAUUUAGCUCAUGCCUAAGUUUGUUCAUCAAGUGGCUUGGUAAAGAUAUCGGCUAAUUGAUCUUUAGUGUUAAUAUAUGCAAUCUCGAUAUCUCCCUUUUGUUGGUGAUCCCUUAGAAAAUGAUACCGAAUGGCUAUGUGUUUAGUGCGGCUAUGCUCAACAAGAUUAUCCGCCAUGCGGAUUGCACUCUCAUUAUCACAUAGAAGAGGAACUUUGGUUAAUUUGUAACCAUAGUCCCUAAGGGUUUGCCUCAUCCAAAGUAGUUGCGCGCAACAAUGUCCUGCGGCAAUAUACUCGACUUCGACGGUAGAAAGAGCUACGGAAUUUUGCUUCUUUGAAGCCCAAGACACCAAGGAUCUUCCCAAGAACUGGCAAGUCCCCGAUGUGCUCUUUAUAUUAAUCUUACACCCCACCCAAUCGGCAUCCGAAUAAACAAUUAAAUCAAAUGUGGAUCCCCGAGGGUACCAAAGCCCAAACUUAGGAGUAUAAACUAAAUAUCUCAAGAUUCGUUUUACGGCCGUAAGGUAAGCUUCCUUAGGGUCGGCUUGGAAUCUUGCACACAUGCAUACGGAAAGCAUAAUAUCCGACCGAGAUGCACAUAAAUAGAGUAAAGAGCCUAUCAUCGACCGGUAUACUUUUUGAUCGACAGAUUUACCUUCCGUGUCGAGGUCGAGAUGCCCAUUGGUUCCCAUGGGUGUCUUGAUGGGUUUGGCAUCCUUCAUCCCAAACUUGCUUAGAAUAUCUUGAGUAUACUUCGUUUGGCUAAUGAAGGUGCCCUCUUGGAGUUGCUUUACUUGAAAUCCCAAGAAAUACUUCAACUCUCCCAUCAUAGACAUCUCGAAUUUCUGUGUCAUGAUCCUACUAAACUCUUCACAUGUAGAUUCGUUAGUAGACCCAAAUAUAAUAUCAUCAACAUAAAUUUGGCAUACAAACAAAUCAUUUUCAAGUGUUUUGGUAAAGAGUGUAGGAUCGGCUUUUCCGACUUUGAAACCAUUAGUGAUAAGGAAAUCUCUAAGGCAUUCAUACCAUGCUCUUAGGGCUUGCUUGAGCCCAUAAAGCGCCUUAGAGAGUUUAUAAACAUGGUUUGGAUACUCACUAUCUUCAAAGCCGGGAGGUUGCUCAACAUAGACCUCUUCCUUGAUUGGUCCAUUGAGGAAGGCACUCUUCACGUCCAUUUGAUAAAGCUUGAAGCCAUGGUAAGUAGCAUAGGCUAAUAAUAUACAAAUUGACUCAAGCCUAGCUACGGGUGCAUAGGUUUCACCGAAAUCCAAACCUUCGACUUGGGAAUAUCCCUUGGCCACAAGUCGGGCUUUAUUCCUAGUCACCACACCAUGCUCGUCUUGCUUGUUGCAGAACACCCACUUGGUUCCUACAACAUUUUGAUUAGGACGUGGAACCAAAUGCCAUACCUCGUUUCUAGUGAAGUUGUUGAGCUCCUCUUGCAUCGCCACCACCCAAUCCGAAUCUUGAAGUACUUCCUCUACCCUGUGUGGCUCAAUAGAGGAAACAAAAGAGUAAUGCUCACAAAAAUGUGCAACACGAGAUCUAGUGGUUACCCCCUUAUGAAUGUCGCCGAGGAUGGUGUCGACGGGGUGAUCUCGUUGGAUUGCUUGGUGGACUCUUGGGUGUGGCGGUCUUGGUUCUUCAUCCUCCUUGUCUUGAUUAUUUGCAUCCCCCCUUGAUCAUUGCCGUCAUCUUGAGGCGGCUCAUUUGCUUGAUCUUCUCCUUCAUCAACUUGAGCCUCAUCCUCAUGUUGAGUUGGUGGAGAUGCUUGCGUGGAGGAGGAUGGUUGAUCUUGAGUAUUUGGAGGCUCUUCGGAAUCCUUAGGACACACAUCCCCAAUGGAUAUGUUCCUUAACGCGAUGCACAGAGCCUCUUCAUCACCUAUCUCAUCAAGAUCAACUUGCUCUACUUGAGAGCCGUUAGUCUCAUCAAACACAACGUCACAAGAAACUUCAACUUGUCCAGAGGACUUGUUAAAGACUCUAUAUGCCCUUGUGUUUGAAUCAUAUCCUAGUAAAAAGCCUUCUACAGUCUUAGGAGCAAAUUUAGAUUUUCUACCUCUUUUAACAAGAAUAAAGCAUUUGCUACCAAAGACUCUAAAAUUUGAAAUGUUGGGCUUUUUACCGGUUAGGAGUUCAUAAGAUGCCUUCUUGAGGAUUCGGUGUAGAUACAACCGGUUGAUAGCAUAGCAGGCGGUGUUGACCGCCUCGGCCCAAAACCGAUCCGAAGUCUUGUACUCAUCAAGCAUGGUCCUUGCUAUGUCCAAUAAAGUUCUAUUCUUCCUCUCCACUACACCAUUUUGUUGUGGCGUGUAGGGAGAAGAGAACUCAUGCUUGAUGCCCUCCUCCUCAAGAAAGCCUUCGAUUUGGGAGUUCUUGAACUCCGUCCCGUUGUCGCUUCUAAUUUUCUUGAUCCUUAAGCCGAACUCAUUUUGAGCUCGUCUCAAGAAUCCUUUUAAGGUCUCUUGGGUAUGAUAUUUUUCCUGCAAAAAGAAUACCCAAGUGAAGCGAGAAUAAUCAUCCACAAUAACUAGACAGUACUUACUCCCGCCAAUGCUUAUGUAAGCUAUCAGGCCGAAUAGGUCCAUGUGUAGGAGUUCCAGUGGCCUGUCAGUCGUCAUGAUGUUCUUGUGCGGAUGAUGAAUCCCAACUUGCUUCCCUGCUUGGCACGCGCUACAAAUCCUGUCUUUCUCAAAAUGAACAUUUGUUAAUCCUAAAAUGUGUUCUCCCUUUAGAAGCUUAUGAAGAUUCUUCAUCCCAACAUGAGCUAGUCGGCGGUGCUAGAGCCAACCCAUGUUAGUCUUAGCAAUUAAGCAAGUGUCGAGUUCAGCUCUAUCAAAAUCUACCAAGUAUAGCUGACCCUCCAACACUCCCUUAAAUGCUACUGAAUCAUCACUUCUUCUAAAGAUAGUGACACCUACAUCAGUAAAAAGACAGCUGUAGCCCAUUUGACAUAAUUGAGAUACGAAAAGCAAAUUGUAAUCUAAUGAAUCAACAAGAAAAACAUUGGAAAUGGAAUGGUCAGGUGAAAUAGCAAUUUUACCCAAACCUUUGACCAAACCUUGAUUUCCAUCCCCGAAUAUGAUAGCUCGUUGGGGAUCUUGGUUUUUCUCAUAGGAGGAGAACAUUUUCUUCUCCCCUGUCAUGUGGUUUGUGCACCCGCUGUCGAUGAUCCAACUUGAGCCCCCGGAUGCAUAAACCUACAAAACAAGUUUAGUUCUUGACUUUAGGUACCCAAAUGGUUUUGGGUCCUUUGGCAUUAGACACAAGAACUUUGGGUACCCAAACACAAGUUUUUGACCCCUUGUGCUUGCCCCCAACAUACUUGGCAACUACCUUACCGGAUUUGUUAGUUAAAACAUAGGAUGCAUCAAAAGUUUUAAAUGAAAUAUUAUGGUCAUUUGAUGCAAUAGGAGUUUUCUUCUUAGGCAACUUGGCACGGGUUGGUUGCCUAGAACUAGAUGUCUCACCCUUAUACAUAAAAGCAUGGUUAGGGCCAGAGUGAGACUUCCUAGAAUGAAUUCUCCUAAUUUUGCUCUCGGGAUAACCGGCAGGGUAUAAAAUGUAACCCUCGUUAUCCUGAGGCAUGGGAGCCUUGCCCUUAACAAAGUUGGACAAUUUCUUAGGAGGGGCAUUAAGUUUGACAUUGCCUCCCUGUUGGAAGCCAAUGCCAUCCUUAAUGCCAGGGCGUCUCCCAUUAUAAAGCAUACUACGAGCAAACUUAAAUUUUUCAUUUUCUAGUUCAUGCUCGGCAAUUUUAGCAUCUAAUUUAGCUAUAUGAUCAUUUUGUUGUUUAAUCAUGGAAAGGUGAUCAUGUAUAGCAUUAACAUCAACAUCUCUACAUCUAGUGCAAAUAGUGACAUGCUUAGUGGUAGAUAUAGAGGGUUUGCAAGAAUUAAGUUCAACAAUCUUAGCACGCAAUAUAUCAUUUUUAUCUCUAAGAUCGGAAAUUGUAACAUUGCAAACAUCUAGUUCUUUAGCCUUAGCAAGUAAUUUUUCAUUCUCAAUCCUAAGGCUAGCAAGAGAAAUGUUUAAUUCUUCAGUAUUCUAAUCUUGAAGAAAAACAUUCUCAAGAUUGAGCUAAACUAGCCCGGUGGUGCUCUGAUCUUGAAGAAAAGUAUUCUCAAGGUCAGACUGAACUGGCCCGGGUUUCUGCUUCUCUGAAUGAUGCUAACACGCUGAACUCUACUCUCCGCGCUCAGCUCAACUCUGAAAAGGUGACCUGUGAAUCUUGGCUUUGUUUGCUGUGUUUUUAUUGCUUGCUUGACGUUUGAAGAAACUGAUUCUUGUCUGUAGGAUGAAAAACGUGCCCUCGUUACUUCUCGUGACAACCUCGACAAGCUAUACCGCGACGCCAGCAACUCGUUGACCAUCUUGGAGAGGAGUCAUCGCUUCACCAGGGAGGAGUUAGACAAUCAUCGUUAUAAGCUGCAGGAAUCCUUGGAUGACGUGAUUCGCCUCAGGCAGUUGGUGUCGACCAAAGAUGUUGUCAUCAAGGAUCUGCGUGCUUCCAAGAAAUCUGUCGCCCAGGAGCUAGAAACCGCUCGGUUGGCUGUCAAGGUUGCUGAAGAGACUUCUGCUACUCUGAGGGCCCAGCGCGAUAAAGCUAUGGAUAAAGCUAUUCGCGCGGGGCGGAUCCUGAUGAGGAGACCUGGUGUGGUUGUUCUUGACGACAUAAGGGCCGAUGUGAACGCUGCUCCUGAUUCCUCAAGUCGCCCCUCUUCGUCGGUUGCUCUUGAGAAGAACAUUGCCAAAUAGAAAAAACAUUGCAUGCUUUGAACGCGUGGUUAACGUGCUUGGAUGUUUUGUUAAAGGACACCUUUUAGUACUGAAUGAUACUACUAUUUUCCUAUUGUUUAGAAUUCAACAGUAUCUACAUUUGUAGAAGUAAAUGCAAUGUGAUGGUUUUGAAAUUUCAUCAUGGGGCACAGAAGUUGCCCUAAGAUGGGUGAUUGUGAACGUGCCGAGCGUGCAGUGCCAAUUUAAAUCAGCAUCAAUUUAAACCGAUUGCUCUGCUAGUAGGGCGUAGUGGUCACCUCGAGUUUAGAUAAGCGUGAGCAUGUCGCACCGUCUUAAGUCAUUGCCGACUUAAGCCGAUUGCUCCGUUAGUAGGGCAUAGUGGUCACCCCGAGUUAAGUAUGUGUGAGCAUGUCGCAUCGCCUUAAGUCAUUGCCGACUUAAGCCGAUUGCUCCGUUAGUAGGGCAUAGUGGUAACCCCGAGUUAAGUAUGCGUGAGCAUGUCGCACCGCCUUAAGUCAUUGCCAACUUAAGCAGAUUGCUCCGUUAGUAGGGCAUAGUGGUCACCGCGAGUUAAGUAUGCGUGAGCAUGUCGCACCGCCUUAAGUCAUUGCCGACUUAAGCCGAUUGCUCCGUUAGUAGGGCAUAGUGGUCACCCCGAGUUAAGUAUGUGUGAGAAUGUCGCACCGCCUUAAGUCAUUGCCGACUUAAGCCGAUUGCUCCGUUAGUAGGGCAUAGUGGUCACCCCGAGUUAAGUAUGCGUGAGCAUGUCGCACUGCCUUAAGUCAUUACCGACUUAAGCCGAUUGCUCCGUUAGUAGGGCAUAGUGGUCACCCCGAGUUAAGUAUGCGUGAGCAUGUCGCACCGCCUUAAGUCAUUGCCGACUUAAGCCGAUUGCUCCGUUAGUAGGGCAUAGUGGUCACCCCAAGUUAAGUAUGCGUGAGCAUGUCGCACCGCCUUAAGUCAUUGCCGACUUAAGCCGAUUUCUCCGUUAGUAGGGCAUAGUGGUCACCCCGAGUUAAGUAUGUGUGAGAAUGUCGCACCGCCUUAAGUCAUUGCCGACUUAAGCCGAUUGCUCCGUUAGUAGGGCAUAGUGGUCACCCCGAGUUAAGUAUGCGUGCCAAUUGACAGUGAACAAUCUGAGUGCCUUUGAAGCCUUUUUAUUGAUGAUAUUUUUCUCAAUUUACAGAAUACAUCGUCAUUCCGAGAGCCUCCGUGAUGUAGCUACGGGUAGAACUUCUUGAGAUGUUCUAUGUUCCAUGAGUUCCCAAUUUCUGUUCCGUCCAUCUGAGUGAGGCGAUAUGAUCCUGGCCGAGUGACUUCUACUACUAUGAAUGGUCCUUCCCAUAGAGGUGACAAUUUAUGUCGUCCCUCCCCCGUUAGAAUUCGGCGGAGGACGAGAUCUCCCACUGUGAAGGAUCGAUACCGUAUGACCUUAUCAUGAUAGCGCCUCAGAGUUUGCUGGUAUUGCGCUGAUUGAAUCACUGUAUUCAGUCGCUCUUCUUCGAGUAUGUCAACGUCUUCCAGCCUAGUAGCUUCAGCUUCUGCUAUGUUAUCAAAGAUUAACCUUGGUGCCCCGAACUUGAGAUCGGCAGGUAGCACUGCCUCCGAACCAUAAACCAUAAAGAAGGGGGUAUUUCUAUGCAGAGCUCGGCUGGGUUGAGUUCUCAGGCUCCAAACUACAUAUGGCAACUCUCUGAUCCAUUUUCCUGCGAACUUUUCAUUCUUGUCGAAGACUUUCUUUCUAAGUGCUUCUAAUAUCAUCCCGUUGGCUCUUUCUACUUGCCCGUUGGCUCUUGGAUGUGCCACCGAGGCAUAUUUGAUCUGAAUGCUCUUUUGCUCGCAGAAAUCGAAGAAUUCUGAACAGGUGAAGUUGGAUCCUAGGUCAGUUAUGAUGCAAUACGGUAUCCCGAACCUGAAUAUUAUAUCUUGUAUGAAUUCCAUUGCCUUAGCUGAAGUUAGAGAAGUAAUGGGUUUGAACUCUAUCCAUUUAGUGAAUUUGUCGAUAGCCACCAGUACAUGAGUGUAUCCUCCUUGAGCUUUUUUGAAAGGUCCAAUCAUAUCCAAUCCCCAGCACGCGAACGGCCAAGUUAUGGGUAUAGUCUACAGUUGUUGUGCUGGUAGAUGCUGCUGUUUUGACAAGUACUGGCAGGCUUCGCACCUCUGGACUAACUCGGCCGCAUCACUCUUCGCUGUUGGCCAGUAAAAAUCUGACCUGAAGACCUUCCCAACCAGGGUCCUAGAUGCUGCGUGUAUUCCACAUUGCCCAGCAUGGAUCUCAUUUAGAAGUUGCUUUCCAGUAGCUGAGAGAACGCAUUUCAUGAGGACUCCGAAUGCACCCCUUCUGUAUAGUGUUUCCCCAAUGAGUGUAUAGUGAGCUGAUUGUCUUGCGAUGCGCUCGGCUGUAUUCUUGUCAUCUGGCUCCUCCUCAUUUUUUAUAUAUUUGAUGAUUGGCCUCCUCCAGUCAUCAGAAUCUGACUCUGGUUGGUUCAAAGUAUUACAUUCUUUUGCCUGAUCCAGUGAGAUGAUUGGGUGUGAUAUUUCUUGAACAAAGACUCCAGGUGGGACCUGAGUUCGGCUGGAUCCUAGCUUGGACAAUACAUCAGCUGCCGUGUUUCGAUCUCUCUCUACAUGGUGAAAUUCUAGACCUUCAAACUUGUCUUCUAGUUUCCGGACGGCAGUGCAGUAUUUUCCCAUUGAAUCGCUCGAACAAUCCCAUUCUUUGUUUAUCUGACUUAUGACUACCAGAGAAUCUCCAUAUACCAUCAGUCUCUUGAUGCCCAGUGAUAUAGCAAUGUUUAGUCCAUGAAUCAGAGCUUCAUAUUCUGCUGCAUUGUUAGAGGCUGGAAAUAACAACUGAAGGGCAUAUCUGAGGUGCUCGCCUCCAGGUGCAGUAAAGAGGAUCCCUGCGCCUGCUCCCUGCAGCUUUAACGAGCCAUCAAAAUACAUUCACCAUACUUCUGCAGUUUCUGGGUUAUCUGGUACUUGUUGUUCGGUCCACUUCGAUACGAAGUCAACCAGUGCUUGAGUUUUUAUGGCAGUGCGAGGUCAAAAUUCAAUGUCAUGAGAUCCCAGCUCGCAGGCCCACUUGGCUAUUCUCCCGAUGGCUUCUUUGUUGUGAAGAAUAUCUCCUAUCGGAAAUCCAGUGACUACUAUGACUUUGUGGUCAUCGAAGUAGUGACGGAGCUUGCGUGCAGUUAGAAGUACUGCAUAUAAUAGCUUCUGAACUUGAGGAUAUUUCUUCUUCGAGGGACCCAGAACUUCACUGAUGAAAUAAACAGGAUGAUGUACUGGGUAUGCAUGUCCUUCUUCUACUCGCUCGACUACCAACACGGUGCUCACCACGUGAGUCGUGCAAGAGAUAUAUAGCAGCAGAUCUUCAGCUGGUUGAGUCGCGUGGCUCGACGUGGUGGUUUCAGCACUGGUGGUGUCGUCAAGAACUUUUUCAAUGCGCCUAGGGCUUCCUGUGCUUCUGAAGUCCACUAAAACUUGUCCACCUUCUUGAGUAACUUAUAAAAUGGUAAGCCUUUUUCUCCCAGCCUGGAUAUGAAUCUACUCAGGGCUGCCAUACAUCCGGUAAGUCUUUGAACUUUCUUCUGUGAUCGCGGUGCCUCCAUCCUCAUGAUAGCUUCGAUCUUUUCUGGAUUAGCUUCAAUUCCCCGGUGGCUGACAAUAAACUCGAGUAACUUUCCUGCCGGUACCCCGAAAACACAUUUUUCGGGAUUAAGCUUCCAUCGAUAUCGUCGUAGACUGUUGAAAACCAGCUGUAAAUCUUCGAUGAAAUUUUCCGAAUUUUCUGUUUUGAUCACCACAUCGUCCACAUAAGCUUACACAUGCUUGCGCCAAUGAUCGGCUAAGCAUGUUUGAAUAGCCCUAUGAUAAGUCGCUCCAGCGUUUUUGAGGCCGAACGGCAUGGAGGUAUAGCAGAAAGCACCGAAUGGAGUGAUGAACGCUGUUUUUUCCUCGUCUUCUUUCGCCAGGCUAAUCUGAUGAUACCUAGAGUAGCAAUCCAAGAAGGACAGCACGGAACAUCUAGCGGUGGAAUCUACCACCUGAUCUAUCCUAGGGAGCCCAAAGGGAUCCUUUGGACAGUGUUUGUUGAGAUCCGUAUAGUCGACGCACAUGCGCCAAUCCACUUUAUUCUUUUUGAGUACAAGAACAGGGUUGGCUAACCACUCGGGAUGUAACACCUCUCUAAUAAAUCCAGCCGCGACCAAGCGAGCUAGCUCAGCGCGAAUGGUCUCUCUCUUGUCGGGCGUGAAACGACACAACUUUUGCCGAAUCGGCCUCGCCUGGGGGUAGACCUUUAAUUUGUGCUCGGCCAGUUCUCUUGGGACUCCUGGCAUAUCCGCAGGUUGCCAUGCGAAUACGUCUCGGUUAUCUUGCAGGAACUGGACGAGCGCGCCUUCCUAUUUGUCAUCCAGGCUGGAGCUGAUGAUGGCGGUUUUGCGUUCAUCGGUGAACCCAAGGUUGACUCUUUUGGUUUCUUCAGUCGGCCGCAUAGAGGUCGCGGCUUGAGCCUCGUUCGCGGGCACCGUGAGGUCUUCCUCAGGCUUAGAGUUCGCCUGCGCAGAAGAAGUCGCCGACGGUUUGGUGGUGAGGGCCGCCUGAAUGGCCACUCGGAAACAUUCUAUGGCACCUUGGAAGUCAGCGCGCACUGUUAUGAUCCCUUGCGGUCCUGGCAUCUUCAAUAUCAUGUAUGUAUAAUGCGGAAUGGCCAUGAAUUUCGCCAAUCCAGGCCUCCCGAUGAUGGCGUUGUACCCGCAGUCAAAGUUUGCCACUUCGAACCUCAGGAACUCGGUCCUGUAGUUCUCCGGAGUUCCGAAGGUGACCGGCAUGUAGAUGUGGCCCAGCGGGUAUUCUCCUUCAGUCGGCACGAUGCCGAAGAAAGGAGUGUCUGACUCAUGGAGUUCUUAGAGGUGAACUCCCAAGCCUUGGAGUGUUCGGGGGAAGGUGACGUUGAUGCUGCUCCCCCCGUCCACCAAUACCUUCUUCACCCUGCUCUCUCGGAUCACCAGAUCAACGAGGAGCGGGUAUUUUCCUGGGUGGUCGAAGUUGAGCCACUGAUCCGCCCGAGUGAAGGUGAUCGGGUGCUCUGACCAUCGGUAUGGGGCGGGAGGGCUGGUAGUUGCCACCAGUAUCUGGCGAUCGUUGAGCUUUUGUUGUCUCUUGUUCUCCUGCGACCCGUGUCCGCUGAAGAUGACAUUGACCUCUCUGUCGACACGCGGGAAGGAUCCACCUCCUCCCUCCUCCUGCUGCUGGGGUUGUCGCGGUUCUCCUGGUCCUCCCCGCGGCGGAGGAGGAGGUAGAGGUUGGAAGGAUUGGCCAUGCCCAACGGAGUGCUUGAAGUCUCUACAGUUCCGAAGGGUGUGGCGCAUGUCCUUGUGGUACGGGCACUGGGCAUCGAGGAUGUCAUCCAGCGUGCGUUCGCUUCCACGAGGUCCUCCCCGGGCGUGAGAGGCAGGUGGUCCGGCGGCGUGGACUUCUUCGCGAGGUCUCUUCUCCCAACGCUUGUCGGGCUACUGAUUCGUGUCGCGUCGCGGUGCCGCUAGUGCUGGCUUUACUCCUCCGAUGAGGUUCUGAGCUCGCUCGUCGGCGGUGAUGUAGAGGUCGGCUUCCUGGAAUAGUUGCUCGGAGGUAGUCGGCGCCUUCUGUAAUAUGGUUCGGACGAAGGCCGAGUCAUUGGAUCCUCUAUAGAAGUUCUCGAUCACUGCCGCCUCUGCGACCUCGGGGAUACGAUUUCUCAUGGUCUGGAACCUUUUGAGGUAUGACCGGAGAGUUUCGUCCCCCCGGCACUUGAUGGAUUUGAGGUCCCAUGGUUGCGCUGGUUUGUCGGAGAGAGACUGAAAGUUGGCGGUGAAGCGCCGACUGAAGUCGCUCCAGUCGUCGAUGCAGUGUCGGGGUAGGUGUCGCAGCCAUGGCAGCGCGUCUUGCCCGAGGAUGAUAGGCAAGUACGCGGUCAUUACGUCUUCGGUUGCCCCAGCAGCCCGGGCAGCGGUGGUGUAGACGGCCAGCCAGCCUCCUGGAUCCUGUUUAGGUUCAUAUUUGUCGACGUUGGAUACCUUGAAGUUAGGGGGCCAUUGAAUGGCCCUGAGGCGCGGAGUAAGUGCCGAUACUCCACAUGUGUCCUCAUGUCGUCGAUGAUGUUGUCUGUCCCGGGGAGGGGAGUGAUCCUCGUGGUGCCUCGACCAUCCCCGGGUGGUGCCUCCAGUUGAAGUCGUGGCCGACUCGGUCCUGGUAGCCUGACUCCGUGCUGGGAUGCCAUGGUCCCGGUCAUACUCUUCCCGGCGACGGAUUUCGUUCUCGUGUCGUCGUUCACGCGAAGCAUUGAUGGAGCUCCGCGCGUCCCGGCGACUAUUGAUGACGUGUCGUAGAUCGUUCGGCGGGUGAGCGUGGGGUAGAAGGUGAUUGGCUGCUUGAGUGAACAGUCGCCGAUAGCCCUCGGCGUCGGGAGUCCGAGGGAGGCCAUCAACUAUCCGAGCCAACACCCCUCCAACUUCACUAGGCAUGUUCAUGGCUCGGGCAAAGUAGGGGUUCAAGUUGCGCCCGAAGAGUGGAUUUUCCCGAUGCUGCCUUGUCUCCUGUUCGGCCUGUUCUUGAGCCCGUCGACGAUCGCGUCGUCGGGAAUUCCUUCGUUCCCUAAAGACACGUUCCUCCGGAGUUUCUCCUAUCUAAGAGAGCUCGUCUCGCGAUACGGGUUGCGCCGGGUCCCGCUCCCCGGCCUUGUGAUGUCGCCGGAUAUUUCGGCGUCGGUUCCUCCGUCUGCGGGAUUCCCGCUGAGGAGGUUCCUCUCCGGGUGCAGUCGGCUCAUCAUUGGAGAUGGGGGGUGACUCCACUCUCCCGAUGAAGAGGACGUCGGGGUAGAAUGGAGCGGCUGUCACGGCGAUCUUCUUUACGUUCUCCUUUGAGGGCGGAGGCGCAGAAAGAUCAGCUCGAUGAUCCUUUGCUUCCUUUUUCCUUGUGAUUCGUGUUCAUUCCUUCGUCGGAGAGGUGGACAGCGGAGUUCUCCGGGCUGAGGGCCCCUCAGCUCCUAUCUUGCUGGAGGUGAUCUUUUUUAGGAGCGCUGGAGGUUGCGCCUUUUCCUGCCUCACCCCGAUUUUCUCGGAGGUUUCUGAGGAAGGCUUUCUCUUCGGCGGAUCCGCGAGGCGAUGCAGAGUUCCCUCCUCAUCCGCUAUAGAUGAGAUAGUACCGAAGCAGAAUAUGGAUCCAGGGCGGAGGAUGAUCUUGUGCUGGAAGGUGAUGGCCAUUGAGCUAGCUUGGAUCGAUGACACACCCCCUACCUGGCGCGCCAACUGUCAGUGUUUCGGGUCCGACCGCACACCCAGGGUUACCCCCAAGGUGCUUUUUAGGAGUAGGACGGUGUUACGGACUGUAGCUCGAUGGUUCGUGCUGGGCGCACGAGAAAUAGUAGACAAUGAUGUACAGGUUCGGGCCGCUUUGAGAUGCGUAACACCCUACGUCCUGGUUGGAAUGCUUUAUGCGAUGGGUUACAAGGGAGCUCUCUAGUGCUGGAAAACGUAGAGAGCGGGGUGGAUGGCUAAGUGAUGAAUGAUGUCUCUCUCGGUCGAUCGUCUUGAAGGGGUGCCCCUAGGCCUUAUAUACUCGACCGUGGGGCAUUACAUGUGGAUAUGAUAACAACGUGAGCCAGAAUAAUAGUGAACUAACUGAGUCUGUUUCCCUAUAAUUCAGCCGACUCAUCCUCGCCCAGUUCCGAUGUACGGGGCUCCUGUGCGGGAAGGUCGGGUUACUGCUGUGAUUACUGCUCGGAUGUUUUUGGGCCGUCUAGGCUUGCACUGACCCGGCCUUGUGCUGAUCUGUCUUACUGGUCGUUCCUCCCAGGCCCACGAGGGGGAUGACCUUACGAAUUAUGGGGCCUUUGGGCCUUUCUGUAACGCCCUGAAUUUGGGGGUAGAAUUUUUUCUUCUUUUCUCUCACCAAAUUCGGGCGUUACUCUUUUCUUUUCUCGUUCCCUCGCUAAACUUUGACCUUUUCCAAAGUUUUAGCGGGGUUCGGCUUGGGAUUCCCGUGUAAAGAAAAAACCCUAAAUUACCUUAUGUUGUUUGAUGCACCAUGCCGAACUAUGCAUUCUUUGAUUGCUUAGGAAUGUAAGUGCAUUCAUCUAAGAAGAUCGGAUUUCGAAAAGAAGAAAAACCUUUUCUUUCUUUUUCUUUUUCUUUUUUCUUUCUCUCCCUCUUCCUUUUCUCUCCCCCGCGCCGUGGGCCGUGCCCUGGCCGGCCCAACCGCCCCCCGCGCGCCCCUUUGGGCCCAGUUGGCCCAUGCCGCCCCCCUCCCUUUAUUUUUCCCAAAACCCCUCUCCCUCCCUCUCAUUCUCUCUCUUCCCCACCCCAGCCGCCGCCCCCCUGCCCUAGCCGCCGCCGCCCCCUGCAGCUCGGCCGCCCCGUCGUUCGGCCGCCCGUCCCCGUCCCCGGUGAGGUCCCCCUCCCCCUCUCCUCCCUUCCCUCUCCCCCUCCUCUCCUCCCUCCCCCUCCCCGACCCAACCGCCGCCCCUGCGCGCCCGCUGCCCAGCUCGGCCGCCCUUGGCCGGCUCGGCCGCCGCCGCCCCUGCGCGCCCUGCCCCGCCCCCUGGCCGGCUCGGCCGCCCGCCCGCCUAGCUCGCCCCCCCCCCGCCGGUUCGGCCGCCCAGCCCGGUCGCCCCCUGCGCGCCCCAGCUCGGCCGCCCCCCUGCCCCGCGCCCGCGCCCUGCCCAGCCACCCCUGCCCGAGGCCGGUUCAACCGCCCCCCUCUUUUUUUAUUUUAUUUUCAUUUUAUUUUUAUUACUGGUAUGUGUUUUAUUUUAGGCAGGUUAAUCAUUGUUCAUGUUAUUGAAACAGGAAAUUUAAUUUGGAAUUCCGUUACGCUAGUUGAUUCAUAUAAUCAAUUGUUUAUCCAGUUCAAUAUUGAUCAACUAAAAAUGACUAGGUUCCCAUUAGUGCAUAUAACUAAAUUCUUUUGUUAGAACCAAUUGUAACUAAUCGUUAGUGCAUAAGCUUUAACCCCUGCGAGACCUUUUCUCGUUUCUUUCUAACCAUAAUGAAUGCGAUAUCGAAUGUCAUACUUGAUGCAUAUUCACUUUAUUUGUUCCCUUGUAUGAUGUACUGUUUGUUUCCCAAUUUGAAUGGAUGAAUGUAUGUAUGCUUGCAAUCGCAUAGAGAACGAUCCGGUCGAAGAGCCCGAGGAACUCGCAGGAGAAGCCCCUGAGCAGCAGUCGGUUGGUGGAGGCAAGUGUCCUUUGACCUAUCUCUGUCCUAUUCAUUAUUUAAUUCACCUCCCGCAUUACACAUUUAUACCUAAGGAUUGACUAGCUUUUGUUGUCCAUGUCCUUGUUUACCUAUCUGGGUUGGAUUAUUAUUAUUAUUAGUUAGCUUUAUGCUAUUGCUCAACUCUAAUCAAUGAACAUGAUGAGAUUAUCUAUGAUACGCUGUUUUCCCUUCUCUUAUUAUGAUGUUGUACUUGUGGCUUUAAGGGGGCUCGAGCGGUUUCUCGAGUGCCUCUCCGUAAGGACCUGUUCUAUGGAUGACCGCCCGGGAAAACAGUACAACCAUGAGGGUAGAAUGGGGUGCCCUUAGCUGAAUAAUUAGAGGAUCCGGGAUGUAGUUCACUUAGCCGUCGUGCCGUCAAUGGGGCUCGGUGUAUGCGGCUCGCUCUGCCAAGGUUGAUUUGUCCCUUGGGGAGGAGUGCGGUACAUUUAGGAAACCUAACGGGUGGCUACAGCCCCGGGGAAUCUUUGUAAAGGCUACGUAGUGAUGCCCUGCUAGGCCACCUAGGUAGUGGUCAAUGGGGAGUAGCUCUCUCCGGGCAGAAAGGGAAUCACGGCUUGUGGGUAAAGUGCACAACCUCUGCAGAGUGUUUGAAAACUGAUAUAUCAGUCGUGCUCGCGGUUAUGAGCGGCCAAGGGAGCUCCAGUGAUUAGUGGUACUUGAUCAGAGACAUUGUGGUACAGGUGGCUAUGAGAAUCGAUGGUUUUGGUUAUGACUAUGGUGCUGGUAAGUGGUAUUCUUUCCGUUUGGAAAUGGUACAUCGGGUUAAUAACUUGGGUAAUGCUAAAAUUUGGCUUUCUACUAGUAAGUAAUAAUCUGACCAACUAAAAGCAACUGCUUGACUUAUCCCCACAUAAAGCUAGUCCACUACAGCCAAACAGGAUACUUGCUGAGUAUGUUGAUGUGUACUCACCCUUGCUCUACACACCAAACCCCUCCAUCCCCAGGUUGUCAGCAUUGCAACCACUGCUCAGGCGAAGAUGAAGCUUUGGAAGGAAACUUCCAGGAGUUCCAAGACUACGACGAGUUCUAGGAGUGGGUUAGCGGCAACCCCCAGUCGGCUGCCUGUGAAGGCCGCAGUUAUCUACGUUUCUUUUCCGCACUUUGAUUUAUUGUAAGAACUAUAUGGACGUCUCAGACGUAUGAUGUAAUCAACUAUUAUUCCCUUUUAAUACUAUUUUGAGCACUGUGUGAUGAUGUCCAUGUUAUGUAACUGCUGUGUACGUGAAUAACUGAUCCUGGCACGUACAUGGUUCGCAUUCGGUUUGCCUUCUAAAACCGGGUGUGACAUAAGUGGUAUCAGAGCCGUGCUGACUGUAGGACCGCUAACCUAGAGUAGAAUGGUCGUUCUAAGGACUAUAGACCUCUGUCCCUUCCUUGACUUUGAUAUCCCUUCAAAAGUUGGUCAUACCGAUCAAACCUAUGUUCUACUAUAUAUUAUACCUUGUUGAAAAUCAUGUUUUAUUCUAAUCCUUCAUUUACUUAUGAUUCAUUAUUUGCUGGUCAUAUUAAUUCUGUUCUCACCCUUUUGCUUGCGAUGUCUUUUAUAGAUGGCUCGACUUAGACACACUGCACGUAAGUCCGUCAUCCCCUUCUUACCCUCCCGCCUUGCUGAGCGUCCGCUUCGCCGUCCCGUGGCCGGACAGUCCAGCCACUUGGAGAGACUGCACCACCGCCUGCAUGAGGAGCAGGAACGUCGACGACAGGAGCAGGAGCAGCAGGGCUCUUCCUUCUCGCUCCACCAGGAGAUAGAGUCUGUGAGGAGCUGCUCCCCUGUGCUUCCCCUGGAGGCGCCCCUACACCACCACAGGGCGCCCCAGCCCCUGGAGCAGCUGCUGGAGGAGAUCCAGACGACGGAGAUGGUGACGACAGCUCGAGCCACGACACCGACUUCUCUGCUAACCAUGAGUUGGAAGGAUGGUUUGCUCGAUCCAUCACUCGCGACGCUGCUCGCGGGUGUCACUUCCACGAUGCGCUCGAUACCCUGCUACGUCGGGCACUUAACCGACAUACUUGGUCCAUCGAGUAUCGCUGUGUGGUCUACCAGCACUGUCGCGGGGUCUACCCGGACCGCUGGGAGGCAACUUGCUUGGUGCGCCGCCCGGAGAACAGUCUCCAGGGUGCGGAGGCCUGCUCAGAGCACUAUUCUAUCUCUGAGCGGGACUCAGCUGAGGCAGCCAUGCAAGAUGCUGCACGGCGUGCGCUUUCGCACUACUGCUCGGUUUUCGGUGGGGUAGCUGACGGUCUUGACCUGAGGUAUUACCCCCGCCGUUCAUCUGGCAGCACAGGAGGCGUGAUUGUCUCACCCGUCGGUGAGGGCAAUCCUAGGUUGAGCAGCACAGUCAACCUAGCCGCCGUGCUAAACACGGAGCUGGACCAUGCAUUGGACGAGCUGAGUAGGGCUCGUGCUGAGAUCGCCCUGCUGCGGGUUGAGCGCGCGGAACGUCGUCACCUGGAGGAUGGUUCCCCCGCUCCCGUCGGGACUCAGCACCUGUACCGUUCACCUCGGCGUGGAUCCCAGUCUUAUGGCAAUCCCGACUGCAAGACCAAGAUAACUCUAGAACCAUAGAUCGUCAGAGUUGGAUCUUGUAAUUAAUACGAAAUAUAUAUAUACAUAGAAGCUUCAGUCUUAGCGUUAGUCUCAGUUUUAGUUAGUCUUAGUUAGACAGGGUAGUUUGCUAUAUCCUGUGCAUUUAUGUUUGUCAUGAUGAACUAUGUUUGGUUUGGAUCUUUGUAAUGAUUGUCACCAGAGUGUGGGUAUCCCCUGCAUUUUGGUUUACCUAUUAUGUUAAUGGAGUUAGUUAUAUAGUUGGGAAACCUUUUAUUCCCCUUUCCUCUUUAUCUGAGAAGCUGUGUGGUCUGUGUUGGAGAUCAGUGAAGAUGCUCAUCUGUUCAGUGCUGUUGAAGAAUCCUCUACUCUUUUCUUAUGCUGCAAGACUUGCCAGAUCAGUUCUGAUGUGUGGUUGCAUUCUGCAGAUGUCAGAGAACAGGCGCAGAGGAGGAAGGCGUGCUCAGCAGGAGCGAGCCGCUCAACAGGAUGAGGUGCCCCAGCAGCAGCACCUGCCGCCCCCGCCCCCGAUGUCCAUCGAGCAGAUGUUUCUGAUGCAGACUCAGGCAGUUCAAGCCAUCGGUCAGACUUUGGCCGCCAUUCAGCAGCAGCAGCAACAGCAGCAGGCCCCACCUCAGCCUCAGAUGCCUCAGAUGCCCAGAGACAAGCGUGCUGAAUUCAUGAGAGGUCAUCCACCAACGUUCGCUCAUUCUUCUGACCCCAUGGAUGCUGAAGACUGGCUGCGCACUGUGGAGCGGGAGUUGCAUACCGCUCAGUGCGAUGACAGGGAGAAAGUCUUGUAUGGUCCCCGUCAGUUGAGAGGAGCAGCCCAAUCAUGGUGGGAGUCUUACCUCGCCACCCAUGCCCACCCUGACGCUAUCACUUGGGAAGAGUUCAGAGGAAGCUUUCGUCAGUACCAUGUCCCUGCAGGUCUGAUGACAGUGAAGAAGGAGGAGUUCCUGGCUCUCAAGCAAGGGUCAUUGUCUGUCAGUGAGUAUCGAGACAGGUUUCUGCAAUUGUCUCGUUAUGCUCCUGAAGAUGUCAACACCGACGCUAAGCGACAGUAUCGUUUCCUGAGAGGCUUGGUUGACCCUCUGCAGUACCAACUGAUGAAUCACACCUUCCCGACAUUCCAGCACCUGAUUGACAGAGCAAUCAUGACAGAAAGAAAGCGUAAGGAGAUGGAGGAUCAUAAGCGCAAGAUCAGUGGACCCCAGCCUGGAAGCAGCAGUCGUCCUCGUUUCUCAGGCAAUCAACCUCAGCAGUUCAGGCAGAACCAGCGUCCACCUCAGCAGCAUCAGCAGUUCCAAAGGCAGUAUCCUCAGCAUCAGUAUCAGAACCGUCAGAGCAAUCAGUCAGGAGGUCAGUUUCAGAGGCAGAAUCAGCAAGCACCUCGUCUUCCUGCCCUAGCAAACCAGCAGAACAAUCAGGCAGCACCAGCUCAGGUUGGAAACAGGGCGUGUUUCCACUGUGGAGAGCAAGGCCACUGGGUGAUGCAAUGUCCGAAGAAGGCAGCCCAGCAGCAGUCAGGCCCCAAUGCCCCAGCGAAGCAGAACGUGUCUCAGCCUGGAGCAAGCAAUCGCUCUCAGUCGCGUUACAAUCAUGGGAGACUGAACCACUUGGAGGCGGAAGCAGUUCAGGAGACCCCCGGCAUGAUAGUAGGUAUGUUCCCAGUCGACUCCCAUAUUGCAGAAGUGUUAUUUGAUACCAGAGCAACGCAUUCUUUCAUUACUGCAUCAUGGGUAGAAGCACAUAAUCUUCCAAUUACUACCAUGUCAACCCCCAUUCAAAUUGACUCAGCCGGUGGUAGAAUUCGAGCCGAUAGCAUUUGUUUGAAUAUAAGUGUGGAAAUAAGGGGGAUAGCGUUUCCCGCCAACCUUAUAGUAAUGGGUACUCAGGGAAUAGAUGUCAUCCUAGGGAUGAAUUGGCUAGAUAAGUAUCAGGCAGUUAUCAGCUGUGAUAAAAGGACAAUCAAGUUGGUGUCUCCACUAGGAGAGGAAGUGGUGACCGAGUUAGUCCCGCCUGAGCCAAAGAAAGGAAGUUGUUAUCAGAUGGCCGUUGAUAGCAGUGAAGCAGACCCAAUUGAGAGUAUCAAGGUUGUGUCUGAGUUCCCAGAUGUGUUUCCAAAGGACUUACCGGGUAUGCCACCAGAGCGGAAAGUUGAGUUUGCCAUAGAGCUUCUUCCUGGAACCGCCCCUAUCUCUAAGAGAGCUUACAGAAUAUCUGGACCAGAGUUGGUUGAGCUUAAGGAGCAGAUUGAUGAGCUGUCAGAGAAAGGUUACAUCCGGCCAAGCACCUCGCCUUGGGCCGCCCCUGUCUUGUUCGUAGAAAAGAAAGAUGGCACCAAAAGGAUGUGUAUCGAUUACCGAGCUUUGAAUGAAGUCACGAUCAAGAACAAGUAUCCCUUGCCCAGAAUAGAAGAUCUGUUCGACCAGUUGAGAGGAGCCAGUGUGUUCUCCAAGAUUGAUCUGAGGUCAGGUUAUCAUCAACUCAGGAUCCGACCUUCGGACAUUCCGAAGACGGCAUUUAUUACCAAGUAUGGUUUGUAUGAGUUCACAGUGAUGUCUUUUGGUUUGACCAAUGCGCCAGCGUUCUUUAUGAACAUUCAUGGAUUACCUUGAUAAGUUUGUGGUGGUAUUCAUUGAUGACAUUCUGAUUUACUCUCAAAGCGAAGAAGAGCAUGCAGAUCAUUUGAGGAUGGUAUUGCAGAAAUUGCGAGAGCACCAGUUGUAUGCAAAGUUGAGCAAGUGUGAGUUCUGGAUCAAUGAAGUCCUGUUCUUGGGUCAUAUAAUCAACAAAGAAGGUUUGGCUGUGGAUCCGAAGAAAGUGGCAGACAUUCUGAACUGGAAAGCGCCAACAGAUGCUCGAGGAAUCAAGAGUUUCAUUGGAAUGGCCGGAUAUUAUCAGCGAUUCAUUGAAGGGUUUUCGAAGAUUGCGAAACCUAUGACAGUGUUGCUAGGCAACAAGGUUGAGUUCAAGUGGACCCAGAAAUGCCAAGAGGCCUUUGAAGCGCUGAAAGAGAAGUUGACUACAGCGCCUGUCCUAGUCUUGCCUGAUGUGCACAAGCCCUUUUCGGUGUAUUGUGAUGCUUGUUACACAGGUUUGGGAUGUGUGUUGAUGCAAGAGGGAAGAGUUGUGGCUUACUCGUCCCGACAGCUGAAGGUUCACGAGAAGAAUUACCCAAUCCAUGAUCUAGAGUUGGCAGCAGUGGUUCACGCACUGAAGACAUGGAGGCACUAUCUGUAUGGACAGAAAUGCGAUGUUUACACAGACCACAAGAGUCUGAAGUACAUAUUCACUCAGUCAGAGUUGAACAUGAGGCAACGAAGAUGGUUAGAGUUGAUCAAAGACUAUGAGUUGGAGAUUCAUUACCAUCCAGGCAAAGCAAACGUAGUGGCAGAUGCUUGGAGCAGAAAGAGUCAAGUCAAUCUGAUGGUCGCUCGUCCGAUGCCUUAUGAGUUGGCCAAGGAGUUCGACAGGUUGAGUCUCGGAUUUCUGAACAAUUCGCGAGGAGUCACAGUUGAGUUGGAACCUACCCUGGAGCGCGAAAUUAAAGAAGCGCAGAAGAAUGAUGAGAAGAUCAGUGAGAUCCGGCGACUGAUUCUAGAUGGCAGAGGCAAAGAUUUUCGAGAAGAUGCAGAAGGCGUGAUAUGGUUCAAAGACCGCUUGUGUGUUCCCAAUGUCAAGUCCAUUCGGGAGUUGAUUCUUAAGGAAGCUCAUGAGACAGCUUAUUCAAUUCACCCUGGCAGUGAGAAGAUGUAUCAGGAUCUGAAAAAGAAAUUCUGGUGGUACAGAAUGAAAAGGGAAAUCGCAGAGCAUGUGGCUAUGUGCGAUAGUUGUCGAAGAAUUAAGGCAGAGCACCAGAGACCUGCUGGAUUGUUGCAACCGUUGCAGAUCCCUCAGUGGAAAUGGGAUGAAAUUGGUAUGGAUUUCAUAGUCGGAUUGCCUCGCACUCGAGCCGGCUACGAUUCCAUUUGGGUAGUAGUGGACCGCUUGACCAAGUCAGCCCACUUCAUACCUGUCAAGACCAACUACAGCAGUGCAGUAUUGGCAGAGUUGUAUAUGUCUCGGAUCGUUUGUCUUCAUGGUGUGCCAAAGAAGAUAGUGUCAGACAGAGGAACGCAGUUCACCUCUCAUUUCUGGCAGCAGUUGCAUGAAGCCUUGGGCACGCAUCUGAAUUUCAGUUCAGCUUAUCACCCGCAGACAGAUGGCCAGACCGAAAGGACCAACCAAAUUCUUGAAGACAUGUUGAGAGCCUGUGCGUUGCAAGAUCAGUCCGGAUGGGACAAGAGAUUGCCUUAUGCAGAGUUUUCCUAUAACAACAGUUACCAGGCCAGUUUGAAGAUGUCACCAUUUCAGGCGCUCUAUGGAAGGAGUUGUAGAACUCCGUUGCAAUGGGAUCAGCCUGGAGAAAAGCAAGUGUUUGGGCCAGACAUUUUGCUGGAAGCCGAAGAGAACAUCAAGAUGGUCCGAGAGAAUCUGAAGAUAGCGCAAUCAAGACAGCGAAGCUACGCAAACACAAGAAGAAGAGAGCUGAGUUUCGAAGUCGGAGACUUUGUCUAUCUGAAAGUGUCACCGAUCAGAGGAGUCAGAAGAUUCGGAGUGAAAGGCAAGUUAGCACCCCGCUACAUUGGUCUGUAUCAGAUUCUUGCAAGACGUGGAGAAGUGGCCUAUCAGCUCAGUCUACCAGAAAAUUUGUCUGCUGUGCAUGAUGUCUUUCAUGUGUCUCAGUUGAAGAAGUGCUUGCGUGUGCCAGAAGAGCAGUUGCCAGUGGAAGGUCUUGAAGUCCAGGAGGACUUGACCUACGUUGAGAAGCCAGUGCAAAUCCUUGAGGUUGCAGAUAGAGUCACCCGAAGGAAGACCAUCAGAAUGUGCAAAGUCAGAUGGAAUCACCACCCAGAGGAAGAAGCAACCUGGGAGCGUGAAGAUGAUCUGAUGGCUAAGUACCCAGAGCUCUUUGCUAGCCAGCCCUGAAUCUCGAGGGCGAGAUUCUUUUAAGGGGGAUAGGUUUGUAACGCCCUGAAUUUGGGGGUAGAAUUUUUUCUUCUUUUCUCUCACCAAAUUCGGGCGUUACUCUUUUCUUUUCUCGUUCCCUCGCUAAACUUUGACCUUUUCCAAAGUUUUAGCGGGGUUCGGCUUGGGAUUCCCGUGUAAAGAAAAAACCCUAAAUUACCUUAUGUUGUUUGAUGCACCAUGCCGAACUAUGCAUUCUUUGAUUGCUUAGGAAUGUAAGUGCAUUCAUCUAAGAAGAUCGGAUUUCGAAAAGAAGAAAAACCUUUUCUUUCUUUUUCUUUUUCUUUUUUCUUUCUCUCCCUCUUCCUUUUCUCUCCCCCGCGCCGUGGGCCGCGCCCUGGUCGGCCCAGCCGCCCCCGCGCGCCCCUUUGGGCCCAGUUGGCCCAUGCCGCCCCCUCCCUUUAUUUUUCCCAAAACCCCUCUCCCUCCCUCUCAUUCUCUCUCUUCCCCACCCCAGCCGCCGCCCCCUGCCCUAGCUGCCGCCCCCUGCAGCUCGGCCGCCCCGCCGUUCGGCCGCCCGUCCCCGUCCCCGGUGAGGUCCCCCUCCCCCUCUCCUCCCUUCCCUCUCCCCCUCCUCUCCUCCCUCCCCCUCCCCGGCCCAACCGCUGCCCAGCUCGGCCGCCCUUGGCCGGCUCGGCCGCCGCCGCCCCUGCGCGCCCGCUGCCCAGCUAGGCCGCCGCCGCCGCUGCGCGCCCUGCCCCGCCCCUGGCCGGUUCGGCCGCCCGCCCGCCCAGCUCGCCCCCCCCCCCCCCGCCGGUUCGGCCGCCCAGCCCGGCCGCCCCCUGCGCGCCCCAGCUCGGCCGCCCCCCUGCCCCGCGCCCGCGCCCUGCCCAGCCGCCCCUGCCCCAGGCCGGUUCAACCGCCCCCAGGCCGGUUCAACCGCCCCCUGGCCGGUUCAACCGCCCCCCCCCUCUUUUUUUAUUUUAUUUUCAUUUUAUUUUUAUUACUGGUAUGUGUUUUAUUUUAGGCAGGUUAAUCAUUGUUCAUGUUAUUGAAACAGGAAAUUUAAUUUGGAAUUCCGUUAUGCUAGUUGAUUCAUAUAAUCAAUUGUUUAUCCAGUUCAAUAUUGAUCAACUAAAAAUGACUAGGUUCCCAUUAGUGCAUAUAACUAAAUUCUUUUGUUAGAACCAAUUGUAACUAAUCGUUAGUGCAUAAGCUUUAACCCCUGCGAGACCUUUUCCUGUUUCUUUCUAACCAUAAUGAAUGCGAUAUCGAAUGUCAUACUUGAUGCAUAUUCACUUUAUUUGUUCCCUUGUAUGAUGUACUGUUUGUUUCCCAAUUUGAAUGGAUGAAUGUAUGUAUGCUUGCAAUCGCAUAGAGAACGAUCCGGUCGAAGAGCCCGAGGAACUCGCAGGAGAAGCCCCUGAGCAGCAGUCGGUUGGUGGAGGCAAGUGUCCUUUGACCUAUCUCUGUCCUAUUCAUUAUUUAAUUCACCUCCCGCAUUACACAUUUAUACCUAAGGAUUGACUAGCUUUUGCUGUCCAUGUCCUUGUUUACCUAUCUGGGUUGGAUUAUUAUUAUUAUUAGUUAGCUUUAUGCUAUUGCUCAACUCUAAUCAAUGAACAUGAUGAGAUUAUCUAUGAUACGCUGUUUUCCCUUCUCUUAUUAUGAUGUUGUACUUGUGGCUUUAAGGGGGCUCAAGCGGUUUCUCGAGUGCCUCUCCGUAAGGACCUGUUCUAUGGAUGACCGCCCGGGAAAACAGUGCAACCAUGAGGGUAGAAUGGGGUGCCCUUAGCUGAAUAAUUAGAGGAUCCGGGAUGUAGUUCACUUAGCCGUCGUGCCGUCAAUGGGGCUCGGUGUAUGCGGCUCGCUCUGCCAAGGUUGAUUUGUCCCUUGGGGAGGAGUGCGGUACAUUUAGGAAACCUAACGGGUGGCUACAGCCCCGGGGAAUCUUUGUAAAGGCUACGUAGUGAUGCCCUGCUAGGCCACCUAGGUAGUGGUCAAUGGGGAGUAGCUCUCUCCGAGCAGAAAGGGAAUCACGGCUUGUGGGUAAAGUGCACAACCUCUGCAGAGUGUUUGAAAACUUAUAUAUCAGCCGUGCUCGCGGUUAUGAGCGGCCAAGGGAGCUCCAGUGAUUAGUGGUACUUGAUCAGAGACAUUGUGGUACAGGUGGCUAUGAGAAUCGAUGGUUUUGGUUAUGACUAUGGUGCUGGUAAGUGGUAUUCUUUCCGUUUGGAAAGGGUACAUCGGGUUAAUAACUUGGGUAAUGCUAAAACUUGGCUUUCUACUAGUAAGUAAUAAUCUGACCAACUAAAAGCAACUGCUUGACUUAUCCCCACAUAAAGCUAGUCCACUACAGCCAAACAGGAUACUUGCUGAGUAUGUUGAUGUGUACUCACCCUUGCUCUACACACCAAACCCCCCCAUCCCCAGGUUGUCAGCAUUGCAACCACUGCUCAGGCGAAGAUGAAGCUUUGGAAGGAAACUUCCAGGAGUUCCAAGACUACGACGAGUUCUAGGAGUGGGUUAGCGGCAACCCCCAGUCGGCUGCCUGUGAAGGCCGCAGUUAUCUACGUUUCUUUUCCGCACUUUGAUUUAUUGUAAGAACUAUAUGGACGUCUCAGACGUAUGAUGUAAUCAACUAUUAUUCCCUUUUAAUACUAUUUUGAGCACUGUGUGAUGAUGUCCAUGUUAUGUAACUGCUGUGUACGUGAAUAACUGAUCCUGGCACGUACAUGGUUCGCAUUCGGUUUGCCUUCUAAAACCGGGUGUGACACUUUCGUGAGGUCUUUUAUCCUUCUAGUGGACCCGGAAGAUAUCUGUCCCCCACAGCAGUAAAAUAGCAUAUAGAAUUGGUUAUGCAUAAAAUUGGGGCUUGCCUUCCAAAGCUGGGGCAGGCAGAUCCUCGAUGGCAGGCUCUGGUGCUGGCUCCUGGACUACCUCCUGAGCAACUCCUUGCUCCGGAACGAGGAUGUACUCUCCGUCAGCGAGAUUACAGUCUAUCGAAUGCAAUGAAUAAGAUAUAUGCAUCUUAAUGAUAUGGCAAUCUGUAAAUGCUAUGCAAGAUGAACAAUAUUAAAAUAGGGAAUAAACUAGUGUUUUCUUUGCCGGAGGGUGUAAUAAGGGUUGUAGGCACUCAACCAAGGGUGUUGAGUGAACUUAAAAAUUUUAGUCAUCUCUCAUAUGUUUGUUUGGGCUCUUGGGGAUUUAAAUGCACACCACUAAUUUCUCCCAUAAAUUUUCAUUUUACUUUCUAUUAGGUUUUCUUAUUAAGUUCCUUUGAACUAUCAUGGCAAGCUAAUCUUUUCCAAAAAUGUUACAAAAAUUACAGUGGGUAAAUAUUGACCUCUAGGGUUUAUUCUAAAAUUUGAGGUUGGAAUUAAUUCAGAUACUUCUUGUGCAAAAAUAACAAAAGUAAGGGUAAACGGGUACUUUACACUAUAGCUCUGCUUUUGGUGAGGUUUCUGGACCAAAUUUUGUUUUUGCUAUGAUCCCUAGGUGAUAAUAGGUCUUUGUGUCAAAAAAAUCACAGAAAAAGACCCACUGGAUAUUUAGUUGUGAUUUUCUAAAGUUUAAUGCCACAAAGGUACUUAUAACUAACUUGUUAUUUGAAAAAUGUCAAACAACAAAACUUAUAUUUUUCCUAGAUUCUUAUCAGCAUAUUAUUAGUUAUCCCAAGGAUUGGGUUGGGUUCUCCUCAGGAUUGUUUUUCUAGGGUUUUUCUAAGUUUUCAUUAUUUUUAUGAAAUAAAAUGUGGUGCAUUUCUUUUGUACUAACAGAGGGCUUAACAAAAUUUUCUAGUGAACUAUGUUAAUAAAGUAAGCUAGAAAAAAUGUGGUUGCCCCUGGUUCUUAUUUUAAACUCCCUUUUCUAUUUUCUUUAACUUUGAGUCAAAGUAAGUUUAAAUGGUAAACCCUUCCCUAAUCUGGUGUAUUGAGGGUUUUAUUAUUUUUAAACAGGCUAGGUAGUGGUUUAGUACCUCUCUAAUUUUUCUAACCCCAGUCUAAAAGUGUAGCUAUUUUUCCCUUCUUGAUUUAGCUUUUGGUCAGUUUUCUAAUUAAAUCAAAACUUUAGAAUUUUCUGCAGUACUUAGGGUGUUUGGUAUUUUUCCUAAGUAGUUCAAAUUAUUUAGAACCUAGCAAAAUUAGUUUGACUAAAUUUGGUUAGAUAAAACUGAAGUUAUGAAUUUUGCAAGCUCUGUCUACAUUUAAAUGAAUAAUGUUUAAAAGGUUUUAUGGAAAACCAGCUUACACCGAGACCCCUGGGCUUUCCCCAAACUAAGUCUUUAAACUAUACCCCUGCGGGACUAUUCAUAUGAGUCACUAACUAUUCAAACCCCCCCGGCUUCUUCUUCUUUUUCCCCGAGAUCCCUCCCCCUUUGAAACAGUAACCGCGGGGAAUAAACAGGGUGGCGCGGCUUAUCGGCGAUGAGGAAGGUUCGGCGAAGGGUGGGGUUAGCUCCGGGAGGUCCUGGCGGUCACGUCGAGGUGGGGCUCGUCGAUGGUGAUGGCCGGAAUCGGUCGGGCCACGUGCUCAGGCGGUCGGGCUCGUCGGCGGCGUAUGCUCCGGCCUGCUCACGACAGUAUCGUUCAAUCCAAUGGCACAGGAAGCUUCAUGGGGCGCUAAGGAUGCUACCAGUGCAAGGAAUCGAAGAAAGGCUCGCCGUGGAGCUCGGUCUACGUGCGCCGGUGGUCGGGUGAAGUCCGGCGACGUCGAUCCGGUGUCUCCGGUGAGGUAGAGUUCAAUCCCCGGCUCUGGAAGCUUCACAGAGGUCAGUAGAGGCUAUCCCGAGGGUCAGAUGGGGUGGGGAAUGGCUAGGUUGGCCGGUCUACGGUGGUCGUGGCUUGGGCGGCCGCUGGCACCUUGCUCACGGGGCGAACUCCGGCGAACUCGAGCUUGGGUUGGGUCAGUGGCGCGCGCUGGUGUACGGUCGAGGUCGGGAUGGCUUUUAUAGGCGCGGGCGCGGUGUGGACGCGAGGUUGGCACGACGCGGGGCUACACUCGUGGGCGGAGCACCGAGGGCAUGCUCUGGCGCGCUAGAACGCGUCGAACACGUGGGCGUUUGUUUCUACCUCUGUUCAACCGCUUGCAGGGAUUUCAAACGUGCGAAUCUUGCUAAGGGUCUUGUGCAAAUCUCUUCCUGGCACCUAGGGCUAGCUACUAUGUGUGAGUUCCAAUGGGAGAUAUGCCCUAGCUUGGAAGAUAUGCGGGCGCCAAGUUGGGUCUGUCGGCACUGUUCAACCCGAGACAAAACUUAUGUCAAACCUUGUCAAAUGGUCUUGGUUUUGGUUCAAAAUUUUCCAGUGUGUGCCUUAGGUAAUUUGGCCACUUUUUUAUAUUUGGACCAAGGGGUUUUGGCGCCAGCACAAAGGUGAACACCUUUGAUCUUUGGUCUAGGGUGGUUUUGGGGACUUAGAGAGAAUUUUUAAAGGUUCAAGUGUGCUUUCCACUUUGUGAACUAAUUUGACGUUUUUGUUGGGCCUUUUUGCAAUCUUUUUCUUACUAAAUUUUGUAGCUUUACUAAUGCUCUUCAUCUUUAGUAAAGGUCCCUUUUUUAUGUUUUGAUUAUUUGCCCAUCCUUACCCUUUUAAUCCCCUGGUUAGGGUUUAAGGGCUUAAGAAGGAAUUAGGGCUUUAGAGUCUUGUUUGUGGGUGAACAUUGUAUGAAGAAUAGAAUUUAUUUCUUGUUGUGGAUAAUGCUUAUCUUAACCAUGAUUCUAAAACUUUUAGUGCCCUCACUCUCCAUUUUAGCACAAAGUUUGUGUAGGACAUAAUGUGCUUCUUUGGCCAGGGCUUUGGGUAACACCAGGGGUGUUACAUUUCAUGGAAAUUCAUAAGUAGAGAUUGUGUUCUUUCAAUUGGUAAUUAUCUAUUCUAUGGAAAGAAAUGUCAAUAUGAAUGUUAAAUUCCUUUUGGUUUAAAAUUGUAAAUUGGUGCAUAUUGUUAAUUCACUCCUCCAUGUGCAUUAACUUAAAAGGAAUUUAACUUAUGCCUUUAUGCCUCAUAAAUGAUGAUUCGUUUGCAAUUCAUAUCUAAAGGUCAUCAUUCAUUAAAUACUUCCUUGUACUACUAAUAUCUAUUUUCAAAGUUCUUUUUCAACUAGUAUUAAAAGGAAAAUAGAUAACAAGAUAAAGAAGGAAGUCUCCACAAAUGACGAAAAGAAGAAUACUACGAUGACACCACCACCGAUAGUAAGAUCUUUCAAAUUGGUAUAACAAAUGGUACGCUCUACUUGGUGGUAAGUAUUCUUAAGGAUAAGUUAAUUCAUUGCAAAUUUGUCAUGCCUUCACCAUGAUAUGUAAUGUACUCCUCAUGAGACUCUUAACUGAAUUGAAAGUGCAUGUGGCAAGUCAUUCAAAUACUUGAUGCACAUAUCUAGUGGGAGAACAUUAUAUAUCUUGUGUCGUAGAGAAUAAGUUCCUCUUGAGUAAGCUAUACUAAGACAAUCCAAAAUGGUAAGUUUGUAUCUCAUUCAUAUGGAUUGUAAUCUUUGUUUUCUAAAUAGCUACUCCUGAGGCAGUUUAAAAUUCCCUUAUCGUUAAAUCUAAAAGUGCAUAAGAAUCCUUUUUGUUUAUAUUUAUGACAUACAUAUGCACUAACAUGGAUAUGAUUUUUUAAAAUGUAAAAGGUACAAUUAGUGAUCCAUACUCUCUAAAUUUUGGAAAUCCUUAUUUUGAUAUCUUAGAAAUCUACUUCAGUCGGUUUCCAUAUGCUUCACAUUGAAUUGGAUCACUAAGUUGUAAACUCCAUGCAUAACUUGUCUUUAUGAUAUGAAUGCUUGUGCGACUAACCUUGAUAAGCUAGGUGCACCCAAGGUCAAGCUAGGUUCAUCAUCAAGAAGGCAACACAAUGAUGUAUCAAGAAAAGGAGAAAAGGCUCCUAUUCUUAACUCUAGUUUUUAUCUGUGUGAUUAAAUAUUGACUUGAAACCAUGUAAGAUGGUUGUCAAGUAUAUGUGGGUGCCUACAUAAAGAGAAAGGCCACAAUAAGGAAUUUGUGGGUACCCAAGGCUCUUACUACUAAUCUUAAAGGACCCAAUUUAAAUUGGGUACCAAGAUAUGAAGCUUAAACUUGUUUUGCAGGAUCACUCCUUCAAUGGAUCAAGUUGGGUGCUCGAUAAUGAAAGUAUAAAUCAUAUUUAGAGAUAGUAGCAAGGGUGAUAACAACUGAAUCUCAAGUGCAUAUUAUUUUCAAACCUUAUCUCUUUUGUGACUUAUGUAGCCACUAAGGAAAAAGAAGCACUUGAGGAUAUACAUCAGUUGUUGAUUAUGAAAUAAAGGUCCAAUUGGAAGAUGAAUGAAUAUUAUCAUAUGGUGAACAAUCCAAAAUUAUGUGGCGUAUUAUCUAUCUAGUUAAUUUGGAUUUGAUUCUUCUAUAUUAGACACAUCACCUAAUAUGGAUUAAGUAAGCCCCUUUAGACUUCAUUGAACAACCAUGCAUAUUAUCCAUGUCAUUCAAAAUAUAUUGUGCAUGAGGACUCAAGGGAAAUUUAGUCCAUAUUAUGAUGUUUCUCUAUUUUAGCAACUCACUUGCCUUCCACAUAUAAAGGGUUGCUAAAUAAGAAACUAGUGUUUGUGCUACUAAUGCCAUCUCUUGUGUUAAGUUUAUCCAUAUAAAAUCUAUGUUAAGAGAUGGUGCUUGUUUUAAAUUGGAUAAAUCACAAGCUUAAAGGAUAUUAUUCAACUAAAGUAAGAUGAAGUUGAUAAGAGGCCAAGUGUUUCAACAAGGUCCUUCCAAGUGCUUUCAAGAUGGAUUCAAAAUCUACAAAUAUAAGAGACUUGGUUCUUUCAAUCAUUGAGUUUCAAUGGGUCUCAUAUCAAGUAUGAUCGAACCAAGCAAAGAUGAAUGAAGUUCAAGAUCACUUGGUUGGAUGAAACCACAGUGAAUCAAGAAGGAAGUUGAACUAACCUGUAAACCAAAUAAUGAAGAAGUAGUGACAUAAUCACCUAAUAUCCUUCAUUAUGAGGUUUGAGGUUCAUAUUAGCAUGCUUUACCCUUCAAGAUUUCAAUUGAUAUACUUUUAGUUCUUAAACUUUUAAUUGGUUUAAUUUUCAUCUUCUAUGUAAAGCAUGUUGUGUUAAACCAAGAUAUAAUGCAAACAUCUCCUUUAACCUCGUAUUAUUGAUGUGCAUAAGUGUACUUUGUGUACUCUUACAUGCACAAAUUGAGGGAGAGUUUAGCCUAUAUCCUGUGAAACUAAUGAUUUCUUUCAAGUUCAUGUUGUGUAGUCUCACACCUUGGAUAACAUCAAAUGAGGAUGAAUGGUUCCAUAGAAAUGAAAAUGAGUUUCUCUUGAACCUAUCAAGAAAAUUAGUUCCUCUUGAUCGUUUGAAGAGGAUAAGUUUCUCUUUGAAAUGUCAAGCCUAUCAAAAGCUAAGAUGGAAAUUCAUGAUUAUAAUGGAGACCAUGUAGCGUGGAACAAAGGUGUGUCACUCCAUGAACUAUUGUAUUACAUUUGUGUAUCUAGGCUCUUACAUGCUAGUGUGUGCAUGUAUAUGCAAUAUCUUAAGUCACACCAUAAGGUUGCACUUGUGGUGACGAUUAAAGAAUCUCUAGAUAUUUGAUUAAUACAUCUUGUGGUGGUGUCAUAAGUUUGUCUUAAGUCAUCUUAGUGAGGUAUGAGUCAAACAUGCUAACUUCUCAAGAAUCUUGGCUUAAAAUAUUGCAUAUCAUGUCUAUUAGUAUACCUUUUGAUUAUGAGCAAUUCCUUCAAUUGGUACAAUUUCAUAGUUUAUUUGUACCAAGGUUCAAAUUGUAGAACUUAAUCCCCUGGCCUCACAAGUCUAAGUGCAUAAGCUAAACAAGUAUUCAUCACUUGUAUGCACACAUUUAGGGGGAGAAUGGUCUAUAAUUUGAACCUGUGACACUAACUUCAUUUCCAAGUCUAUUAUGUGUGUAGUCUCAAAUUAGAAAGGAAUUUUCGGGCAAAGACAAUCGCUUCCACUGCAAAUUUGAUGGGUAUCAAAGAUUCUUUGCUCCAAUAAAUUUAUCUUUUAUACAUUUCAUAAGAGAAUGAGUUUCUCUUUUAUAUGCUACUCCAACGUCAUCUAAAAUUGGUAAACAUGUAUCAUAUUCUUUUGGUUUGCAAAUGUCUAAAGUAGCAUAGCUUAUAAAUUCUCCUUUCUAGAACUUAAUUGAUUAAAUAGUGCACAUAUUCCUUAUGUUGCAUGAUUAUGUUCAAUUGAUACACCUUUUAUGCCAAUGGUACAUUAAGUUGCAAAUAAGUACUCUUAACAAGUAUCAAUUGAAUUCAUAUAUAUGUGCGCACUAAAACUUGAGGAGAACUUAGUGUAAUAUGCAAAUAGUGAUAUGAUUAUCUAACAAUUUGUAUCAAUUGGUGUUUUUCAAUUGAUAUUUUUAGUACAUGAUCACUAGUUGUAGAAUCCAUACUUGUGCAAUUUUCAUGUUGCCUCUUCUUGUGAUAAGAAAAUGCUAGGUGACAUCUAGACUCCAGGCAUCAAGCUUCACCUUCGAUUUAGUAUGACAAUAUUGAAAGGGAAAUGUGCCCUUGGGCCAUUUCUAAGUAUUUUGGUGAUUGAGUGUCAACACAAGUGCUUAAAUGUGAAUCAAUGCCCAUGGAUGAACAAAGUGAAAAUCUAGAGCAAAGGUAUGUUUCUAAGUCUUAGUACAUUGGUUUUGUGUACUAAUAUAUUUGUCUAAGUGUUAGGAACAGAAAGAAGAAGAAAAGAGAAGACUUGGCUGUGUACAGCCAAGAGGCUGUUUCGGUCUGGGGCACCGGACUGUCCGGUGGUGCACCGGACAGUGUCCGGUGCGCCAGGCUGCCCCGGCCGAAGAGGCCGCUCUCGGGAAUUCGCCGACGGCGUACGGCUAAAAUUCACCGGACUGUCCGGUGUGCACCGGACUGUCCGGUGUGCACCGGACUGUCCGGUGAGCCAACGGUCGGCCGGGCCAACGGUCGGCCGCGCGAUCUGCGCGGGACACGUGGCCGAGCCAACGGUCGGGAAGGGGCACCGGACAUGUCCGGUGCGCCAACGGCUCCCGCAUCUGCAACGGUCGACUGCGCUGUUUAAGGAAGGAAAUCGGGCACCGGACAGUGUCCGGUGUGCACCGGACUGUCCGGUGCACCCGACGACAGAAGGCAAGUUUGGCCUUCUGGAAUUGCUCUCAACGGCUCCUAGCUGCCUUGGGGCUAUAAAAGGGACCCCUAGGCGCAUGGAGGAGGGAACUAAGCAACCUUUGAGCAUUCUUGAUCAUCCACACUCAGUCUUUGCGCAUCCGUUUGUUAUUCUAAGUGAUUCGAGCUCCGUUCUUGUGAGAACUGUGAGAUAGUCUUUGAGCUCGAUUCUUGGUCGUGUGUGUGCGCAUUUUGCUGUGGAUUUGUGUGUGUUGCUUCCCUCCCUUACUCCGUAUUUCUUUGUGAAUCUCAAGUGUAAGGGCGAGAGACUCCAAGUUGUGGAGAUUCCUUGCAAACGGGAAAUUGAAAGGAAAAGCAUAACACUGUGGUAUUCAAGUUGAUCAUUGGAUCACUUGAGAGGAGUUGAGUGCAACUCUCGUCCGUUGGGACGCCACAACGUGGAGUAGGCAAGUUUUGUACUUGGCCGAACCACGGGAUAAAUCACUGUGUCUUCUCUGUGUUGAACUUCUUGUGGUUAUCAUAUUGUGCAAGGUCUUCUCUUUAGCCACUUGGCAUUAAUUGUGCUAACGCUUAAUCAAAGUUUUGUGGCUUAAGUUUUUGAAGUAUACAGGAUCACCUAUUCACCCCCCCCCUCUAGGUGCUCUCAAUUGGUAUCGGAGCCGUUCUCUUCAAGAAAGGGACUAACCGCCCGAAGAGAUGGAUCCUAAGGGGAAGGGAAUCGUGAUCAACGACAAGGAAAAGGAGUCCUUCGUCAACGAGCCAAAAGAUGAUAAAUCCAACGACUCUGGCUCGGGCCACAAGCGUAAAGAUGGGAAGAAGAAGAAGACAAGGCGCAUCAAGGAGAUCGUCUACUACGACGAUAGCGAUGAGUCGACUUCUUCCCAAAAGGACGACAACAACGACUACAGGAAGACGGUCAAUUCGAACUUUUCAUUUGAUUAUUCUCGUAUUCCACAUAGUUCGAAUUCGCAUUUGCUUUCCAUUCCUCUUGGCAAACCUCCACACUUCGAUGGGGAAGACUACGGAUUUUGGAGUCACAAAAUGCGUAGUCACUUAUUCUCUCUCCAUCCAAGCAUAUGGGAGAUUGUAGAGAAUGGAAUGAAAUUUGAUAGCUCGGAUAGCCCUAUGCUUAUUAAUGAACAAAUUCAUAAAAAUGCACAAGCUACUACUGUGUUGCUAGCCUCUUUGUGCAGGGACGAGUACAAUAAGGUGAGCGGCUUGGACAAUGCCAAGCAGAUAUGGGACACCCUCAAGAUUUCUCACGAGGGGAACGACAUCACCAUGCUCACUAAAAUGGAGUUGGUGGAGGGCGAGCUUGGAAGGUUUGCAAUGAUAAGGGGCGAGGAGCCAACCCAAACAUACAACCGGCUCAAGACCCUUAUCAACAAAAUAAGGAGCUACGGAAGCACACGAUGGACGGAUCACGACGUCGUCCGCCUAAUGCUAAGGUCAUUUACCAUUCUUGAUCCUCAUCUCGUGAACAAUGUUCGUGAGAAUCCCAGGUACACGAAGAUGACGCCCGAGGAGGUACUCGGAAAAUUCGUAAGCGGGCGGAUGAUGAUCAAGGAGGCAAGAUACGUGGACGACGCCUUGAAUGGACCAAUCAACGAGCAUCAACCCCUUGCUCUCAAGGCAACAAGAAGCAAGGAGGCGCUACCUAGCAAGGUGGCACAAAUUGAGGCGGCCGGACUUAAUGAUGAAGAGAUGGCUCUCAUCAUCAAACGCUUCAAGACGGUGCUAAAAGGUCACAAGGGGCAGCCAAGCAAGACCAAGACAAAGGGGAAGCGCUCAUGCUUCAAGUGCGGUAAGAUUGGUCAUUUUAUCGCUAACUGCCCCGAUAACGAUAGUGACCAGGAACAGGGGAACAAGAGGGAAAAGAAGAAGAAUUACAAGAAGGCCAAGGGCGAGGCACACAUCGGAAAGGAGUGGGAUUCGGAUUGCUCCUCCGACUCCGACAAUGAAGGACUCGCCGCCACCGCCUUCAACAAGUCAUCCCUCUUCCCCAACGAGCGUCACACAUGCCUUAUGGCAAGGGAGAAGAAGGUGAGUACUCGAGACUCCACUUAUGCUUCUUCUAGUGAUAAUGAGUCUAGUGAUGAUGAUGACAUAGACUAUUCAUGCUUAUUCAAGGGCUUAGAUAGAUCUAAGAUAGACAAAAUCAAUGAAUUGAUUGAUGCCUUGAAUGAUAAGAAUGUGCUUUUAGAAAAGCAAGAGGAUUUGUUGUAUGAAGAACAUGACAAGUUUGUAGAAGCACAAAAAUCACUUGCAUUAGAGAUUAAGAGAAAUGAAAUGCUUUCUUAUGAGUUGUCUACAUGUCAUGAUUCAAUUGCUAGUUUAAAGAGCAUAAAUGAUGAUUUAAAUGCUAAACUAGAAAAAUCUAGUAAAUCAACAUCUUGUGUAGAACAUGUUAAGAUUUGCACUAGGUGUAAAGAUUUCGAUGUUGAUGCUUGUAGCGAUCAUUUAGUUUCAAUUUCCAAAUUAACUGAGGAAUUGGCUAGUCUUAACGCCCAACUUAAGACUAGCAAGAAUGAAUUUGAUAAACUAAAAUUUGCAAGGGAUGCCUACACGAUCGGUAGACACCCCUCAAUUAAGGAUGGACUUGGUUUCAAAAGGGAAGCCAAGAACUUAACAAGCCAUAAGGCUCCCAUUCCCGCUAAGGAGAAAGGGAAGGCCCCUAUGGCUACUAGUGCUAAAAAGAACCAUGCCUUUUUGUAUCAUGAUAGGAAAAAUUCUAGAAAUGCUUUUAGAAGUUAUGAUGCUUUUGAUUCACAUGCUUAUGAUUCUUAUGCCAUGACUGCUUCUAGUUCUUCCUAUAUGCAUGGUAGAAGUAUGACUAGGAGAAAUGCUAUUCAUCACGUGCCUAGAAAGAAUACUAUUCAUGCUCCUAGGAAAGUAGUAAAUGAACCUUCUACAAUUUAUUGUGCUUUAAAUGCUUCCUUUGCUAUUUGUAGAAAGGAUAGGAAGAUAGUUGCUAGGAAGUUAGGGGCAAAAUGCAAGGGAGACAAAACUUGCAUUUGGGUCCCUAAGGAUAUUUGCACUAACCUUGUAGGACCCAACAAGAGUUGGGUACCUAAGUCCCAAGCCUAAAUUUGCCUUGCAGGUUUAUGCAUCCGGGGGUUCAAGCUGGAUUAUCGACAGCGGAUGCACAAACCAUAUGACGGGGGAGAAGAAGAUGUUCACCUCCUACGUCAAGAAUAAGGAUUCCCAAGAUUCAAUUAUAUUUGGUGAUGGGAAUCAAGGCAAGGUAAAAGGGUUAGGUAAAAUUGCAAUUUCUAAUGAGCAUUCUAUCUCCAAUGUAUUUUUAGUAGAGAGUCUUGGAUAUAAUUUGCUAUCUGUUAGUCAAUUAUGUCAUAUGGGAUAUAACUGUCUAUUUACAAAUGUAGAUGUGUCGGUCUUUAGAAGAAGUGAUGGUUCACUAGCUUUUAAGGGUGUAUUAGACGGCAAACUUUAUUUAGUUGAUUUUGCAAAAGAAGAGGCCGGUCUAGAUGCAUGCUUAAUAGCUAAGACUAGCAUGGGCUGGCUGUGGCAUCGCCGCUUAGCACAUGUGGGGAUGAAGAACCUUCACAAGCUUCUAAAGGGAGAACACGUGAUAGGUUUGACUAACGUGCAAUUCGAAAAGGAUAGACCUUGUGCAGCUUGUCAAGCAGGUAAACAAGUGGGAGGAGCACAUCACAGCAAGAAUGUGAUGACCACUUCAAGACCCCUGGAGCUGCUGCAUAUGGACCUCUUCGGACCCGUCGCCUAUCUGAGCAUAGGAGGGAGUAAGUAUGGUCUAGUUAUUGUUGAUGACUUUUCCCGCUUCACUUGGGUGUUCUUUUUGCAGGAUAAGUCUGAAACCCAAGGGACCCUCAAGCGCUUCCUCAGGAGAGCUCAAAAUGAGUUUGAGCUCAAGGUGAAGAAGAUAAGGAGCGACAACGGGUCCGAGUUCAAGAACCUUCAAGUAGAGGAGUUCCUUGAGGAGGAAGGGAUCAAGCAUGAGUUCUCUGCUCCCUACACACCACAGCAAAAUGGUGUGGUAGAGAGGAAGAACAGGACGCUAAUCGACAUGGCGAGGACUAUGCUUGGAGAGUUCAAGACCCCCGAGCGUUUUUGGUCGGAAGCCGUGAACACGGCUUGCCACGCCAUCAACAGGGUCUACCUUCACCGCCUCCUCAAGAAGACGUCGUAUGAGCUUCUAACCGGUAACAAACCCAAUGUAUCUUACUUUCGUGUAUUUGGGAGCAAGUGCUACAUUCUAGUGAAGAAGGGUAGAAAUUCUAAGUUUGCUCCCAAAGCUGUAGAAGGGUUUUUAUUAGGUUAUGACUCAAAUACAAAGGCGUAUAGAGUCUUCAACAAAUCAUCGGGUUUGGUUGAAGUCUCUAGCGACGUUGUAUUUGAUGAGACUAAUGGCUCUCCAAGAGAGCAAGUUGUUGAUUGUGAUGAUGUAGAUGAAGAAGAUGUUCCAACGGCCGCUAUACGAUCCAUGGCAAUUGGAGAAGUGCGGCCACAGGAACACGAUGAACGAGAUCAAACAUCUUCCUCAACUAUGGUACUACCCCCAACUCAAGACGAUGAACAGGUUCAUCAACAGGAGGCGUGUGAUCAAGGGGGAGCACAAGAUGAUCGUGUGAUGGAGGAAGAUGCGCAACCAGCACCUCCAACCCAAGUUCGAGCGAUGAUUCAAAGGGAUCAUCCCGUCGACCAAAUUCUGGGUGACAUUAGCAAGGGAGUAACUACUCGAUCUCGAUUAGUUAAUUUUUGUGAGCAUUACUCCUUUGUCUCUUCUAUUGAGCCUUUCAGGGUAGAGGAGGCCUUGCUAGAUCCGGACUGGGUGUUGGCCAUGCAGGAGGAGCUCAACAACUUCAAGAGAAAUGAAGUUUGGACGCUGGUGCCUCGUCCGAAGCAAAAUGUUGUGGGAACCAAGUGGGUGUUCCGCAACAAACAGGACGAACACGGGGUGGUGACGAGAAACAAGGCUCGACUUGUGGCAAAAGGUUAUGCCCAAGUCGCAGGUUUGGAUUUCGAGGAGACUUUUGCUCCUGUGGCUAGGCUAGAGUCUAUUCGUAUCCUGCUAGCAUAUGCCGCUCACCAUUCUUUCAGGCUGUUCCAAAUGGAUGUGAAGAGCGCUUUCCUCAACGGGCCGAUCAAGGAGGAGGUGUACGUGGAGCAACCCCCUGGCUUCGAGGAUGAACGGUACCCCAACCACGUGUGUAAGCUCUCUAAGGCGCUCUAUGGACUUAAGCAAGCCCCAAGAGCAUAGUAUGAAUGCCUUAGAGACUUUCUAAUUGCUAAUGCUUUCAAGGUUGGGAAAGCCGAUCCAACUCUUUUUACUAAGACAUGUGAUGGUGAUUUGUUUGUGUGCCAAAUUUAUGUCGAUGACAUAAUAUUUGGUUCUACUAACCAAAAGUCUUGUGAAGAGUUUAGCAGGGUGAUGACGCAGAAGUUCGAGAUGUCGAUGAUGGGCGAGUUGAACUACUUCCUUGGGUUCCAAGUGAAGCAACUCAAGGACGGCACCUUCAUCUCCCAAACAAAGUACACGCACGAUCUGCUAAAGAGGUUUGGGAUGAAGGACGCCAAGCCCGCAAAGACUCCGAUGGGGACCGACGGACACACCGACCUCAACAAAGGAGGUAAGUUCGUUGAUCAAAAAGCAUACCGGUCAAUGAUAGGUUCUUUGCUUUACUUAUGUGCUAGUAGACCGGAUAUUAUGCUUAGCGUAUGCAUGUGUGCUAGAUUUCAAUCCGAUCCUAAGGAGUGUCACUUAGUGGCGGUAAAGCGAAUUCUUAGAUAUUUGGUUGCUACGCCUUGCCUCGGGCUCUGGUAUCCAAAGGGGUCUACCUUUGACUUAGUUGGAUACUCAGACUCCGACUAUGCUGGAUGUAAGGUCGAUAGGAAGAGUACAUCAGGGACGUGCCAAUUCUUAGGAAGGUCCCUGGUGUCAUGGAACUCUAAGAAACAAACCUCCGUUGCCCUAUCCACCGCUGAGGCCGAGUACGUUGCCGCAGGUCAGUGUUGCGCGCAACUACUUUGGAUGAGGCAAACCCUCCGGGACUUUGGCUACAAUCUGAGCAAAGUCCCACUCCUAUGUGACAAUGAGAGUGCUAUCCGCAUGGCGGAAAAUCCUGUUGAGCACAGCCGCACAAAGCACAUAGACAUCCGGCAUCACUUUUUGAGAGACCACCAGCAAAAGGGAGAUAUCGAAGUGUUUCAUGUUAGCACCGAGAACCAGCUAGCCGAUAUCUUCACUAAGCCUCUAGAUGAGAAGACCUUUUGCAGGUUGCGUAGUGAGCUAAAUGUCUUAGAUUCGCGGAACUUGGAUUGAAUUAUAGCAUACAUGUGUUUAUGCCCUUGAUCAGGUUCAUUCUGCAUUCUGUUGCUUAUUGUGGUGCUCAAGUUGUACAAACACUCCCUGGACCUCACAAGUCCGUUGCAAAGUGCUGCACAUGUUUAGGGGGAGAUGUGUUACAACUUGACCCUUUCGAGACUAACCAUGUGCUUGAGUUUGAUGAUUUAGUCUCGAAGGAGAAUUGAAAGGGAAAAGGUGGACUUGGAUCAUGAAAGACUUCCACUGCACUCCGAUGAGAGGGUAACUUAUUCCAAGUUCAUCUUUAGACUCUUAUUGCCUUUGUAUUCUUAUUGAAGAUUUUGGUGAGGCAAUGGGGUUAAUAGGCCAAGAUUGAUCCCGUUUUGGUGCUUGAUGCCAAAGGGGGAGAAAAUAAAGGGCCAAAGCGAUAAAUGGAUCAGCUACCACUUGAGAGAUUUUGAAAAUAGUAGAAUAGAGUUUUUUGUUUUGUUAAACUCUUUUAUUGUCUCUUAUUGUCUCUCUUGUCAAAAGUUGGCUUCUUGUGGGGAGAAAUGUUGAUUAUGGGAAAUAGGGGGAGUUUUUGAAAUCUUUGAUCAAUCUCUUUUGGAAUGACUCUCUUUAUGCCUCAAUAUGUGUGUUUGACAUAGAGAUAGAGAUUUGAGUUUGAUUUGCAAAAACAAACCAAGUGGUGGCAAAGGAUGAUCCAUAUAUGCCAAAAUUGAAUCAAAAUCAAUUUGAGUUUUAUUUGAAGUGAUUUUGCACUUGUUCUAGUUGCUUUAUGUUGUGUUGGCAUAAAUCACCAAAAAGGGGGAGAUUGAAAGGGAAAUGUGCCCUUGGGCCAUUUCUAAGUAUUUUGGUGAUUGAGUGUCAACACAAGUGCUUAAAUGUGAAUCAAUGCCCAUGGAUGAACAAAGUGAAAAUCUAGAGCAAAGGUAUGUUUCUAAGUCUUAGUACAUUGGUUUUGUGUACUAAUAUAUUUGUCUAAGUGUUAGAAACAGAAAGAAGAAGAGAAGAGAAGACUUGGCUGUGUACAGCCAAGAGGCUGUUUCGGUCUGGGGCACCGGACUGUCCGGUGGUGCACCGGACAGUGUCCGGUGGUGCACCGGACAGUGUCCGGUGUGCCAGGCUGCCCCGGCCGAAGAGGCCGCUCUCGGGAAUUCGCCGACGGCGUACGGCUAAAAUUCACCGGACUGUCCGGUGUGCACCGGACUGUCCGGUGAGCCAACGGUCGGCCGGGCCAACGGUUGGCCGCGCGAUCUGCGCGGGACACGUGGCCGAGCCAACGGUCGGGAAGGGGCACCGGACUGUCCGGUGUGCACCGGACAUGUCCGGUGCGCCAACGGCUCCCGCAUCUGCAACGGUCGACUGCGCUGUUUAAGGAAGGAAAUCGGGCACCGGACAGUGUCCGGUGUGCACCGGACUGUCCGGUGCACCCGACGACAGAAGGCAAGUUUGGCCUUCUGGAAUUGCUCUCAACGGCUCCUAGCUGCCUUGGGGCUAUAAAAGGGACCCCUAGGCGCAUGGAGGAGGGAACUAAGCAACCUUUGAGCAUUCUUGAUCAUCCACACUCAGUCUUUGCGCAUCCGUUUGUUAUUCUAAGUGAUUCGAGCUCCGUUCUUGUGAGAACUGUGAGAUAGUCUUUGAGCUCGAUUCUUGGUCGUGUGUGUGCGCAUUUUGCUGUGGAUUUGUGUGUGUUGCUUCCCUCCCUUACUCCGUAUUUCUUUGUGAAUCUCAAGUGUAAGGGCGAGAGACUCCAAGUUGUGGAGAUUCCUUGCAAACGGGAAAUUGAAAGGAAAAGCAUAACACUGUGGUAUUCAAGUUGAUCAUUGGAUCACUUGAGAGGAGUUGAGUGCAACUCUCGUCCGUUGGGACGCCACAACGUGGAGUAGGCAAGUUUUGUACUUGGCCGAACCACGGGAUAAAUCACUGUGUCUUCUCUGUGUUGAACUUCUUGUGGUUAUCAUAUUGUGCAAGGUCUUCUCUUUAGCCACUUGGCAUUAACUGUGCUAACGCUUAAUCAAAGUUUUGUGGCUUAAGUUUUUGAAGUAUACAGGAUCACCUAUUCACCCCCCCCUCUAGAUGCUCUCAAAUAUUCAUUUAAUAUCUUGGACCUAUGUCACAAUUAUGCUAACAAGAGCUUGCAAAUGAAUUCUAAAUCCAACACAAGUCUGGAAACCCCUUGAAAAGGUAAAACGCAAAGGUACAUCACUUAUGACACUUAUCCAUUACCUUUGUGCCAUCUAAGGGUCCUUUUCAUGAUAAUGUGUUCACAUCUCGCUUAAUCAUAAUUUCUACCCUUUAUAUUCUUUGUAUCCUUUUUGGAGAUUUAUGACAAAGGGGGGAAAUUUUGCAUUAAAGCUUACCUUUAGUCUUAUGUAACUAAGUGUUAGAAGACUUUUAAGAAGGGGAGAAAUAAUUAACAAAAAGGGGGAAUCAUAAGAAAAACAUAAGAUGUAGAAAGUUGAUAAGUGCAUUCUAUGUCAUGAGCAUCAAGGUUAUUUUAUGACACAUUGCACCUCAUGAAUAAUAUGAUAUAAGUUGUCUACAUACUUUGACCCAAAUUUGUGCUUUUGGCAUUUAAGUACAAAAUUGGUAUUUUCUGAAAUGCACAUAUUUAGGGGGAGGAAACUAUAUCAUAGGAUUCAAAAUCUUAUUUAUCAAAUCUUAUGUAAGCUUUAAAUGUGUUGUCACCAAUCACCAAAAAGGGGGAGAUUGAAAGUGCAUUCAUCCCUUUUGUGAGUUUUGUGAUUUGGAUAACAACACAUUUAAAGGUCUAACGAGUUUGCUAAGUGUUGAACAGGAAAUUCAGUAUGAUGAACAUACUUGAAUAGUGUAUAAUGAUCAGUGAACAAAGGUUCAACACAAGGUUAAAUAACCAAUGAGACAAUGCAAAUGGAUAUAAUAUGGUCUCUGUAUUGGUUUGAAUAUAUAUGGACAAUACCUUAGAAAUCACUACAUACAUAUGAUCAUAAUAGAGGAUGAAAUGAUUAAGAGGAUUGGUUAAGCCAAAGUGAAUAAGAUAUGAGGAAUCUGAGAGCACCUAGAGGGGGGGUGAAUAGGUGAUCCUGUAAAAACUUAAACUUAUAGCCACAAAAACUUGUUAAGUGUUAGCACAAUGAUUGCCAAGUGGCUAGAAAGGAGUCUCAGCAAAACACAAUACCACAAGAGAUCAAACACAGAGAUGACACAGUGGUUUAUCCCGUGGUUCGGCCAAGACCAACACUUGCCUACUCCACGUUGUGGCGUCCCAACGGACGAGGGUUGCAAUCAACCCCUCUCAAGCGGUCCAAAGACCAACUUGAAUACCACGGUGUUUUGCUUUGCCUUUCAAUAUCCCGUUUGCGAGGAAUCUCCACAACUUGGAGCCUCUCGCCCUUACACUUAAGAUUCACAAAGAAAUACGGAGUAAGGGAGAAACUAGCAACGCACACAAGACUCAAAAUCAGAGCAACAACACGCACACAAGUCGCAACAAGAGCUCGCAACACUACUCAAUGAGUCCACAACUCAACAAGAGCUCUAGAUGCUAUCACAAUGAACCAAAUGCGUGGAAUCGAUGUCUUGGUGCUUAGGAAUGUUGUAGGAAUGCUUGGUAUGCUCCUCCAUGCGCCUAGGGGUCCCUUUUAUAGCCCCAAGGCAGCUAGGAGCCGUUGAGAGCAAUUCUGGAAGGCUGAUCUUGCCUUCUGUCAUCGGGCGCACCGGACAGUCCGGUGCACACCGGACACUGUCCGGUGCCCGAUUUCUUUCCUUAAAUGGCGCAGCCGACCGUUGCAGAUCUGGGAGCCGUUGGCGCACCGGACAGUCCGGUGCUCACCGGACAGUCCGGUGCCCCCUUCCGACCGUUGGCUCGGCCACGUGUCUCGCACGGAUUCCGCGGCCGACCGUUGGCCCGGCAGACCGUUGGCUCACCGGACAGUCCGGUGCACACCGGACAGUCCGGUGAAUUUUAGCCGUACGCCGUCGGCGAAUUCCCGAGAGCGACCACUUCGCUCGAGGCAGCCUGGCGCACCGGACACUGUCCGGUGCACCACCGGACAGUCCGGUGCUCCAGACCGAACAGCCUCUUGGCUGCACACAGCCAACUUUUCUUUGACUCGAUUUCUCCUGUUUCAAGCACUUAGACACAAUACAUUAGUCUUCAAAACAAUGUACUAAGGCUUAGAAACAUACCUUUAGUCUUGAUUUGCACUUUGUCCAUCCAAGGGUAUAGAUUCACAUUUAAGCACCUGUGUUGGCACUCAAUCACCAAAAUACUUAGAAAUGGCCCAAGGGCACAUUUCCCUUUCAAUCUCCCCCUUUUUGGUGAUUUUUGCCAACACAACAUAAAGCAACUAGAACAAGUGCAAUAUCACUUCAAAUAAAAACUCAAUUUUAUUUUGAUUCAGUUUUGGCAUAUAUGGAUCAUCCUUUGCCACCACUUGGUUUGUUUUUCAAAUCAACCUCAGAAUCCUAUCUCUAAGUCAAAUUCACUUGUAGAGACAUCAAGAGAGGUUUUCCAAAGAAAAAUGAUUCAAGAUUCCAAAACCCCCCUAUUUCCCAUAAUCAAUACUUCUCCCCACAAGAAGUCAACUUUUGACAAGAGAGACAACAAAAGAGUUUUUAAAAAAGCUCUAUUCUACUAUUUUCAAAAACUCUAUUUUCAAAAUUUCUCAAGUGGUAGCUGAUCCAUUUAUUGCUUUGGCCUUUAUUUUCUCCCCCUUUGGCAUCAAGCACCAAAACGGGAUCAAUCUUGGCCCAUUAACCCCAUUGCCUCACCAAAAUCUUCAAUUAAGAGCAAAUAGGCAAUAAGAGUUAAAGGAUGAACUUGGAGAAAUUACUCUUUUCAUCGGAGUGCAGUGGAAGUCUUUCACGGUCCAAGUCCACCUUUUCCCUUUCAAUCCUUCUUUAAGACUAAAGCAUCAAACUCAAGUACAGGGUUAGUCUCAAAGGGUCAAGUUGUAACACAUCUCCCCCUAAACAUGUGCAUCACUUUGCAACGGACUUGUGAGGUCCAGGGAGUGUUUGUACAACUUGAGCACCAAUAUUAAGCAACAAAAUGCAUAAGGAAUAUGAUCAAAGGCAUAAACACAUGUAUGCUACAAAUCAAUCCAAGUUCCGCGAAUCUAAGACAUUUAGCUCACUACGCAACCUGCAAAAGGUCUUCUCAUCUAGAGGCUUGGUAAAGAUAUCGGCUAGCUGGUUCUCGGUGCUAACAUGAAACACUUCGAUAUCUCCCUUUUGCUGGUGGUCUCUCAAAAAGUGAUGUCGGAUGUCUAUGUGCUUUGUGCGGCUGUGUUCAACAGGAUUUUCCGCCAUGCGGAUAGCACUCUCAUUAUCACAUAGGAGUGGGACUUUGCUCAGAUUGUAGCCAAAGUCCCGGAGGGUUUGCCUCAUCCAAAGUAGUUGCGCGCAACACUAUCCUGCGGCAACAUACUCGGCCUCAGCGGUGGAUAGGGCAACGGAGGUUUGUUUCUUAGAGUUCCACGACACCAGGGACCUUCCUAAGAAUUGGCACGUCCCUGAUGUACUCUUCCUAUCGACCUUACAUCCAGCAUAGUCGGAAUCUGAGUAUCCAACCAAGUCAAAGGUAGACCCCUUUGGAUACCAGAGCCCGAAGCAAGGCGUAGCAACCAAAUAUCUUAGAAUUCGCUUCACCGCCACUAAGUGACACUCCUUAGGAUCGGAUUGAAAUCUGGCACACAUGCAUACGCUAAGCAUAAUAUCCGGUCUACUAGCACAUAAAUAAAGUAAAGACCCUAUCAUUGACCGGUAUGCUUUUUGAUCAACGGACUUACCUCCUUUGUUGAGGUCAGUGUGUCCGUCGGUCCCCAUCGGAGUCUUUGCGGGCUUGGCGUCCUUCAUCCCAAACCGCUUUAGCAGAUCUUGCGUGUACUUCGUUUGGGAGAUGAAGGUGCCGUCCUUGAGUUGCUUCACUUGGAACCCAAGGAAAUAGUUCAACUCGCCCAUCAUCGACAUCUCGAAUUUCUGCGUCAUCACCCUGCUAAACUCUUCACAAGACUUUUGGUUAGUAGAACCAAAUAUUAUGUCAUCGACAUAAAUUUGGCACACAAACAAAUCACCAUCACAUGUCUUAGUAAAGAGAGUUGGAUCAGCUUUCCCAACCUUGAAAGCAUUAACAAUUAGAAAGUCUCUAAGGCAUUCAUACCAUGCUCUUGGGGCUUGCUUAAGUCCAUAGAGCGCCUUAGAGAGCUUACACACGUGGUCGGGGUACCGUUCAUCCUCGAAGCCAGGGGGUUGCUCUACGUACACCUCCUCCUUGAUCGGCCCGUUGAGGAAAGCGCUCUUCACAUCCAUUUGGUACAACCUGAAAAAAUGGUGAGCGGCAUAUGCUAGCAAGAUACGAAUUGAUUCUAGCCUAGCCACAGGAGCAAACGUCUCCUCAAAGUCCAAACCUGCGACUUGGGCAUAACCUUUUGCCACAAGUCGAGCCUUGUUCCUUGUCACCACCCCGUGCUCGUCCUAUUUGUUGCGGAACACCCACUUGGUUCCCACAACAUUUUGCUUGGGACGAGGCACCAGUGUCCAAACUUCAUUGCGCUUGAAGUUGUUGAGUUCCUCCUGCAUGGCCAAUACCCAAUCCGGAUCUAGCAAGGCCUCCUCUACCCUGAAAGGCUCAAUAGAAGAGACAAAAGAGUAAUGCUCACAAAAAAUAACUAAUCGAGAUCGAGUAGUUACUCCCUUGCUAAUAUCACCCAGAAUUUGGUCGACGGGAUGAUCCCUUUGAAUCAUCGCUCGAACUUGGGUUGGAGGUGCCGGUUGCGCUUCUUCCUCCACCACGUGAUCAUCUUGUGCUCCCCCUUGAACACACGCCUCCUUUUGAUGAACCUGUUCAUCGUCUUGAGUUGGGGGAUUCACCGUUGUUGAGGAAGAAGGUUGAUCUCGUCCAUCUUGUUCCUGUGGCCGCACUUCUCCAAUCGCCAUGGUUCGUAUAGCGGCCGUUGGAACAUCUUCUUCAUCUACAUCAUCACAAUCAACAACUUGCUCUCUUGGAGAGCCAUUAGUCUCAUCAAAUACAACGUCGCUAGAGACUUCAACCAAACCCGAUGAUUUGUUGAAGACUCUAUACGCCUUUGUAUUUGAGUCAUAACCUAACAAAAAACCUUCUACAGCUUUGGGAGCAAACUUAGAAUUUCUACCCUUCUUUACUAGAAUGUAGCACUUGCUCCCAAAUACACGAAAGUAAGAUACAUUGGGUUUGUUGCCGGUUAGUAGCUCAUACGAAGUCCUCUUGAGGAGGCGAUGAAGGUAGACCCUGUUGAUGGCGUGGCAAGCUGUGUUCACGGCUUCCGACCAGAAACACUCGGGGGUCUUGAAUUCUCCAAGCAUUGUCCUCGCCAUAUCGAUUAGCGUCCUGUUCUUCCUCUCUACCACACCAUUUUGCUGUGGUGUGUAGGGAGCGGAGAACUCGUGCUUGAUCCCUUCCUCCUCAAGGAACUCUUCCACUUGAAGGUUCUUGAACUCGGACCCGUUGUCGCUCCUUAUCUUUUUCACCUUGAGCUCAAACUCAUUUUGAGCUCUCCUGAGGAAGCGCUUGAGGGUCCCUUGGGUUUCAGACUUAUCCUGCAAAAAGAACACCCAAGUGAAGCGGGAAAAGUCAUCAACAAUAACUAGACCAUACUUACUUCCUCCUAUGCUCAGAUAGGCGACGGGUCCGAAGAGGUCCAUAUGCAGCAGCUCCAGGGGUCUUGAAGUGGUCAUCACAUUCUUGCUGUGAUGCGCUCCUCCCACUUGUUUACCUUUUUACCUUGCCUUGAUUCCCAUCACCGAAUAUAAUUGAAUCUUGGGAAUCCUUAUUCUUGACGUAGGAGGUGAACAUCUUCUUCUCCCCCGUCAUAUGGUUUGUGCAUCCGCUGUCGAUAAUCCAGCUUGAACCCCCGGAUGCAUAAACCUGCAAGGCAAAUUUAGGCUUGGGACUUAGGUACCCAACUCUUGUUGGGUCCUACAAGGUUAGUCACAAUUGUCUUAGGGACCCAAAUGCAAGUUUUAUCACCCUUGCAUUUUGCCCCUAAUUUCCUAGCAAUCACCUUUCUAUCCUUUCUACAAAUUGCAAAGGAAGCAUUCAAAGCAUGAUAUAUUGUAGAAGGUUCAUUUACUUUCCUAGGAACAUUAACAACAUUUCUCCUAGGCAUAUUAUGAACAGCAUUCCUUCUACCAACAUUUCUAUCAUGCACAUAUGAAGAACUAGAAGCAAACAUAGCAUGAGAAAAAUCAUCGUAAGCAUUAUAACUCCUAUAAGCAUUUCUAGUUUGUCUCCUAUCAUGAUACAAAAAGGCAUGGUUCUUUUUAGCACUAGUAGCUAUAGGGGCCUUCCCUUUCUCCUUAGUGGGAAUGGGAGCCUUAUGGCUUGUUAAGUUCUUGGCUUCCCUCUUGAAGCCAAGUCCAUCCUUAAUUGAGGGGUGUCUACCGAUCGUGUAGGCAUCCCUUGCAAAUUUUAGUCUAUCAAAUUCAUUCUUGCUAGUCUUAAGUUGAGCAUUAAGACUAGCCAAUUCCUCAGUUAAUUUGGAAAUUGAAACUAAAUGAUCGCUACAAGCAUCAACAUCGAAAUCUUUACACCUAGUGCAAAUCUCAACAUGUUCUACACAAGAAUUAGAUUUACUAGCUACUUCUAGUUUAGCAUUUAAGUCAUCAUUAAUAUUCUUUAAAGUAGCAAUGGUUUCAUGACAAGAAGAUAGUUCACUAGAAAGCACUUCAUUUCUUUUAACUUCUAAAGCAUAAGAUUUUUGUGCCUCUACAAAUUUGUCAUGCUCUUCAUACAAAAGGUCCUCUUGUUUUUCUAAGAGUCUAUCUUUUUCAUUCAAGGCAUCAAUUAAUUCAUUAAUUUUAUCUAUUUUAGUUCUAUCCAAUCCUUUGAACAAACUAGAGUAAUCUAUUUCAUCAUCACUAGACUCAUCAUCACUGGAGGAAUCAUAAGUGACAUUGUUUUGAUUACAUACCUUCUUCUCCCUUGCCAUAAGGCAUGUGUGACGCUCGUUGGGGAAGAGAGAUGACUUGUUGAAGGCAGUGGCGGCGAGUCCUUCAUUGUCGGAGUCGGAGGAGGAGCAAUCCGAAUCCCACUCCUUUCCGAUAUGUGCCUCGCCCUUGGCCUUCUUGUAAUGCUUCUUCUUUUCCCUCUUGCUCCCGUGUUCCUGGUCACUAUCAUUGUCGAGACAGUUAGCAAUAAAAUGACCAAGCUUACCGCAUUUGAAGCAUGAUCGCUUUCCCUUGGUCUUAGUCUUGCUUGGGUGUCCCUUGCGACCCUUUAGCGCCGUCUUGAAUCUUUUGAUGAUGAGGGCCAUCUCUUCAUCAUUAAGACCGGCCGCCUCAAUUUGCGCCACCUUGCUGGGUAGCGCCUCCUUGCUCCUUGUUGCCUUGAGAGCAAUGGGUUGAGGCUCAUGGAUUGGGCCAUUCAACGCGUCGUCCACGUACCUUGCCUCUUUGAUCAUCAUUCGCCCGCUUACAAAUUUUCCAAGAAUUUCUUCGGGCGACAUCUUGAUGUACCUAGGAUUUUCACAAAUAUUGUUUACCAAGUGAGAAUCAAGAACGGUAAAUGACCUUAGCAUUAGGCGGACGACGUCGUGAUCCGUCCAUCGCGUGCUUCCGUAGCUCCUUAUUUUGUUGAUAAGGAUCUUGAGCCGGUUGUAUGUUUGUGUCGGCUCCUCGCCCCUUAUCAUCGCGAAUCGUCCGAGCUCGCCUUCCACCAACUCCAUCUUGGUGAGUAAGGUGACAUCAUUCCCCUCAUGAGAGAUCUUGAGGGUGUCCCAAAUCUGCUUGGCAUUGUCCAAGCCGUUCACCUUGUGAUACUCGUCCCUGCACAAAGAGGCUAGCAACACAGUAGUAGCUUGUGCAUUUUUAUGGAUCUGUUCAUUAAUAAACGAAGGGCUAUCUGAGCUAUCAAAUUUCAUUCCACUUUCCACAAUCUCCCAAAUGCUUGGAUGGAGAGAAAAUAGGUGAGUACGCAUUUUGUGACUCCAAAAUCCGUAGUCCUCUCCAUCAAAGUGAGGAGGCUUGCCAAGUGGAAUGGGGAGCAAAUGAGCAUUUGAGCUAUGCGGAAUGCGCGAAUAAUCAAAAGAAAAGUUUGAGUUAACCGUCUUUUGUUUAUCAUAGUCGUUGUCGUCGUUGUCCUUUUGGGAAGAGGAAGAUUCGUCGCUGUCGUCGUAGUAGACGAUCUCCUUGAUGCGCCUUGUCUUCUUCUUCUUCCCUUCCUUUCGUCUAUGGCUCGAGCCGGUGUCGGUAGGCUUGUCAUCUUUGGGCUCGUUGACGAAGGACUCCUUCUCCUUGUCGUUGAUCACGAUUCCCUUCCCCUUAGGAUCCAUCUCUUCGGGCGAUUAGUCCCUUCUUGAAGAGAACCGCUCUGAUACCAAUUGAGAGCACCUAGAGGGGGGUGAAUAGGUGAUCCUGUAAAAACUUAAACUUAUAGCCACAAAAACUUGUUAAGUGUUAGCACAAUGAUUGCCAAGUGGCUAGAAAGGAGUCUCAGCAAAACACAAUACCACAAGAGAUCAAACACAGAGAUGACACAGUGGUUUAUCCCGUGGUUCGGCCAAGACCAACGCUUGCCUACUCCACGUUGUGGCGUCCCAACGGACGAGGGUUGCAAUCAACCCCUCUCAAGCGGUCCAAAGACCAACUUGAAUACCACGGUGUUUUGCUUUGCCUUUCAAUAUCCCGUUUGCGAGGAAUCUCCACAACUUGGAGCCUCUCGCCCUUACACUUAAGAUUCACAAAGAAAUACGGAGUAAGGGAGAAACUAGCAACGCACACAAGACUCAAAAUCAGAGCAACAGCACGCACACAAGUCGCAACAAGAGCUCGCAACACUACUCAAUGAGUCCACAACUCAACAAGAGCUCUAGAUGCUAUCACAAUGAACCAAAUGCGUGGAAUCGAUGUCUUGGUGCUUAGGAAUGUUGUAGGAAUGCUUGGUAUGCUCCUCCAUGCGCCUAGGGGUCCCUUUUAUAGCCCCAAGGCAGGUAGGAGCCGUUGAGAGCAAUUCUGGAAGGCUGAUCUUGCCUUCUGUCAUCGGGCGCACCGGACAGUCCGGUGCACACCGGACACUGUCCGGUGCCCGAUUUCUUUCCUUAAAUGGCGCAGCCGACCGUUGCAGAUCUGGGAGCCGUUGGCGCACCGGACAGUCCGGUGCUCACCGGACAGUCCGGUGCUCACCGGACAGUCCGGUGCCCCCUUCCGACCGUUGGCUCGGCCACAUAUCUCGCACGGAUUCCGCGGCCGGCCGUUGGCCCGGCAGACCGUUGGCUCACCGGACAGUCCGGUGCACACCGGACAGUCCGGUGAAUUUUAGCCGUACGCCGUCGGCGAAUUCCCGAGAGCGACCACUUCGCUCGAGGCAGCCUGGCGCACCGGACACUGUCCGGUGCACCACCGGACAGUCCGGUGCUCCAGACCGAACAGCCUCUUGGCUGCACACAGCCAACUUUUCUUUGACUCGAUUUCUCGUGUUUCAAGCACUUAGACACAAUACAUUAGUCUUCAAAACAAUGUACUAAGGCUUAGAAACAUACCUUUACUCUUGAUUUGCACUUUGUCCAUCCAAGGGUACAGAUUCACAUUUAAGCACCUGUGUUGGCACUCAAUCACCAAAAUACUUAGAAAUGGCCCAAGGGCACAUUUCCCUUUCAGAAUCCUAAAUUGGCUUGACCAUAUUACUAUUAGUCCAUAUAUGCUUCUAUGAGAAUCAAACUAGAGCUUGAUUGAUCUUAACGGUUAUAUCUAGAAGACAUUCAAGCAAGGUUCACAAUAUUGAAGAAAUGAUUCUCUCAAUGGAUGCUCAAUAUGAUGUGACUCAAGAAUGGCUUGAUAGGGUGAAGAUAGCAAGGAAAGUGCUUUGAGGAACUAAGCGAAGGUGAAGGCCAAGCGACGGCUUGUGGACCGAGGUACCAUGGCUAAGGUGAAGAAGAGAGUACUUGCACUAAGUCGAUGAACUAAUCAGCUAUGAAGAGUUAUAACAUGUUGAUGCAUCAGUAUGGUGACUUGAAGCCAUGAUUUGAACUCAUAUAUGGUGAUAUGGUACAAGUCACAAGGUUUGAAUUGUGUUUGCUUCAAAAGAUGAGACAAAGAUGUUUGUGAUCCUUAUGAAGCAAUGCCAUGGAGAAAUCUCACAUGAGACACCAAUGACUCAAGGAGUUUACUUAAUUAUAUUUUAUUUAACUUGUGUAUAGGAAUCGUCGUACUAUCAAGGGGGGGUCUAAAACAAAGGUUGGUGUUUGCCAAAGCUCAAGCCUCUAUAUUCAAAAGCUAUUUCAAAAAACCAAAAUCCCUUGGACACUCUGUGUAUGACUAUUGUUAGGAUUGAGAAACUGAGAGUGUUCCUGUUGAAAAGCAGUUGAGCUUUUUCAACUGCAGUUGAACUUCACUUCAACUGUAUCUUCAGCUGUAGUUGAGUUUUUUCAACUACAGUUGAACUUCACCUCAACUAUAUACAGUUGAACUUCACUUCAACUGGGGUCUAGAUAGGUUCAACCGGGGGUUUUUCCCUGGACCUCACUGGUCAAUACCGGUUGAACCGGUCCUAGGGGUGGUUCAACCGGUGUCAGGGUCACCUGACCGGUCUGACCUCCUGACUGGCAGACUGACUGCCAGUCUGACCACCAGGCAGUUGAACCGGCCCUAGGGGCAGUUCAACCGGUGUCAGGACCUAUUUUUGCAGUCUGACCUGCAGUCUGCCAGUCUGACUGGCAGGCUGACUGUCAGCCUGCCCCAGGCGGUUGAACUGGCCCUAGGGGCAGUUCAACCGGUCCUCCACAGCCAAAAUUAGCCCAACGGCUAGUUUUGAAGCCCACCUAUAUAUACUCACUCCUACCUCUCUCCCCACACAAGAGAGCACGACCCAAACUCUAUUUCUAACUUGAAGAACACCUCCCACUCUCUCUCACACAUCUCUUGCCUCUCCCAUUUCAAAUCUUUAGAGAGAAAUCUUUGAGUGAGUUUGAGAGCUGCGAUUUUUGUGCUUCAUCUCCAAAUCUCUCUUGCUCUUCUUCAUUCAAGCUUUGGUACUACAUCGAGUUCUUUGUGGAUUCAUUACUCUUGGAGCUUCUAGCUCCUAGACGACUAGGUGUCUCUUGUGAGUCUCCAAAUCUUGUGGAAGACCACAAGAAAGUUUGUAUUACCCGCUCGUUUGAGCAAAGAUUAUUGUGUGGGCUUGACCUUUGUGGUCGGCGAAGGGAGGAUUAGGGUUGAAAGAGACCUGGCUCUUUGUGGGCGCCUCAAUGAGGAAGUAGGGCACCUUUUGUGGUGUGACCAAACCUCGGGAUAAAUCUUGUGUCUCUUGUGUUCUUGCUCAUUGUGUUUGUUUGUGUUCUUCGUUCUCUCACCCUUCCGUGGAAGAUUUCUUCAUAUCUUUUUGGUGUCUGGAUUUUGAGAAGUGCCCUUCUCAGAUCUACUACUUUGAACCCUAUGGAUCAUUUAGAACAUCCCAUUUCCAAAGCUAACUAGUUUUACCCAGUUUGUUUCUAGUUUUUGUUGAAAAAGUUUUAACUUGCCUAUUCACCCCCUCCCCUCUAAGCAACUUUCAGUAGCCAGCACUUGGAAUUUGUUAGAUAUUUUUUGAGUUUAUCUAAGGCGUCCUGAGCUUUACUGGUCCGUACAAAGUGGUCUUGGCUUUUUAUUAACCUAAAGAAUAGUAAUCCUUGAAUACCGAGCCGAGAUAUGAAUCUGCUUGACAAUGCCAUACAUCUAGUCAGCCGCUGGAUAUCUCAGAGGCAACUCGAAGGUUUCAUUCUUAAUAUUUCAGUGAUCUUCUCUAGAUUAGAUUCAAUUCCUCUAUGAGACGAGGUACCCCUAAUAACUUUCUAGAUGACUGUGAUACCCGGUUUGCAAAGAAGAGAAGUUGGGGGUUGUUCUUUUUAUUUUUUUCCCUCAUCCGGUUGUUGUUUUGGGGAUUUGGAAUUUUGUGGAAAACAUUCACAACUAGGGCAGUAGAAUUUAUUUGGUUUGACGCUUGCGUUGCGGUCGGGAGCUGUCGCGUGGGUUAGUUGGGCCGCAAUUGGUGUUUCGGCCCAUUAACCCUCCCAAACCCUAGCCGCCUCCCUCCUAACCCCCUCCCCCUUGUGCAGCCGCCCCCCCCACUUCUCCCACACCUUGGCCGCCGCCCCCCUGCCCAUCUCCUCCUCUCUCAAUUCUUACAGCCACACCACCAAACCCUAGCCCCCCCUAAUCUCCUCCUCCCAAGGUGCCAAUCCUUGCCGCUCGGAUCAUCGUCGUGGUGCGAGUCUUCAAUCGUUUUGGUGGAGGGAAGAAGGGAGGAAGGAAAGGGGGAGAAUCCAAGGUGAUUUUUUGUGUUCAUCCCUUGUUCAUUUGCGCUGCAAUUCAAUUGAUUAGAGGUUGCGUUUGCGAUUGGGUAGAGGGGGCUGUCCAGAAUUUUAGGUGGUGGAUGAACAGCAGUAGUUCUAGCAGUUUCUGUGUUUUUUCGUAAGAAAUUAAUAGAAAUCAGUUUAGGGAUCAUGUAGAACUUUGUCCUACCUUUCCAACGAGUAUUUAUGCGCUCAAUUUGGAGUUAUAAAUUGAAAGUUAUCACCGUUUGAAUCCGGGUAUCUGGCUGUCCAAAAAAAACAGAUUUUUCAGGGGAUGAACAGCCGCAGUAUUAGCAGUUUCUGGGGAUUUUUCGGGAGUAAUUAGGGUUAAUCAGUAUAAGAAUCAUGAAGGGCUCUUUCUUAUCUUUCCAACAAGUACUUAUGCGCUUGAUUCGGAAUUAUAUUUUAAAAGUUAUCGCUGUUUGAAUCCGAGUAUGUCGCUGCCCAAAACAGGAAAAACAGAUUGCAGGGUUUAUUUUGUGGACCGUUUAGGGGUAAUUAGAUGUUAGAAUUUAAUCAUAAAUUGUAUACAAAACUUGUGGUGAAUUUUAUGUAGUUGUCUCUGGAGUUUUUGUUUGACACCACUGCUGUCUUAAUUUUAAAGUUAUGGAAUUGUUAAGCAGCGCCGCUGCAGUUUGGUUGGUGUGGGGAGAAUUGUUACCCGCGGCGGAGUUUGAGAUUGCGCGUAGGUGCGGCGUUGUUUUGAGUUUUUUUAUGUGAAUUUGGUGCACUAAGUUGGGUGUCAAAAACAGGUGGUGGACUCCCAGAUCGUUCUUAGGGAUUUGCCCAAACUUCCGGUGAAGGCAAGUAAAACUGUGAUGGUUAUUCCGUCUGUCAGAUGAGGAGUCUUAUACUUGAUUAUGUUGUGCUAUUGUGUUCAUAUUCAUAUUUUCUUUUGAGUACCAUCAUUUGAAAAUGUUCAUGUUUCAUGGAUUUUAUAUGUUGAGUUUGAGGUUUGAUUAUGUUACUCAAGUGGUUAUUAUGUGGAAUGGGUGGAAGUAAAUGUCUAGCACAUUUUUAUUUGGGAAGAACUCAUGAUGUUGUCAUGCAUAAUGCACUCAUCAUCCAUUGCAUUGAAGUUUCGUCGCGAUCUUAUGGUCCGACCGUACCGGUACAUUGAGCAUCAUAUGUUGCCCGAGAAGGGGUAUGGUGCAGCUUCAUAUCCUUAGAGAUAUGGAGGCAGAAGUCAUUAUUGCAUUUGUAGCCAUGUGCAUUCAUGGGAGAGGUGUGGAAUUUAUUAUGUGGAUGUGGAUAAUUUGGACUUGUGCAUGGUGAUUCUACUUGGCGUUGAGUUUUUAGUUACUUAUUUACUUGCUGCAAUUUACUAUUCAAAAGAAAAGAAAGAAGUUCUGAACACGUGGUUGUGUAAGCACAGUUGAUUUACAAUGUCCUAUUUGUUGUUGUUAUGUUUACUUGCUGAGAUGUGUUAUCUCACAUCUUGCAUUGUUUGAUGCAGGCACCUAAUUUCUGCUUUGGGAAUAAAGGGAUGUAGCAGCACGGCCACUACACCUUUAAUAAAGGAACCACCAUUUAAUAAUGUUGUUAAUCAGAGUCGGUCAAGUCUAGUGAAUUGCUUUGUACUUGGUUGAGCGUUUAUUUUGGGGUGGGCUGAGUUUCUUAUCCCAUUUGUUUUACUUCAGUUGAGGCAUAAAUGAGCUUUACCACUUUGCAUCUAGUUUCUACUAUGUGAAUUAUAUGUCUUUAUAUCCUGUAUGAACUUCAUGUUUUCCCUCCUUGUUAUGUUAGUUUCAAAGGAGGUGCUGCCGGAUUUUCCUAUGUUUUCUUUCUUUAUUACGCUUCUUGUGUGGAGUAAGUUAGGUGGGUGGGGUUUUUGGUGAUAUCCAUUGUGUGUGACCAGUGGGGUGUUACAGUUGGUAUCAAAGCAAUAGGCUGUAGAUCCUAGCAAGUGAAGUAAUAAUAAAUUGACACACUGCACAUGUAGGAUGGGAUUUCUGGCUUGCUAUUGAUAUGUUCUGUUAUUGUAUGUGCUAGUUUGGCAUUAUCUGAAGAGAUGUUAUGCCAAUCUUAUUUACUUAUUAUUCUCAUCCCUGUGGCUGCAGCUAUGCCGCCUCGUAGGGCUCGAGGUAGUCCGCAAGCUCCUAGUGGGGACUCGAUGAGUCCGGCGGCAAUGUUAGCCGCGAUGCAGGCCAUGCAGCAGGAGUUGGCCCUUCUGAGGCAAGCCAUUCCUGUCGCCCCUGCGGGUGCUGCUUAGGGUGCUGGAGGUGGAGAAGUGCCCGGGGGCGCUGUCCCUGCGGGUGCUGUUCCAGGUGGCGGGGCCGAGGUGCCUCUUUCAGUCAGUGGUCUUUCUCUGAUGCAGUGGAUGGGCAUGAAGUUGGAUUCUUUUGAUGGCAGUGGUACUCCGGUCGAGGCGGCAGAUUGGUUGACUUAUGUGGAGGAUAAGAUGAAUGUCUUCGAGAUUGCUUAUGGAGAUUGGGUUCGCUUUGGCACUUAGCUGCUGAAGGGAGAGGCUCAGAUUUGGUGGAGAGGCGUGCAGGCAGCGCACUCCUCACCAGGAGUCCUAUCUUGGGAUGUUUUCAUCAGGCAGUUUGAAAGGAGAUUCUACCCGGUCACCUUUCUGGAGAAAAUGAAGAUUGACUUGUAGUCCUACAAGCAGGAGAAGAAGUCUGUCACAGAGUAUGAGGUGGGCUUCAACAAGAUGGUCCGCUUUGUCCCUCAUGUGGCUUAUAAUGAGAUGGAGAAGGCGAGCCAGUUUCGUCAGGGUCUGAAGCCUUCUAUCAGGCAUGCACUGGGGGCCUUUUCGUUGGUGGACUUCCGUACCACGGUGGAGCAGGCGCUGGGUGUGGAGAUGCAACACCAGUAUACCAUGGAGUCGCAGAAGUCUUCGGGUGUUGAUCAGCCUCGUAGCCAGGACACGAGGAGGGGCAACACUGGAGGUCCAGCUCACAAGAGGGGAAAGUCUCAGCAUCAGCGCCACCAUCCUUACCGUGGCAAAUCUUCUGACUCGGGUACUUCGGGAGGAAGUACUCAGAGGUUUCGGGCCGUUCCUAAGCCCGGGCUGGGGCUGGUGUGUUUCCGCUGUGGAGAUGCGCAUCGCCGUGCAGAGUGCCAGUGGAGUGGCAGGUGUUCUAUCUGCAGUCAGGACCACAAGGAUGUGGUGUGUAGGAGGAAUCCCAAUGGGAAGCUCAGAUGGGAGCCGGUGACUUCCUCCUCUUCUCAGGGCACUAUCAACAUGAUGUCAAGUGCUGAGCAGCAGUUUUCAGUUCCUCUUCCUCCACAGCAGCUUUAUGUGCCUCGGACUUCUCAGUUCGUGCCGAUGCAGGGUUUUCCUCAGUAUCAGGUCACGCCUACUCCUGCACCGUCUACUCCUAUGUCGUCUCAGUUUGGAGCUCCGCACCUGCCUCAUCCAGUGGCUCAGUGGGGUUCUUCUGUUAAUUUCACUCCGGGGGCUUCCUCUUCUGCGGGUAUUUCUGGAGCUUAUGUGCUACCCGCUACGGAUGGCAGGGAGCAAGGAGACGUGGUGACAGGUACGAUUUCAGUUGAUUCGUUUGCAGCCCAUGCUCUUUUUGACUCUGGCGCUAGCUAUUCGUUUGUUUCGGAGGAUUUUGUGUCGCGGGCUGGUCUUUCGGUGCAGAGGUUGGGUCACCCAAUUUUGGUUAGAUCUGCUAAUGGCUCCAUUAGUAGCUGUUCAGUUUGUCAGGGGUGUUCCGUCAUUCUUGCUGAUGAGGUUUUUUCGGCCAAUCUGGUGGUGAUUUCCUUGGGGGCAUUCGAUGUUAUCUUGGGUAUGGAUUGAUUAUCCCAGUAUCGCGCGGUUAUAUCCUGCUUCUGGAAGACAGUGUUAUUGCAGGCACCGUCGGGUAAGGAGGUGGUAUUCUUGGGAAGUUCCUCGAAGUUCACAUUAUCCUUGUUGGCGCAAUUGCUUCCUGAUCGCCGGUCAAGGAAGUCAGGGAUCUUUUUCUCUAUGGUGGUGGAGGGUGAGGCUGCCUUGCGGGUGCAGGACAUCCGGGUGGUGUGUGACUUUGCUGACGUGUUUCCGGUAGAGCUUCCAGGCAUUCCUCCGGAGCGCGAUGCAGCUUUUGAGAUUAAGCUGAUCCCGGGUACGUAGCCUAUUCAUAAGGCCCCGUAUCGAAUGGCUCCAAAGGAGCAGAUUGAAUUAAAGCGGCAAUUGGAUGAUCUGCUGGCUAAGGGCUUCAUUAGGCCUAGCAGGUCUCCAUGGGCUUCCCCGGUAUUGUUUGUUGAGAAGAAGGAUAAAAGCAAGCGACUGUGUGUGGAUUAUCACGCUUUGAAUCAAGUGACAAUCAAGAAUAAAUAUCCGCUUCCCCGAAUUGAGGUCCUCUUUGAGCAGUUGAGGGGUGCCCAGGUGUUCUCCAAAAUUGAUUUGAACUCCGGUUAUCAUCAAUUGAGGAUUCGUGAGGAGGAUAUUGAGAAGACCGCCUUUUGCACCAGGUAUGGGCAUUAUGAGUUCAUAGUCAUGUCUUUUGGCUUAACUAAUGCCCCUGCUGCCUUUAUGGAAGCAAUGAAUAGGAUGCUGCAUGAAUUCCUGGAUGAUUUUGUGGUCGUGUUCCUGGAUGAUAUUUUGAUUUAUUCAAAGACCGAGGCCGAGCAUGAACAACAUCUCCGUCUCGUUCUGGGUGCCCUAAGGAAGAAUCAAUUCUAUGGCAAGUUGAAGAAGUGUGCCUUUUGGCUAUCCGAAGUGGCUUUCCUGGGGCACGUGAUUAAUCAGCAGGGUAUUGUGGUUGAUCCCAAAAAUGUUGCGGCUGUGGUGGAGUGGAAGAGACUUUCUAGUGUCUCUGAAAUCCGAAGUUUCUUGGGGCUUGCUGGGUAUUAUCGGCGCUUCGUACCAAAUUUUUCCAGCAUUACUAAGCCUUUGACUAGGCUCUUGGAGAAGGGUGUUCCCUUCGUCUGGUCCAGCGAUUGUGAGGUCAGUUAUCAGUCAUUGAAGAGCAAGUUGGUGGACGCCCCUAUCCUAGCUUUGCCUGAGAGCGGUAAGCGUUUCACAGUUUAUACGGAUGCUUCGCGUAUUGGUCUUGGCUAUGUGCUGAUGCAGGAAGGCAGAGUGAUUGCUUAUGGCUCAAGUCAGUUGAGGAAGCAUGAGGGGAAUUAUCCAACUCAUGAUCUGGAAUUGGCCGCGGUGGUUUUUGCUCUAAGUCGUGGAGGCAUUACCUUUAUGGCGAGGCUUGUGACAUUUUCACCGAUCACAAAAGUCUCAAGUAUAUUUUUACUCAGAAGGAGCUGAAUUUGAGGCAGCGUCGGUGGCUGGAAUUGAUUAAAGAUUAUGAUUUGUCCAUUCAUUAUCACCCGGGGAAGGCUAAUGUGGUGGCUGAUGCCCUUAGCAGGUCCGGGGUUCCAAAGGUGGCCUUACCGUUGAUCGCUGAUCUGGACCGUUUGGGGAUCGCUUUGUGUUAUGUCGGCACCGCUAGCAAGGAGACUCAGAUGCUUAUUCAAUCCUCUCUCAUGGAGAGAGUGCGUGCGGCUCAGCAGCAGGAUCGUCUAUUGCAGGAAGCUCGAAAGAGGGUGGGUGAUGGUAAACCGCGGGAGUUCACCAUUGAUGAGAAUGAUUUGGUUCGUUUCAGGGGCCUCCUCUGUGUGCCUCAUAAAUCAGAGGUGAAGAUGGAUAUCUUGAGAGAAGCUCAUAAAACGCCUUACACCGUCCAUCCUGGCGAAACCAAAAUGUACCGAGAUUUGAAGCAAAACUUCUGGUGGAAGCGGAUGAAGGUUGACGUUUCUAAGUAUGUGGCCGCCUGUGAAGUAUGUUAGCGCGUGAAGGCCGAGCAUAAGCGGCCUGCAGGUUUGCUGAAGCCAUUAGAAAUUCCAGAGUGGAAAUGGGAGCAUAUCACCAUGGAUUUUGUGGUGGGUCUACCUCGUUCCCCUCGUGGUAGGGAUGCUAUUUGGGUGGUAGUGGAUCGCUUGACUAAGUCUGCGCAUUUUAUUCCCAUGAAGACCACAAAUUCAGCUUCAGAUUUGGUUCCCUUGUAUAUGAAGGAAGUAGUCAGGCUUCACGGGGUACCUAAGUCUAUUGUUUCUGAUCGAGACUCCAAAUUUGUAUCCAAAUUCUGGGAGAGUCUCCAUAGUGCUUUGGGCACCAAGCUUUCGCUUAGUGUCGCUUUUCACCCUCAGAGGGAUGGUCAGUCAGAGCGAACAAUCCAAACCUUGGAAGACAUGUUGUGUGCUUGUGUUCUGUCAUGGAAGGGUAGCUGGGAGGAUCAUCUUGCUCUGGCAGAGUUUGCUUAUAACAACAGCUACCAGACUAGCAUCAAGAUGGCAACAUUUGAGGCUUUGUAUGGCAGGCGGUGUAUCUCUCCUCUGUGCUGGGAGACUUUGGGAGAGAGAUCCCUGGUUGGUCCUGAUUGGGUUCAGCAAACUUCUGAAAAGGUUCGGGAAAUUCGUCAGAAUAUUUUGGCAGCUCAGAGUCGUCAGAAGAGUUAUGCUGAUGUUAGGAGGCGAGAUCUGGAAUUUGCUGUGGGUGACCAAGUCCUUCUCAGGGUAUCACCCACUAAGGGAGUUGUUCGGUUCGGUGUCUCUGGGAAGCUCAGCCCGAGAUACAUUGGACCGUUCACUAUCUUGGCUCGAGUGGGCAGCCUGGCUUAUCGCUUGCUACUGCCGGAUUCCAUGGCAGGGGUACACCCGGUUUUUCAUGUCUCUAUGUUGAGGAAGUUCUUGCGGGAUCCGGACCAUCAGAUUGAGAUAGAACUAAUUGCGGUGCAGCAGGAUCUGACUCUGGAGUGUCGUCCGGUGCGUAUAUUGGAAUUCUCGGAGCGUGUGUUGAGGAAGAGAUCAAUUAAGUAUGUCAAGGUCUUAUGGACUAAUCAAUCUGAGCGCGAGGCUACGUGGGAACUUGAGGAGCUGAUGCGGCAGAAGUACCCGGAACUUUUCGUUGUGGGUAAGUGUUGUUGAUUCAUUAAUCUUUUCUUUUGUCAUUCCGAUAGAAGCGUCAGAAUUCGAGGUCGAAUUCUUUUUAAGAGGGGUAGAGUGUGAUACCCGGUUUGCAAAGAAGAGAAGUUGGGGGUUGUUCUUUUUGUUUUUUUCCCUCAUCCGGUUGUUGUUUUGGGGAUUUGGAAUUUUGUGAAAAACAUUCACAACUAGGGCAGUAGAAUUUAUUUGGUUUGACGCUUGCGUUGCGGUCGGGAGCUGUCGCGUGGGUUAGUUGGGCCGCAAUUGGUGUUUCGGCCCAUUAACCCUCCCAAACCCUAGCCGCCUCCCUCCUAACCCCCUCCCCCCUUGUGCAGCCGAGCCCCCCCCCCCCCCCCCCCCCUCUUCCCCCCCCCCCCCCCCCACUUCUCCCACACCUUGGCCGCCGCCCCCCUGCCCAUCUCCUCCUCUCUCAAUUCUUGCAGCCACACCACCAAACCCUAGCCCCCCCAAUCUCCUCCUCCCAAGGUGCCAAUCCUUGCCGCUCGGAUCAUCGUCGUGGUGCGAGUCUUCAAUCGUUUUGGUGGAGGGAAGAAGGGAGGAAGGAAAGGGAGAGAAUCCAAGGUGAUUUUUGUGUUCAUCCCUUGUUCAUUUGCGCUGCAAUUCAAUUGAUUAGAGGUUGCGUUUGCGAUUGGGUAGAGGGGGUUGUCCAGAAUUUUAGGUAGUGGAUGAACAGCAGUAGUUCUAGCAGUUUCUGUGUUUUUUUCGUAAGAAAUUAUUGGAAAUCAGUUUGGGGAUCAUGUAGAACUUUGUCUUACCUUUCCAACGAGUAUUUAUGCGCUCAAUUUGGAGUUAUAAAUUGAAAGUUAUUACCGUUUGAAUCCGGGUAUGUGGCUGUCCAAAAAAAAACAGAUUUUUCAGGGGGAUGAACAGCCGCAGUAUUAGCAGUUUCUGGGGAUUUUUCGGGAGUAAUAGGGUUAAUCAGUAUAAGAAUCAUGAAGGGCUCUUUCUUAUCUUUCCAACAAGUACUUAUGCGCUUGAUUCGGAAUUAUAUUUUAAAAGUUAUCGCUGUUUGAAUCCGAGUAUGUCGCUGCCCAAAACAGGAAAAACAGAUUGCAGGGUUUAUUUUGUGGACCGUUUAGGGGUAAUUAGAUGUUAGAAUUUAAUCAUAAAUUGUAUACAAAACUUGUGGGGAAUUUUAUGUAGUUGUCUCUGGAGUUUUUGUUUGACACCACUGCUGUCUUAAUUUUAAAGUUAUGGAAUUGUUAAGCAGCGCCGCUGCAGUUUGGUUGGUGUGGGGAGAAUUGUUACCCGCGGCGGGGUUUGAGAUUACGCGUAGGUGCGGCGUUGUUUUGAGUUUUUUUAUGUGAAUUUGGUGCACUAAGUUGGGUGUCAAAAACAGGUGGUGGACUCCUAGAUUGUUCUUAGGGAUUUGCCCAAACUUCCGGUGAAGGCAAGUAAAACUGUGAUGGUUAUUCCGUCUGUCAGAUGAGGAGUCUUAUACUUGAUUAUGUUGUGCUAUUGUGUUCAUAUUCAUAUUUUCUUUUGAGUACCAUCAUUUGAAAAUGUUCAUGUUUCAUGGAUUUCAUAUGUUGAGUUUGAGGUUUGAUUAUGUUACUCAAGUGGUUAUUAUGUGGAAUGGGUGGAAGUAAAUGUCUAGCACAUUUUUAUUUGGGAAGAACUCAUGAUGUUGUCAUGCAUAAUGCACUCAUCAUCCAUUGCAUUGAAGUUUCGUCGCGAUCUUAUGGUCCGACCGUACCGGUACAUUGAGCAUCAUAUGUUGCCCGAGAAGGGGUAUGGUGCAGCUUCAUAUCCUUAGAGAUAUGGAGGCAGAAGUCAUUAUUGCAUUGUAGCCAUGUGCAUUCAUGGGAGAGGUGUGGAAUUUAUUAUGUGGAUGUGGAUAAUUUGGACUUGUGCAUGGUGAUUCUACUUGGCGUUGAGUUUUUAGUUACUUGUUUACUUGCUGCAAUUUACUAUUCAAAAGAAAAGAAAGAAGUUCUGAACACGUGGUUGUGUAAGCACAGUUGAUUUACAAUGUCCUAUUUGUUGUUGUUAUGUUUACUUGCUGAGAUGUGUUAUCUCACAUCUUGCAUUGUUUGAUGCAGGCACCUAAUUUCUGCUAUGGGAAUAGAGGGAUGUAGCAGCACGGCCACUACACCUUUAAUAAAGGAACCACCAUUUAAUAAUGUUGUUAAUCAGAGUCGGUCAAGUCUAGUGAAUUGCUUUGUACUUGGUUGAGCGUUUAUUUUGGGGUGGGCUGAGUUUCUUAUCCCAUUUGUUUUACUUCAGUUGGGGCAUAAAUGAGCUUUACCACUUUGCAUCUAGUUUCUACUAUGUGAAUUAUAUGUCUUUAUAUCCUGUAUGAACUUCAUGUUUUUCCCUCCUUGUUAUGUUAGUUUCAAAGGAGGUGCUGCCGGAUUUUGCUAUGUUUUCUUUCUUUAUUACGCUUCUUGUGUGGUGUAAGUUAGGUGGGUGGGGUUUUUGGUGAUAUCCAUUGUGUGUGACCAGUGGGGUGUUACAAUGACAUGCCAAAGGUGCACUUGUUAGUAUUCAUCUUGAUACUAAAAUUCCUCAAGCUCUCGAAGGUUUCUACUAAUUCAAAGAUCAAAUAACUCUUAUCUUUGGUCUUGAUCACCACAUCAUCGAUGUAUGCUUCCAUGUUUCUAUGUAACUGGGAUGCUAGGCAUUUCUAGAUUCCCCUAUUAUAUGUAGCCCUCUUUUUCUUUAACCUGAAUGAGAUAGCAGAAUAAUAGUACACGCCGAAUGGGGUGAUGAACAAAGUUUUGAUUUGGUCUUAUUCCUUUAAUGAGAUUUGAUGAUACCCAGAAUAGAAAUCCAAAAAGGAGAGUAAAUCACAACCAGAGGUGGAGUCUAUAAUUUGAUCAAUCUAUGGUAAAUAAUGAGAGUAAAUAGCAUGUCCAUGAAGAUUGUGGAGUUGUAAUAAUUCUCACCUUUGGGGCCAGAGUCUCGAUGAGUGUAAAGGGGAGAUGUUGGUUCACGGAUGUACGAACCAUCAAAGAGGAUGAAUACUUCGAUCUAAAGCAUAAUGUGCAGGCAAACGAAUAUCAGGGCCAUUAGAUGGACACAUGACAGUGGAAACAGAGAUCUGUGGAUUAAAAAGAUGAAUAGAGUACCUUCUGCAAACAGAGAAUAAUCAGAACUGAUGCAAUCUGUGAUCUACGAGUGAGUAUGACGAUGAUCCCCUUCUUCAAAUGACAUAUAGGUCAUAGAGAUCAUACCAUCGUUAGCAUGAUGGGAUUUGUGUGGCUUGUGAAGGGGUGGAGGGCAAUAGGAAUGGAAGAACUUACUCGUACCAGUUUAGUGGUGUCUGUGCCCUCCUGGACUUCAACAAACAACAUUCUAGCAAUGAUGGCGACACCCGACAGCCUGUGACAUGAGGGAGAGAACCUAAGUAGUGAAUAUGGAGGAGAUGUGCUCGAGCGAUGGUGGAGAAGGAAGUUGGGCCACAAAGCUUACCUAUACGAAAAAAGUGAGUGAUGGCAAUGCAUUCUGGCCACAACUCGAUCUAGGGAUGAAUGUGGCCAUCGACAGAUGGGAUCUCGAGGCAAUGGAGGCACCACGGUAGCCACCGAGUGUGGCAGCGACACGGGAGGGGAACGAAAGGCGCUGAAACCCUAGCAGUGCAAAGAAAAUGAAGAUGUCGAAGGGGCCCAGGAGUGAAGUGCCUGACAAGCUGCCCCACUUCCCAAGGAUGCAACCUCUCGCCUGAUUCUCGUGGGUCAUUGAAAAUGGGAUUCAUGGAGAAGCGCUUCAAACCGAAUCUGUUCGAAAAGCUAUGCAUUUCAUAGGUAUACAUUCGGGUCGGCCAACUCAAGCUCGAAACACAUUUAAUUUCUGGCCGGUCUAGCCCAGGGGCUAAGGCCUCGACUCACGACAUGACACAUUAUUAGUUAAAUGUAGGGCUUAUUUCGGUCGGUCCAAAAUGAAAAAAGACUUAAAUACAUAUCAAAGCUUGAAAUACAUGCCAUACAUAUUAAAGGAACCACAUGUGCUCAGGAUGUCGUGUCGUGCUGCUUUAGUCAAUGCACGUGCCAUGCGAUGUUUAGUAGCAGUGCUGCAAAGUGAUGAAUGCAGUCGAAGAGCUUGCAUGUAAAUUUCUUUAACUAAUACUCCUACUUUAGUCAACAAUAGAUAUAAUGUAGUUGUGAUUUCUGAAUUUCAUCCUAAUAAUCUAGUCAGAACUCGACGACUCUGUCCGGGCUCUAUCUGGCUUGUUAAGAAACCUAACCCUAAGGUUUGGUGGGAUCGUACUGAAUAUAGUCCUGAGGGUAUCGUGUUUCUAUAUAUAGAACAUGUACCCCCUCAUAUGAAACAUAAGAGAAAGAGACCAGAGGUCCAACCCUAUACAAUGUGUCUCUUGCGUUCUUUCUUUCGUGCUUCUGGGAAGGUAAAUGGGAUCUACAACUUCUCCACGCCUAAUCUGUUAACGAGAGCGAAGGGAGCAGAUCUGACGAUCCGUGGUAACGUAGUCCUCAACACGUUAUCACCACGCUCUACCUCAACAUUGCUGCGAGAUUAGAUCUGCAUCAAACUCUCCAUCAAGUCGACAUGUCCCUCGGUCUCACCGAACUAUCCUAUGCGACAUGCUUCGAUUCCCCUCUACCAAUCGAAUGAUAUGUUUACUAUUUCUGAUCUGCUGGUGUGCACUCUGCGAUCCGCCGAUCCAUGUGCCACAAAUUUGUCGUCACCGUCGUGAUGCUAAGCCCGUGCCGGAAGCGCCCACUCCCACGACAUCUACUCUCACCGGAAGAUGAGAACGACCGCAAUGCGCAGCACACCAGUCCACGCCUGGACAUGAACACACAGCGCUCCGACAUCCAUGGCUUCACAAGCCCACGUGAAGCCUCGCUCCUAUGCAGUCGUGCGGGUACCGACCACUAGAACGCACGAAGAUAAUGCCCCCCAUGACACCUGUCGCUGAACUUGGUAUGGGGAGCAGCGUCGUCGAGUUCACCGGAUCUGAGCCACGCGGACAUGGCGGCGCGGCCACGCCACCUCGGCCCCACCUUCGCACUUCGCGGCAGCCACACACGUGUGAGACGCGGAGCCGACCGCUCGUUCCUCCGUGCGUGUCGAGUCAUAUGUGAAAAAGGGGAGACGUCGGGCAAAGCGCUAUGAGUGGUGCGACAUGCGCACCGAUCCCUUUUUUCUACGAGAUAAAGGAGAGUGCGGUUGAGAAAUUGUUAAGAAUAAAAAACCUGCUCCCAUGCAUAUAGAUGUUCAGAAAGGUCGUGGCCCGUUAGCCCCGCACGAAGUACGGUUUUUUAACAUGUCACGAGCCCGGCACAGCACGGAUAUAUGAGGGCCUGGGCCCAACCCGGCCUAGAAAGCGUGCCGGGCUCGACAGCUGUUUGAGCCCAUUUGGCCAGCCCGAGCAUGGCCUGGUAUUAGCCGGGCCUUGUUACCGGCCCGCUACACAAAUACACGGCCCAGUGCUAGAGGCCUAGCCCACAAAUACCUCGUGUAGUCGUGCCCUCGCCCGCCGUGGUCGUAUAACCCUAACCCUAACACCACUCCGCACACUCGCCCCACUCCUAUUCUCAUGCCUCUCCGCUCGUGGCUCGCCUCUUGCUCAGUCACUCUCGAUCUCUCCGCUGCGCUCUUGUGUCUCCUCUCGUCAUCUCUCGAACCCUCCGGAUUUUGGUGCUCCCUGCCUCCGUGCGACCGGCUGACCUUGCCUCCGGCGUCGUUGCCUCAUCGGUCUCAGUCAUUCCGACGUGCUAGUGCUCGGGUGGUCUGGUGCUCGUGCUCCCUGCUCCUCCAGUCCUCCCCCUCUGACCUCUGUACCUCGACCUCAAAGGCACCGGCGCUGGCGGUUUUAAAUUGGUGCUUGGUGCUCUAGAUCUUCUCCUGACUAUGAGGUGUGUGGAUCCGUGAGGAACCAGUGUGCGUCGGCUCCAUCCAUCUCCACGACGAGUCGGCGAUGAAACCAGUGCUCCGAAUCUACUGCUCACUGGUGCCAUCUCCUUGUCCAGCAUAGAGGUAACCAGAUCUGCUCUAGAUCUACUGCUCAAUGGUGUUCAUCUGCUCUCCUCUAUUAAGCUCCUGGUCUGGUUGUUGUGUGAUGAACUACUAUUUCUUGGAAUCUUGAUAUGCUUGCUGUGCUCCGGAUGUACUGGUAACACCAUCAACGAGCCGUGUUUGGCACAGAUCCAUAGAGGUAACCUGAUCUUGAUUUGCCUUGAUCUGUUGUUUAGGUUUGAAUCCUAUGAAGUGUUGUUUAGGGUUUGGGAUUUUUAUUCCUAUGAACAGAGGUCACUUUGUUGAUCUGUUGUUUAGGUGAUUUAUAUCUGUUGUUUAGGCCUUUAGGGUUUAGGUGUUGACUGUUGAUCUGUUGUUUAGGUGAUUUUGAUCUGUUCUGUUGACUGUUGUUUAGGUUGUUACAAAUAUAUACUGCGAAUUGUGAUCUGUGUAAGUGUGAAGGUGAAGCUGACAAGCUGUUGAUCUGUUCUGAUCUGUUCUAGUAAUCAUUUUUAGGUGUUGAUCUAUUGUUUAGGUCUCAUCUGUGUGAGGCAUAUAGUUUUGAUCUCAUAUACCUGUGGAUUGUGAUUUGUGUAAGUGUGAAGGUGAAGCUGACAAGCUGUUGUGAUCUAUGUAAACCAUAGAGUUGUGAGUAUCUGUUACAAAUCUGUGUUGACUAUUGUUUAGUUUUUACUAAAAAUUUGUUUAUAUCAACUGAAUAUUGGUGGUUUUCAUAUGUGUGGUAGGCUGUGAGGAACCGGUGCAUGCCACCUUGACGAGGACGGAACUGGUGCUCCGGCCUCUGAGCUGUGAUGGAGCAAGAUGUUGGUGGUGAGAAGAGUCCAUCUCAGUUCAUCAACAAUGAUCUGAGGAUUAUGCCCUCUGAUGAGAAUGGUCCAUCUCAAUCCAUUAACAAUGGUAGCAGUGCCGCCCCUAUUAACAUAGAGGAGGGUGCUACUACAAACAAUGGUUCCAGAGAUGCAAAUACUUCAGAAAAUGUUGAUGGUAAGAAGCAUAAAAGAAUUUGCACAUCUAAAGUGUGGCAGGAUUUUGAACCACUAUAUAAGACUGUAGGCGGCAAGAGGAUCAGGUAUGGUGGUAAGUGUCACUGGUGCAAAUGUACAUUGAGUGUUAUGUCUACUAGUGGUACUGGUCAUUUGCUUAGGCAUCAACUUGAUUGCAAAGUUAAGCUUGCUAAGCAGGGCAAGCAGUCAAUCCUUAAGUUUAACCCUGAUGGUUCUCUGCGUAACUAGGAUUACUGUCCUGAUCGUGCUAGAACUCAAAUGUGUAGGUUGAUUGCUAUACUUGAUCUUCCUCUUAUUUUUGCUGAGUCACCUGCUUUUGAAGAGUAUAUUAGACUAUCUCAUAAUCCUGUCUUUAAAAAAGUAUCUAGACAAACCACCUCUAGAGACUUUGUUAAGUUCUUUACUGAUCGGCGUACGGAAGUUGUUGAAUGCUUGCAAUCUGUUACUUCUAUUGCAAUUAUGUCUGAUAUUUGGAGUGGUAAUGCUAAGGAGGACUUAUCUUAGUGUGGUUGCUCAUUUUAUUUCUAAGGACUGGCUAUUAGAAAAGCGAGUAAUUGGGUUUAGACUAAUUGAAACAUCUCACACUGGUGAGAACAUUGCUGAGAGGGUUAUGAUCGUGCUUGAGGAUUAUGGAGUAGUUAAUAAAGUUUUUUCUAUCACUUUGGACAAUACCUCUUCCAAUUCUAAGGCAGUGGAGAAGCUUAGUGCAUUAUUCUCUGGUUAUGUUGGUACUUUAUUCUUGCAUCAACGUUGUGCUUGUCAUAUUAUAAACCUGAUUGUGAAGUGUGGCUUGCAAAGGCUAAACCCUUACCUUGAUUCAUUUAGAACUGCAAUAGUUUUCUUGAAUGCUUCUAAUCAACGCAUUGCUGCAUUUAACGGCUACUCUGUUGCUAUGAAUGUGCGCCCUCAUAAGUUUGGCAUUGACAUGGCUAUGAGAUGGAAUUCUACAUACCUUAUGCUUAAGCAUUUAGUUUCUUACAAGAAAACCUUUUGUGUCUUCAUGGACACUAACUAUCCUAGAAAACCAGGUGAGCCUAAUCUGUUGACAAAUUCACAUUGGUAUGUGGCUGAAAAGUUGCUUGAGUUUCUUGAACUUUUUAUGAUGCUAUUGUGACUCUUUCUGGGGUUUACUAUCCUACAUCUCCACUUAUAAUGCAUAACAUCCUUUACAUUGUCCAACAUUUAAAUCGGUAUGAGAAUGAUGCAUUGCUUAGACAUGUUGUUGCUCCAUGAAGUCUAAGAUUCUUAAGUACUAGAGGGAUAUUCCUAUGCUCUAUGCAUUUGCUUUUAUAUUAGAUCCUAGAGCCAAACUAAGCGGUUUCAGCAAUAUCUUGAGAUUAUUAUCUGGGUUAUCUAGUACUGACUACUCACUUUACUAUACUCGUGUGAAAAGUGAACUGUCUACAAUGUUUAAUAAAUAUGAUAUGAAGUUUGGUGCAGUUAGGCAGCAAGUGUCUCCUCCUCCAAUUGUCAUAGGUAAAAGAAAACAAAACUGGGGAUUGAUUUAUGCAUCUGAUUGUACCUCUGAGUUCCCAUAUCCUGGUUCUACCACACCUAACCUUGGUAGUGGAACAUCAGCAUAUGCUUUGCUUCAACAAGCACGCUCUAGUGAUGGCCUUAGUUCACUUGACACAGAGCUGUCCUCCUACCUAGAUAGUGGCACUCUAUAGAAGUUUGAUGAUGACUUAAAUAUCCUAAACUGGUGGCAUGAACAUAAGUUGUCCUAUCCUAUUCUCUCCAUCUUAGCUAGGGAUGUUAUUUCUGUUCCUGUUUCAACUAUAUCCUCAGAAUCUGCAUUUAGUCUCUAUGGUAGGAUAAUCGAGGAACGACGAAGGUGUCUAGCACCAGAAAUGGUAGAGAUGCUUCUUUGCAUGAAAGACUGGGAACUUGGUGAAGCUAGAGGGCAGCAUUGUACACAGGACCAAGAACUUGAAGAUGCAUUUGAAGGACUUUAUCUUGAUGACCCUUAGGACUUUUAUCUUCCUAGUUCCUACUCCAUUUCGUUGAUCUGGAAAUCUGUUGAUGUAAGUUGUAAUAUGUAAAUGAACAAUCUUGACAUGAACUAUUAAAUUAGAGUUGGGUUGUACUCUUUUUUCCUUUCUAUGGUUUUCUCACGAGGAGUGAGUUUUUACCUAGAAAGGUUUUUAAUGAGGCAGCCAUUGCACGAACAGCUCUAAUCCUUUAUUUAGGAUCUACUCUUUAUCUCAACUGUGUGAAUAUGCAAGUGUGAAUCUGUGUAUAUUCUGACCUUUAUAUUUCUGAUUUGUAUAUAUAUAAUAUAAAUUGUGUGAAUGUGCAAGUGAAAGGAUAAUGUGUAAACCGGUAAUUGUCGUGCUCGGGCUGGCACGAGCUCCUUCAUGGGCCAUGCUUUCCGGGCCAGACCGACACGGUUGGGCCGGAUCAGUGUCGUGCUCGGCUGGUAGAAUCAGCCCGUUGGGUGUCACGACCCGGCAUGGUUAUCUGUUCGGGCUUAUUCGUGCCGGGCUCAAACGGGUCGGGCUGGGUCGGACCAUGCCGCCCGUUUGGACAUCUAUACUCAUGCACACCUAUAACGGGUUAAAGCAGCUCCUUGCAUGUUGUGUGGAGGUCCGAGUCCCAUCCUUGCAAGUGUAUGUAGUGGGCACUGCUCCUUAGGAGCCGACUAAGAAAAAAUGCUCAUUGUUGUGUCGUUAAUUCCUGUUGAAUUUGAUCAACUUUCGCACAAUUUUAAUUUGUAUGUAUGGUAUUUAUUCUUUUUAUUUCCUAUUUCAAAUAAAAAAUAAAACUAAGCAUGUUUUCUACCACAAUUUCUAUCUUAAUUAAUUAUUUCCUAUCGUAAAUAAUUAGUAGAAAAUGCAUACUUGGACAUGGGGAUUUUAUCUUAUCUGUUUAUUAUCAUGCAUUAAUUCUAGUAUUAUUUUUGCUUUAUUUCCCAUAGUAAAUAAUUAGCAAAAAUUAUUAAAAAAUGCAAGUGGAAGCUACAAUGCACAUAUUCAAACCGUUCUAAAUAUUUGUAUUGCAUUGAGCUUCCAGACUCACGUCGAGCGAUUAAAUUGUAUAGCGGGUACUCGGACACGCCGAUCAGGCUGCAUUAUUAAUCGGUUGAGUUAUGGCAUAAUUGAGCAUUGGUUAUGCCCUAGCAACACGACACAAUAUUUGUGUCGUACGAACUUGUUUGCGUCAUGUGAUUGUUAUGUCGCACUCUCGCUUAAUCGGACCGCCCCUGUCGGGUCAGACCACCAUCGCCAAGUCGUGUAUUUUUUGCAUGCCAUGUAGGCACUGUUUGCCUGUCGUGAUCAUCGAACCGGAAUUGCGCUUGUUCCGCAUGUUGCGUGGACUUACCUUGUAACUAGACUAUCGAGCCACAACUGCGCCUAUUGUGCUUGUUACGAAGACUUGUUGUAUUGUCGUAGCCCUGAUGACCGCACACACUUUGAUACCAGAUACGCUGAAGCUUGUACUCGCGUACACAAAGGUGAGUUAUUCGUACCCUUCAAGUCACAUCAUAGUACAACCUUCGCAAAUAAUUUUGUUUGGCUCUACAUUUUGUUUGAUUUAUGUUGUGUGGCAUCAAAUAUAUAUAUAUAUAUAUAUAAAACCAAUUGCUCAUAACAACUUUCACAAGCUUUAUAGUUCUUUGUAGAUCUGGAAAAUUAAUGAAAUACUUAUUAAACACAUAUAAGAUAAUUCUCUGCUCUUUCCUCAUGCAUAAAGUCUUACCCGAAGUAAUAUGGAGAAAUUCAAUACAAUGCAUGAAAGCCUUUUGCAUAAAAGGCAUCACAAAUUGGGAUUCAUUUAGUAAGCAAAAAGACCUUACAUGGUGUAUUUGAUAAUAAUAACAGUAAAUUUGCAUAAAAGGCUCCAAACGACAAAUAGUGUGCAAGAGCCCCUGAAGUAUUUUUAUAGCUAACACGGUGUAUUUGAUAAUAAUAACAGUAAAUUUGUAGAAUUGUAACCACAAAGUAACCUGUCGUUGUGUGUCUCGCUGAAAGUUGAGAGUAACACUUCACGUUGAAAGAAAAAGAUGUAGUUUUCAUGCCACUGCAUUAAUUUAAGUCCAAAGAUCACUACAUAAACCCCUAUCUGUAGUGUGCGUAAAAUUUUCCAAAUAAAUCACCAUAAAUAACAUAGAUUGGCCACAACUAGAUAAUUAUGGUUGGGAUUUUAUCUGUAUUCUUUUAGAACAUCUCGACAUUAGGGGGAGGAAUGUCCAUCUAGUGUAAUGCCUCAAUAUUCUAUUAAACACACAAAAGCCAAACUGAACCUGUCGUUCGGUGUGAACUCCUAUGUAUUUGGAGUUUGCUAGAAAUCGUUGAGGAGUAACCAUAUUAGUUUGAAUGCUUCUACCUGAUGUAGAUGUGGAUAUACCUGGGAUUAAUAUCAUAUCCACAUUUGACUUAUUGGCAUUUGAUCUAUUCUCGGGGACGCGUGCGAAUAUGAUCCACCGACCUUAGUCAAAGCAUAUGUUCUGAUAACAGAUUCAUGUGGUCUCGAUAACUCUCCUCCGGUUAAUUCACCUUGAUGGUGAUUUGCCUCACAAAGAGGUUCAUCUUGAUGAUGAAGUUCCUAGCAAUGCAUGCAAUAUCAUUGUGAUGGGAAUAUGGGACAAUGAAUCUUUCGUUUUUGGGAAAUGAUGAAGAUCAUUAUUAAAUGUGGGAUACAAAUUUGUCGACACCUAUAUUGCGUCUCUAAGUUGCAUAUGGAUCCAAUACAAAUUCCUAGGAACCAGUGCAUGAAGCUCUCUUAUCGGGUCAUCGAUAAAUGCAAUCACGGUUGAACCAAGAAUCACAAAGUGAAAGUCGCGAGCUUGAAGUUCGGACAUUUAUGGGCACUCUUGAAAUAAUGUGUGGUGAAUGUGAGGUCCAAGUGAUCUUGUGAGAGACUCACCCCACAUAUGUGUAGAAUAAACAUUGUUCCGCUAUAUGAUAUAAUUUGGCAAUGGUAUGAAUUAAAAUAUGCAGUUAAAGGAUUCAAAAGAUCCAUCAUGAGAUCCUAGGAGGACUCAUAUUCUUGAAUUAUAAAUAUGCAGCAUAUAAAUCUCAUAACGAAUAAUACAUUCCUGAUGAAUGAUCAUUCUCCCAUGUAGAGAGAAUAUCUCCUAGUUGAGAUUAUACUUCCCUGAUGGAACCCUUCCAGAAGAAAUAAAGUCUGUGUUGAACAUCAAAGUUUGAUAAUCCCUAUCAAGGGACAAAGACCCAUACAAACCCGAGAGGAAUAAGAUGAGGUAACAAAGGACUUGAAGUUCACCGAAGAAGCACAUGUACAUUCCAUGAGUUUUACUCAUGAUAUAUUCUACUAGAUGGAGAACUAUGAUAUCCUCUAAAGCCCUGCUGGCAGAACCCUAAAUGGUUUAGGUGUUACUGGCAAAAUAUCCCCAUUGUGCCAGAAUGAUAUACUAUAACUAUGUAUUUGAUUGAUGAGAAUCCCUAAUGGAUUACGAUCUUUGAUAGUCUUUUGUUACAUCAUCAUAGAAGUUGAACAGUCAUAUUUAGAAUAUGUACUAUUGCAACUAUAUUAUCCCCUAAGUCCUUUGGAAGGACAAAUUAUUUGUUUUACACAACCAUGUAUAUAUUGUGGUCUAUGAUAGAAUGAAAAGUGUAUCACCCCAACCUCAUCCAUCCUCAUUAUUUCAGAUGAACAAUGAGACGCAUACCUUGAAGAAUAUGUUUGAAUUAUGAGGGAUAAUGACUUUGACAUAUGUCAUCAUGAGGGGGAGUGAAUGCUUAUUUUGAUCACAAUUGUGAUACACUAAAUGUCAUAUUGUAUACCCUCAAGGCAUCAACUUGAUGAUCAAUAUGUAAACCUUUAUGAAAGUUUCUAUCAUAUAGAUCUAGUCAAUCGAACACCACCAAUCAAAGUGGCUUAUUUAUGUUGAUAUGUGCACUUACCUCGUGUAUCCUAGAAGUGAGUUAAGGUGAAGUUCUGAGAUAAUCCUUGCGACAAUAUGCAAUCAGUUUGCUAAAUCUCUACAUGCAUAUACUUCUAGAAGGAGGUGUUUUGCCAUACUGAGAUAGUUUUGCAAGGAUCAGGGGAUCACAUUUCUAAAGUUAGCCUUUAUAGAAGAUUUGAUGGAAUCUAGAUCUAGAAGAUCAAAAUCUAUCCUGAUGACAAUUGUUGUACUCUUUUUCCCUUGGUGAGUUUUCCUAAAGUUUCUCACAUGAGUUUUUUUAACGAGGCAACAAAGUGAAAAUGCAAUUUGCGUCACCAUGCACUCUUUCUCCAUAUUUUCCCACUAGAUUUUUAGGAGUUUUAACGAGGCAACAAAGUGUAUAACAAAUAUAUAUAGAGACACGAUACCCAUCAGGGGUAUAUUCGAUAUGAGCCCACCAAACCUUAGGGUUAGGUUUCUUAACAUGGCUAAACUGUAGACACGUCAGCUAAACUUGAUUGUUUGAGCAGCAGGCUUCGCCUCUUCGGGCUUCUGCUGGGGGGGCUGGUCACCGCUGGUUGGGCUUGAGCCAGGUGGACGAUGGCCUCUGGCCCAUGGACCGAAAGGCGUGAAGCCGUGAAAAGACAGUAGAGAAUGGACCUUUUCGUCCCUAUUAGUGGGUUUUUUGUGUUUGCAUAAAUGGUUCAGGCUCGUGCUCGCCCAUGGGUCAUGGCCACGACCCAAGCAUGGUCUGAUGCAUUGGGUUGGGCCGGGCUAGCCCGAAAUAAUUUCGUGUCGUGGAUGUCAUGCUUUGUUCUGUCUUGUGUCAACCCGCCAGACCCGACCCAAAUGUACAACUCUAAUGCAUCUAGGGAGCAAAAGCAGCUUCUGGCCACCAGAAGCUCUCCGUAAGCUAACGGAGUGUUUGACACAGCUCAACUUCAUAUAAACCAGCUCAGCUUCAUAAUAAACUUCACAGUUGAGCAUCCCUAUUUCAAAUUAACGGAGUUUCUAAAUAUGUUUGGCUUGGAGAUCAACUUUAGCUUUAAUAAAAUGAGAUUUUGUUUACAAAAGUCUCUUGUACCCUUGAAUAUGUAUGGGAUUGUUUUUGUUGUUGUUGUCAAUUAAUACUCCCUCUGUUCUUUGUUAGUUGUCAUUAUUUAGUUUAAAAAUGAACCAACGGACGAUAAAUAUUCGAAAACAGAGGUAGUAUUAGAGGUCUUGUCACCACCUGGCCAAUCAAAUGCACCAAGCAUGAAAAUGGUUAUCGUUCGUCUCCUCAAUGUAUAGUAACCAUAAUGACCAAGUUGGAAAAAAAGUUCACUAAACAACUGACCAGUUCAUAUGGCAUGCAAGAAAAGUUGAAUAACUGCUGUGACUUACAGACCAUUGGACGCGUGGGUGUGGAGGUCGACGCCCUCAUGCUAGCGUCUACCGGGUUCCCACGCCCGGUUGUGUCGAGGCAGCUAGGUGGCAUGCAUAAGCUCUGGCUGCCCGCACCAGGGUUCACAAUUUCAUUUGCAUAGAUACGAAUUUCGUUUUGUUGACUAAAAAUUGAAUUUUGUAUUUUUAUAUUUUAAAUCGAAAUCUACUUAAAUUUGGAACGAAAUUCGAUUUUCGGUGAGUAACGAAAACGGAAUAAUUCAUCGAAACCCGCCGAUUUCGAUUUGAGAAAGUGAACGCUGGACCGCACGCAUAGGUCCCUGCGGCCGCGCGCAAUGAUGUUGGCAAGCUCAAGCAGCUCCGCACUGAGGUUUGCUGGCGCACAUCACAUGUUUAGGAGGGCUUCAUUCCAAGAAUUGCAGCAUCGAUUUUGUAGCUUCGCCAUGAAACGACUUCAACAGAUUAGUAAUACAUGAUUCAAGAGUGCUUGGUUUGCACAUAGACUCUAGCUUCUGUAAUAUAAUUAAUUUGUGCGAGUUUUCUUAAUUACCUUUGAUGAUUAACGGGUGGAGAAAGAGACAUGAAUUGAUAGGUCAUGUAACCAAUGUCAUGGUUGGUAAUUUUUGUGCAACUUCAUGAGGAGGUAUAAAAACAAUGUUUUUGAAGCACCAUUCGAGGAGCUUCAAAAAUUUCAUGAAACUGGUCUCUAGUUUUAGUUUUUUGGAACUAGAGCUCAUGGAGCUGAAAUCAUUUGGAUAGAAGAAGCUGAAAUAGACUUGAAAUUUUUGAAAUGAAGCUCUUCCAAAUAGAUCCUUAGUGAAGUUAGGCCGUGUUUGGUUUCACUCGUAUUAUGGAAUCUGUAGCUUUCACGUUACCCGAGAAUAUCCGAGAAAGACUUGGAUUCUAAGAUUUUAUCUCUGUGUGUGCACAGAAUCCAAAGUAUAAAAAUGAGAUGUGUUUGGAUCCACAAUGUAUUUUUAAAAUCAGAUUUUCAGAAUUUGUGUUGAACCAAACACGGCCUUAGACCCUUGAACACCAGCUUACCAAUCUGUUGAAAUUGUUUCGUGAUGAAACUAGAAAACUAAAGCUAUAAUUUUUGAAAUAGAGCCCUUCCAAACAAGGCCUUAUAGAGCUAAGCUAGAUUUUAUAACGUGAAUUAGUACCAAACAUCUCCUAAAACAAACAGAUUUAAGUCCCAAACAUCCAAAUUUAUCGGUUCGAGGCCUUUCCACAUUUUUGAAUUGGGCUGGGCAUGAGACAACGAUGCGGCCCAGGCGACCACCUCACCUCCCCUCCCCUAUAUACACACUCGAUACCUAGGGUUUCCUUCUCUCACUUCUGUACCCAACCAGAAGAGCGGCGGCGCGGGCGGACAAGGAGCAGGCGGAGGAGGAGUUGUGCCAAGCCACAAUGGGUAAGAUUCCAUCCACCCGCUUCUCGUUUUGCCUGUACUGACAUAGCUGCCCCGGUGGUUCUCCGAUUUGAGCGACGCUGCCGCAGUCGUUUCCGGUUUGAUCGACGCUGCCGCGAUGGUUCUUCGGUUUGGGCGAUGAGAUGCUAAUGGGUGCCUCUGCGGAUGGUUUGGAUGUAUCCGUGCAGGUAUCUCGCGUGACUCGAUGCACAAGCGCCGAGCCACCGGUGGAAAGCAGAAGGCCUGGAGGAAGAAGCGAAAGUAAUGACCGUUUCUCUUCCCUAUGUUAUUGACGGCUGGAUUCACCUAGCUCUGCUUUUGUUCUGUAGUACGCUGCUGCUUGAUUAGAUCACCGGUCCUAACUUGUUAACUUUGCAUGCCGAUUCCCUGUGGAUCUUGUAGUGGUUGCAGCGGUAAUGCGGUAUUAAUUGGUCUGAGUUGUAUCAAGGAUUCAAAUAAUGUUUUUCUCUCUUGACAUUAUUAGUUGAACUCCGGUGAUUUAUGCUUGUCGCCCUUAAUUGUGAGGUUACUGAGUAUUGCCUAAUAAAAAAUUAUAUGUGACUGUUAAAAUUGUAUAUCAUGAUGCUUCCAAUGAAAUGCCUGAGCCUUGACAGUUCAUAAGCAAUCGUAUCUGUCAAUUCUAUGUAUUUUUCAAUUUUCUUGAAGGCAAUUAGCCAAUUUCACUUGGUGAAGUUGGUGUUUCUCAGAAUAGUCUUUUUUUUAAUCACAACUAGUCCAUUCUACGUGUUUGAGGCAGCACUAAAAUUGUAGAUCAUUUGUGUGCAAGUUUCAUCAAACUGAAUUGGUGUCAUCAGCUUGCUUAAAAGAGUUGUUUGUCGAUGAGGCUUUGUUGUGUCGCAGUACUAUGCUAGGACUUACGUUCAGAGGUUUAUUCUGCUUGUCAUUUCUCUUGAAGGUAUGAGCUUGGUCGCCAGCCAGCCAACACCAAGUUGUCAAGCAAUAAGACAGUGAGGAGGGUCCGUGUUCGUGGAGGUAAUGUGAAAUGGAGGGCUCUUCGCCUUGAUACUGGUAACUACUCAUGGGGAAGUGAAGCUGUUACCCGCAAGACCCGUAUCCUCGACGUGGUCUACAAUGCAUCAAACAAUGAGCUUGUGAGGACACAAACCCUUGUGAAGAGUGCCAUUGUGCAAGUUGAUGCUGCCCCAUUCAAGCAGUGGUACCUCACUCACUAUGGAGUUGACAUUGGUAGGAAGAAGAAAACCCCUGCUGCAAAGAAGGAUAAUGCUGAGGUAUUCUUUCUUGGAACACAGCUUCUCACUAUUUACCACUGAAUGUUUUAGUAAGGUAUUGGCUUCGUAGUUCAUACAUCAUUUUUUGUAGCUGACAAAUAUAAGCUCGUUAGAUAACUCUUCUUUUUAACCACGUGAAUAGCUUGUUUCUGCAUUAGCCUAUUUUAGAUUUCUGUAUGAAAAAAUGUAGAAGUUGAUAAUUUUUAUCAAUAUAUUUUGUUUACUUGAAGUAUUUCCAGAAAGCAGAUGUCAAUAGUUCAUUACUUUUCAUUUUCUUUACUCUAGUAGCUCAUAUGUUUCCUCUGGUGAUUCAUUUAUUGUUUGAUAUAAUAUCCAUCCAGGGACAAGAGGUUGAGGCAGCAGCUGAGGAAACGAAAAAGAGCAACCAUGUCACGAGGAAGCUUGAGAAGCGCAAGGAGGGACGUACCCUUGACCCACACAUUGAGGAGCAAUUUGGCAGUGGACGGUUGCUGGCAUGCAUUUCUUCCCGCCCUGGACAGUGUGGCCGAGCUGAUGGGUACGAAAUAAUGGACCUCCACCAGACUUUCUUAGUAUUUUUAGAGCAGCAUAUCUGUGUGUGUACUACAAACUUUUGUUGCUUAAAUCAUAAUGGUCGUUUUGUUUUAGAUAUCUUGUCAUGUUAUCCUUCUUGGCUUCAAGUUAUCUCCUUGUUUCACCACCUAUAACGUUACCUGCAGCUCCUUAGUAGCCUUUUCUUUUUAUAUAACAGGUACAUCCUUGAGGGUAAAGAGCUUGAGUUCUACAUGAAGAAGCUACAGAGGAAGAAGGGCAAGAGCGCUGUAGCUUAGAGCAUUCUCAUGGAUUGUCUUGCACCGAAAUGUGUGUCCUGAUGAGUACACUUUUUUUGGUUAGUCGUCUCAAGUUCAGAGCGUUAUGCCAUGUUUUCAGUCCUGAUUAGUACACUGUUUUCUAAAAGCGAUUGAGCUCUAGUCCAAUGUAUUGAUAAUUUCUGCUGUUGUCCUAUUGCGGUGAUGUUUAUUUGCCCUGUUCGCUAGCUGCAAUAGUUCCUAUUUGAGCACUGAGCAGGGUAUGAUUAUUUGUUGAUGAAUUUGUUUAAAGCAUAAACACAGAAGCGGGUAUGAUUAUUUGUUGAUGAAUUUGUUUGAAGCAUAAACACAGAACAUAUAGUAAAGAAAACCUUUUUCACUAAGGGCCCGUUUGUUUCCUUGGAAAUGAAACUCAUUCCAUGAAUAACAUUCUAGAUAUUAGAUUCCUAAAGAAAGUAAUUCCUUAGAAUUUGAUUCAAUUCAAUUUUUUUGUUUGGGUGCUAAUGGAAUUCUUUUCCAUGAAUCAAAUUCAAUAUCUUGUUUGGAUAGUUAUAUAUGAAAUUUACAUAUUUGGAGGGAAGUAACCACAUCAACUUGCACACGACAAAAUACACAAGUUUUCACCGUACAAUUUAUCAAGCAGCAUGCAUCACGAGAAUAGUAAUAAUGAUGCAGAUUUGUCUCAAAUGUCCACAUAUCAUUGGAACACAUUACUUGCUACUCAAUGUGAUGUUCAAUUCACCCAACAUAAACUAAGACAGCAACAUCAACACACCCAACAAAGUUCAAUUCACCCAACCACAACUCGGUUCACUUUUUAAGUUGCUUCAACAGCCAUCUCUUCCUCAGAAUCAAUGGAAGUGCCAAUAAGGACUCGUGCUUGCGCGCAUCACCUGUUAAGAUAUCAAACAAGUCUAAAAAUGUGUCUUCAUCUAACCCAUCUAUCUCCUCCAAUGUGCUAAAAAUUUCUUUUGAUGUCGGGCCUUUUGGUGCUUCAUCCCUAAUAGCUUCAGUGAACUUGUCUAAUUUCUCUGCCAUCAUUGAGGUGAAGGAAUCACUGGACCGUUGCCUCUUCAAGCUUCCUGAGGUUGUUGAUGAAGUAAGCUCUUUACCGGUUCCCUCUUCCUUACUCAUACCUCUCGCACCAUCAGUUGGGGUCUUUGCCGCUUCACCGGUUGCAUGAUCUUUCCCAAACACCAAGUUGAUCGAGUCCCAAUAUAAGACUGUCUUGUGUCUGUACCCAUUAGCUUCUUUAUUUUUCUGCAGAAAACAAUUUGAGGUAUCAGAUCGACAAACUUAUUAAAGGUUCAGAAAACAAAAAAGAGAAAACAUGCUGUUCUCAGAGAGCCACUGAAAACACACCUUCCAAAAAGACCAAAACACAUCAUUGGGGUAGAAAACAGAAAACACACAUCUACUUAAUUGACAAAGAUUCAGGAUAACAUUGAAAGUUGAUUUAUUUUUCGAGGACAUAAAAGUAUAUAUGCUGCUAAGGUGGCUAGCCAUAAAUUGGUCCAUUCAAUUUGGAGCUGCUACCAGCUGCUACUAAACAAGAGAAGUAUAGAAUUUGGAGAAGUAUAGAAUUUAUGGAUACCAGCAGCUAGCAAUAAACGCACGACCACUUUUCAAAAGAGCAAGUAGAGCUGCAGCCUAACAUAACAUGCAGCAAGUACAGUCCAGCACAUUCUCUGUAGUCUCCAGUCUCUCAUGGUUCCCUAUCACCAUUACAUAACAUAACAAGAAGCACUUGAUGGCCUAACUUACAACACAUAACUUCAGUAGUAGUGGGAACUAUCUGCACUAAACAACAUGAAGUUUUAUUCUUUUAUUCCAGCCAAUAGAAAUCAAACAUGAAGUUUUUUUUCUGGAAAAUGACUAUGCUAAUCGAGAAUUUCUGUAGUCUCUUUAGUCUAUUAAGUUGUAACAAUAAAAAAAUAAAAAAAACUGAAACUUACCGCCACAUAAGCCUCCCAUACAGAAUCACUAUCGACGGAUAUCUUGUUCUUGUUCCAAUCCCAACCAAAGCCACUUGUUUGUAGCAUACCAUUGAUGAUAGUGUGGUGCUUGUCAAAUGUCUUGUUCCUUGACAUGAUGUUGUCUUUUGUGAUUUCCACAUUGCACUUUUCUCGGACAUUCUUGAUAGCAGCCGUGUAGACAUGAGACUUCCACCCAUUUUGGCAUCUGUCACCCUGUUGUAGUACUCCACGAAUGUGUCAAGAAGUGCCUUGUCCAUAUCAUCAUUCCAAGAAAUGUAGCCCCUGCCCGAGCCUGACUUCUUACCCUUCUCCAUAUCCUACAAGCAAAAAAUUACAAAGGUUAGUAGAGUUAUUGAGGAGCAACACAAUAUUUGCAAAAAAGAAAUAUUUAAAAAAUUAUCAUACAUUGUCCAUGUCCCGCUUGGUAAUCAUCAAACAUUUGGUUAGCUUUGGUGUCCCUAAAGUUAGUCCAUUGAUUUGAUGAUUGCACAUUGGUAAUCAUACUCACUUCACUUUGAACAUCAUGAGAUUCAACAGAUAUUACUUGAUCAACUUGGCCUAAAAGUAAAUCAUCCAUAUCUCUUUGCCUAUCCCUUGCAAAGUUGUGCAAUAUGCAACAAGCAUUGAUGAUCCUAAUCUGAUUUUGUAAGUCAAAAUAUGAGUUUUUCCUUAAUAUAGCCCACCUCAUCUUCAAUAGCCCAAAUGUUCUCUCUAUCACAUUUCUAGCUGUUGAAUGGCGCAAAUUGAACAAUUCCUUGGCAUUGGAUGGGUUAUUCCCUUGGGCAGCCCACUCAUUCAAGUGGUAGCGAGUGGAUCGAUAUGGAGCAAGAAAGCCUGGUCCAUUGGUGUAUCCAGCAUCUACUAGGUAAUAUUUUCCACUUGGAAUAGCAAAUGCAUCGUCCCGAGACAUGGCAUCACGUAGCACACGUGAAUCUGAAGCUGACCCUUCCCAUCCAGCUAGAACAUAAACAAACUUCAUGUGUCGAUCACAAACACCCAAAACAUUGGUGGUGAUUUGUUGCUUCCUAUUCCUAUACCUCCCUUGAUCAGCCAAAGGUACAAAAACAUCAACGUGUGUACCAUCUAGUGCUCCAAGGCAAUCUUCAAACCACCUCCACUUAGAAUCUUCAGGUUGUAAAGCUAAAGGGUUAGGAAGCUUGAUAAAUUCAUGACAUAAUGAUAGAACACCUCUCAACACAUCAUUGAAAUAGCGACUAAUUGGUUCAAGUGACCACCCGUAUGAGCUACGAAUCAUCCUCAUCUUAGUGCCAUGACCCACUACAAGCAAAAAGAUAGCAACCUUUUCUUCUACUGACACAUUCAAGGUGUCACACAUACCGCACCUCUCACGUAAGAUGGUGCAUAGGUCCGAAAAGGAUCUCUUAGUUAGACGCAAACUGUCAUAGCAAUAAACAUUUGAUCCUUGAUACAGAUUCCUCAGCAUUUGUUUUCGACCAGCUACAUCUCUCUCUAUCAUCUCAGAGGGAUCCAUAAGAUGUCUAGGUCUUUUCCGAUAAUAAUAGUCCGCAAUCAUGCCCAUGACAGUUGCAACAAAUAAUGAUGCUACUCUCUGCCUCUUCUUCCUACGCCUCUCUCUAAUUUCCCCCAAAUUUGUUCUAACCAAUUCUAAGUUGUUGUGAGGCAUCUACAGCAGAUAAACCAUACAUCAUAAACACACUUGAGAAAACAUAUGGAUACAAUUUAUAAGAUUGAAUGCAUAGCUGUUUGAAAAAAAGAAAAUCUAAAACAACAAAAGGAACUAAAAAAAGUAAAGACAGGAAAACGAUGAAGCAAGUGAACACAUGCCUCGGAUCACUGCCUAGAAGAGGCCAGGCAUGUCCACUAUGGGCAGGUGCGGAAGACAGAGACAAGCUCCCCUACUGGGAAUGGGAUGGUCUCUCUCUUCCCCCCAAACAUCUCCCUUCAAACCAGCGAAGGGACACCAACCAAGCACCACUGCCUGCCCACAAAACCAGUAAUCUGCAGGAUCUAAGCAAAGACUUGAUUCAGUUAUGGACGGAUUGGUAGGCCUCUUGAAAGUUGGCUUCACCAGCUGGGAUCACCACACAGCCAACGGAAGAACGACGGUUCACGAGCAGGCAUGGGCUUCAGGAACGUCCGGUGCUGGACGAGGCAGAAACUGAAGACAAGAAACGGAAUAACAACGGUUCACGAGCAGGCAUAGGCUCUCCCUCAGCACGUGCCUAAUAGGAAGCAUCCUCCGAACAUGAGCAGAUCCCAGCCAACCACUCAAGCUGGUGAGUGAGCAGCAAGCAGAACGAUCCUGUUUGUGAUUCAUUCUAGACUGUUUGCAUCUGGUCCAUCAUCAGGUCCGAGCGGCCGCGGGAAGGGAGUCUGAGGAACGGCGCCAUCAUCAGGUCCGAGCGGCCGAGCGCCAGGAGCUGCCUCGCCGACGAGAGCCACAUCCGCCUGGUUCCCAUCUGGUCGAGUUUUGGUUCCCAUCGGAACCAGAGCGAUGAGCAUGAACCAGAUGCGGUUGCCAUCGACACCGCGCCCGCCUGUCGCGUUUCGGACGCUGGAGGAUCGAUGGGAGCGCCCCUCUGGCUGCGGCUCCCUCCCGGGGCGCCCUCCUCCUGGAGCUCGCCGUGGGCGACUGCACGCCGCCGCCGCCCCGCCUAGACCUAAACCUAGCUAGCCUACACACUCCCUACAACGGAUCAAAGAGACACACUCCCUACAACGGAUCGAAAAGCACGAUCUAGUUGAGAAGAUUUACCUAGGAAGGGUCGAUGGGAGUGAUUGCGCAGAUCGCCGGUGUCGUAUGUCGGACGUCAGGACCGGCGGAGAUGUGUCGGGAGGGUGAGAGGAGAUGUGUGGGGAGGGUGAGAGAAGCCCAAUUCCAUGUUUAGAGGCUGGAAUCACUAGUGGACUUCAUAUGCAGGCUAGGAAAGUGAGUGGAAAGUUGAUUUCCAAUUCCAGAUACAGCCAAACAAGAUUGGUAGGAAUCAAAUUCUAAUUCAGCCCAAUUCCGACUAAACAAACAGGCCCUAAUAUUAGUGUUGGGGGCCUCCUUCUGAAGUCCUCAAAAACAUGAUUAACAUGCUUAAAACAUGAUUAACAUGCUUUCCAAGUAUAAUAUACUGUUAGAGGGACUUUUGGCUUUGAGAAGGUGUGUAUAACAUGAAGGGCACGAUCUGGAAAAAGGAUGAAUCAAUUCCGAAGCUACGAAUGAAGAAGCUUUGGCUUAUCACAAGGGCGGUGAUAGAUAAAGGAACCGACCUAAAGGGGAAUAUAGUACCAAGUCCUUGACUGAUUACUCAGUAUUAAGUAUCAAGGACAUAGAUGUAAUUUUACCCAGGCUGUGUCCUGUGCCUAUAAAUAAAUGAACAAUAACACCAUACUGUUCACACUAACUUGUAUUCACUCGCACGUCACUCUUGGGUUCAUACCUUCUGUCAAGCCGAAGGUACAAAUAUAAUUUACUGUUAUUAAUGUUUGUACAUGAUUAGAUAAUAAGAAUAUAAAUAAUCCGACGAUUUAAUGUGAUUGUUUAUGUUAUUUUUUGUGUUUCAUAUGUUUAUACUUUCAUUAUUACGUACUGAGAUGAUGAAGGUAUGUCUUUAAUAACCUUCGUCUAAAGAUCAUUAUAUUUUAAAUGAGAUAAUGCUUCGAAAGACGAACGUCUUUAACCAUUAAUAUUUUGUGUUGCCUUGUUCUUAACUCAUAGCAUUUGAAAACAAGUCCUCAACAUUGGCGUCCACAUCUGGUGAACUCAUUUGACCACCUUCGAAAAGCUGUGACCUUUGUCAUGCCACCUACGCGAAGCUAGAAGCCAAAAGAGGAAGGCUACAAGUCCAACCCCUCAAGAGGAGUUGGACCAAGAAAAUCAGGGACCUUGAAGCAAUCCAUUAGCAGGUUUAAAGGAAGAAGGAGAAGAUGUUUCUCUUGCUGAUCUUCAGAAGAAGAUCGACGAGGCCGCUGAGGAAAUGCGUCAUCUCACCAAGAUGACCAGGACCGAAGACCUCAACGCAGAGAGCUUCGUCAGGAUAAUUCCUACGAUGAUGAUGAAUGGUAUGAUGAUUUCCAUCAUGUAAAUUUUGCUUUUAAUGAUGCUUCUCAUCUGUCAGCAGAACUGUAGGCUACACCAUGGCCCUCAUCAUACAAGCCACCCAACUCCCUAUGUAUGAUGAGCAUUUAGACUCGAAAUAGUUUCUAAUGAGCUACGAAGCAACCAUAUCUUCAUAUGAGGGCAACACUGCAGUCAUGGCAAAAUCCUUCGUCAUGGCAGUCAAGAAUGUCGCAUAAACUUGGUACUCUUAUCUUCGGUCAGGAACAAUCACAUCAUGGUAGAAGUUGAAUGAUAUGCUGAUCACCAGUUUCCAAGGAUUUCAGACGAAGCCGGUCACUGCUCAGGCUCUGUUCCAAUGCACGCAGGACCACGAAAAAUACCUUCAGGCGUAUGUCCGAAGGUUCUUGCGUCUGAGAGCACAAGCACCCAUAGUGCCCAAUGAAAUUUUCAUUGAGGCCAUGAUCAAAGGGCUUCGGCCAGGACCUACGACUCAAUACUUUGCUAGGAAACCCCCUUAGACCCUGGAGAAGCUUCUUCAGAAGAUGGAUGAGUACAUCCGGGCUGAUAAUGAUUUUCGUCAGAGAAGGGAAGAAGCUCAUAGGUUUUCUGAGAUGACUAGGGGCUUCUGAAAGUCGCCUAGAGGGGGGGGUGAAUAGGGCGAAACUGAAAUUUACAAAGUUAAUCACAACUACAAGCCGGGUUAGCGUUAGAAAUAAAAACGAGUCCGAGAGAGGGUGCAAAACAAAUCGCAAGCGAAUAAAGAGUGUGACACGCAGAUUUGUUUUUUCCGAGGUUCGGUUCUUGCAAACCUACUCCCCGUUGAGGUGGUCACAAAGACUGGGUCUCUUUCAACCCUUUCCCUCUCUCAACCGGUCCCUCGGACCGAGUGAGCUUUUCUUCUCAAUCAAUCGGAACACAAAGUUCCCACAAGGACCACCACACAAUUGGUGUCUCUUGCCUCAAUUACAAGUGAGUUUGAUCUCAAGAAAGAAUGAGAAAGAAAGCAAUCCAAGCGCAAGAGCUCAAAAGAACACAACAAAUCUCUCUCACUAAUCACUAAUGCUUUGUGUGGAAUUUGGAGAGGAUUUGAUCACUUGGGUGUGUCUAGAAUUGAAUGCUAGAGCUCUUGUAAGUAGUUGGAAGGUGGAAAACUUGGAUGACUUGAAUGUGGGGUGGUUGGGGGUAUUUAUAACCCCAACCACCAAACUAGCCGUUUGGUGGAGGUUGCUGUCGCAUGGCGCACCGGACAGUCCGGUGCGCCACCGGACAGUGUCCGGUGCGCCAGCCACGUCACCAGACCGUUGGGUUUCGACCGUUGGAGCUCUGUCUUGUGGGCCCGCCUGGCUGUCCGGUGGUGCACCGGACAAGUCCUGUAGACUGUCCGGUGUACCACCCGCGCGUGCUCUGCUCCUCUGCGCGCGCUGGCAUGCAUUUAAUGCGUUGCAGUCGACCGUUGGCGCGAAGUAGCCGUUGCUCCGCUGGCUCACCGGACAGUCCGGUGUGCACCGGACAUGUCCGGUGAAUUAUAGCGGAGCGGAUUCCCGAAGCUGGCGAGUUCAGAGUCGCUGUCCUCUGGAGCACCGGACACUGUCCGGUGGUACACCAGACAGUCCAGUGAAUUAUAGCGAAGCGCCUCUGAGAAUUCCCGAAGGUGCGAAGUUUGGCUUGGAGUCCCCUGGUGCACCGGACACUGUCCGGUGCGCCAGACCAGGGCACACUUCGGUUAUCCCUUGCUCUCUUUGUUGAACCCAUUUCUUGGUCUUUUUAUUAGCUAAGUGUGAACCUUUGGCACAUGUAUAUCUUAUAAACUAGAGCAAACUAGUUAGUCCAAUUAUUUGUGUUGGGUAAUUCAACCAUCAAAAUCAAUUAGGAAAUAGGUGUAAGCCUAAUUCCCUUUCAGCUUCGGAGGAAGAAUCCACCCUAGGCAUGUCAGAUCAAUACAUAACUCCAGUCAGAGUGAUGACAGAGGAAGCCAGCUUCAAAGGCCACAGCAUAGCUCACAAUCCUCAGGGCAACAACAAAGCUCUUUCAGGCCACCAGUCCUAAGGGGCAGAGGCGGCAGGGGCUUCAGAGGAAGGUAUGGGGAUCAGCACAGAAAACUCUAUUACUUAUUCUGUUGUGAAGACAAGGGCCACACUACAAGAACAUGCCAGGUCAGUAGGUCACCUUUCAUAAGCAAAAGAAGAUUGCCGAAGCAGAGGCGCGGCAGAAUCAGCCGAAGCAGGUCUUACAUACUGCUUCGUGUUACUCUCCCUAUAUAUACCAGAAUACGUGGGUAAUCAACCUGCAAUCUCUGUUGCUUCGGCAAGUCAUUCACAACCUUCCUGGCCCCAGCUCCCACUACCACCACCAUUACCACCUACUCAUACCCGAAGCCAGCAACCAGAAGGGCACCAACACGCCCAACAGUAGCGCGACUUCAAGGAGGAGUCCGAAGCUCGUACAGUCAAUAGCACUGUACCAUAAUCGAAGCAUAUAUACUAAGGAAUAUCCUACUGUUGAUGUACCUUUAUCUUUUAUGACAUUUUAUUUUUUGUGCGAGAAAUAAGUAAUGAAGAGCAUAAUUUCAAUUUCAUGUAAUAAUUGUGCCUGCAUCAGAGUAAAAUAUAUCUUCCUCAUGGACUUACGAAGCUCGAAAGACGUUUCUAAGAAAGUGGAGCAAAUUUUGAAGCUCAAAUGUUGUUCCUAAAGGAAUGCAGAGCCAAAAAUUAUGAUCCGAAGCUGAAAAAAGUCGUUUCUAAGGGAGCGCAGCGUAAGUUUUAUGCUCAAAAGUCAUUCCUAAAGGAAUGAAGAGCCAAAAAUUAUGAUCCGAAGCUGCAAGAAAGUCGUUCCUAAGGGAGCACAACGUAACUUUUCUACUCAAAAGUCAUUCCUAAAGGAAUGCAGAGCCAAAUACCACCGAAAUAUAAGGUGAAGAAACUCAAAAGUCGUUUCUAAGGGGAUGCAGAGCUUAAAUGCCACCGAAAUAGAAGGUGAAGAAGCUCAAAAGUCGUUCCUAAGGGGAUGCAGAGCUUAGAGACUCAAAAGACGUUCCUAAGGGGAUGCAGAGUCUUGUGUAUUCCAGUGUGGGCGCGCGUGUGUGUGUCUUCGACAUCACCAUCAUUUGCAUCAUGUCAUAAUUUCAUUUCGCAUAACAUUACAUCAUACAUCAUAUCGCAUCAACAGCACAAAGAUUGGAUACGAAGCAAAACUUCGGCAAAUACUUUGUCAAAAUGAAAAUGUGCUGAGGCACGAAGUAAACUUCAGGAAAUACAGUUUUAUCAGACUUGCCAUAGAAGGGGCUUCUUUCUUUACGAAGCAUAAAAAAAGGAAAGGUGUUUUUUCGCUGAAGGCUCAAAAACGGUAUGUGUGCAAAUUUCACGCAUCAUAAAGAAAUAUAUUACAGUAAUUUACAUGUUUCAUUAAUUGUUCCCUACAUCAAAUAUUACAAAGUAUUAUUACAAAAAAGUCUACUCUUCUCUAAGUAUUUUUUUUCUGUGGCUUCGUUCAAUAACUUGUCGACAACUUUGUCGAUAAUAGAGUUAGCAAUGCUUAUUGAAUCCAAUGCUUCCUUCAUGUCCGGAUCAGCCAGGGGGGUGUACGACUCCGGCAGUGGCGACAGUUUAGCCGUAGUAGGUAAACUAUUAGUUCAAAGCAACAAAGUAAGUACCAAAGCUAAAAUUCAAAAACAAUACCUAUGCGCCUUUCGCGCUCAGCAGCUUCUUCAGCUAGCCUAGCUUCUUUUCGGGCGUCAUGGUGUCUUUUUCAUUCUUCUUUAUAAUUCUGUUGGCCAAUUCUCGGCCACCAUGCACCCAGACAUCAGAAUAAAACUUUCCGCCCACCAAAGUCGCUGUAAGGAAAAUGUACCCCAGGCCAUUUGGCUUAAUAGAUUUUGGUGUUUGAUGAUUAACACAACUUGUGAACUAAUGUAUUUUCCAAGUGUUUGUGUGUUGUAGUCCACAGGAUGCAAAGUGGAUUGGACUGAGGCUCUGAGGAUGCAACACCUCAAAGAAGACAUUAUAAUACCCAUAUAAGACAUUACAAAGUCAUAUUGAAGACAAUUUAUAUAUGCUAAGAGUCCAACACAUCAAGAAGUAGAAGUGAGAUACAAAGAUGCAAAACAAAAGUGAACUUGACAAAGUUGAGAGGAAGGGCUGACUGAAUUGGAAGUGUUUCACAAAAUCAAAUCUACUCAAACUGACAUGGAUUCAACUCUGAGGUGUAGAUAAUUUUAUAAGCUUUCCAAAAAGUCCAAGAUCAUCAAAAUCGGAGUUCGGAGCUAAAAGUUAUGCCCACAAUACGAAGUCGGAAUUGCUGAAAAAACAAGAGCAGCAUAUGGGAUGUCCGGUGUGCCAAAUUUGCUCAAACUAGUAUGGCUUCAACUCUGGGAUGUAGAUAAUUUCAUAAGCUUUCCAAAAAGUACAAGAUCAUCGAAAUCGAAGUUCGGAGCUAAAAGUUACGGCCAAAAUACGACAAGCGGACAUGGGCUGUCCGGUGCACACCGGACCGUCCGGUGCGCCAUGUCCGGUGCGCCAUCUUCGGAAGCUCAAACGGCUACUUUUAACGGCUAGUACACGUGGCAUGUCCGGUGCACCACCGGACAGUCCGGUGCACCUGUCCGGUGCGCCGCAGAAAGCUGCAGAACUGCUUUCCAACGGCUAUAUUUGAGUUGGGGCCUAUAUAUACUUCACCCAACCGGCCAUUUGGAGGUGUGGGAGCCCAAGCAACAUACCAAGGCAUAUUGUAGACAUUUCCAAGUGCUCAAACACCCAAGUGCUUAAUAGAAUCACUCGGUGAUUAGCGUAGGUGCUUUGCGAAGUGCUUAGGUUAGUUAGACCGCUUUAGCGCUUGCUCUAGGUGAACCCUAGAUUGUUGAGUGAGUUUAGAUAAACCUCACAACCCCUCGGCUCUUGCGUGAGCCAUUGUAAUUGUACCGAGUGGGGCGAGAGUCUUGCGAGACCGUGACAACCGCGUUUGUGUCACGGCCGCCACCGUGUACCGGAGGGAAUGAGGCCCGCGGCGUUUCGGCCGGAAGCUCGAUAGUGGAGACGGCGGGGAGCGUCCGAGAGGAGCCGGAAGCGGAGCACCACUUGCAUGUGGAGAAGGCCCGCGGCUCUCUAUGGAGUUACUCGACCGAGGUGCUUGGCCCUCGCGUGGGCUUCCCUUCGCGUAGGGGCACCAACGAGGAUUAGUCGGGACCUUGCACGGUUCCGGAUACCUCGGUAAAAAUACCGGCGUCAUCCACGAGAGUUUGCUUCUCUACUUUGCUCUUUAAGUUUCCGCAUUAAUAUUAAGCAUUUAAGUUUCAAUCUUGUAUUCAUACAUAUCUAGUGUAGAUUGAAACUUAGCCUUUGCGGUAGAGAUAGCAACACUUAGACAAAACCUAGUUUGCACAUUCUAGUUUGACUAUUUGCAUAGGUUUUGCUCUAGGGAUUUAAUUGUGGCCUAAUUUAGCGAAAGUUUUAGAAGUCCUAAUUCACCCCCCCUCUUAGGCGUCACCCGUUUCCUACAAGUGGUAUCAGAGCCUGGUUUGGCUCAUUUGAAACGUUUUAGCUUCACCGCUAAAAGAGCCGACGCUUUUUAGAGGAAGGGAUGGAUACCCAUAGGCCACCACACUUCGACGGAACUAACUUCCCAUAUUAUAGUGCUAGAAUGGCUUGCUACCUAGAGGCCGUUGAUCUAGGUGUUUGGAGAGUCACUCGUGACGGGAUGAAACCCCUCAAGAAUCCCGAGAAACCAACCACGAGUGAGGAAAAAGAAAUUCACUUAAAUGCUAGAGCCAAAAAUUGCUUGUAUGAAUCUCUUAGCAUGGAUAUUUUUAAUCAAGUAUUUACCUUGAAAACUGCUAAUGAGAUUUGGCUAAAAUUGCAUGAGCUCCAUGACGGCACAUCCAAUGUCCGUGAGCAAAAACAUUGCCUAGUCUUAAAUGAGUAUAAUUCUUUUGCUAUGAAAGAUGAUGAGCUUGUUAGAGACAUGUAUUCUCGUUUGAAUCUAAUUAUCAAUGAGCUCAAUUCUAUUGGCAUUAAUAAGCUAGGUGAUGCAGACAUUGUGAGGAAGAUUAUCUCCCUACUACCACAACGAAGAUAUGGGAGCAUCAUCACUAUCCUUCAAAACAUGGAGGACUUGGGUAACAUGACCCCAACCAUUGUAAUUGGAAAAAUCGCGGCUUUUGAGAUGUCGCGAAAAAUGUGUCGGGGAGAGGAGCCAACUUCCUCAAGGCCAUAUGCUUUUGCAUGUGAUGAAAGGAAGGGCAAAAAGAAGGCUCCCACUCCAAGUUCCUCAAGUGAAGAAGAGGAAGAAGAAGAAAUUGAUGAUGAUGAAGAUAAUCAACCAUGCACAUCAUCCUCCGAGGACGAAGAAACAAUCCGACGCAUCGGAAAGGUAAUGGGGAUGAUCCGCAAGAUUAAUCUAAUGGGUGUGCCCCUGCAGGUCGAAGAUCUUCUCUUUAACAUUGACAGGAAAAAGCAAAGGAAGAGAGGAUGCUUCACAUGUGGGGAGAAGGGCCACUUCAGGGACAACUGUCCAACUAUGGCCGAACCCAAAAAGGAGAGGAGCAAAGGCAAGGCGCUAACAAGUGUUAGAACUUGGGAUGACUCUUCAAGUGAAGAUGAACCUCCAAGGACGCGCAGCCACCGGUCCUCAUCACGCUCAUCACGGUCAUCACACAAAUGCCUUAUGGCAAGAGGUAACAAAAGCAUUCCAUACUCUAGUGAUGAAAGUGGUAGUGAUGAUGAAGGUGAGGGAAAGCCCUCUGUAGAUGAGCUUGCGAAUGCCGUUGAAUUUUUUCAAGAUGUUUGCACUAAACAAAAAGCUCAACUUAAAACCUUGAAAAAUAAGUUGAUUAGCUCCCAAAAUGAUUACAAAGGUUUGCUAGAAAAAUUUGAAACUUUUGCAAACUUAAAUAGUGAGCUGUCAACCAAAAUUGAGCUAUUAGAAUCUAGUGCUCCAUCCACUGCUACCGAUGAUGGCCUUAUUAAAAAGAAUGAAAAACUCAAGGCUAAGUUAGCUAGCUCCCAAAAUACUAUUGAAAAUUUGCUAGAGAAAAUGGAAAUUCUUAGCAUACACAACAAUGAGCUAACUACUAAGCUAGAAAACAUUGGUAGCACCCCAGAAGCAUCUUUAGUUGAAAUUCCUGAAAUUAUUAAAAAGGAUGCUUCUACUUCUUGCUUUGACUUAAUUAAUGAUUCUAACCCAUGCAACCAAGUUCGUGUUGAGAAUAUUGUUGCAGAAACAUGUUCGGAUGAGGUUGCAAAGGAAAAUGAACAAUUAAGGCAAGAAGUGGCUCGCCUUGGCAAGGCUUUGUAUGACAAGAAAGGCAAAGCCAAACAAAUCCGACCUCCACAGGAUAACACCACUGCGGGAGUGAACAAGCCUAUGGAGGGAGAAAUUGUGAUUUGUCGGCUAUGUCACAUGGAAGGCCAUAAGUCUUUCCAAUGCAAGGCGAUGACCGGGGACAAACAAAGUCAAAAGCUCAAGCAAAAGCCAUCAAGCAAAAUCUCCAACACCUACAUCAAAAAGGUGGACAAAAAGGCUGCUACACCAUAUUUGAUCAAAAAGAAAAAGAAUGGAAAGGUGAUAGCAAUCAAGGCCAACAAGCAAGCCAACAAAGGAAAGGGGGCCAAACGCAUCUGGGUGCCAAAGGAAAUAAUUACAACCAUGAAAAGCACAAAGAAGGUUUGGAUCCCGAAAGGGAAGUGAGUAGACCAAAGGAGGAACGGGAAAUUUGGAGACUUGGCAAAGUUAGGAUGUAUAUCAUGGGAUACAUCACAUUGGAUCAAGUUUAUUGCCAACAGGGUUAGUAGAUACUUUGGACCCAAAUUUCCCCACCCAUGACUAAGGUAACUAGAUUUAUUGUAUUCCUUAUUUUUAGAUAUGUGUAUCUAUUUUCUUGUAUCUAGUUUUACCUCUCAUGCCUAGUAUUACAAUUUGUACUUUUUCUUAAACGCAUGCAUACUAGGUAAAUCACAUGGUAGGACUGCUUGUUUUCAAUUCAUACACUUAAGCAAACCUACAUGGUUUAAAAUGUGUAUUUAAGCACGGCACAUAGCUUCUUUAUCACUCCAUAGUAAAUGAUACAUCAAUUAAUAAUUUUAAAUGCUACAGGUAAAACACUCAUAUUCUACAAGUUGUAUCAUUUAACUUAUAUGUGCCAAAGUUCGGAUUGUAGAUAAUUUUCCCCUCUUGAUAUCAAAUCAAAGUGCAUGUCUCCUACAAGUAUUCAAAACUUGUAUGCACAAAUCCAGGGGGAGGUUACUCUAUAAUCUAAGUCUUUGAGACUAAUACCUGUUUUCAAGUCUAUUUCAUGUAGUAGUCUCAUUGUAAAGAAAAUGAAGUCCCCGGAGAAAGACAACAAGCUUCCACUGCAAAUCUACAAGAAUUCUUAUGUCUGCAAGCCUGCCAUUGGUAUUCAAUUGGUCCGCAAUUGACUUUCAAUUGGUAUCUUUGAGACUACACUUAGUAACAUUUACAUGUCUUCUCCAUUAUUUGAUUAGACUAUAUUUCAUAUCUUAUACUUCCCAUGUUGCUAUAAAUGCAUAUAUUGUUAACUCAUAUUUUGUUACCUAUGCAUAAGGGAAGUUAGUCUAUUCAAAUCAUGACUUGCACCUCCAUUUCUCACAUGCUUUUUCCUAAGUAGAAGAUCUCUGUCAGGGGGGAGUAUUUCUUUGUCUCUACAGGGGGAGAAAAUUCUUUCUAAAGGAUCAUUUAGGGGGAGUAUCAAUUUGGUGUUUCAAUUGGUAUUAUUUUACAAAUCCUUUUUGAGGGCAAGUCUUAUUUGCUUCCUAUAUGCUUUUAAUGUCUUCCUUUUCGGUGGUUGAUGCCAAAGGGGGAGAAGUUGUAGGGACCAAAGCAAUGAAAAUGUUAUCAAACACCAAACACCACCAAAUUAAAAUUUUGAUCUUUCAAGUGGUUUUUGCAUUUUGGUCUAAAAUAGGAAGUAAGUGAAUUAUGGAGUUAGGGGGAGGCUUAAGUCCAUAAUCUCACAUUACGGGGACAAACAUGCAUCCUAGCAAGUAGAUUGUAUAUUUAUAUUCAAAUGUUUGUAAUAUUUGCUUGCUUUGGUUGUGUUGUCAUCAAUCACCAAAAAGGGGGAGAUUGUAAGGAAAAUGUACCCCAGGCCAUUUGGCUUAAUAGAUUUUGGUGUUUGAUGAUUAACACAACUUGUGAACUAAUGUAUUUUCCAAGUGUUUGUGUGUUGUAGUCCACAGGAUGCAAAGUGGAUUGGACUGAGGCUCUGAGGAUGCAACACCUCAAAGAAGACAUUAUAAUACCCAUAUAAGACAUUACAAAGUCAUAUUGAAGACAAUUUAUAUAUGCUAAGAGUCCAACACAUCAAAAAGUAGAAGUGAGAUACAAAGAUGCAAAACAAAAGUGAACUUGACAAAGUUGAGAGGAAGGGCUGACUGAAUUGGAAGUGUUUCACAAAAUCAAAUCUACUCAAACUGACAUGGAUUCAACUCUGAGAUGUAGAUAAUUUUAUAAGCUUUCCAAAAAGUCCAAGAUCAUCAAAAUCGGAGUUCGGAGCUAAAAGUUAUGCCCACAAUACGAAGUCGGAAUUGCUGAAAAAACAAGAGCAGCAUAUGGGAUGUCCGGUGCACACCGGACUGUCCGGUGUGCCAAAUUUGCUCAAACUGGUAUGGCUUCAACUCUGGGAUGUAGAGAAUUUCAUAAGCUUUCCAAAAAGUACAAGAUCAUCGAAAUCGGAGUUCGGAGCUAAAAGUUACGGCCAAAAUACGACAAGCGAACAUGGGCUGUCCGGUGCACACUGGACCGUCCGGUGCGCCAUGUCCGGUGCGCCAUCUUCGGAAGCUCAAACGGCUACUUUUAACGGCUAGUACACGUGGCAUGUCCGGUGCACCACCGGACAGUCCGGUGUACCUGUUCGGUGCGCCGCAGAAAGCUGCAGAACUGCUUUCCAACGACUAUAUUUGAGUUGGGGCCUAUAUAUACUUCACCCAACCGGCCAUUUGGAGGUGUGGGAGCCCAAGCAACAUACCAAGGCAUAUUGUAGACAUUUCCAAGUGCUCAAACACCCAAGUGCUUAAUAGAAUCACUCGGUGAUUAGCGUAGGUGCUUUGCGAAGUGCUUAGUUAGUUAGACCGCUUUAGCGCUUGCUCUAGGUGAACCCUAGAUUGUUGAGUGAGUUUAGAUAAACCUCACAACCCCUCGGCUCUUGCGUGAGCCAUUGUAAUUGUACCGAGUGGGGCGAGAGUCUUGCGAGACCGUGACAACCACGUUUGUGUCACGGCCGCCACCGUGUACCGGAGGGAACGAGGCCCGCGGCGUUUCGGCCGGAAGCUCGAUAGUGGAGACGGCGGGGAGCGUCCGAGAGGAGCCGGAAGCGGAGCACCACUUGCAUGUGGAGAAGGCCCGCGGCUCUCUAUGGAGUUACUCGACCGAGGUGCUUGGCCCUCGCGUGGGCUUCCCUUCGCGUAGGGGCACCAACGAGGAUUAGUCGGGACCUUGCACGGUUCCGGAUACCUCGGUAAAAAUACCGGCGUCAUCCACGAGAGUUUGCUUCUCUACUUUGCUCUUUAAGUUUCCACAUUAAUAUUAAGCAUUUAAGUUUCAAUCUUGUAUUCAUACAUAUCUAGUGUAGAUUGAAACUUAGCCUUUGCGGUAGAGAUAGCAACACUUAGACAAAACCUAAUUUGCACAUUCUAGUUUGACUAUUUGCAUAAGUUUUGCUCUAGGGAUUUAAUUGUGGCCUAAUUUAGCGAAAGUUUUAGAAGUCCUAAUUCACCCCCCUCUUAGGCGUCACCCGUUUCCUACAGUCGCUUCGGCUACAGGGUCUUUUGUGUCGUCUAUGGAGAAGGCGGCUUCAGCCUGAGCUUUAGCUUUGACGUGAUCACAUCCAGCCUUCUCCAGAAUAGAUGCGAUUCCCCGAGCACCGGAGAAAGCACAAAUAUCGCCGCGAUCGCUCAGGAUUUCCUCGAAAGCUUCGGCUUCCCCACUUAUCCAUUCAAUGACACCCUCGGGGUCGCCUCAGACAAAAUGUCCUCAGAGGAGUAAGCACCCACUUUGGAAAAGCUAGAUUUUAAUUUCUUCACGCAAUCCAAGGAUUUUUCAAAACAUCUUUUCUUGGAUUCGCGAAGCUCGUCAAUAUUUUUCUCUAGUUUCGUCUUCCACCAUUCACUAAUCUCUUGGCUAGCCUUUGCGAUCGCACAAUUUUCAUUAGCUUCGGCAAGUUGUUUCCGAAGAUCUUCAACCUCGACUUUAUGAGCUUCAGCCUGGGCGUUGUAUUUCGCCUCAUCUUCCUUUACUUUAUUCACCAACGAAAUUAUAAUUUUGUCCUUCUCCAGGGCUUCAUUUCUCAGCUGGAUUACCUUCGAUCGAAGGUUGCCAAGAGCUAUUGUGCAGCUUUCGUCCUCAAAAUUCUUUUGAACCCUCAGGGCGUUGCUCAGAAUUAAGCUCUAUGAAAAAGAAAGAUAAAUGUUUAGCAUGAGAAUAAAAGCUUUAUUCCCAAAUUCAUAAACUUUAAGUUUACAAUUCCUGUACCUUCAGGCUGUUGUACGCAAGGCUGUCCGCGAGGUCAUCCUUUGACAUGGCGGAAAGGCCAACUUCGAGCUUUGGAAAUCCCAAGCUUUUAGCCAUCUCCCGGCAUACAAAUAUCUCUUUGUUGUCCAGGAGACAGUACAAGAAAUCAUCUUCGUCUGUGCCAUUAAACACCAAGGCCCCCUCCGAAUAUUUCAGUUUCCGGGCGUAAUGUUUGGCUUCUAAGAUUUCUUCUUCGGAUAAUCUUUUCCCUGAAGCAUGUCGAAUAAUGUAAUUAGUAUCUUCGGACGGAGCUUUGGGAGCAGGAGCUUUAGUUUUUCUAUCACGACUUGCCUCGCUGUCAUACUGGUAUUCGGAGUUUGUUGCUCAGCCUUAUCCUCAGGCGCAGCAGGCUUCGUCUCAAUGGGCACUGAAGGCCCAGCUUCGGCUUCGGCCUGGGCUUUGACAGCUUUGGCAACUUUCUUCGUAGGAAAGGGGUCAAGGCUUUUGUGGUCUCCAUGACAGCGUCUAGCACGCUGGCCAUCCUCCUUCUCUUGGGAGUUGUGGCAGGAGCCUUUGUCAUCUUCGGCAAUUCUGCUUCUGCCGGUGGGCUCAAAAUUUUUGGCAUCAUCACUGUUUUUUCCAAUUCUGGCUCUCUGGCCGUAUCAUCUUUGGCUUCGGCUAGCCCAACUGUAGACAUCUUCGGCACUACAAUCGAUCCUUCAGUGCUCUGAGCAGCGAGAGUAGCUUGUUUUGCUUCGGCAGUGGAAGAGGUCCCUUCACCAAAUUCAGGCACUACGGCCGUUUCAAUAUAUCGAGGCCAGUGGGUUAAAACCUUUAUUUUCUUGCCCUUCGGCACGACAGUGGUGGCUGAAGCGGCAGUUUUCCUCUUUUUUCCUUGCCUUCUCAAGGGGUAGUAGUAAUCAGGAUAUAUGAAGCCAAUUGCAUAAAAAACCCUGUUCAAUCUUUUCUUGCCCAGACCCCCGAAGGCUGAGGACAAGGCAUCAUCUUCGGCCCUGGUAUAUGUCCCAAGCAACUCGUCGCUAGUAGCCUCAAUGCAUUUCAACCAGUCAUCAUUUGGUUCAUCGAACUUCUCUCUGUAUCUGAAGGUGUAUUUCAAUCGAACUAAUCCACCUUCGCUGGAUUUAGCAGUAGUCUCCUUCAACAUCUCCCAGCUAUCCACAAGUGGUCACACUCUGUAGGCUAUGUGCUCUUGAAUUAUAUCCCUUGUGCCAAUGAAAGCACAGACAUUGCUAAAAGUCUUCUGACACGCUUUGGCAUCACUUUCAAUAGCCACCUUCGGCCUUCAGAGGCCGAAUCGAGACCAGAUGGGGCGCUGGAUAAUUUCCUUAAUAUUCUCCCUUUCAAUCAGAUUAUUUUUAACAUAAAACCAUUCCUCCAUCCUGGCCCUGGGCCAUCUUUUCUGGUAUGUCGGAACCGGAUAGCUUGCAUUAGAUCGAGCAAUGAAUCCGUAGCAACCGAAGUUGUUGUGAUACUGCUCCUUGCCGGUGGCCUUCGUCUCGUACAAAAGUUCAUGCAUACUGCAAAAACACUUUGCACUUGGUUCCAACUCUUGGCUUCUUACUGCCCAAACAAACAAGCCCAUCCUAAUUAUAGCUUCGGGGGUAAGUUGAUGAAGAAAGAUCUGAAAUAUCUUCAGCACUUCAACCAAGAAUCUGCUCAAUGGGAAUCGAAGACCCACCUUCAAAAAGCUUUUGUAAAUAACCACCUCAUUUUCUUCAUGAGCAGGGGCGGUGCUGUCUCCCCCAACCCUCACAAUAGUCAUGUCACGAAAAUAUCUUCCCCUCAUAGCGUCAACAUGACUUUGCUUAAUAGUCGACUUUCCGAAGAUGGUAUGACUUGGUCGCCAGGGCUAGUCCUCAAAAUCUUCGUCUCCACUUUCCACAUCAAAGUCAUCACUGUCAUCAGAAUCUUUAGAUAAAUCUGUCAUUAUCUCCUUUGUGAUUUUCUCUGUAUUUAUUUUUGCUAUGGAUUCGUAAAACCCAGCAAUAAAAGGGUCCGCAACUUUCUUCUCCUCGUACAACUUCUUCUCCUCAGUCAUCUUCCUCUCAGACAUGGAACAAGCACUUGUCUUUAAGCCGAAGCUCGAAAAUCAGGUGAGGGUUGAUAAGCAAGAGUUAAAAAUUUGAGAGAAUAGCGCAAGCAGCAGAAAUAGCGUACCAAAUGCUGUCGCUGUGGGUUUCUAUUUAUACGCCUAGCGCUUUGCAACUUGGCGGGCCCCAUUUGUCAAUGACUUUCGCUAUUCUAGCGAAGGGAAGGUGUUUUUUUGGACCUUCGGCUUAAGGUCUUCGUUCACGUCGCAGUCUGAAUUCGUUGUUGCAAGAACAAAUUAAUACUGCGAGGGGCUACUAUUGGGGGCCUUCGUCUUCUGAAGGUCCUCAAAAACAUGACUAACAUGCUUUUCAUGUAUAAUAUACUGUCACAGUGACCUUCGGCUUUGAGAUGAAGGUGUGCACAACAUGAAGGACGCGAUCUGGGAAAAGGAUGAAUCAAUUCCGAAGCUACGAAUUAAGAAGCUUCGGCUUAUUGCAAGGGCGAUGAUGGAGAACAGAACCGACCUAAAGGGGAAUAUACUACCAAGUCCUUGACUGAUUACUCUUUAGUCAGUAUUAAGUAUCAAGGACACAGAUGUAAUUUUACCUAGGUUGCGUCCUGUGCCUAUAAAUAGAUGAACAGUAACACCGUACUGUUCACACUGACUUGUAUUCACUCGCACGUCACUCUUGGGUUCAUACUUUCUGUUAAGCCGAAGGUACAAAUGUAAUUUACUGUUAUUAAUGUUUGUCCAUGAUUAGAUAAUAAGAAUAUAAAUAAUUUGAUGAUUUAAUGUGAUUGUUCAUGUUAUUUUCUAUGUUUCAUAUGUUUCUACUUUCAUUAUUACAUACUGAGAUGAUGAAGGUAUGUCCUUCAUAACCUUCGUCUAAAGAUCAUUAUAUCCUAAGGGAGAUAAUGCUUCGAAGGACGAAGGUCUUUGACCAUUUAUAUUUUGUGUUGCCUUGUUCUUAACUCAUAGCAUUUGAGAACAAGUCCUCAACAAUUAGCUUGUAAGAUCGUCAUGGCUUCACUGCAUACAUAAUUUUCCCUUUUUAGGUGUCGCCCAUUUUGUUUAAUAUGUGCAUUGCGUAGGCUGUUGAUUCAACUGAAUGAAGCCAUCCAUGGUGUGAUAUGGAAAUAUCCAUAACAUGAUUUGGGACAAGGCAUUUAGCGAUAUACGUUGUCAUUAGUUUUAACAUUUACUAAAGAAUCAUAGUUGUUUUCAAUUGAAGUUUAAACUUGCAGACUGUAUCGUUCUGAUUGUAAAAACUAUUGUGGAUUCCUUCACUGGGCACAUUUCCGAUAUUAAUGAUUAUGUUUAGAUGCUGUUGGUUACUUGUUAUCAAUUGCUUUGAACCAAUAACAAGGCAACACAAGUGUUAAUGAUUAAAGACCUUCGUCCUUCGAAGCAUUAUUUCCCUUAGGAUAUAAUGAUCUUCGGACGAAGGUCAUGAAGGACGUACCUUCAUCAUUUCAAUAAGCAAGAAUGUAAACAGAGACAUAUGAAACGCGAAGAGAAUAUGAAUAAUUAUUUCAAAUCAUUAGACUAUUCAUAUUCUUAUUAUAUAAACAUGAACAAACCUCAACGAUAUUUAAAUUACAUUUGUACCUUCGGCUUCACAGAAGGUAAAGAGCGGAAGUGACGCGAGAGAGAUUACAAGUCAGCGUGAACAGCACAGGGAUACUGUUCAUCUAUUUAUAGGCAUGGGACGCAACCCGGACAAAGUUACAUUUAUGCCCCUGAUAACUAAUUAUAAUCAUAAUACAAAUCAUCAGGGACUAUGUAGUCUUUUCCUCUUUAAAUCGGUGCCAACUAUGUAAAUUAUUGCAGUUUAUUUCUUUGCGAUGCAUGAAAUUUACACACAUACCGUUUUUGAGCCUUCGGCGAAAAAACACCUUCCCUUCUUUUCAUGCUUCGUAAAGAAAAAGAUCCAUACUUUGUAAAGAAAGAUAUACAUGCUUUGUAAAGAGAGAUCUCUUCUUGUGACAAGGCUGAUAAAACUGUAUUUCCCGAAACUUUCUUCGUGCCUUAGCACUUUUUUAUUUUGAUGAAGCAUUUGCCGAAGAUCAGCUUCGUAUCCAAUUCUCGUGUUAUUGAUGCAAUAUGAUGUAUGAUGUGAUGUUAUGCGAAAUGAUGUGAUGAUAUGAUGCAAAAUGAUGCGGAUACCGAAGACACACACCCACACGCCCAUACUGGAACACACAAGCUCUGCAUCCCCUUAGGAAUGACUUUUAAGCUUCUUCACCUUCUAUUUCGGUGAUAUAAGUUCUGCAUCCCUUUAGGAACGUCUUUUGAACUUCUUCGCCUUCUAUUUCGGCGGUAUAAGUUCCGCAUCCCCUUAGGAACGACUUUUGAACUUCUUUGCCUUAUAUUUCGGUGGUAUUUGGCUCUGCAUUCCCUUUGGAACGACUUUUGAGCAGAAAACUUACACUGCGCUCCCUUUGGAGUGACUUUUUGUAGCUUCAGCAAUUUAGGCUCGACAUUCCCUUAGGAACGACUUUUUAGCUCAAAGCUUACGCUGCGCUCCCUUGGGAACGACUUUUUGUAGCUUCGGCACAUUUAGCUCUGCAUUUCCCUAGGAACAAUUUUUGAGCUUCGUAAAUCUGUGAAGAAGAUAUAUUUCGCUCUGAUAGAAGCAAAAUCCUUACAAAAAUUAAAACCAAAUUUACAUUGCUUGUUCCUUAUUAAAAAGCAAAAUGGCAUAGAACAUAAAAGUAUUUCAGAAGCAGGAUAUCACUCAGUAUAUGUGCUUUGAUUCUGGUACAGUACUAUUGACUGUACGAGCUUCAGACUCCUCCCUGAAUUCACGUUGUUGUUGGGAGUGCUGGCGCCCUUCUGGCUGCUGGCUUCGGGAAUAAGUAGGUUGCAGUAGUGGUGCCGGUGGGAGCUGGGGCCAAGAAGCCUGUGAAUGGCUUGCCGAAGCAACAGAAGCUGCAGGUUGGUUGCCCACAUAUUCUGGUAUGUAGGGAGAGUGGCACGAAGCAGUAUGUAGGACUUGCUUCGGCUGAUUCUACCGAGCUUCUGCUUCGGCAAUCUUCUUUUGCUUCAGAAUAGUGAUUUGGCAGGUUCUUGUAGUGUGACCUUUGUCCUCACCAUAGAAUAAGCAAUAAAUUUUCCUGGGCUGAUCCCCAUAUCUUCCUCCGAAGCCCCUGUCGCCUCUGCCCCUUGGAGCUGGUGGCCUGAAGGAGCUUUGUUGCUGUCCUGAAGACUGUGAGGUGUGCUGUGGCCUCUGAAUUUGGCUUCCUUUGUCGUCGUUCUGACUGGAGCUGUGGAUUGAUCUGACAUGCCUAGGGUGGAUUCUCCCUCCGAAGCCCCUAGUCAUCUCAGAAAAUCUGUAAGCUUCCUCCCUUCUUUGUCGGAAGUCAUUGUCAGCCCGGAUGUACUCAUCCAUUUUCUGAAGCAGCUUCUCUAGAGUUUGGGGAGGUUUCCUGGCGAAGUAUUGAGCCGUAGGUCCUGGCCGAAGACCCUUGAUCAUGGCCUCAAUGACAAUUUCACUGGGCACUAUGGGUGCUUGUGCUCUCAGUCGCAAGAACCUUCAGACAUACGCCUGAAGGUAUUCCUCAUGGUCUUGUGUGCACUGGAACAAGGCCUAGGCUGUGACUGGCUUCGUUUGAAAGCCUUGAAAACUGGUAACCAGCAUGUCCUUGAGCUUCUGCCAUGACGUGAUUGUCCCUGGCCGAAGAGAAGAAUACCAUGUCUAGGCCACGUUUCGGACUGCCAUGACGAAGGAUUUUGCCAUGACAGCUGUGUUGCCUUCGUAUGAGGAUAUUGUUGCCUCAUAGCUCAUCAAGAAUUGCUUUGGGUCCGAGUGCACAUCGUACAUGGGUAGCUGGGGUGGCUUGUAGGAUUGUGGCCAUGGGAUAGCCUGCAAUUCUGCUGCCAGGGGAGAAGCAUCAUCAAAAGUAAAGGUACCAUGAUUAAAAUCAUCGUACCAUUCAUCUUCGUUGAAUGAGCCUUCUUGACGAAGCUCCCUGUGUUGGGGCCUUCGGUCAUGAUCAUUUUGAGUAAGAUGACACACUUCCACAGUAGCUUCAUCGAUCUUCCUUUGAAGAUCGACCAGCCGAGCCAUCUUCUCCUUUUUCCUUUGUACCUGCUGAUGGAUGAUUUCCAUGUCCCUGAUAUCCUGGUCCAACUCCUCCUCCUGAAGUGUUGGACUGGUGGCCUUUCUCUUUUGGAUUCUGGCCUCUCAGAGAGAGAGAGAGUCUCCUAGUUUGUGUCCAGUGGCUGCAGUGCAGCCCCUGGCGCUGUUGUCUUCUUCGGUGGCAUGACGAAGGUUGAUGCUUUGCCGAAGAUUAUGGAAGUGAGUACACCGGAGGUGGGCGCCAAUGUUGGGGACUUGUUCUUAAAUGCUAUGAAUUAAGAACAAGGCAACACAAAAGAGGUUAAUGAUUAAUGCCCUUCGUCCUUCGAAGCAUACUUUUGAUGCAUCAUAUGUGCUUACUAACAAAUCAGGCAAAGUAGUUGCCAAAUAUGUUGGGGGCAAACACAAGAGCUCAAAGACUUGUGUUUGGGUACCCAAGGUGCUUGUUUCUAAUAUAAAAGGACCCAAGACCAUUUGGGUACCUAAGAACAAGGCCUAAAUUUGUUUUGUAGGUUUAUGCAUCCGGUGGUUCAAGUUGGAUAAUCGAUAGCGUGUGCACAAACCACAUGACAGGGGAGAAGAGAAUGUUCUCCUAUGAGAAAAACGAAGAUCCCCAACGAGCUAUGACAUUCGGGGAUGGAAAUCAAGGUUUGGUCAAAGGCUUGGGUAAAAUUGCUAUAUCCCCUGACCAUUCUAUUUCCAAUGUUUUUCUUGUAGAUUCUUUAGAUUACAAUUUGCUUUCUGUUUCUCAAUUAUGCAAAAUGGGCUACAACUGUCUAUUUAUAGACGUAGGAGUUACUGUCUUUACAAGGAGUGAUGAUUCAAUAGCAUUUAAAGGAGUGUUAGAGGGUCCGCUAUAUUUAGUUGAUUUUAAUGAGAACCAAGCUGAACUUAACACUUGUUUAAUUGCUAAGACUAAUAUGGGUUGGCUCUGGCAUCACCGGCUAGCCCAUGUUGGAAUGAAGAAUCUUCAUAAGCUUCUAAAGGGAGAGCACAUUUUAGGACUAACAAAUGUUCAUUUUGAGAAAGACAUGAUUUGUAGUGCAUGCCAAGCAGGAAAGCAAGUUAGUGCUCAUCAUCCACACAAGAACAUCAUGACAACUAACAGGCCGCUCAAGCUACUCCACAUGGAUCUAUUUGGCCCGAUUGCUUACAUAAGCAUCGGAGGGUAUAAGUACUGUCUAGUUAUUGUGGAUGACUAUUCUCGCUUCACUUGGGUGUUCUUUAUGCAGGAAAAAUCACAAACCCAAGGGACCUUAAAAGGAUUCUUAAGACGAGCUCAAAAUGAGUUCGGACUAAGGAUCAAAAAGAUAAGAAGUGAUAAUGGGACCGAGUUCAAGAAUUCUCAAAUUGAAGGUUUUCUUGAGGAAGAGGGCAUCAAGCAUGAGUUCUCUUCUCCCUACACACCUCAACAAAAUGGUGUAGUGGAGAGGAAGAAUAGAACUCUACUAGACAUGACGAGGACCAUGCUUGAUGAGUACAAGACUCCGGACCGGUUUUGGGCUGAGGCGAUUAACACCGCCUGCUACUCCAUCAACUGGCUCUACCGUCACCGAAUCCUCAAGAAGACAUCAUACAAACUCCUCACCGGUAAAAAGCCCAAUGUUUCAUAUUUUAGAGUCUUUGGGAGUAAAUGUUGUAUUCUUAUCAAAAGAGGUAGAAAAUCUAAAUUUGCUCCUAAGGUUGUAGAAGGUUUUUUACUUGGUUAUGACUCAAAACACAAGGGCAUAUAGAGUCUUCAAGAAAUCCACUAGAUUGGUUGAGGUUUCUUGUGACAUUGUGUUUGAUGAGACUAAUGGCUCCCAAGUGGAGCAAGUUGAUCUUGAUGAAUUAGAUGAUGAAGAGGCUCCAUGCGUCGCGCUAAGGAACAUGUCUAUUGGAGAUGUGUGCCCUAAGGAAACCGAAGAGCCUCCACAAGCACAAGAUCAACCGUCAUCUUCCAACCAAGCAUCUCCACCAACUCAAGAUGAGGAUCAGGCUCAAAAUGAUGAAGAUCAAGAGGAUGAGCCACCUCAAGAAGAGGACAAUGUGAAAGGGAAAUAGGGUUAACCUUUUCCCAGUAUUAAUUUUGGUGGUUGAAUGCCCAACACAAAUAAUAGACUAACUAGUUUGCUCUAGAAUAUAUGUUCUACAGGUGCAUAAAGGUUCAACACAAACCAAUAAAAGAUUGAAGAAAGGGUUCAAAAACAAAGGAGCAAAGAAACCGAGUGUGCUCUGGUCUGGCGCACCAGAUAGUGUCUGGUGCACCAGGUCGUACCAGAGUGAACUGGCCACUCUCAGGUUUCUCCAGGCGCACUCCGCUAAAAAUCACCGGACUGUCCGGUGUGCCACCGGACUGUGCGGUGCACAAGCAGAGUAACGGCUAUCCAGCGCAACGGUCAACUGCAACAACGCCUGACAUCGCUACAGUGAAGAACAGUGCGCGCAGAAGAGCGCAGAAGUCAGAGGCGCACCGGAUAAUGAACAAUGUAUGUCCGGUGACUGUCCGGUGCCACUAAAGGACAAAGCCUCCAACGGUCAGAAGCUCUAGAACCCUAACGGUUGGGUGACGUGGCUGGCACACCGGACAGUGUCCAGUGGCGCACCGGACUGUCCGGUGCGCCCAUCGACAGCAGUCUGCUCCAACGGAUGUUUGGUGGUUGAGGGUUAUAAAUACCCCCCAACCACCACCACUCCAAGCAUCCAAGAAUUCUGAGUAUCACAUUCAAUACAAGGGCUCUAGCAUUCACUCCUAGACACAAUUCAAAAAUUCAAAGCCUCUCCAAGUCCCAAAUUCAACUCAAGCACUUAGUGACUUGUGAGAGAGAGAUUUUGUGUUCUUUUGAGCUCUUGCCUCUUGGAUUUCCUUCUUCCUUUCUCAUUUCUUUUCUCAAGUGAUUUGUAAUCGAAGCAAGAGACACAUAAGUGUGUGGUGGUCCUUGCGGGGUCUAAGUGACCUGGAAGAUUAAGGAAAAGGCUCACUCGGGCUAUGUGAUCGUUUGAGAGAGGGAAAGGGUUGAAAGAGACCCGGUCUUUGUGACCACCUCAACGGGGACUAGGUUCUUUAGAACCGAACCUCGGUAAAACAAAUCACCGUGUUCAUCCGCUUGAUUCGCUCUUGAUUUGUUUCCCCCUCUCUUUCGGACUCGAAUUUAAUUCUAACGCUAACCCCGGCUUGUAGUGUGUGCUUAAGUUUAUAAUUUUCAGAUUCCGCCUGUGACGGAACCUCCCAAGUCAUUAAGCCCACCCACAGUUGUCCUUGUCCAUCGGACCUCAGACAACCCUGCAGGUGCACCUGAUCACUUGACAAGUUCGGUAUCUGUAAUCUUUACCUUGCCCAAGAGCGUUUCACCCGUCACGCAGAUAUUACAACACAUCGGAGGUAUGAGUAUGCGGAAGUAGUUACAACAACUUUAUUUUAGAUUAAAGUAUAGAAAGAGUAGUAUUAUUACAGACCAGAGCAAAUAUAAGAGUGUUGGAGUAAUAUUAUUACAUAUCUUGGUAGGCAAAAACCCCUCCCGAUAAACAGUAAAAGUUUUUAAAGGAGGACACUUCCUCCCGAGGCUUUAGUCUUGGUUUUCUUCUUUAGGAACCACCUUGGAACAAAAGCAACAAAAAUUUGCUGCUUCCUCACCUAAAACAACAUGGGACAAAGCCUUGAGUACGAAGUGUACUUUCGAAAGUCUUACCCGUCAAAAUAAAAGACUCUCAAGGAUAUGAUGGCUUUAAGGGAAUCAAGGUAUGGCUUGUCAGGAAUCAAAGACUCUGUUUGCAUAAAUGCUUACUAGUAGUGGAUCCUUAAAAAUCCAGUUUUAAUUGUCAGGUUAAGUAAAGUUACCUGCAUCUAGAGUUCUUUCUACCCUAGUUCAAGCACUUGACCUAUACUAGCCAAUUUCUUAUCAACCCUUUUUAUUCAUUGGAAUGCUACGUGUAGGUCAGUGACCAAGUCUUCAUGUCCGAGAAGUAACGGCGAUCCGAAUCAAUUAAUACUCAACUGAGGAUCUCCAAUCACACGACAUAUGUAGCACUUAACCCUUGCAUAUGUCAACUCAUCACCGGGGUUCUUAAGACCAGAUCAGGUUCACGCCAACCGAGAGCACAGAUACACCACCGUCCAGCCUCUUGCCACGGAGGGUACACGCUACUCUCGCCAUCUCUCCACUCUCAUUGCGUGUUAUCUUAUUCUGGUAUUAGUCUGCCCGAGGCAAAGCUUACCCAUGACGAGGCAUGUGACCAGUUAAAAGGUCCUCGAUCAUCAAGCCUACAUCGAGACAGUCCUUAAUCGACUCAGACGGAGACACUACACCGAGACUCUCUUCUCGUGCAAGUCACCCGCCCGAUCUCAACUUUAUCAUUUCAAACCCAAAGUUUGGUACUUGGCAGAGGUACAUCUUUUCUGAUGAUGAUCCCAUCAUGGCCAUGAUGGAUCCACCAUCAAGUUUUAUUUUUGAAAACAUCCCACCCACUUUGACGCAUCCUCUUUUGUCAAAACAAAACAUUUUGUUUUUCUAGAGCAAAGCUAAGCAUAAGAAAAACCUUUUUGUAAAACAGGAGAUCAAGGAAAGGUAAACAAAUUCUCAAGGAAGGAAAUGCAGCAAUUUGUUUAGCACCCAACUCCUAUAACUUAAUGCAUCAAGCAAGUGAGAAAGAUUUUAAAAUAGCAAGGAGGUGGCAAAUGCACCGGGGCUUGCCUUGUGUUAUAGGUGAGUCAGGCUCUGCUCCACAGAUGUCAAAAUAAAAGCAGUUCCCUGCCUGAGGUUCUUCAGGUGGUGGUGGUGGUAUAGUCCUUGCGUCUUCAACUUCUAUCUCUUCCUCGUUUUCUAUAUAUAGCAUAUAUAAUCAUGAAUGCUCAUGAAAAUGCAAAUAUAAUAAAAGUAUAUUAUCUAAUGUCUUGAAUACAAUUUUCCUUCACGAAUCACCAAGAAACUAGGGUUUUUGGAGUCAAUAGUGAAGUUUAUAGGGCAGGAGACUAGGGUUUUGGGUUCUAGGUACUAAACAUGGUCCAAAUCAUGCCAAACUUUACCCAAGGCUUCUAAAUAAUAUUUAAAGCUUAUCUAAAAAUUUUGGUGAUUUUUGAAAUUAUUAAUUAAUUUCUAAAAUUCUAGGGGAUGAGUUUUGGCUAUUUUAAAUACUCCAUAAUUCCUUAUUUGGAAUAAAAAAUCCUAAAACUAUUUUUAUUAAAUACUAUAAAAAAUCAGGAGCCUAGCAAAAUUGGUCUGUUAUUUUUAGCAUUUUUCUAUAAUUUUCUAGGAAUUCUCUAGUCCUGGCAGAAAAAUUAAAAGAGAAAGGUGCUACAAUAUUGGGCUCAUUUUAGUCCGAGACGGCCCACAAAGACAGAACUCGCCCGCGCGCGCCCACGCCCGCGCGGUCAGUUUUUGCGCGAAGACCCUUGUGUGGCAGAACCGCCCAAAUUAUUCCAGCUUAAGUGCCUAAGUCACGCCUCAGGGGCCGUAACACACUUAAAUCGGAAUAACCCGUCAGUUCCUCAGAUCUAUUCUGAUAAAGCCACUUAACCAGGAUCAAAUACCACAUACUCACUCGAAGGUAAGUCACAGAAUAAAUACAAUAAAACAGGAAUCCUCAAAUUAAAGUGCUGAAUUAUUACAUAAAUCGGAGUUUUUCGAGUUGCUGGUAAGAGUUCAUAAAAUAAGAUGCAGCGGAUAAUCGAUGUCGUCGAUAGCGAGGAAAUGGGCAAGGCCUAGCCUACUACUCCUCGUGCUCCUCUCCUGCCGGAGCAGCAUCCCACUCGACCGUCCAACCCGGUGGCAGGGUGGUAGGCCAAGUCACACCAUCAACCAUGUCCUGAAGCGUACCUGCAAAAGUUUUGCCACAAGCAAGGCUGAGUAUACUAGUACUCAGCUAGACUUACCCGAUGUUAGGAAAAUACUCCUCUACCUCUAGACCAUGCAGCUGUUUGGCUGAGGGGUUUGGUUUGCCAAAAGCACUAGCUGUUUCUAAAAUCAAUUCUUAGCUUUUCAAUUUCUAGUAUCAUUAUCUUAGCUAAGUUUGCUCUUUCUAAGCAUACAUGGUAACAAGCAUUUAGUUCAAUCAACAAAUUGUCUCAUGUAACCUCAUUUUACUUCUUACUCAAUGUAGUACAAAGGGUCAAGCAGUCUCAUUAGUUGUGAGAAGCAAACAAUUUGAAUUGAGUUUUAUCCUUGCAAGGUAAACCUAAACACACGACAUGUCAGGGUACUCCGACCCCACACAUGUCAACCGUCCCCAUCGAUUCCCCGUUCGCGUCCAGGCCUCACCGUCUUGGCAUACAAUGCUCCACUGACCCCGGCUGCCGUCGUGCAGUGACCGCACUUGUACCCACCAUAGCUAGCAUGGGAGACCCAGUCUCAGGUCGCGUGAGGGAUAAAGUCCGCGCCUGGCUUCACUCAGGUACUAGGUUUACAGGUUACCAUAUUUUCUGAUAUGUGCUUAGUAUGUUCAAAAGCUUGACUCAGGUAUCCACACAUUAAUCCUUAAUUUCUUUUUCGCAUCUUAUGGACAAGGCAUCCUCCCUGGAUCCAAGUCCAUAAACUAACAUAGAUCCUAUUAUCAAGAUGAAUACAAUCAAUUCCUGACCUCGCGCGAGUGCUAGAAAAAUCACUCGACUUCUACCGAGAUCCUGAUUAGCAAAGCUGUUACUCGACCUAGCAUACUAGUAUCCAUCUCAAAAAGGAAUCCUAAGUUCAUGCAACUAGAGGUUUCAAGCAACUCCUACACUUAAGUGCACAUUACAAUCCUACAAGCAUUAAGUGUAGUAAAGUAGAAUAUAAUAAUACGGUUAUGCAUAAAACUGGGGCUUGCCUUCAAUAGCUGGGGCUGCAGGAGAUCCUCUAUGGCAGCCUCGGGAGCUUUCUCCUGGUCUUCCUCUUGGACAGUUACUUGCUCGGGGAUGAGCACGUACUCUCCGUCAGCGAGAUUACAAUCUAAUGAAUGCAAUGAGUAAGAUACAUGCAUGAUAUGAUAUGUGCUUUAGCAAUUAAACUUGAUGGUGAAUGAUCCACUUAAAUCAGAUAGAGUUUAAUCUUGCUACUAAAGAUUUUUGGUGGUAUACUUAGUAAUUUAGAUCACACUCAGUUAAACUAAGUGGUAAGUCCAUUUUGGUGUUCCACUGAAUUCUUUAUAAAGCCUUAGUGAGAAUUUGUCAAGAUUUCAAGUUGAACUUAUUGGGACGAGGUUUAUCUUUCAUUUCUUUCCCUUUAUUUCUUUUGUGUUUUUAAAGUGGGUUUGAACUACAAGUUGUCUUAAUAAAUUUUCAAAAAUUUUGUAAACAUUACAGUGGCUUUUUACUGGUGUAUAAUUCUCUGUCCUAAAAUUUGGGGCUUAAAGAGUGAAUAGUUCUCUCUGGACAAAAUUAUCAAAUAUUAGGGCAGAAGGGGUGCUUUGAACUACAGCUACCAUUUAACAGUAGGUUAUUCUCAAAGACUUAUUUUUGCUGGCAUUUAGAUGUUAUAACAUGACUUUGCACAAAUUUCUAGCCAUUAAUACUUAUUAGUUAUUUUGCUAUGAUUUUCUAAAGUUUCUAGCCAAAGGGGUGCUUUCUACUACCACUAUAUUUGAAAAAUAUCAAACAACAAAUUUCUGAUUUUUUUCUAGCUUCUACUUUGUGCAAGAGCAAUCAUUCUGAAGUUUGGCAUCUUUUUGCUUAAGAGAGGGGUGGUAGGAAUUAUUUGGAUUAAAUGGCCUUUUCCAUAAAGUAUUGGCAAUAGGUAUCAUUUUGCAUCUUUCAAAUGAGUUUGCAUUUUUCUCUCGUGGCCUAUCUCAUUAUUGAUCUAGCAAAAUUUUAUUUGCCCAAUAUUGCAUUAUUUUUGGGUUACUUAGGAUUUAUUUGAAAUAUGACUCAUUAUCAAGUUCUAUUUGUUUACCCUACUUAAAAUGAUGGGCUGGGGUGGUUAUCAUUUUUGUAGUGGGGUUCUAGUGGUUACAAGUCCACUGGAUUUUUAUUAACAAAUUUGGAUCUAUUUUUAUAAUUCCAAUAAUUAUUUUCUAGUUGGAAUAAUGCUAAAUAAAACAUUUCACUUUAAUUCUGUUCUGGACUAGAGGUCCUUUUAUUUUUCCUAGGUUCUCUGUUACUUAAGUAGGCUAGGAAAAAUAAUUGUACUCAAUGUUCAUUAUUUUCUAAUGCCUUUCUGAUUUUCCUAAGUUUUGGGCAAAAAUGGCUUUUAAUAGAUAUCCCUACUAAAUUUUUUAAUUUGGGGUUCUCACUAUUUUUAAACAGUGUUUAAAUAGGGUUUGAACAUCUACAAAUUUUCUUAGGUUCAACACAGAAGCAUAACUAAUUUUCUUUAAUUUAAUAAGGUUUGGUCAGUUUCUGUAUUUAAUUCCAAACUCUAAAAUUUAGAACAGAAAGCAUGGGAUUCAUUAUUUUUAGUUGGUAGUCCAUAAUAUUUAGAAUCCAGCAAAAUUGGUUUGACAAUUUUUGGUUAAGUAUUUUUCAAGUUAUAAAUUUCCUAAGUUCUCUGUUUAUUAAAAAGAUUAAACAUAAAUGAUUAAAUGGGAAACGAUUUUGCAACGUGGUCCCUUGUGGGUGUUUUCAAGUUUCCUUACAGACUAGUCCUUGGAUUACUAUUCAAAUGUGUCACUGACAGUUCAGAAAACCCCCUGGGGUUGCUCUAAACCUAACCCGAGGUCCUUCCCCCAAAUUAAACAGUACUCGCGGCGGAGGAAAGGGCAGAGGGGCUUACCGGCGGCGAGACUGCUCCGGUGAGGUGACCGAGGGUGUAGGGGAGGUCCUGAGGGUUGCGGUGAUGUGCGGGUCGCCGUCGGGGAUGGUCGGAGUCGACCGGUCCACGUGCACAGGCGGGGGAGCUCGUCGGCGACGAGGAGUCUGACCUAUCCAGGGCACAAUUGAUCAAUCAAAUGGGUCAGAGAGCUUCACCAGGGAUCAAGGAAGGUGUGUGUGCGAGAAAUUGAAGAACGGCUCACCGGAUUGCUCGGUCUACGCGCGCAGGCGGGCGACCGAAGUCCAGCGAGGACGAUCUUGGUUCUCUGGUGAAGUUCUGCCGGGUCCGAGAGCUUGGGAAGCUUUACAAGAUCUUGGCGAAGCUAACCGAGCGGCUGGCGCGGCUUGGAAGCGACUGGAGUGGGCUGGCCGCGGUGGUCGAGGCUCGGGUGGCAAUGGCGGGCGGAAGAGAUCUCGCCGGAGCUAAGGAGGGGCGUCUGGCCGGCGAAGGUGAGCACGGGGUGAGGUGAGGCACGCCUGGGGAGGCUUUAUAGGCGUAGGCGAGCACGACCGAGGGCGGGGCUCUGACAAGUGCUCAGGGUGUGCGCGGGCGAACGCCAGUGCGCGCUCUGGUGCCUAGCACGGCGUCGAGCACGAGGCAGCGCAGAGAGAGGUCGAGUUCAAGCGCGGAUUGGCUCCAAAUCUUUGAGAUUAUGGCCAUGAUCCCGUCGAGAGAUCUCUUCCUCUGACAUUCCGUUGUCGUUUGUGUGUGGAGGCUUGCAGGUUUUACUGACUGGAUCAAGAGAUAGAGAGGGGAGAAAUCGGGUUUGUCUCACUGCCGCACACAGAGAGAAGAUCGCGGGUUUGACGUGUCCAAGGCACACGUCCCAAUGCCAUCUUCUGACAUGCGAUAGAGGGGUUAGUUAGGAACAAUUUUGUCAAUGGGGUCAUUAGGAUUUGAGCUACGGAUCAAGGUGAACACGCUCAGUCUUUGGCUCAAGGGCUGAAAUUCAGAAUUCAGAAUUUCAGAAAUUCCUAUUGAACCCUCACUUGAGAAGCUUGUUUGGAGUUUUUAUUAAACUAUUUUGGCCAAGCUUCCAUAAUCUUUAUUGUAGCUUAUUUAGUAUAUUUCAAUGUUUAUAUUUGGCCUAAGCCAUGAUUUUAUGUUUUUCAUGGUCUUUUACCCCUUUUUUUAUUUCUACUUAAUUAGCUCAAUUAGGGUUGGUAUUAGGGUUUCAACACUUUUCCCUUUUUGAAGAAUCUUAUCUGUUUGGAACAUGAUUCUUUAGAUAUAUACUUAGUAGGUCUUCUCUUCUCAAGUUAAUUUGAUGCUUCAUGCUUAAUUUGGCUCACAUAAAAUGUUAAUUCUUGGGUUAGCACUGAGAGAAACCUUAGGUGACACUGGGGUGUCACAGCCUUCCCCCCUCAAAGGAAUCUCGUCCCGAGAUUCGGGUCAGAGUCCUUCCAGGGUGAAGCGAAGGGUGAGACUCAUAGGAAGUGGGUGCUCUAUUAUUAGGGCAAACUGCUCUUCGAAUGUCAUUCUCUUUGCAACUUCAGAAGGAAGUCCUUUUAAAUUUUGUUUCAUAAUUACUUCAUUCUGAUUUAGGAUUAUAUUUCUGAAAUUUAGAUUCGAAGGGCAGGAGGAGGGGCUGGGUAUGAUUACGUACCAAUUUCCUUAGGUAGGCAAUCGGGGAAGUUGGAUCGCAAGAAUUCCUCAGUCUCCCAAGUAGCCUCUUCCUCUGAGUGAUUACUCCACUGGACCUUAUACAUCUUGAUCGAUUUAGCCCGAGUUAAUCUUUCCUUGCAAUCCAGAUCUUGGAAGGGUACUCUUGGUACGAUAGAUCUGGCUCUAUCUCCAAUUCUAGUUCUGCUAUGAUCUCGGUCGGCAAUCGAACACACUUCUUCAGGUGAGAUACAUGGAACACAUUGUGGAUGGCAGACAUUAUUAGAGGUAACUUCAAUUUAUAUGCUACGGGUCCACAUGCUUCUAUGAUCUCAUAAGGUCCAACGUAACGAGGGGCUAGCUUGCCUUUGAUUCCAAACCUCUGCACUCCCUUGGUGGGUGAUACUUUCAAAUACACAAAAUCUCCCACCUCGAACUGGAGAGGUUUCCUUCUCUUAUCAUGGUAACUCUUCUGCCUGGCCUGAGCAGCUUCUAGAUUCUUCCUGAUUAGUUUGACCUUUCCUUCGGCUUCAGUCACUAAGUCAGGUCCGAAAACUUCUCUUUCUCCAGGCUGAGACCAAUUGAGUGGUGUUCUACACCUUCUUCCAUAGAGAGCUUCGAAAGGUGCCAUCCUUAGGCUGGAUUGAUAACUGUUGUUAUAAGAAAACUCUGCCAAGGAGAGGUGCUUAUCCCAGUUCUUGCCACAAUCGAUUGCACAAGCUCUCAACAUAUCUUCAAGAAUUUGAUUCACCCUCUCAGUCUGACCAUCAGUCUGUGGGUGGUAAGCUGAACUUCUGAUUAGCUUGGCCCCCAAAGACUCCUGCAGUUGUUCCCAAAAUCUGGCAACAAAUUGGGCUCCUCGGUCAGAAACAAUAGUUCAGGGCAAUCCGUGCAAACACACGAUCCGGUCAAUGUACAACUCUGCAUACUUUUGAGCCUUAUCAGUGGUGUGCACAGGGAGAAAAUGUGCCACUUUCGUCAGUCGGUCCACAAUAACCCAAAUCGAGUCAUGAUGACGAGAGGUGUUGGGCAGACCCACAAUGAAAUCCAUGCUUAUGUCAUCCAAUUUCCACGAAGGUAUAGACAAGGGCUGCAAAGCUCCAGCUGAUUUCAAGUGGCUGGCCUUUAUCCUCUGAUAGGUGUCACAUUCUGAUACAUAUUGGGCUAUCUCCCUCUUCAUUCCGGUCCACCAAUAUAGGGGCUUCAGAUCAUGGUACAUUUUGGUGCUUCCUGGAUGCAUAGAGAAUUUGGAGAGAUGGGCCUCAUCCAAGAUUUUCUUCUUGAGAUCCUUGUUCUUAGGAACCACCAAUCUGCUUUCAAAUGAUAAUAUACCCUUUCCAUCUUGGCGGAAACAUUUAUACUUCUCAGUCUUUUGAUGGAGAUUCUCCUUAAUAAUCUGCACUCCCUUGUCACUGAGCUAGGCCAUGAUGAUCUGGUCUUGCAAAGCUGGCUCAACGAAAAUGUGAGACAAAGCACCAGAAGGAAUAAUUUCAAUUUGCAUCUUGCUCAACUCAUCACACAAGGUGUUAAUGCGAGAAUCCAUCAGAACACAAUUGCAUUGCAACUUCCGACUCAAGGCAUCUGCUACCACAUUGGCCUUUCCUAGGUGAUAAUGUACCUCCAGGUCAUAGUCAAGGCAUCAGCUCUAGCCAUCUUCUCUGUCUCAUGUUGAGAUCAACCUGAGUAAAGAUAUACUUAAGGCUCUUAUGAUCAGUGAAGAUGUUGCAGUGGGUUCCCAUCAAAUAGUGCCUCCACAUUUUUAAUGCAUGAACCACUGCUGCCAACUCUAGGUCAUGAGUGGGAUAAUUCUACUCAUGAGGCCUAAGUGCUCUUGAGGCAUAAGCAAUGACUCAGUUGUCUUGCAUCAAGACACAACCUAGUCCAGUGCCAGAGGCAUCACAAUACACAUCAAAUGGCUUGCUACUGUCGGGUUGCGCUAACACCGGUGCUGUGGUCAGAUGUUGCCUCAAAGCAUGGAAGGCAUCUUUGCACUUCUGACCCCAAACAAACUUGGCUUCUUUCUUCAACAGCUCAGUUAUGGGCUUUGCAAUUCGAGAGAAAUCCGGAAUGAAUCUUCGGUAAUAACCAGCUAAUCAACUCUGAAUCUGACGGGCAGUUGUUGGUGGCUUCCAGUACAUCACCUCUUGCACCUUAUCAGGAUCAACAGUUAUUCCUGCCUGAGAGAUAGUGUGACCUAAGAAUUUGAUCUCCUUUAGCCAAAAAUCACAUUUUGAUAACUUGGCAUAAAGGUGGUGCUCUCGCAGACGUUGAAGCACUACAUGAAAAUGCCCGACAUGUUCUUCUUCGCUCUUCGAGUACACCAAGAUAUCAUCGAUGAAAACCACUACGGAUUUGUCCAGUUCGGGCAUGAAAACAGAAUUCAUCAGAUACAUGAAAUAUGCUGGUGCAUUAGUCAGCCCGAAAGACAUCACCAAGAAUUCAUAUAGCCCAUAUCUGGUUAAGAAAGCCGUCUUCGGAAUAUCGCUUGCUCGUAUCUUGAUCUGAUGGUAGCCGGAGCGAAGGUCUAUCUUGGAAAACACUUUGGCUUCGACCGACUGGUCAAAAAGAACAUCAAUAUGAUGCAAAGGAUACUUGUUCUUGAUAGUCACCGCAUUGAGAGGGCGGUAAUCUAUACACAGCCUCAGGCUUUCAUCUUUCUUCUUUAUAAACAAGGCUGGACAUCCCCAAGGCGAAGUACUUGGGCGAAUAAAUCCUUUGUCCAGCAACUCCUGCAAUUGCUUCUUCAAUUCUGCCAACUCAGUGGGUGGCAUCCGGUAAGGCCUCUUGGAAAUUGGUGUCGUUCCCGGUUGCAACUCGAUGGCAAAUUCAAUAUCCCGGUUUGGUGGCAUUCCUGGCAAUUCAUCAGGAAAGACAUCUGCAUACUCACAGACCACUGGAAUCUUCUUCAGAGGUAACUCUGUCAUAGAGAAAGCACAUGACUGAGUAGAACCUUGACUGGGCAGAAUUAAGGUGAAACUCCCACAGAACGGGGAAUUGAUUUCCACGAUGCGGCUGGCUAUAUCAAGCACUACUUAGUGCAGGGUCAUCCAAUUAGCUCCCAGAAUAAUGUCCACAUUUUCCAAACCCAAAACAAGAAGGGUGGUUUUGACAAUAUGGCUUCCCAGUUGAAUAGGCACACUUUGGUUUAAUUGAUUAGUUGCAAUUUUACCCCCAGGUGUGGCUAUCAUAAAUGACCCUUUUGAGUGAUAGAAAGACAGAUGACAUUUAGCACUGAACUUUUGGCUAAUGAAACUAUGAGAUGCACCAGAAUCAAACAGAAUUAAAAGCAGGUUGAUUAUAAACUGAAAAGAUACCGGUCAUGAUGGGAGCUCCCUCAGGUACUUCCUCCAGAGUAGUGAAGUUGAGCUUCCCUUGCUUGACUUGUAUCUUCUGCUUUCUUCCCUUGUCUUGAUUUGGUGCUGGCAUUUGCCUCUGCUGAUUUCUGGGGCAAUUCUUGGCAUAGUGGCCCACAUUGCCACAAGUAAAGCACUUGUUCCCAUUGCCCUGGCGGAACUGCUACUGCUGCGGAGGCUGAUUGUUCCUUGGAGCGGGAGCUGGAAAACGAGUGGGUGCCGGCUGCUGCUGCUAAGGUGGCCUGAUCACCCAUCUGCCUGCCUGCUGCUGAAAUCCCCUGCUCUGAUUGUGAGAAACAAUCCUGAACCUCUGGGCCUGAGCAGAUGGUGCUGCCAUUAGUGCCUUUCUCUUCUUCUCUGCCCGGUGAGCUACAAUACAGUCCUCCUGAGAGAUGGCCAGGUUGACCAACUCAUUGAAGCUAUCUGCCCGGACAGUGUUAAGACGUUCCCGCAGCUUGGUGUUGAGACCCCUGCGGAAGCGAUCUCUCUUCUUCUCAUCAGAAUCAGCAUGGUAACCUGCAUACUGGCACAGGUCAUUGAAAGCCUGAGCGUACUACAAUACCGUGCGGGUUCCUUGAUUAAGUGCCAGAAACUCAUUCAGCUUGCGAUCGAGAAUUCCGGCUGGAAUGUGGUGCCCUCUGAAAGCAGUCUUGAAUUCCUCCCAAGACACCUCUGAUCAGCGGGGAGCAUAGCACAGAAGUGGUCCCACCAAGUCCGAGCAGGGCCACGAAGCUGCUGCAUGGCGAAGCGAGCCUUGGUAUCAUUAGGGUAGUCUCCCGUGAGGAGGGGAAACUUGGACUCAACGACGCGGAGCCACACGUCGGCGUCCAAUGGAUCCUCUGCCUUGGUGAACAAGGGUGGCUGCGUGCUCAGGAACUCUUGGUAGGUCGCCGUUGCCGGAGGUCGCUGAUGCUGGCCUCCACCAUGUUGUUGUAAUACUCAAAGUUGUAUUCAAGGAAUGUAUAGUAGAUCUCCUCAUUUCAUGUGCCAUAUUUGCAUCAUAAAAAGAGCACACAUGUAAUCAAGAGUGAUUAAUUAAAACCAAUGAUACCAAAAUUAAAGAAAAUGCAUCACGUGGAGUUUUAUGUUUGUGCAUUAAAUAAAAUAAUAAUAAUAAUAAUAAUAAUAAUAAUAAUAAUAAUAAUAAUAAUAAUAAUAAUAAUAAUAAUAAUAAUAAUAAUAAUAAUAAGAUAAUAAAUACUAGAAGUUAAAUCAAACCCUAACUUAAAAUUAGGGUUUUUGAAAAUAAGAAGGAGAGAAAUGAUAUAGAAAUAUAAAUGAUAUAAUUAUAUUUCAAGAAUUGGUAUUCUUAACUUCACAAAAGAAAUAAAUAUUAAUGUAGCACAAGUUUGACUUCAAAAAUCAAAUUCAAAUUUAAACCUAGAAAGGAAGAAAAGAAAAUAGAAAGAAAAGAUAAAAAGAAAAAGAACAAAAGCUUCUUGGGCCUCGGUACCCCAAUUUGGCCCACUGAAGGAAACCAACUGUGCAGCCCAAGACUCCCUUCACGCCCGCAACCGCCAGACACUGACAUGUCGGGCCCGCGCGCCAGAUGCUGCAAACCCGCGCUCCCGCGAGCCUGGAGACCAGCGCUGACACCCAGGACCCACCCUAUCAGCCUCACACCACACUUGCGUGCGCGAUUUCAUGUCACUGCCGCGUGGGCCAGCGUAGUCAGCUGUCUGUCCGCCCUGUGCGUUCGCCCAACAGAGUCCCGGCCAUGCCGGAAGAGGCCGCGGGACUCGGAGCUCCGUUACCUGGACCUGCGCACCAUCUCACCGUUAUAAAAGGGCCCUAGCCGCAACCCGUUCCUCCCCUUUGCUCUCGCAGUUCAUACUAGACACCGCCAUCGCCUACUGUCGUGCACGCCGUGAGUGAGGGAGUGUCGCCGCCGCCGUGAUUACGCGCCCUAGUCAAGGCUCUAGCCUCGGACGGAGGUCGGGGCCUUCGUUGGGGCAUCUCGGAGCUUGUGGUGCCCUCGGCGGACGCGAUUCGUGGACAGCGGGCAAGAAAUUUCUCGCCGUCGUGCACACGCCGCCGUGGACCCGCCAUUCUCCGUGGCCAGGCUUGCCCGCACAAUAAUCCGUGGUGAGCAUGCCCUCAAGCUAUUCGUCCUACUCUUCGCUUCGUGUAGCGCCGUUAGGUUUGUUGUUUGGCGCUCUGGGUGGCGGGAGCAGGGAACGCUGGUGUGAUCCCCGUCGGUGUUCGGGCGGCGCCGCCGUCUUGGGAUGCCUGGGGCGGGUGAGCUCUUGGACUGUCGAUUCGAACUGGGCGGUCUAGAUCAAUUCACAGAGUGGGCAGUCGCGUGAACAAAUUAGGACCGUAGGAUUGAGAUCGUAAAGCCCAGAUUAGAUCGUAUCUAUUUAAAUCUGUGCCGUUGAUUCCUAAUCUAGCGCUCGAUAUCGCGUACCGGUUCAUCACGGCGCGGAUGUAAUCUGGACCGUAGGGUGUGGAUCGAACGUCUCUGAUUAAAAGAUACCGCUUCGGCCGUGUAGUUUUACACAUGUGCCCCUGUGUUUUUCCUAUAUAGAACCCUUCGUCCACAUACAUUGUUCACUGAGUCUAGGAUUUUAUGCGAGCAGCCCCCUGACCUUUCUAGAAAAUGAGGCCCUGUCCAGAGAAGAUUAAAAACAGAGAAAUAAUUAUAGAAAUUCGUUUUUAAUAAAAACAAAUCUAGAAACUUGUAAAAUGAAUAGAAAAUUCAUUUUAGCUCCAAAUUGAACCAUUCCAAUUUCUAAAAUUUGGUAAUAUUAUUGUCUAUCAUUUAGUGUCUCUGUUUUGACAUGAAAACAGUAAGAAAAUUAAUUUCUCAUUUAAUCCUAUUUCAAGCACAUCAAACCUUAGGAAAUUCAUAACUUCAAAUCUAUAAAUCCAAAUUUAAUGAUUCCAGUUUCUAUGAUCUCAUUUUAAUGUGUAGAUUUUUAUUGUAUGUUUUAUUUAUCUGUUUGAUGUGUUGUUAAUUUAUGCUACACUAUGUAUGUAUUGUGUUGAUGCGAGUAGACGAGCAAGCCACUGUGGAUUCUGAGGUUCAGCAAGUAGAAGUAGCUGAGCAGGAGCUCAUUAAAGGCAAGUUGUGCCCUUGUUCACUUACUUUUUCCCAGCCAUGUUCUUAUUAAUUAUAAUGAUCUGCAUAGGUUAAUUUUGAUGGGAUCCAAUAGGUUACCCCAGUUUUGGUUAUUUUAUACCUUGUUUACCACUGAAACUUUUCUAGGUAGUACUUGCUAUUGCUUUAUGUGGAUUUUGGGUAUGGAGAUACACCAUUCAUGAUUUCAUCUUUAUUAUCCGUUUAUUAUUACUGUUCAUGUUAAGAUCAUUAUGUUAAUGGGAACAUGGAGCGACCACCCGGGAAAACAGUGCUACCACAAGGGUUUAAUGGGACGCUCUUGGCUGAUUAACUAGGAAAGCUAGUGGAUGUCUUCCUUACCCGAAAGGGGCAAGGGCAGUAGGGGAGUGGUCAGUGUAGGGAGGUCCUUGGGUUGAUUUUGCUGCUACGGCGGUCAGGCGAGGGAUUCCUGCACUGGAGCUUCCUAUAAACUGUAGCAGGAUUUCUGAAGCUAGUGGAAUUUGUAAAGGCCUCGUAGUGUUACCCUGCCUCGCCUCCUUGGUAGAGGUGUAUGGGAUUGGCCAUCUCUUGGCAGAUGGGUAACAUGAAUUGUGGGUAAAGAUGCGCAACCUCUGCAGAGUGUAAAACUGGUAUACUAGCCGUGCUCACGGUCAUGAGCAGCUCGGACCCUCACAUGAUUAAUCUAUGAAAUUAAAACUCAAUUUGACAUUUGCAUCGCAUUUGGGGAUUAUUUUAUUACUUUUAUUUAUUACUAAGGUUUGGUAUUUACUUACACUUAGUAACUGCUAAUAAAAUUUUGACCAACUUAUAAAAGCAAUGCUCAGCCUCAGCCCUUACUUUGUUGAUCAGCCUUACACUUCACAUGAACUGCCACCUUUGGUGAGUUCAUGCACAUUAUUCCCCACGACUUGUUGAGCUAUGAACGUAUGUGAGCUCACUCUUGCUGUCUCAUACCCCCCACAGGAGAAGAACAGGUGGUCGAAGAGGAGCCGCCUAACACUGAGGCAUUCGACUUGAUCUAGGUGGCGUCUCCCAGUCAGCUUUCUGGCGCCAAGGAUAGAUUUUAGAUCCUGCGAUAUUUAUCUCUUAUUUUGUAAGACUUCCGCUAUGUAAUAAAGUACUCUGAUUAUAUUGUGACAUUUAUCUUUAUACACUCUGUUGUUAUAUAUGUUGUCACCUUUGGCGCAUGUAUGAGAUGCACCCGACUUUGUUCCUUAAAACUAGGUGUGACAGCUGCUGAGGGUGGGGCUGGCGCUGCAAGAGCUGUCGCAGAAUCUCAUUCUGCUGGGCCAUCAGCUCCUGCACUGUGGGAGCUAGAGGAGGUGGGGGAACCUGCUCGUUAUGCCCGCGACGCUGCCUAGCUGCCAUCUGAAAACAGAGAUUUUCGCCAUUGUUAUCCCAACUCACAAUUUCAAACGACAAUCUAUUAUCCCAUAUGGAAAGAAAAUGCCAUAAUCAUAAUAUUAGGUUCGAAAUGAAGAUAACAGGGUUACAACAUCCCACAUAUUUCGAAAGUUCACAAGGGUUACAUCAAUUAGGGGAAAGUACCCAUAAGCCUAGUCCAAAAUCUGACAUUAACUAAGCUCGCGUAGGUUUCUAUCCGCCUAAAGCGUCAAAGUGACUGAUCAACCCUGAGUGGUGGAAGCGACACUGGAUGCGGGUGAAGGGGGAAUCACGGAGGUAGUCCCAUUGGCACCAGGGGCUGGUCCUAACUCCUCGGGGCCACUUCUCCCUCGCUUCCGGCCUCAUUGGCCUCCAUUUCCAUGUGGUGCAUGUCCAUGUGGUCAUUCACUUCUUCGAGUUCUCGCUGCACAUCGUGGAGCUGGUUCUCCAAGACAUCAAUGGUGUUGUCUCGGAUCUCCACCUGCUGCUCCAAGGUGGUAAUGCGCUGGCUCAGCCUUUCCACCUGCAAAUCCUUCUCCACCAACUCGGAGGAUAAGUCGACCACAAAAUCUUCUCGGCUGUCGAGGGUGAGCUUGGUGGUUUGAGUGAUGUUAGCAAGGUGUGCCAUAGCGUCGCUCUACAGGGCCUGAAGGCGAUACAUCGCACUCAUGCACUGAACAGUGACCCUCCCAACCAAGUCAGGAUACAUUGCCCACACAUCUUUUACAUGGCUCACACAGUUACACCACAUGGGGUCAUCCUUUUUCUCAGCAGGGAAGAGUCCCAAGGGGUGCAUCACCAUCUCUAGGGGAUGGUAGCCACAGAAAGUUGUUGGAGUCUUCAUGGCUGCUGCUUCAGUGGUGUCGUCCGUCCUGAAUCCAACCGUUUCGGAGUCAAGAGAAUGCCAACCCGGCUGAAGGGGAUGAGCCUCCAAAGUUAGCCAGACUCGGCAACGAGGUACCCGAUGCUCCUCAUACAACUGCACUGUGUACAAAGGGGGCGUAGGGUAGCCGGCAGAGUUAAGCACUUCCCACAAGAUGGAAGGAAAGCCAUCAUGAGAAAGGAAGUCAGAGCUGAAACGAGUGUCUCCUCCACUGGCGGGGGUGGGUGAAUUCAUCCGCGAAAGGGUAUCAAAGGUAAAGAUUAUGGUGGAAGGAAGAAAAAUAAAAGAGCCUGGAUGGUUUUAAAAGGAAGCGGGUUAGCUCAGUUUUUAAUUCCCUUUAGUUUUUUUAUAAUGCAUGCAUGCUGAAAUCAACGUCUCCUCUUCGAAUGCAAUAGAAAAAAGGGAGGCUCCUAGGGCACCCUUCAAAAGUUAAGGAUUGGCCCAUAGGGCCUACAUACUUAGCCACCUAUUUCCCCCUCUAUUCCUAAGGCCUUUCGUCCUAGGUCUAGCGGUCUAGUCCUGACGAUUCUUAGCAGUUUCUAAGCAAGUUUUAGAUUUUGAAAAUUGGUAUUCAUGGUUUAUUGUCCUUCUCUGUGGUGGUAUUUGCUCCGAUACCAGCUGUGGCAGAACCGCCCGAAUUAUUCCAGCUUAAGUGCCUAAGUCACGCCUCAAGGGCCGUAACACACUUAAAUCGGAAUAACCCGUCAGUUCCUCAGAUCUAGUCUGAUAAAGCCACUUAACCAGGAUCAAAUACCACAUACUCACUCGAAGGUGAGUCACAGAAGAAAUACAAUAAAACAGGAAUCCUCAAAUUAAAGUGCUGAAUUAUUACAUAAAUCGGAGUUUUUCGAGUUACUGGUAAGAGUUUAUAAAAUAAGAUACAACGGAUAAUCAAUAUCGUCGAUAGCGAGGGAAUGGGCAAGGCCUAGCCCACUACUCUUCGUGCUCCUCUCGUGCCGGAGCAGCAUCCCACUCGACCGUCCAACCCGGUGGCAGGGUGGUAGGCCAAGUCACACUAUCAACCAUGUCCUGAAGCGUACCUGCAAAAGUUUUGCCACAAGCAAGGCUGAGUAUACUAAUACUCAGCUAGACUUACCCGGUGUGAGGAAACUACUCCUCUACCUCUAGACCAUGCAGCUGUUUGGCUGAGGGGUUUGGUUUGCCAAAAGCACUAGCUGUUUCUAAAAUCAAUUCUUAGCUUUUCAAUUUGUAGUAUCAUUAUCUUAGCUAAGUUUGAUCCUUCUAAGCAUACAUGGUAACAAGCAUUUAGUUCAAUCAACAAAUUGUCUCAUGUAACCUCAUUUCACUUCUUACUCAAUGUAGUACAAGGGGUCAAGCAGUCUCAUUAGCUGCGAGAAGCAGACGAUUCGAAUUGAGUUUUAUCCUUGCAAGGUAAACCUAAACACACGACAUGUCAGGGUACUCCAACCCCAUACAUGUCAACCGUCGCCAUCGAUUCCCCGUUCGCGUCCAGGCCUAACCGCCUUGGAAUACAAUGCUCCACUGACCCCGGCUGCCGCCGUGCAGUGACCACACUUGUACCCACCAUAGCUAGCAUGGGAGACCCAGUCUUAGGUCGCGUGAGGGAUAAAGUCCACGCCCGGCUUCACUCAAGUACUAGGUUUACCGGUUACCAUAUUUCCCAACAUGUGCUUAGUACGUUCAAAAGCUUGACUCAGGUAUCCACACAUUAAUCCUUAAUUCCUUUUUCCCGUCUUAUGGACAAGGCAUCCUCCUUGGAUCCAAGUCCAUAGACUAACAUAGAUCCCGUUAUCAAGAUGAAUACAAUCAAUUCCUGACCUCGCGCGAGUGCUAGAAAAAUCACUCGAGUUCUACCAAGAUCCUGAUUAGCAAAGCAGCUACUCGACCUAGCAUACUAGUAUCCAUCUCAAAAAGGAAUCCUAAGUUCAUGCAACUAGAGGUUUCAAGCAACUCCUACACUUAAGUGCACAUUACAAUCCUACAAGCAUUAAGUGUAGUAAAGUAGCAUAUAAUAAUACGGUUAUGCAUAAAACUGGGGCUUGCCUUCAAUAGCUGGGGCUACGGGGAGAUCCUCUAUGGCAGCCUCGGGAGCUUGCUCCUGGUCUUCCUCUUGGACAGUUCCUUGCUCGGGGAUGAGCAUGUACUCUCCGUUAGCGAGAUUACAAUCUAAUUAAUGCAAUGAGUAAGAUACAUGCAUGAUAUGAUAUGUGCUUUAGCAAUUAAACUUGAUGGUGAAUGAUCCACUUAAAUCAGAUAGAGUUUAAUCUUGCUACUAAAGAUUUUUGGUGGUAUACUUAGUAAUUUAGAUCACACUCAGUUAAACUAAGAGGUAAGUCCAUUUUGGUGUUCCACUGAAUUCUUUAUAAAGCCUUAGUGAGAAUUUGUCAAGAUUUCAAGUUGAACUUAUUGGGGCGAGGUUUAUCUUUCAUUUCUUUCCCUUUAUUUCUUUUGUGUUUUUAAAGUGGGUUUGAACUACAAGUUGUCUUAAUAAGUUUCCAAAAAAUCUUUAAAAAUUACAGUGGCUUCUUACUGUGUAUAAUUCUAUGUCCUAAAAUUUGGGGCUUAAAGAGUGAAACUAUGGACAAAAUUAUCAAAUAUUAGGGCAGAAUGGGUGCUUUGAACUACAACUACCAUUUAACAGUAGGUUAUUCUCUAAGACUUAUUUUUGCUGGCAUUUAGAUGUUAUAACAUGACUUUGCACAAAUUUCUAGCCAUUAAUACUUAUUAGUUAUUUUGCUAUGAUUUUCUAAAGUUUCUAGCCAAAGGGGUGCUUUCUACUACCACUAUAUUUGAAAAAUAUCAAACAACAGAUUUCUGAUUUUUUUUCUAGCUUCUACUUUGUGCAAGAGCAAUCAUUCUGAAGUUUGGCAUCUUUUUGCUUAAGGGAGGGGUGGUAGGAAUUAUUUGAAUUAAAUGGCCUUUUCCAUGAAGUAUUGGCAAUAUGUAUUAUUUUACAUCUUUCAAAUGGGUUUGCAUUUUUCUCUAGUGGCCUAUUUCAUUAUUGAUCUAGCAAAAUUUUAUUUGCCCAAUAUUGCAUUAUUUUUGGGUUACUUAGGAUUUAUUUGAAACAUGACUCAUUAUCAAGUUCUAUUUGUUUACCCUACUUAAAAUGAUGGGCUGGGGUGGUUAUCAUUUUUGUAGUGGGGUUCUAGUGGUUACAAGUCCACUGGAUUUUUAUUAACAAAUUUGGAUCUGUUUUUAUAAUUCCAAUAAUUGUUUUCUAGUUGGAAUAAUGCUAAUUAAAACAUUUCACUUUAAUUCUGUUCUGGACUAGAGGUCCUUUUAUUUUUCCUAGGUUCUCUGUUACUUAAGUAGGCUAGGAAAAAUAAUUGUACUCAAUGUUCAUUAUUUUCUAAUGCCUUUCCGAUUUUCCAAAUUUUGGACAAAAAUGGCUUUUAAUAGAUAUCCCUACUAAAUUUUUCAAUACUGGGGUUCUCACUAUUUUUAAACAAUGUUUAAAUGGGGUUUGAACAUCUACAAAUUUUCUUAGGUUCAGCACAGAAGCAUAACUAAUUUUCUUUAAUUUAAUAAGGUUUGGUCAGUUUCUGUAUUUAAUUCCAAACUCUAAAAUUUAGAACAGAAAGCAUGAGAUUCAGUAUUUUUAAUUGGUAGUCCAUAAUAUUUAUAAUCCAGCAAAAUUGGUUUGACAAUUUUUGGUUAAGUAUUUUCCAAAUUAUGAAUUUCAUAAGUUCUCUGUUUAUUAAAAAGAUUAAACAGAAAUGAUUAAAUGGGAAACAACUUUGCAACAGGGUCCCUGGCGGGUGUUUUCAAGUUUCCUUACAGACUAGUCCUUGGAUUACUAUUCAAAUGUGUCGCUGACAGUUCAGAAAACCCCCUAGGGUUCCUCUAAACCUAACUCGAGGUCCUUCCCCCAAAUUAAACAGUACCCGCGGUGGAGGAAAGGGUGGAGGGGCUUACCGGCGGCGAGACUGCUCCGGUGAGGUGGCCGAGGGUGUAGGGGAGGUCCUGAGGGUCGCGGCAAUGUGCGGGUCACCAUCGGGGAUGGUCGGAGUCGGCCGGUCCACGUGCGCAGGCGGGGGAGCUCGUCGGAGGCGAGGAGUCCGGCCUAUCCAGGGCACAAUUGAUCAAUCAAAUGGGUCAGAGAGCUUCACCAGGGAUCAAGGAAGGUGUGUGUGCGAGGAAUUGAAGAACGGCUCAUCGGAUUGCUCGGUCUACGCGCGCAGGCGAGCGGCCGAAGUCCGGCGAGGACGAUCUUGGUUCUCCGGUGAAGUUCUGCCGGGUCCGAGAGCUUGGGAAGCUUUACAAGCUCUUGGCGAAGCUAACUGAGCGGCUGGCGCGGCUUGGAAGCGACUAGAGUGGGCUGGCCGCGGUGGCCGAGGCUCGGGUGGCAAUGGCGGACGGAAGAGAACUCGCCGGAGCUAAGGAGGGGCGUCUGGCCGGCGAAGGUGAGCACGGGGUGAGGUGAGGCGCGCUCGGGGAGACUUUAUAGGCGCGGGCAGGCACGACCGAGGGCGGGGCUCUGACAAGUGCUCGGGGCGUGCGCGGGCGAAUGCCAGUGCGCGCUCUGGCGCCUGGCACGGCGUCGAGCACGAGGCAGCACAGAGAGAGGUCGAGUUCAAGCGUGGAUUGGCUCCAAAUCUUUGAGAUUAUGGCCAUGAUCCUGUUGAGAGAUCAUUUCCUCUGGCAUUCCUUUGUCAUUUGUGUGUGGAGGCUUGCAGGUUUUGCUGACUGGAUCAAGAGAUAGAGAGGGGAGAAAUCAGGUUUGUCUCACUGCCGCGCAUAAAGAGAAGAUCGUGGGUUUGACAUGUCCAAGGCACGUGUCCCGAUGCCAUCUUCUGACAUGAGAUAGAGGGGUUAGUUAGGCACAAUUUUGUCAAUGGGGUCAUUAGGAUUUGAGCUAGGGAUCAAGGUGAACACGCUCGGUCUUUGGCUCAAGGGCUGAAAUUCAGAAUUCUGAAUUUCAGAUAUCCCUAUUGAACCCUCACUUGAGAAGCUUGUUUGGAGUUUUUAUUAAACUAUUUUGGCCAAGCUUCCAUAAUCUUUAUUGUAGCUUAUUUAGUAUAUUUCAAUGUUUAUAUUUGGCCUAAGCCAUGAUUUUAUGUUUUUCAUGGUCUUUUACCCCUUUUCUUUAUUUCUACUUAAUUAGCUCAAUUAGGGUUGGUAUUAGGGUUUCAACACUUUUCCCUUUUUGAAGAAUCUUAUUUGUUUGGAACAUGAUUCUUUAGAUAUAUACUUAGUAGGUCUUCUCUUCUCAAGUUAAUUUGAUGCUUCAUGCUUAAUUUGGCUCACAUAAAAUGUUAAUUCUUGGGUUAGCACUGAGAGAAACCCUAGGUGACACUGGGGUGUCACACCUUAGUUAUUUAAAUAAUUGGUGAAGAAACCCUGGCUACUAUUUACUGUCUCAUUGACCUUUGCGAAAAACCCCCCUCCUUUAUGUUUCUUCACCGUGCUAGGUCCAUGGCGGAACCGCGUCGAGCACCAGGCCGGAGCCGCGAUUCUACGGCGAGGGUGACCCGAACAAGAUGCAAUAAGUACAUAGAUGUUGUGUGCCAGCCUAUCCGGUCAAAAGCCCUCACUUAAUUUGAAGGAUUCAACCCUAAUUGGAGCUUGUUCAUGGUCACGGCGGCGGAAUGACCCUGGUGAUCGCGUUCUGAACAACUAACGGCAUGGAUGCUAAAUUGAAGCUCGCGGAAGCUUCACGGGUUCACCAGAGGCUAUGUACACGCUUGAAUUUGGACUAAACAAGAAUAGGAGAGUGGGUCAAUAGAGAGGGUGUCCGCGGCGGCGUUCUAUGGGACGACGACAUGUUCCAGUGGUGGGACUCGGGUAAACUUCAAUUGGUUGGCACCGAGAGCAACAGGAGGCUAAGGACAUGCUAGAACAAGAGGCAAUUGGGCGAGUACUAACCCGAGAAGGGCUGCCCAUGAAGAGGUCCUUCACGGCGGCGGAAGAGAUCGAUCCCAGGGAAAUUCGAUGAUCUCCGGUGAUGGUGGACAGAACAGGGUGGCUAGUGAGUCGUUAGCUUUGUAAUUGAGGGACGAAGAGCAGUGCUCGGUUGAUUUGGAUGACGGGGGUGAGAGCGCGGUGAAUUUAUAGGCCCGGUGAUCUACAGCGACGGCCAUGGCGAUAACCUUCACCGGAUGUCGCUGGCAAUCAACGGCGACGUCGGGAGCGGUCCCUUUCUAGGAGUUGGACACGUCUCGCCGCGACAGUAACGCGGUCAAAUCGGCGAUGUCGUGGAUGAACAGAGAGGAGCGACGUCGUUGACCAGGCACGACCGUAAAGAUCAGUGGCCGCGUGGCGGCCGGAAUAGUUACCCUCCGCCGGGGCGAUCUUACCCGAUUCACGAAUAUCGUCGCGAAGAGAUGCCUGCCGAGCGCUUAACCGGACCACGGUGCGAAUCACGGCGCGGAUCGGUGCCGGCGGCGAGGUACUCUGUAUUAGAGAUAUUCUGGUUACUGUACCAUCGCGAUUGAUCUUCAGAACAACAGACAGAGCACAAUCUGGGACAAAUUUUCUCCAAAUUCUAUGUGGCAACUUCGUCACCCAUCUGCAUCAAAGUUAUGGAUCUACAAACCAUCUUUAAUUUUGCUAUAAUAUCCCUAGUCGAAUUCCUACUGGAAGCUACUCAAAAUUGACACUAAACUUAUGUUAAUGUCACUGAUGUCCAAAAUUCAGUUUGAGAGCUAACUUACAGCCCCACUUUAAGCUCAUUUUUCUCCAAUUUCUAUUCAGCACCAGUGCUCGGUCACUUAAUCAUACUUGUUCUCCUAUGAUAGCUCUACAACUUUGCUAUAUUGACUUUAAGCAAAAACUUCAAGAAUCCUGAGAUGUAGGGCUCCAAAGUCAGCCUCAAUCAACUUGUUCUGAACUUAAACACAUGAGAUGCAUAGAGUGGCCUUUUGCAAAUGAGACCAAAUCUCAUGGUUUUGUUUGUAAACCCUCAAAUAAGUGAACCAUAUGACUUAAGGUACCCUAAUUCUAUGGUUUUUGCACUUAGGUCCAAAAGUGUGCAAUAUUUACAUAAAAUCCCCUAGGUUUCAGUCCAGGGUUUUCCAGGGGUCUAUUUAGUGUUUUUUGGUACUUCUAGGGUUUGAAUGCCACUUAAGUCCAUUGAUGGUGAUAUCUUAUGAUCAUUUCUCAGGAGUUUUGAGAAUUUAACUUAUUUGGGCUUUGUUUACUCUUUUAAGCCUAGUUUAGGUUUAAGUACCCUACUCUAGGGUUUUACCCAUGACCAGUCACAUCAAUACAACUUGUUUGAAAUUUUUGCCUAGUGAAUGCAUUCUAAGUGUAACAAUCACAUGAUAUGCUGAUGCUCAUGAUGUUAUGCUCAAGUUUUAGUGAUAGUAACACCAGGGGUGUUACACCGCCUAUUCACCCCCCUCUAGGCAACUUUCAAUUGGUAUCAAAGCUCGGUGCUUCAUUAGAGUCUAACAACUCGAAGUGAUGUCGGGAGGAUCCGCUAAGAGGGAGAUGGAAACCAGCGAGAAGGCCACAAGCCAUGGGAAGGUUCCAUCAAGGGAGUCCGGCACCAAAGCCAAGGAGGGAUCCCCUCCCCGCGUCAAGUCGCAUCGGAGUGGCGACAAGAAGAAGAAGAUGAAGAAAGUGGUCUACUACGAGACCGACUCUUCGUCGCCCUCCACAUCCGGCUCUGACGCGACAUCCAUCACUUCUAAGCACCAUGAGCGCAAGAAGUAUGGUAAGAUGCCACUUCAUUAUCCCUGUAUCUCUAAGCGCGCUCCUUUACUUUCCGUUCCAUUAGGCAAACCACCAUAUUUUGAUGGUGAGGAUUAUUGUAUGUGGAGUGACAAAAUGAGGCAUCACCUAACCUCACUCCACGCAAGCAUUUGGGACAUUGUUGAAUUUGGAGCGCUGGUACCUACAGUGGGGACGAGGGCUACGACUCGGACGAGGUCGCCCAAAUACGACACUUUAACUCCCAAGCAACCACUAUACUCCUCACCUCUCUAUGUCGAGAGGAGUAUAAUAAGGUGCAAUGGUUAAAAAGUGCCAAGGAAAUUUGGGACGUCCUAAAGACCGCACACGAAGGAGAUGAGGUGACCAAGAUCACCAAGCGGGAGACGGUCGAGGGGGAGCUCAGUCGAUUCGUCCUCAACCAAGGAGAGGAGCCACAUGCAAUGUACAACCGGCUCAAGACCUUGGUCAAUCAAGUGCGCAACCUCGAGAGCACUAAAUGGGAUGACCAUGAGAUGGUCAAGGUUAUUCUAAAAUCCCUUGUUUUUCUCAAUCCUACUCAAGUACAAUUAAUUCAUGGGGGUCCUAGAUACAAAUUAAUGUCUCCCAAGGAAGUGAUAGGAAAAUUUGUGAGCUUUGAACUAAUGAUCAAAGGCUCCAUACACAUUGUCGACUUGGAGCAAGGCGGCACCUCCACACCCGAGGUGCAACCCGUCGCAUUCAAAGCGACGGAAGAGAAGAAAGAAGAGUCUACAUCAAGUAGGCUCCCCAUCGACGCCUCCAAGCUCGACAAUGAGGAGAUGGCGCUCAUCAUCAAGAGCUUCCAUCAAAUCCUUAAGCAAAGGAGGGGGAAGGAUUACAAACCCCGCUCCAAAAGGGUGUGCUACAAAUGUGGUAAGCCCGGUCAUUUUAUCGCUAAAUGUCAUAUGUCUACUGAUAGUGACAGGGACAACGACAAGAAGGGGGGGAAGAAGGAAAAGAAGAGAUACUACAAGAAGAAGGGCGGCGAUGCCCAUGUGUGUCGGGAAUGGGACUCCGAUGUGAGCUUCACCGACUCCUCCUCUGACGAGGAUGCCGCCAACAUCACCGUCAACAAGGACCUCCUCUUCCCCAACAUCGGCCACAAGUGCUUCAUAGCAAAGGACGGCAAAAAGAAGAAGGUACAAUCUAGAACCACCCCCAAGUAUACUACAUCUAGUGAUGAGGGUAGUUCUAGUGAAGAUGAAGAUGAUCUACUUACUCUUUUUGCCAACCUUAACAUGCAACAAAAGGAAAAAUUAAAUGAAUUGAUAGGGGCCAUUCAUGAGAAGGAUGAACUCUUGGAUAGCCAAGAGGAAUUCCUUAUUAAGGAAAACAAAAAGGCAUGUUAAAUUGAAGAAUGCUUAUGCUCAGGAAGUUGAAAAUUUUGAAAAAUUGUUCAAGGAGCUUAGCAUUUGCCAUGACACUAUUUCAAACCUUAGAACUGAGAAUGCUAGUUUAAUUGCUAAGGUUGAAAAAUUAAAUGCUUGUAAUGAUUCAAUUGCUAGUCUUAGAAUUGAGAAUAACAAUUUAGUUUCUAAGAUUAAAGAGCUAAAUGUUUGCAAUGAUUCUAUUUCCAGUCUUAGAAAUGAGAAUGCUAUUUUAAAUGUUAAGAUUGAGGAAUUAAAAUUAUGCAAACCCUCUACAUCUACUGUCGAACAUGUUUCUAUUUGUACUAGGUGUAGAGAUGUUAAUGUUGAUGCUAUAAAUGAUCACCUUGCUCUUAUUAAACAAAACUCAGUAGCUCUUUCUACCAUCGAAGCCGAGUAUAUUGUCGCAGGCCAUUGUUGUGCGCAAUUACUUUGGAUGAGGCAAACCCUCAGGGACUAUGGCUACAAAUUGAGCAAAGUCCCUCUCCUAUGUGACAAUGAGAGUGCAAUCCGCAUGGCGGAUAAUCCCGUUGAACACAGCCGCACUAAGCACAUAGACAUUCGGUAUCACUUUCUGAGAGAUCACCAACCAAGGUGGGAUAUCGAGAUUGCUUAUGUUAGCACCAAAGAACAAUUAGCCGAUAUCUUUACCAAGCCAUUAGAUGAGAAAAACUUUAGCAAACUUAGGAAUGAGCUAAAUAUUCUUGAUUCUCGGGAUUUUGAUUGAAACAUUGCACACAUAGCUCAUUUAUAUACCUUUGAUCAUGUCUCUUUCAUUUGGCACAAAUGCAUAUUUCUUAUUCUUAUUAUGCCAAAGCUACGACUAAUGCGUUUUCAAGUUUAUUUUCAUACUAAGUCGUAGAUUGAAAGGGAAAUGGAGUAUGUGACGAAGACAAGGCUUCCACUCCACUCUAACGGUAUCAUUUAUCCUUCGUCACUACUCCGCUCUCUCCAAAUUGGUAUAAUCCUUCACUCAUAUUUUAUUUACCAAUGAGGGAGAAAGUAAAUACAAGGGCUCUCAAAGUCUCCAUUUUUGGUGAUCAAUUCCAAAGGGGGAGAAAGUAUUAAGCCCAAAGCAAAAGGACCACACCACCACCAAUUUCAAAAAAUUUUGAAAUAAAAGAUUCAACUAGUUUUUCACAAAUGUUUGUUUUUCAAUUGAUAUCUUGUUAUGACAAUCUCUUCUAAUGGGAUGGUUAUUUUCAAUUGGUAUAUAUAAAGAUAAAUUUUCAAAAAAAUGGUAUCUAUCAAAACCCUCUUGAAAACUAAGAGGGGUAUUUCAUUCAGGGGGAGUUUUGUUUAGUAAAAGGAAAAGCAUUUGAAACAGGGGGAGAAAUUUCAAAAUCUUGAAAAUGCUUCUUGCAAUCUUAUUCAUAUACCUUAACUAUUUGCAAAAGACCUUGAAAAUUUUUUUCCCAAAAAGAUUUGCAAAAACAAGACAUGUGGUGGAAGUGUGGUCCAAAAUGUUAAAUAGAAGAAAGCAAUCCAUUCAUAUCUAGUGAAAUUAUAAAUUGGUCUAAUUCCAAGUAACCUAUGCACUUACCUUGUGCAAACAAGUUCAAUUCUGCACUUAUAUAUUUGCUUUGGUUUGUGUUGGCAUCAAUCACCAAAAAGGGGGAGAUUGAAAGGGAAAUAGGGUUAACGUUUUCCCAGUAUUAAUUUUGGUGGUUGAAUGCCCAACACAAAUAAUGGACUAACUAGUUUGCUCUAGAAUAUAUGUUCUACAGGUGCAUAAAGGUUCAACACAAACCAAUAAAAGAUUGAAGAAAGGGUUCAAAAACAAAGGAGCAAAGAAACCGAGUGUGCCUUGGUCUGGCGCACCAGACAGUGUCCGGUGCACCAGGUCCGUACCAGAGUGAACUGACCACUCUUAGGUUUCUCCAGCGCACUCCGCUAAAAAUCAUCGGACUGUCCGGUGUGCCACCGGACUGUCCGGUGCACGAGCGGAGUAACGGCUAUCCAGCGCAACGGUCGACUGCAACGGUGCCUGACAUCGCUACAGUGAAGAACAAUGCACGCAGAAGUCAGAGGCGCACCGGACAGUGAACAGUGUCUGUCCGGUGCAGCACCGGACAGUCCGGUGCCACUAAAGGACAAAUCCUCCAACGGUCAGAAGCUCUAGAACCCAAACGGUUGGGUGACGUGGCUGACGCACCAGACAGUGUCCGGUGGCACACCGGACUGUCUGGUGCGCCCAUCGACAGUAGUCUGCCCAACGGUUGUUUGGUGGUUGAGGGCUAUAAAUACCCCCAACCACCACCACUCCAAGCAUCUAAGAAUUAUGAGUAUCACAUUCAAUACAAGGGUUCUAGCAUUCACUCCUAGACACAAUUCAAAAAGUCAAAGCCUCUCCAAGUGCCAAAUUCAACUCAAACACUUAGUGACUUGUGAGAGAGAGAUUUUGUGUUCUUUUGAGCUCUUGCCUCUUGGAUUGCCUUCUUCCUUUCUCAUUUCUUUUCUCAAGUGAUUUGUAAUCGAAGCAAGAGACACCUAAGUGUGUGGUGGUCCUUGCGGGGUCUAAGUGACCCGGGAUAUUAAGGAAAAGGCUCACUCGGUCUAAGUGACCGUUUGAGAGAGGGAAAGGGUUGAAAGAGACCCGGUCUUUGUGACCACCUCAAUGGGGACGUGGUUCUUUAGAACCGAACCUCGGUAAACCAAAUCACCGUGUUCAUCCGCUUGAUUCGCUCUUGAUUUGUUUCCCCCUCUCUUUCUGACUCGAAUUUAAUUGUAACGCUAACCCUGGCUUGUAGUGUGUGCUUAAGUUUGUAAUUUUCAGAUUCCUCCUAUUCACCCCCCCUCUAGGCAACUUUCACAAUGAUCAAGAGGGAGAUGAAGUUAAUGAAGAUAAGGAAGAUGAUCAAGAAAUACAGGGUCAAAGACCGCCACUCCCAAGAGUCCACCAAGCAAUUCAAAGAGAUCACCCCGUCAACUCCAUCCUUGGUGAUAUUCAUAAGGGGGUAACUACUAGAUCUCGAGUUGCACAUUUCUAUGAGCAUUACUCCUUUGUGUCUUCUAUUGAGCCAUACAGGAUAGAGGAUGCAUUAAGAGAUUCAGAUUGGGUGUUGGCAAUGCAAGAGGAACUCAACAACUUCACGAGGAAUGAGGUAUGGCAUUUAGUUCCACGUCCUAAUAAAAAUGUUGUAGGUAUCAAAUGGGUAUUCCGCAACAAGUAAGAUGAGCAUGGUGUGGUGACAAGGAACAAAGCCCGACUUGUGGCUAAAGGUUAUUCACAAGUCGAAGGUUUGGACUUUGAUACCUAUGCACUCAUAGCUAGGCUUGAGUCAAUUCAUAUAUUACUUGCCUAUGCUACUUACCAUGGCUUUAAGCUUUACCAAAUGGACGUGAAAAGUGCCUUCCUCAAUGGACCUAUCAAGGAAGAGGUCUAUGUUGAGCAACCUCCCGGCUUUGAAUAUAGUGAGUAUUCUAACCAUGUUUACAAACUCUCAAAGGCGCUUUAUGGGCUCAAGCAAGCCCCAAGAGCAUGGUAUGAAUGCCUGCGAGAUUUUCUUAUCACUAAUGGCUUCAAAGUCGGUAAAGUCGACUCUACUCUCUUUACUAAAACUGUUGCAAAAGAUUUGUUUGUAUGCCAAAUUUAUGUUGAUGAUAUUAUAUUUGGGUCUACUAACAAAUCAACUUGUGAAGAGUUUAAUAGGAUCAUGAUUCAAAAAUUCGAGAUGUCUAUGAUGGGGGAGUUGAAGUAUUUCCUAGGAUUUCAAAUCAAGCAACUCCAAGAUGGCACCUUCAUCUGUCAAACUAAUUACAUUCAAGACAUACUCACGAAAUUUGGGAUGAAGGAUGACAAACCCAUCAAGACACCCAUGGGAACCAAUGGGCAUCUCGACCUCGACAUGGGAGGUAAAUCCAUAGAUCAAAAGGUAUAUCGGUCGAUGAUAGGAUCUUUACUCUAUUUAUGUGCAUCUCGACCGGAUAUUAUGCUUUCCGUAUGCAUGUGUGCAAGAUUUCAGGUCGAUCCUAAGGAAGUUCACCUUAGGGCCGUGAAGAGAAUCAUGAGGUAUUUAGUUUACACUCCUAAGUUUGGGCUUUGGUACCCCAAGGGAUCCACUUUUGAUUUAAUAGGAUAUUCCGAUGCCGAUUGGGCAGGGUGUAAAACUGAUAGGAAGAGCACAUCAGGGACUUGUCAGUUUCUAGGGAGAUCCCUGGUGUCAUGGGCUUCAAAGAAAGAAAACUCCGUAGCUCUUUCCACCGCCGAAGCCGAGUAUAUUGCCACAGGCCAUUGUUGUGCGUAAUUACUUUGGAUGAGGCAAACCCUCAGGGACUAUGGCUACAAAUUGAGCAAAGUCCCUCUCCUAUGUGACAAUGAGAGUGCAAUCCGUAUGGCGAAUAAUCCCGUUGAACACAGCCGCACUAAGCACAUAGACAUUCAGUAUCACUUUCUGAGAGAUCACUAACAAAGGGGGGAUAUCGAAAUAGGUUAUGUAAACACCAAGAAUCAAUUAGCUGAUAUCUUUACCAAGCCAUUAGAUGAGAAAACCUUUAGUAAACUUAGGAAUGAGCUAAAUAUACUUGAUUCUCGGAAUUUUGAUUGAAACAUUGCACAUAUUGCUCAUUUAUAUACCUUUGAUCAUGUCUCUUUCACUCGGUACACAUAUAUAUUUCUUAUUAUUCUUGUACCAAGGCUACGACUAAUGUGUUUUCAAGUGCAUUUCUAUAAUAAGUCGUAGAUUGAAAGCGAAAUGGAGUAUUCGGCGAAGACAAGGCUUCCACUCCACUCUAACGGUAUCAUUUACCCUUCGUCGUCACUCCACAAGUCUCUCAAAUUGCUAUAAUAAUCUUUACCUCAUAUUUCUUUACUAAUGGGGGAAAAGUAUUUAUGAGGGCACUCAAAGUCUCCGUUUUUUGCGAUUAAUGCCAAAGAGGGGGAAAAUAUUAAGCCCAAAGCAAAAGGACCGCACCACCAUAAUUUCAAAAAAUUUCGAAAUAAAGCUUUAAUUGAUAUUUUUCAUUUGGUAUCUAGGUCAUGACAAUAUCUCAAUUGAUAUCCAUGCUUCAAUUAUCUUGAGAAAGCAAAAUUUCAAUUGGUAUUGUUUUAAAUUUCAAAUUGGUAUCUCUUCAACUAGUAUGUUUUUCAAAACCCUUUUGAAAGCUAAGAGGAGAAUUUCAUUCAGGGGGAGUUUUAUUUAGUCAAAGGAAAAGCAUUUGAAACAGGGGGAGAAAUUUCAAAUCUUGAAAAUGCUUCUUGCAAUCAUAUUCAUAUACCUUGACUAUUUGCAAAAGACUUUGAAAAGAUUUUCUAAAAGGAUUUGCAAAAACAAAACAAGUGGUGCAAAUGUGGUCCAAAAUAUUAAAGAAAAGAAAAGCAAUCCAUUCGUAUCUAGUAAGAGUAUCAAUUGGUUUAAUUACAAGUAACCUAUUCACUUACCUUAUGCAAACUAGUUCAUUUCUGCACUUUAUAUAUUUGCUUUGGUUUGUGUUGGCAUCAAUCACCAAAAAGGGGGAGAUUGAAAGGGAAAUGGGGUUAACAUUUUCCCAUAAUUAAUUUUGGUGGUUGAAUGACCAACGCAAACACAUGGACUAACUAGUUUGCCAAGUAUUCAUGUAUUACAAGUGCAUAAAGGUUCAACACAAACCAAUAAAUAUUCAAGUUAGGGGUCCAAUUCAAAGGAGCAAAAGGAACCAAGUGUGAUGUGGUCUGGCACACCGGACAGUGUCCGAUGCACCAGUACCGUACAGGGUCCAAGCAGCCACUCUCGGGUUUUCGCAGGCGCGCUUCGCUAUAACUCACUGGACUGUCCGGUGUGCCAGCGAUCAAUGGCUACCUGUGCGCAAUGGUCGAUUGCAAAAGAACCUGACACAUGAACAGUGCAGCGGUAGAAGUCAAAGUCGCGAAGUCAGAGGGCACCGGACUGUCCGGUGCCGCAAGGAGACAAUGCUCCAACAGUCGACUUUGCUCCGAACCCUAACGGUUGGGUGACGUGGCGGCGCACCGGACAGCCUACAGUGCAUGUCCAGUGGCGCACCAGACUGUCCAGUGCGCCCAUCGCCAGCAGCCUCCCCAACGGCUAUUUUGGUGGUUGAGGGCUAUAAAUACCCCCCAACCACCACAACUCCAAGCAUCCAAGAUUUCUGAACAUCACAUUCAAUACAAGAGCUCUAGCAUUCACUCCUAGACACAAUUUAAAAGAUCAAAGCCUCUCCAAGUCCCAAAUUCAUCUCAAACACUUAGUGACUUGUGAGAGAGAGAUUUCAUGUUCAUUUGAGCUCUUGCCUCUUGGAUUGCCUUUCUUCUUUCUCAUUCUUGUUCUCAAGUGACUUGUAAUCAAAGCAAGAGACACCUAAGAGUGUGGUGGUCCUUGUGGGGUCUUAGUGACCCGAUUGAUUAAGGGAAAGGCUCACUCGGUCUAAGUGACUGCUUUGAGAGAAGAAAAAGGGUUGAUUCUCAUUUAAUUUGUUUUCCCCCUCUCUCCCGGACUUGAUUUUAGUUCUAACGCUAACCCCGGCUUGUAGUGUGUGUUUAAAGUUGUAAAUUUCAGAUUACACCUAUUCACCCCCCCUCUAGGCAACUUUCAACCAUGAUUCAUCAUAUGUGUGAGACUUGGUCCCAGCACACCUGGUGAUUAUGUUCAUGCCCGGGUCUUGGUGCCCCAAAACCCGGGUGUGACAGAAGUGGUAUCAGAGGAAUGUUGACUGUAGGACGAAACCUAAAUAGAACUGGACAACCAUUGUCUACUUACCUUUGCUACUCUGAUUCUUUCUAAACUUUUCUUAAUCUUUUCUCAUCUAUUUUCGCUUACUCUGAUUACUCUAACCUUUUCCUUCUAAAGACAAAUGUGGAUUUUACACUUUGAAAUCCUGCGCCUAAAGUGACCUUUUGGAAUAGGAGACCUACUCUUAGGAACAAAAUCAAAACUAUUUUUGUAAAUAUUUGUAUGCUUGAAUGUUUGUUCUUGUGAUACAUGUCUGAUUUGGAUCUUUGAUUGAGUGUGAUGAGUUGUAGAGUAAUGUCCACAACUACAUUUGCAUAUACAUAUAGGCAUAAAUAUAAAUAAAUAGAAUUCAUAAGAUAACUAUACAACCUAGAUUAUCAUCCAUUAAAGUGUAUUUAUUCUAGAUAGAAUUCUUUAAGUUGAGAAAAAAAUUCUAUUUCAUUCUAACAUGUUCAUCUUAUGUUAAGAAAAAAAUAUCUUAUCCUCAUAAAUUGUUUAUAAGAUAAACUAGACCAACUAAGAAUACCCCAUUGGAAUAUAUCAAGCCUAAUAUAGAUCCAUCUUAUCUUAAAAGACUCUCUCUUAUCUUAAUAGAUCUAUAUUAUCUUAAAAGGAUUCUCUCUUACCUUAAUAAAUUCAUCUUAUCUUAAAGAGAUUUUAUCUUAUCCUAAUAGAUCUAACUGACCUCUAAAGAUUUUACCCUAUCCUUAUGGAUUCAUCUUAUCUUGAAAGAUUCGUCUUAUCUUGAAAGAUUCAUCUUAUCCUAACCCAUUUACUUAUCUCAUCCUAAAGUAACAACCAUAGCCUAUUUAAUGAGAUCUUAUCUAGUCUAUUCUAGUGUCGGUGUUUCGACCCCGGGGGGGUCUCUGGACCGACGAGUAAAUUGUCGCCGCGUGCCCCAGCCCAGAUGGGUCGGCGCGAGACAGAGCGCGAAGGGGGGAAAAAGCCGGAGGGAGACAGGCGUAAAGGGGAAACCCGCGGCCUUCGUGUUUGUCCCGCGCCCAGGUCGGGUGCGCUUGCAGUAGGGGGUUACAAGCGUCCGCGUGGGAGGGAGCGAGAGGCUUACGCGCGCGCCGUCCCGUCCUUCCCCGCGCGGCCAACCCUCCGUAAGAGGGCCUUGGACCUUCCUUUUAUAGGCGUAAGGAGAGGGUCCAGGUGUACAAUGGGAGGUGUAGCAGUGUGCUAACGUGUCUAGCAGAGAAGAGCUAGCGCCCUAAGUACAUGUCAUCGUGGCAGCCGGAGAGGUUUUGGCACCCUGUUCAUGUGAUGUCGUGGCCGUCGAAGGAGCGCUGGAGCCUUGCGGAAGGACAGCUGUCGGGGCUGUUGAGUCCUUGCUGACGUCUCCUUGCUUCCGUAAGGGGGCUGAGAGCCGCCGUCGUCAUGGAGGAUGCGGGGCGCCAUCAUUGUUUGUUUUACCGGGGCGAGCCAGAUGGGACGUCGGUCUUGUUCCCCGUAGCCAGAGUUAGCUAGGGGUAGGGUAAUGAUGGCCCCUCCUGUGACGUGGUCGGUCCGAGCCCUGGGUAGGGCGAGGCAGAGGCUCCUCCGAGGUCGAGGUCGAGUCUGUCUUCCGAGGUCGAGGUCGAGUCCGAGCCCUUGGGUCGGGCGAGACGGAGAUCGUCGGCUGAGGCCGAGGUCGAGUCCGAGCCCUGGGGUCGGGCGAGGCGGAGUUCGUCGUCUUCCGGGGCCGAGCCCGAGUCCGAGCCCUGGGUCGGGCGAGGCGGAGUUCGUCGUCUUCCGGAGCUGAGCCCGAGUCCGAGCCCUGGGUCGGGCGAGGCGGAGUUCGUCGUCUUCCGGGGCUGAGCCCGAGUCCGAGCCCUGGGUCGGGCGAGGCGGAGUUUCCUAUGGCGCCUAAGGCCGGACUUGGCCGCUGUCAGCCUCACUCUAUCGAGUGGCACAGCAGUCGGAGCGACGCGGGCGACGCUAUCUUCUUGUCAGACUGGUCAGUGGAGCGGCGAAGUGACUGCGGUCACUUCGGCUCAAUCGACUGAAGGGCGUGCGUCAGGAUAAGAUGUCAGGCCACCUUUGCAUUAAAUGCUCCUGCGGUACGUUCGGUCGUCGUGGCGAUUUGGCCAAGGUUGCUUCUAGGCGAAGACCGGGCCUCGGGCGAGCCGAAGGUGUGUCCGUUGCUUGAGGGGGCCCUCGGGCGAGACGUAGAUCCUCCAGGGUCGGCUGCCCUUGCCCGAGGCUGGGCUCGGGCGAGGCGAGAUCGUGUCCUUGAGUGGACCGAGCCUCGACUUAAUCGCACCCAUCAGGCCUUUGCAGCUUUGUGCUGAUGGGGGUUACCAGCUGAGAUUAGGAGUCUUGGGGGUACCCCUAAUUAUGGUUCCCGACAGUAGCCCCCGAGCCUCAAAGGGAGUGUUAAUACUCGCUUGGAGGCUUUUGUCGCACUGUUUUGCAAGGGGACCGGCCUUUCUCGGUUGCGUUUUGUUUCGGUGGGUGCGCGCGAGCGCACCCGCCGGGUGUAGCCCCCGAGGCCUCGGAGGAGUGAUUUGACUCCUUCGAUGUCUUGAUGCGUUUCGCGAUGCUUCGGUCGGUCUGGUUGUUCCCUCAUGCGAGCUGGCCGUAGCCCGGGUGCACGGUCGGGUCCCAAGUUCGGCUGGUAUGUUGACGCUGUCAACGGUUUGGCCGGAGCCGGGUUUGCGAGAGCAGCCCCCGAGCCUCUGCACGGAGCGAGAGGACGGUCAAGGACAGACUCGACUUUUUUACAUACGCCCCUGUGUCGCCUUUCUGCAAGGAGGAGGGGGGAAAGCGCCAUGUUGCCCUUGGAGGGCGCCGAACAUGGUGUCUCCAGUGAGCUGCUAACGGGUAAUCCGAGUGGACGCUCGUGCCCCAUUUGUUAGGGGUCGGCUAGAGGCCCGGAGGCACACUCCAAAAGUACCUGCGGGUGAUUUGCCGGACCCGGUCCCCUUUUGACGGGGUCCGAGGGCUCGAUGCCUCCCUCUGAUGGGAUUCCGUUACAAAAUUGUUCCCGUUGGUCUCGGAAAUGACCUACUGUACCUCGGGAGCGUAGCCCGAGCCUUGGUUAUGUAUCGAACGUACCCCGGGUCAUCCCUCGCUCUGCGUCUGAGGCGGCUGUGAACCCUUCGGGGGCCAGCCUACGAACCCCUGAUCAGUAGUGGGCGCGGAGCCCGAGUGGCCUGAGGCGGCCAUUGAACCCUUCCGAGGGGCCGGCCUUCGAACCUCUGACCAGUAGUGGGCGCGGGGCCCGAGCGCUCUGAGGCGGCUGUUGAACCCCUCCGAGGGGCCAGCCUUCGAACCUCUGAUCAGUAGGGGGGCUCGGGGCCCGUUUCCUUCGCGGAGAAGGAUCCCUUUCGGGGUAUCCCCUUUCCCGGUCCCUGUUGUAAGAGAGAGAAAGAGGAGAAGGAAAAGGAUAUGAAAUCGAAAUGACGUGGCGCACCUUUUUUGACGCGGUCAUUAUGGCGAAGGCGAAGCGUCGCCUGCUUCGCCCGCCAAAGGUGCCGCCCGGCCUGCCGCAGAGUUAAUGCGACGGGACGAGUGGUUCACGGGGCGGCCGUUGCGCGUGCGCGAGCCGUUCGAGGAACGGAAACACGGGCACGCCGUCUUCACACCGUGGGAGAGGGUUCUCUCGCUGUCCCCGGAGGGGACGUGAGCUUGGCUGACGACUUGACCGCUGCUUCCGCCCGCCUGCCACCGCCAUUACUGCCGGCCCAUUUCUGGCCGUAUCGACCGUCGCGCCUUCUCCCGCGGCUGACUGACCCGUGAACGAUGUGCCUGGCUGGCACUGUUGGGUCAUACGCAGGGUUGCCUCGAGUCGCGGUACUGGUUCCGCAGUCGAGGAGGCACGGUAGUGGCGUGAGUGGCGGUGCAGUUUCUCGCACGUAGCAACCGGCGCACCGGUUGCAUGACGUGUGGCCUGGGCCCCCAUGCUGGACGCGUUGGAGUCGAAAGGGUGCGCUCACUUGGUGCGGUUGCAUGCCUCCUGCAUGGCGGUCCGCCCUUUCACCCGCUGGUCUGGGCGAAAGUGGAGGAAUGCUUGUAACCGCUGGGCAGUUGCGAGCACCGCGCGUGGCGGUUUGGCUUCUUCUGCCCUGGGCCAGCUUGCAUGACGCGUGGGACCCAGCCCCCGUAUCGUAGGGGGAGGAUCUUGGAGCGUGUUGGAGAAGACUCAGCCCGCGAUGGCUAAGGACGCAAGUGGGGAGAGUCGCCUUUAAAAGGAGGGUGACCCCCUUGAUAGGCAACCAUGUCUUCGCGCUCCCCUCAUGCAUCGUGUCUUUCCACCUUCUGAGCCCCCGGAUGGGGGACACUCGCAGUUCUUCCGCCUUGUCGUUGGAUGAACGCAACUUCGCGGAAGUUGGUACCUUUCAGCCAUCGUUCGACUUCAAGGAUUUUCAUCAGGCAGCCCGGCCGCAUCCCCUCGCCGGUGGUCACCCAAGACGGUGACCACCAGCCCCUGGGUGGGGAGAAGCAAGCCGGGCUGCGGCCUCUGCCCCUCCCUCAGCUUCAAGGAUGUUCAUCAUCAGUGAUGGGGAGGGGAGUGCGCCGAGUUGGGGUCGGUCUCUACGCGGGCAGCGGCCCGCUCCUUCCCUCAGCGAUCGGGGGGAAGGGCGUUCGCCGUUCGUGGCGCUGGCAGCUGCCGCGUGUCCGGCUCUUCGGCCCGAACGGCUUCGGCGCCGCUUCCAGUGCCACCUUCCGCCACGGUAGCCGGAAGAGGUUUCUCCGCCGACGAGAUAGUCGGUGCCGCCCACGGACUGACCUCCAACUCUACGGCCUUCUGCUCGUCCUCGCCCCUCGAGUGGGGACGUGGGCAAGGGCCUUAUGGCAGCAGCAUCCGCCCUGAGGUCAUCGCUGCUGCUGUUCGGUCGCUCGGAGCAGAAGUCGUCGUCGCUGCUGCUGAAGUGGGCAGCGGCGAGCCGUCCGUCGGCCUUCUGUUGCUCCGCAGGCCCUCCAAUCGUGGGGGGUUGUUCGUACCUGCGGAGGUGGAACCGGAGUUCCGUUUGUAAUGGCACCUUGAGUGCCAGUGUCUUGUUCAUUAUGGCUGUCGGGGCCUGAACAUGCAUGUAUUUUCGGCACGGAGCCGUGUUUUUUCCUCAUUUCAAGCACUAAGACUUGCCUGUCGGCUAACUGGACCGCUUAACCAAGUGUGAGUUGCCUCGUGCGAAGGUGACGAGUGAGGUAUCCGUAUCCCGGAGGCGUAGGAGUCCCUCGGCUCGGUCGGCCUUGCCGCCCGAGGCUUCUCUUGCUUAGUUAAAGGAAAUCCUCGGCCGCUCUUCGAUGAGCCGAAGCCCGAGGCAGCGGUGUCAGCAUGGACAGAGGCAGAGUUGCCUCGAAAAGAAGAUUUGGUCGGCCAAAGCCAGGCCGGGCCAUCCACUGGCGGGACCGACGCCAGAGUCGAGUUGCCGAGGCCACGAGCCGGGCUGAUGUCCUCGGGGGACAGCUGGCUGAGGCUUCGGGGUGGCCGACCGAACUGUCUGCUUGAGCCGGAUUCCUGGAUGAGACCCUAGCGGCGAUGGCCCAGGUGCGAUGCUGAUGUCGUCCUUCAGAGUGGAGAUCCUCCGACCACGUUGCCGUCCGAGGCUAGGUCGGACUUCGCCGAAGGUGUAGUUGACGCCGAGGGUGCUGCUGCUCCCUUCAACUGUCAAGGUCCAAGCCUGCAGGAUCGGAUUAUCUUGUAGUGUGCAUAUGUUUUCUGCGGCCGCCGAGGCCCAAACAUACUGUCGUCGUGUUGUAAAGCUGCGUUUCUUUUCCUCUUGUUUCGAGUGUCUGGACUUAUUUAUCGGUAACAGAAUUGUUUGUCCGAGCGAGAGUUACUUUUCACGGAAGGUGAUGAGUGAGGUAUCCGUAUCCCGGAGGCGUAGGAGUCCCUUGGCUCGGUCGGCCUUGCCGCUUACGUGUACUCUUACUCGUCCGUAGGAUUCUGCUAUUGAUAUAGUCGAGAAGGCCCGAAAAAAUCGUUUCGGCAGAAGAAUUUUCGAGCGUGAAGACUUGUUCGGUCCGCGGAGUCACCUAUCCGAGCGUGAGUUACUUAUCGCAGAAGGUGAUGAGUGAGGUAUCCGUAUCUCGGAGGCGUAGGAGUCCCUCGGCUCGGUCAGCCUUGGCUGCUUACGUGUACUCCGUCGUUUUCAGGACCCCACUUUCGAAGUAGUCGAAAAGCACGAAAGACGUUCUGGCAGAAAAGAUCUUUUUCGAGGAAAAUUUUGACGUGGAGGGGGUUCCCCCCUUCUAGCCCCCGAGGGAGGGUCGGGCUUUGCCGAGGCAAGGCUGACCCUUCCUUGAUGGUUAGACUUUGUGUGUGAACGAGGUGUACGAACGACUUGAAAGCAUCUUAAGGGUAGAAGUGACGUAGCUGUCGGAUGUUCCAAGCGUUGUUGUAGACCUCGCCUUGACUGUUGGCCAGCUUGUACGUCCCGGGCUUCAGAACCUUGGCGAUGACGAACGGCCCUUCCUAGGGAGGUGUGAGCUUGUGCCGCCCUCGGGCGUCUUGUCGUAGCCGAAGCACCAAAUUGCCCACCUGGAGGUCUCGGGACCGAACCCCUCGGGCGUGGUAGCGUCGCAGGGACUGCUGGUACCGCGCCGAGUGUAGUAAGGCCAUGUCCCGAGCCUCUUCCAGCUGGUCCAGUGAGUCUUCUCGGUUAGCUCGAUUGUUUUGGUCGUCGUAGGCCCUCGUCCUCGGGGAACCGUAUUCUAAGUCUGUGGGCAAGAUGGCCUCGGCCCCAUGACUAGAAAGAACGGUGUGAAGCCCGUGGCUCGGCUCGGCGUUGUCCUCAGACUCCAGACCACCGAGGGGAGCUCCUUCAUCCAUCGCUUGUCGAACUUGUUGAGGUCGUUGUAGAUCCGCGGCUUGAGCCCUUGCAGAAUCAUGCCGUUGGCACGCUCUACUUGCCCAUUCGUCAUAGGGUGAGCCACGGCGGCCCAGUCCACCCGGAUGUGGUGAUCCCCGCAGAAGUCCAGGAACUUUCUGUCGGUGAACUGGGUGCCGUUGUCGGUGAUGAUGGAGUUCGGGACCCCAAAACAAUGGAUGAUGUUGGUGAAGAACGCCACCGCCUGUUCGGACCUGAUGUUGUUUAGGGGUCGGACCUCGAUCCACUUGGAGAAUUUGUCGAUGGCGACCAGCAGGUGCGUGUAGCCCUCGGGUGCCUUCUGUAAGGGGCCGACGAGGUCCAGCCCCCACACAGCAAACGGCCAGGUGAUGGGUAUCGUCUGUAGGGCCUGAGCGGGCAAGUGUGUCUGCCUCGCAUAGAACUAACACCCUUCGCAGGUGCGGACAAUUCUAGUGGCGUCGGCCACCACGGUCGGCCAUGUUGGUGAUGGCCGCGAUUUUCUCCGGGUUGGCCUCGAUGCCCCGCUCGGAGACGAUGAACCCCAAGAGCAUGCCUCGGGGGACCCCGAAGACACACUUCUCGGGAUUGAGCUUUACGCCUUUCGCCUUGAGACACCGGAAUGUCGUUUCAAGGUCGGAAAGGAGGUCGGAGGCUUUCCUCGUCUUGACUACGAUGUCAUCGACGUAGGCCUCGACCGUUCGACCAAUGUGUUCGCCGAACACGUGGUUCAUGCACCUUUGGUAUGUCGCACCCUCAUUCCUCAAACCGAACGGCAUGGUAACAUAGCAGUACAUGCCGAAAGGUGUGAUGAAAGAAGUCGCGAGCUGGUCGGACUCUUUCAUCCUGAUUUGGUGAUACUCUGAGUAGGCAUCGAGGAAAGACAGGGUUUUGCACCCAGCAGUGGAAUCCACAAUUUGAUCGAUGCGAGGCAGAGGGUAGGGAACUUUUGGACAUGCUUUGUUUAGACCAGUGUAGUCUACACACAUCCGCCAUUUCCCUCCUUUCUUUCUCACAAGCACAGGGUUGGCAAGCCAUUCGGGAUGGAAUACUUCUUUGAUGAACCCUGCCGCCAUUAGCUUGUGGAUCUUCUCGCCUAUGGCUCUGCGCUUUUCUUUGUCGAAUCGGCGCAGAGGCUGCUUCACGGGUCGGGCUCCAGCUCGGAUAUCCAGCGAGUGCUCGGCGACAUCUCUCGGUAUGUCGGGCAUGUCCGAGGGACUUCACGCGAAAACAUCGGCGUUUGCGCGGAGAAAGUCGACGAGCACUGCUUCCUAUUUGGGAUCGAGCUCGGAGUCGAUCUGGAUCUGCUUGGAGGCGUCGUUGCUGGGGUCGAGAGGGACGGACUUAACCGUCUCCGCUGGCUCGAAGUUGCCGGCAUGGCGCUUCACGUCUGGCGCCUCCUUGGAGAGGCUCUCCAGGUCGGCGAUGAGGGCCUCGGAUUCGGCGAGGGCCUCGGCGUACUCCACGCACUCCACGUCGCAUUCGUACGCGUGUCGGUACGUGGGGCCGACGGUGAUGACCCUGUUGGGGCCCGGCAUCUUGAGCUUGAGGUAGGUGUAGUUGGGGACGACCAUGAACUUGGCGUAGCAUGGCCUCCCCAACACUGCGUGGUAGGUUCCUCGGAACCCGACCACCUCGAACGUGAGGGUUUCCCUUCGGAAGUUGGAGGGAGUCCCGAAGCAGACAGGUAGAUCGAGUUGUCCGAGGAGCUGGACGCGUUUCCCGGGGAUGAUCCCGUGGAAAGGCGCCGCGCCCGCCCAGACCGAGGACAGAUCGAUCCGCAGGAGCCCGAGGGUCUCGGCAUAGAUGAUGUUGAGGUUGCUGCCUCCGUCCAUGAGGACCUUGGUGAGCCUGACGUUGCCGACGACGGGGUCAACAACGAGCGGGUACUUCCCCAGGCUCGGCACGCGGUCGGGGUGGUCGCCCUGGUCGAAGGUGAUGGGCUUGUCGGACCAGUCUAAGUAGACUGGCGCCGCCACCUUUACCGAGCAGAUCUCCCGACGCUCUUGCUUGCGGUGCCGAGCUGAGGCGUUCGCCACUUGCCCACCGUAGAUCAUGAAGCAGUCGUGGACCUCGGGGAACUCUCCUGCCUUGUGAUCCUCCUUCUUAUCAUCGUUGCGGGCCCUGCCACCCUCCGCAGGUGGCCCGGCCUUGUGAAAGUGGCGCCGAAGCAUGGCGCACUCCUCAAGGGUGUGCUUGACGGGCCCCUGAUGAUAGGGGCACGGCUCCUUGAGCAUCUUGUCGAAGAGAUUGGCGCCUCCGGGAGGUUUCUGAGGGUUCUUGUACUCAGCGGCGGCGGCGCGUUUUGCUUGCGACUUCUUCUUGUCUUUCUUCUUGGUGCUGCGCUGAGUGGACGCCUCGGGGACAUCUUCCGGCUGGCGGCCCUGGGGCUGCUUAUCCUUCCGGAAGAUGGCCUCAACCGCCUCCUGGCCAGAGGCGAACUUGGUGGCGAUGUCCAUCAGCUCGCUCGCCCUAGUGGGGGUCUUGCGACCCAGCUUGCUCACCAGGUCACGGCAGGUGGUGCCGGCGAGGAACGCGCCGAUGACAUCCGAGUCGGUGACGUUGGGCAGCUCGGUGCGCUGCUUCGAGAAUCGCCGGAUGUAGUCCCGGAGAGACUCUCCCGGCUGCUGGCGGCAGCUUCGGAGAUCCCAGGAGUUCCCAGGGCGCACGUACGUGCCCUGGAAGUUGCCGGCGAAGGCUUGGACCAGGUCAUCCCAGUUGGAGAUCUGCCCCGGAGGCAGGUGCUCCAUCCAGGCUCGAGCGGUGUCGGAGAGGAACAGGGGGAGGUUGGGGAUGAUGAGGUUGUCAUCGUCCAUUCCACCCAGGCGGCAGGCCAGCCGGUAGUCCGCGAGCCACAGUUCCGGCCUCGUCUCCACCGAGUACUUUGUGAUAGUAGUCGGGGUUCGGAACCGGGUCGGGAACGGCGCCCGUCGUAUAGCCCGGCUGAAAGCCUGCGGACCGGGUGGUUCGGGCGAUGGACUCCGAUCUUCCCCGCUGUCGUAGCGUCCCCCACGCCUGGGGUGGUAGCCUCGGCGCACCUUGUCAUCGAGGUGGGCUCGACGUUUGCGGUGAUGGUGCUCGUUGCCGAGGCGACCCGGGGCCGCAGGCGCCGUGUUGCGCGUGCGCCCGGUGUGGACCGAGGCAUCCCGCAUGAAUCGGGAAGUCGUGGCGCGAUGUUCCGAGGGGUACCCCUGCCGUCGGGAGGCAGAGCUUUUGGCCCGUCGGACCGUGGCAUCCUCCAGGAGAUUCUUGAGCUCUCCCUGGAUAUGCCGCCCCUCAGUGGUUGAUGGCUCCGGCAUCGCGCGGAGAAGUAUUGCCGCUGCAGCCAGGUUCUGGUCGACCCCACUGGAAACCGGUGGCGGCCUUGCCCUGACAUCGUCGGCGAUGCGGUGCUGGAUACCCUAGGGUAGAUGACGCGCUUCUCCGGCCGGAGGUUGGCCUGCCCAUUCCUGCCCGAUGUCCCGGCGGAACGGCUCAAGUGUUCCUGCUCCCUCGUCGAGCCUGGCCUGCAUCUCGUGGAUUUGCUCGAGCUGUGAGUCCUGACCCCCCGCAGGGACUGGGACCACAGCUAGCUCCCGUAGGAUGUCAACGCGAGGCGCAGGCCUAGGGGAUCACCGUCCUCCGGUAUACCAAGAUGGUUGCCUUCGCCGAGACCCCCUAGAUUGACGUGGAAACAUUCACGACUUGGGCCGCAGACCUCGUCGCCGAAGCUGCGGCUACCGUCGGAACAGUCGGAAAGGCAGUAGUCGCAUGUGGUCAUGAAGUCCCGCAUGGCACUGGGGUUACCAAGUCCGGAGAAAUCCCAACAAAAGUCGGGCUCGUCAUCUUCCUCGGAACCCGAGGGCCCGUAGGUCGAGACGACUGUCAGCCGGUCCCAGGGUGACCGCAUACCGUACCUUGGAGGGUUUGGACUCGCCUCUAUGAAAGCGUCCACCGAAGCGAAGUCGCUUGGUGGGUCGAGGCUGAAUCCAAAAGGCACGAGAUGGGAAUCGGUCGGUACCACUUGGUCGACGGGCGGUGACGAAGUCACGUCAAGGGCAAACUGCACCGUCGUCUCAGGUACGAGGGUGACGCCCAGCAAGUCUUUUGCGAGCGUGCUGGCGUCAUCCGUCCGCUUGGAGUUGGCGUGUUGUGGGGAAACGGCGCUCGUCUUCGUCUCAGACGCGAGGUCGAUGCCCGACGUGUCCCCCGUUGGGGCGCCGGCGUCGUCGACUCGCUCGACAGCCGACGAGGUGCCGCCUCCUACUUGGCCUUGGUUGCCCCGCCUCCUCCGUCGGCGGGGGAGGCGACGGGACAAACCCGAAUGUUGUUCUUCCGCCACGUGGGGAAGACGUCGUCGAUUCCGCCGCCGGCGGGCGGGUUGUCAGCCGCCAUUGUCGCUGUCGCGCGGCGGGGGAAGGAGUAUCAUGUCGCAGCUGCCGUCGAGGGACAUGAACUCAAGACUCCCGAAACGGAGCACCGUCCCAGGCUGGAAAGGUUGCUGGAGACUACCCAUCUGGAGCUUGACGGGAAGCUGUUCGUCAACACGCAGCAGGCCCCUACCUGGCGCGCCAACUGUCGGCGUUUCGACCCCGGGGGGUCCCUGGACCGACGAGUAAAUUGUCGCCGCGUGCCCCAGCCCAGAUGGGUCAGCGCGAGACGGAGCGCGAAGGGGGGGAAAAGCCGGAGGGAGACAGGCGUAAAAGGGAAAACCUGCGGCCUUCGUGUUUGUCCCACGCCCAGGUCGGGUGCGCUUGCAGUAGGGGGUUACAAGCGUCCGCGUGGGAGGGAGCGAGAGGCUUACGCGCGCACCGUCCCGUCCUUCCCCGCGCGGCCAACCCUCCGUAAGAGGGCCCUGGACCUUCCUUUUAUAGGCGUAAGGAGAGGGUCCAGGUGUACAAUGGGAGGUGUAGCAGUGUGCUAACGUGUCUAGCAGAGAAGAGCUAGCGCCCUAAGUACAUGCCGUCGUGGCAGCCGGAGAGGUUUUGGCACCCUGUUCGUGUGAUGUCGUGGCCGUCGGAGGAGCGCUGGAGCCUUGCGGAAGGACAGCUGUCGGGGCUGUCGAGUCCUUGCUGACGUCUCCUUGCUUCCGUAAGGGGGCUGAGAGCCGCCGUCGUCAUGGAGCAUGUGGGGCGCCAUCAUUGUUUGUUUUACCGGGGCGAGCCAGAUGGGACGCCGGUCUUGUUCCCCAUAGCUAGAGUUAGCUAGGGGUAGGGUAAUGAUGGCCCCUCCUAUGACGUGGUCGGUCCGAGCCCUGGGUAGGGCGAGGCGGAGGCUCCUCCGAGGUCGAGGUCAAGUCUGUCUUCUGAGGUCGAGGUCGAGUCCGAGCCCUUGGGUCGGGCGAGACGGAGAUCGUCGGCUGAGGCCGAGGUCGAGUCCGAGCCCUGGGGUCGGGCGAGGCAGAGUUCGUCGUCUUCCAGGGCCGAGCCCGAGUCUGAGCCCUAGGUCGGGCGAGGCGGAGUUCGUCGUCUUCCGGGGCUGAGCCCGAGUCCGAGCCCUGGGUCGGGCGAGGCGGAGUUCGUCGUCUUCCGGGGCUGAGCCCGAGUCCGAGCCCUGGGUCGGGCGAGGCGGAGUUUACUAUGGCGCCUGAGGCUGGACUUGGCCGCUGUCAGCCUCACUCUGUCGAGUGGCACAGCAGUCGGAGCGACGCGGGCGGCGCUGUCUUCUUGUCAGACUGGUCAGUGGAGCGGCAAAGUGACUGCGGUCACUUUGGCUCAGUCGACUGAAGGGCGUGCGUCAGGAUAAGGUGUCAGGCCACCUUUGCAUUAAAUGCUCCUGCGGUACGGUCGGUCGUCGUGGCGAUUUGGCCAAGGUUGCUUCUAGGCGAAGACCGGGCCUCGGGCGAGCCGAAGGUGUGUCCGUUGCUUGAGGGGGCCCACGGGCGAGACGUAGAUCCUCCGGGGUCGGCUGCCCUUGCCCGAGGCUGGGCUCGGGCGAGGCGAGAUUGUGUCCUUGAGUGGACCGAGCCUCGACUUAAUCGCACCCAUCAGGCCUUUGCAGCUUUGUGCUGAUGGGGGUUACCAGCUGAGAUUAGGAGUCUUGGGGGUACCCCUAAUUAUGGUCCCCGACAUCUAGUCAUACCCAAUCCUAUCUAAUCUAUUAUGAUCAUACCUAAUGUGAGUCACUCAAACGUAAUUAGCUAAUGCUGAGGAAAUACAUUAGACCCUGCUCCUAUAAACAAGUUUGAGAUCUUAGAUCAACCUGACCCUACCCAAUAACUUGACCUACAAAAGUAGAUUACAUAACUAAUCCCAUUUAGCAUAUAGCUACCUACUAAACCCUUUACCCAUCUGUUACCUACCGAUCUAUCUUGACCUCUUGUCCCAAACCCGAAGGGUGACACCUAGGCUCAAGAUUGAAGAGACCAAUCUCAUUAAAGAAGAAUAGGAAUCAAGCUAGACCCCAAAGAAAGCUUGAUCAUGCCAUGUCUACACUCACCUAAUAGCUAAAACCUGAUGUACCCUUUGUUGGUACUUGCCUUUCUGGGCAAAUGGAUCCAACGGGAGAGUGGUGAGAGUGUUUGCAAAGUUCAACGGGGAAUGGUAAUAGCUCUGUUAAAUCUGGCCUCUCAAGGGCACUGUACGGGGGUAUUUAUAGGCACCCGAGUGACCACCGUCCUCUGGUGAGAACAUUUAUGCCCUUGGGUACCCGGACUAUCCCUAGAAUAUUCUCACAAGGGGAGGUUACAGACCGUCAUUACAGAAAAGGCUAUUACAGACGUGGCCCGUAACACGCUUAUCCGCGCGGGGCCCGUUACAGUGGGCCGAAUCCCACAUGGGCCUCCGGACGCGAUGAGGACGUGGGGCUAGCAGACUUUGAUGGAGCCUUGCCUCGUCUUGUAAUGGAAAGGACGAAGGGUGACCGCGUCGAUCCUCAUCCGUUGGCGUAGCGAGGCGACGAAGGCAUCAAGCGAAGGGUAGCGUCUUCGCCUUCGCCCCAACAUUUUCCCUCCGAGGGACCAGUUUGACUAAGUCAUCUGGUGCCGAAGACGUCGCUAGAUGGUGGAGACGCUGCCCUCGCUCGAAGUGGUCCCGCGAGGGGUUUUGAGGUGAUCGUUGAUGGACAUGGCACUGUGGGACUGCGUGUUUCCCGAAGCGCCGCGUCCUGUCUAUAAAAGGGCGGCACGACCGAUGCUGUUUCUUACCCUUGCGUGCGCCGGAAAACCCUAACUUUUUCAAACCGCUCGCCCGCUCGCCUGCCCUCCUUGUUCUUCUGCUUCGGAGAUCUGGCCCGCGUCAAGCAGACCGCGCGCCGCCACCGACGGUACGUAGCAAUGUCUUCUUCCUCAUCUGCUGCGAGUGCGUCACCGGCCGAUCCGUCGUCCGAGGAUACCCUGAGCGAUUUGGCAGCGAUGGAGUUGCAGCCGGGCCACACGGUGGAGUUCAGCACCUUGAGGAUUUCCUCGGUUCGUGUGCAGGAGAUGCAGCAGCUUGGGUACUUCGGUGACGGUGUUGGGCGCGUUUCGGGCGCUGAGGAGAUUCCUGAGCCUGAGGGCGAAUUAGUUGUGUUCGAGGCAUUCUUCAUCGCCGGCCUUCGCCUUCCAGCACAUCGUUUCGUGGUGGAGGUCUUGUAGAGGUUCGACGUCCAGGUCCACCAGUUGACACCUAACGUCGUGGUUGCCCGGGCGAAGUAUUCUGGGCGGUGACUUCGUACGGCGGUCAGCCAUCCGUGGAGGUCUUCGCCAAGAACUAUUGUCUGCACUGGCAAAAGAGGAAAAUUGGUAAUAAGAUUGCACAAUUUGGAUCGUGCACCUUCACGCCGAGGACCGGAAAGACUUUGGCAGAAGUUGUGGAAAUAGUCCCCUGCGCUCGGAACAAGUGGGGCAACUGGUGGGACUAUUGGUUUUAUGUCUCGGGAGGGGAAGUCGAAGAUUUCCCAGGGCUCCCUGUGGCCGUUAUGUGCUCCCACUAUUACGUGGCAUUCCCACCAUUUGAGGUGGCGGAGGAAGAUGAGGACGAAGGGGCCCUCCGGUAUGCUGCCCGCAUGAGUAGCGGGCGUGAUCUGGUUGAGGAGUUCAUUGGAUAUGGAGUGUGGCCCUUGGCCCACGAUUGGGUACUGGGCGAAGUGUGCCCUCGCCAGAUGCCUACCUUGGGCGGGCAGUUGGUGCAAAGUCCUACCUUCGCCUUGGAUUUGCGCGGCCGAAACCCAGCCAUGUUUGUGCGUGAAGUAGAGGAUGGAGCAGUGAAAAUUGUGGGGUGAUAUGUGUCGAGGACGGAGACUUUGCGGAGUUGGGAUAUUCGCGGUUCCAAUGUCCGUUUGAACCGUGUUUUCGAGUUGAACCAUCUGUCGUAUGGCGGUUACCUGGGAGACGACGCUGCUACUACUGUCGGUCGCCGGGGAAAAAAGGCGGUGGCUUCGGUUGAGGAAGGCCCUUCAUGGGAAGCCGCGCCGGCUGUGGUCACUAAAAAGAGAAAACUAGGUACUACGGCUGAAGGGUUGGGGGUCUUCGAUUGUUUUGCUGUGGAUUUAAUGGGAACUUGUGCGGCCCCCGGGGGAAAGAUGUCUUCGCUCGAGCUCCGGGAAUCUUCGGCGCGAAUGCUAGAGGUUACCGAGGGUCGCUGGCCUAGGAAUGUUCCAAUCCCUCGGGCAUCCGGUGAGGACAUUUUUACGUCUCGCUCAGCCCGUGAGAUGAAGAUUUUUCCUUAUAGACGGAAUGUUGUUGUUGUAUCGGCAGUGAUGAAUAAAGAUCGCCAAGAUGCGCGGAAAUGUCGGGUGUUCACUAGGGUCGAGGACCCUAGUCGCAAGGUCAAGAAGGCGUGGGGGAUCUCGAGGUCUACCGCCAUCGGCAGUAGCAAACCACCGCCAGCUGUGAAGCCUGUCGUCCCUGGCCCCAGCAAGCCUUCAUCGGGUGCGAAGGUCGUCGCUCUCGGCUCGAGCAAGCUGCCCUCUGUUGAGCCCACGCAGGAGCGAGGGCCAUCGUCUCCAAUGUGCACUGCCGAGGCGGUGGCAGGUGGGGCCGAACUCUCCAUGGACAUCUGCGUGGAUGACUACAACGUGGGUGGGGUCAUGAUGUUUGAUGCCCGCAUGGGGCGAGGGCUUGCCGGUGAGUCUUUAUUAUUUUAUUAUUAUAUGUGUAUUUUUUUGAUGGGGUCUGGGUCUUGAACAAGACUGUGAUGCAGAGUCGGAUGCUGGGCAAAUAACUGUUGUCCAGGCGCCGGUGGCGGCCGCGUCGGUCGCGGCGACGACCGAGACGAAGGGUGCUUCGCAGGACCCGUGAUCCAAAUUUUGCGCCAGUCGUGAGAUUGCUUCAGCCGCCGCUGCUAAAGACGUGGCGGGCUCAGUUGCGCAGCAGCUGAGGCAUGUAAGUCGUCUUGGACUUCGUCAUUUUUUGUGUUUGUGCGAUUGCGAGUUUGAUGGACUUUUUCAUGGCAGGCGGCUGCCUUCGUUGAUCAUGUUGUGUCGGGCGUUCUGACCUCGGAGUUUGCUACCGAGAGGCAAUGACUUGAGGGGGUAAUUAAGCACCUCCGAACGCAGCACACGGAAGCUGCGCGGGACAAGUCAGCUGCGGAAACAAGAGUCGCAGACUGAUGGAGAAGUUGUCGGUUGCGAAGGCCGAGAGAGAGGAUCUUAGCCGUCUGUUGGCGGCGAAGAAGAAGGAUGCGGAUAGGGCCUGUGCUGAGGCAGAGGCCGCACGUGUCGAGGCCAAGCUCGCGCGUGCUGAGGCCAAUCUCGCUCGCCAACAUGCUGAGGAGGCGGAAGCGAGUCGCAGCAGUCUGCGCGGCUGCCUGGACAAAGCGGAGGCCUCUACUCGCGUAGAGGUCGACCGUACGCAUGCACAGCUCGUGGACGCGUACCGGCAGCUUGGUGCGCGGACUGCUCCCUUUAAUGCGUCCGGUAAGGAUGUAGGCCUCCGCUCUCUCGGAUGGCUGCAGGAGGAGCUAGAGGUGCUCCCGACGAUUGUGACGGGCCUCAUGUCCUUUGCCUCGCUCAUCACCUGUGAAGGGGUCGUGAAUGCCUUGUCUCGUGAGGGAUGCAGGCACUUCGAAGUCUUUGACCAUUCGGACGCAGACUUCGAACGCAGAAGCCUCUUAUAGCAAGGAAACCCUAAAUGAUUAACUAACUUAGUUUUCUGCACUAAGGUAUAAUUGCUAUUAAAUUCUACAUAUCAUAGCAUACAUAUAUCUUAUUCAUUGCAUUCGAUAGAUUGCAACCUCGCGGACGGAGAGUACAUCCUCGUGCCAGAGCAAGGAGUUGCUCAGGAGGUAGCCCCGGAUCCAGCACCAGAGCCUGCCCCAGAGGAUCUGCCUGCCCUAGCUUUGGAAGGCAAGCCCCGGUUUUAUGCAUAACCUAUCUAUUAUGCUAUUUUACUACACUUAAUGAUUGUAGGAUUGAAUGAGCACUUAAGUGUAGGAGUUGUAUGAAACCUUAGUUGCAUGAACUCAGGAUUCCUUUUUAAGAUGGAUACUAGUAUGCUAGGUCGAGUAGCUGCUUUGCUAAUUAGGGAUCUCGGUAGAAGUCGAGUGAUUUUUCUAGCACUCGCGCGAGGUCAGGAAUUGGUUGUAUCCAUUUCUUUUCAUAUCAUAAGGAUGAUGGUAUGUGGACGACGGUCCAUGGGGAUGUGUUGUCUACGAGACGGAAAUUGGAAUAAGGAUUAAGGUGUGGUACCGUGUGUCAAGCGUUUGAACGUACUAAACACAUACCGAGAAAUAUGGUAAAUCGGUAAGCCUAGUACCUGAGUGAACCUGGCAGCAGAUUGCCCUCCUCACGCGACCUGAGACGUGGUCUCCCAUUCCGGUUAUGGUGGGUACAAGUGUGGUCACUGCACGACGGCAGUCGGGGUCAAUGGGGCAUUGUACGCCAAGGCGGUGAGCCCCUCUCUGCUGACGGGGGAUCGAUGGGGACGGUUGGUGUGUGUGGGGAUGGAGUGCCUCGCCACGUCGUGUGUUUAGGUUUACCUUGCAAGGUUUAAAAACUCGAUUCGAAUCGUCUGCUUCUCAUAGCUAAUGAGACUGCUUGAUCCAUGCUGCUACAUUGAGUAAUAAGUGGAAAUGAGUCGACUGGCAAAAGAUGUUGAUUGCUAAAAAUGUUUGAUACCAUGUAUGAAUAGCUAGGUACACAUCUAGUUUAAAAGGAUCAUACUAAAACUUGAAAAGCUAAAACUUGAUUUUUAGACUCAGCUAGUGCUUUUGGCAAACCAAACCCCUCAGCCAAACAGCUGCAUGUCUAGAGGUAGAGGAGUAGAUUCCUCACACCGGGUAAGUCUAGCUGAGUAUUAGUAUACUCAGCCUUGCUUGUGGCAUCAUUUUUUUCAGGUUCUCUGGAGGACAUGGUUGCUGGAAUGACUUGGCCAUCCACCUUGCCACCGGGUUGGACAGUCGAGUGGGACCCUACCUCAGCUGAGGAGGAGCAUGAGGAGUGAUGGGACAGGCUUCCCCGUCUCUCCGCUUACUUAUCGUUAGUUUUAUUCCGCUGCAUUCCGAACAAUGAGCACUACUUUUGCAAAAACUCCGAUGAUGAUGAUGUAAUAAAUUUAAUACUCCUUAAUGUAUGGUUUUAUGUUUUAUUGUAUUUGCUCUGUGCCUCACCAUUGAGUGAGUACGUGGUACUUGAUCCUGUUAGUGGCCUUGUCGGACUCGAUCCGAGGGACUGACGUUUUAUUCCCAUUUAAGUGUGGUCUAGCCUUUAAGGUGGGACUUAGGCACUUAAGUUGGAAUAAUUCGGGCGGUUCCGCCACAGCUGGUAUCGGAGCUCGUACCACCACAGAGGAAUCAAUAAACUAUAAAUACCAUCCUUUUUCAAAGUAAAACUUGGUAGAAACAAAUGUUGGAUAGAUCAUAGGACGAUUAGGAUAGACCUAGGACGUGACGCCUUAGGAUGAUAGAAGGGUAGCUAGGUGGCUAAUUAAGUAAGCCCUACAGGCUACUAUAAGGGAUGGGAGUUCCUUCCUAUUCCCUCUAAGUUGAUGUGAGGUCAUUUAGGACGAGCAUGCAUGCAUCCUUAAUUAAACUAUUUAAUAAGUGGGUAAGAACUUUAAUACAUAAUGAUGACAAAUUAAGUACCCCCAGUACCCUUGUCGUAGCUAUAGCGAGGCUGAGUUGCGAUCCCUUUUUAUUUUAUAAUUCUUUUCUUUUACUUACGCUUAAUCAUACACAGAUGACUUCUCACGGAUCCUCAGACGAAGGGAAUGCACAGUCCCACACUGACGGACUUGCCCGAGAGGGUUUUCCUCGUAUCUUGUGGGAGGUACUUCAGGGAGCUGGCUACACGACGCCUCCCCAGUACACGGUGCAGCUGUUUGAGAAGCAUCGAGUGCCCAGCUGUAGGGUGAGGAUGACCCUGGAGCCUCAUCCCCUAUAGCCAGGCUGGCGUUCGUUGGAUUCGGAAUCUUUUGGAUACAGGGCUCAGGAUACUAUCGAGGCGAUUGCUCUUCACGGACUGACCACCUUCUGUGGAUUCCACCCCUUGGAGCUGUCCACUCACCCCAUUGGUUUGUUCCCCGCGGAGAAGGAGGACGACCCAAUGUGGAAGGACCGAGUGGAGCAUGCCAAGGAUAUAUGGGCUAUCUACCCAGAUCAGACUGCUCACUUGACGGUGCGGUGCAUGAAUGCCCUGUAUCGUCUGUAAGUGAUGCGAGGAGAGGCAAUGUCUCAUCUGAUGGCACUGUUGGAGGCUACCAAGAUCACCUUGGAUAACAGGGAGGAACUUGUAGUAGACUUGUCCACUGAGAUGGCGGAAAAAGACCUACAAGUGGAGCAGUUGUCAGGUGAGAUCUACGAGCUUGAGGAGCUAGUGGGAACCAGGGAGAACACCAUCGAGGUUCUCGAGGAUCAGCUUAUCAACACUCAGCAGCAGCUUGCGGAGGCUAACCAGCAUCUAGAUAUGCACCACCAGGAGAUCCAGGACAUGGAGGCCAACGAGGAUGUCGACAUCGAGGGAGGAGAGGAGCCUGCCUCUAGCUUGGACACUGCUGGCUCAGGGAGACCACCUUCCCCCGAGUCGAGCGUUGCCUCGUUUGCCCACUAGGUCGCAGGGAUAGAGUUAGAAGUCUGUGACGGUAGAACUCCUCGAGACUAGCUUUUGCACCCUUGGGGUACUAGGCUAGUUAGAGUUGAGUCUUUUGAGUUAUUGAUGUAAUCAUGCCAAACUCUUUUGGAAAUAUGGGUGAUGAACGAUGUCAGAUUUAAUUUAAGAAGAAAAGUUUAUGCCAUGUGGAAUCUUUUAUAAUUAUGCAAGCAUAUAUUGGUUUCACCCCUGUGACUCUUUCACCACGAUUUAACGGAAAUAUAAUAUUAAGAAUAUGCAUACUUUUUCAGAUGGCAGGAAGAGCGCGUCGUGGACAGAAUGAGCGCAUUCCUCCACCACCGCCACCACCUCCUACUCUGCAAGAGUUGAUGGCUCAGCAGAACGAGAUCUUGCGACAGUUGGCUCAGCAUCAGCCACCACCUCAGCCUUAUGGUGGUGGUGAUCAUCAGCGUCACCCCGCAGCAGCCACUUAUCAGGAAUUCCUCAGUACCCAACCACCAUUGUUCACCAGGGCUGAUGAUCCACUUGAUGCGGAUGUAUGGCUUAGGGUAGUGGAAUCCAAAUUCCCAAUACUCAAUGGAGUUUGUUCAGAGGUGACUAAGGUCAGGUUCGCCACCCAGCAGCUUCGUGGACCCGCGCGGACAUGGUGGGACCAUUUUCUUGCUAUGCAGCCAGCUGACCAUGAGGUGGAUUGGAGAGAGUUCAAGGCAGCUUUCAGGGGGCAUCACAUACCAGCAGGCAUUAUGGAUUGCAAGCUCAAUGAGUUUCUGGCUCUUACUCAGGGGAACCGGACAGUGUUACAGUAUGCUCAGGCCUUCAAUGACCUGUGCCAGUACGUCGGAUAUCAUGCAGACACCGACGAGAAGAGGGACAGGUUCAGGAGGGGGCUCAGCACUAAGCUCCGUGACCGUCUCAACACCAUCAGGGCCAACAGCUAUAAUGAGUUAGUCAACAUGGCCAUUUCUCAGGAGGACUGUAUCACAGCUCGUCAGGCAGAGAAGAAGAGGAAGACCCCUGUGGUAGGACCUUCAGCUCAGCCACAGCGCUUCAGGAUCGUAUCUGACACUCAGAGCAGAGGACCUUAGCAGCAGCAAGGACGUUGGGUGAUCCGACCACAGCAGCAGCAGGCACCCAACCGCACCCAGUUCCCAGCUCAGAGGAACAAUCAGCCACAGCAGCAGUAGUACCGCCAGGCCAAUGACAACAAGUGUUUCACUUGUGGUAACACUGGGCACUACGCUAAAAAUUGCCCCAGAAACCAGUAGAGGCAGGGACAGAAUGCCAACCAGAACCAAGGCAAGAGGCAGAAAGUGCAAGUGAGGCAGGGCAAACUAAACUUCACCACCAUGGCUAACAUUCCGGAGGGAGCACCCGUCAUGACUGGUAUCUUUUCAGUUUUGAAUUAUCCUGCAAUUAUUCUUUUCGAUUCUAGUGCAUCACACAGUUUUAUCAGUGCCAAAUUUAGUGCCAAGUGCCAAUUACCAUUUCACCACACCAACAGGGGUAUUACAAUUUCAACACCAGGAGGCAGGGUUGCCACCUAUCAAAUUAAUAGGCAGGUGCCUAUAAAAUUUGGUAGUCUUGUGCUUAGAACCACCCUUCUCAUCUUAGGGUUGGAUAGUGUGGACAUUAUAUUGGGAACUGAUUGGUUAUCCAGGCAUUAGGCAGUAUUGGAUAUUGCAGCAAGGGCCAUUGAGAUUCACUCCCCUACUUAUGGCGAGACUACUUUAUAUUUGCCUGAUCAGGGAUGUACCCGUUCUUGUGCAUUCACCAUGAUAGAGCCACCGGUUGAAAGAAUCCCUGUGGUCUGUGACUACCCAGAUGUCUUUCCUGACGAAUUGCCAGGAAUGCCACUGGACAGAGACAUCGAGUUUGCGAUUGAAUUGCAACCCGGGACUGCUCCUAUAUCCAAGAGACCCUAUAGGAUGCCUCCCGCGGAAUAAGCGGAGUUGAAAAAGCAGCUACAAGAGUUGUUGGACAAGGGGUUCAUUCGCCCAAGUACUUCACCUUGGGGAUGCCUAGCCUUGUUUGUAAAGAAGAAGGAUGAAAGUCUGAGAAUGUGUGUCGAUUACCGCCCUCUCAAUACGGUGACCAUCAAGAACAAAUACCCACUGCCCCGCAUUGAUGUUUUGUUUGAUCAGUUGGUGGGAGCCAAAGUGUUCUCCAAGAUAGACCUUUGCUCAGGCUACCACCAAAUCAAGAUCCGUGUCAGUGAUAUUCUGAAGACGGCUUUCUCCACCAUAUGUGGGCUCUAUGAGUUUUUGGUGAUGUCUUUUGGGCUGACCAAUGCCCCGGCCUAUUUUAUGUACCUGAUGAACUCAGUAUUCAUGCCAGAGCUGGACAAAUUUGUGGUGGUUUUCAUUGAUGAUAUUCUGGUCUAUUCCAAGAAUGAAGACGAGCAUACUGAGCAUCUGCACAUUGUGCUUCAGCGACUGCGUGACCAUCGUCUAUAUGCCAAGUUGUCUAAAUGUGAUUUCUGGCUAAGGGAAAUUAAAUUUCUGGGUCACACAAUUUCUCAGGAUGGGAUAUCAGUUGACCCUGAGAAAGUACAAGAAGUAAUGGAUUGGAAACCUCCUACCACAGUGCGGCAGAUUAGGAGUUUUCUGGGAUUGGCAGGGUAUUACCGACGAUUUAUUCCAGAUUUCUCUAGGAUUGCCAAGCCAAUGACUGAAUUGUUGAAGAAAGGAGUCAAAUAUGAAUGGAGCCAGAAAUGUGAGGAUGCUUUUCAUACACUAAGGCAGCAUUUGACAACAGCACCUGUGCUAGCUCAGCCGGACAACACCAAGCCCUUUGAGGUUUAUUGCGAUGCUUCCGAUACUGGAUUGGGAUGUGUCUUAAUGCAAGACAACAGAGUCAUUGCUUAUGCCUCCCGAGCACUCAGACCCCACGAGCAGAACUACCCCACACAUGAUCUGGAGUUAGCAGCUGUGGUUCAUGCUCUCAAGAUAUGGAGACAUUACUUGAUGGGGGCUCACUGUAACAUUUACACUGAUCAUAAGAGUCUCAAAUAUAUCUUCACCUAGGCUGAUCUUAAUAUGAGGCAGAGGAGAUGGUUAGAGCUAAUCAAGGACUAUGAUUUGGAGGUGCAUUACCAUCCUGGCAAAGCCAAUGUUGUGGCAGAUGCCUUAAGCAGGAAGGCCCAGUGCAAUUGUAUGAAUAUGGAUGCAAGAAUCACCACCUUAUGUGAUAAUUUGUGCAAGCUGAACCUAGAAAUCAUUUCCUCCGGAGCUUUAAAUUAUAUUUCAGUGGAGCCCACAUUACAAGAGCAAAUAGUCAUGGCAUAGAUUGGUGACAAGGGUGUUCAAGUUAUUAAGGAAAUGAUCAAGCAAAAGGUAGACAAGUACAAAUGCUUCUGUCAGGACAACAAAGGGAUCUUAUGGUUUGGAGACCGAUUGGUUGUUCCCAAGAACCCCGAGCUUAGAAAGAAGAUAUUGGAUGAAGCUCAUCUUUCAAAAUUUUCCAUGCAUCCAGGCAGUAACAAGAUGUAUCAUGAUCUCAUAUCUUUGUACUGGUGGACCAGGAUGAAGAGAGAAAUCGCUAAGUACAUAUCUGAAUGCAACACUUGCCAGAGAGUCAAGGCCAGUCACUUAAAGGCAGCAGGUGACUUACAGCCUCUUCCCAUACCCUCUUGGAAAUGGGAGGAUAUUUGCAUGGAUUUUAUUGUGCGAUUGCCCAAUACCUCCUGGCAUCACGAUUCUAUUUGGGUCAUUGUGGAUAGAUUGACCAAGACAGCUCAUUUCUUGCCAGUGCAUACCACCCACAGGGCAGAGAAGUAUGCAGAGAUCUACAUUGACCAGAUAGUUCAUCUGCAUGGAAUACCAAGGACUAUUGUGUCUGACAGAGGAGCACCGUUCGUAGCACGUUUUUGGGAGCAAUUGCAAGAAUCACUUGGGACCCAUGUGAUAAGAAGCUCAGCGUACCAUCCUCAGACAUAUGGACAGACAGAGAGGGUGAAUCAGAUUCUCGAGGACAUGUUGAGGGCAUGUGUGCUACACUAUGGAAAGGAUUGGGACAAGUGUCUUUCAUUGGCAGAGUUCUCUUAUAAUAACAGCUACCAGUCCAGUUUGAAGAUGGCACCUUUUGAGGCCUUGUAUGGAAGAAGGUGUAGGACACCACUAAAUUGGUCACAAGCUGGAGAGAGAGAAAUUUUUGGACCAGACUUGGUACUUGAAGCAGAGGAAAAGGUCAGAGUUAUUAAAAGGAACCUAGAAGCUGCUCAGGCCAGGCAAAAGAGCUAUCAUGACAAGAGGAGGAAGCCUCUACAGUUUGAAGUGGGAGAUCAUGUUUAUCUUAAGGUGUCACCCACCAAAGGUGUUCAGAGAUUUGGAAUCAAUGGCAAGUUAGCUCCUCGCUACAUUGGACCCUAUGAGAUCAAAGCAAAUUGUGGACCUGUGGCAUAUCAAUUAAAGUUGCCACCCCACAUGUCAGCAGUUCAUGAUGUGUUCCAUGUAUCUCAGCUACGGAAGUGUGUCCGCUUACCCACUGAAGUACUACCUGAACUAGAAAUUGAGAUAGAACCAGACUUGUCUUAUCAAGAGCACCCCAUCAAGGUAUUGGACCAAAAGGAAAGAUCAACGCGGGCAAGGUCGAUUAAAAUGUAUAAAGUUCAGUGGAGUCACCAUUCAGUAGAAGAGGCUACGUGGGAGACUGAGGAUUUUCUACGUUCUCGCUUCCCCGACUUUCUGCCCAAAGGAAUCGGUACGUAAUCGAAAAACCCCACCCCCACCUGCCCUUUGAAUCUAAAUAUAAGAAAAACCUAGAUGUUAAAGGUUUAGUAAGCUUCGAAAAUAACUUUAGAAGGGCUUCCUUCUGAAGUUGCAAAAAGGAUGACAUUCGAAGAGCAGUUAACUAGAGAACUUGGACAAAGGAAAAAGCAGCACACCAGCACACCUUCAUGGCACCCCUCCCAGGACUCUACCUAAAAUCUCGGGACGAGAUUCCUUUAAGGGUUGAUUUGGUGACAAAGGGAUCCCAGGAGGAUUGGAGGGGAUUGAGGGGGAAAUGAACUAAUUUCCCCCUCAAUCCCCUCCAAUCCUCCCGGGAUCCCAGGUCACCAAAUCAGCUCUAAGGGGGAGGGCUGUAACACCCCAGGUGUUACUUAGGGUGUUCACCCAGGGCUACACUAUUAGACCUAUCAUCACAUGUGGUUUAGUUUGAGCAAAGUACCCCAAACUUGGAGAUCAAGAUCCUAAGUGUAACCCAUCUUAGAUGUCAUGCCUUGGUUUAUUAUGCAAGUAUAUAGGGGAGAAUUCCCCAAACCCUAAUGCAAACCCCUUGGGACAAUUGGAACCCUAGAAGUAAGUAUGACCAAAAGGUUAUGAAAACCACAUGAUCAUGACUUAGGCCAAUUAUAAAAGUUGUAGUACCCUUAAUACCCUACAAAUAAUAGUAAGAAAGUAACCCCAAAAAGAUUUCAGAAAAACCCCAAAAGGUUCACCAAAGGGUUGAGCACAAAAGAAAAAUCAAAAUUUUUCUAAGUCCAAAACCAACCCUUGGCCAAAGAUCAAACAUGUUCACCCUCAUUCCAACUUCAAAACCAUUUGGUCCCAUUGACAAAGUGGCGCCAAAAUACCUCUAGAAUACCCUGGAAAAAUUUGAACCCAACCCUAAGUCGUUGGACAUGACUUGGCACAAGUUUUGUCUUGGUUUGGAUAGCUAGGACAGAGACAACUUCCCACCCCCAUAUCUCUCAAACCCGACCACAUCUACCCUCGGUACUCACAUGAACUAGAUAGCUCUAGGUGCAGGGAAGAAAUCUCUCACCGGUCUUAGGGCAAGAUACACACAAUUUGGCCACUCAACAGAGGGAAGAACAAGGGCAGAAGCAAAGAGCCACGUGUUUGACGCGCUCUGAGCUCGCCAGAGCACGCCGGACGCGCGCCCCCGCGUGCCCCGCGUCGCGCCAAAGCUGAGCCGGCGCCGCUGCCUGCGCCCGCGCCUAUAAAGCCCCUAGAGACGUAGACCGUACUCCUCCUCGCACGCUCGAACUCACCGGCACACCAGCUCACCGGCAUUGUCCCGUGCACGGUGUGCCCGCGGCCACCCGAACACCCGCCACCGUAGACUGGCCAGUAGAGCCUCUCCCAACCCCAUCCGACCCUCGGAGUAGACCGUGCAUGCCUCGAUGAAGCUCCCGGAGCAAGGAAUCGGACUUUUCCUCGCCGGAGAAGCCAGUCCACGGUCGCCGGACUUCACCCGACCGCCGGUGAACGAAGACCGAGCUCCACGGUGAGUUGUUCUUCAAUUCCUUGCACGAGUCGACUCCUUGACACCCUGUGAAGCUCCCCGUGCCAUUGGAUUGACCGGUAUCGCCGUGGUUAGGCCGGAGCACUCGCCGCCGACGAGUUCACCCGCCUGCGCACGUGGACCGGUCGAUUCCGGCCACCACCGUCGUCGAGCCGUACCUCGCUGUGACCGCCAGGACCUCCCGGAGCCAACCCCGUCCCUCGCCGGACCUCUCUCGCCGCCGGUAAGCCGCACCACCCUUUUCCUUUCCGCGGGUACUGUUUACAUAAGGCGAGGGACCUCGGGGGAGAAGAAGAAAAGGGCAGGGGGGUUUGUGCGCUGUCAGUGACUCAAGGGAACAGUAGCGCAGGGGUAUAACUGAAAGGAUUAGUUUAGAAAGAACCCAGGGUCUUUGAUGCAAAUAGGUUUUCCAGGAAACCUUUUUAAAUAUUCUGAUUUAAAUCCAAACAGAACUUGAAAAAUUCAUAACUUCAGUUUUGUUUACCCAAAUCAAGUCAAACCAAUUUUGCCAGAUCCUAAAUAAUGUAAACUACUUAGGAAAAAUAUAAAACCCCUAAGUGUUGAAGAAAACUUUAAGGUUUUGAUUUAAAUGGUUAACUGGUCUAAAGCUAAAAUAAAUAAGGAAAAAUAGCUACACUAUUAGACUGGGAUUAAGAAAAUUCAGAGAAGUAAUUAAUCACUUCCUAACCUGUUAAAAAUUAAUAAACCCCUCUGUACACCAAGUUAAGGUAGAGUUUGCCAUUUAAAUCACUUUUUGCUUAAAGUUAAAGAAAAUAGGAAAUGUAGUUUAAAUGAAGAACCAGGGAGCACCCACAUUUUUGUUAACUUUCUUAUUCAGUAUAGUUUACUAGAAAAAUUUAUUAUACCCUUGUUUAGUACAGAAGAAAUGAAAUACCUCUUAUUUCAAGAAAACAAGGAAAACUUAGAAAAACCCUAGAAAAAUAACCCUGAGGAGAAAACACCCCAAACCUUGGGAUAACUAAAGUUUGUUAUUAUGAACAUAGAAAAAUUAUGAGUUCUGUUGUUUGAUAUUUUUCAAAUAACAAGCUAGUUGUAAGUGUCUUUUUAGCAUUAAACUUUGGAAAAUCAACUCUAAAUAACCACUAAGUAACUUUCUGUGAUUUUUGGCACAGAAGCAUGUUAUCACCUAUAGAUACCAGCAAAAAUAACUCCUAGUACAAAACCAACCCCUAAAUAGGAGUUGUAGUGCAAAGUGACCCCUUUGCCCCAACUCUUGUUAUUUUUUCCCAGGGAUUAUUUUAAUUAUUCUGGACCCCAAAUUUGUAAGACAGACUACAGUAACAAAUAGUAACCCACUGUAAUUUUUACAGGAUUUUUGGAAAAAUUUAAAUCACUGUUGUAGUUCAAACCCACCCUAAAAUCAUGAAUAGAAAAAGAAAAGGGGAAUCUAAUGGUGGAGACUAAUAUUACCCUAACCGAACCAGCAAAACCCCUUGAGUACCCACUGAAAUAUUUAAGGGGCAUCCAAGUCUUAAUCCAUUAUGCUUAGGCAAGAACCUCAAACCUAAAUUGAUAAGCCUAAAACCCUAAGAGCCUCUUAUAGCAAGGAAACCCUAAAUGAUUAACUAACUUAGUUUUCUGCACUAAGGUAUAAUUGCUAUUAAAUUCUACAUAUCAUAGCAUGCAUAUAUCUUAUUCAUUGCAUUCGAUAGAUUGCAACCUCGCGGACGGAGAGUACAUCCUCGUGCCAGAGCAAGGAGUUGCUCAGGAGGUAGCCCCGGAUCCAGCACCAGAGCCUGCCCCAGAGGAUCUGCCUGCCCUAGCUUUGGAAGGCAAGCCCCGGUUUUAUGCAUAACCUAUCCAUUAUGCUAUUUUACUACACUUAAUGAUUGUAGGAUUGAAUGUGCACUUAAGUGUAGGAGUUGUAUGAAACCUUAGUUGCAUGAACUCAGGAUUCCUUUUUGAGAUGGAUACUAGUAUGCUAGGUCGAGUAGAUGCUUUGCUAAUUAGGGAUCUCGGUAGAAGUCGAGUGAUUUUUCUAGCACUCGCGCGAGGUCAGGAAUUGGUUGUAUCCAUUUCUUUUCACAUCAUAAGGAUGAUGGUCUGUGGACGAUGGUCCAUGGGGAUGCGUUGUCUACGAGACGGAAAUUGGAAUAAGGAUUAAGGUGUGGUACCGUGUGUCAAGCGUUUGAACGUACUAAACACAUACCGAGAAAUAUGGUAAAUCAGUAAGCCUAGUACCUGAGUGAACCUGGCAGCAGAUUGCCCUCCUCACACGACCUGAGACGUGGUCUCCCAUUCUGGUUAUGGUGGGUACAAGUGCGGUCACUGCACGACGGCAGUCGGGGUCAGUGGGGCAUUGUAUGCCAAGGCAGUGAGCCCCUCUCUGCUGACGGGGGAUCGAUGGGGACGGUUGGUGUGUGUGGGGACUGAGUGCCGCACCACGUCGUGUGUUUAGGUUUACCUUGCAAGGUUUAAAAACUCGAUUCGAAUCGUCUGCUUCUCGCAGCUAAUGAGACUGCUUGAUCCAUGCUGCUACAUUGAGUAAUAAGUGGAAAUGAGUCGACUGGCAAAAGAUGUUGAUUGCUAAAAAUGUUUGAUACCAUGUAUGAAUAGCUAGGUACACGUCUACUUUAAAAGGAUCAUACUAAAACUUGAAAAGCUAAAACUUGAUUUUUAGACUCAGCUAGUGCUUUUGGCAAACCAAACCCCUCAGCGAAACAGCUGCAUGUCUAGAGGUAAAGGAGUAGACUCCUCACACCGGGUAAGUCUAGCUGAGUAUUUGUAUACUCAGCCUUGCUUGUGGCAUCAUUUUUUAUAGGUUCUCUGGAGGACAUGGUUGCUAGAGUGACUUGGCCAUCCACCUUGCCACCGGGUUGGACAGUCGAGUGGGACCCUACCUCAGCUGAGGAGGAGCAUGAGGAGUGAUGGGACAGGCUUCCUUGUCUCUCCGGUUACUUAUCGUUAGUUUUAUUCCGCUGCAUUCCGAACAAUGAGCACUACUUUUGCAAAAACUCCGAUGAUAACGAUGUAAUAAAUUUAAUACUCCUUAAUGUAUGGUUUUAUGUUUUAUUGUAUUUGCUCUGUGCCUCACCAUCGAGUGAGUACGUGGUACUUGAUCAUGUUAGUGGCCUUGUCGGACUCGAUCCGAGGGACUGACGUUUUAUUCCCAUUUAAGUGUGGUCUAGCCUUUAAGGUGGGACUUAGGCACUUAAGUUGGAAUAAUUCGGGCGGUUGCGCCACACGUCGGGGCUUCGGCCACGUGCCAUGGGCACGCGCAAGGGGCGUUGUGGUUGGGCACACGUCGUACGUCGGCGGGGCUGCGCACGGCGGAGGCGAAUCGUAGGCUCGACUCUGGGCAGCGGCGCGACGGCUCUACGCAGGUGCUUAGCUCGGCCAGCAUGCUGCACAAGGACUAGGGGCGGCCUUGCCACACAUAGGGGCUAGACGCCGUGCAAGGCGGGCACGAGGAAGCUGGUCGUGCGGGGGCCUCGACCGGCGCUGCGGACAUGGUGGGACGUGUAGCCAUGGCUGCACACCGCCACUGCACGAGAAGGGGAGAAAGCGGGCUGCUGCAGGGACUACACGUGUGCGAGGACAUUGGAGCGACAGCGGUUGGAUAGGAGCACAUAGGGACAGGCCACGGGGCUUACCCGCUCGACGACGGUGGCUGGAGGCGCUCGGCACGGACGACGGCGGUGCUCCGGGCGGCUCCUAGCGAGGCGAGGUCGAGCAUGAGGCGAGGGAGAGCAAAAUUGCGCAGGGAGAGAGAGGCGGAGGCGGUUCCAAGCCUUUAGGCGUUUGGUGCGUGUGUCGUGGGUGCCGAAGGGGGUGAAUGGGUAGUUGCAUUGUGGAAGAUCUACAGUGGGGAAGGGCGCUGACGUGUGGGCCCGAAAUAGUGGUUGGCGGCACGGCCGCGGGGCGGGGGCAGCAGCAGGUUGGGCCACACGGACGGCCUAGGUCGGCGAGCGGUGGGCUAGGGCGCACGGUGGGCCGAGGGAGCUAGGCUACGCGCGGGGCUGCAGGCCUGGGCCGAGAUGGAGAGCAGGUCGGGCGGGAGCGCGCCAUGGCGUGGGCCGCACGGGGGAGAAAAGGCCGGAGCGCCGAUGGGCCACGGGGCGCACGCGGGGUGGGCCACGGGAAGGGGAAGGACGGACCGGCUGGGGGAGCUGAGCCCCUUUUCCCUUUUUUUAUUUUCUUUCAUCUUUCCUUUUUCAUUUGCAUAUAUUCCUACUAUGUAAGCUCAAAUUCAGGCACAAACUAUCGAUUAAAUGAAUGCUCAACUAAGUCACUCAUCAAACAAAAAUACACAUGUGCUCCAGCAUGAUGCAACAACCAUUAUUCCCUUGGGAUUUUAUUUUAUUACACUUAACACUUACAAUAUAAAGCAAAAUACUUCUCCAUUAUUUAGAAGAAAGAUAGGAAAGGAAAAGGAAGGAGAGGGUAACUCCUGAAUUUGGUAGAUAUCAGAAAAGAAAUUUUAUACCCCAAAUUCAGGGUGUUACAAACCUAUCCCCCUUAAAAGAAUCUUGCCCCGAGAUUCAAGGUUGGCCAGCAAAGAGCUCAGGGUACUUGGAUUUUAGUUCAUCUUCUCGCUCCCAGGUUGCUUCUUCCUCAGAGUGUGACCUCAUCUGACUUUACACAUUCUGAAGGUAUUCCUCCGAGUGACUCUGUCUGCAGUCUCUAGAAUCUGUGUUGGCUUCUCUAUGUAUGUCAGAUCCUCUUAGACUUCUAGAUCCUCCACCGGCAACUGCUCCUCUAGCACUCUCAGACACUUCUUCAACUGAGACACGUGGAACAUCGUGCACUGCUGACAGACUUUCUGGAAAGCUAAGCUGGUAGGCCACUUCUCCAUGCUUUGCCUGAAUCUGAUAUGGUUCGACAUAUCGGGGUGCUAGUUUGCUCUUGACUCUGAACAUUCUGACUCCUCUGAUGGGUGACACCUUUAAGUACACAUAAUCUCCCACUUCAAAACUCAACUCUCUUCUUCUGGUGUUGGCAUAGCUUCGUUGCCUUGACUGCGCUAUUUUUAGAUUCUCACAAACCAUUUUGAUGUUCUCUUUUGCCUCGAACAAAAUGUCUAGCCCAAACACUUGUAUCUCUCUAGGUUGAUCCCAAUGCAAUGGAGUUCUGCAACUCCUUCCAUAAAGUGCCUGAAAUGGUGACAUCUUCAAGUUGGCCUAAUAAUUGUUGUUGUAGGAGAAUUGUGCAUAAGGUAGCCUCUUAUCCUAUCCGGAUUUGUCUUGUAGUGCACAUGCCCUCAACAUAUCUUCUAGAAUCUGAUUAGUUCUUUCAGUCUAACCGUUUGUCUGCGGGUGAUAAGCGGAACUGAAAUUCAAAUGUGUUCCCAAAGCUUCAUGCAACUGCAGCCCUCAACAAAUAUCAAGCACAAGUCCAAGACACAAGACCAAAAAAGCCCAAGAAUAGAAGCCUAAAGAAUACAAAGGUUGGGCUGUCAGCCGGAUCACCGGAACGAGUCUGUAGAGAGCACAGAAAAGCCAGCUCUCGGCCAGCUGAAGCACCGGACUGGUCCGAUGUGCAAUGGACCGAGUUCAAUGGUCGACAAUGGCUACUUCCAACGGCUCUCUAGCACCGGACCGGGUGAGUGCGCCAACGGACCGUCUAUAGUGCCAGGCGGGUCCAAUGGCUAGAUGACGUGGAGGCUCAGACCGGACGGUCCGGUGCGCUCACAGACAGAAGCCUACAGCUUUACACCAACAACUAGUUUUGAGUGGGAGCUCUAUAUAAAUCCUCUAGCCGGCCAUAUGGAGUUGUGGGAGCCCAAGCAACAUAUCAAGGAAGUCCAUACACAUUUCCAAGUGCUCCAACACCCAAGUUCUCAAUAGAAUCACUCGGUCAUUAGCGUAGGUACUUUGCAAAGUGCUUAGGUUAGUUAAACCGCAUUAGCGCUUGCUCUAGGUUUGUUCCUAGUUGUGUGAGUGAGGUUAGACAACCCACAAACCCCUCGGCUCUUGCGCAAGCCGUUGUAAUAUUGUACCGAGUGGGGCAAAAGUCUUGCGAGACCGUAUUAACCGCGUUUGUGAUGCGGCUGCCACCGUGUACCGGAGGAAACGAGGCUCGCGGCAUUUCGGCUGGAAGCUUGAUAGUGAAGACAGCGGGGAGCGUCCGAGAGGAGCCGGAAGCGGAGCACCACUUGCAUAUGGAGAAGGCUCGCGGCUCUCUAUGGAGUUACUCGUCCAUGGUUCUUGGCCCUCGCGUGGGCUACCCUUUGCGUAGGGGCACCAACGAGGAUUAGUCGGGACCUUGCGUGGUUCCGGAUACCUCGAUAAAAAUUCGGCGGCGUCCACAGGAGUUUGCAUCUCUACCUUUGCUCUUUAGAUUUCCCAUUUACAUUCAAAUAUUUAAGUUCCAUUCUCUCUGUUCCUAGUUUAGAUUUGUUAGGAUUGGAACUUAGGUUGCAAAACUCCUUUUACGGUAGAGAUAGCAACACUUAGACAAAACCUAGUUUGCACAUUCUAGUUAUGUUAUUUGCAUACGUUUUGCUCUAUGGUUUAAUUUGUGGCCUAGAUUAGAGAAAGUUUUUAGAAGUCCUAAUUCACCCCCCCCCCCUCUCUUAGACGUCUCGAUUCCUUUCACUUGUGCCUUUCGUCGCAGCGUCUCUUCCUUCUUUCGCCUUACGUAUUCCUCGAAGCGCUGUUGAUCCUCAGCCGACAGACUCUCAAGAGUCGGCUUCAUGAUGUUGCUGAGAGAAACGUCGGUGUGAUCCUUUGAACCGACCAUAUGUGGCCGAUCUUCGAUAGGACACACCAAACUGUCCCCAGCGGAGUCGCAGAAAAGUGUGUUGGCCCCUAUUUAGGGUCAAACACUAGGGGUUGUACCGCCUAGCGGUGCUCUCUGCGGCAGUGCGGACGGUCCAUAGCUAGGGUCGGACGGUCCGCGACCUUGCGGCAGGAGCGGGUCUUCUCUCCACACAGCUGGGCGGACCGCGCUCUGGGGCCGGACAGUCCACGUGUACGCAGAGGGUGUGUAGAACCCUAGAUCUCACAUCCCAGGAGGGAACCCGUCGGGGAGAAGAGUUCUAGGGGGUGCUUCGGAAUCGGCAGGCCACCUAGGGCAUCCCUAGACGACGUAGAGUCGAAGAGGGACGAAGAUUUGAGGUUGGGGGAAAGCUAAGCUAGGUCUAAAUUACUGCUACUCCUAGGGCAAGAAAGUAAAGGAAAUAAAAUAAAGAUUGAUUGGUUCGAUUGUUGAUGUGCGUAAUCGGUUGUACCCCUUCAUAUAUACAGGGGAGGUCUGGACCCAUUCCUAGACGUCCCUCAAUAGAAUCUGCAUCAUUGGAUGGAUAAGUACGCAUAGAAAGAGGGGUUAUCUCGCCUGAUCUAAUUUUAUCACGGACCGUCCGGGCUCACCCGCGGAUCGUCCGCGACGCGGACCAUCCGGCCUCUCCAGGUGCACAAAUGGUGCUCAAUAGGUCUCAAAAGAAAUUUUUACUCCAACAUUUAGGCCUUAAAUAAUGUUAUUUAGGAAAUAAAUCAUAUUAUUAGGAACUAAAUGGUUGGAGAUUAAGAGGAAACGAGGAUAGAGCUCUAGUAUAUGGUGUACUGUAUUUAGGAUCUGAGAGGCCGGACCCUAUAAUCGUUUGAUAAAAUUUUAUAAAAUAGAGCCGCUGUUGGAAGAGUGUUUAAUGGUUAUGAGCCCUAUAUUUAAAUAGGGCCACAUUUAGAGCCUCUCUUGGAGAUGCUCUAAUUAGCCCAAGGGUUAACUAAAGUUAGGCCGUUUAUUAGUUGUCCUGUUUGGAUGUAAAUAGAUUAAACUUUAGUGGCUAAAGUUUGGUCAUUUGUAUUCAAACACGUCCUUAGCUAGGUCUUUUAUAUAAAAUGUAGUUUGAAUUUGGAGAGUGGGAUGGGGGUGUAGGAUAGCUAUUCUAUAGUACUUAGCCUAACAGAUUAGGAGAGAAAUAAUAAUAGUAUGCUAAUUCAGUUACAAUGCACGCCCAGACAACUUUUGUCUCUCGAUCGAUGAUAAGAUCAUCUAGCCCCCACGUACUCCAAGCGCAUUGAGCCAUAACUAUUUCGUUCAUCCUCAGACCUCAGUGUGGACGUCCAUAAGCUACAUCAUCCGCAGUGUGGUCCGCCUUCGAACUCUAGGUUCGUUUUGUUCCAAGGUUGUCGUCUGCUCAUCGCGGGUGCUUCAUGGUGCGCGAAAUGGCCUGCGCACUUCUGUUCCUUCCUAAGAACCUUCGUAUUUGCUAUGUACCCUGGUGUUUUUGGACUAUCUGAAACUCCCCUCUUCAUAGCCCUUGGCUACAAUGACCUAUGAUGUUGCACCCAAUGAUACAACGAUCGGCACGCGCGCACGCAUUUCUCAACAGCUAGGAAUACUUAUAGCAACAUGACAUUAGUGGGCAAACCAGGCAACCAUUUGAUAACAUAAACCCAGGAAACAUACAGAACUAGCACUUAUUGCAACACGGUCUUUAACUACGACAGAACAACCAAGCACUGCAUGUCAUAAGGUAAAAUGGUACUUUAGUGUUACAAGUAGCACAUAACUUGACACAACAGACAGCUGCUCAAAAGAAACCAGAGAUCCUUUUAGUUACAGCAGCUCAUAACUUGCACCUUGUAGCUUCAUAAAUUUGACCGUUGCUGCAGAUAAAUUAUCAUGAACGUGUCCGACACAAAGCCAAUGAUGACGAGAGAAACAACAGUGUCAAACGAGGCGCACUUAUGACAAUGAAAUGAGAAUUACAAUGAAUGGUCACAAGUUUGUAUGGCCGUAUGGGUUGGAGAGGCAAGGUUGGAUGGGAUAGGGCCAUCCAUGGAUUUAGGAUAGAAUCAUAGAAUGAUGCUCCUACAUGUAUUAGCUCAUUAGGUUGGACGGAUUGCAUGAGCCAAAUUCUUGUUUGGUUGGUUGCAAGUUUUCAAAUGGGAUGAUCCAGCAGAUUUUUGUUUGGUUGGUUGUAUGUGGAUAGAUAAGCAGGGUAUGAUAAUCUUCAAAUUGGUGUGUUCAAGUUUUGACACAUCCAAGGCAUGAUGGGAAACACAAUCAAUAGUUGCUAAACUUGAAUAAUGUAGCUCAUCAUCAUGAAUUGGAUUCCUGCUGAGAAAAUUACAUUACUAACAAAUAAUUAGAGGUCAAAAUUUCACACUGCCGACCACAAGCUGCACAUACACAUGAACAUUUUACUCAACUUACUACCAUUGACUAAAAGCAAGACAAGCCACAGCAUUGCAUUAACCUUUCCGGACAAAUAACUACCACCAACCAAAAUUUCCAAUAACAAACACCACAAACAAUAAGCACUCUUGCAUCUAGAAACAAGCACAACAACUACCUGCCAAAUUCAAAAUCGAACUAAAUUGGCAGCUACAGCCUACAGGUACAACUGCAGAACCAAUUCCUAGGGCCUCCAGGAAUUGCAUGAGCAGUACGAAUUGAGGGAGAACACAGGGGCAGCAGCAAUCAGCCAAGCACUAGCACCAGGAUCCCUGUGCGGACAAAUCAGUGAAAAGGCACUAGAACUAGUAAACGCCAGUGGAGCAGCAGCACAACAACGGAGCACAAAGCACCAGCGUCUGGACAGAGGGCCUGCUGGUUCCCAAUUGCUGUGCGCAUCCCAGUCAGAAACAGGUUAAUGAGGGAUGAGAUUGGGAACAAUUGGAGCAAAAAGAAAAGGCACAUUAGGUGACCACAACCAGUCGCGCAAUAAGUAUUCAACAAGGCCAUGGACUACUCUGUCCACCAGAUUUGCAUGGACAUCCCAUCCAAGAUCUCGGGGGAAUAUCCCCACUGGUUGGGCAUCCCAUCUAACUGAACAACUUUAAAAAAUGGGUUGACCGUCUCCCAUCCACCCCCACCCCACAAAUCAAACACACCAUGAAAUGUUAGGGCUGCAACAAUGAGGUUUGCAAGAGAACCAGAAAAUACUAUAUCUAUUUCAAAACACAAGUCACAGCAGUAUUCAAGACUUCCUAUUUGGAACGUAAUCAUCUGCCUCUUCACUAACCUUCAGUACCUCAGAAGUCAACGAAGGUUUCCCUGCAAGGCCCUAGUUAUUUUCAGUCAUCAAGCUGAGAUGAAACAUACAAACAAUUAAUGUUAGUGAGGGCUUCCGUGAAAGGUACAUUAAAUUUCAAAACAGGCAAGUAGUGAUGCUGAUGCAGUCUUCUCUUACGUGGCAACCCUGGUCUCGUUUUCGUGGUUCUCCACCAACUUUAAAUUCUUCGAGUUCUUAGCCACCCCCUCCAACAACUGGAUUGUUUCCAUUGUCUCCAUCGGAAUGGUUUUAAAGUCGUCCGACUAAUCGCGAUUAGUCGCGAUUAGUCGGACUUAUCGCUGCUGCAAGGCCGAUUAGGGCCACCGACGCGAUUAGGGCGACUAGAAACCUAGUCGUCCGACUAAUCGCGAUUAGUCGGCGAUUAGUCGUCCGAUUAGGGUUGUUCUCGACUAGGUGCUUUGUUUUGGGCUCCAGGCUGCUCUUUUCUAUUUGGGCCGGCCCACCAGGGGGGCUGAAAAGCCUGAAACUGUGCCAAUGCCGUUACAGUCUUUAACCUAGCUGGAGUUGAGCGCCACCGCUUCAUCUGCUUGCUGCUAACUGCUCUGAGCGCCGCCGCCCUCCCCUGCUUGCUGCUGCUCUGAGCGCCGCCGCCCUCCUCUGCUUGCUGCUGCUGUGAGCGCCGCCCUCCUCUGCUUGCUGCUGCUGUGAGCGUCGCCGCCCUUCUCUGCUUGCUGCUGCUCUGAGCGCUGCCGCCCUCCUCUGCUUGCUGCUGCUCUGAGCGCCGCCCUCCUCUGCUUGCUGCUGCUGUGAGCGCCGCCGCCCUCCUCUGCUUGCUGCUGCUCUGAGCGCUGCCGCCCUCCUCUGCUUGCUGCUGCUCUGAGCGCCGCCCUCCUCUGCUUGCUGCUGCUGUAAGCGCCGCCGCCCUCCUCUGCUUGCUGGACGCCCUCCUCUGCUUGCUUUGUUGGAGAUAUAUGACGUUUUGCACUAGUAAGGCUGCUGGAGAUAUACCAGAAGUGUUGUCCUACUAAUCUUGCAGUGUGCUGUUGUAUACUCCAAUCCAAGGUAAGUGUCUAAGUGAUCUUUACCUUUUAGUGAAAACAUGAUCAUUCAUUCAUUCUACAGUUUCAUUGUAAUAUUGUCAAUAGAUUUGCAAUCUAGUAUAUAUAUAUAUAUAUAUGGUCCUGUUAUAGAUGGACGACUAUAGGACGACUAGGGAGUCGACUAGGAUCGACUAAUCGAGCUAAUCGACGACUAAUCGCGAUUAGUCACCUUAUCGGUGCUUAGGCGACUAGAGUCGACUAGCCGACUUUAAAACCUUGCUCCAUCCAUACUCGUACAGUCUUCCAUUGAACCAGAUACUUCAGAGUUCAGAUCUCUAACAUCACUGACCCUACAGAUAGAAGAGAGUAAUCAAAUAUCACUAAUAUGAUGCAACAAUAUUUGCAUUAAGCGAAAUGAAGUUAAGGUUUAAUAUUCAGACAAUACCCCAUAGGCCGCGCUGAUGAGCUGUUCACAGUAGCAGUCUCGCAAGCAAAUUCCUUCCCAAGCUGGGUCAGAACUGAUGCUGUAUGUUCCCUUAUACUCUCACAAGUAAAAACUUCCAUGACCACGUCAUGGUCUCGACUAAGCAAGUCAAAAAUGGACUUAGCCUCUGUUGUGAUACCCUUCAAGUACAUCGUUUUUGCAGUUUGGUUAAAGAAGCUUGACAGGAUAACAGAGGAUUAAAAAAUACACAAUUACUCCCUAUAUUCAUAUUUAUAAGGUGUGGUUUGACUAUCCAAGUUCAUGCUUUGACCAGACAUUAGUCCCAUAAAAUGUGAGUUACGUAACAAUUCCUAAUUAAAAGCACUUGCUACUGACUAUGAUUUUGUAACUACCAACAUAAUACUAUAGGGAGAAUUUACAGCAGAAUAUUGGUUUUUGCAUAGUCAAAAUAAAGCCUAUAAAAUGAAUGGAGAGAGUAUCAGGAACACACCAUCAUGGCACCAGCAGCAACAGCAGAUUCAGAACCUUUGUAGAGCAUAAGAUUCAAGGCAGACCGCCGAACCUUAUUGCAGACGGCGACUUCUUCGGUGGUGUCAAAAUCACAAGGCAAAUAAUUGUACAUUAACUCGGCCUCCUUCGCAAUACACUUGGGACCACAGUUUGCAUUUGGUGCAAAGCAACAAGUUAAACAUGAACCAAUAAUUACUAGAAAACUAGUUUGGCAACAGUUUGGUGUAGUUUGUAGCAAGCAUACCUCCAAGCAUAUAGUUACAAUCAAAGAUUGAUCACCCUCUGAUUGGAUCAUUUGCUUUGCCUGGUCCUUGAUCCGGAGGAUCAGCCUUUUGUCGUCAGGAGUGAGAAAGCUAGCACAGUACCUGAGAAGUGCCUUCUCCAUCUUGAGGCACUGGAAAGCAUUUUGAUUGUUUUUGCAAUGGUGCAAGUUAAUUGGCAACUGAACCAAUAUAUAAAAUAUAAACAAGUAUGGCAGGCCACAGUUCAGUAAUGCAGAGGUAGGGGAACUAUACCGAUUUGGCUGCAGCAAUCAGGGCACUCUUUUCAGCAACAAUCCAUCCAAAUGGAUCAGGCUUCUGCUCGGCACAAAGAAAAGCUUCACGAUUAUGGUCGAAAUAGUCCCCAAGGUAUUUCUUGAACACAUGCAACUCAACAUAACCAGGUCUGUAGGGCACCAGCCUCUUCCAUCCCCAUCCCGUCUCAAGAAGAUCUUGGCAUGGGCAACGAAGAGCUAAUUAGAUGCAACGUGAUACGUAAUAGGCAAAUACUGUAGUAAAAAACUAAGAAACCUCCAAAUUAUAGAACAAAAAACACAGAUAGGAAGGGGGGCAUACAGCUUUGGCACCAAACCGGCAUCAUGAGCAAGCAGGAGCAUGUAUCAUAUAUCUCUGUUAACAUAUUGAUUUUUACAGCAAAUCAACUAACAUCUCUUCCCUAGAUCGGUUGAAUCCAGCACCAGCCACACAAGGAGAACAUGAACUGGAAGAAAUAUAAAAGAAAAUCGCACCUCUGUUCAGUAUCAAAUACACCGGCGGAAGCGACGCCACACCGGCCACCAUCCCCUCCACAGUUUCCAUCCAACUCAACACAUGGUAUCUAGGGACGUACGAAUGAUUGAUCUCCUGUGUGAAGGCAUCUUCUACUCCGGCUUCAUCUGCCAUAGGGUCAUCUGCGGCUGAGGAAUCCAUUUUAGGGUUUCAGAUGCGGGGUGGGGAACAAGUACGGAGCGGCGUAGGAAUUGGAUGCAGAGUUAAGAUUUACGAACCGUUUGCCAUGGGCUGUUGCUGGUGCCUUCUGUACGCCUGGACGCCGUGCCGCAAUGACCCUCCGCCCAGCUUCCCCUGCUGCCGGCUGAUGGCUGACGUUGGUUGCUGGUGAGUCGGUGACGAACAGCAAGUCGUCCGGCAGAUCUGAGGAAGCCGUGCCGACUGCUAGCCUGCUACGCGCAGACGUUGGUGAAGAUUGAAGAAUCGGCAGGGGCGUAGGAGGGGAGGCCGCCGGCACGGAACGAUGGACCGCCGGAUGGCCGGAGAGGUGGAAGAAGCAACAGCCGCAGCCCUGUUUCUCGAUGCGCCGCCGCCUGCGAGAGUGCGAGGCUACGUUUUUCGCCUGGCACACGGGCAGCAACAACCCUAAAAACUUUGCUUUUCCGUUUAUACCCCUGAGUAGACAUGGCCGCACUGAAUUGAUUGAGGGGCUACAUUGGGUAAAAUCAAAAAACGUCUGGUUCAUAUGUGAACCGCCGGGUCACCGGUUCCACGGAAAACCAGUCUUAUUUCCGCUCCGAUUACGGUAACGAUCGUUUAGCUGAACCGGACCACCAACGCCUUUGGCUCUGCGCCCGAAAGAGGGGAGAGUGGCCGACUGGGGGUGGGCCCCACCUGCCAGCGCCGUUAUGCAAGCGGGUCGCCAUUGUGUCACGUGGGGUGUGGCUGACGCGUGUUGCCCGGCGGCAUCCCCCUCCGUUCCUUUUUUACAUUUAGGGCCUGAUUGGUUGCCGUAUCUAGGCAGCAUAGCCGAGCGAGCCAGGUCCGCGGCAGCCUGGCUGUGCAUCGCGUGAGCCUGGCUCCACAGAUGCGCAGAUUUUGGUCGCAUCUCCAGAGCCUGGCCCGAGCUCCUUUUUUGCAUCGCGAGACACAGGCGCUGAUGCAUAUGCGGCAAACCAAACAAGCGGCAAAGUAGCACGCGCCUGGUUACGUGGAUGCAACCUACAACCAAACACACUAUGGCCGCAUACCGUGAGCCUGGUUGGCCUAUAUGCGGGCAACCAAUCAGGCCCUUACUUGUUACAUUUCACCCUCUAGGGUAAAAUUAAAUAUAGGUCCAGGAACAAAAGAGGAAGGGCAUAAAUUAAAUUAUUUAUUUGUAUUUUUGCCCUUGGAUGAUUCAACUUUUGAAUAAAAAUUGUAUUUGAAUUUAUUCAAAUGAAAAUUAAAUUAAUUAAUCUAAAAUUUUAUAAAUACGCACAUGAUGACAUGAUUAUAAUGCACUUAGAGUAAAUUAUGAUACGGAGUAUCACAGUUUAGCCUUUUGUCCCUCUUAACAAUGUUCAAAUGAGAUGGUGCUAAAUCUAAACAUAUAUACAAAACACAUACACUCCCUCCGUUCAAAUUAUAUAAGGUCGGAAGCCUCUCGCCCCGUCUAUAUCCAAAUAGUUAUCAUUGAGUUUAGAUAUAGAUAUAAAACCAUAUAUAGAAUAAUACAUGAAUUUAUUUAAAACUCAAAACUUCUUGUAAUCUAGGAGGGGAAUAUUUGAAAUUCAAAGCCUCCUUUAAUUUUGUGGUGGUGAGAGUAUAUAAUUAACAUUAAUAUUUUUCUUUUAUAAACUAAUUUAAAUUCAAAAUGGGACUAUAGUAGUUUCAAAUUUUGGCUCAGCCAAAGGACGGCAGCACGAUUACUCAUAGCUACCAGCAUGUCCAUACCGCGCCCAUCCCCCCCGCUUAGGCCUAAACUGUUUAGGCGUUGUUUGGAUACUUUUGUAUUCACCCCAAUCUAUAUAUGUUGAGGUGGAUUGCUAUGGAACUUAAACUAAUUUACACCCCAAUCCACCUCAAUACAUGUGGAUUGAGAUGAAUACGAGAGUAUCCAAACAAGGUCUUAGUUACUCUUGGAAUGAGACGAGUUGUAGUGGAUUAGAAGUGAUUGAGGAGAAUUUAGAUCUGUUAUGGAUUUAAACACACUCUAAUUCCCAAGACCACUCCAAUCCAAGAGUAUCGAGUGUGGGAGAUAGAUAUCCCCUGGGUCACCGAGACACAGAUACACACCAUGGGCCGCUUGAGAGGACCCCAAUAAGUCGUCCAGCAGGGCACCUAAUGGGCCUCGACUAGGCGCAACGGAAGCCAACUGAAGUGGUGAUGCAUAGGAUAAGAGGAAGUCCCAAAGCAUGCGGAACAGGCAUACCGGUCGCACGCAAGUCUCACGGAAGAAUCACCUAAGCCCCGGAGAUGUGCCCCGUGUACGCGUCACUAUCAGGAGGAAGCAACCGAACGCAGGAAGACUCGGCAUGCUUGUAGCAAAGGAAAGUAGGCUCAGAUAGACUCAAUGAUCUGUACAGGGAUAUCUCUUCAGUCGACUAUAUAAGGCGGAGGAGGUACCCCAACAAAAAAGAGGGAGACUCCAUUAGAUCGAUAGUCAACUCCAUCUUCAUCCUCUAGCAAUCAUCUGUGACCCCCGAACUCGAAACAAUCUAAUACUCAGCAUCACACAUGACGUAGGAUGUUACGCACUUGUGCGGUCCGAACCUGUCUAAAUUCCCCGUGUUCCGACGUGCCCCCGCACGUACCAUCGAGCAGCGAUCGACGUCGCUGUCCUCCUAAAAGCACUGCGUGGUUUACCCCGUAGUGCACAGUCGGUACCAAACAUCGAUAACCAGCGCCAGCUCCAUGGCCAUCACCUUUAACACCGCGAUUGUCUUCAACGUCAAGGAGGUUUUCCACUUCGGAUCCCUCUCCUACAUCACCGACCGAAGGGGAAUCCUGCACCGCGUCGUGGACGCAGGGAGAGGAGCCCCUACAACGUGAGGCACGCCUUCGCCGGAACCGGUGCUGGAAUGUCCGGCGUCACCACACGGCCGGGGAACGGGACCCCACCCAGCCCGUUUCUCAGGACGAGGCGUCCGAGGCUGGAGAGACCCCAGAUGAACAGGCAUUUCAUGAACAGUGGAACUCCCGACAACGAGACUGUUGUCUCGCCCAAGAUCACGAGCUAGAGCUGGCGGAACACAACGCCCCGCAUCGGCGUGAUCACCUGUCUCUUCCACGGAACCUGCUACCCAACUUCGCUCGAGCCAUGCAAACUUCGAGUGAAGUUGGUGGAAUGCUGGCUCCGAUCGCCAACGGCGUACCCUGAACACCAGACACGGAAGGCUAUCAGGAGAUCCUCACGCGAGCGGCAAACCACCACCUCCCACCAGCUCAUCCGGAAGAGGAGUGAUGACAAACUGGUCCUUAUGCGAGAGGGACAAUCCUUCAUGCUCACACCUAACCCGGCUGAGCCAUCACCUUAAAGCCCUCCUAAUCCAGGGAGUCUCUGAUCAUCCUGCUCAAAGGUGACAAGGGUGAUAACCCUUUAUCAUACCCAUUUUGAAAAACAUUUUCUUUUGAAAAAACUCACACAUUUUUUCAAAUCAUUUUGUAACAAAAAAUUGUAAAGAGUAUUCAGAAAAUUUUGCGGCGAAGUUCUAAGGCUGGGCGGCCAUAUUAACAUGUCUCUUAGUAGCAAAAUCAUACAAUGCAUAAAAUAACAGGCUGAGGGAUGUGUUUGAAAACAUAGGUAAUUUAUGCAUCAAUGGGAUCCAGUGAGCUUGUCGUGCUUUAACCAGCGAAAGGGUGAGAGCUCGCGGUACUAGCUUUUGGCUUCACCAUCUAGCAUAGACUCGUGGAAUCAGUCUUCACGGGACAGCACGAACGCUCUGAUAACUACGUAGCAAGAACAAGCAAACAUACAAACCAGCAAGUAUAUCAACAAAUAUUCAUUAUAGUGGUCAGGAAUGGUGGUGGAUGGGUGAAUAUUGUUUCGAGUAUAGUUUGUGUUGACAGAGUAGAGAUGCUUACCCGAAGGGUAUAUUGGAGGUGAACUAACACUAGAACUGUAGUGGCAGAGCGGGGUACCGAGUGGGUGGGGGUUCGCCUUGGCUUAGGGUGCUGAGGGUGUGGGGGAGGGAGAGGGUAACUCUCUAAGUGUAUUUAUAGUUGGAUGUGUAUGGCUUAGUAUGGUAGAGUUUACUAUUUAUGAAAAUAGUGGUGAAAGAAUUGUCUGACUCAUUUCAAAUGGGAAAAUUAUAGGCAACAUAUGAGACGAGUAUUUUUGGAGUUUUAUGAAAUAUGAACCAUGCUUACGGGAUGACAUGGUUGGAUAGAGGGUAAUUUGAUAAGAAUUUAGAAAUCAGAACUGUCGAAACCAGAGUGUGGACGGAGGAGUUUUGGAUUUUACAAUCAUAGGAAUUAGAAAAAGAAAAGGAAAAAAGGGAAUAUUCCUAGAAUAUUCCAAAAUUUGAAUAUUUAGAGAUAUUUGGAAAACCAAAAAUACAAAUGUGUGUAUUUUUAGCAGGGUGCCAGGAAUUAUUUCUGGGCUAUUCAUGGGUGGAGGUUUAUGUUGGUCACAAUUGUUCCUACCUACUGUGUCACAUGGGACAACAGUAAGGCGGGACCCAGAUAGCUAGAAUACUGUGAUAUUCUGGUCCGGGUGGGCUGUGGUAUCUUGGGCCAGGUUUUAUAGGAUUGACGGCGUAUCCAUACAAACAUGGUUCGUCUUUCUUUUUGGAAGCCUAGUUUGAAAAAACCUCAAAGUUAAGCGUGCUCAACUCGGAGCAAUUCUGGGAUGGGUGACCAACCGGGAAGUUCUUACUGGAAGGAAAAUCACAGUCACUGGAGUUCGUAUGACUGAGAUAUUGGUCUGGCAGGUCUUAGGUGAGCUGAUCAUCAUGAUGGAUGAGUAGUUGAAUGAUUGGGCGAUCGGAUGAACGAUGAAUAGUAGGUUGAACAAUCCAAAUAACGAUGAAUAGUGACUAUGAAUGAUCCGAUGAACGGUGAAUAGUCCAUAUGAACGAACGAUGAACGAUGAAUAGUUCAUAUGAACAAAUGAUGAACGAUGAAUAGGGAUUAUGGACGAAUGAUCGGAUGAACGAACGAUUGGAAUUUCGACAGCAUAAUGACUGAACAAUAAUUAUUUGGACAAACGAACGGACGAACGAUUGAACGAUCGGACAAACGAACGAACGAACCAUGAACGAUCGGAUGAACGAUCGAACGAUUGGAUGAACGAACUGAAAGUCGCCUAGAGGGGGGUGGAUAGGCGAAACCUGAAAUUUAUAAACUUAAGCACACACUACAAGCGGCGGUUAGCUUUAGAAUUAAAACUCAAGUCCGAAAUAGAGGGAAAACAAAUCAACCAAGAAAUAGGGCGAUUGGACACGGUGAUUUGUUUUACAGAGGUUCGGUUCCAAAGAACCUAGUCCCCGUUGAGGUGGUCACAAAGACCGGGUCUCUUUCAAUCCUUUCCCUCUCUCAAACGGUCACUUAGACCGAGUGAGCUUUCUCCUUAAUCAAAUGGGUCACUUAGACCCCGCAAGGACCACCACACACUUAGGUGUCUCUUGUUUUGAUUACAAGUCACUUGGGAUGUAUGAGAAAGGAAGAAAGGCAAUCCAAGAAGCAAGAGCUCAAAAGAACACAAAAUCUCUCUCUCACAAGUCACUAAGUGUUUGAGAUGAAUUUGGGACUUGUAGAGGCUUUGAUCUUUUGAAUUGUGUCUAGGAGUGAAUGCUUGAGCUCUUGUAUUGAAUGUGAUACUCAGAAAUCUUGGAUGCUUGGAGUUGUGGUGGUUGGGGGUAUUUAUAGCUCUCAACCACCAAAGAAGUCGUCGGGGAGGCUGCUGGCGAUGGGCGCACCGGACAGUCCGGUGCACCACCGGACAGGUCCUGUUCACUGUCCGGUGCGCUGCCAUGUCACCCAACCAUUAGGGUUCGGAGCUCGGUCGACCGUUGGAGCUUUGUCUUCUUGUGGCACAGGACAGUCCAGUGCGCCUCUGACAGUGCGCGCACUAAUCUUCACUGUUCCUCUGUCAGCGGCUUUUGCAGUCGACCGUUGGAGCGAGUAGUUGUUGCUCUGCUGGCACACCGGACAAUCCGGUGAAUUAUAGCGGAGCACGGCUCAGUUUUCUCGAGAGUGGCUGGUUCAUCUUCGUACGGACAUGGUGCACCGGACAGUCCGGUGCGCCAGUCCAUAACACACUCAAGUCUUUGCUCCUUUUAAUUUUAGUCCCUAACUUGAAUCUUUUAUUGGUUUGUGUUGAACCUUAUGCACCUGUAAUACAUGAGUUCUAGAGCAAACUAGUUAGUCCAUAUGUUUGUGUUGACGAUCAACCAUCAAAAUUAAUUAUAGGAAAAGGUUAGCCCUAUUUCCCUUUCAAUCUCCCCCUUUUUGGUGAUUGAUGCCAACACAAACCAAAGCAAAUAUAAAGUGCAGAAAUGAACUAGUUUGCAUAUAGUAAGUGCAUAGGUUACUUCGAUUUAAACCAAUAUGAUAAUCUCACUAGAUAUGAAUGGAUUGCUUUCUUUAAUUUAACAUUUUGGACCACUUUUGCACCACUUGUUUUUUUGCAAAUCCUUUUUGAAAACCUUUUCAAAGUCUUUUCGCAAAUAGUCAAAGGUAUAUGAAUAAGAUUGCAGGAAGCAUUUUCAAGAUUUGAAAUUUCUCCCCUUGUUUCAAAUGCUUUUCCAUUGACUAAAUAAAAACUCCCCCUGAAUGAAAUUCUCCUCUUAGCUCUCAAGAGGGGUUUUAAAUGGAUAUCAAUUUUGAAAUCUUCUUUUCAUAAACAUAGAUACCAAUUGAUACCAAUUUGAAAAUACAUUAUUUGAAAAAGUCAUUUCAAAAAUUUUGAAACGGUGGUGGUGCGGUCCUUUUGCUUUGGGCUUAAUAUUUUCUCCUCCUUUGGCAUUAAUCGCAAAAAACAGAGAAUGUUGGAGCCCUUUUAUCUUUUCUCCCCCAUUGAUAAAAGAAAUAUAAGUGAAAGAUUAUACCAAUUGGAGAGAUGGCGGAAUACCGACAAAGGGUAAAUAAUACCGAUGGAGUUGAGUGGAAGCGUUGUCUUUGCCGAAUACUCCAUUUCCCUUUCAAUCUAAGACUAAUACAAUAUAUACUCAUGGAAACAUAUUAGUCUUAGCCUUGGCACAAGAAGAAUAAGAAAUAUGCAAUUGUACAAAUGAAAGAGACAUGAUCAAAGGUAUAUAAAAGAGCUAUGUGUGCAACUUUUUAAUCAAAAUUCCGAGAAUCAAGAAUAUUUAGCUCAUUCCUAAGUUUGCUAAAGGUUUUUUCACUAGGGGCUUGGUAAAGAUAUCGGCUAAUUGAUCUUUGGUGUUAACCUAAGCUAUUUCGAUAUCCCCCCUUUGUUGGUGAUCUCUCAAAAAGUGAUACCGAAUGUCUAUGUGCUUAGUGCAGCUGUGUUCAACAGGAUUAUCCGCCAUACGGAUUGCACUCUCAUUAUCACAUAGGAGAGGGACUUUGCUCAAUUUGUAGCAUAGUCCCUGAGGGUUUGCCUCAUCCAAAGUAAUUGCGCACAACAAUGGCCUACAGCAAUAUACUCGACUUCGGUGGUAGAAAGAGCUACGGAGUUUUGUUUCUUUGAAGCCCAAGACACCAGGGAUGUCCAUAGAAACUGACAAGUCCCUGAUGUGCUCUUCCUAUCAAUUUUACACCCUGCCCAAUCGGCAUCUGAAUAUCCUAUUAAAUCAAAUGUGGAUCCCUUGGGGUACCAAAGCCCAAACUUAGGAGUGUAAACUAAGUAUCGCAUGAUUCUCUUCACGGCCCUAAGGUGAACUUCCUUAGGAUUUGCCUGAAAUCUUGCACACAUGCAUACAGAAAGCAUAAUAUCCGAUCGAGAUGCACAUAAAUAGAGUAAAGAUCCUAUCAUCAACCGGUAUACCUUUUGAUCUACGGAUUUACCUCCCGUAUCGAGGUCGAGAUGCCCAUUUGUUCCCAUGGGUGUCUUGAUGGGUUUGCCAUCCUUCAUCCCAAACUUCUUAAGUAUGUCCUGAAUGUACUUUGUUUGGCUGAUGAAGGUUCCAUCUUGGAGUUGCUUGAUUUGAAAUCCUAGGAAAUAUCUCAACUCCCCCAUCAUUGACAUCUCGAAUUUUUGAACCAUAAUCCUACUGAACUCUUCACAAGUAGACUUGUUAGUAGACCCAAAUAUGAUAUCAUCAACAUAAAUUUGGCAUAUAAACAAGUAUUUUCAACAGUUUUAGUAAAGAGAGUAGGAUCGGCUUUUCCGACUUUGAAGCCAUUAGUGAUAAGGAAAUCUCGCAGGCAUUCAUACCAUGCUCUUGGGGCUUGCUUCAGCCCAUAAAGCGCCUUUGAGAGUUUGUAAACAUGGUUAGGGUACUCACUAUCUUCAAAGCCAGGAGGUUGCUCAAUAUAGACCUCUUCCUUGAUGGGUCCAUUGAGGAAGGCACUUUUCACGUCCAUUUGAUAAAGCUUAAAGCCAUGGUAAGUAGCAUAGGCAAGUAUUAUGUGAAUUGACUCAAGCCUAGCUACCGGUGCAUAAGUUUCAUCGAAAUCCAAACCUUCGACUUGUGAAUACCCUUUGGCCACAAGUCGGGCUUUGUUCCUUGUCACCACACCAUGCUCAUCUUUCUUGUUGCGGAAUACCCAUUUGGUACAUACAACAUUUUGAUUAGGACGUGGAACUAAAUGCCAUACCUCAUUUCUCAUGAAGUUGUUGAGCUCCUCUUGCAUUGCCAGCACCCAAUCCGGAUCUCUUAGUGCAUCCUCCACCUUGUAUGGCUCAAUAGAGGACACAAAAGAGUAAUGUUCACAAAAAUGUGCAACCCGAGAUCUAGUAGUUACCCCCUUAUAAAUGUCACCAAGGAUGGAGUUGACGGAGUGAUCUUGUUGAAUUGCUUGGUGGACUCUUGGGUGUGGCGGUCUUUGACCCUGUAUUUCUCGCUCAUCUUCCUUGUCUUUAUCAUUGUCAUCUCCCCUUGAUCAUUGUCCUCCUCUUGAGGUGGCUCAUCUUCUUGAUCUUCUUCUUCAUCACCUUGGGCAUGUUCCUCAUCUUGACUUGGUGGAGAUGCUUGCAUGGAAGAUGAUGGUUGAUCUUGUGUUUUGUAGAGGCUCUUCGAAUUCCUUAGGACACACAUCCUCGAUGGACAUGUUCCUUAGCGCGACGCACGAGGCCUCUUCAUCAUCUAGCUCAUCAAGAUCAACUUGCUCCACUUGGGAGCCAUUAGUCUCAUCAAACACAAUGUCACAAGAAACUUCAACUAAUCCAGUGGACUUGUUGAAGACUUUAUAUGCCCUUGUGUUUGAGUCAUAACCAAGUAAAAAGCCUUCUACAGCUUUGGGAGCAAAUUUAGAUUUUCUACCUUUUUAACAAGAAUAAAGCAUUUACUCCUAAAGACUCUAAAAUAUGAAACAUUAGGCUUUUUACCAGUGAGGAGUUCAUAAGAUGUCUUCUUGAGGAUUCGGUAAAGAUAUAACCGGUUGAUGGAGUAGCAAGCAGUGUUGAUUGCUUCCGCCCAAAAUCGGUCUGGUGUCUUGUACUCAUCAAGCAUGGUUCUUGCCAUGUCCAGUAGAGUUCUAUUCUUCCUCUCCACUACACCAUUUUGUUGAGGUGUGUAGGGAGAAGAGAACUCAUGCUUGAUGCCCUCAUCCUCAAGAAAUCCUUCAAUUUGAGAAUUCUUGAACUCUGUCCCGUUGUCGCUUCUUAUCUUUUUGAUUCUCAAGCCGAACUCAUUUUGAGCCCUUCUCAAGAAUCCUUUUAAUGUAUCUUGGGUCUGAGAUUUUUCCUGCAAAAAGAACACCCAAGUGAAGCAAGAAUAAUCAUCCACAAUAACUAGAUAGUACUUACUCGUGCCGAUGCUUAUAUAAGCUAUCGGGCCGAAUAAAUCCAUGUAGAGUAGCUUGAGCGGCCUGUCCGUUGUCAUGAUGUUCUUGUGUGGAUGAUGAGUACCAACUUGCUUUCCUGCUUGGCAUGCGCUACAAACCCUGUCUUUCUCAAAAUGAACAUUUGUUAGUCCUAAAAUGUGUUCUCCCUUUAGAAGCUUGUGAAGAUUCUUCAUUCCAACAUGGGCAAGUCGGCGAUGCCAGAGCCAGCUCAUAUUAGUCUUAGCAAUUAAGCAAGUGUCGAGUUUAGCUUUGUUAUCAUUAAAACCAACUAAAUAUAGCUGACCCUCUAACACUCCCUUAAAUGCUAUUGAAUCAUCACAUUUUCUGAAGACAGUAACACAAAUAUCACUAAAAAUACAGUUGUAGCCCAUUUUACAUAAUUGAGAUACAGAAAGCAAAUUGUAAUCUAACGAAUCUACAAGAAAAACAUUGCAAAUAGAAUGGUCAGGAGAUAUAGCAAUUUUACCCAAUCCUUUGACCAAACCUUGAUUUUCAUCCCCGAAUGUGAUAGCUCUUUGGGGAUCUUCGUUUUUCUCGUAGGAGGAGAACAUUCUCUUCUCCCCUGUCAUGUGGUUUGUGCAUCCACUAUCGAUUAUCCAACUUGAUCCACCGGACGCAUAAACCUGCAAAACAAUUAAGGCCUUGUUCUUAGGUACCCAAAUAGUCUUGGGUCCUUUCACGUUAGAAACAAGCACCUUGGGUACCCAAACACAAGUUUUGGAGCUCUUGUGUUUGCCCCCAAUAUAUUUGGCAACUACUUUGCCUGAUUUGUUAGUUAAAACAUAAGAUGCAUCAAAAGCCUUAAAUGAAAUAUUAUGUUUAUUUGAUGCAGCAGAAGUUUUCUUUUUAGGCAUUUUAACAUGGGUGGAAUGCCUAGAGCUAGAGGCCUCAUUCUUAUACAUGAAUGUAUGAUGAGAAACAGUGUGAGGUUUUCUAGCAUGAAUUUUCCUAAUUUUGUGCUUAGGAUAAUUAGCAGGAUAUAAAAUGUAACCUUCAUUAUCCUAAGCCAUGGGAGCCUUGCCCUUAACAAAAUUAGACAAUCUUUUGGGGUAUUAAGCUUGACAUUGCUUCCCUGUUGGAAACCAAUGCCAUCCUUAAUGCUAGGGCGUCUCCUAUUAUAGAGCAUGCUACGAGCAAAUUUAAAAUUUUCAUUUUCAAGCUCAUGCUCGACAAUUUUAGCAUUUAAUGUAGCUAUGUGAUCAUUUUGUUGUUUAAUCAUAGCAAUGUGAUCAUCAAUAGCUUCUACAUUAACAUCUCUACAUCUAGUGCAAAUAGAAACAUGCUCAACAGUAGAUGUAGAGGGUUGUAAACAUUUAAUUCUUCUAUCUUAGCAUGUAAUAUGGCAUUCUCAUUUCUAAGACAGGAAAUAGAAUCAUUGCAAACAUUCAUUUUUUCAAUCUUAGAAAUCAAACUAUCAUUUUCAGUUCUAAGACUAGAAAUUUUAUCAUUGCAAAUAUUUAAUUCGUCAAUCUUAGCAUUUAGACUAGCAUUUUCAUUUCUAAGACUGAUAAUUGAAUCAUGACAAAUGCUAAGCUCCUUAGUCAAGUUUUCACAAUUUUCUACUUCCUGAACAUAAGCAUUCUUCAACUUAACAUGUUUUUUGUUUUCUUUAAUAAGGAAGCCCUCUUGGCUUUCUAAGAUAUCAUCCUUCUAAUGAAUAGCUUCUAUUAAUUUAUUUAAUUUUUUUUCUUUUGUUCCAUGCUGAGGUUGGCAAAAAGAGUAAGUAAAUCAUCUUCAUUUUCACUAGAGCUACCCUCAUCACUAGAUGUUGUAUAUUUAGGGGUGGCUCUAGAAUGUACCUUAUUUUUCUUGUCGUCCUUGGCCAUGAAACAUUUUUGGCCAACGUUGGGGAAGAGGAGUCCCUUGUUGACAACGAUGUUGAAAGGGAAAUGUGCCCUUGUGCCAUUUCUAAGUAUUUUGGUGAUCGAGUGCCAACACAAAUGGUUUAAGUGUGAAACUAUGCCAAAUGGUAGAAGAAGUGCAAAUCAACACAAAGGUAUGAUUCUAGACUUAGUACAUUGGUUUUUAUGUACUAACAUGUUUGUCUAAGUGCUAGAAUCAGAGAAAAGAUAAAAGAAAAAAGAGUUGGCUGUGAACAGCUAACUUCUGCUCAGUCUGGGUGCACCGGACUGUCCGGUGGUGCACCGGACAGUGUCCGGUGCGCCAGGCUGGCUCUGGCGAAAAGGCCGCUCUCGGGAAUUCGUCGGCGGCGUACGACUAAAAAUCACCGGACUGUCCGGUGAGCCAACGGUCGGCCGCGCAAUCCGCGCGUGACGCGUGGCCGAGCCAACGGUCUGAUGGGGGCACCGAACUGUCCGGUGUGCACCAGACAGUGUCCGGUGCGCCAACGGCUCCAAAUUCUCAAUGGUCGUCUGCGCCAGAAUAGAAAAGAAAUCAGCACUGGACAGUGUCCGGUGGUGCACCGGACUGUCCGGUGCACCACCCGACAGAAGGCAAGAAUUGCCUUCCUGGAUUGCUCUCAACGGCUCCUAGCUGCCUUGGGGCUAUAAAAGGGACCCCUAGGCGCAUGGAGGAGAACACCAAGCAUUCUUUGAUCAUCCCUAAGCACCAAGACUUCAUUCUAGCGCAUUUGUUUCAUUGUGAUAGCAAUUUGAGCUCCUCUUGAGUUGAAUACUCCGUGUGUGAACUUAGAGCUCAAGUUGUUGGCUAGUGUGCGUGUUUGUGCUCUUGCUUUGAGUCUUGUGUGUGUUGCUUUUCCCACCCUUACUUUCGUGCUUCUUUGUGAUUAUCAAAUUGUAAGGGCGAGAGGCUCCAAGUUGUGGAGAUUCCUCGCGAACGGGAUAUAGUGAAAGAAAGAGAAACACCAUGGUAUUCAAGUGGAUCUUUGGAUCACUUGAGAGGGGUUGAGUGCAACCCUCGUCCGUUGGGAUGCUACAACAUGAAGUAGGCAAGUUUUGUACUUGGCCGAACCACGGGAUAACUCGCGUGUCUUUUGUGAUUGCUUUUCUGUGAUACUUGUGUUCACAAAAGCUCGCCAUUUAGUCUACUAACUCUUAAUCAAAUUUUGUGGCUUUAAGUUUCAAGUUUUUAUAGGAUCACCUAUUCACCCCCCCUCUAGGUGCUCUCAAUUGGUAUAGGAGCCGUUCUCUUCAUGAAAGGGACUAAUCGCCCGAAGAGAUGGAUCCUAAGGGAAAGGGGAUGGUGGUCAACGAUAAGGAGAAGGAGUCCACCUUCAACGAGCCAAGAGACGAUAAGCCCAUCGACUCUGGCUCAAGUCACAAAAGGAAAGAUGGGAAGAAGAAGAGGCACAUCAAGAAGAUAGUCUACUACGACAGCGACGAGUCUUCCUCUUCCCAAAAAGACAACGACUACGAGAAAAAGAAAACGGUCAACUCAAACUUUUCUUUUGAUUACUCUCGUAUUCCGCAUAAUUCAAAUGCACAUUUGUUUUCCAUUCCUCUUGGUAAACCUCCUCACUUUGAUGGAGAGGACUACGGAUUUUGGAGUCACAAAAUGCAUAGCCACUUGUUCUCUCUUCAUCCAAGUAUAUGGGAGAUAGUAGAGAAUGGAAUGCAAUUUGAUAGUACAGAUAAUCCCAUGUUUAUCAAUGAACAAAUUCACAAAAAUGCAUAAGCUACCACUGUUCUUUUAGCAUCCUUGUGCAGGGAAGAAUACCAUAAGGUGAGCGGCUUGGAUAACGCCAAGCAGAUUUGGGACACCCUCAAGAUCUCGCAUGAGGGGAAUGAUGUCACCAUGCUCACCAAGAUGGAGUUGGUGGAGGGCGAACUAGGAAGGUUCGCAAUGAUCAGGGGGGAGGAGCCAACCCAAACAUACAACAGGCUCAAGACCCUGGUCAAUAAAAUAAGGAACUAUGGAAGCACGAGAUGGACGGACCACGACGUCGUCCGACUUAUGCUAAGGUCUUUCACUGUCCUUGAUCCACAUCUUGUAAACUCCAUUCGUGAAAAUCCUAGGUACACCAAGAUGUCGCCCGAGGAAAUACUUGGAAAGUUUGUAAGCAGGCGAAUGAUGAUCAAAGAGGCAAGAUACGUUGAUGAGGCGUUGAAUGGCCCAAUCCACGAGCCUUAAACCAUUGCUCUCAAAGCAACAAGUAGCAGGGAGGCGCUACCUAGCAAGGUGGCGCAAGUUGAGGCGGCCGGGCUUAACGAGGAAGAAAUGGCCCUCAUCAUUGAAAGUCGCCUAGAGGGGGUGAAUAGGGCGAAACUGAAAUUUACAAAGUUAAUCACAACUACAAGCCGGGUUAGCGUUAGAAAAAUAAUCGAGUCCACGAGAGAGGGUGCAAAACAAAUCGCAAGCGAAUAAAGAGUGUGACACGCGGAUUUGUUUUACCGAGGUUCGGUUCUCGCAAACCUACUCCCCGUUGAGGAAGCCACAAAGGCCGGGUCUUUUUCAACCCCUUCCCUCUCUCAAACGGUCCCUCGGACCGAGUGAGCUUUCUCUUCUCAAAUCAACCGGGAACAAAACUUCCCCGCAAGGACCACCACACAAUUGGUGUCUCUUGCCUCGGUUACAAGUGAGUAUGAAUCUCAAGAAAGAAUGAGAAAGUAGAAAGUAAUCCAAGCGCAAGAGCUCAAAAGAACACGACAAAUCACUCUCACUAGUCACUAAAGCUUUUGUGGAAUUGGGAGAGGAUUUGAUCACUUGGAUGUGUCUUGUAUUGAAUGCCUAGCUCUUGUAAGUAGUUGAAAGGUGGAAAACUUGGAUGACUUGAAUGUAGGGUGGUUGGGGGUAUUUAUAACCCCAACCACCAAACUAGCCGUUUGGUGGAGGCUGUCUGUCGCAUGGUGCACCGGACAGUCCGGUGCGCCAGCCACGUCACUAGGUCGUUGGGUUCCGACCGUUGGAGCUCUGACUGCUGGGCCCGCCUGGAUGUCCAGUGGCACACCGGACAUGUACUGUAGAGUGUCCGGUGCGCCGUCUCGCGCGUGCCUGACUUCUGCGCGCUCUGGCGCGCAUUAAAUGACUCUGCAGGUGACCGUUGGCGCGAAGUAGCCAUUGCUCCGCUGGCUCACCGGACAGUCCGGUGUACACCGGACAGUCCGGUGAAUUAUAGCGGAGCGAAUUCCCAAAGUUGGCGAGUUCAGAGACACUUCAUUCCUGGAGCACCGGACACUGUCCGGUGUACACCGGACAGUCCGGUGAAUUAUAGCGGAGCGCCUCUGAGGUUUCCCGAAGGUGAAGAGUUUGGCUUGAAGUCUCCUGGUGCACCGGACACUGUCCGGUGGCACACCGGACAGUCCGAUGCGCCAGACCAGGGCUGCCUUCGGUUAUCCCUUGCUCUCUUUGUUGAACCCAUUUCUUGGUCUUUUUAUUGGCUAAGUGUGAACCUUUGGCACCUGUAUAACUUAUAGACUAGAGCAAACUAGUUAGUCCAAUUAUUUGUGUUGGGCAAUUUCAACCACCAAAAUCAAUUAGAAAAUAGGUGUAAGCCUAAUUCCCUUUCAAUCAUCAAGCGCUUCAAGAUGACGCUAAAGGGUCGCAAGGAGCAUCCCAAAAAGAACAAGACGAAGGGAAAGCGCACCUGCUUCAAGUGUGGUAAGACUGGUCACUUUAUUGCUAACUGUCCCGAUAAUGAUAGUGACCAGGGACAAGAUAAAAGCGGGAAGAAGGAAAAGAAGAAGGCGUACAAGAAGGCUAAGGGCGAGGCACACCUUGGCAAAGAGUGGGACUCGGAUUGUUCGUCGUCCGACUCCGAUGACGAAGGACUCGCCGCCACCGCCUUCAACAAAUCGUCGCUCUUCCCCAACGAGCGCCACACUUGCCUAAUGGCAAAGGAAAAGAAGGUAAUCACUAGAGAAACUCCUAAGUACUCUACUUCUAGUGAUGAGGACUCUAGUGAUGAUGAUAAUGAAAUUGAUUACACUAGCUUGUUCAAAGGAUUGGAUAGAACUAAGAUAGAAAAGAUCAAUGAAUUAAUCUAUGCUUUGAAUGAGAAGAAUAGAUUGUUAGAAAAGCAAGAGGAUCUUUUAUAUGAAGAGCAUGAUAAAUUUGUAAACGUGCAAAAGUCUCUUGCUCUAGAAGUUAAAAGAAAUGAAAUGCUUUCAUGUGAAUUUUUUGCUUGUCAUGAGACUAUUUCUAGUUUAAAGAGCAUUAAUGAUGAUUUAAAUGCAAAAUUAGUAGAAGCAAAUAAGACUAAUUCUCAUGUGGAACAUGUAGUAAUUUGCAAUAGGUGUAAGGAUUUCAAUGUUGAUGCUUGCAAUGAACAUUUAAUUUCCAUUUCUAAAUUAAAUGAUGAAGUAGCUAGUCUUAAUGCCCAACUUAAGACUAGCAAAAAUGAUUUUGAUAAACUAAAAUUUGCAAGGGAUACCUACACUAGUGGUAGACACCCCUCUAUUAAGGAUGGGCUUGGCUUUCGAAGGGAAGCUAAGAACUUAACAAGUCAUAAGGCUCCCAUCUCCGCCAAGGAGAAAGGGAAGGCCCCUAUGGCUAAUAGUGUUCAUAAAAAUCAUGCUUUCAUGUAUCAUGAUAGGAGAUUUUCUAGAAAUGUUCAUUAUAAUAGGAGUUUUAAUGCUUAUGAUUCUCAUGCCAUGUUUGGUUCAAGUUCUUCCUUUGCGCAUGGUAGAAAUAUGUCUAGGAACAAUGUUGUUCAUCAUGUACCUAAGAAAAUGCAAAAUAAAUCUGCUACUGUUUUUCAUGCCUGCAACACUGAUUUUGUACUUACAUGUAAAAAUAAGAAAGUGGUUGCUAGGAAAUUAGGGGCAAAAUGCAAGGGAGAUAAAACUUGCAUUUGGGUCCCUAAGGCUAUUAUUACUAACCUUGUAGGACCCAACAAGAGUUGGGUACCUAAAACCCAAGCCUAAUUUGCCUUGCAGGUUUAUGCAUCCGGGGGCUCAAGCUGAAUUAUCGACAGCGGAUGCACAAACCACAUGACGGGGGAGAAGAAGAUGUUCACCUCCUAAGUCAAGAACAAAGAUUCCCAAGACUCAAUCAUAUUCGGUGACGGGAAUCAAGGCAAGGUUAAAGGAUUAGGAAAAAUAGCUAUUUCUUCCGAGCAUUCCAUAUCUAAUGUGUUUUUAGUAGAAUCGCUCGGGUAUAUUUUGUUGUCCGUUAGUCAAUUAUGUAAUAUGGGUUACAAUUGCUUAUUUACAAAAGUAGAUGUGUCUGUCUUUAGAAGGAGUGAUGGUUCAUUAGCGUUUAAGGGUGUACUAGACGACAAACUCUAUUUAGUUGAUUUUUCGAAAGAGGAGGCCGAUCUAGAUGCAUGCUUAAUCGCUAAGACUAGCAUGGGCUGGCUGUGGCAUCACCGUCUAGCACAUGUGGGGAUGAAUAACCUUCACAAACUUCUAAAGGGAGAACAUGUGUUAGGUCUAACAAAUGUAACUUUCGAAAAAGAUAGACCUUGUGCAGCUUGUCAAGCAGGUAAACAAGUGGGAAGUGCCCAUCACAGCAAGAAUGUGAUGACCACAUCAAGACCUCUGGAGCUGCUACAUAUGGACCUCUUCGGACCCAUCGCCUAUCUCAGCAUAGGAGGAAGUAAGUAUGGUCUUGUUAUAGUCGAUGAUUUUUCCCGCUUCACUUGGGUAUUCUUUUUGCAGGAUAAAGCAGAAACCCAAGGGACCCUCAAGCGCUUCCUAUGGAGAGCUCAAAAUGAAUUUGAGCUCAAGGUGAAAAAGAUAAGAAGCGACAACGGGUCCGAGUUCAAGAACCUUCAAGUGGAGGAAUACCUUGAGGAGGAAGGAAUCAAGCAUGAGUUCUCCGCUCCCUACACACCACAGCAAAAUGGUGUGGUAGAGAGGAAGAACAGGACACUCAUAGACAUGGCGAGGACAAUGCUUGGAGAAUUCAAGACGCCUGAGCGGUUUUGGUCGGAAGCUGUGAACAGGGCAUGCCACGCCAUAAACCGGGUCUACCUUCAUCGCCUCCUCAAGAAGAGGUCAUACGAACUACUAACCGGUAACAAACCCAACGUUUCAUAUUUUCGAGUUUUUGGGAGUAAAUGCUACAUUCUAGUGAAGAAAGGUAGAAAUUCAAAAUUUGCUCCCAAAGCUAUAGAAGGGUUUUGUUAGAUUAUGACUCAAAUACAAAGGCGUAUAGAGUCUUCAACAAAUCAUCGGGUUUGGUUGAAGUCUCUAAUGACGUUGUAUUUGAUGAGACUAAUGGCUCUCCAAGAGAGCAAGUUGAUCUUGAUGAUGUAGAUGAGGAUGAUGUUCCAACGGACGCAAUUCGCACCAUGGCAAUUGGAGAUGUGCGACCAUAGGAACAAAAUGAGCAAGAUCAACCUUCUUCCUCAACAAUGGUGCAUCCCCCAACUCAAGACGAUGAACAGGUUCAUCAAGAAGAGGCGUGUGAUCAAGGGGGAGCACAAGACGAUCAAGUUGAAGAGGAAGAAGCACCACAAGCCCCUCCAACUCAAGUUCGAGCGAUGAUUCAAAGGAAUCAUCCCGUUGACCAGAUUUUGGGUGACAUUAGCAAGGGAGUAACCGCUCGCUCUAGAUUAGCUAAUUUUUGUGAGCAUUACUCUUUUGUCUCUUCUAUUGAGCCUUUUAGGGUAGAAGAGGCCCUGCUAGAUCCGGACUGGGUGUUGGCCAUGCUGGAAGAGCUCAACAACUUCAAGCGAAAUGAAGUUUGGACACUGGUGCCUCGUCCCAAGCAAAACGUUGUGGGAACCAAGUGGGUGUUCCGCAACAAACAGGACGAGCAUGGGGUGGUGACAAGGAACAAGGCACGACUUGUGGCAAAAGGUUAUGCCCAAGUCGCAGGUUUGGACUUUGAGGAGACUUUUGCUCCUGUGGCUAGGCUAGAAUCGAUUCGUAUCUUGUUAGCCUAUGCCGCUCACCAUUCUUUCAGGUUGUUCCAAAUGGACGUGAAGAGCGCUUUCCUCAACGGGCCAAUCAAGGAGGAGGCGUACGUGGAGCAACCCUCUAGCUUUGAGGAUGAACGGUACCCCGACCACGUGUGUAAGCUCUCUAAGGCACUCUAUGGACUUAAGCAAGCCCCAAGAGCAUGGCAUGAAUGCCUUAGAGAUUUUCUAAUUGCUAAUACUUUCAAGGUUGGGAAAGUCGAACCAACUCUAUUUACUAAGACUUGUGAUGGUGACUUAUUUGUGUGCCAAAUUUAUGUCGAUGACAUAAUAUUUGGUUCUACUAAUCAAAAGUCUUGUGAAGAGUUUAGCAGGGUGAUGACACAGAAGUUCGAGAUGUCGAUAAUGGGCGAGUUGAACUACUUCCUUGGGUUCCAAGUGAAGCAACUCAAGGACGACACCUUCAUCUCUCAAACGAAGUAUACGCAAGACUUGCUCAAGCGGUUUGGGAUGAAGGACGCCAAGCCCGCAAAGACUCCAAUGGGAACCGACGGACAUGUCGACCUCAACAAAGGAGGUAAGUCCAUUGAUCAAAAGGCAUACCGGUCUAUGAUAGGGUCUUUACUUUAUUUAUGUGCUAGUAGACCGGAUAUUAUACUUAGCGUAUGCAUUCCCAUGUAGAGAUAAUAUCUCCUAGUUGAGAUUAUACUUCCCUAAUGGAACCCUUCCAGAAGAAACAAAGUCUGUGUUGAACACCAAAGUUUGAUAAUCCCUAUCAAGGGACAAAGACCCAUACAAACCCGAGAGGAAUAAGAUGAGGUAACAAAGGACUUGAAGUUCACCGAAGAAGCACAUGUACAUUCCAUGAGUUUUACUCAUGUUAUAUUCUACUAGAUGGAGAAUUAUGAUAUCCUCUAAAGCCCUACUGGUAGAACCCUAAAUGGUUUAGGUGUUACUGGCAAAAUAUCCCCAUUGUGCCAGAAUGACAUACUAUAACUAUGUAUUUGAUUGAUGAGAAUCCCUAAUGGAUUACGAUCUUUGAUAGUCUUUUGUUACAUCAUCAUAGAAGUUGAACAGUCAUAUUUAGAAUAUGUACUAUUGCAACUAUUAUAUCCCCUAAGUCCUUUGGAAGGACAAAUUAUUUGUUUUACACAACCAUGUAUACAUUAUGAUCUAUGAUAGAAUGAAAAGUGUAUCACCCCAACCUGAUCCAUCCUCAUUAUUUUAGAUGAACAAUGAGACAUAUAUCUUGAAGAAUAUGUUUGAAUUAUGAGGGAUAAUGACUUUGACAGAUGUCAUCAUGAGGGGAGUGAAUGCUUAUUUUGAUCACAAUUGUGAUACACUAAAUGUCAUAUUGUAUACCCUGAAGGCAUCAACUUGAUUAUCAAUAUGUGAACCUUUAUGAAAGUUUCUACCAUAUAGAUCCAGUCAAUCGAACACCACCAAUCAAAGUGGCUUAUUUAUGUUGAUAUGUGCACUUACCUCGUGUAUCCUAGAAGUGAGUUAAGGUGAAGUUCCGAGAUAAUCCUUGCGACAAUAUGCAAUCUGUUUGCUAAAUCUCUGCAUGCAUAUACUUCCAGAAGGAGGUGUUUUGCCAUACUGAGAUAGUUUUGCAAGGAUCAGGGGAGCACAUUUCUAAAGUUAGCCUUUAUAGAAGAUUUGAUGGAAUCUAGAUCUAGAAGAUCGAAAUCUAUCCUGAUGACAAUUGUUGUACUCUUUUUCUCUUGGUGAGUUUCCUAAAGUUUCUCACAUGAGUUUUUUUAACGAGGCAACAAAGUGAAAAUGCAAUUUGCGUCACCAUGCACUCUUUCUCCAUAUUUUCCCACUGGACUUUUAGGAGUUUUAACGAGGCAACAAAGUGUAUAACGAAUAUAUAUAGAGACACGAUACUCAUCAGGGGUAUAUUCGAUAUGAGCCCACCAAACCUUAGGGUUAGGUUUCUUAACAUGGCUAAAGUGUAGACACGUCAGCUAAACUUGAUUGUUUGAGCAGCAGGCUUCGCCUCUUCGGGCUUCUGCUGGGGGGGCUGGUCAUCGGUAGUUGGGCCUGAGACCAGGUGGACGAUGGCCUCUGGCCCAUGGACCAAAAGGCGUGAAGCCGUGAAAAGACAGUAGAGAAUGAACCUUUUCGUCCCUAUUAGUGGGUUUUUUUUGUUUGCAUAAAUGGUUCAGGCUCGUGCUCGCCCAUGGGUCAUGGCCAUGACCCAAGCAUGGUCCGAUGCAUUGGGUUGGGCUGGGCUAGCCCGAAAUAAUUUUGUGUCGUGCAUGUCGUGCUUUUUUCCUGUCUUGUGUCAACCCGCCAGACCCGACCCAAAUGUACAACUCUAAUGCAUCUAGGGAGCAAAAGUAGCUUCUACCGCCAGAAGCUCUCCAUAAGCUAAGGGAGUGUUUGACACAGCUCAACUUCAUAUAAACCAGCUCAGCUUCAUAAUAAACUUCACAGUUGAGCAUCCCUGUUUCAAAAUAACGAAGUUUCUAAAUAUGUUUGGCUUGGAGAUCAACUUUAGCUUUAAUAAAAUGAGAUUUUGUUUAGAAAAGUCUCUUGUACCCUUGAAUAUGUAUGGGAUUGUUUUUGUUGUUGUAGUCAAUUAAUACUCCCUCUGUUCUUUGUUAGUUGUAAUUGUUUAGUUUAAAAAUGAACCAAUGUACGAUAAAUAUUCGAAAAUAGAGGUAGUAUUAGAGGUCUUGUCAUCGCGUGGCCAAUCAAAUGCACCAAGCAUGAAAAUGAUUAUCGUUCAUCUACUCAAUGUAUAGUAACCAUAAUGACCAAGUUGGGAAAAAAGUUCACUAAACAACUGACUAGUUCAUAUGGCAUGCAAGAAAAGCUGAAUAACUGUCGUGACUUGCAGACCAUUGGACGCGUGGGUGUGGAGGUCGAAGCCCUCAUGCUAACGUCUAUCGGAUUCCCCACGCCCGGUUGUGUCGAGGCAGCUAGGUGGCAUGCCUAAGCUCCGGCUGCCCGCACCAGGGUUCACAAUUUCGUUUGCAUAGAUACGAAUUUCGUUUUGUUGACUAAAAAUGAAUUUCAUAUUUUUAUAUUUUAAAUCGAAAUCUACUUAAAUUCGGAACAAAAUUUGAUUUUCGGUGAGUAACGAAAAAGGAAUAAUUCAUCGAAACCCGCUGAUUUCAAUUUGAGAAAGUGAACGCUGGACCGCACGCACAGGUCCCUGCGACCGCCACAACGAUGUUAGCAAGCUCAAGCAGCUCCGCGCUGAGGUUUGCUGGCGCACGUCACAUGUUUAGGAGGGCUUCAUUUCAAGAAUUGCAGCUUCGGUUUUGUAGCUUCGCCAUGAAAUGACUUCAACAGAUUAUUAAUACAUGAUUCAAGGGUGUUUGGUUUACACAUAGACUCUAGCUUCCGUAAUAUAAUUAAUUUGUGCGAGUUUUCUUAAUUACCUUUGAUGAUUAACGGGUGGAGAAAGGGACAUGAAUUGAUAGGUCAUGUAACCAAUGUCAUGGUUGGUAAUUUUUGUGCAACUUCAUGAGGAGGUAUGAAAACAAUGUUUUUGAAGCACCCUUCCAGGAGCUUCAAAAAUUUCAUAAAACUGGUCUCUAGUUUCAGUUUUUUUGGAACUAGAGCUCGUGGAGCUGGACUCGUUUGGAUAGAAGAAGCUGAAAUAGACUUGAAAUUUCUAAAAUGAAGCUCUUCCAAACAAACCCUUAGUGAAGUUAGGGUCAAUUUCACCUUUUUUGGUGAAACUGAGUUGGUGAAACUAAGAGUGUUUGACUAGAGUUUUAGGCCCUAUUUGGGAGAGCUUCACUUUAAGAAUUUUAAGUCUAUUCCAGCUUCUUCUAUCCAAACACGUCUAGCUCCACGAGCUAUAGCUUAAAAAACUGAAACUAGAUGGCAGUUUCAUGAAAUUUUUCAAGCUCCUUAAAGGGUGCUUCAAAAACACUAUUUUUAUACCUCCUCAUGAAGUUGCACCAAAAUCACCCACCAUGCCACUAGUUACAUGACCUAUCGAUUCAUGUCUCUUUCUGCACCCGUUAAUCAUCAAGGGUAAUUAAAGAAACUCACACAAAUUAAUUGUAUUACAAAAGGUGAAGUCUAUGUACAAUCCAAACAUUCUUGAACACCAGCUUACCAAUCUGUUGAAGUUGUUUCGUGAUGAAACUUGUCGGCGUUACGACCCCGGGGGGUCCCUGGACCGACGAGUAAAUUGUCGCUGCGUGUCCCAGCCCAGAUGGGUCGGCGCGAGACGGAACACAAGGGGGGAAAACAGUAAGGGGAAACCACGGCCUCGUGUUGUCCUGCGCCCAGGGCGGAUGCGCUUGCAGUAGGGGGUUACAAGCGUUCGCGAGGGAGAGAGAGAGAGAGACUGUCCGCCAGCCCGUUCUCCCGCGCGGCCACCUUCUCGUACGAGAGCCCUGGACCUUCCUUUUAUAGAUGUAAGGAGAGGGCCCAGGUGUACAAUGUGGGGUGUAGCAAUGUGCUAACGUGUCUAGCAAAGGGGAGCCAGAUCCCUAUGUACAUGUCGUCGUGGCUGUCGGAGAGGUGUUGCUGCCCUGUUCAUGUGAUGUCGUGGCCGUCGGAGGAGCGCUUGAGCCCUGUGGAAGCACAGCUGUCUGGGCUGUCGGAUCCUUGCUGACGUCUCCUUGCUUCCGUAAGGGGCUGAGAACCGUCGUCGUCAUGGAGCACGCAGGGUGCCUGUUGGGGGCUUGUUCUCAAAUGCUUCGAAUUAAGAACAAGGCAACACGGAAAAUGUUAAGUAUUAAGGUCCUUCGUCCUUCAUAACGAUAUAUCCCUUCGGGAUAUAUAGCAUCUCGGACGAAGGUUACAAAGAACAUACCUUCGUAAGCAUAACAAUGAAGAAUAAAGCAUUCACAUAAAUCAUGAAAUAAACAUGUAAAUAUUAACAUAGAAUUAUCUCUAUUCAUAUUAAUGAAUAUAAAUGAUUUUGAAGUACAAAUGUACCUUCGGUCUUGCGGAAGGCAAAAAGUACGAAUGUGAUGCAAAGGCAAAAAGCAGGUUCGCGUGGACAGUACAGAGGUACUGUUCAUCUAUUUAUAGACACAGGUCGCAGCCUGUGACAAAUUACAAUUAUGCCCCUUGCGGAAGUUUACAACAUUGACUCGGACAUACAUGUAUAAAAAGGUCAUUCUGCCUCUAUGUCGGUUUAAAACGCCGAAGCUCCAUGAAAAGGGACCUUCGGCCAUCUCUUAGAAAUGACUUUGGCCGAAGCUGCUUCUUCGUGUGAGACCUUCGGCGUACCGAAGCACGACCCCAACAGUAGCCCCUUUCGCGGUGCUAGAUCGUUCUUCGUAACGAGCUUGGCCCGUGAAAAAAAACCUCUUCAGCUUCGGGAAGCCGAAGGUCCAAAAAACACCUUCCCUGAGCUCGUUGCGGAGAAACGAUCCGACUUCCGAGCGCGUGCCAAGCCCACUUUGUAGAGUUACUGUUUGGUCUUUGCGGUCCACUGCACAGCGGGUAUGAGUUACUGCGCGCCUGGUGUAACAGUUCCACCGCUUCGCCUUCCUACCUGCAGCACUAUAUAAACAAACAGGUGGGUGUGAAGUUACCACAGCAUUCAUUGCUAUUUGCACUGUUUCGCUGCCAAAAUUUUCCACCAUAGCCGAAGCUUAAGUCUCAGAAUCGAACGAAGGUGCUUCUCAACGUCCGCUUCGUCAGAAAGAAGAGCUUCGGAGAAAAGAAAAAAGGAAAAAAGUUUUUAACUUCCCAAACUUAGAAUCAAAUGGCGAGGAUACGAUCUACUGCCAAAGUUAUACGUGAGGGAGACGAAGCCGAAGGUUCAGACACUGUGCCCAUCUCCGAAGCAAUGCAGCGUUCCGGUCUACUGACUACAGAAGAAAUGCCUGCUGCUGAAGCAGGCCCAACAACUGCCGAAGGAAAAGAAAACAUUGAAGGGACUGACUCCGAAGAUGACUAUCACCUUGCUACACCCAGCAAGCCCAGUCACCUGGAUUUUGGGAAAUCAACUGUUUCAAAAGCUGACCUUUCGAAGAUGGUGAAAGCAGGUUAUUUCAAAGAGGACCAGAAGAAGCUACUCCGCUUCGGGGAAGAAGAAACCACCCCGAAGCCAAGGAAGGAUGAGAUUGUUAUUUUCAAGAGUUUUUUAAAAGCUGGGCUUAGAUUCCCUCUCCACGGUAUUGUUGCGGAGAUACUAAGGAGGUUUGGUAUCUACUUUCAUCAAUUGACUCCUAACGCCAUCGUUAGGCUCAAUGUUUAUAUCUGGGCCCUCCGAAGCCAAGCUGUGGAACCAUUUGCUGACAGCUUCUGCCGAGCUCACGAAUUACAUUACCAAACAAAAGCCAGAAAAGAUGGGCUUCAUGAUAAUUUCGGUUGCUAUAAUUUUGCCUACCGGAAGACAACAAAGUGUCCUGUCAUCAGCUACCGAAGCAAAUGGCCAGCAGGUUGGAAAUCUGAGUGGUUUUAUGUAAAAGUCGAUGAAGACAAAGAAAAAUUGGUACAAAGCCCUCUGGAGUUAAUCUUCGGAGAGACAAGGCCACAAUGCCAUAUUGGCGACCUAAAAGGUCCCACCUGGGCUGCUCUGGGUGAAUUUGAAAUUAUCUCAGAACAUAUUGGCACCAGGGAUCUAGUUCAAGAGUUCUUGGCAUUCAGAGUUUUCCCUACUCUAAAAGAGUGGGAGAUGCCGAAGCUGGAGGGAGAGAAGAAGAAGGGGGAGCUUGUCCGGCUUCCCUAUUACUUCAAGUUCAAGAAGUUCUUCAAAAAACCCUGCAAAGAAUGGUUAGACACUGUUGAGGUGAUGUGCAACGAAAUCCUGGGGAAUUACUCCAAAAAAGAGGAUCAACUAAUGACAGCAGCCUUCGGUGCCCGACCGAAACGAAGGCUGAACCGAGUGCUUGACGCCCUAGGCUUCGAAUACCCAGACUACGAACAAUUGAACAAGGGCGCCGAGGGCCUCAAAAGAAAAAGAGUAGCCGAAGCUCUGAUCAGGGAUGAAGAAAUACCAGCAAAGGAGAAGAAAGUUUUCAAGAAAAGAAAAAUAUCUGCUCCGAAGCGCAAAUCACCCGAAGAAGAGGAGACCCCCACACCGCCUUCUACCAGCGACGUGGAGGAAAUUUUAAAGGUAAUGACUGAACCCAUGCCUACGAAGCUAAGUCCACUAGGGCUCCAACUGACGAAGCUUUUUGAAAAGGUGGACGAGCCGGAUCAACCGAAGAUAAACAAACCCAAACGGCAAAGAAUUAUUGCGGUAACUGAGGUUAUCGACAAAACUCCACCUAGGUUGUCAAUUCAGAAAACGGCAGCUGCUGAAGGUAGAGCUUCGGAAGUCGCGGCUACCGAAGCUGCCACACCCGAAGAUGUAAAUUUAGAAACUACUCUUGAAAAUAUUGACAAAAUUUUGACAGAAAACAUUGAAGAAGCUGCCACCGUUACUGAAGAAAUCCUGGCCACAGUGCCAGGGAAAGGGAAAGAAAUAGUCGAAGAAACUCCGGACGACGAAGCCUAUUCUUUCCAGAAUCUAAUUGGGCAGAAACUGACGAAGGACGAAAUAGAAGAACUGAAAGACUAUGCCAAAUCUUGCGGCUACAAGCCAGGAGCCCUUCUAUUUGGGGGUGUAGAUGAUGAAAAACUAGGCUGUAUUCGAGACCAGACUGGAGCUAAGGUAAUCUGUACUCUAUCGAAGAGUAUCGGUUUUCCGAAGUUAGAGACAGACAUCAGCCGCUACCGACGGCAACAUAUCGUCGGCAGCUUGUUUUAUUCUAACUUCAAGGUAAACAACCUUUUUUUCUGGUUUUUAUUGCCGUUAACAAUGAAAAUAUUACUUAACAUAAGUUGUUUCUGUUCAGAGCAUGCUACUGAGCAAAGCUCUGAAGAUGCAACAAGACUUGGAGGACAAAAAGCACGAAGCUAUAAUUGAAAACUUGGAAAGCAAAAUAAAAGAGCAAUCUGCCAUCAUUGAAAAGAAAGACUUCGAGCUCCAAUCGACCGAAGGCUUGCUGGCUGAAACUGAAGCUAAAAUAUUAGAGUUAAAUUCGAAGCUUAUCAAUCAAUCAAAACAAUUUGAUCAGGAGAAGCUAGAACUGAAUUCGAAGCUUAAAGCCGAAGUCCAGACCAGCUCAGAAUUGAAGAAAGCAUUAACAAGCCUUCAAGACAAAUGCUUGAACUUUGGCAAUAAUUGUAUUGGACGAUUAAAGAAGAUAUUUUACUCUGUUGGAGCCAGCAGUGUGAAAUUUAACCCUUCGGCGGAAAAUUUACCCCAGGCCUUCGAUCAUAUUGAAGCUGAAAUCGAAGAGCUUGACGAAGUUAUAGCCGGGCACGGCGACUUCUGUGCCUGGGUAGCUUCUCGGGGUACCGCUGCUGCAUUUCUGAAGGCCGGCUGCGAUCAUGGAAAGGUUGUCAACAGGCCCAACUUCACCUUAUCUUCAUCAAUCCUGGAUGAUAUGCCCGACCUCGCCCGAAGUAUCUCCAAUAGAUUUAUAAAAAUGGUAUGGACAAAGGGCGGGCGAGAGAAAGCUGGAGACGAAGCCCGAAGUCAUCUUGAACCAGUAAGAAAUGACAUUUCGUGCUUACCUUUUCCUUUGGACUUGAUUCUUAUGAUUCCUUGACUCAUGUAGGAUGACGAAGGUGAAGAUGAUGCCUAGGAUAUGUCGCCGAAGUCGUCGUCGAAGCUGAAGCUUAAUGAAGACUAGCAGAAGUGUGCUUUAGAAAAACUCAGGAUAAUUUUGUAACAACUCUUGUAAAUAGAAUUAAACUGUUCUUCAAGGAACUUUGUACAUACCUUGUAAUAUAUUCUUACCCUUCGAUUGAGGUGCUUUGAUGUGGACGAAAUCAGCUUUUUGAGCCGAAGGCGAAAAAACACCUUCCCUUCUUUUCGUACACAACGAAGCAUAAAAGGCCGCUUCCUCUUUUUGCCGAAGCCUUUCCUUACAUAACAAAACAUAAAAGACUGCUACUCUUAUCUGCCGAAGCUUUUAUUUACAUAACAAAACAUAAAAGACUACUACUCUUAUCUGCCGAAGCUUUUAUUUACAUAACAAAACAUAAAAGACUACUACUCUUAUCUGCCGAAGCUUUUAUUUACAUAACAAAACAUAAAAGACUACUACUCUUAUCUGCCGAAGCUUUUAUUUACAUAACAAAACAUAAAAGACUGCUAUUUAUACACAACGAUUCAUAAAAAAAAACCACUUCUUCGAAACCUUUCUUUUACAUAACGAAUCAUAACAAACCAUUUAUCCGAAACUUUUCUCUGUGCCGAAGCAACCAUUUAGGAGCACAAAUGCUAUGAAUGAAUGCUUAUGCAUGCAAAUGCCAUGAUGUAAUGUGCAAAUGAAUGUCCGAAGCCACACUCAUCCAUCAUUUUCUUAGGAGCAAACACACGUCAGCUCUGCAUUCCCUUAGGAACGACUUUGGAGCAUCUUUGCCUUUUACUUAGGCAUUAUCAGCGUUGACUUUUCGCUGUAAGCUCUGCAUCCCCCUAGGGACGUCUUUGGAGCUUCUUCGUCUUUUACUUAGACGGUAUAAGCUCUGCAUUCCCUUAGGAACGACUUUGGAGCUUCUUCGCCUUUUACUUUCGGCGGAAUCAGCGUUGACUUUUCGCUGUAAGCUCUGCAUCCCCUUAGGGACGUCUUUGGAGCUUCUUCUCUUUUUUAGUUUCGGCACUCGAUGGUGCGCUCUCAGCUUUUACAUUUACAUUCUUUGGGGGAUUUUGCUCUUAUAAAACUAAAAAGAAAAUUACAUAUGAUGGCCCCAUUAAAAACCUUUCUCCCCCUUUAGAAAGGAAAAGGGUGCCAUGAAAAAGAAAAGAAAAGUCAAAAUUACAUCGAGUUAUACAUAAAACCGCCGAAGCUCAUCCGCAUUCCAAGAUCUUGGAAUUUCAUUGCCAUCCAUGUCCUUCAGUCUGUACGAACCAGGCCUUGACGAAGAUGCUACUAAGAAAGGCCCUUCCCAUUUCAGUUGCAAUUUGCCCACUGUAUCCGGAUUGGCCACUCUCCGAAGCACCAAGUGUCCUGGCUCAAUAUUUUUUAGCCGGACCUUUCUAUCUCGCCAUUUAACUGUUUCAGCCUGGUACUUAUUGAUAUUCUCCACGGCCUGAAGCCUGAUCCCUUCUAAGGCAUCUUUUUCCACGAGACAAGUAUCUUCGGGAUCUGAUUCUGCCGAAGCUACCACUCUUAUUGAUCCAGCUUUAGCUUCUUCCGGGGUUAUUGCUUCGUCACCAAAUAACAACUUAAAUGGGGUAAAGCCUGUAGAUCUUGAUGUUGUUGUGUUAUGGCUCCAUACCACUUUGGUAAGCUGAUCUGGCCACUUUCCCCUUGGUUGAUUAAAGAUUAGCUUCAUUAUUCCUGUCAUUAUGAUGCCGUUGGCCCUUUCAACAAGCCCAUUCGACUCCGGGUGCCUGACUGACGCAAAGUGGAUCUUCGUGCCAAUUUGAUCACAAAAAUUUCUGAAUUCUUCGGAGUCAAAUUGUGUUCCAUUAUCUACAGUUAUAGCCUUCGGCACUCCGAAGCGACAGACAAUAUUCUGCCAGAAAAAUUUUUGGACAGUGGCCGAAGUUAUUGUAGCUAAUGGCUUCGCCUCAAUCCACUUGGAAAAAUAUUCCACAGCAACUACAACAUAUUUCAGAUUGCCUUGAGCCGGUGGUAAUGGGCCCAGUAAAUCGAGGCCCCACCUUUGCAAUGGCCAGAUGGGUUGUAUUAGCUGUGUCAAAGACGAAGGUUGUUUUUGAUCUCUCGCACAUUUCUGACAACCUUCGCACUUUUGAACUAACUCAGCUGCAUCCGAAGCUGCCUUCGGCCAAUAAAAUCCUUGACGGAACACUUUUCCAAGUAACGGCCUGGAACCGAUGUGGGAUCCACAAAGGCCUGCAUGUAUCUCCUUCAUCAACUCUAUACCUUCGGCUCUAGACAAGCACUUGAGCAGCGGGGCACAAACUCCAUGCUUGUAUAACUCCCCUUCUAUAAUGAUAUACGGACGAGCUCUUGCCUCUAUUCUUUUAUUAUAAGCUUCGUCAUCUGAUAGGAAUUUGCCCUGAAGGUAAGAAAUUAUUUCAGUUCUCCAAUCUUCACUGUACACAGGAGAAAUAGUAAGAACUGCUCUUUCAAGUAACUCCACUGAAGGUGCCUUUAUUGUUUCGAAGAAUACAUCCGAAGGUAGCGGCAGCCCCUGUGCUGCAGACCUGGCUAACAAAUCAGCAUGUUCAUUUUGCCCUCGAGGGAUAUUCUUAACAGAAAAUCCUUCGAAGGAAGCUUCGAUCCUUCGGACUGUGUCUAGGUAUUUUUCAAGCUUCGGGUCUUUAGCCUUGCAACUUUUGUCAAUAUGACCCGAAACAAUCUGAGAAUCAGUUUUAAGGAUCGCCCUCCUGAUCCCCAUCGCCUUUAGUUUCCGAAGACCCAAGAGCAGGGCUUCGUACUCAGCAAUAUUAUUUGUGCAGCUGAAGUCCAGUCUUGCUGCAUAGCAAGUUUUAACCUUGGACGGUGAAACCAAAACAGCAGCUGCUCCUGCUCCGAAGGUUCCCCAGGAGCCAUCACAAAACACUGUCCAUGCUUCGGCAUCUUUAUUCGCUUCUUCGCCCUGAGCCCCUGGCGUCCAGUCGGCAAUAAAAUCUGCUAAUGCUUGAGACUGGAUCGAGGAUCUGUGCACAUAAUCAAUGUAAAAUUCAUUAAGCUCCGCAGCCCAUUUUCCAAUUCGGCCAGUAGCUUCUUUAUUUCUCAUGAUAUCUUUCAACGGCUGCGAAGAAGGAACAAUAAUAUUAUAUGCCUGAAAAUAAUGCCGAAGCUUCCUGGAUGCCAUUAGAACGGCAUACAACACCUUCUCCAGUUCUGUAUAAUUUUUCUUUGAGACACUAAGGACCUCAGAUACAAAAUAUACUGGGACCUGCUUCUUGAUUUGUCCAUCAAACUUCUCCUGCACAAGUGCCGCACUUACUGCCGAGUGCGAAGCUGCCACAUACAACAACAGAGGAGCCCCUGGCAUUGGUGGAGUUAAUGUUGUUAGAUCUAUCAGGUAUUGCUUGAGUUCUUCGAAAGCUUUUUGUUGAGCUGGGCCCCAUUGAAAGACUUCAGCUGAUUUUAGCACCUCGAAGAAGGGUAGAUUUCUUUCCGCUGAUCUGGAUAUAAAUCUGUUAAGAGAUGCCAGUCUUCCUGUCAAUCUUUGGGCCCCCUUUCUUGUGGUUGGUGGCUCCAUUCGAAGUAUAGCUUCGAUUUUAUUUGGGUUAGCUUCAAUUCCCUUUGUUGAAACCAAGCAUCCAAGGAACUUACCCUUCUUUACUCCGAAGACACAUUUUUCUGGAUUCAGCUUCAGACCAGCUUGUCUGAAGCUGGCGAAGGUCUCCUGCAGAUCAGCAAUAUGGUCUUCUUGCUUCGUGCUUUUUACAAUAAUGUCAUCAACAUAGGUCAACACAUUUCUGCCUAUCUGAGAUUGGAGAACCUUCGCAGUCAUCCUGCUGAAACUCCCUCCAGCAUUCUUAAGCCCCUCAGGCAUCCGAAGAUAGCAAUAUGUACCACUUGGGGUUAUGAAACUAGUCUUCGGCUCAUCCUCCUUUUUCAUCCAGAUUUGAUGAUAGCCUGAGUAACAAUCCAGGAGACUCAUGAGUUCCGAAGAAGCUGCUGCAUCAACUAAAGAGUCUAUCCUUGGCAGCGGGAACUCAUCCUUCGGACAAGCCUUGUUGAGAUCUGUGAAAUCAAUACACAUUCUCCACUUUCCAUUAGCCUUCUUCACCAUAACAGUGUUAGCUAGCCAUUCUGGAUACUUCACUUCUCUGAUAACUCCUGCACUUAGGAGUCUUUUUACUUCGUUGCGAGCCCCUUCGGCCUUGUCAUCAGACAUUUUCCGAAGCCUCUGCUUGCGGGGUCUGAAGGAUGGGUCAACAUUGAGCGAAUGUUCAAUAACAUCCCGAUUCACUCCACAAAGAUCAUUGGCUGACCAUGCAAAAACAUCUUUAUUGUUGAAUAAAAACCUUAUCAAGGUUUUCUCUUGAUCUUCAGAUAAUUGCGAGCCCAAUAGCACCUUCUGCUCUGCUAUAUCCUCACACAGCAGCAUGGGCUUCGGCUGAUCAGCCGAAGCUGCUUUUUCCCUCCUGAACUUGUACUGUUCACAAGCUUCAACUCCAUCUAUAUUAUGGAUUGCCUUGGAAUCAGUCCAGCUUCCUUCGGCCCUUCUGGCAGCUUCCUGACUCCCAUGAAUAGCAAUAGGCCCUUGGUCCGAAGGUAUCUUCAUGCAGAGAUAAGCUGGGUGAAGAAUUGCUUCAAAAGCAUUUAGGGUACCACGACCAAUGAUGGCGUUGUAGGGGUAUUCCAUGUCAACAAUAUCAAACACAAUUUGCUCAGUCCUUGUGUUAUUAACAAAUCCGAAGGUUACCGGCAUGGUAAUCUUCCCGAGUGCCACAAUCUGCCGCCCUCCGAAGCCACAAAGAGGGUGCGUAGCAUCAUGAAUCUUGUCUUCAGGCUCUUGCAUCUGUCUGAAGGCUUUGGCAAAUAUAAUGUCAGCUGCACUGCCUGUAUCAACUAGGACAUUGUGAACCAGAAACCCUUUGAUCACACAAGAAAUGACCAUAGCAUCAUUGUGAGGAUAGUCCUUGAGCUGAAGAUCUUCCUGAGAGAAGGUAAUUGGAAUGUGAGACCAUUUUGACUUAAUGAAGGGUCCCUGCACUCCAACAUGCUGCACCCUUCUCUGAGCCUCCUUCUUCUGCUUUUUGUUAGCUGGCUCUGAGCAAGAACCGCCUGUUAUCGGGAGCACCAGCUUCGAAGCCGAAGCAGCUCCAGCUUGAGUGUUGAACGAAGCCAUCAGCUCAGAAAGGUGGAAGUGAGUUGACCGGAGGUGGGCGCCAAUGUUGGGGGCUUGUUCUCAAAUGCUUCGAAUUAAGAACAAGGCAACACGGAAAAUGUUAAGUAUUAAGGUCCUUCGUCCUUCAUAACGAUAUAUCCCUUCGGGAUAUAUAGCAUCUCGGACGAAGGUUACAAAGAACAUACCUUCGUAAGCAUAACAAUGAAGAAUAAAGCAUUCACAUAAAUCAUGAAAUAAACAUGUAAAUAUUAACAUAGAAUUAUCUCUAUUCAUAUUAAUGAAUAUAAAUGAUUUUGAAGUACAAAUGUACCUUCGGUCUUGCGGAAGGCAAAAAGUACGAAUGUGAUGCAAAGGCAAAAAGCAGGUUCGCGUGGACAGUACAGAGGUACUGUUCAUCUAUUUAUAGACACAGGUCGCAGCCUGUGACAAAUUACAAUUAUGCCCCUUGCGGAAGUUUACAACAUUGACUCGGACAUACAUGUAUAAAAAGGUCAUUCUGCCUCUAUGUCGGUUUAAAACGCCGAAGCUCCAUGAAAAGGGACCUUCGGCCAUCUCUUAGAAAUGACUUUGGCCGAAGCUGCUUCUUCGUGUGAGACCUUCGGCGUACCGAAGCACGACCCCAACAGUGCCAUCAUUACUUGUUUUACCGGGGCGAGCCAGAUGGGACACCAGUCUUGUUCCCCAUAGCCUGAGCUAGCUAGGGGUAGGGUAAUGAUGGCCCCCCCUGUGACGUGGUCGGUCCGAGCCCGAGGUCGGGCGAGGUGGUGACUCCUCCGAGGUCGAGGCUGAGUCCGAGCCCUGGGGUCAGGCUAGGCGGAGACCGUCUUCCGGAGUCGAGGCUGAGUCCGAGCCCUGGGGUCGGGCGAGGCGGAGACUGUCUUCCGGGGUCGAGGCUGAGUCCGAGCCCUAGGGUCGGGCGAGGCGGAGACCGACUUCCGGAGUCGAGGCUGAGUCCGAGCCCUGGGGUCGGGCGAGGCGGAGACUGUCUUCCGAAGUCGAGGCUGAGUCCGAGCCCUGGGGUCGGGCGAGGCGGAGACCGUCUUCUGGCGUCGAGGUUGAGUCCGAGCCCUAGGGUCGGGCGAGGCGAAGACUGUCGUUCGAGGUCGAGGUUGAGUCCGAGCCCUGGGGUCGGGCGAGGCGGAGUCCAUCGUCCGAGGUCGAGACGGGGGCCGAGCCCUGGGGUCAGGCGAGGCGGAGCUUCCUAUGGCGCCCGAGGCUGGACUUAGCUGCUGUCGGCCUCACUGUGGCGAGUGGCACAACAGUCGGAGCAGGGUAGGCGACACUGUUUUCCUGUCAGGUCAAUCAGUGGAGCGGCAAAGUGACUGCGGUCACUACGGCCUUGUCGACUGAGGAGCGUGCGUUAGGAUAAGGUGUCAGACGAUCCUUGCAUUGAAUGCUCCUACGAUAUGGUCGGUUGGCGUGGCGAUCUGGCCAAGGUUGCUUCUCCGCGAAGCCUGCCCGAGCUGGGCCUCGGGCGAGUCGAAGGUGCGUCCGUUGUUUGAGGAGACCCUCGGGCGAGGCGUGAAUCUGCCUUGGUCUACUGUUCCUGCCCGAGGUUGGGCUCGGGUGAGACGAGAUCGUGUCCCUUUUGUGGACGGAGCCUUGACCGGAAUCGCGCCCAUCAGGCCUUUGUAGCUUUGUGCUGAUGGGGGUUACCAACUGAGAUUAGGAGUCUUGGGGGUACCCCUAAUUAUGGUCCCCGACAGUAGCCCCCGAGCCUCGAAGGGAGUGUUAGUACUCGCUUGGAGGCUUUUUGAAAGUCGCCUAGAGGGGGGUGAAUAGGGCGAAACUGAAAUUUACAAAGUUAAUCACAACUACAAGCCGGGUUAGCGUUAGAAAUAUAAUCAAGUCCGCGAGAGAGGGUGCAAAACAAAUUGCAAGCGAAUAAGGAGUGUGACACGUGGAUUUGUUUUACCGAGGUUCGGUUCUCGCAAACCUACUCCCCGUUGAGGUGGUCACAAAGACCGGGUCUCUUUCAACCCUUUCCCUCUCUCAAACGGUCUCUCGGACCGAGUGAGCUUCUUCUUCUCAAUCAAACGGGAACAAAACUUCCCCGCAAGGGCCACCACACAAUUGGUGCCUCUUGCCUUGGUUACAAUUGAGUUGAUCGCAAGAAAGAAUCAAAGAAGAAAGCAAUCCAAGCGCAAGAGCUCGAAAGAACACAAGCAAAUCUCUCUCACUAGUCACUAAGGCGUUGUGUGGAAUUUGGAGAGGAUUUGAUCACUUGGGUGUGUCUAGAAUUGAAUGCUAGAGCUCUUGUAAGUGGUUGAAGUAGGAAAACUUGGAUGACUUGAAUGUGGGGUGGUUGGGGGUAUUUAUAGCCCCAACCACCAAACUAGCCGUUUGGUGGGGCUGUCUGUCGCAUGGUGCACCGGACAGUCCGGUGCACACCGGACAGUGUCCGGUGCGCCAGCCACGUCACCAGGCUGUUGGGUUCCGACCGUUGGAGCUCUGACUGCUGGGCCCGCCUGGAUGUCCGGUGGCACACCGGACAUGUACUAUAGAGUGUCCGGUGCGCCACUUCGCGCGUGCCUGACUUCUGCGCGCACUAGCGCGCAUUUAAUGCUGUAGCAGGUGACCGUUGGCGCCGAAUAGUCGUUGCUCCGCUGGCUCACCGGACAGUCCGGUGCACACCGGACAUGUCCGGUGAAUUAUAGCGGAGCGAAUUCCCGAAGCUGGCGAGUUCCAUAGUCGCUCACCUCUGGGGCACCGGACACUGUCCGGUGUACACCGGACAGUCCAGUGAAUUAUAGCGGAGCGCCUCUGGAUUUUCCCGAAGGUGAGGAGUUCAGCGUGAAGUCCCCUGGUGCACCGGACACUGUCCGGUGGCACACCGGACAGUCCGGUGCGCCAGACCAGGGCACACUUCGGUUAUCCCUUGCUCUCUUUGUUGAACCCAAUUCUUGGUCUUUUUAUUGGCUAAGUGUGAACCUUUGGCACCUGUAUAACUUAUACACUAGAGCAAACUAGUUAGUCCAAUUAUUUGUGUUGGGCAAUUCAACCACCAAAAUCAAUUAGGAAAAUAGGUGUAAGCCUAAUUCCCUUUCAAUCUCCCCCUUUUUGGUGAUUGAUGCCAACACAAACCAAAGCAAAUAUGGAAGUGCAUAAUUGAACUAGCUUGCAUAAUGUAAGUGCAAAGGUUGCUUUGAAUUGAGCCAAUAUAAAUACUUAUAAUAUAUGCAUGGAUUGUUUCUUCAUUUUUAACAUUUUGGACCACACUUGCACCAUAUGUUUUGUUUUUGCAAAUUCUUGUGUAAAUCCUUUUCAAAGUUCUUUUGCAAAUAGUCAAAGGUAAAUGAAUAAGAUUUUGUAAAGCAUUUUCAAGAUUUGAAAUUUUCUUCCCCUAUUUCAAAUGCUUUUCCUUUGACUGAACAAAACUCCCCCUAAAUGAAAUCCUCCUCUUAGUGUUCAAGAGGGUUUUAGGAUAUUGAUUUUUACAAUACUAUUCUCUCCCCCUUUUUGAAAACAAGGAGAUACCAAAUUGAAAAUCAUACCAAUUGAAAAAACCUUUUAAGAUUAGGUGGUGGUGCGGUCCUUUUGCUUUGGGCUAAUACUCUCUCCCCCUUUGGCAUGAAUCGCCAAAAACGGAGUCAUUAGAGCCCUUAGAAUUACUUCCUCCCCUUUGGUCAUGAAUAAAUGAGUGAAGAUUGUACCAAAGACGGAGUCCUACUCCCCCAAAGAUGGAGAGUUGCUUAGAGUGAUGGCGAAGGAUGAGUUACGGAGUGGAAGCCUUUGUCUUUGCCGAAGACUCUAAUGCCCUUUCAAUAUACCUAUGACUUGAUUUGAAAUUCACUUGAAAACACAUUAGUCAUAGCACAUGAAAGAGAUAUGAUCAAAGGUAUAUGAAUGAGCUAUGUGUGCAAAUUAACAAAAGAAGUUCCUAGAAUCAAGAAUAUUUAGCUCAUGCCUAAGUUUGUUAAAUGUUUGUUCAUCAAGAGGCUUGGUAAAGAUAUCGGCUAAUUGAUCUUUAGUGUUAAUAUAUGAAAUCUCGAUAUCUCCCUUUUGUUGGUGAUCCCUUAAAAAGUGAUACCGAAUGGCUAUGUGUUUAGUGCGGCUAUGCUCAACGGGACUAUCCGCCAUGCGGAUUGCACUCUCAUUAUCACAUAGAAGAGGAACUUUGGUUAAUUUGUAACCAUAGUCCCUAAGGGUUUGCCUCAUCCAAAGUAAUUGCGCGCAACAAUGGCCUGCGGCAAUGUACUCGGCUUCGGCGGUAGAAAGAGCUACGAAAUUUUCUUCUUUGAAGCCCAAGACACCAAGGAUCUUCCCAAGAAUUGGCAAGUCCCCAAUGUGCUCUUUCUAUUGAUUUUACAACCCGCCCAAUCGGCAUCGGAAUAACCAAGUAAAUCAAAUGUGGAUCCCCGAGGGUACCAAAGCCCAAACUUAGGAGUAUAAACUAAAUAUCUCAAGAUUCGUUUCACGGCCGUAAGGUGAGCUUCCUUAGGGUCGGCUUGGAAUCUUGCACACAUGCAUACGGAAAGCAUAAUAUCCGGUCGAGAUGCACAUAAAUAGAGUAAAGAUCCAAUCAUCGACCGGUAUACCUUUUGAUCCACGGACUUACCUUCCGUGUCGAGGUCGAGAUGCCCAUUGGUUCCCAUGGGUGUCUUGAUGGGUUUGGCAUCCUUCAUCCCAAACUUGUUUAGAAUAUCUUGAGUAUACUUUGUUUGGCUUAAGAAGGUGCCCUCUUGGAGUUGCUUCACUUGAAAUCCUAAGAAAUACUUCAACUCCCCCAUCAUAGACAUCUCGAAUUUUUGUGUCAUGAUCCUACUAAAUUCUUCACACGUAGACUCGUUAGUAGACCCAAAUAUAAUAUCAUCAACAUAAAUUUGGCAUACGAACAAGUCAUUCUCAAGAGUUUUAGUGAAUAAAGUAGGAUCGGCCUUUCCGACAUUGAAACCAUUAGUGAUAAGGAAAUCUCUUGGGCAUUCAUACCAUGCUCGUGGGGCUUGCUUAAGCCCAUAAAGCGCCUUAGAGAGUUUAUAAACAUGGUUAGGAUACUCACUAUCUUCAAAGCCGGGAGGUUGCUCAACAUAGACCUCUUCCUUGAUUGGUCCAUUGAGGAAGGCACUCUUCACGUCCAUUUGAUAAAGCUUGAAGCCAUGGUAAGUAGCAUAGGCCAAUAAUAUACGAAUUGACUCAAGCCUAGCUACGGGUGCAUAGGUUUCACCGAAAUCCAAACCUUCGACUUGGGAGUAUCCUUUGGCCACAAGUCGAGCUUUGUUCCUUGUCACCACACCAUGCUCAUCUUGCUUGUUGCGGAAAACCCAUUUGGUUCCUACAACAUUUUGGUUAGGACGUGGAACUAAGUGCCAUACCUCAUUCCUAGUGAAGUUGUUGAGCUCCUCUUGCAUCGCCACCACCCAAUCCGAAUCUUGAAGUGCUUCCUCUACCCUGUGUGGCUCAAUAGAGGAAACAAAAGAGUAGUGCUCACAAAAAUGUGCAACACGAGAUCUAGUGGUUACCCCCUUAUGAAUGUCGCCGAGGAUGGUGUCGAUGGGGUGAUCUCGUUGGAUUGCUUGGUGGACUCUUGGGUGUGGUGGCCUUUGCUCUUCAUCCUCCUUGUCUUGAUCAUUUGCAUCUCCCCCUUGAUCAUUGUCGUCAUCUUGAGGUGGCUCAUUUGCUUGAUCUUCUCCUUCAUCAAUUUGAGCCUCAUCCUCAUUUUGAGUUGGUGGAGAUGCUUGCGUGGAGGAGGAUGGUUGAUCUUGUGCAUUUGGAGGCUCUUCGAAUUCCUUAGGACACACAUCCCCAAUGGACAUGUUCCUUAGCGCGAUGCACGGAGCCUCUUCAUCACCUAUCUCAUCAAGAUCAACUUGCUCUACUUGAGAGCCGUUAGUCUCAUCAAACACAACAUCACUAGAAACUUCAACUUGUCCAGUGGACUUGUUGAAAACUCUGUAUGCCCUUGUGUUUGAAUCAUAUCCUAGUAAAAAGCCUUCUACAGUCUUAGGAGCAAAUUUAGAUUUUCUACCUCUUUUAACAAGAAUAAAGCAUUUGCUACCAAAGACUCUAAAAUAUGAAAUAUUGGACUUUUUACCGGUUAGGAGUUCAUAAGAUGUCUUCUUGAGGAUUCGGUGUAGAUACAACCGGUUGAUGGCGUAGCAAGCGGUGUUGACCGCCUCGGCCCAAAACCGAUCCGAAGUCUUGUACUCAUCAAGCAUGGUUCUUGCCAUGUCCAAUAGAGUUAUAUUCUUCCUCUCCACUACACCAUUUUGUUGUGGGGUGUAGGGAGAAGAGAACUCAUGCUUGAUGCCCUCCUCCUCAAGAAAGCCUUCGAUUUGUGAGUUCUUGAACUUCGUCCCAUUGUCGCUUCUUAUUUUCUUGAUCCUUAAGCCGAACUCAUUUUGAGCCCGUCUCAAGAAUCCCUUUAAGGUUUCUUGGGUAUGAGAUUUUUCCUGCAAAAAGAAUACCCAAGUGAAGCGAGAAUAAUCAUCCACAAUAACUAGACAGUACUUACUUCCGCCGAUGCUUAUGUAAGCGAUCGGGCCGAAUAGAUCCAUGUGUAGGAGCUCCAGUGGCCUGUCAGUCGUCAUGAUGUUCUUAUGUGGAUGAUGGGCACCAACUUGCUUUCCUGCUUGGCAUGCGCUACAAAUCCUGUCUUUCUCAAAAUGAACAUUUGUUAAUCCUAAAAUGUGCCCUCCCUUUAAAAGCUUGUGAAGAUUCUUCAUCCCAACAUGGGCUAGUCGGCGGUGCCAUAGCCAACCCAUGUUAGUCUUAGCAAUUAAGCAAGUGUCGAGUUCAGCUCUAUCAAAAUCUACCAAGUACAGCUGACCCUCUAACACUCCCUUAAAUGCUAUUGAAUCAUCACUUCUUCUAAAGACAGUGACACCUACAUCAGUAAAAAGACAGUUGUAGCCCAUUUGACAUAAUUGAGAAACGGAAAGCAAAUUGUAAUCUAAAGAAUCUACAAGAAAAACAUUGGAAAUGGAAUGGUCAGGUGAUAUAGCAAUUUUACCCAAUCCUUUGACCAAACCUUGAUUUCCAUCCCCGAAUGUGAUCGCUCUUUGGGGAUCUUGGUUUUUCUCGUAGGAGGAGAACAUCUUCUUCUCCCCUGUCAUGUGGUUUGUGCACCCGCUAUCGAUGAUCCAACUUGAGCCCCCGGAUGCAUAAACCUACAAAACAAGUUUAGUUCUUGACUUUAGGUACCCAAAUGGUUUUGGGUCCUUUGGCAUUAGACACAAGAACUUUGGGUACCUAAACUGUCACACCCGGUUUUAGAAGGCAAACCGAAUGCGAACCAUGUACGUGCCAGGAUCAGUUAUUCACGUACACAGCAGUUACAUAACAUGGACAUCAUCACACAGUGCUCAAAAUAGUAUUAAAAGGGAAUAAUAGUUGAUUACAUCAUACGUCUGAGACGUCCAUAUAGUUCUUACAAUAAAUCAAAGUGCGGAAAAGAAACGUAGAUAACUGCGGCCUUCACAGGCAGUCGACUGGGGGUUGCCGCUAACCCACACCUAGAACUCGUCGUAGUCUUGGAACUCCUGGAAGUCUCCUUCCACAGCUUCAUCUUCGCCUGAGCAGUGGUUGCAAUGCUGACAACCUGGGGGGGUUUGGUGUGUAGAGCAAGGGUGAGUACACAUCAACAUACUCAGCAAGUAUCCUGUUUGGCUGUAGUGGACUAGCUGUAUGUGGGGAUGAGUCAAGCAGUUGCUUUUAGUUGGUCAGAUUAUUACUUACUAGUAGAAAGCCAAGUUUUAGCAUUACCCAAGUUAUUAACCCGAUGUACCCUUUCCAAACGGAAAGAAUACCACUUACCAGCACCAUAGUCAUAACCAGAACCAUCGAUCUCAUAACCACCUGUACCACAAUGUCUCUGAUCAAGUACCACUAAUCACUGGAGCUCCCUUGGCCGCUCAUAACCGCGAGCACGGCUGAUAUAUCAGUUUUCAAACACUCUGCAGAGGUUGUGCACUUUACCCACAAGCCGUGAUUCCCAUUCUGCCCGGAGAUCAUGACUCUCCAUUGAUCACUACCAAGGUGACCCAGCAGGGCAUCACUACGUAGCCUUUACAAAGAUUCCCCGGGACUGUAGCCACCCGUUAGGUUUCCUAAAUGUACCGCACUCCUCCCCAAGGGACAAAUCAACCUUGGCAGAGCGAGCCGCAUACACCGAGCCCCAUUGACGGCACGACGGCUAAGUGAACUACACCCCGGAUCCUCUAAUUAUUCAGCUAAGGGCACCCCAUUCCACCCUCAUGGUUGCACUGUUUUCCCGGGCGGUCAUCCAUAGAACAGGUCCUUACGGAGAGGCACUCGAGAAACCGCUCGAGCCCCCUUAAAGCCACAAGUACAACAUCAUAAUAAGAGAAGGGAAAACAGCGUAUCAUAGAUAUUCUCAUCAUGUUCAUUGAUUAGAGUUGAGCAAUAGCAUAAAGCUAAACAGUAAUAAUCCAACCCAAAUAGGUAAGCAAGGAUAGGGAUAACAAAAGCUAGUCAAACCUUAGGUAUAAAUAUGUAAAGCGGGGGGUGAAUUAAAUAAUGAAUAGGACAGAGAUAGGUCAAAGGACACUUGCCUCCACCAACCGACUGCUGCUCAGGGGCUUCUCCUGCGAGUUCCUCGGGCUCUUCAACCGGAUCGUUCUCUAUGCGAUUGCAAACAUACAUACAUCCACACAUUUAAUACAAAAGAACAGUACACCAUACAAUAGAAUGCAAUAAGUAAACAGACGUUCUACGCGGGCUCGCGAGUACGGUUAAGAGAGAAAGAGGAAAAGACAGUCGAGAAACGAUCACGUUACAUGAUUAUAAAUUAACUACUCGCUUAAUGGAAGGAAAUUUAAUGUGGACACUAUGUUUAGCGUAAAGUAAAGUCAUGUUUCAUGUCCAAUUAUUAUAAGCAGGUGGAGGUAAACAAAAAGAUGGUCGCGCGGCGAGACGCGCGACAAAGCUCUCUAAAACAAAUUAAAAAGUUAACGACUCGUCGCGCGACCGAGCAUGCAACGAGACACUUCGCCUUAGAUACGAGGAGACGUUAAACGUCGCGCGACGAAGCGCACGACGGCAUACGUCGACUAAACUGAGUCCAAAGUGGAACGUCGCGUGAAUACACACGCGGCGUUACACCUUAAACAACCUGAAACAAAAAUGGGUCGUCGCGCGACGAAGCGCACGACGCAACACAAGAUAGAAUCUGAAUUUAGACAAACCGUCGUGCGGCGAAGCGCGCGACGCAACACGCUAAUUAACGAAUAAUCACCACGAGCGCGGGCGAGCGAAGAUACGGUCGGGCGAGGCCGGGACGGGAACGGGCGGCCGAACGGGGGGAAGGGCGGUUGAACCGGCCCAAGGGCGGUUGAACCGGCCAGGGGGGCGGCCGAGGCCGGGCGGGCACGGGGCAGGGUGCGGGGGCGGCCGAGCCGGCCAUGGCGGCCGAGCUGGGUGGCGGGAUCGCCACCGCGCGCGGGGAGGGGCGCCGGGCGGGCAGGGGCGGGCGAGCGCCGCCGCGGGCCAGGGGAGGGCGGGCGUCGCCACGCGGGGCCGGGCAGGGGGCGGGCGGGAUCGCCGCCGCGGGGAGGGGCAGGGGGCGGGCGCCGCCGCGCCGGGGAGGGGUCGAGCGGGGGGGGGAAGGCCGGGGACGGGGAGCCAAGCGCCGCCGCGGGAGGGGCCGAGCGGACGAGCCGGGGGCGGGCGCCGAGCGCCGCCGCGGGGAGGGCGAGCGGGCGGGCAGGGGCGCCGCCGCGGGGAGGGGCCGAGCGGGCGGGCAGGGGCGCCGCCGCGCCGGGCAGGGACGGGGUCGGGCGCGGGCAGGGGGAAGAGGGAGGGUGCGCGCGCGGGGAAGAAGAGGAGGGAGAGGGAGAGAGAGAAGAGGAGGGGAGGGGAGGGGAGCUCACCUCGGGGUCCAAAAUUCGGUGAUCGCCGUCUCCAAACCCUAGGGCACCACGGGGAGAGAGAGGUGGAAGAGGGAGAGGGAAGUUGUUGCGCGGGAGAUCCAAAUGAGGGAGAGAGAGAGGAUGGGGGCGCAGGGGGGGGGGGGGUUGGGCGCCAGGGGCGCGCAGGCCGGGGCGGUCCGGGCCGGCUGAGCUGGGCUGGGCUAAGUUGGGCUGGGCCGAGCCACUUCGCGGAUCGAAAACCCACGACGAGCGCGGACCACUAAACGAACUUAAAACGCGAAUCAAAAUCCGGAACGGAACGAGACGAACACUCAACAUCAGACAAAGAAAUGUGCUUCGGCAUGAUGCAACACCCAUGACACUUAGGUUUUGGUUUAUACAUGACGCGGACACCUGCCGCUAUACUGGUUUGAAAUUGGGAAGAAGGAGCAAACGGGGAAAGAGAAAAGAGAGUAACGCCCGAAUUUGGUGAGAGAAAAGAAGAAAAAAUUCUACCCCCAAAUUCAGGGCGUUACAAACCUAUCCCCCUUAAAAGAAUCUCGCCCUCGAGAUUCAGGGUUGGCUAGCAAAGAGCUCAGGGUAUUGAGCCAACAGAUCAUCUUCACGCUCCCAGGUUGCUUCUUCCUCAGAGUGAUGAUUCCAUUUGACUUUGCACAUUCUGAUGGUCUUCCUUCGGGUGACUCUGUCUGCAACCUCAAGGAUUUGCACUGGCUUCUCAACGUAGGUCAAGUCCUCCUGGACUUCAAGACCUUCCACUGGCAACUGCUCUUCUGGCACACGCAAGCACUUUUUCAACUGAGACACAUGAAAGACAUCAUGCACAGCAGACAAAUUCUCUGGUAGACUGAGCUGAUAGGCCACUUCUCCACGUCUUGCAAGAAUCUGAUACGAACCAAUGUAGCGGGGUGCUAGCUUGCCUUUCACUCCGAAUCUUCUGACUCCUCUGAUCGGUGACACUUUCAGAUAGACAAAGUCUCCGACUUCGAAACUCAGCUCUCUUCUUCUUGUGUCUGCAUAGCUUCGCUGCCUCGAUUGCGAUAUCUUCAGAUUCUCUCGGACCAUCUUGAUGUUCUCUUCGGCUUCAAGCAAAAUGUCUGGCCCAAACACUUGCUUCUCUCCAGGCUGAUCCCAUUGCAACGGAGUUCUACAACUCCUUCCAUACAGCGCCUGAAAUGGUGACAUCUUCAAACUGGCCUGGUAACUGUUGUUAUAGGAAAACUCUGCAUAAGGCAAUCGCUUGUCCCAUCCGGACUGAUCUUGCAACGCACAGGCUCUCAACAUGUCUUCAAGAAUUUGAUUGGUCCUUUCGGUCUGGCCAUCUGUCUGCGGGUGAUAAGCUGAACUGAAAUUCAGAUGCGUGCCCAAGGCUUCAUGCAACUGCUGCCAGAAAUGAGAGGUGAACUGCGUUCCUCUGUCUGACACUAUCUUCUUUGGCACACCAUGAAGACAAAUGAUCCGAGACAUAUACAAUUCUGCCAAUACGGCACUGCUAUAGUUGGUCUUGACAGGUAUGAAGUGGGCUGACUUGGUCAAGCGGUCCACUACUACCCAAAUGGAAUCGUAGCCGGCUCGAGUGCGAGGCAAUCCGACUAUGAAAUCCAUACCGAUUUCAUCCCAUUUCCACUGAGGGAUCUGCAACGGUUGCAACAAUCCAGCAGGUCUCUGGUGUUUUGCCUUAAUUCUUCGGCAACUAUCGCACAUAGCCACAUGCUCUGCGAUUUCCCUCUUCAUUCCGUACCACCAGAAUUUCUUCUUCAGAUCUUGAUACAUCUUCUCACUGCCAGGGUGAAUCGAAUAGUCUGUCUCAUGAGCUUCCUUAAGAAUCAACUCCCGAAUGGACUGGACAAUGGGAACACACAAGCGGUCUUUAAACCAUGUCACGCCUUCUGCAUCUUCUCGAAAAUCUUUGCCUUUGCCAUCUAGAAUCAGUCGCCGAAUCUCACUGAUCUUUUCAUCAUUCUUCUGCGCUUCUUUGAUUUCGCGCUCUAAGGUAGGUUCCAACUCAACUGUGACUCCUCGAGAAUUGUUCAGAAAUCCGAGACUCAACCUGUCGAACUCCUUGGCCAACUCAUAAGGCAUCGGACGAGCGACCAUCAGAUUGACUUGACUCUUUCUGCUCAAAGCAUCUGCCACUACGUUUGCUUUGCCUGGGUGGUAAUGAAUCUCCAACUCAUAGUCUUUGAUCAACUCUAACCAUCUUCGUUGCCUCAUGUUCAACUCUAACUGAGUGAAUAUGUACUUCAGACUCUUGUGAUCUGUGUAAACAUCGCAUUUCUGUCCAUACAGAUAGUGCCUCCAUGACUUCAGUGCGUGAACCACUGCUGCCAACUCUAGAUCAUGGAUUGGGUAAUUCUUCUCAUGAACCUUCAACUGUCGGGACGAGUAAGCCACAACUCUUCCCUCUUGCAUCAACACACAUCCCAAACCUGUGUAGCAAGCAUCACAAUACACCGAGAAGGGCUUGUGCACAUCAGGCAAGACUAAGACAGGCGCUGUAGUCAACUUCCCUUUCAGCGCUUCAAAGGCCUCUUGACAUUUCUGGGUCCACUUGAACUCAACCUUGUUGCCUAGCAAUGCUGUCAUUGGUUUCGCAAUCUUCGAAAACCCUUCAAUGAAUCGCCGAUAAUAUCCGGCCAUUCCAAUGAAACUCUUGAUUCCUCGAGCAUCUGUUGGCGCUUUCCAGUUCAAAAUGUCUGCCACUUUCUUCGGAUCCACAGCCAAUCCUUCUUUGUUGAUUAUAUGACCCAAGAACAGGACUUCACUGAUCCAGAAUUCACACUUGCUCAACUUUGCAUACAACUGGUGCUCUCGCAAUCUCUGCAACACCAUCCUCAAAUGAUCUGCAUGCUCUUCUUCGCUUUGAGAGUAAAUCAGAAUGUCAUCAAUGAAUACCACCACAAACUUAUCAAGGUAAUCCAUGAAUACACUGUUCAUCAAGUUCAUAAAGAACGCUGGCGCAUUGGUCAAACCAAAAGACAUCACUGUGAACUCAUACAACCCAUACUUGGAAAUGAAUGCCGUCUUCGGAAUGUCCGAAGGUCGGAUCCUGAGCUGAUGAUAACCUGACCUCAGAUCAAUCUUGGAGAACACACUGGCUCCUCUCAACUGGUCGAACAGAUCUUCUAUUCUGGGCAAGGGAUACUUGUUCUUGAUCGUGACUUCAUUCAAAGCUCGGUAAUCGAUGCACAUCCUCUUGGUGCCAUCUUUCUUUUCCACAAACAAGACAGGGGCGGCCCAAGGCGAGGUGCUUGGCCGGAUGUAACCUUUCUCUGACAGCUCAUCAAUCUGCUUCUUAAGCUCAACCAACUCUGGUCCAGAUAUUCUGUAAGCUCUCUUAAAGAUAGGGGCGGUUCCGGGAAGAAGCUCUAUGGCAAACUCAACUUUCCGCUCUGGUGGCAUACCCGGUAAGUCCUUUGGAAACACAUCUGGGAACUCAGACACAACCUUGAUACUCUCAAUUGGGUCUGCUUCACUGCUACCAACAGCUAGCUGAUAACAACUUCCUUUCUUUGGCUCAGGCGGGACUAACUCGGUCACCACUUCCUCUCCUAGUGGGGACACCAACUUGAUGGUCCUUUUAUCACAGCUGAUAACUGCCUGAUACUUAUCUAGCCAAUUCAUCCCUAGGAUGACAUCUAUUCCCUGAGUACCCAUUACUAUAAGGUUGGCGGGAAACGCUAUCCCCCUUAUUUCCACACUUACAUUCAAACAAAUGCUAUCGGCUCGAAUUCUACCACCGGCUGAGUCAAUUUGAAUGGGGGUUGACAUGGUAGUAAUUGGAAGAUUAUGUGCUUCUACCCAUGAUGCAGUAAUGAAAGAAUGCGUUGCUCCAGUAUCAAAUAACACUUCUGCAAUAUGGGAGUCGACUGGGAACAUACCUACUAUCAUGCCGGGGGUCUCCUGAACUGCUUCAGCCUCCAAGUGAUUCAGUCUUCCAUGAUUAUAACGCGGCUGAGGGCGAUUGCCUGCUCCAGACUGAGGCACAUUCUGCUUUGCUGGGGCAUUGGGGCCUGACUGCUGCUGGGCUGCCUUCUUCGGACAUUGCAUCACCCAGUGGCCUUGCUCUCCACAAUGGAAACAUGCUCUGUUUCCAACCUGAGCUGGUGCUGCCUGAUUGCUCUGCUGGUUUGCUGGGGCAGGAAGACGAGGUGCUUGCUGAUUCUGCCUCUGAAACUGACUUCCUGACUGAUUGCUCUGACGGUUCUGGUUCUGAUGCUGAGGAUACUGCCUUUGAAACUGCUGAUGCUGCUGAGGUGGACGCUGGUUCUGCCUGAACUGCUGAGGUUGAUUGCCUGAGAAACGAGGACGACUGCUGCUUCCAGGCUGGGGUCCACUGAUCUUGCGCUUACGAUCUUCCAUCUCCUUACGCUUUCUUUCUGUCAUGAUUGCUCUGUCAAUCAGGUGCUGGAAUGUCGGGAAGGUGUGAUUCAUCAGUUGGUACUGCAGAGGGUCAACCAAGCCUCUCAGGAAACGGUACUGUCGCUUGGCGUCAGUGUUGACAUCUUCAGGAGCAUAACGAGACAACUGCAGAAAUCUGUCUCGGUACUCACUGACAGAUGAUGGCCCUUGCUUGAGAGCUAGGAACUCCUCCUUCUUCACUGUCAUCAGACCUGCGGGAACAUGGUACUGACGAAAGCUUCCUCUGAACUCUUCCCAAGUGAUAGCGUCAGGGUGGGCAUGGGUGGCGAGGUAAGACUCCCACCAUGAUUGGGCUGCUCCUCUCAACAGACGGGGACCAUACAGAACUUUCUCCCUGUCAUCGCACUGAGCGGUAUGCAACUCCCGCUCCACAGUGCGCAGCCAAUCUUCAGCAUCCAUAGGGUCAGAAGAAUGAGCGAACGUUGGUGGAUGACCUCUCAUGAAUUCAGCACGCUUGUCUCUGGGCAUCUGAGGCAUCUGAGGCUGAGGUGGGGCCUGCUGCUGUUGCUGCUGCUGCUGAAUGGCGGCCAAAGUCUGACCGAUGGCUUGAACUGCCUGAGUCUGCAUCAGAAACAUCUGCUCGAUGGACAUCGGGGGCGGGGGCGGCAGGUGCUGCUGCUGGGGCACCUCAUCCUGCGGAGCGGCUCGCUCCUGUUGAGCACGCCUUCCUCCUCUGCGCCUGUUCUCUGACAUCUGCAGAAUGCAACCACACAUCAGAACUGAUCUGGCAAAUCUUGCAGCAUAAGGAAAGAGAAUAGAAUUCUUCAACAGCACUGAACAGAUGAGCAUCUUCACUGAUCUCCAACACAGACCACCCAGCUUCUCAGAUAAAGAGGAAAGUGGAAUAAAAGGUUUCCCAACUAUAUAACUAACUUUAUUAACAUAAUAGGUAAACCAAAAUGCAGGGGAUACCCACACUCUGGUGACAAUCAUUACAAAGAUCCAAACCAAACAUAGUUCAUCAUGACAAACAUAAAUGCACAGGAUAUAGCAAACUACCCUGUCUAACUAAGACUAACUAAAACUGAGACUAACGCUAAGACUGAAGCUUCUAUGUAUAUAUAUUUCGUAUUAAUUACAAGAUCCAACUCUAACGAUCUAUGGUUCUAGAGUUAUCUUGGUCUUGCAGUCGGGAUUGCCAUAAGACUGGUGUCCACGCUGAGGUGAGCGGUACGGGUGCUGAGUCCCGACGGGAGCGGGGGAACCAUCCUCCAGGUGACGACGUUCCGCGCGCUCAGCCCGCAGCAGGGCGAUCUCAGCACGAGCCCUACUCAGCUCGUCUAGUGCAUGGUCCAGCUCCGUGUUUAGCACGGCGGCUAGGUUGACUGUGCUGCUCAACCUAGGAUUGCCCUCACCGACAAGUGAGACAAUCACGCCUCCUGUGCUGCCAGAUGGACGGCGGGGGUAAUACUUUAGGUCAAGACCAUCAGCUGCCCCACCGAAAACCGAGCAGUAGUGCGAAAGCGCACGCCGUGCAGCAUCUUGCAUGGCUGCCUCAGCUGAGUCCCGCUCAGAGAUAGAAUAGUGCUCUGAGCAGACCUCAGCACCCUGGAGACUGUUCUCCGGGCAGCGCACCAAGCAGGUUGCCUCCCAGCGGUCCGGGUAGACCCCGCGACUGUGCUGGUAGACCACACAGCGAUACUCGACGGACCAAGUAUGCCGGUCAAAUGCCCGACGUAGCAGGGUGUCGAGCGCAUCGUGGAAGUGACACCCGCGAGCAGCGUCGCGAGUGAUGGGUCGAGCAACCCAUCCUUCCGGCUCAAGGUUAGCAGAGAAGUCGGUGUCGUGGCUCGAGCUGUCGUCGCCACCUCCGUCGUCUGGAUCUCCUCCAACAGCUACUCCAGAAGCUGGGGCGCCCAAUGGUGGUGCAGGGGGCGGCUCCAGAGGAAGCACAGGGGAGCAGCUCCUCACAGACUCUAUCUCCUGCUGGAGCGAGAAAGAAGAGCCCUGCUGCUCCUGUCGUCGACGUUCCUGCUCCUCAUGCAGACGGUGGUGUAGUCUCUCCAAGUGGCUGGACUGUCCGGCCACGGGACGGCGAAGCGGACGCUCAGCAAGGCGAGAGGGUAAGAAGGGGAUGACUGACUUUCGUGCAGUGUGUCUAAGUCGAGCCAUCUAUAAAAGACAUCGCAAGCACAAGGGUAAGAACAGAAUCAAUAUGACCAGCAAAUAAUGAAUCAUAAGUGAAUGAAGGAUUAGAAUAAAACAUGAUUUUCAGCAAGGUAUAAUAUAUAGUAGAACAUAGGUUUGGUCGGUAUGACCAACUUUUGAAGGGAUAUCAAGGUCAAGGAAGGGACAGAGGUCUAUAGUCCUUAGAACGACCAUUCUACUCUAGGUUAGCGGUCCUACAGUCAGCACGGCUUUGAUACCACUUAUGUCACACCCGGUUUUAGAAGGCAAACCGAAUGCGAACCAUGUAUGUGCCAGGAUCAGUUAUUCACGUACACAGCAGUUACAUAACAUGGACAUCAUCACACAGUGCUCAAAAUAGUAUUAAAAGGGAAUAAUAGUUGAUUACAUCAUACGUCUGAGACGUCCAUAUAGUUCUUACAAUAAAUCAAAGUGCGGAAAAGAAACGUAGAUAACUGCGGCCUUCACAGGCAGUCGACUGGGGGUUGCCGCUAACCCACACCUAGAACUCGUCGUAGUCUUGGAACUCCUGGAAGUCUCCUUCCACAGCUUCAUCUUCGCCUGAGCAGUGGUUGCAAUGCUGACAACCUGGGGGGGGGGGGGGUUGGUGUGUAGAGCAAGGGUGAGCAACAUACUCAGCAAGUAUCCUGUUUGGCUGUAGUGGACUAGCUGUAUGUGGGGAUGAGUCAAGCAGUUGCUUUUAGUUGGUCAGAUUAUUACUUACUAGUAGAAAGCCAAGUUUUAGCAUUACCCAAGUUAUUAACCCGAUGUACCCUUUCCAAACGGAAAGAAUACCACUUACCAGCACCAUAGUCAUAACCAGAACCAUCGAUCUCAUAACCACCUGUACCACAAUGUCUCUGAUCAAGUACCACUAAUCACUGGAGCUCCCUUGGCCGCUCAUAACCGCGAGCACGGCUGAUAUAUCAGUUUUCAAACACUCUGCAGAGGUUGUGCACUUUACCCACAAGCCGUGAUUCCCAUUCUGCCCGGAGAUCAUGACUCUCCAUUGAUCACUACCAAGGUGACCCAGCAGGGCAUCACUACGUAGCCUUUACAAAGAUUCCCCGGGACUGUAGCCACCCGUUAGGUUUCCUAAAUGUACCGCACUCCUCCCCAAGGGACAAAUCAACCUUGGCAGAGCGAGCCGCAUACACCGAGCCCCAUUGACGGCACGACGGCUAAGUGAACUACACCCCGGAUCCUCUAAUUAUUCAGCUAAGGGCACCCCAUUCCACCCUCAUGGUUGCACUGUUUUCCCGGGCGGUCAUCCAUAGAACAGGUCCUUACGGAGAGGCACUCGAGAAACCGCUCGAGCCCCCUUAAAGCCACAAGUACAACAUCAUAAUAAGAGAAGGGAAAACAGCGUAUCAUAGAUAUUCUCAUCAUGUUCAUUGAUUAGAGUUGAGCAAUAGCAUAAAGCUAAACAGUAAUAAUCCAACCCAAAUAGGUAAGCAAGGAUAGGGAUAACAAAAGCUAGUCAAACCUUAGGUAUAAAUAUGUAAAGCGGGGGGUGAAUUAAAUAAUGAAUAGGACAGAGAUAGGUCAAAGGACACUUGCCUCCACCAACCGACUGCUGCUCAGGGGCUUCUCCUGCGAGUUCCUCGGGCUCUUCAACCGGAUCGUUCUCUAUGCGAUUGCAAACAUACAUACAUCCACACAUUUAAUACAAAAGAACAGUACACCAUACAAUAGAAUGCAAUAAGUAAACAGACGUUCUACGCGGGCUCGCGAGUACGGUUAAGAGAGAAAGAGGAAAAGACAGUCGAGAAACGAUCACGUUACAUGAUUAUAAAUUAACUACUCGCUUAAUGGAAGGAAAUUUAAUGUGGACACUAUGUUUAGCGUAAAGUAAAGUCAUGUUUCAUGUCCAAUUAUUAUAAGCAGGUGGAGGUAAACAAAAAGAUGGUCGCGCGGCGAGACGCGCGACAAAGCUCUCUAAAACAAGUUAAAAAGUUAACGACUCGUCGCGCGACCGAGCACGCAACGAGACACUUCGCCUUAGAUACGAGGAGACGUUAAACGUCGCGCGACGAAGCGCACGACGGCAUACGUCGACUAAACUGAGUCCAAAGUGGAACGUCGCGUGAAUACACACGCGGCGUUACACCUUAAACAACCUGAAACAAAAAUGGGUCGUCGCGCGACGAAGCGCACGACGCAACACAAGAUAGAAUCUGAAUUUAGACAAACCGUCGCGCGGCAAAGCGCGCGACGCAACACGCUAAUUAACGAAUAAUCACCACGAGCGCGGGCGAGCGAAGAUACGGUCGGGCGAGGCCGGGACGGGAACGGGCGGCCGAACGGGGGAAAGGGCGGUUGAACCGGCCCAAGGGCGGUUGAACCGGCCAGGGGGCGGCCGAGGCCGGGCGGGCACGGGGCAGGGUGCGGGGCGGCCGAGCCGGCCAUGGCGGCCGAGCUGGGUGGUGGGAUCGCCACCGCGCGCGGGGAGGGGCGCCGGGCGGGCAGGGGCGAGCGGGCGCCGCCGCGGGCGAGCAGGGGCGGGCGAGCGCCGCCGCGGGCCAGGGGAGGGCGGGCGCCGCCACGCGGGGCCGGGCAGGGGGCGGGCGGGAUCGCCGCCGCGGGGAGGGGCAGGGGCGGGCGCCGCCGCGCCGGGGAGGGGUCGAGCGGGGGGGGGAAGGCCGGGGACGGGGAGCCGAGCGCCGCCGCGGGAGGGGCCGAGCGGACGAGCCGGGGGCGGGCGCCGAGCGCCGCCGCGCGGAGGGCGAGCGGGCGGGCAGGGGCGGGCGCCGAGCGCCGCCGCGGGGAGGGCGAGCGGGCGGGCAGGGGCGCCGCCGCGGGGAGGGGCCUAGCGGGCGGGCAGGGGCGCCGCCGCGCCGGGCAGGGACGGGGUCGGGCGCGGGCAGGGGGAAGAGGGAGGGUGCGCGCGCGGGGAAGAAGAGGAGGGAGAGGGAGAGAGAGAAGAGGAGGGGAGGGGAGGGGAGCUCACCUCGGGGUCCAAAAUCCGGUGAUCACCGUCUCCAAACCCUAGGGCACCACGGGGAGAGAUAGGUGGAAGAGGGAGAGGGAAGUUGUUGCGCGGGAGAUCCAAAUGAGGGAGAGAGAGAGGAUGGGGGGCGCAGGGGGGUUGGGCGCCAGGGGCGCGCAGGCCGGGGCGGGCCGGGCCGGCUGAGCUGGGCUGGGCUAAGUUGGGCUGGGCCGAGCCACUUCGCGGAUCGAAAACCCACGACGAGCGCGGACCACUAAACGAACUUAAAACGCGAAUCAAAAUCCGGAACGGAACGAGACGAACACUCAACAUCAGACAAAGAAAUGUGCUUCGGCAUGAUGCAACACCCAUGACACUUAGGUUUUGGUUUAUACAUGACGCGGACACCUGCCGCUAUACUGGUUUGAAAUUGGGAAGAAGGAGCAAACGAGGAAAGAGAAAAGAGAGUAACGCCCGAAUUUGGUGAGAGAAAAGAAGAAAAAAUUCUACCCCCAAAUUCAGGGCGUUACACAAACACAAGUCUUUGACCCCUUGUGCUUGCCCCCAACAUACUUGGCAACUACCUUGCCGGAUUUGUUAGUUAAAACAUAAGAUGCAUCAAAAGUUUUGAAUGAAAUGUUAUGAUCAUUUGAUGCACUAGGAGUUUUCCUUUUAGGCAACUUAGCAUGGGUUGGUUGCCUAGAACUAGAUGUCUCACCCUUAUACAUAAAAGCAUGGUUAGGGCCAGAGUGAGACUUCCUAGAGUGAAUUCUCCUAAUUUUGCUCUCGGGAUAACCGGCAGGGUACAAAAUGUAACCCUCGUUAUCCUAAGGCAUGGGAGCCUUGCCCUUAACAAAAUUAGACAAUUUCUUAGGAGGGGCAUUAAGUUUGACAUUGCCUCCCUGUUGGAAGCCAAUGCCAUCCUUAAUGCCAGGGCGUCUCCCACUAUAAAGCAUACUACGAGCAAAUUUAAAUUUUUCAUUUUCAAGUUCAUGCUCGGCAAUUUUAGCAUCUAAUUUUGCUAUAUGAUCAUUUUGUUGUUUAAUUAGAGCCAUGUGAUCAUGUAUAGCAUUAAUAUUAACAUCUCUACAUCUAGUGCAAAUAGAAGUAUGUUCAACGGUAGAUGUAGAGGGUUUGCAAGAUUUUAGUUCUACAACCUUAGCAUGUAAUAUAUUAUUUUUAGUUCUAAGGUCGGAAAUUGUAACAUUGCAAACAUCUAGUUCUUUAGCCUUAGCAAGCAAUUUUUCAUUUUCAAUCCUAAGGCUAGCAAUGGACAUGUUCAAUUCUUCAAUCUUAGCAAGCAAAUCAUCAUUAUCAUUUUUAAGAUUGGGAAUUGAAACAUUACAAGCAAUAGAAUCAACCUUAGCUAGCAAAUUAGCAUUCUCAUUUCUAAGGUUGUCUAUAGUCUCAUGGCAAGUACUUAGCUCACUAGAUAAUUUUUCACAUUUUUCAACUUCUAGAGCAUAAGCAUUUUUAACUUUAACAUGCUUUUUGUUUUCCUUGAUUAGGAAGUCCUCUUGGGAGUCCAAGAGAUCAUCCUUCUCGUGGAUGGCACUAAUUAAUUCAUUUAAUUUCUCUUUUUGUUGCAUGUUUAAGUUGGAAAAAAGAGUACGCAAAUUAUCUUCCUCAUCACUAUCAUUAUCAUCGCUAGAAGACUCAUAUCUAGUGGAGGAUUUGGAUUUAACCUUGUUCUUUUUGCCGUCCUUUGCCAUGAGGCACUUGUGGCCGACGUUGGGGAAGAGAAGUCCCUUGGUAACGGUGAUGUUGGCGGUGUCCUCGUCGUCGGAGGAGUCGCUAGAGCUUUCAUCGGAGUUCCACUCGCGACAAACAUGGGCAUCGCCGCCCUUCUUCUUGUAGUACCUCUUCUUCUCCUUUCUUCUUCCCUUCUUGUCGUCACCCCUGUCACUGUCACUAGAAAUAGGACAUUUAGCUAUAAAGUGACCGGGCUUAACACAUUUGUAGCAAACCUUCUUGGAGCGGGGCUUGUAAUCUUUCCCCUCCUUUGUUUGAGGAUUUGGCGGAAGCUCUUGAUGACGAGCGCCAUUUCCUCGUUGUCGAGCUUGGAGGCGUCGAUGGGUGUUCUACUCGGUGUAGACUCCUCCUUCUUCUCUUCUGUCGCCUUGAAUGCGACGGGUUGAGCUUCGGACGUAGAGGGGCCAUCAAGCUCGUUGAUCUUCCUUGAUCCCUUGAUCAUGAAUUCAAAGCUCACAAAAUUCCCGAUCACUUCCUCGGGAGUCAUUAGUGUGUAUCUAGGAUUGCCAUGAAUUAAUUGUACUUGAGUAGGGUUAAGGAAAAUAAGUGAUCUUAAAAUAACCUUAACCACCUCGUGGUCAUCCCACUUCUUGCUCCCGAGGUUGCGCACUUGAUUCACCAAGGUUUUGAGCCGAUUGUACAUGUCUUGUGGCUCCUCCCCUUGGCGAAGACGGAAGCGACCGAGCUCCCCCUCGAUCGUUUCCCGCUUGGUGAUCUUGGUGAGUUCAUCACCCUCAUACGCGGUCUUGAGCACAUCCCAAACUUCCUUGGCGCUCUUCAAUCCUUGCACCUUGUUGUACUCCUCCCUACUUGGAGAGGCGAGGAGUAUUGUUGUGGCUUGGGAGUUGAAGUGCUCGAUUUGGGCCACCUCAUCCUCAUCAUAAUCCUCAUCCCUUACAGAUGGUACCUGUGCUCCAAACUCAACAACAUUCCAUAUACUUUUGUGGAGUGAGGUUAGAUGAAAUUUCAUUAAAUCACUCCACCUAGCAUAAUCUUCACCGUCAAAGGUUGGCGGUUUGCCUAAUGGAACGGAAAGUAAUGGAGUAUGUCUAGAGGUGCGAGGGUAGUGUAAGGGAAUCUUACUAAACUUCUUGUGCUCAUGGCGCUUAGAAGUUAUGGAGGGCGCGUCGGAGCCGGAGGUAGAUGGCGAUGAGGUGUCGGUCUCGUAGUAGACCACCUUCCUCAUUUUCUUUUUCUUGUCGCCACUCCGAUGCGACUUGUGGGAGGAGGCUUUCUUCUCCUUCCCUUUCUUUUUGUUGCGGGACUCUUCCGAUGAAGCCUUCUCGUGGCUUGUAGCGGGCUUGUCGCCGGUCUCCAUCUCCUUCUUGGCGUGUUCUCCCGACAUCACUUCGAGCGGUUAGGCUCUAAUGAAGCACUGGGCUUUGAUACCAAUUUAAAGUCACCUAGAGGGGGGUGAAUAGGGCGAAACUGAAAUUUACAAAGUUAAUCAUAACUACAAGCCGGGUUAGCGUUAGAAAUAUAAUCAAGUCCGCGAGAGAGGGUGCAAAACAAAUCGCAAGCGAAUAAGGAGUGAGACACGUGGAUUUGUUUUACCGAGGUUCGGUUCUCGCAAACCUACUCCCCGUUGAGGUGGUCACAAAGACCGGGUCUCUUUCAACCCUUUCCCUCUCUCAAACGGUCCCUCAGACCGAGUGAGCUUCUUCUUCUCAAUCAAACGGGAACAAAACUUCCCCGCAAGGGCCACCACACAAUUGGUGCCUCUUGCCUUGGUUACAAUUGAGUUGAUCGCAAGAAAGAAUCAAAGAAGAAAGCAAUCCAAGCGCAAGAGCUCGAAAGAACACAAGCAAAUCUCUCUCACUAGUCACUAAGGCGUUGUGUGGAAUUUGGAGAGGAUUUGAUCACUUGGGUGUGUCUAGAAUUGAAUGCUAGAGCUCUUGUAAGUGGUUGAAGUAGGAAAACUUGGAUGACUUGAAUGUGGGGUGGUUGGGGGUAUUUAUAGCCCCAACCACCAAACUAGCCGUUUGGUGGGGCUGUCUGUCGCAUGGUGCACCGGACAGUCCGGUGCACACCACGUCACCAGGCCGUUGGGUUCCGACCGUUGGAGCUCUGACUGCUGGGCCCGCCUGGAUGUCCGGUGGCACACCGGACAUGUACUGUAGAGUGUCCGGUGCGCCGCUUCGCGCGUGCCUGACUUCUGUGCGCACUGGCGUGCAUUUAAUGCUGUAGCAGGUGACUGUUGGCGCCGAAUAGUCGUUGCUCCGCUGGCUCACCGGACAAUCCGGUGCACAACGGACAUGUCCGGUGAAUUAUAGCGGAGCGAAUUCCCGAAGCUGGCGAGUUCCAUAGUCGCUCUCCUCUGGGGCACCGGACAUUGUCCGGUGUACACCGGACAGUCCGGUGAAUUAUAGCGGAGCGCCUCUGGAUUUUCCCGAAGGUGAGGAGUUCAGCGUGAAGUCCCCUGGUGCACCGGACACUGUCCGAUGGUGCACCGGACACUGUCCGGUGGCACACCGGACAGUCCGGUGCGCCAGACCAGGGCACACUUCGGUUAUCCCUUGCUCUCUUUGUUGAACCCAAUUCUUGGUCUUUUUAUUGGCUAAGUGUGAACCUUUGACACCUGUAUAACUUAUACACUAGAGCAAACUAGUUAGUCCAAUUAUUUGUGUUGGGCAAUUCAACCACCAAAAUCAAUUAGGAAAAUAGGUGUAAGCCUAAUUCCCUUUCACUUUUGUCGCACUUUUUUGCAAGGGGACCGGCCUUUCUCGGUUGCAUUUCAUUUCGGGGGGUGCGCGCGAGCGCACCCGCCGGGUGUAGCCCCCGAGGCCUCGGAGGAGUGGUUUGACUCCUUCGAGGUCUUAAUGCCUUUCGUGAUGCCUCGGCCGGUCUGGUUGUUCCCUCAUGCGAACUGGCCGUAGCCCGGGUGCAUAGUCAGGUUCCGAGUUCUCGGGCUGGUAUGUUGACGCUGUCAACGGUUUGGCCGGAGCCGGGCUUGCGAGAGCAGCCCCCGAGCCUCCGCACAGAGCGAGAGGAUGGUCGAGGACUGACUCGGCUUUUUUCAUAUGCUCCUGCGUCGCCUUUCUGCAAGGAGGAGGGGGAAAGCGCCAUGUUGCCCUCGGAGGGCGCCGAACAUGGUGUCUCCUGUGAGUUGCUAACGGGUGAUCCCAGUGGACGCUUGUGUCCCGUUCGAUAAGGGUCGGCUGGUGGCCCAGAGGCGCGCUCCAAAAGUACCUGCAGGUGAUUUGCCAGACCCGGUCCCGUUUGAUAGGGUCCAAGGGCUCGAUGCCUCCCUCUGGUGGGAUUCCGUUACAGAAUCGCUCCUGCUGGUCUCGGAAAUGUCCUAGGGUACCUCGGGAGCGUAGCCCAAGCCUCGGCCAUGUAUCAGACGUACCCAGAGUCAUCCCUCGCUCUGCAUGCUCUAAGGCGGCUGUCGAACCCUUCGGGGGCCAGCCUACGAACCCCUGAUCAGUAGUGGGUGCGGAGCCCGAGUGGCCUGAGGUGGCUGUCGAACCCUUCCGAGGGGCCAACCUUUGAACCUCUGACUAGUAGUGGGCGCGGAGCCCGAGUGCUCUGAGGCGGCUGUCGAACCCUUCCGAGGGGCCAGCCUUCGAACCUCUGAUCAGUAGGAGGGCUCAGGGCCCGCUUCCUUCGCGGAGAAGGAUCCCUUUCGGAGUAUCCCCUUUCCCGGUCCCUGUAGCAAGAGAGAGAAAGGGGAAGAGAAAAAGGGAUAUGAAAUUGAAUGAUGUGGCGUACCUUUUUUGACAUGGUCAUUAUGGCGGAGGUGAAGCGUCGCCCGCUUCGCCUACCAAAGGUGCCGCUUGUCCUCCCGCAGAGUUAAUGUGAUGGGACGAGUAGUUGGCGAGGCAGUCGUUGUGCGUGCGUGAGCCGUUCGAGGAACGGAACACGGGCGCGUCGUCUUCAUGCCGUGGGAGAGGGCUCUCCUGCUGCUCCAGGAGGGGACGUGAGCCUGCAGUUGAUUUGAUCGCCGCUUUCGCUCGCCUGCUGCCGCCAUUACUGUCGGGCCACUUCUGGCCGUAUCGACCGUCGCGCCUUCUCCCGCGGCUGACUGACCCGUGACCGAUGUGCUCGGUUGGCACUGUUGGGCCAUGCGCAGGGUCGCCUCGAGUCGCGGCUCCGGUUCCGCAGUCGAGAAGGCACAGUACUGACGCAAGUGGCGGUGCAGUUUCUCGCACGUAGUAACUGGCGCGCCGGUUACAUGACGUGUGGGCUUGGGCCUCCAUGCUGGACGCGUCGAAGUCGAAAGGGUGCGCCCCCUUGGUGCGGUUGCAUGCCGCCUGCAUGGUGGUCCGCCCUUUCACCCGCUGGUCUGGGCAAAAGUGGAGGAGUGCUUGUAACCGCUGGGCAGUUACGCGCUCCGCGCGCGGCGGUUUGGCUCCUUCUGCCCUGGGCCAGCUUGCAUGACGCGCGGGACCCAGCCCCCGUGUCGCAGGGGGAGGACCUUGGAUUGUGUUGGUGAAGACUCAGUCCGCGGCGGCUGAGGACGCAAGUGGGGAGAGUCGCCUUUAAAAAGGGGGGCGACCCCCUUGGAUGGCAGCCAUGCCUUCGCACUCCCCUCAUGCAUCGCGUCCUUCCACCUUCCGAGCCCCCAGAUGGGGAGCGUCCGCGUUGCUUUUGUCUUGUUGUCUUGGAGGAACGCAACUUCGCGGAAGUUGGUACCUUUCAGCCAUCGCUCGGCUUCAAGGAUUUUCAUCAGGCAGCCCGGCUGCAUCCCCUUGCCGAUGGUCACCCAAGACGGUGACCACCAGUUUGAUGGUGGGGAGAAGCAAGCCGGGCUACGACCUCUGCCCCGCCCUCAGCUUCAAGGAUCUUCAUCAUCCUUGCUGGGCGGAGGCCGGGCUGAGCCGGGGCCUACCUUCGCGUGGGCCGGCGUCCCGUUUCUUCCUCCAGCUUCUGGGGGUGGAAACCAUCCUCCAGCCAUGCCGGGGAAGGCGAACUGUUGCUGCCCAGUCCAGGGUGCAACAUUCCGUCUUUUGUCCGGGCGACGGUGGCCAGUCGCACCGGGGGGUCUCCCAACACGUCGUACGCCACGAGGGCGGUACUCGUGUUCUGGGACGGUCCCAUUCUCGUUUUUGUGGCGAGGACGGGAGUGAGGACCUGCCGGUGUGCUUUGGGGCGACCGGCGCCCGCUGGUGCGGUGUUGGUGGGCAGGUGGACGUCACCGUCGGUGCUGAGGUGGUGGCAGCUGGAGAAAGCUUCUCCGUCGACGAGACCGUCAGCGCCACCCGCGGACCAACCUCCGACUCUUUGGCUUUAAUAUCUGGUUCCCAUCCCCCGCGAGGGGACGCGAACGAAAGCCUUCCAGCGGUUGCGCCCGUCCUGGGUCCGUCGCUGUUGCUGCAGAGGUCGCCGGCAAGUCACCCGGAGUUUAUCGUCCCGCAGGUUCUCCGAUGUGGAGGUUGUUCAUACCCACGAGAGUGGAACCGGAGUUCCGUUUGUAAUGGCACCUUGAGUGUCGGUGUCUGUUCAUUGUGGCUGUCGGGGCCUGAACAUGUAUGUAUUUGGGCGUAAAGCCAUGUUUCUUCCUCCUUUCGAGCACUAGGACUCGCCUAUCGGCUAGCUGAACCACUUAACCAAGUGUGAGUUGCCUCGUGCGGAAGGUGACGAGUGAGGUAUCCGUAUCCCAGAGGUGUAGGAGUCCCUCGGCUCGGUCGGCCUUGCAGCCUGAGGCUUCUCUUGCUCAGUUAAAGAAACCCUCGUCCGCUCUGCGUUGAGCCGGAGCCGGAGGCAGCGGUGUCAGCACAGACAGAGGCGGAGUUGGCUCGAAAAGAAGACUUCGUCGGCCCAGGAGCAGUUGACUUCCUAGGCCGAGGAGGCGUAGCAGCGGCGGCUGGAACCUGGCCAGGUCGUCCACUGGUGGGACCAACCAUGGAGUCGCGGUGCCGAGGCCAUAGGCCGGGCUGAUGUCCUCGGGGGAUAGCUGGCUGAGGCUUCGGGACGGCCGGUCCAGCCGUCUGCUUGGGCCGGGUUCCUGGAGGAGACCCUGGCGGCGAUGGCUCAGGCGCGAUGCUGACAUCUUUCUUCGAGGUGGAGAUCCUUCGACCGUGUCGCCGUCCGAGGCUGGGUCGUACUCCGCCGAAGGUGGAGUCGAUGCCGAGGGUGCUGCUGCUCCCCCUAUUGAUGUAUGAACCUGCAGGAACAGUUUAUCUGUAGUGUGCGUAUGUUUUUUUGCGGCCACCAAGGCCUAAACAUACCGUCGUCGUGUUGUAAAGCUGCGUUUCUUUUCCCCUUGUUUCGAGUAUCAGGACUUGUUUGUCAGUAACAGAAUUGUUUAUCCGAGCGAGAGUUACUUAUCGCGGAAGGUGAUGAGUGAGGUAUCCGUAUCCCGGGGGCGUAGGAGUCCCUCGGCUCGGUCGACCUAGCCGCUUACGUGUACUCUUACUCGUCCGUAGGAUUCUGUUAUCGAUAUAGUUGAGAAGGCACGAAAAAUCGUUUCGACAGAAAAGCCUUCGAGCGUUAAGACUUGUUCGGUCAGCGGAAUUGCUUAUCCGAGCGUGAGUUACUUAUCGCAGAAGGUGAUGAGUGAGGUAUCCGUAUCCCAGAGGCGUAGGAGUCCCUCGGCUCGGUCGGCCUUGCCUGCUUACGUGUACUCCGUCGUUUUCAGGAUCCCACUAUCGAAGUAGUAAAAAAGCACGAAAGAUGUUCUGGCAGAAAGAUUUUUUCUGAGGAAAAUUUUGACGCAGAGGGGGUUCCCCCCUUCUAGCCCCCGAGGGAGGGUCGGGCUUUGCCGAGGCAAGGCUAACCCUUCCUUGAUGGUUAGACUUUGUUUGUGUAUGUAAACGAGGUAUAUGAACGAACGACUUGAAAACAUCUUAAGGGUAGAAGCAACGUAGCUGUCGGAUAUUCCAAGCGUUGCUGUAGACCUCGCCUUGACUGUUGGCCAGCUUGUACGCUCCGGGCUUCAAAAUCUUGGCGAUGAUGAACGACCCUUCCCAGGGAGGCGUGAGCUUGUGGCGCCCUUGGGCGUCUUGGCGUAGCCGAAGCACGAAGUCGCCUACCUGGAGGUCUCGGGACCGAACCCCUCAGGCGUGCUAGCAUCGCAGGGACUGCUGAUACCGCGCCGAGUGUAGUAAGGCCAUGUCCCGAGCCUCUUCCAGCUAGUCCAAUGAGUCUUCUCGGUUGGUCCGAUUGCUUCGGUCGUCGUACGCCCUCGUACUCGGGGAUUCGUAUUCUAAGUCUGUGGGCAAGAUAGCCUCGGCCCCAUAGACUAGAAAAAACGGUGUGAAGCCCGUGGCUCGGCUUGGCGUCGUUCUCAGACUCCAGACCACCGAGGGGAGUUCCUUCAUCCAUCGCCUGUCGAACUUGUUGAGGUCGUUGUAGAUCCGUGGCUUGAGUCCUUGCAGAAUCAUGCCGUUGGCACGCUCUACCUGCCCAUUCGUCAUGGGGUGAGCUACGGCGGCCCAGUCCACCCGGAUGUGGUGGUCCUCGCAGAAGUCCAUGAACUUUCUGCCAGUGAACUGGGUGCCGUUCUCGGUGAUGAUGGAGUUCGGAACCCCGAAGCGAUGGAUGAUGUUGGUGAAGGAUGCCACCGUCUGUUCGGACCUGAUGCUGUUUAGGGGUCUGACCUCGAUCCACUUGGAGAACUUGUCGAUGGCGACCAGCAGGUGCGUGUAGCCCCUGGGUGCCUUCUGCAAGGGACCGACGAGGUCUAGACCCCACACAGCAAACAACCAGGUGAUGGGUAUUGUUUGCAGAGCCUGAGCGGGCAGGUGGGUCUGCUUUGCGUAGAAUUGACACCCUUGGCAGGUGCGUACAAUCCUAGUGGCAUCAGCCACCGCGGUUGGCCAGUAGAAACCCUGUCGGAAGGCGUUUCCAACAAGGGCUCGAGGCGCUGCGUGAUGACCGCAAGCCCCCGAGUGUAUUUCUUAUAAUAACUCCUGACCUUCAGCGAUGGAUAUGCAUCGCUGGAGGAUGCCUGAGGGGCUGCGGUGGUAGAGCUCCUUCCCAUCACCCAGCAAGACGAACGACUUGGCGCGCCGUGCCAGUCGCCGAGCUUCAGCUCCGUCAAGGGGUAGCUCCCCUCAGUGGAGAUAUUGCAGGUACGGGGUCUGCCAGUUUCGAUUAGGCGUGACCCCAUUUCGCUCUUCCUCGACGCGCAGUGCCUCACCCUCGGGGCUGAGGGUGCCUCGGGCUCAGCCGAGGGUGCCUCGGGCUGAACUGAGGGUGCCUCGGGCUGAACCGAGGCCUUCUCGGGCUCGGGCGUGUCGUCGGUCUUGACUGAGGGUUGAUCUAGGUCUCGGGAGAAGACGUCCGGAGGAACCGUUGUCCGCCCCGAGGCUAUCUUAGCCAGCUUGUCCGCAGUCUCAUUGUAUCGUCGGGCGAUGUGGUUGAGCUCGAGCCCGUAGAACUUGUCCUCCAGGCGCCGAACCUCAUCGCAGUAGGCUUCCAUCUUCGGGUCGCGACAAUGGGAGUUCUUCAUGACUUGGUCGAUGACAAGCUGCGAGUCGCCCCGAGCAUCGAGGCGCCGAACCCCUAGCUCGAUGGCGAUGCGCAACCCGUUAACUAGAGCCUCGUACUCAGCCACGUUGUUGGACGCCGGGAAAUGGAGGCACAGCACGUAGCGGAGGUGCUUCCCGAGGGGUGAGAUGAAGAGCAGGCCCGCGCCCGCUCCUGUUUUCAUCAACGACCCAUCGAAAAACAUGGUCCAGAGUUUCGGUUGGAUCGGAGCUGCUGGAAGCUGGGUGUCGACCCAUUCAACCACAAAGUCUGCUAGGACUUGGGACUUGAUCGCCUUCCGAGGGGCGAACGAGAUUGUCUCGCCCAUGAUCUCCACCGCCCACUUUGCAAUCCUACCCGAGGCCUCUCGACACUGGAUGAUCUCCCCCAGGGGGAAGGAUGACACCACAGUCACCGGAUGAGACUCGAAGUAGUGUCGCAACUUUCGCCGCGUCAGAAUUACCGCGUACAGUAGCUUCUGAAUUUGCGGGUAGCAGAUCUUGGUCUCGGACAGUACCUCACUGAUGAAGUAGACCGGCCUCUGGACGGGCAAUGCGUGCCCCUCUUCUCGUCUCUUGACCAUGAUCGCGGCGCUGACCACCUGAGUGGUAGCGGCGACGUAGAUCAAGAGGGCUUCUCCGGCAGCGGGGGGCACCAAGAUGGGCGUGCUUGUAAGGAGCGCCUUUAGGUUCCCGAGGUCUUCCUCGGCCUCGGGGGUCCAAGUGAAGUGCUCGAUCUUCCUUAAGAGGCGGUACAGAGGUAGGCCUCUUUCGCUGAGGCGCGAGAUGAAGCAGCUCAGAGCCGCAAGGCAUCCCAUGACCCUCUGUACUCCUUUCAAGUCCUUGAUGGGGACCAUGUUGGUGAUGGCCGCAAUUUUCUCCGGGUUGGCCUCGAUGCCCCGCUCGGAGACGAUGAAACCUAAGAGCAUGCCUCGGGGGACUUUGAAGACACACUUCUCGGGAUUGAGUUUUACGCCUUUCUCUUUGAGACACUUGAAUGUCGUUUCGAGGUCAGAGAGGAGGUCGGAGGCUUUCCUCGUCUUGACUACGAUGUCAUCGACGUAAGCCUCAACCGUUCGACCAAUGUGCUCUCCAAACACGUGGUUCAUGCACCUUUGGUAUGUCGCACCCGCAUUCCUCAAACCGAAUGACAUAGUAAUGUAGCAGUACAUGCCAAAGGGUGUGACGAAAGAAGUCGCGAGCUGGUCGGACUCUUUCAUCCUGAUUUGGUGAUACCCUGAGUAGGCAUCGAGGAAAGACAGGGUUUCGCAUCUAGCAGUGGAAUCCACGAUUUGAUCGAUGCGAGGCAGAGGGUAGGGAACUUUCGGACAUGCUUUGUUUAGACCAGUGUAGUCUACACACAUCCGCCAUUUCCCGCCUUUCUUUCUCACAAGCACAAGGUUGGCUAGCCAUUCGGGAUGGAAUACCUCUUUGAUGAACCCUGCAGCCAUCAGCUUGUGGAUCUCCUCGCCUAUGGCUCUGCGCUUUUCUUCGUCGAAUCGGCGCAGAGGCUGCUUCACGGGUCGGGCUCCAGCUCGGAUAUCCAGUGAGUGCUCGGCGACAUCCCUCGGUAUGCCAGGCAUGUCCGAGGGACUCCACACAAAAACCUCGGCAUUCGCGCGGAGAAAGUCGACGAGCACUGCUUCCUAUUUGGGGUCGAGCUCAGAAUCGAUCUAGACUUGCUUGGAGGCGUCGUUGCUGGGGUCGAGAGGGACGGACUUAACCGCCUCUGCUGGUUCGAAGUUUCCGGCGUGGCGCUUCGCAUCUGGCGCUUCCUUGGAAAGGCUCUCCAGGUCGGCAAUGAGGGCCUCGGAUUCGGCGAGGGCCUCGGCGUACUCCACGCACUCCACGUCACAUUCGUACGCGUGUCGGUACGUGGAGCCGACGGAGAUGACCCCGUUGGGGCCCGGCAUCUUGAGCUUGAGGUAGGUGUAGUUGGGGACGGCCAUGAACUUGGCGUAGCAUGGUCUCCCCAGCACUGCGUGGUAGGUUCCUCGGAACCCGACCACCUCGAACGUGAGGGUUUCCUUUCGGAAGUUGGAGGGAGUCCCGAAGCAGACGGGCAGAUCGAGUUGCCCAAGGGGUUGGACGCGUUUCCCGGGGAUGAUCCCGUGAAAGGGCGCCGCGUCGGCCCGGAUCGAGGACAGAUCGAUCUGCAGGAGCCUGAGGGUUUUGGCAUAGAUGAUGUUGAGGCUGCUGCCUCCGUCCAUGAGGACCUUGGUAAGCCUGACGUUGCCGAUGAUGGGAUCGACAACGAGCGGGUACUUCCCCGGGCUCAGCACGCGGUCGAGGUGGUCGCCUUGGUCGAAGGUGAUGGGCUUGUCGGACCAGUCUAGGUAGACUGGCGCCGCCACCUUCACCGAGCAGACCUCCCGGCGCUCUUGCUUGCGGUGCUGAGCCGAGGCGUUCGCCACUUGCCCACCGUAGAUCAUGAAGCAAUCAUGGACCUCGGGGAACUCUUCUGCCUUGUGGUCCUCCUUCUUGUCGUUGUUGUGGGCUGUGCCACCUUCCGCCGGGGGCUCGGCCUUGUGGAAGUAGCGCCGAAGCAUGACACACUCCUCAAGGGUGUGCUUGACGGGACCCUGAUGAUAGGGGCACGACUCCUUGAGCAUCUUGUCGAACAGGUUGGCGCCUCUGGAGGUUUCCGAGGGUUCCUGUGCUCGGCGGCGGCGACAAGAUCUGCGUCGGUGGCGUCGCAUUUCGCUUGCGACUUCUUAUUGGCCUUCUUCUUGGUGCUGCGCUGAGCGGACGCCUCGGGGACGUCUUCCGGUUGGCGCCCCUGAGGCUGCUUGUCCUUCCGGAAGAUGGCCUCGACCGCCUCCUGACCAGAGGCGAACUUGGUGGCGAUGUCCAUCAGCUCGCUCGCCCUGGUGGGAGUCUUGCGACCCAGCUUGCUCACCAGGUCACGGCAAGUGGUGCCGGCGAGGAACGCGCCGAUGACAUCCGAGUCGGUGAUGUUGGGCAGCUCAGUGCGCUGCUUUGAAAAUCGCUGGAUGUAGUCCUGAAGGGAUUCUCCCGGUGAGAGCACCUAGAGGGGGGGGUGAAUAGGUGAUCCUGUUAAACUUGAAAACUUAAGCCACAAAACUUGGUUAAUCGUUAGCACAAUAAUUGCCAAGUGGCUAGAGAGGAAUUCUCAACAAAACACAAUAACCAACAAGGAUCAAUCACAGAGAUGGCACGGUGGUUAUCCCGUGGUUCGGCCAAGACCAACGCUUGCCUACUCCACGUUGUGGCGUCCCAACGGACGAGGGUUGCAAUCAACCCCUCUCAAGCGGUCCAAAGACCCACUUGAAUACCACGGUGUUUUGCUUACUUUUUCUCAAUCCCGUUUGCGAGGAAUCUCCACAACUUGGAGCCUCUCGCCCUUACACUUGAAAUUCACAAAGAACACGGAGCAAGGGAGGGAUUAGCAACGCACACAAGACACAAGAAUCAGAGUGUCAACACGCACACAAGUCGCAACAAGAGCUCGCAACACAACUCAAUGAGUUCACAACUCCACUAGAGCUCUAUAUGCUAUCACAAUGAAACGAAUGCGCGAAAUCGAUGUCUUGGUGCUUAGGAAUGUUGUAGGAAUGCUUGGUGUACUCCUCCAUGCGCCUAGGGGUCCCUUUUAUAGCCCCAAGGCAGCUAGGAGCCGUUGAGAGCAAUCAAGGAAGGCUGAUCUUGCCUUCUGUCGACUGAUGCACCGGACAGUUCGGUGCCUGAUUUCCUUCCAUAAAUGGCGCAGUCGACCGUUGGCAGCCUGAGAGCCGUUGGCGCACCGGACAUGUCCGGUGCACACCGGACAGUCCGGUGCCUCCUACUAGCCGUUGGCCCGGCCACGUGUCCCGCGCAGAUCGCGCGGCCGACCAUUGGCCCUGCCGACCGUUGGCUCACCGGACAGUCCGGUGCACACCGGACAGUCCGGUGAAUUAUAGUCGUACGUCGACGAUGAAUUCCCGAGAGCGACGAGUUCGCCUGUGAACGGCCCACCGGACAGUCUGGUGCACCACCGGACAGUCCGGUGAAUUAUAGACGUACACCGCCGUCGAAGUCCCGAGAGCAGCCACUUUGCUCGAGUCAGCCUGGCGCACCGGACACUGUCCGGUGCACCACCGGACAGUCCGGUGCUCCAGACUGAGCAAAGUCUUGGCUGCUCGAGUCAAGGCAUUUCCAGUUGGUCUUUUCCUGUUUCCAGCACUUAGACACAAUACAUUAGUCUCUAAAACAAUGUACUAAGUCUGAGAAACAUACCUUUAUCCUUGAUUUGUACUUUGUCCACCAUUUUACACUCAGACACUUGUGUUGGACACUAAACCACCAAAAUACUUAGAAAUGGCCCAAGGGCACAUUUCCCUUUCAAUCUCCCCCUUUUUUGGUGAUUUAUGCCAACACAACAUAAAGCAAGUAGAACAAGUACAAAAUCACUUCAAAUAAAAACUCAAAUUGUUUUGAUUCAAAUUUGACAUAUAUGGAUCAUUCUAUGCCACCACUUGGUUUGUUUUUGCAAAUCAAACUCAAAUUCCUAUCUCUAAGUCAAAUCCACUUGUAGAGACAUAAAGAGAGGUUUUCCAAAGAAAUUUGAUCAAGGAUUUCAAAAACUCCCCCUUUUUCCCAUAAUCAACACUUCUCCCCACAAGAGGCCAACUUUUCAUACAGGAGACAAUAAAAGAGUUUUGACAAACCCCCCCUUUUCCCAUAAUCAACACUUCUCCCCACAAGAGGCCAACUUUUGAUACAGGAAACAAUAAAAGAGUUUUGACAAACCAAAAGCUCUAAUCUACUAUUUUCAAAAUUUCUCAAGUGGUAGUUGAUCCAUCUAUUGCUUUGGCCUUUAUUUUCUCCCCCUUUGGCAUCAAGCACCAAAACGGGAUCAAUCUUGGCCCUUUAACCCCAUUGCCUCACCAAAAUCUUCAACGAAGAGCAAAUAGGCAAUAAGAGGAUAAAGAUGAACUUGGAAAAGUUACUCUUUUCAUCGGAGUGCAGUGGAAGUCUUGCAUGGUCCAAGUCCACCUUUUCCCUUUCAAUUCUCCUUGGAGACUAAAACAACCAAACUCAAGUACAUGGUUAGUCUCAAAGGGUCAAGUUGUAGCACAGCUCCCCCUAAAUAUGUGCAUCACUUGCAACACGAACUUGUGAGGUCCAGGGAGUGUUUGUACAACUUGAGCACCACAAUAAGCAACAAAAUGCAGAAUGAACAUGAUCAAAGGCAUAAACACAUGUAUGCUACAAUUCAAUCCAAGUUCCACGAAUCUAGGACAUUUAGCUCACUACGCAGCCUGCAAAAGGUCUUUUCAUCUAAAGGCUUAGUGAAGAUAUCGGCUAGCUGGUUCUCGGUGCUAACAUGAAACACUUCGAUAUCUCCCUUUUGCUGGUGGUCUCUCAAAAAGUGAUGCUGGAUGUCAAUGUGCUUUGUGCGGCUGUGCUCAACAGGAUUUUCCGCUAUUCGGAUAGCACUCUCAUUAUCACAUAGGAGUGGGACUUUGCUCAGAUUGUAGCCAAAGUCCCAGAGGGUUUGCCUCAUCCAAAGUAGUUGCGCGCAACACUGUCCUGCGGCAACGUACUCGGCCUCAGCGGUGGAUAGGGCAACGGAAGUUUGUUUCUUAGAAUUCCAUGACACCAGGGACCUUCCUAAGAAUUGGCACGUCCCCGAUGUACUCUUCCUAUCGACCUUACAUACAGCAUAGUCGGAAUCUGAGUACCCAAUCAAGUCAAAGUUAGACCCCUUUGGAUACCAGAUCCCGAAGCAAGGCGUAGCGACUAAAUAUCGAAGUAUUCGCUUCACAGCCACUAAGUGACACUCCUUAGGAUCAGAUUGAAAUCUAGCACACAUGCAUACGCUAAGCAUAAUAUCCGGUCUACUAGCACAUAAAUAAAGCAAAGAACCUAUCAUGGACCGGUAUGCUUUUUGAUCAACGAACUUACCUCCUUUGUUGAGGUUGGUGUGUCUGUCAGUUCCCAUCGGCGUCUUUGCGGGCUUGGCUUCCUUCAUCCCAAACCGCUUUAGCAAGUCUUGCGUGUACUUCGUUUGGGAGAUGAAAGUGUCGUCCUUGAGUUGCUUCACUUGAAACCCAAGGAAGUAGUUCAACUCGCCCAUCAUCGACAUCUCGAAUUUCUGCGUCAUAACCCUGCUAAACUCUUCACAAGACUUUUGAUUAGUAGAACCAAAUAUUAUGUCAUCAACAUAAAUUUGGCACACAAAAAGAUCACCAUCGCAAGUCUUGGUAAAAAGAGUUGGAUCGACUUUCCCAACCUUGAAAGCAUUAGCAAUUAAAAAGUCUCUAAGGCAUUCAUACCAUGCUCUUGGGGCUUGCUUAAGUCCAUAGAGCGCCUUAGAGAGCUUACACACGUGGUCAGGGUACCGUUCAUCCUCGAAGCCAGGGGGUUGCUCCACGUACAACUCCUCCUUGAUUGGCCCGUUGAGGAAAGCGCUCUUCACAUCCAUUUGGUACAACCUGAAAGAAUGGUGAGCGGCAUAUGCUAGCAAGAUACGAAUUGAUUCUAGCCUAGCCACAGGAGCAAAAGUCUCCUCAAAGUCCAAACCUGCAACUUGGGCAUAACCUUUUGCCACAAGUCGAGCCUUGUUUCUUGUCACCACUCCGUGCUCGUCCUGUUUGUUGCGGAACACCCACUUGGUUCCCACAACAUUUAGCUUGGGACGAGGCACCAGCGUCCAAACUUCAUUGCGCUUGAAGUUGUUGAGUUCCUCCUGCAUGGCCAACACCCAGUCCGGAUCUAGCAAGGCCUCUUCUACCCUGAAAGGCUCAAUAGAAGAGACAAAAGAGUAAUGCUCACAAAAAUUAACUAAUCUUGAACGAGUAGUUACUCCCUUGCUAAUAUCACCCAAUAUUUGGUCGACGUGAUGAUCCCUUUGGAUCGUUGCUCGAACUUGGGUUGGAGGUGCCUGAGGUGCUUCUUCCUCUUCAACUUGAUCAUCCUGUGCUCCCCCUUGAUCAUGUGCCUCCACUUGAGGUACCUGUUCGUCAUCUUGAGUUGGGGGAUGCACCAUAGUUGAGGAAGACGGUUGAUGUUGCUCCAAUUGUUCCUGAGGCCGUACAUCUCCAAUCGCCAUGGUGCGUAUCGCGGCCGUUGAAACGUCUUCUACAUCAUCAAGAUCAACAACUUGCUCUCUUGGAGAGCCAUUAGUCUCAUCAAAUACAACGUCGCUAGAGACUUCAACCAACCCCGAUGAUUUGUUGAAGACCCUAUACACCUUUGUAUUUGAAUCGUAACCUAAUAAAAACCCUUCUACGGCUUUGGGAGCAAAUUUGGAAUUCCUACCCUUCUUCACUAGAAUGUAGCAUUUACUCCCAAAUACACGAAAGUACGAUACAUUGGGUUUGUUACCAGUCAGCAGCUCAUAUGAAGUCUUCUUGAGGAGGCGGUGAAGGUAGACCCUGUUGAUGGCGUGGCAAGCCGUGUUCACGGCUUCCGACCAAAAGCACUCGGGGGUCUUGAACUCUCCAAGCAUAGUCCUCGCCAUAUCUAUGAGUGUCCUGUUCUUCCUCUCUACCACACCAUUUUGCUGAGGUGUGUAGGGAGCGGAGAACUCGUGCUUGAUCCCCUCCUCCUCAAGGAACUCCUCCACUUGAAGAUUCUUGAAUUCGGACCCGUUGUCGCUCCUUAUCUUCUUCACUUUGAGCUCAAACUCAUUUUGAGCUCUCCUGAGGAAGCGCUUGAGGGUCCCUUGGGUUUCAGACUUAUCCUGCAAAAAGAACACCCAAGUGAAGCGGGAAAAGUCAUCAACAAUAACUAGACCAUACUUACUUCCUCCUAUGCUCAGAUAGGUGACGGGUCCGAAGAGGUCCAUAUGCAGCAGCUCCAGAGGUCUUGACGUGGUCAUCACAUUCUUGCUAUGAUGUGCUCCUCCCACUUGUUUACCUGCUUGACAAGCUGCAGAAGGUCUAUCUUUUUCGAAAUGAACAUUGGUUAGACCUAUCACGUGUUCUCCCUUUAGAAGCUUGUGGAGGUUCUUCAUCCCCACAUGUGCUAAGCGGCGAUGCCACAACCAGCCCAUGCAAGUCUUAGCCAUUAAGCAUGCAUCUAGACCGACCUCUUCUUUUGCAAAAUCAACUAAGUAAAGUUUGUCGUCUAGUACACCCUUAAAAGCUAGUGAACCAUCACUUCUUCUAAAGACAGACACAUCUACAUUUGUAAAUAAACAAUUAUAUCCCAUAUUACAUAAUUGACUAACAGAUAGUAAAUUAUAUCCAAGACUCUCAACUAAAAACACAUUAGAGAUAGAAUGCUCAUUUGAUAUUGCAAUCUUGCCUAAACCUUUCACCUUGCCUUGGUUCCCAUCACCGAAUAUGAUUGAAUCUUGGGAAUCCUUAUUCUUGACGUAGGAGGUGAACAUCUUCUUCUCCCCCGUCAUAUGGUUUGUGCAUCCGCUGUCGAUAAUCCAGCUUGAACCCCCGGAUGCAUAAACCUACAAGGCAAAUUUAGGCUUGGGUCUUAGGUACCCAACUCUUGUUGGGUCCUACAAGGUUAGUCACAAUUUCCUUAGGGACCCAAAUGCAAGUUUUAUCACCCUUGCAUUUUGCCCCUAAUUUCCUAGCAACUAUCUUCCUAUCCUUUCUACAAAUAGCAAAGGAAGCAUUCAAAGCAUGAUAAAUUGUAGAGGGACCAUUCAUAACUUUCCUAGGAGCAUGAACAAAAUUCUUUCUAGGCACAUGAUGAAUAUUUUUCCUAGGCAUAUCUCUACAAUGCAUAUAGGAAGAACUGGAAGCAUACAUAGCAUAAGAAUCAUAGGCAUGUGAAUCAAAAGCAUUACAACUCCUAUGAGACUGUCUUCUAUCAUUGUACAUAAAAGCAUGGUUCUUUUUAGUACUACUUGCCAUAGGGGCCUUCCCUUUCUCCUUGGCAGAGAUGGGAGCCUUAUGGCUUGUUAAGUUCUUGGCUUCCCUCUUGAAGCCAAGUCCAUCCUUGAUUGAGGGGUGUCUACCAAUCGUGUAGGCAUCCCUUGCAAAUUUUAGCUUAUCGAAAUCGCUUUUGCUAGUCUUAAGUUGGUCAUUAAGACUAGCUAUUUCAUCAUUUAAUCUAGAAAUUGAAACUAGGUGUUCACUACAAGCAUCAAUAUCAAAACCCUUACACCUAGUGCAAAUCAUAACAUGUUCUACACAAGAAUUAGAUUUAUUUGCUACUUCUAAUUUAGCAUUUAAAUCAUUGUUAACACCUUGUAAAGUAGAAAUGGUUUCAUGACAAGUAGAUAGUUCAUAAGAAAGCAUUUCAUUUCUUUUAACUUCUAAAGCAUAGGAUUUUUGUGCCUCUACAAAUUUAUCAUGUUCAUCAUACAACAAAUCCUCUUGCUUUUCUAAAAGCCUAUUCUUAUCAUUCAAGGCAUCAAUCAAUUCAUUAAUUUUAUCUACCUUGGUUCUAUCUAGGCCCUUAAAUAAACAUGAAUAAUCUAUUUCAUCCUCAUCACUAGAUUCGUCCUCACUUGAAGAAGCAUAAGUAGAGUUUCGAGUACAUACCUUCUUCUCCCUUGCCAUAAGGCAUGUGUGACGCUCAUUUGGGAAGAGGGAUGACUUGUUGAAGGCGGUGGCGGCGAGUCCUUUAUUGUCGGAGUCGGAUGAGGAGCAAUCCGAAUCCCACUCCUUGCCAAGAUGUGCCUCGCCCUUUGCCUUCUUAUAGUUCUUCUUCUUCUCCCUCUUGUUCCCUUGAUCCUGAUCACUAUCAUUGUCGGGACAGUUAGCAAUAAAAUGACUAAUCUUACCGCAUUUGAAGCAUGAGCGCUUCCCCUUGGCUUUGGUCUUGCUUGGCUGUCCCUUGCGACCCUUAAGUGCCAUCUUGAAUCUCUUGAUGAUGAGGGCCAUCUCUUCAUCAUUAAGUCCAGCCGCCUCAAUUUGUGCCACCUUGCUAGGUAGCGCCUCCUUGCUUCUUGUUGCCUUGAGAGCAAGGGGUUUAGGCUCGUUGAUUGGACCAUUCAAUGCGUCGUCCACGUACCUCGCCUCCUUGAUCAUCAUUCGCCCGCUUACGAAUUUUCCAAGGACUUCUUCGGGCGACAUUUUGGUGUACCUGGGAUUCUCACGAAUAUUAUUUACCAAAUGAGGAUCAAGAACGGUAAAGGACCUUAGCAUCAGUCGGACGACGUCGUGGUCCGUCCAUCGCGUGCUUCCGUAGCUCCUUAUUUUGUUGAUAAGGGUCUUGAGCCUGUUGUAUGUUUGUGUCGGCUCCUCGCCCCUUAUCAUCGCGAAUCGUCCAAGCUCGCCCUCCACUAGCUCCAUCUUGGUGAGUAAGGUGACGUUGUUCCCCUCAUGUGAAAUCUUGAGGGUGUCCCAGAUCUGCUUGGCGUUAUCCAAGCCGCUCACUUUGUGGUAUUCAUCCUUGCACAAUGAAGCUAGAAGAACAGUAGUAGCUUGUGCAUUCUUAUGAAUUUGCUCAUUAAUGAACAUGAGACUAUCCGAGCUAUCAAAGUGCAUUCCACUCUCUACAAUCUCCCAUAUACUAGCAUGGAGAGAGAACAAGUGACUACACAUUUUGUGACUCCAAAAUCCGUAGUCCUCUCCAUCAAAAUGAGGAGGUUUACCAAGUGGAAUAGAUAAUAAAUGAGCAUUUGUACUUUGAGGAAUACGAGAGUAAUCAAAAGAAAAGUUCGAAUUGACCGGUUUCCUUCUCUCGUAGUCGUUGUGGUCGUCGUCCUUUUGGGAAGAAGUAGACUCAUCGCUGUCGUCGUAGUAGACGAUCUCCUUGAUGCGCCUCGUCUUCUUUUUCUUCCCAUCUUUCCGUCUAUGGCCCGAGCCCGAGUCGGUAGGCUUGUCAUCCUUCGGCUCGUUGAUGAAAGAUUCCUUCUCUUUAUCGUUGAUCACGAUACCCUUCCCCUUAGGAUCCAUCUCUUCGGGCGAUUAGUCCCUUUGUGAAGAGAACGGCUCCGAUACCAAUUGAGAGCACCUAGAGGGGGGUGAAUAGGUGAUCCUGUUAAACUUGAAAACUUAAGCCACAAAACUUGGUUAAUCGUUAGCACAAUAAUUGCCAAGUGGCUAGAGAGGAAUUCUCAACAAAACACAAUAACCAACAAGGAUCAAUCACAGAGAUGGCACGGUGGUUAUCCCGUGGUUCGGCCAAGACCAACGCUUGCCUACUCCACGUUGUGGCGUCCCAACGGACGAGGGUUGCAAUCAACCCCUCUCAAGCGGUCCAAAGACCCACUUGAAUACCACGGUGUUUUGCUUACUUUUUCUCAAUCCCGUUUGCGAGGAAUCUCCACAACUUGGAGCCUCUCGCCCUUACACUUGAAAUUCACAAAGAACACGGAGCAAGGGAGGGAUUAGCAACACACACAAGACACAAGAAUCAGAGUGUCAACACGCACACAAGUCGCAACAAGAGCUCGCAACACAACUCAAUGAGUUCACAACUCCACUAGAGCUCUAUAUGCUAUCACAAUGAAACAAAUGCGUAAAAUCGAUGUCUUGGUGCUUAGGAAUGUUGUAGGAAUGCUUGGUGUACUCCUCCAUGCGUCUAGGGGUCCCUUUUAUAGCCCUAAGGCAGCUAGGAGCCGUUGAGAGCAAUCAAGGAAGGCUGAUCUUGCCUUCUGUCGACUGGUGCACCGGACAGUCCGGUGCCCGAUUUCCUUCCAUAAAUGGCGCAGUCGACCGUUGGCAGCCUGAGAGCCGUUGGCGCACCGGACAUGUCCGGUGCACACCGGACAGUCCGGUGCCUCCUACUAGCCGUUGGCCUGGCCACGUGUCCCCAGGGCGCACGUAUGUGCCCUGGAAGUUGCCGGUGAAAGCUUUGACCAGGUCGUCCCAGUUGGAGAUCUGCGCAGGAGGCAGAUGCUCCAGCCAGGCUCGGGCGGCGUCGGAGAGGAACAGGGGGAGGUUGCGGAUGAUGAGGUUGUCAUCGUCCAUUCCACCCAGUUGGCAGGCCAGCCGAUAGUCCGCGAGCCAUAGUUCCGGCCUUGUCUCCCCCGAGUACUUGAUGAUGGUAGUCGGGGUUCAGAACCGGGUCGGGAACGGCGCCCGUCGUAUGGCCCGGCUGAAAGCCUGCGGACCGGGUGGUUCAAGCGAGGGGCUCCGAUCCUCCCCGCUGUCGUAGCGUCCCCCACGCCUGGGGUGGUAGCCUCGGUGCACCUUAUCGUCGAGUUGGGCUUGACGGUCGCGGCGGCGGUGCUCGUUGCCGAGGCGACCCGGGGCCGCAGGUGCCGUGUUCCGCGUGCGCCCGGUGUGGACCGAGGCUUCCCGCAUGAAUCGGGAAGUCGUGGCGCGAUGCUCCGGGGGGUACCCCUGCCUUCGGGAGGCAGAGCAUUCGGCCCGUCGGACCGCGACAUCCUCCAAGAGAUUCUUGAGCUCUCCCUAGAUACGCCGCCCCUCGGUGGUAGAUGGUUCCGGCAUCGCUCGGAGUAGUAUUGCUGCUGCAGCCAGGUUCUGGCCGACCCCACUGGAAGCCGGGGGCAGCCUUGCCCUGGCAUCGUCGGUGAUGCGGUGCCUGACGUCCUAGGCCAGAUGACGCGCUUCUCCGGCCGGUGCUCGGCCUGCCCACUCCUGCCCGAUAUUUUGCCGAAGCUGCCCAAGUUGUCCUGCUUCCUCGUCGAGCCUGGCCUGCACCUCGCGGAUUUGCUCGAGCUGUGCGUCCUGACCCCCCGCAGGGACUAGGACCACAGCUAGCUCCCGUAGGAUGUCAACGCGAGGCGCAGGCCUAAGGGGAUCGCCGUCCUCCGACAUACCAAUGUGGUUGCCUUCGUCGAGACCCCCUAGAUCGACGUGGAAACAUUCGCGACUUGGGCCACAGUCCUCGUCGCCGAGGCUGUGGCUACUAUCGGAGCAAUCGGAGAGGCAGUAGUCACAUGCGGUCAUGAAGUCCCGCAUGGCACUAGGGUUAUCGAGCCCGGAGAAAUCCCAACCAUAGUCGGGCUCGUCAUCUUCCUCGGAACCCGGGGGCCCGUAGGUCGAGACGGUCAUCAGUCGGUCCCAGGUUGACCGCAUAUGAUACCCCGGAAGGUUCGGAUAUGCCUUUAUGAAAGCAUCCACCGAAGCGGGGUCGCUUGGUGGGUCGAAGCUGAAUCUAAAAGGCAUAGGAUGGGAAAUGGACGGUACCUCUUGAUCGACGGAUGGUGAUGAAGUCACGUCAGGGACGGAUUGCACCGUUAUCUCAGGUACGAGGCUAACGCCCAGCAAGUCCUUCGCGAGCGUGCUGGCGUCGUCCGUCUGCUUGGGUUUGGCGUGUUGCGGGGAAACGACGCUCGUCUUCGUCUCAGACGCGAGGUCAACGCCCGACGUGUCCCUCGUUGGGGCGCCAGUGCCAUCGACUCGCUCGACAGCCGACGAAGUGCCGCCUCCUGCUUGGCCAUGCCUGCCCCGCCUCCUCCUCCGUCGGCGGGGAAGGUGACGGGACAGACCCGGAUGUUGCUCUUCCGCCACGUGGGGAAGACGUCGUCGAUUCCGCCGCUGAUGGGCGGGCUGACGGCUGCCAUUGUCGUUGUCGCGCGGCGGAGGAAGGAGUAUCAUGUCGUAGCUGCCGUCGAGGGACAUGAACUCAAGGCUCCCGAAAUGGAGCACCGUCCCGGGUUGGAGAGGUUGCUGGAGACUACCCUUCUGGAGCUUGACGGGAAGCUGUUCGUCAACACGCAGUAGACCCCUACCUGGCGCGCCAACUGUCGGCGUUUCGACCCCGGGGGUCCCUGGACCGAUGAGUAAAUUGUCGCUGCGUGUCCCAGCCAAGAUGGGUCGGCGCGAGACGGAACACAAGGGAAAAACAGUAAGGGGAAACCGCGGCCUCGUGUUGUCCUGCGCCCAGGGCGGAUGCGCUUGUAGUAGGGAGUUACAAGCGUUCGCGAGAGAGAGACUGUCCGCCAGCCCGUUCUCCCGCGCGGCCACCUUCUCGUACGAGAGCCCUGGACCUUCCUUUUAUAGAUGUAAGGAGAGGGCCCAAGUGUACAAUGGGGGGUGUAGCAAUGUGCUAACGUGUCUAGCAAAGGGGAGCCAGAGCCCUAUGUACAUGUCGUCGUGGCUGUCGGAGAUGUGUUGCUGCCCUGUUCAUGUGAUGUCGUAGGGCAUGUUUAGUUCGCUGUCUAACUUGCCACACUUUACCUAACUUUUGUGCCUAAGGUUAGUUCCUCAAUUCGAACGACUAACCUUAGGCAAAGUGUGACAUAGUUAGCCACAAACCAAACAGGUCUAAGUUACAAACAUCCAAAUUUAUCGGUUCGGUGCCUUUCCACAUUUUUGAAUUGGGUUGGGCAUGAGACAACGAUGCGGCCCAGGCGGCCCACCUCCCCUCUCCUAUAUACACACUCGAUACCUAGGGUUUCCUUCUCUCACUUCUGUACCCAAUCAGAAGAGCGGCGGCGCGGGCGGACAAGGAGCAGGCGGAGGAGGAGUUGUGCCAAGCCACAAUGGGUAAGAUUCCAUCCACCCGCUUCUCGUUUUGCCUGUACUGACAUAGCUGCCCCGGUGGUUCUCCGAUUUGAGCGACGCUGCCGCAGUCGUUUCCGGUUUGAUCGACGUUGCCGCGAUGGUUCUUCGGUUUGGGCGAUGAGAUGCUAAUGGGUGCCUCUGCGGAUGGUUUGGAUGUAUCCGUGCAGGUAUCUCGCGUGACUCGAUGCACAAGCGCCGAGCCACCGGUGGAAAGCAGAAGGCCUGGAGGAAGAAGCGAAAGUAAUGACCGUUUCUCUUCCCUAUGUUAUUGACGGCUGGAUUCACCUAGCUCUGCUUUUGUUCUGUAGUACGCUGCUGCUUGAUUAGAUCACCGGUCCUAACUUGUUAACUUUGCAUGCCGAUUCCCUGUGGAUCGUGUAGUGGUUGCAGCGGUAAUGCGGUAUUAAUUGGUCUUAGUUGUAUCAAGGAUUCAAAUAAUGUUUUUCUCUCUUGACAUUAUUAGUUGAACUCCGGUGAUUUAUGCUUGUCGCCCUUAAUUGUGAGGUUACUGAGUAUUGCCUAAUAAAAAAUUAUCUGUGACUGUUAAAAUUGUUUACCAUGAUGCUUCCAAUGAAAUGCCUGAGCCUUGACAGUUCAUAAGCAAUUGUAUCUGUCAAUUCUAUGUAUUUUUCAAUUUUCUUGAAGGCAAUUAGCCAAUUUGAAGUUGGUGUUUCUCAGAAUAGUCUUUUUUUAUCACAACUAGUCCAUUCUACGUGUUUGAGGCAGCACUAAAAUUGUAGAUCAUUUGUGUGCAAGUUUCAUCAAACUGAAUUGGUGUCAUCAGCUUGCUUAAAAGAGUUGUUUAUCGACGUGGCUUUGUUGUGUCGCAGUACUAUGCUAGGACUUACGUUCAGAGGUUUAUUCUGCUUGUCAUUUCUCUUGAAGGUAUGAGCUUGGUCGCCAGCCAGCCAACACCAAGUUGUCAAGCAAUAAGACGGUGAGGAGGGUCCGUGUUCGGGGAGGUAAUGUGAAAUGGAGGGCUCUUCGCCUUGAUACUGGUAACUACUCAUGGGGAAGUGAAGCUGUUACCCGCAAGACCCGUAUCCUCGACGUGGUCUACAAUGCAUCAAACAAUGAGCUUGUGAGGACACAAACCCUUGUGAAGAGUGCCAUUGUGCAAGUUGAUGCUGCCCCAUUCAAGCAGUGGUACCUCACUCACUAUGGAGUUGACAUUGGUAGGAAGAAGAAAACCCCUGCUGCAAAGAAGGAUAAUGCUGAGGUAUUCUUUCUUGGAACACAGCUUCUCACUAUUUACCACUGAAUGUUUUAGUAAGGUAUUGGCUUCGUAGUUCAUACAUCAUUUUUUGUAGCUGACAAAUAUAAGCUUGUUAGAUAACUCUUCUUUUCAACCACGUGAAUAGCUUGUUUCUGCACUAGCCUAUUUUAGAUUUCUCUAUGAAAAAAUGUAGAAGUUGAUAAUUUUUAUCAAUAUAUUUUGUUUACUUGAAGUAUUUCCAGAAAGCAGAUGUCAGUAGUUCAUUACUUUUCAUUUUCUUUACUCUAGUAGCUCAUAUGUUUCCUCUGGUGAUUCAUUUAUUAUUUGAUAUAAUAUCCAUCCAGGGACAAGAGGUUGAGGCAGCAGCUGAGGAAACGAAAAAGAGCAACCAUGUCACGAGGAAGCUUGAGAAGCGCAAGGAGGGACGUACCCUUGACCCACACAUUGAGGAGCAAUUUGGCAGUGGACGGUUGCUGGCAUGCAUUUCUUCCCGUCCUGGACAGUGUGGCCGAGCUGAUGGGUACGAAAUAAUGGACCUCCACCAGACUUUCUUAGUAUUUUUAGAGCAGCAUAUCUGUGUGUGUACUACAAACUUCUGUUGCUUAAAUCAUAUGAUGGUCGUUUUGAUUUUAGAUAUCUUGUCAUGCUAUCCUUCUUGGCUUCAAGUUAUCUCCUUGUUUCACCACCUAUAACGUUACCUGCAGCUCCUUAGUAGCCUUGUCUUUUUAUAUAACAGGUACAUCCUUGAGGGUAAAGAGCUUGAAUUCUACAUGAAGAAGCUACAGAGGAAGAAGGGCAAGAGCGCUGUAGCUUAGAGCAUUCUCAUGGAUUGUCUUGCACCGAAAUGUGUGUCCUGAUGAGUACACUUUUUUGGUUAGUCGUCUCAAGUUCAGAGCGUUAUGCCAUAUUUUCAGACCUGAUUUGUACACUGUUUUCUAAAAGCGAUUGAGCUCUAGUCCAAUUUGAGCAGGGUAUGAUUAUUUGUUGAUGAA
This 426436-nucleotide long non-coding RNA is filed under the name Zea mays. RNAcentral's name for it is "long non-coding RNA (ZMAY_LNC002817)". Lineage: Eukaryota; Viridiplantae; Streptophyta; Magnoliopsida; Poales; Poaceae. The record is from RNAcentral.